ACAAAACAUACACAGCAAUGCCCACAUCAUCAAAUAGCGCAGCACACAAUUCACAGCAGGUGCUUUUAUAUAUUUCUUCAAUUAAACAUAUUUCUCACCCUUCACAAAACAUUUACAGCAAUUCCCACUACAUCAAAUAGGAAACAGCCAAUUGACAGCAGGUAAAAAAUCAAUUGUUGUAUUAAAGGGAAUGAAACAAAUUAUACAAGACCCAAAACCCAAAAAAAAAAAAAGAGCAGUAAAUCAGGAAGGAAGGGGUAUGAGGAUGAAAUACGUACCGGGGUUUCUGAGGGUGGCAUGAACAGUAUAGUGGCGGGAAAGGAGUAGCUUGACUAACCAAGAUGCCAGGUAUCCCCCUGCUCCUGUAACACACACUGUCCUGUCCUUCUCAGCCUCCCACGCUGCCAUGUCUGAUUGCUUACUAGUAGCAGUAGUGGGAUUAGUAUUUUAGCACCAAAUUCACUAUAGACUGAUCAAGAAGGUGGGUGAAGUUCUAUUCUUUUCUUUUUGUGAAUAUUAAUUCUUUUUUGGUUGGACAAGGCAGAGAUUUCGUCGAUCCUUAAGGAGAGGGCGAUUGGAGGAGGAAGAGGAGGAGGGGGAGGAGGUGGUGGUGGAAUUUGAAUGGAUAAGUCCUGUAUGUAGGAGCUAGCUGAUUCCAGCAGUCUCUGUCAAUACUAGUAGUGAUCAGCAGCUAGCAGGCGUGGGGGCUUGUAUAUAGCAGCAGACCAAAGGUGCUGUUGUGAUUUGCAUGGCUCAUAGAUGACGUAGGGUUUCAAGGUUUCAGUGGGGUGUGGGGUGGUGGGGGGGGGGGAACGGUAAUAAUGGUAAAUGUAUGUCAAAUGAAAUUUGAGUGUAUUAUUGAGAGAUUUCUAGCAAUCUGUUAACAAAAUUUAUUUUAUCUAAAAAAGGAGUAAAAGAGCGUAAUAUUAUUAAGUUAUAAUAAAAUUUGAUGCAUAUAUCAAUAAAAUUAGAUAUUCUGUGCAUUUGAAUACAACAGUAUACUAUGAUUGUACCAUUGUCAGAUGUUUAACAAAUUUAUUAAUGGAUAUUAAAGUGUUAGAUUUUAUCUCAUAUUUUCCCAAUUUAUGACUCAGAUUUUAAAUUGAUUAACUCAUUAGAGAAUAAAAAACUCAUCCCGUUGCUAAACUGGACAAGUAACAAAUACUCAUGUCCAUAAUGGGGUUUUGCUUCUUAUUGAAAUUCUAUAAUGUGAACCAAACCCUAAAUCCCUCCAUCCUGAAAUAUAAACUAAACUACUCAAUAUUCAAAGCAAAUUCCGCUCAGUAAAAGUUUGUUCGAAUUUGAUUUGCAAACUAAUUUAAUCAAGUUACAAUAAAAUUUUAUGUUUAAAAAAAUUUUAACUGCAGCUCGAGCAUAGCUCGAUAAUCAUAAAAUUGGAUUUUAUAGAUAAAAAUUACUCGAAUUCGACUCAAUAAAAAUUCUUUUGAACUUGCCUCAGUAAAUAAACGAGUCAAUCCUAAAUACUAUCUCAAAAUUCUUUAAAAUAAAUAAACAAGAUACUUGGUUUGAUUAGACACAUUCACAGCCCUAUUUUUCAUAUGCUCGAUAAUAACAUAUUUCUGCACUGGACCAGAUCAGGAAUAGGUAUCUAACUCGUUGAGUUUUGGGACAUGUUUAUCAUUUUUUAAAAUCUUUUUUUUAUUUCUUGUUUUUUAGGAAAAAAACUAAAGGAUGUGUUUGGAUUAGAGACCAAUGAACUUUUUUCCCCCCCGUGCCUAAUUGCAGAUUAAAAGGAAGAACUAGUUCUUAGAUAACGUUUCUAAGUACAACUCUAUUACUCAGAAAACUGGUCUACCUGACUGUGGGUUUUCCUUUAGUCAUGCCAUUUUGUCAUUAGUGAUGAUUGCUUCUUCUAAACCUUAGCUCACUGCACACGCCAAGCGUAUGAAAGCCAAACUUAAAUUGAACUCGUCAAGUUGCAAAAUAAGAAAAUUUGGGUUACGUUUGGUAUGAGUAGUAAGGGAAAAUUUAAUUCCUAUAUUUAUGAUUCUUGACUAAUGUGAUUGUAGAAUUGUUGACUGAAAAUAAAAGGAAACUGACAAAGAAAUGUCAUGUGAUUGCAUGUGCAUGGUUAAAACAAUACAAAUUAUAACCAAUUUGAUCCAUUGUUUUUAAGGUUUUGAUCGUUUUGGUUCCUUAGUAUCAUGACAAGCCAAUUUUGCCUCUUAAAUUUAAAAAUAUGGUUAGGGAGGUCCUUUUGAUAGAAAUUUGAGUCGCUAAUGAAGUGAAGAGACCCUUUAAUGCCUUUCGUGUCACAUCCGUCUCAACAGUAUAUUAAAGUUUCAAAAAAUCUCAAAUAAGUCAUAAAACUCAUAAAAAUAAACCCAAAACUCUUUAUCGUGAAGAAAAUAAAUUUUUGUAACUUUAAAAUAAAUCAAACACAAAACUUUAAACAUAAUUAUGGAUUUUGUGCCAUUUCCGAGUUGAAAUAUCAUGAAAAAGAGUACCUAAAGGUGAAAGAAAAAAUGCAUAAAUUUAUGUUUGACAUAGUAUAAAAAACUUUUAUUUCAUUAUAUUGAAGAGUUAUGGGUGAGUUUAUAGUUUUAGGCUUUUGUUUGAAUGCUUGGUGUUUUCUGCAAGAUGGUACGAAGUACCCUCUAAGGUCUCUUAACUCCGUUAACAACUCUAAAUUAGCCUUGACCAAAUUCUUAAAAUUUAAGAAAAAUUGGUUCGCCAUAAUACAAAGGGACUAUAUUGUUUGGAGAUAAGAUACCAAAUUAAUUAAUUUUUAUUCUUUGCGUAAUUCAAGUGAUUUCUCCGUUAGCUUCCCACAAUUUUGCUGCAUUAGUCUCUUUUGAUGGAGAUAGAGCACUAAAUUUGUUGAUAUGACAGACCAUAUUGGCUGAGACUUCAAAGAUAGAUGACCAAAGCAACAACAUUUCCUAAGUAGUUCAUGAAUCAUUUUCAUUGUAUAGUUAGAUAUGAUAGAGAAGAUGUAUCUUUUUUAAAAAUGAAAGGAAAUAAUAUUAAGUUAUAGAUGAUUUCUUGAAUAAAAGGGCAAUAAUAUUAUUGUACUCACUUUUUUCAUUAUUUUUAACUUAGACUAGUUUUCAUGAGGGGUAAAAUAUACAUAUUUAAUGUUAAUGGGAGCAAAGUGUGAUUAUCCACUAAGUUUAGGGGACGCAAAGUGUUAUUAACCCUUUUUAUUCAUAAUAUAUAAUUUUGUAGACUCUCUCUCUUCUUAGGAUCCUCUCUAUCUUCUCUCUUCUCGCCACUAGUGAUCGUAAGGUUUCAUGGCAGCCCUUCAGCCAUCGGCUGAGGGGCAAGAAUUUUCCCCUACAAAAAAAAAAUCUUUUUCUCAGCUUUUCUCACAGCCGGCAACAUCUCCAAUCCAGAUUCGGCAGGCUUCUGUUUACAAGGGUGAAGCGGCGGUUAUAUUUUCCAGAAUAGAAGCGGACAAACUUGCAGCACCAUUUAGAUGGACUUUGGUUGGCAAAUUCUCUCAUGGACGACCUUCUCUGGAAGAUAUUCGAAAGUUUUUUGCCUCUUUAAAUUUGAAAGACCAAGUCUCCAUUGGAUUACUGGACUAUAGGCAUGUCCUUAUUAAAUGUACAGCUGAAGCAGAUUUCAAUAGAAUUUGGACAAGAGGAAUUUGGCAGUUGGGUAAACAUCCAAUGCGUGUGUUUCGAUGGACCAGGGAAUUUCAUGUGCAUAGAGAAUCAUCUCUAGUACCGGUUUGGGUAAAUCUUCCAGCUCUACCUAUUCAUUAUUUUGACAAACAUUCUUUGUUUUCCAUACUGUCUCCAGUAGGAAGACCUUUGUUUCUAGAUUCGGCAACGGCUGCUGGGAUUCGUCCUAGUGUAGCCAGGGUGUGCGUAGAGAUAGAUGUUGCGAAGCUUGUUGUGCCAAGGGUGUGGGUUGCUGUCGAAGGGGAAUCAGGUUUUUGGCAACGUAUUGAGACAGAGAAUCGUCCUCCGUAUUGUUCUUUUUGUUCAAGAUUAGGACAUUCUCAUGAGCACUGCAACAAGAAUUUGAAAAAAGAUGGGUCUCGGCUGCAACUGAACAACCAGCAAAACCCAUACAUAGAUAGAAAUCAGAUGAUUACUCAUCAACCUGGGACUAAUCAAACUGAUUUGGAGAAUAAAGAGGCAGCAAAUAUAUCCAAUGUUAUUGCAAAUGAAAUGAUAGUGAAUGGAGUUGCUGCUACUGCGAAUGAAACUGUGAUAAACGAGUCUACUUCACAGGAAAUUUCAACCACUGCUACGGUGAAAAAUGGGAUAAAAACUUUAGCAGCAAAGGCCAUGGUUGCUGAACCUGCCGUGCUAGUCGUGCAAAAGGAAGUAAAAAAUCUGCAACACUGCAUUAUUGAUGAUGAUCCUGCUAAUGAAGAAGGAGUAGUAACCCAUUUAGAAAUUUCAGAUGUCAACGUAAACAUGGAGACAUGUAAGGUGAUGAAUACGGUUUUGCAUGGGGAACAUGUAGCAAUGGAAAACCAGCUGGAGAAACAUCAUGGCAGUCAAAGUGAAGGGUCCCAUGUCCUCAAAGAGAAGCCUUUGAGCACCGAACAACAUCAUCUGGAUGAGAAUGCUUUAACAUUGGCACAACAGAAUCUGAGCGACAAAGCUACAACAUUUACACAAGCAAAUCAGGCCCACAACAACGCAAGGAGUGACCAUGAGCAAUUGGCCGACAAAACCAAUGUUGAACUGCAGCUGCUGGCCGACAAUAAUGUUUUGGAGAAUCUCUAUGUUGAAUUGCGAGGGGUGGAGGAUGAAGUUUCUACACAACAGUUGGUAGAAGCAAAUCAAAUGCCUACUAAUGCUGGAAAUCUGUCCCCCCGAAUUGGUGUCCUACAAGAAAAAUUGCUGGAAUCAUCAAUGAAUGGCCUAAACAUUGAUCAAAUAGGUGAGGCUGGUGGUGACUUCCGACAACCGCACAGAAAGGGUAUGCGGGCUCCAAUCCCAUCUGACAGACAGUUAAGGUCACAGACAUCAUCCAAAAAUUCAUUCCAGGUUCUUUCUUAUGAUUAAUGGAUUAUUUUGGAAUAUUAGAGGGAUAGCAAAAGCACCAAACCUAAGAAGAUUGAUUAAAUUAGUUCGGAUUUAUCAUGUUCAUUUUGUUGUGAUUUGUGAGCCAAAACUAGACGUAUCUAAAAUCGAACUCAUUCGGUUACGUCUAUCUUUUGAUUAUGUGUUUGUUAAUUGCUCUAGCGAUAUUUGGGUUUUCUAUAAUAAUCCUUUUGUUUGGUCGAUCGUUGGUAGUUCGGAUCAACAUAUUUCUCUAGAUGUUCAAAAUCCAUUACUACCAAGUUCCAUCAUUAUGUCUUUUGUUCAUGCAAAGUGCACAGUGGAUGAGCGUAAAGACUUAUGGACAUCAUUAUUACAUGAUAAGCCUACUUUACUUCCUUGGUGUAUUGGAGGUGAUUUCAACGUUAUAUUAGCAGCACAUGAAAAGCGAGGGGGGCGUCCAUUUGCUAUAGCGGAAGGAGUGGAUUUUAUGAAUUUCAUGGAGGAAGCUGAGGUCUUUGAUGUCGGUUUUUCAGGAUCUAAAUUCACAUGGUCUAAUAAUCGACGGAGUAGAGCUCAGAUUUCAAAAAGGUUGGACAGAUUUUUAGUCAAUGGAUCUUGUUUGGAUUUUUCAAAUGACAUUUCGGUACUUCACUUGGCAAGACACCCCUCCGAUCAUGCACCAUUGAAGGUUUCUUUUGCAACUCGGUCAGAUAACAAACCUCGGCCGUUCCGAUUUCUGAAUGUUUGGACUUCCAAACCAGAUCUCUUGGAAGUGAUUCGCCAUGUUUGGAAACAAGAUGUGGGUGGGCCUCCGCUACGCGUAUUGUGUUCUAAAUUAUUGGCAACAAGGAGAGCUAUUCAAUCAUGGAACAAGCAACAUUUUGGGAAUAUUUUUGACGUUGUCCGUUCUUCAGAAAUGGCGGUUCAACGAGCUGAGGAGUUGCUAGACCACGAUUAUUCCGAAGAGUGUCAAAUUGAGCUUAAUAAGGCACAAGCAGAAUUGCGGUAUUCAAUGUCAAUUGAAGAACAGUAUUGGAGACAGAAGGCCAGGGUCAAAUGGCUUCGUCAUGGAGAUAGGAAUACAAGAUAUUUUCAUGCGGUAGUAAGGCAGAGAAGAGCUCAAGGAAUGAUACACCGCAUCAAAAAGUCCAAUGGUGCGUGGGUGGAAAAGGACGAUGAUAUAGCAAGUGAGGCAACGGCAUAUUUCAAUGAUCUUUUCACGGGCUCUUUGGAAUCAUCUACUGAUAUGCUACAUUUAAUUCCGCACUUGGUUACGGAAGAGGAUAAUGGAAAACUGGAAGCAUUACCUUCAAUUGAGGAGGUAUAUGGAGUCAUAAAGUUAAUGGAUGGAGAAAGUGCAGCUGGCCCAGACGGUUUUACAGGCAAAUUUUUUACAUUUGCUUGGGAAGUGAUCGCUCAAGAUGUUUACAAUGCGGUACUGAGCUUCUUCUGUGGGGCGGAGCUACCACGAUUCAUCACUUCUACUUCAAUUAUACUAAUUCCAAAGACGCCAAAUCCUCAGGAAUUCUCUCAAUUCAGGCCUAUCAGUCUAUGCAAUUUUUUCAAUAAAGUGUUAUCUCGGAUUUUGACAGACAGGAUGGCUUGUUUACUGCCAAAAAUCAUUUCCCCACAUCAGACAGGUUUUGUGAAGGGCCGCAAUAUAACUGAAAAUUUUCUACUAGCUCAAGAGAUGGUAUCAAGCAUGGGGAAAAAGAAUAGAGGUGGAAAUGUUUUAAUGAAACUAGACAUGUCCAAGGCAUAUGACCGGAUGUCAUGGGGUCAUAUUAUUAAUAUUCUAAGGAGGUUUGGAUUCGGGGAAAUAUUUAUUGACCUUAUAUGGCGGUUACUCUCUAAUGUCUGGUUUUCUAUCAUUAUAAAUGGUUCCUCCUACGGUUUCUUCAAGUCUUCGAGAGGUCUUCGUCAGGGAGACCCAUUAUCUCCUGCAUUAUUCAUUAUAGGAUUUGAGGUUUUAUCUAGAGGACUGAAUAACCUCACCAUGCAAUCGAGGUUCCUGGGUUUCAAAGUUCCAUAUCGGUGUCCGACUAUUACUCACUUGGCAUUUGCGGAUGAUGUUCUUAUAUUCACAAAUGGAUCCUCUUCUUCUCUUAAGGCAAUCAUGCAGGUGUUACAGGCAUAUCAAAGGUGUUCGGGGCAGCUCAUAAAUGUGCAAAAAAGCUGUUAUUUGGUCCACCCAUCGAUGCCACCGGCGAGACGAAGGGUGAUUGAACGUAUCACUAGGUUUGCCUGGCAGUCAUUUCCGAUACGUUAUUUGGGAUUCCCUCUUUAUUCUGGAAGAUGCAAAUCUUCAUAUUUUGGAGAAGUGUGUCAGUCUAUUCUAGGGAGGAUUUUGUCAUGGAAAUCAAGGCUGCUUUCCUUUGGAGGCAAAAUAGUUCUAAUCAAGCACGUGUUGGCUUCUAUGCCAAUGCAUCUAAUGUCAGCUGCUGUGAUCCCGGCCAAGGUGUUCAAAAUUAUAGAAAGUUCGUGCUCGAACUUCCUGUGGAGAUCAUCAACCGACGACUCGAAAUUCCACUGGAUACGAUGGUCUCACUUGUGUUACCCGGUUGAGGAAGGGGGAGUCGGGUUCCGGAGACUACGAGACGUAUAUCAAGCUUUUUCAUGCAAGCUUUGGUGGAAUUUCCGAACAGGAUCAUCCCUGUGGGCAUCGUUCAUGAAAGCAAAAUAUUGCGGAAGCCUUCAUCCUUGUCAGAUCGAACUCAGAACAACGGACUCGGCAAUCUGGAGAAGGAUGAUCAACGUAAGUAGACAAGUGGAGCUCUCAAUGUUAUGGGAUGGAGCUUGUCAUUUUUGGUAUGACAACUGGUUGGGAAGUGGUGCGUUAUUUCUACAUGCAAAAGUUAUCCCAAAUUUGUCAUUCCAAAAUUUUAUCACCAAUGGUCACUGGAAUAUAAAUCUCUUACAUUCGACGAUGCCAAGCGAGAAACUUACUUCCAUUUUGGCACACCCGGUACCAGAGGAAGGGAGGGAAGUUGAAGUCUUUUGGAUGCCCACGAUAUCUGGUAAGUUCUCUCUCCAAUCGGCUUUUGGGGACGUCAGGCAGACCCGACACAAGUCAAUGGCUUUUACUUACAUUUGGCAUCUUCAGAUUCCUUGGAAAGUCUCAUUUUUCAUGUUAAGAUUGUUUCUGAGAAGACUACCAUUACCAGAUAGGUUAGGUAAGCUUGGCUUCCAACUUCCCUCAAAGUGUUUUUGCUGCUCCUCGGCAUCUGUGGAGUCUAUUGAGCACCUAUUUGCCAACGGACAUAUUGCCUCGGUAGUUUGGAACUAUUUUGGAGGCCUAUGUGGAUUCAGGUGUCCAGGAUCUUUUUUGCGUCCUCGCAUCGUAGGAUGGUGGCUACGUUUACAUGACUCUGAGACACGACGACUUAUCGACCGCAUUCUACCUAGUGUACUUUGCUGGCAGAUUUGGAAAGCAAGAAAUAAAGCAAUGUUUGAGGGUGUCCAAAUGCAAUCGUCUGCUAUUUGUAAGAACAUUUUCUCAGAAAUACAGUCUAUGGUGGGGAUUCAUUUCAAACAAGAACUUCAAUUGCAGUCCUUUCAUCAUUUGUAUGAUCGAUCGCAUGUAUCUGUCGGUAGAAUUGCAUAUAAAUUGGUUCGCUGGGAAAUAAAGGAGACAGGGAGAUUGAUACUCAACACGGAUGGAUGCUCUAAAGGUAAUCCAGGAGUGGGUGGAGGUGGUGGAGUUCUCCGAGAUUCAUUUGGCGUACCAGUGAUUGCUUUCUCGGCUUAUCUUGGACAAACUACAUCUCUCCGUGCAGAGACUUGGGCCCUCCUUAUUGGUCUUCAAACAUGUAAAAAUAGGGGCUUCGAAAAUAUAAGGGUUCAAUCAGAUUCAUUGCUUUUAGUUGAGAUCAUUCAGCAGCGUAUUCAAUGUCCAUGGGAGAUUCGAAGGGAAAUCAGACAGAUUUUGAAGCUCUUGGAAGAUCCUGCUCAUUUAUCACACUGUUAUCGAGAGGCUAACACAGUUGCUGACGCUUUAUCCAAUGUCGGAACAUCUCAUCCCCACCAACAAGUCAAGAUUUAUGACAGCUUCACUAUGCUCCCAAGGGUAGCUCGUGGGGCAAUUUUUCUAGACAAGUUGGGUUUGCCCUCAGUUCGGAAAAUUAGACGUCUGUAAGGAAAAAUAUUGUGUAUAUCUCUUUCAUUAAUAAAAUAAAAAAGUUCAAAUAAAAAAAAAAAAAAACUUAACUUACGCUUUAACCGUUAGGAUUUUCUUACAUUCAUUCGACAACUCAGUAACCAUCCUAUUGUAUAAUAACUAUCCUACACCUCAUCAAAGCCUGAUAAGAUGAAGAAAAUUUCAUUUCUGGCAUCUUAAUGCCUUACAUCCAGUAUUGAGGGAAAAAAAUUAGUCGCAUUACAGUCUGAGAAUUUGAAUCCAGUAAUUUCAUGGUCUGACGUAGUCACCCAAGUAGGUUCUCCUUAAAACAGGGUCUUGAGGCAAAAUACACAUCAAAUAGGUCAUCUGUCGAUCUUUGAUUAUGUCUACACGUUCAAAAGAUAGGCUUAAUCAUAUUAGUGGAAAUAACUCAUAGUUCAUCAUAUAUUAAUUUCCUAUUCAAUUUAGUUUGAAUACAUGAUCAAUGUUAUCAUAUGCCAAAAAAGAUUGAGGAUACUUUUGACCUAGUUCUUUGCACUAACUUGAAAUCUACCAAUUGUUCUUUCUUUGAUGCACUUGCAAAAUCUCCUGCAAAAGUAAAAUAACUCAGUUGGUGAAUUUUGGCUAACUGAGAGGCCCUAUCUUCUUUUUACUUCUUUAGCACAAGCGAAGAAUGAAUUUAUGCAUAAUAACCGUGUGAUUCUAAUGAGAUAUGAUUUUUUUGGUUUUGCAUGCUGGUUAAACAAUUGUUCAAGCUCUUAUCUCGGUUUUUGAUACUUCACCAGUAUGUUGCUGCUUCAUUAGAAGAAUUUUCUAUUUUAUGACUGGCAAGUGAUUUUGGUAUCUUAGCAGUUCAUCGAUUUUGGUGCUUUGUUUACAAUUUAAUUGGCUUCAAUGGUCCAUACAUAUAGGAACUUGGAAUUUACCCUUUUAUUUCCUUUUGCAUGAGCAAAGAUUAGUAAUUUUUAAUCAUAAUUUUCGAUUCCUCUAUUCUGGCCAUAGUGAAGAAAUCUACCUUUUUGUACUUGUGUAUUUGCACACCAAACAUCAUUGGGCUGUCUACUUUUGACAUUAUUCUUGAAUUACUCAGUUUAGAAUGUGUAUUAGUUGCUGGAAGCAAAUGCAUCAUCGUUGGCAAUUACUAAACAGAAAAUAUGCAUGCCAUUACUAUUUUCACUGAAAUUAGCAUCUAACUUAUAGUGAUCUAAUUAAAGGUUAACUACAUUGGUUUUGACUAGAACUAAGAGAUCAUUAGCCCUUUUAUUUUUGGAUUUGCAUUAAUCCAGUAUCAUCAAACUUCUUCAAAUGGGCUCUUUAGCUACUAACCCCUUCAAAAAUAAUUUAGGCUUACGGUUCUGUUGAUGUCGCAAUUGCAGGAGGUUCAGAAGAUAACGAAAGGCUCAUCUAAGAUUUCUUAAGGUGUUUGGCUUAUAUCGCUAGAUUUACCUAAUCUAUUUUCAUCCUUCUCCGAUGUCAUUAUUGUUAAAGUUCAAUUCAUAAGUUGGUUGUGUUAGAAAAUUGGCUUAAUUUCUUUUUAGAUAGGUUUUUGUUUUGUGCGAAAGUAACUAGUUUUCUAAUUGGUUUUAGUUACUCGAAAUAGUAGCCAAGAAAUUUCUUAUUUUGUUUAGAAUUAGAAGUUAUUUCUUAUUUUGUACAAGUCUAGGAAUUAAAAUUAAUUUCCUGUUGUUAUUUGGAUUUUUUGACCAAAUAAUGUUUUUAUAAAUAUGUGGGUUGGCAUGCUAUAAAAGAAACACAUAAGGGCACACAAGGACGACAUGUAACCUUAUACAUAGGUGGUGAGAGAGAGUUCUUGGGAGAUGAGAGAUGGUAUACAAAGGUUGGACUUGAGUUCGAGUUGUAUUCUUGUAUAAGGUUUUUCUCUCAUAACAAAGAACAAGUUUCUCUCCGUGGACGUAGGUUCAAUGGAGUCAAACUACGUUAAAUAUUGUGUGUUGUUUAUCUUUCAUACUUGUGGCUUGUUUCUCAUUAAAUUAUUAUGUACUUGAUAUCUUAAUAGUUAUUUAUUCUGCAUUUAGUUCCUAACAAAUAGUAUCAGAACUUGGUUGCGAGAUUGGGCUGCUCACAAGCACUUGGAUCCCAACAAACUGAACAGUUGGAUCAAGAGUUUGGUUGUUCAAGGUUGGAUCCUAGUUAACUAUUGAUAUCAAGUAGGUUGGUGACUGUUACCAAUUGAACAAUUUAAUGGGCGGUAUCCUUAUUUCAAGAGUUUGGCAAAAAGCAUUGAUGGUGAAUGAUGAAAAGUCGAAAAGCAUAGAGAUACUUGACGGUGAAUCUAGGCAGGUGAUUCAAGAGUCAAGGAAAAGGUGGAAUCCAAUGUCGAUUUUGGACGUGAAUUGGUGGAGAUUUUCUCACAACUUCAAUGGUUGAUACUUCAUCCCGAUGGUUUUUAGAUUUCACUUAUGUUUUUUGAGUGGUACAGAACGUGUCCCAAAAAAACAAAGAGAUUUAAUUUCUAUGCGCCUGAAGACUCUGACAGUUACGAGUCUUUUGUUACAGGUGGAUUUUUGGAAACCACACGUGGCGAGAUAGUCCUGAGAAAGGGAAGAAGUACGAUGAUUUUACCACUUGGUUGCCUCAAUGAUUAAGGUUAGAGUUCACAGAAGGAGAUUUUGGGUUGCAAGUGGUGGUGAGAAAAAAUCCUGUAAAGGGAAAUGGUGAAUUGAGGCAUCUUCUCACAAAUCAACUAGAGGUUGUACUGGGUGUAAAUACACAUAUUCAUUUGGCGAUUAAAUUAAUUUGGUAUCAGAAUUGUAUUGAUUCGAGUGUGUAGUUCGGUACCAUAUUAUUUGGUAGUUGAAGGUAAAUAAUUGUUAAAAGAAAUUUUCGCCGAGAUGGAGAUUUGUUAGGAAAUUGACUUAAUUUCUUUUCAGACAGGUUUUUGUUUUGUGUGGAAGUAACUAGUUUCCUAAUUGGUUUUAGUUACUUGAAAUAGUAGCCAAGGAAUUUCCUAUUUUGUUUAGGAUUAGAAAUUAUUUCCUAUUCUGUACAAGUCUAGAAAUUAGAAUUGGUUUCCUAUUAUUAUUUAAUUUUUUGGCCAAAUAAUAUUCUCUAUAAAUAGAUGGGUUGGCAUACUACAAAGAGACACACAAAAGCACACAAGAGACGACAUGUAGCCUUAUACAUGGGUGGUGAGAGAAGAUUUUUAGGAGAUGAGAGAUGGUAUACAAAGGUUGAACUGGGGUUCAAGUUAUGUUCUUAUAUAGGAUUUUUCUCUUAUAAUAAAGAACGAGUUUCUCUCUGUGGAUGUAGAUUCAAUGGUGGAGCCGAACCACAUUAAAAAAUAGUGUGUCAUUUAUCUUUCAUGCAUGUGGCUUGUUUCUCAUUAAAUUGUAGUGGACUUGAUAUCUCAAUAGUUGUUUAUUCCACGCUUGGAUCCUAACAAACUGCUAAACCAAGAUUGAUGUAAUUGCGUCCUGUACUUGAGAUAAUAGAAAUAAUGAAAACAAGAGAGUUUGCAAUUCAAUUGAUUAAGGGAAGAACAGAGAAAAUCCCUGAAAAUGGGAAUUAAAGGAAACAAAGGAAACCCUAAAACUAGUUUCCAAGAACAAUUCUGUCGAAGACAGAAAACAAAGAAAAUAGUAUCAAAGGCUAUAUCGUUAUUUAGAAAACAAGAAGCACUUGAAGGUGAAUGUUGCAGAAAGUAGAAGAUCCCACUACAAUUUACUAGUUCAAGGAGCUAUAAUUAAGAAAGAAAGAAGAAACUCAGAGAAUUAGAGAUUGUUAUUGAUUGAUGAAUGAGUAGGAAGAAUGUAGAUGAAGAUGAUAAUCAAUUACAAGUAAUGGAAAUCGGAAAUCCAAGAACUGCCUUCAACUUACCACUCUCCUCUCUUUUAUUCGGCUACUACACUUGUCCAAGUCAGCUAAUUCAUUACAACCAACCGACAUACAAGAAUUAUAAGGAUUAUUCAUUAAGUCCCUAUCAUACUUGCUUUAUUACAAAAAAAAUAACCCUAUCAAUAAAACUAAGGUAACAAAUACUUCCCCCUCAGAGAAUCCUUGUCCUCAAGGAUUAAAUUCAGGAAAUUGUUGUUUAAGGUCAAACCAGAAUUCCCAGAUAGCAUCUUCAAGAAAAGAAUUGCUUCACUGCACCAAAACUUUUGUAGCAAGAGAGUUACCACAUUUCACCAAUUUCUGAUCAAGUAUGGCUAUAGGCUCCAUUAAUAAUUAUCCCUGUGUAUUGAUUGCAAAAGGAAUGUGUGAGGUAACUAGUGAGUGCCCACUUUCUUCUUUAGAAGAGAUACAUAAAAAAUAGAGUGUAUUUUUGCCAUAUUAGGCAGCUAAAGCUGAUAUGCAACAGGGUGUACUCUUUUGAUCGCUUGGAAAGGUCCAAAAAACUUAGAAGCUAACUUCUGACAAGAGUGUACCUUCAAAGAGUGUUGCCUCUAUAGUUGUAGUUUCACAUAUACCCAAUCUCUUGCCUAGUACUGUCUGUUAGACCUGUGUUGGUCAGCUUGUUGCUUCAUCCUAUUUUGUGCCUUGUGAAGGUUGUACUUUAAGUGAUGCAAAACUAUCUCCCUUGCUGCCAAGAUUCUAUCCACCACUUCCACUACUAAAUUCCCAAGUAGACAAGGCAUAUGCAGAGAUGGUGCAUGACCAUACACCACCUCAAAUUGGAUAACCUUAGUGGCAGCAUGAAAUUUGGUAUUGUACCAAUAUUCAGCCAAGGGUAACUAGAUAGACCACUGCUUUGGAAAAUCUCCACACAUUCACCUCAAAUAUUACUCCAAACACUUGUUUACCACCUCAGUUUGACCAUCUGACUGAGGGUGGUAGGUAGAAGAGGUAUUAAUCUGCACUUUCAGUAACUUAAAAAGUGCUAAUGAGGACCACAUCCUUGUCACUAACAAUGCUCUGAGACAACCCGUGAAGUCUAUAGAUCUGAUCCAGGAAUAUGUGGAAAUAUAAAUGCUGAAUAAGCAUGUGACAAUGCCAAGAAGUGUGCAUACUUACCUAACUUGUCAACCACCACCAAGAUGGCUUGUUUACCAUGUGCAUUAGGUAAACCUUCCAUAAAGUCCAUGGAAAUUCACUCCAAACCUUUUGAGGCACACGUAAAAGUCGUAAUAAACCCAAAUAAGCAGUAUUGUCAUAUUUGUUGCACUGAUAGACAUCACAUGCAGCCACAUAGUUGACUAUGUCUUGAUACAUUCUUCUCUAAUAAACCACUGACUUCAACUUCUUUUAGGUAGCAUAAACUCCUGAAUGUCUCCAACAGCACUAGAAUGCCACAAGUGAAUUAUAUUAUUCUUGAAUUGACCGUCAUUUUCUACCACUAGUCUCCCCAUCCUUCUUAACUGCCAGUUGCUCCAUGUGUAAUAAGGUGCGACCUUAGAAAGAUCAAAUUGUAAUUGAGUGAUGAAGGUCUAUAGCCUUAUAUCUCUUUGCCAUCCCUUUUUAAUCACUAUCAAAAAUCACUGUUAACAAUGAUGAUGCAAGAGCUUCUCUUGGUUCUGCUAGUUUUCUAAAGAGAGUAUCUCUCAUCAUAUUAUAUGCUUCUUUCCUGUAUUGAAGCUCAUAAUCAAAUCUUACUAGCUUAGCCAUCCAUUUCUGCUGCAUAAGAGUGUUCAAUCUUUGUUCCAUCAUAUAUUCAAUGCUCUAAUGGUCAUUUUUAAUGAUAACGUACCUUCCAAGUAGAUAAGGUCUCCACUUCUAUACAGCAGCAACUAUGGCCAAUAUUUGCACUUUUCCAAUAUAUUAUUAUAUGCUAUUCUCCCACACACCUAAAUCUUACAUUGUCCCCAAUGUAAAAUAAAGAAUAAAAGAAAAGUAAUGGGGAUAACGAAACUUCCUUGAUAACUGAGGGGGCCGUGGAUAGCUACAGGUGAGGAGCAAAUGAUUGUGGAGCUCGACGUAUGUUGAUGGUUGGCGGCAGUGGAGUUCGGAUGGAGAAGGAUGGAAGAAAGAAAGAAAGAAGAAAGAAAAAGAAGAGAGAAAGAAAGAAAGAAAAAGAAAAGGAAAAAGAAAGGAAAAGGAAGAGAAAAGAAAAGGAAAAUGCGAAUGGGAAUUGCUCCAAUCCCAGCUGGUUUUUUGUACUACUACUUUGCUUCUUGUACGAAGCUUGAAGAUGCAGCACGCGCGGGAAUUUUUUUUUUUUUUUACAUCUGAUUUUGAUUUUUUUUCUUUUUCCUUUUCUGUAUUUCCUUUUCUUUUCUUUCUAAUUUUUUUUGCAAAAACAAUCAAAUAAAAAUCAAAUGAGAUGGAAUGAUUUUUUUUUUUAAAAAAAGGUAAAAAUAUAAAUAGAGAUAAAUAAAUAAAAAUAAACAAUAAUAGAUAUUAACAAAUCAUAAAAUGAUUUAUGAAAUUUUUUUGGUGUCUACAUAUAUACACAUACUAAUAAUUUUUAUAUUUUUAUAUUUUUCCUAUUUAAUCUUACCUAUAAUUCUUCCUUAUUUUAUUUACUUUCUCCAAUUAAUUUUAUAUUUUAAAAAAUAUAACAUCUAAAAAUAUAUAUUAACGAAGAGGGCAUCUGUUAGACAUGUCCUAUUUUAUGUAGCAUAUAUGUACUACAUGGAAAAAACUUUUUUAAUAGGUAUCUUAUUUUUUGACAUGAAAAAUGCCUUUUGACUACAUUCUGACUAGCGCCAAAAGCUAUCUACUUUUGACAUGUUGCCCAUGUGGGGUCCUUGAUGAUUGGUGUCACAAUUUUAACACAUGGUCGUACUAGGUACAAUGUGGUCAAUAUUGGAUUAGGAGCACUAAUUCAAAAAAAUUGGUGUAAUUGUACGGUUGUUAUUUUUUUUAUAUAAAAUUUGGCACAUAUUUAUAUAAAUGUUUAUAUAUUUUUAUACAUUUUCAAAAAAUAUUUUAUAUACUUUUUUAAAAAUAUAUAUAUUUUUGUAUAUAUAUUUUAAAAAUUUUGGUAUUUAUGAGCAAAAUUCUUACAUACAAUAAAAUAAUAGCAUGAUAUGAGAUGAAUAAUAAUUGAAUAGUACUGCAGUUGCCCCAUUUACCGGUGACGCUACUCGUAACUUGAUGUUCAAAAAGUACCACCAUAACUUUUGCUGAACUAAAUUUGAAAAAGCAUUUCAUCAAAUUUGAAUGGUAUCGAAUAUAAAAUAAUGUUCAAAGUUGAUUUGACAAGUUGGUGAACCAAAUCGAACGAGCUUUUACCAGACUGAACUUAAUUCGAAUAUCAGUAGUUUGAUUCAUCUUUCAACCUUUAUACCGACCAAAAAAAAAAAAUCAAUUACCAGUCAAGUAUAAUGUCUUAUUUUUUUACCAAGUUUUUAAGGGUGUGCACACCAUUGUUCUCCCUUUUCCUUUGACAUGUAAGGCCAGUUUUCCUGCUUCAUGUGUUGCCUAAUUUAAGUUUCGUUUUAUGUUGACUCCUAAUUUAGCGUCUUCUUGAAAGCUCCGACUAUUGCUCGGAAAAAAAUAUUGCUGUUGAAAACAGAGUUUUUUGCCAAAAUAACACUCUUUCUAAAAAAUAUUCCCAAUGUGAUUCACUUUCAAAUUUUAUUCCCAAAUCGAUGUUAUUGUUGCCACCUAAUUACUCUGAUUGCCAUGUAGGAUAACAAGAAAGGAAAGCUUUAAUCUAGUUUAUAGUUUCCAAUAAAAACUAAAAAUUUAAACUGUUUUAUUAUAGAGGCACAAGAAAAUUGCAUAACUUUGAUAAUUUCCUUAUAAUUAUUUAAAAUAAAUUUUACCAUUAUUGACCUUGCUAUUAUUGCUCUCUACAAUUUUUUUAAAUGUAUCAAACUUAUUGCAUAUAUUUUUUCAAAAAUAAAUUUGCAAAAUACAAAAAUUGCAAUGAACAUUAUAAGCAAUAAUAAGAAAAAGUUAAAAAACUUCAAGGUUAUCAUAUUUGUUCAUGUUAUGCUUUCUACUCCUUGAAAAGUACUUUUACAAAAAGUAAUCAAACUAUUGCAAUUAAGAUAAUGCUAAAGUUUAUCAAAAGUAACACAAGCCAUUAAUUGAUGUUGAAUAAAUAUGCAAAAAUACUUCAAGUAUACGAGAUUAUUUGAUUAUGUGAUAGAGAGGCACUACAAAUGAACAUGCUUACAUUGAGCAUGAAUUUAUGUUGUUACGUAGUUUUCCUCUUAGAUAUUUUAUCAAGCACACGGUGUGAGAAAUCAUUUGUUAAAACAAUUAGUAUUCAAAAUUUUUUGAAGGCCAUAAGAAUGUUCCAAAAACUGCACAACAGAAAAGACGAGAAUAAUCUUCAUUUACCUUGAAAUUAUUAAUUCGAGGAGAAUAUUUUCAUAAUAUCAGGAAUGAUAAUGAAGUUUUAGAUGUUGUUAAUAUAAAUAUUGACUUUUAACAAUUACAUUUGACAAGGAAAAAUAACGAAAGGACAAAAAAUAAUAAAGGAAAAAAAAGUGGGUAGGUUCAGAGAGAGAAUCAGGGAAGAUAUUAAUUGGAAAAGAGAGAUAGUACGUGUCUCUAUCUCUAUCCUACCACAUAUGCAACCUAUGUGGAAAAAAAAGAAUUAUAAAGGUAAUAAAUUUUAAAAUUAGGUUACUUUGGGUAUAUGUUUCAAAAGAAGAGUUAUUUUGGCAAUAAACUCGCUGAAAACAUCAUCACAUAUUUGGAAAGAUUUACUUGUUGCUCUGGAUUUUAGGUUUGAUCUUUAUUUCAUAAAGCAUUUUGUUAGAUUUCAAUGGCUUAAAAAAAUGAUGACUUUUGUUAGAAUAUUGAGCUCUCAGACAUUCAGUGCAGGCCUAAUAUUUUUUUUUUAGUACUGAAUUUGUUUUGGAUACGUUAGUAUUUCUUGAAUUUUAGAAAAUGCUUCUCUUUAAUAAAUGUAAGUUCAUUUUAAUCUUGAUUCGCAAGCUUUUCUUGUAAAUGGUUUGCCAUUUCUUAUUAGUUGUUACAGUAAAUUUAGCAAGCAUAUAUGCUUUUUGUCAAAAUUCAAUCAUUUCAAAAUCUAGAAGGGAACUUCUAAAAUAUCUGCAUCCUCCUUUUCUUUUUUCUUUUUCCCCCUCUUGGCUUUGUAUUCAGAAUCAGAUUGUGUUCAAUUAGUUGGAAUUUGCCUUUGGAGUUAAAAGGGAUUUCCAUUUUUUCCUAGGUAUUCCACAGCUUGCAUACCAAAAGCACAGAGGCGGAAGAAAACCUAUGAUUAAAUCAUACAACAGGAUUGUAAGAAAAUGCCCACUCUGAAAAAAUGAAAAGUUGAAUUUCCUAUUUUCAAAUUUACAUGCAAAAAAUGAAAAAUGACAUGCAAGAAAUAGUCUACUAUUUCGCAAUUUUUGCUGUUAUGAGAAAUAUAUUACAAAUAAAUCCACAUAAAUGGUGGGAAUAAUAACUCAAAUAUGGUGGGACAAAUAAACAUAUAGGGUGACCCCUGCCAGCUGAGAUAACUAGCUGGUUUAUUUAAUUUAAUAGUUUGAAUACAAUAGUAAAUCAAUGCCAUAGCUCAGAUACUGACUAAAUUUUUCUCCCUGAAGAAUUCAACAGCAUCUUUUAGGCUGACCUCCAAAGGAGUGAAUCGAACUCCCAACCUUUUUGCCUUCUCAUUGGAGGCUCUGUAGUUUGGGCUGAUAAGGUUGGUAUUGUUUGACAUUCUGCUGUAUGCGGGACAAUACACAAUUAUGGCAAACAUAAAUAAAGCUUAGGUAAUGAAAAUGCAAGUGUAAAUUCAAAUGCUUGAAAAUCUACUGGACAAUUGCCUCAUAUCUACUGUAAAUUGUGCCUUUUUACGAAGUUUCAAAAGACCUUUUAAAAGAUAGCUUUAGUUGUGAUAUGAAUGAAAUUUAUUUUUUUAAAAAAAAAAACCUAAAACGGAAUUUCUAUUUUGGAGGCAAAGCCAAUUUGGUGCUAUAUCCUAGUCCAAAGAAGACCAUCUUCUAGAAAUCAACCUGAGAAAGAGCUCAUUUUAUGGAACAUGAGACCAAAAGAAAAAAAAAAGAAGGCAGAAAAUUUAGGAUUUAAUGUCCUUUAAAAGAGAGUAUAAAAAUAUGUGAUACAUUUUGGACCUAUACAAGGCCAUCAGCAAAAGCCUGUAAAGACCUAAACAAGGAAAACAAGACUUACUUAUCAGGAAAUUGGUGAGUUGCGUAAUGCUCAUGCAAAAUCUUGAUGAUCUGAGAGGCAUUUGCACAUCUUUCAACCAGACAAUAUCUUCCACUUGCAGAAGGGGUUUCAAGGGCAAGAACAUGUGCAUAGGCAACAUCUCUAACAUCAACCCAGCUACAUGUUGCCUUAGGAAAUGGUUCAACCCCUGCAUUUGGCACCUAAGAUCUUUAAACACAUUUUUUUUGCAGGCUCUUCAGCGAACAUAAGUGAAACUCUGCAUACAAUUAAAUACAAUGUUGUUUGCCAUGAAAAGAGUCAAAUUUAGAGGCCAUGGCCUGCCUUCCAGAAGAAAUGUGUGGUAUGUACUACUUUGUUCUGUUUUAGUAUCAGCAAAGCCACAGAGGGGAGGGAGAUGUGAGGAAUGAACUACUUGAGACAAUUCAGAUAAUUGGUGAAUAAUAAGAAAGAUUAAUCCCAACAAUCUUCUAGUUAAUCUGUCGAGUUAUUACCUGGAAUUUCUCAGAUUUAGAGUUAGGUUUCAAAGGAUAGUUUAUUUAUUUAUGUGAGGAAUAAACAAGCUUUAGCAAGUCUGAACAACAUAAACAGUGACUACUCCUAACAAAUUUUUCCUCACAAUUACCACCAAAAAAUUUCUUUUCCUUCCUGUUAAUCACAUAGAACGUCAAUGUUGUUGAAAGGAAGAUGCACACAACGUGAAUUUCAGAUGAAAGAUUGUACUGCAAACCUUUAAAACAUCAUAAGCUGGUCAGAGUUUAUAGCUUGAUAUAUCAGUUCACAUUCUGAUCUAUGUCUGUCAAUCAUGUGAUUAGCCAGCAGUGCCUUGAAAUGUUAUUAGUCAUAAGUUUUUUGUUCUACUGUAACAAAGAAAGUUGUGGUGCAUAAUAAAGCUAUAACUAACAUAGAUGGAAGAGUCAGUUAGACAAUGAUUACUAAGGUGAUUCAAUAAAUUUUGAAACAAACCCUUUAAUAGGUUGAGGAACAAAACGGCGCUCGAAUUAAUAGAUGGCUGCAAGAGAGGACCAAUGACCAAUCCUGGAUGAAUUGUGAUUGUGUGUCAAUGCCAUGCUCCUUUGCAAAUUUCAAUGCAGCAUUCUCGGCCAUGGUUUUUGAAAGUUCAUACCAAGACUAUCAACACCAAAAAAUCAGUAAAUGUUGGUAAGAUGGUAGCAGAAAGUAAUUAGAUUUGUAAACUUUAAGAAGUAACAUUAUAAAUUUAUACAAAUUUGACAAAACCAGUAGCUAACAACAGUUGGAACUAUUAUUGCUGUGGCUACAGACCACAGAGUGAAAGUAUCCACAUUUCCUAGGACAAGCUAUGCUCUAAGUGAAUAAGUAGAUUUCUCAAGGAUCCUAGCAAUGGUGUAAACUUUUUAUAUUCAAGGAAUGAUGCAAAGCACCAGAGUGUCGACAUAUCCUGAUCAUCUGAUCUCUUAAUCCACAAGUUAACAGCAAAACUACAAGGGACCUUGACACUUGAACACAUAGAGCCAUAUUCAUGAUAUUAUAGCAGAAGUUCCCUUUCAACCGACCAACCAAAUAUUGCUCAUCUAGGUGUGUAUUCUCAGACAAUAAUAUAGAGUUUGAUAAUGCAAGAGAUGCAUAAUUGAGUAGGAAAACUUUCAUAUUGCUCUUUCCUCGACUAUUCCACACUACAUUAUUAAUUUUUCGUUAAAGUUAAGUUGUUACUUAGAUAGAAGGAAAGAAAUGGACUGACCAUUCUGGUUACAAAAAUAUCCUUCUUUUUGCCUAUUAAAGUACCACCAAGUCAUGAAGAUCCUAACUUAAUUAUCUCCACAGCUGGGCUAACUCCUCAUAUGUGUUCCAAUAACAAGUUAAAACUAAAGAAUUCCAGCAUUCCGUAUUAGAUUUUGCUGGAAGAAGACGGACAAUAUAUGUACCUUUUGGUCCUCACAGUAUGAUGGAUCGGAAAACCAACUUUCAUCAACUACCACAUCCUCCUUUAAUUCUCUGUUUUUUGAAACUACAACCAUAGAGGAUGUUAUAACUACUCUUUUGACAGAAGAAGAAUUUGCACAUGACCGCAGCACAUUCAGUGUUCCGCUUACUGCAGGUUCCAGUAGUUCUGCUUAUGAAAUCAAACCAAGUUAAAAAGGAAGUCAUUACCAGUCAUAAGUAAGACUAUGCUUUUAACCUGCAAAAAACUUAUCAUUCGGGUAUUAUGUUUGAGAAUUUCACCACAAAUGCUGUAAACCUACAGCUUUAGUUACUUAGCUAAAGGAUGCAUAUAGUUGUCUUAUCUCCUCUUGCUGCUAAAAUAAGGUCUCAGGUCCUUUAUUGUUGUUUUUUCCCGAAUUUUUUGAGCUUUCACUGGGUGACAGGAACUUGAGACCAAUAGAGGAACAACUGAAAUAAGUCUCAGAUGUGGUCACCAAUUAAACCGUUUGCUACCAAAUAUCAGCCAAUGAAAUUCUGUUCUGGCUUGAACAGGACAGACAGAGAAAAUAGAAAAGGAGUAGCUCCCAUAAAUCCUGCGAACAGAUUUUAGCGUGAACACAUAAUGCAUGUUGCAAUUUCUUUUAGUGUCUGUGAGUCAACCUUGUUCAUUGAAAUGACUAAAAUCAAAGUUCUACGAAGUUACUUAAAUAAAAAUCCAUAAACACAAUUAGAGAAACAGACAAGGAUAGGUGUACUACGUAAAAUUUUAAGGCACAAUCAUUAAUAGAAGUUAAUCAACUUACAAAUGAAGAUACAUUUAUUUUGCAGAUGCUCGAACAUAUAUUGUAGUUUCUAUAGGCUUCUUAUUCAUGGUGAUAUCGGCACCCAAAAACUAUGGCUCUAUACUGACUGAAUAAUUAGUUGGUCAAAGCAGCGAUUCAUUUGCUCCAGGACAAGCUUGUAGCUUGCUCUAUAACCUUACCCUGACUGACCCACCCCAAUGUUUCGAAAACUGGAUCGGAUCGAUCGGUUCGAUCGAUUCAAUCGCGAACCGAUCAUGUCUCCGAUCCGGUUCAAUUACAAAGCUAAAGAAUUAAUUGAACCAGUCAAAACCGAUCAAGAACUUAAAAAAAUCGAAGGUUCAAUCGAUUUUUAUUAAGUAUUUAUUUUCUAAAAUAAAUAUUUUAGUUUUAUUCAAAAAUUUUAAUACUAAAAUGAAUAAAAAAUUAUUAAAACUUUGAACCGGAGUUGAAUCGGUUGAAUCGAUUGAACCGUGAACCGAAAGAUUUUUCGGUUCACUCUCCGGUCCGGGUUUAAAAACAUUGACUUACCCAGGAAAAUAGUUAGUCGACCCAAUCUACGGCCCAAUUGUGGACCAUUUGCUAUGUUUAUGGCUCUUAAUGUUUUUAUUCCAUAACGUUGCACCCUUUGAAUUGUUUCUCUGAAGUACCAACAGAGAAACAUCAUUUCCUAAGGCAAAUGUUUUAAACAUCAUUUGAUCAUUUUAUAGAAACAUCAUGUAAACUGAUUAAAGAGAGACAAAAGCACAUAACACACGACAGUCUUUUUGUGAAUGACCUGCAGGAACAGAAUAGUUUUGUAUGUACCAAAUGUAAAGAAAUAUUCUUCAGGUGUUAGACCUGCUUGCUUCAUUAAUCUCUUCCAUUUGGUUAAUAUAAGAAUAAGUAGAGCUGUAGAAUUGGAAACAUUUGAUUCUAACUCUUUUUUAUUUUACAGUUGUAACAUUGUCAUAAAUCAUAUAUAGAGGAAUAGACUAUAACCCAAAAAAGCCAGUAAAAAUGCAACAGAGGAAGAUACUAAAAGAAGUCGUACAAUUAUAAAUCAGAAAAUAUGCUACGAUUUUCAAACUUCACUAGAUAAAUAGCAGAUUUUGUAGACAGUAGAGAAUUUUCAAUCUUGUAAAGCAAAUGUACCUCUGGAUUGCUAAAUGAAAGUUUGAUUGAAGAUGCAGUAUGGAAAACCCCUUCACAUCCCUCGACUAUUGGAUCAAACGAUCCCUCUUCUAGUAAGUUUGCCGAGUACAACUGAAGCCUUUCUUUAGCUCCAUCAAGUGAUGUCAAAUGUUGUGUCCUUUCCGGAUCAUCUGUGUCAUGACUGCAUCAGUAGAAUGUUCAGACAGCUAUAAUCAAAACCAUGCCGCCAACAGGAGACCGCCUUGGUUUUCACUAUGGUCAAAACUCAAGAAGAAAUGGACUUAAGAGUAAUAAUAAACGAAUCUCAAAGCAAUGUUAAAUUUGACUAGCUAAAGGCAAGCGGGGAAAAGCGAAAAGAAAUUGACGGGCAACAUAAUAUGACCACAAUAAUAUCAUAGCCCUAUGAUUUCUGGUUUUGAGAUGCGUACAUUUGUAACUUUCUUGAUAACAAUUAAUUCUUGAGAUAAUUAUCAGAGGGACAAUUGUAUGCCAUCUACCACUAUUUUUAUAACAAACUCAGUCCUUCAGAAGAAGGAUAUAGAUUCGAUAGGGUAAAGAUUUUUUAGUAUAACUUGAUCUUUGUAUCUGGAGCAUGAAACAUUACUGUUAAGGUAUACAUUAUAUAGUUUCAGCUACUCAAAUAUCAAUUAGGUUGGUCCACAUCAAUUUUUUUUUUUUUUUUGCAAGUGAUUUUUUUUUUUUGAGCAAACAGAACUUGGGGAGCAUUUACUAGCAGUUGUUGCAAGAAUAUCAUCUGGAGCUACAAAACAAUUUCACACUGCAGAGUUGAAUAAAAAUGUUGGGCAAAUUACAUAUAAUGCUCCUGUGGCUUUGUUUGUUGCCACAUGACCCUUCUAACAUUUUAAAAUAUCCAAUUCACCCACUAUGAUUUAUGUAAAGCGGAAACUUGAUGGAGAAUAUCCUAUGUAAUGUCGUUAAUUGAAAUACCAUUAGCAUUUUUACUUAAAUGCUAAAUCAAUCGACGAUUUAAUUACCUUAUAUAAAAGUAUAAGGGGAUUAUGUGGAUAAAUAUAAAAAUCACAGGAGGGAUAAAGUAGGCAUUUAUACAAACUAUAAGGGAAUUACAUUGAAAUUAAGACUUUAUCACACACGCUUUUAGAGCGUGUUUGGUAUAAAUGUCGUAACUAAUUGUGCAUUCCAUCAUUUUCCGCUUUACAUAUAACUAUGGGGGGUUAUGUGACUAUUUUGAAAUCUUAAGGGGACCAUCUAGCAUUAUAUAAAAUCACCCUAAAAUAUUGUUAUAAGUAAUUUACCCUAAAAUGUUAGAUUCCAGGAGCAAUUAAACAACAAUCAGAACAGGGCAUCAAAAACUGCACAAGCCACUUAGAUAGUUGAUCAAGAAUAAAAACUGGACUAACUGGCAUCUCGAACAGAACCUUUAACAGUAUAACCGCGCUCGAGCAGCAGCUUCACCAGCCAUGAAACUGUGUAACCCGAAGCUCCCGUCACACACACCAUUUUCCCUUCUCCUGCUCCACUCAUUUUGUUAUAAUAUUUUUGUGUGUGAAUCUGUCACCUGUUUGCCUUACUUCUGGACUAAUAAUAAUGGAGGGAGGCCUAUAUGGUGUACAUAUAGCUAUGGUGAAGAAGACGAAAGAUUGGAUAUGAGAUUACUGGGAGACUGGGGAGAUCCAUAUCUAUUCUUGCAAUUUGCAUGGAUCAUCGCUGACAUACGUAUGGUAUAAUCGCGUCACGUCCCAUUUUAUCAAGGUCAAUUGAUCAGUGUAAAUAGAAAUGAGCAAUAAAUACGAGGAUAAAUUACCUUUUACAUCUUAUGCUUUGAUGUUUUAUCACAUAAUCCCCUAUGAUUUAAAAAUCUAUAUACGACUCUCUCAUAGUUUGGAUUAUUGUAUAAGUAAAAAGUCAAAUUCAAACUUAACAAAUUCACUGUUUCACUACUUUUUUUUUGUUUUUUUUUCUUGUUUUCCUUUUCUUUCUCUUUUUUUUUUGGAAAGAGUACAAAUGAUUUUGAAAACCUAUAUUUUGGCUUACAAAACCUUAAUUUUUUACAAAUACAAAAGAGACAGAAGGGAAAUAAAAAAUAAAAUCAAUAAGAAACGAAAAAUAUGGAAGGUAAAGAUAAAACAAAAAAAUAAGAAACAAAAAAAUACCAAAUCUUUUUUUACUAUAAAUAUCAUUAUAAGCUUUUAAACCAAAUCUUUUAUGGUAUUUUCUAGUUCUUAUUUAUCUAUUUUUUAUUCAAUUUCUUCCUUUUUAUGUUUGGAGGAAAAAAAGAAGUAAUGAAGGGAUAAAUUUGUCAAUUUAUCAGUUUGACUUUUUAAUAUUGACUAUUAGUUUUAAUGAAAAAACUAAUAAUGACACAUUAACCCAAAUCAUGAGAGGGUUAUAUAUAGUUUUUAAACCAUGGGGGUUUACGUGGUAAAACACCAAACUAUAGAGGUUAAAUGCAAUUUAGCCUAAAUCCAAAAUCAGGCGGUUGCAUAUGAACAAAUACCAAGGUUCUUGACUUUGUUCAAUACAAUCCCAAGGCUAGAGACACAAAUUUUAAAUUCACUACCAAGAUAAACCAUUCUCUUGUUUAUUUUUCAUUUUUUCGGGUCAAAAAGUACAAACUACUUGAACUAGAAACUAAUCCCGACAAAGUUUGUGGGUUUUUUUGCAAGAGUUUUAGUUAAAUAUUGGUUACUUCGCCUAAUUUGCACCUAUUUUAUCAUGCAAAUGCAUGCACACUUUUAAAAAAAUAAUGCAUGCACUUAUAUUAUUGCCUUUCUUACAUUUAAAUACUUUUUUCAAUUUAAUUUUACUUUUCUGGCAAAACUAAAUCUGAAGCCCAUUUCAAGAAAUAUCCACCGAAUACCAGGUAAACAAACCUCCUUCGUAAUAAAGAAUGAAAAGGACCAAAAAAUUUUUUUGUCUUUAAGGAUUAAAUUUAUAACCAGUCCUAAGAUAACACGCAGCAGUCUUUUUGCAUCUAACAAAGUUUUUGAUUGACUAGAAAUCCUUCUCUGAUUGAGAAAUGGGAAUUGGCUUGAUGAUAGCUGUACGCGAUAAAAGUUAAAGUUUUCAGAAACAAGAAAUAUACACGACAAAUAUGUGAUAUAUAAAUUUAAGAAAAAUAUGUGAGCACAAUCUCUGAGGUUUUCUCGAACUCGUAGAGAGUUUCCCUCGAUUCUCCUCCUUGAAUGCCAAUUCAAGGGCUUCGCAGUUUGUUCUUGGAUCCACCACCGAUUCCUUCAAAUCUUGAUAUAGAAGAUUUGAAGAAUUUUAGAAGAUAUUUGAAGACUCAAGUCUUGAUAUAUGGGAGACUUUGAGAGCUUGAAGAUCCAGACCUUUGUAGCUUGGAGCUUCAAUGCUUUGAGCGAAUGAGAUGCCUCUUGGUGUCUCUGUGUGUGACUUGGUAGAGAAACCCCUAUUUAUAGCUGUAGCAAAAGGUAGAGGCUGAAGACUUGUGUACCACUUUACUUGUCUUGCAAGACGUGCAGUCAUAUUAGGACUGUGCUAGUCAAAUAUUAUCUCUUCAUUUUAUAUUUAUUAAUAAAGAGAUAAGUAAUUCAUCGAUUGGCCAAACUCGUGGGGACACGUGACGUGGCGCCGUUUGACUGGCCAAGCUAUUGCAGUAUAUAAGAAAUAUACUUGGAUUAAACAACUCUAAAUGUUAUCCCUUUAAUAAGAAAUAAAUAUUUAGAUAUUUAUCUAAUAGACAUGUGACAUGAUAUGAUUUGGUUGGUGGAGAUAUCCCUGCAAUUUGAAUUGAUUCGGAAUACCUCAACUUGACACGUGGCGAAAUAUAAUUGGUCAUUUAAUAACUAAUCUUUCCAGGUGUAUAUGCCAUAUGGCAAUAUUCAAUUGGAUAAAAAUACUUUAUAGACCAAUGGUAAUUUUUGGAAUUUAAUUAAAAUUUCAUUGUCUACAAAUGCCCCCUCAAAACCUGUUUGCGAAGAGUACAACUUAAACGGACAAGUUUUGACUUUCUUUAAUUCGCUUAAGAGCCUUUCUUGCCAAAUUGGACUUCGAAACUUUGUGAAUCAAGUCACCUAAGUAGGAAGCCAGCCGCACAAAGACUUCAAUGACCAAAUAGGCACAUAAGUGAUUAAUCAAACUUCAUGGAAUUCAAUCUCGUAAGUGAUUGAUCAAGCACUAGUGCACCAGUGCACCUUACAUGCAAAACACCUUUUCAUUGGCCUAGGAAGUUACCAACUCCAAUUAUAAGACAAGUGCAUUGUUCCUUGAUCAAUCAUGAAUUCCACCGCUUCACAAGAUUCAAGGUUUGAACCAGUCGGCUUCUUGGCGAAAUUCUAAGAUUUGUAUCCUUGAUGAACUUAAACAUUUGAGUUCCUUUUUGUUUUCCUUCUUUUUGUGAUAAAGCCGAAGCUUGAAGAGUAACCCAACACAAUUCUUCAAGGAAUUAAUCAGCCUAUAGAAGUUGGUUGUGAAAAUAAUUCCUUCCAAGGCCAACAUGAAUUGAAGCUUUGUCCUUUAUAAUCCUAUGGAAGAGCAAGCCCCCGAAACCAGCUUAGAAUUCACUUUCUUUUAGAUGUUCAGCCUGCCAACCGAUUUAAUUGCUAGGAACCUCCAGAGCGAAGGUAUUCCCUAGACAAUUUAGGUGAACUAGGAAGCCAAUUACACUUGAACUCACCUUCCUCUCCGAAUUUGUAGUAGAAAUCCUUUCUAUAAAUCCCCAAGUCCAAAGCCGUUAAUGUAUGAAGCUCCUUGAAACUAGUCGUGGCUCUUAAUUGAUAACAUAGAAUGAUGAUAGCAUGUACUAGUGCUCUCAAUUUCCCGAGGCCGGAUCAUCUUACGUAGUAGCUUCAUGUUUGCUAUUUCAGACCAAUUCUAUUCUUUGUGGUAUUCCAUUUCUUGAAGCCAGGAUUUGCAUCAUUGUUGACUAAUCAAUUAACUUCUCCACUGAACAUAUUUGAAACUCAAGGAGCCGUCUGACACCAAUGUUGAGACCCAACUCGCAGAGGAAGUCGAUUGCGAGAACAAUUCUUCUCCAAAACCAUCUUGAGUCAGAGCUCCAUGUCUCUUUCUUCCCUCUUCGUCCCACUAUACUAAACAGGAGGAAACCAACUUCUUUCGCUAGUCAACUUCCUCGGCUUGACAAAUUAACCCGCUAAGCCACAAAUAAUGAACCCUUUGUCAUCUCAAGCUGAAACACCUUUGACCAGAAUCCUUCUUGAAUAUGGAACGCAUAUCUGCUAUAUAUACUCGAAGGUUUGAGGCAUUAGUUUUCCCACAAUCCAAAGGCAAACUCUCCCUCGUUUUUUUUCGCUAAUGUUAUCGAACUGCCGCUACGUCUUUAUUUGCUAGUGCCGUUGUUUAUUAUUUGCUGGUUUGCUUGGCUUUGCUAGCCUUUUCGACUAAUAGAAUCAACUUGAAGUCGGUCAUCACUGCUGCCGAGCUAUUAUUUCAAGGUACGCACUACUUUUCCCAAGCUAUGGAUGAAUUUCUUCCUUGCUAGAGUUCAAAACCCUUUUUUUUUCUUUUUUAUCUAUGUAUAACUAACCCGCGGGCUCUCAAAUUAUCCCACCCGAAAUAACUUUCAUGCAGUGAUCUAAUAUGCCUCUUGAGUUUACAGUAGAACCCAUACGGAUUAACCGAUGAAUGACUUGACGCUCUCAUUACCACCCUGCUUGUGUUUCUUUUUUUUUCUUUUUACUACCUUGCAUGGAACAAUUGCUGAUUUUUGUAGUCUGUGCACAGAUAGAUUCAGGGACAAUAUUUUCUUUGCCGAUGUUGCCAGAACACCUGACCCAAUGUGCUUUACAUUUAUUUCCCAUGCAAGAUGCUAAGUACCUUAUGAAUUAUUGUCUUUGUUGGCCUCGCAUGAAACUUCCCAUCAUGAAUUGGUUAGAACAUUAUGUCCGCCAAUCAUGCUUUAAGAUGAAAAGUUGAUGCACUAUGAGCGGUCAUAUAGAAAUAUUUGACGGUUGCUUCAACCAAAUUGGUGCCACCCGCUAUCCACAUCCUGUCGAUGCCAUUUUUUAUGCCAUUUUUUUCGUGUUUAUGACAAAUUGGCACCUAGGAUUUUGCUUUCCCGUACUUAAUUGCUAAACGGAACUUCAGCAAUAGACUUUGCGUGUUUAUUUUGAUGCAUCCUUGAUGUCUCGGAUGUGAUUAGCACUUGAAAUUCGUAUGCCUACUUGUCUUGUGUUUUAAACUUGUAGAAUUGCAUCCGCAUGUGUCAUAAGAUGGCCUUAAUUUUCACACAGGUCCAUAUCAAUAUCUCAACCUUACUAACUUGCUCUCUUGUAGAUAACCAACCUCGUGCUUGAAAAGAAGCUUGAAACAAUUUCGGGGAUUUGAAAAAAGCAACCAAUUAGGUAAUUUAGUUACCAAACUUUUGUAAGAAGUUCCCUUCAUCAUCUAAUACUUUCUUUUACAAAAUUCUAGCAAACAUACAAAUUAAGGACUACGCCACGCCAUUACCACAUAUUUCAUUGACGGACGAACGGGGUGGACCUCAAUCAAAGAGCUUGUCACUACAUAUUCAUAAACCCGCAAUCAGCCCGUUCGCUGAAUCUUUCAUACCCCUUGAAGAAUGCCUUCAUCUCGAAAAUUGGACUAGCAAGUGGGCUAAGGAAGUGGUGGCACCCUCGACUUUCUCCACUACAUCGAGGGAAGAAGAAGUGGUCGUAUUAAAUUCGUCACUUCACAACAGAGAUCCAGAAAUAGCCAAAUUCACGCUUCUGUUCGUGGGAUUCAAUAUUGACAAAACUACAUGGAAGAUCCUUUCGUCCUUCUUUGGCGAGGCGUGCUUCACUUCUCAUUAUUGGGAAUGGGUUGAGGACAUCCUCGGAAGGUAUAAAGAGGUACUCAUACGUACUGGCAUAUUUGAAGCUGUCUACGCGUCGAGCUACUCCUACGAUCGCUAUGAAAAUUCUUGCGAGCCUUCUUCAAAUAUUGGUGUCCCUCGACAAAUACACUUCAUACACCCGUUGGGGAGUUGUCCAUCACACUUUGGGACCUUUAUCGACUUGGUGGCCUUUCGAUCGAUGGCUCGUUCUUUGAUGAAGUUAUUAUUUCGGCGCAGGAGCUUCUCACUCGUGACAAAGAAGGGAAGCCACUUCUCCCUGAAAGUUGCAGGCACAUCUUUUCCGUUUACUACCACCUUUGGACUAAUGACCAAGGGAUAUGGAUGAAAGACUGGAUUCGCUUCUGGUUCAAAGAAGAGGCUAGGUAUAGGGUUCCUCCAAAUAGAGCGAAUAGAAGAAAGACCACAUCUAAACCGAAAAUGACUUACAGCCUUUCUAGAAGCUUAGAGCCACACGACCUUGCUGAUACGAAGGACUUCAACAUCCCUUUCGACACACUGGAUAUCCCAGGGUCUUUAAGAAAGGAAACCUAUAUUGCGGCAUUCAUAACUUGCUGGAUUUACAAGUUCCUUUUGCCAAGCAAAAAGGUCGAUCGUGUUCGCCCAAGUGCCUUCAAGGUUGCAUGCUUAAUGGCCACAGGGAAAAGAUUUUGCCUUGCAAUUCUCGUUCUUACGAGCAUAUAUCAUGGGUUGAGGGAGAUAUUCCACACCCCUAACCUUGGAGAAUAUGGGGUAAUUUUUCCAAUCUAUUACGUCUAUGCUUAGAUUGGCCAAUACUUCGAUGUAUAUUAUGAAAACAAUCAAGUGAGUAGCCACCACGCGCGCAUGACAAGAUUUAGUUGUGAGAAAAUGACAAUAUUUUAUGGCCGAUCAGAAGUUGAGAAAAUCUUCAAAGAAGUGAAUCCUUUGAUGCUUCCCAAAUUGUGUUGGACUGAAAAUGAAGAAAAGGUGUUGAUCGACAAUGGAUCCUUAUCAUCAAGACUUAUGAGCUACUUCAUUAGUCAACGCUCUUGCCAUUUAACUCUACGUAAGGACAAUACUUUCAUUGUUGAAAAAUAUAAUCCUUGCAGGUUUAGCAGACAAUUCGGCUUCUGUCAAGAGACCCCCAACAACUUGAAAGAGAUCACUCAUACUUAUACUUUGGGUGAGACUAUUCAACUAUGGGAUUCCUCAGUUCGCACGCAGACGCGAUCUCGAAUGACUAUACCCAUGCACAAGAAGCAUCCAUUGAUCACAAAAGACUAUGACGCCUGGUGGUCGACUCGGUCAAACAGUGUCUCUUCAAUUUCCUUUAAAUUCACCGUUAAGAUCCCUCAGCAAUCAUCGAAGAAGGGUAAGGUUACUUCCGCCAACGAGUCAGUGUAUCAUAAUGGAGCUAUAGAGAUUGUAACGGGUCUUACCUCAUCCACCUUGUGGAAGAACAAAAUUACUAGCAGUCCCUCGAAAAAUAUUGUCACAAAAAAUAAGUCUUCCAAGGACUCUCGACAGGUCAUCAAAGAGGCGCAACCAGUGAUUCCAGCACAGAAGACACCGCCCAAAGUUUUAAAAUCCUUAUCGGUGACUCACACAGAAGAAGAUGUCGAAAUCGAAACGGUGGACGAUCGUGAUUCUAUCGAAGCUAUAGAAAAGGAAGGGAUUCAAGUUCAGGGCAUCGGAUCUACCCAAGGAGGAGCCCAUUCAUUGGCGAGUGGUAGUAGUAGUCAAGACCGUCACUGGAACCGAUCAAAGAAGAGGACAUCUUCUGAUUUGGAGGAGGUUUCCUUUACACCACCAUCGAUUGGAGUGUCGCCACUUAAGGUAAUCAUCUCGCUAUUUUUUUUUUUUUAAUAAUUUUUUUUGGUAACUUUUUUUCUUUUCAGCCCCCAUUUUUUGAAUUCCGUCAAGAAGAUGUUGGUAACAAUUCACAACCCAAACUGAUGAUGUAAUUUCAAAUAACAAAAGCGACAAAGUAGCUAUCAGUACUCCAAAAUAAUUUGCCCACAGUUGAGGUACCUUGCCAAUGCGUAAGAAGGAGUUAAUUGGUUUGCACGAGAUCCGAAAGAGAUCUAAACCAGCACUGAUUUCAGAAUUUUGCGAGAAAAAAUUGAUCCAAGCGCAUCGAAGGAGAUACUUGCAGAGUUUGUGGAUGGAUUUUACCGAGCAAAUUCUUAACACUCCUAUUGAACAGAUCUCUUCUUUAAAAGAGUGCGCAGAGGAAAUCAUUACGGAAAUCACAAGAACGGAUCCUACCAAUGGUCUCCCUUUAAAGGACUUCUUGAUAGAAUUGUUUGCCAAGGCGGAGGCAUAUGAUAUUUUGGCAUUUUCAUCAUGAAAAAAGAUAAGUAAAAAAACACAUGCAGAACUCCUUUCCAAAGUGACCGUCCAACUCGGGAGAACUAAGACGAAUGAAGAAGAACUAACUCGUCAUCUGCAAAGUCUUGAAGAAAAGUUGCAGUCUAUUGAAGACAGGAAGGAAGUUCUGUAACAGAAACUUAUCAAUUUGGGAAAAAAAGAUCUAGAAAUCAGGUCAACUAUCAAUCAAAAGUAUGAAACUUUCAAAGAGAUCCAGACUGAAAUAACCUGGGCACAUGAUGAGCUCUCUUCUAUUGAAAGUACCAGCAUCUUGACUGAUGACGCAGUGAAAGAAAUUGAAGACAUGAAGUCUACACUUGAAUCAUGCAAGAUAGCCGUAGUGGACUACAAAUUUGGCAUUUAGACUUUUCACCAUGUCUUUUUUCUGAAUCUGUUUCAUUUUUUUUUCUUUUUCCAUGUAAUGAAUUUUUUCCCAUUUUUUUAUGAAUAAUAAAAUGCUUUCUGUUCCUUAUCUCUUGUUUUUUUUUUAAGAUACAAGAACUCAAAUGGAGUAUUUUAUUUAUUUCAUAUAUUUUUUUUGGAAAGAGAAGAUUCUUUUUUUUUUUUGCAAGGAACAAGGAUUUGAUUUGGAGUGGUGUGACUGAACCUAGAAGUUGCCCUCCAAACUGCUUACGUAUUCCAAAAAGGGAAUCAAGUCACACGUAGUUCCUGCUGUUCACAUUUUAAGUUCAUGCGGGCCAAGAGUAUCUAUUUGUUUACCACCUUAGACUUGGUGGAGUGUUUCACCAGUUUAACCACAUACUACACUAUUGGUGAUUGCCAUCCACAGUUUUAGCUUAUACGGGACAGGAGUAUCUAUUUGUUUACCACCUUGAAUUUGGUGGAGUGUUUUAGCAGUUUAACCACAUACUACACUAUUGGUGGUUGCCAUCCACAGCUUUAACUCAUGCGGGCCAGGAGCAUCGCGUGGUUCCGAUUACGCAUAGUACCUUUUUAAGUACUUGCCAUUGAUGGGACCAACCCUUAAUCCAUUCUCAGCAACUAACUUGUAUGAGCCAUUUGUAUACACUUCUCGAACAACAUAUGGACCAUCCCACUUAGGAGUAAACUUUCUUUGUCCGCCAUGAGUGAAAAUGAUCGGUCUCCGAAUAGCGAGUACUAACUCUCCAAUCUGGAAAGAGCGUGGCCGGAUAUGCUUAUUAAAUGCUUUUGAAAGGCGUGCUUGAUAGCACUCAAUUCGUUGUUGAGUUUCCAAUCUCUUUCGUCGAGUGCUUCUAACUCUUCGAGGCGAAGACAAAUAUUAUCUUCUUCACUGAACCCUUCUUGAAUCGCAAUUCUUAGCGAAGGUAUUUGACAUUCAAGUGGAAGAACAGUUUCAACACCGUAAACAAGCGCAUAUGGGGUCGCUUGCGUGGGAGUUCGAAAAGUAGUUCGGUAUGCCCAAAGUGCUUCUCCAAUUCGAAGAUGCCAAUCCCUUUUCGAUUUAUCCGCGAUUUUUUUCAACAGAUUACAUAAGGUCUUGUUAAAUGCUUCAACGAGUCCAUUUGCGGCAGCGUAGUACAUGGACGAAUUGCAUUGUUUGAAAUGAAACUUUUCACAAAAUUUGUUCAUUGCUACAUUGCAAAAAGGCUUACCAUUAUCGGUGAGAUAUAAUGCGGGACCUCAUAUCGAUAAAUGAUGUGCGAGCAAAUGAAAUCUACUACAUUCUCCUUUUUGACCUCUCUUAGAGGAACCGUUUCGACCCACUUUGAGAAAUAAUCCGUUGCCGCCAAAAUAAAAAUGUGUCCUCCAGAAGAUUUUGGGAGCUGUCCAACUAUAUUCAAACCCCAAGUAUCGAACGGUCAAGAAGCCACAGUUGGAUGCAAUGGUUCGGGAGGUUGACGGAUGAAAUUGCCAUGAAAUUGACAAGCUUGACAUCUUCUAACAAAAUCGCUAUAGUCUUUUACCAUCGUUGGUCAGUAGUAUCCCAUUCUCUUAAUGGGAAAGUGUAAUUUCGGACCAAAUUAGUGAGCACCACAUAUCCCAGAGUGAGCCUCCUCCAUUGCUUGCAUGGCCUCAUCUUCUCCAAGACAUCGUAGAGACACCCCAUCGAAUGAUUUUCGGUAAAGCGUCCCUUUAUAGUAAAUGAAAUGUGGCGUUCGACGACGUACAUCAACCCUUUUCCUGGGAUCUUCAUGUAAUUUCCCAUGAUUAAGGUAAUCAAUGAUGAGGUGACGCCAAUCCUUCUUUUCAAUCUCAUGGACAAAAAUAUGAUAAGUUUUUUCUUCUCCACCAUCAUCUUCUUCAUCGAACAUCGGAGGUAUGACCCAAUUUUGACAUAUUAAAAUUUGAUUUUGAUGAGAAGGUAGAGUGAUCAUGGACGCCACCCUUGCCAAAGAGUCAGCUUGUUGGUUAAAAUUUCUAGAGAUAUAUUCUAUAGUGAUAUUAUCUAAAUAUCCCAUUAGUUGUCUUGCAUACUUAUAAUAUGAGAUCAAUUCAGGUUUCUUGACAUCAUAAAUAUCAAGAAGUUGAUUUAUCACUAAUUUUGAAUCACCAUAGAUUCUAAGAUACAACUACUUCAUGUCUAUAGCCGUUUCAAGACCGAGAAUUAACGCCUGAUAUUCGGUCACAUUGUUUGAACACCGGCGUGUUAAAAUGAAAGAGUACUGCAAUAUAUCUGCUUUAGGAGUAUAAAAGACAACUCCCACACUAGCUCCAUCACGGUGAGCAACCCCAUCGAAAUACAUCGACCACGAGGAUUCGACCAUAAACACUUCUUCAUCGGGGAGUUCAUCAGUCAAUUCCUACUAGGCAGGUAUGGGAUGAUCGGCUAAAAAGUCUGCCAAUAUUUGUCCUUUGACAGCCUUUGCAGGUACAUAAAUAAUUUAGAAUUGUUGAAACUGGAAGUACCAUCUCGCGAGCCAAUCAGAUAGUACAGGUUUCGCCAUGACAUAUUUAAUGGGAUUAGACUUAGAUAUGAGUCGAAUAGUGUGUGCUUGAAAAUAAUGUUUCAACUUCUGAAUGACAAAUAUAAGUACCAAAUACAAUUUCUCAAUGGGUAAGUAAUUCAGCUCAUUAGAUGUCAUCAUCCGACUCAAGUAAUACAGCGCAUUCUCUUUACCUUCAUCAUUUUCUUGAGCAAGUAAGGCCCCAACCGACCGUUCUUGAGCGAAAAUAUAGAGAAUCAAUGAUUUUCCUGGAAUGGGCGCAGCCAACACUGAGGGAUUCAUGAGGUACAUUUUGAUGCUUGUAAAAGCAUUUCUACACGAUUCAUCCCACUCGAAUGGCAUCCUUUCUUCAUCAGUCGACUGAAGGGUUGGCAUCGUCCGACCAAAUUAGAAAUAAACCUCUGAAUAUAUGCCAACUUCCCUUGAAGGUUCUUCAAUUCAUGAAUAUUUCGCGGUUCAGGCAUGUUCACAAUGGUAUCAAUUUUAGAUCGAUCGACCUCUAUUCCCAUUGAUGAACGAUGAAACCGAGAAACUUGUCAGAAGUGACUCCGAAUGCACACUUCAAAGGAUUCAUCUUCAGUUGGUAUCUCCGAAAGCGUUGAAAAACUCUUCGAAGGUCUUGAAUAUGAUCCUCUCGCUUCUUUGAUUUCAUCACAAGGUCAUCAACGUAGCAUUCCACAUUCCUAUGGAGCAUAUCAUCAAAAAUUCUUUGCAUUGCCCUUUGAUAUGUCGCUCCAGUGUUUUUCAAGCCAAACAGCAUCACUUUAUAGCAAUAAAUUCUCUUGGGGGUGCGGAAGGCAGUGACCUCCUCAUCCUCGGGCACCAUGCAUAUUUGAUUGUAGCCAGGCGAUCCAUUGAGAAAAGAUAGUGCUUCAUGCCCGGUUGUAGCAUCUACCGUCAAUUCUGUGAUGGGGAGCGAAAAAUCAUCUUUGGGGCAAGUCUCAUUUAAAUCUCGAAAAUCAACACAAAUUCGAAUUUGCCCAUUCUUCUUCCUCACAGGAACAAUGCUUGAAAUCCAUGUUGGAUAUUUCACUUCCCGUAUGAACCCAACUUCAAUCAAUCUAUUUAUCUCAUUUUCUAUCAGAGAAAUCAAUUUGGGCCGAAAGCGCCUUUGAGUUUGCUUGACAGGUUUUGUUCCUCGCUUGAUAGACAAAUUAUGAACGGCGAUCCUUGGAUCUAAACCAGGCAUUUUUGAGUAAUUCCAGGCAAAGACGUCCCUGAACUCGAGCAGCAAAUCAACAUACUCUUUCUCUUCUUCAGAAGUCAUAUAAGAGCUUAUGUAAAUUGGGCGAGAAUCGUCGCUUGUGUCAAGGUUAAUCUCCUUUAGCAUAUCGACUGUAUUUUUUACCCCUUGUUCAAGUUCAGUGGGAGCGUUAUCCGCAUCUUCUUCUUCUUCUUCGGGAUCACUGAUCGUAAUAUGAUGACAGGAAACCAUAUUUUCUUGACAUUGUUCUUAAAAAAUGGUUUCAAUUCUUAUAUUGAAUAAGUCUCCAUAGUGCAUGAAGAAACUGGAGACUCGCUUUCUUAGUCCGUUCUUUUUUAUUGGAGUAAGAGUUUCUUCUUUGUCAACUUGGUACUCUUACUUUUUACUGCCUAAUCUUUCAUAGACGGGCGGUUUCAAAAUUUUCGGCUGUGAGCCAAAUCUGUCAAACACAAAAGUACGCUUUGACUUAUUUCCCAACCUAUCGAACACAGAUCUGUUUCGGCUUGUGACCUCCAUUUCUUCGUUCACGUAGUUAUAACUUGCCCUUUUGAUCAUUAUACGCACUGGAGAAGGCGAUUGAUAACCAAGACCCAUCGAUGAACUUUCAACAUUAUAGCCUUUUUCUUUCAAUAUUUUCUGCGUAGGUGUUAAUCCAUGAGUCUUCUCUCCAGUUACCUCAGGAGGGAGUUUGCCCAAUGCAUGCUUCUCAUUUGGGUUAUAACCGGCCUUAGCAAGAAGUCUAUAUGCGUUUGGAUCAAAACCUUCUUGAGUCCGAUUAAUUGGUAGUAAAUAGUAUUCUACUGUCGGUUCUUCUUUGGAACGAACACAUCCUGGCAAGCUCGCUUUCUCACCUUUAACAGGUUCUAUUUUGGUGAGCGGAACAUUUAAUGUAUCAUUCCUGAUAAAAGAAGACGACCUUCUUCUCUCUUUGAUCUUGGAAUAUACCGCAAAAUGGGUACUUUGAAAUCUUGACUUUCUUCCUUUACUGAUUCUUUUCUUUUUACUUUUUUCUGAAGGUAAAAUUUGGCAUCGACAAAGUGAGCCUCGGCCUCAGUGAAAGGUUUAUCAUUGAGAACAACCUUCUUAACUAUACCGUCUCGAUACUAUUUGAAAUAUUGAUGCAGAGUAAACGGUAUAAUUUCAUUCUCGUAAAUCCAGGGUCAUCCCAAGAGCAUAUUAUAAGAGGUUUUGGUUUCAAUGAUAUGAAAUAACGCACUUGAAGACAACUCAUCAAUGAGCAAUUCAAGCCUUAUAAGACCAAUUAUUUUUUGCCCCCAUGAUUAAAUUCUUGGAUCAUGAGGCGGCUUUGGGAGAGUUCAUCGUUUGAGAUUUCUAAUUCUUUCAUAGCGCGUACAGACAUAAUAUUGACAGCAGAUCCCCCAUCAAUGAGUAUCCGAGUCAUCUUCUGUUCUCGGACAUACGCACUAACAAACAAAGGUCGAUUGUAGGUCUUGAACUCAACAGUUAAAUCGUCAUCAUAAAAAAUAAUAGUCGUUGCACAAUCCACUGGUGGUUAUCAUCGAUUUUGAGUUUUUUCUCAAAUUUAGUGCUAAUUUGUGUGAUUUGAGGAUUUUCAACUUUGACGACAUUACAAGAAAUGGAAUUAUCAGCAUCGUCACUUAAAUACCCCUUGGGUAUAAAUCUCUCAGUGUCACGGGCUGUCGAAUCUCUUGAAGGAGCUGAAAAUCUGAAGGAAUUGGCAUUGUGGCCACUCCUUUUUAUUUCUUUGUUGCAUUUCAUUGUUUCAUUGUCAUUUUAGGCUUUGUCGAAUGAAUGCUUUUCGAAAAGAUGUACUUCUUUAUUUUUGGCUUGCAAGUUCUCUUUCGAGUGACUAAAGUCCAUCUUUCGUUGUCAUCUUCAAUAACGUAUUCAAUUGAAAAUUUUUCAAACUCCUUAGACAAAGCAUUGCUUGAUGUGGAUAAAACUUCUAUCGGACAACACAUAGACCCAAACAUUAUUGUUGUUUGGUUUGUCGAUACUUUAUCUUCUUCGAGAAGGAUUUUUUCUUGACGGGCCAAUUCCAUAAUUUUGUCCUUAAAGACAAAACAUUUUGUGAGAGGGUGGCCUAUCAGGCGAUGAUAACAGCAAUAAUUUGGAUCAGUGACUCAAUCGGCUUCCUCUGGGCGUUUCAUUUCGGGAAGUUCAAGGAGUUUCUCCUUGAAAAGAUCAUCAAACAUCCCUUGUAAAUCAGAUUCAAGGAAUAGGUUUCUUUUUCUUGCAUCUCUUUCAAAGUGGGUCUUCUUACCUACCUAUUUUGAGGGGAGUCUACCUUUUCGGUGACCUUUCGGCUCACCUUAGUAGCAAUUUUCAUGGGAGCUGUGUUUAUUGCCAUAGAUUCCUUAUUAUUGAAUCUUGAAAGAGGCUUGUCCCCUUUUUUAUUUUCUUGUCUUUCAUUGCUUUGACGAGGCGGCUGCACUCGUGGAGCUUGAAUAGGAAGCCCAUCAGUUGCAUUGGCCAUGAUGCUUAACUCUAUAUCAUGAGCACGAGUAGCUAAUUUUUCCAAUGUGUUUGGACGUAUACCCUGUAGAAUAUAGCUUAGGCUCCAAUGCAUUCCUCGGAUGCACAUUUCUAUGGCAGAGGGUUCAGACAGUCUGUCCUUGCAGUUAAGACUCAGACUUCUCCACCUAUCAAUGUAAUUGAUCAUAGGUUCAUCCUUCCAUUGACGAGUAUUAAUCAACUCCAGCAUACUGACGGUUCUUCUAGUGCUGUAGAAGCGAUUCAAGAACUCUUUUCCCAACUGUUCCCAACUAUCGAUGGAUCCCGGAGUGAGAUCAGUAUACCAAUCAAACGCGUUGCCCUUCAAGGAUCGGACAAACUGUUUGACUAGCAGGUCACCAUAGGUUCCAGCGUUAUUGCAGGUUUCGACAAAAUGGGUCACAUAUUGUUUUGGACUACCUUUCCCAUCGAACUGUUGAAAUUUAGGUUGUUGAUAUCCAACAGGCAUUGCUAGGUUGUCAAUUCUAGCAGUGCAAGGCUUGCAGUAGGUAAAACUUGACUUUGAACCACCCUCCUUUUUAUCUUUGAUCACGCCUUCAACAAGUUCCUUUAGUUGUUCAACAGGGAUAGUUUCAUCGGCAGUCACAUAUAUUUUCUUCACCUUGUCUUUACCUUUAGAUGAGGAAAUUUCAAACUCUUGGUGCUCCUUAGGGUUCGCAUGGCUUCUUUCAAGAGCGUGAUCUUUUUAGGUGAGUAGUUGAGCGAUAAGAGCAUCUUGGUCCUUGAUGUGUUUCGUCAUGGUCUCCAUCAUUUUGGACAUGUUCAAAACUUGUUCUUCGAGACUUAAAGUAUUUGUUAUCAUAGCAGGCAUUGCAGCAGAAGAAGCAGCAAAAUCUUCAAUAGAAAAUCUUGAUUGAAGAGUUUCAUGUGAAGAGGCUGAUCCAGUGCUUGAUGAAUCAUCAUCAUGCUUAGAAAAUUUGGAUUCGGAUCCAAAUUCGAGAAUAGCAAGAGCCUUCUCAAUCGAGGCAGGAACGUCUUGGAUUCCCAUCGUGAAGGAAUAGCUCAUUGGUGAUGUUGAACUGAAGACAGGAGUUGGUGCCGAUGAAGCUUCCAUGCUACUUUGGGUGGAAGUUCUCGUCAUGCUCCUUGUCACAAGACCAAUAACGCGAGUAUUGGUGGCAACAUGUGCAGUUUCCUGAACAGGUUUGACAUUAGCAGCGUUGGAACGAGCAGUCAUGGACUUGUUGUUCUUUGGUGCCAUUGGUGAUAUACGUAGUUGAUAUACUUGCAGUAUAUAAGAAAUAUAUUUGGAUUAAAUAACUCUAAAUAUUAUCCCUUUAAUAAGAAAUAAAUAUUUAGAUAUUUAUCCAAUAGACAUGUGACAUCAUAUGAUAUGGUUGGUGGAGAUAUCCCUGCAAUUUGAAUUGAUUCGGAACACCUCAACUUGACACGUGGCGAAAUAUAAUUGGCCAUUUAAUAACCAAUCUUUCCAGGUGUACAUGCCAUAUGGCAAUAUUCAAUUGGAUAAAAAUAAGUUAUAAAAAUAUUUUAUAGACCAAUGGUAAUUUUUGGAAUUUAAUUAAAAUUUCAUUGUCUACAAUAGCAACUCCAUUUAGAAAACUGGUCCACACCCUUGAAUGUGGUUUAAAUUUAAUAACACCAUUUCAUCAUUUCUGACGACUGCUUUUUCCACACCCUUGGGUGACAACUGCACAAGAAUAUUUUAACUUUACUUGGUAUGUUGAGUUUCUACAAGCGGAGCCAAAUAUCAUCCACAGAACUAUUACUCCUACUAGAAAAGCUCUUGAAGUAAAUCAUAUUUCCAUUUCCUGCUAUUUUCAUCAAUUAAACAAUCUAUAGUGGAGUCUUCCAGUAGCACAUCAAAAUGAGAUAUAAUUUUGAAAGUAGAAGGACGUGGAAUCUAUCUAUCUUUCCAAAUUUUGAUAUGAUUUCCGUUUCCAACUCGCCAUCAACUACCAAAAACACCUUUGACUGAUAAUUAAAUAGUUAAAAAAAAACUAUAUCUACCUAAUUUGUUUACUCAAUAUUUAUGUGCACUUAAACAUAAAAAGAAAAGGUCAAUCCAUAUAUUAGUGUUAUAUUUGUAAUAUUAGUUCCCUAUAUAGUAGGUUGCUGAGUUGGAUGUAUUUAUAUUCUACUGAGUAAAUGCCCAAUCUUUUCAAAACGUGGCAAAAAAAUUGUGUUUGUUUUUUUGGAAGAUUUCAUUCUUUUUCUUUUUUGGUAACAAUUAAUUUACUCUUCCUUUUCAAUUCAUUAUUUAUAGUAAAUUUCAAUCAAUCAUCAAUUACUUACCUUAUAUGCAUUUCUAUUAAUUAUACCUCUAUUUUUUUUCAAUCAACUCAUAGCUUUCCUUUUUAAUCAGGCACUCGUUAAUAUAUAUCUUAGGUGUUAAAUUAUUAGAAAUAUAAGAUUAAUUAGGGAAUUAUUUAGAAAAAAUAUAUAAAUACAAGAGAAAGUAGUAAUUGUUGUAUAUAUACAUAGUAGGUUGGGUGAAAUGUAAGUGUGUUAACGAUUGCCCAUAGGGCACCUAUUAGAAAAACUCAUCAAAAUUUGGAUGAAUUUUUAUUUUGCCUAUCAUUGCAAUCAUUACUACCAUUUUUCCUAUCAUUUAUUACUAUACCUUCAUGUUUUCUAAAUUCCAAUCAAUGUAUUACUCUCUUAUUUUUUAUAUGAUUGUGCUAAUUACAGCUUUCCUUUUACUUAAUCAAUUAGUCAAUCAAUCAAUCAACCCAUGAUUUUAAUUUUCUUUUUCAAUCACAAGAUUCUUUCUUUUAUCCAUCAUUAGGGAGAUUUACAAUUAGUCACAUUUUUUCUAUUUUGUACUUCCAUUACUUGACCUGAUUAUUAAUUCAAUCCACAUAUCUUGUAAUGUGUACAAGAAUAUGCAAUCAUAAGCACAAAUAAAUGCAAUUCUAAUAAUUUUGCAUAUAUGCUUUCAUAUUGUAUUGCAACACAUUUAAUAAUUCAUUAUAUGGUUACAAAAGAAAAAAAAAUCUAGUAUUACCUAGACCUUAGCUAGUUCCCAAUGUAUACGCUGAUACUAUACGAAAAGAUUUAAAAUCUGCUAAUGUAUAUACUGAUUGCAUAUGAAGAUUCAUCCCUAGUUUAGACCUCUUAGAUAGUUUCCAAGCAUUAUAUUCCCUUUUUUCAAUUUCUUAUUUAGUUUAAUUCCUAAAGUUAAUGAAAUGGUUUUUAAAUCUCCCCUAUAAGUGUACCUUAUUACCAUUUAUGAUUUUUUUUUUAAAUUUAAGCAACAUCUUCCAAUAUUUUAUCACCAUUUUAAAUUAGUUCAUUUUUAGGAGAUAGUAGUAUAAGUGUGGCAUUUUGUCCAAAUAACUUUGAAUAUGCAUAGACAACCCAAAAAUAAAAUGUGUUUAUCUUUGUUCGUACCUUUUGAUGAUUACAAAACAAGUGGAUAAAACUAAUAUUUUCCAAGUUUGUUUUUGGUCAGAAAAUGGAGCAAGAUAGGUUCAAAGGCCAAGCAUCUGCUAAAACAUCUGUCGGACGCACAAAUACAUCCUAUCGGCCGUCCGAUAACCAUUGUGUGAGAGCCCGUAAAUUUUCUUAUUUUCUAGGCUUUACUUUAUUUAAUUGCACGCCUUUUAUGCAUUUUCUUUAUUAGGAAAAUUUUCCAGAUAAUUUUUAUGAGCAAAUAGAGUUUUCAAGUUAUUUUUCUAGUAUAAAUGAGUUCAUGAGAAUUUUGGAGCGUAUACCGGACGUGCGACCCGCUAGUGUGGAGAAAGUUCGGUAAAAUUCGGCCAAUUGGGUUAAGUUUUGUAUACAGGGUUUAAUUUACUAGGUGCUAAGAGAUAAUUAGAGGAUACCAUAUGGAUGAGAGUUGAGGAAACAAAGGGAUAUUCAUGCAUUAAAUAGGGUGACAAGUGUCACCAUAUGAUUAAAUCUUGCAUUUUGACCACUAUUCAUUACCUUUACUAAAUACCAAAAUUUGACCACAAAUCAUCUUCAAUUUCUUGUGUCUUGGCCGAACCUUGGAGGGAAGAAAGAAGAAAAAAAAACUUCAUCUUGCACCAUUCUUUCUUGCUUCAAUCUUGGAUUCCAACCAUAAAUCUUGCAAACCUCUCCAUAUAAGUUGCUCUUUGGGUUAGAUUAAAGAUUGUGGUGGAGUGAUUUUUGGAGAAGAAAACCUAAGCUAUCAUCUUUCCUCAAGUUUCAAGGUAUAUUCCCUAGAACUUUCCUUUUACUCUUGAUAAUUGUCGAUUAAUGGAUUGGAAAGGUUAAAGGUGUAGUUUUGUGGAUAAGUUUAUGGUUUUAAGUAGGGUUAUGGUGAAUUUCAGUUUUUAUAGUAAAAUUUCUGUCCUCAUAUGAUGAUUAAUGUUUGGGCAUGAUUUGGUAGUUGUUAUGAGCAAUUUUGAGCUUGAGAAUGCUAGUUUUGCUUGCCUUCAAAGAAUUUCAGCUUGUAUAGAAAAAUUUCUAGAUUAGGAUUUAUAAUUUUCCCCAUUCUGGCUGGCACUGUUUCUCCUAUUUAGAGGCCGAAUUAGCCUUGGGUUAAAACAUGAAAGUUGUAGAGAAUGAUGUUUUAUAGUUUCCUUCAAAGUUUUAGCUCAAUCGGAGCAACGUAGCUUGUGAAAAAGACCGAAAUACCCUUGCUGCCCUGUUUCUAUCCGAACAUGCUAAUCAGCUUCUGUAAUUGGUUGUUUUGACCAGGAAUACUACUGAUUUGGUUGCCAAUGUCUUUUUAACAUUUAUACCCUUGUAUCUUAGCUUUCAAAGGGCUUUGGAAUCACUUGAAUUGGAGUUGUGUAUGAUGAGAUAUGACUGAAUGAAUCAGAACUGCCACAGUAAACUUCGAAUUGGAAAAUCUGGGGUUAUUUUGAUAACUUUUACCUAGAUACAUUGCAAACUGGACUGAGUGGCCUUCUUCAACAUUGUAGCCUUUUCUCUUAGCUUCGAAACGGCGUAAAUUUCACCCCAAUUCGAUAAGUGUAGCUCCAGUUGUGUCCAUUCCGUUAAAUGACGUCAAAACUGUCUUUUGGUUUUAAGGUUUAUAAUUGGGGCUUUUCUAGGGUUCCUUUGUUGAGCUACCAUUUGGUUGUUUUGAAAGGUAUUGUGGCUCUAAUUAAAGGUAUUUGAUAGUUCGUGAUUGGGUGUUGAUGCUUGGUUGGAAAAGUAAAGAAAGACAAGGGGAAGUGCUGUCCAAAUGUUUGCAGGAGCUUCGGUGCAAUCUCGGGAGAUUUGCUAUAUCUUGAUGUAGAAAUGUCGGAAUUGAGUUCUGUUUAUUGUAUUUUAAACUAGAUUCAUAGGGUUAUAAACCGUGUAAAUUUUAGAUCCUGUUUCUAUCUGUCCAAUUUAUGGUGAUUUUUCAAAUUUGACAGAAAUCUUGUACCUGUUCUGUCCUCCACUGGAUAAAGCAGCAACUUACGACUUGAAUUCGACUGACUUACGUUCUGAAUCUUACAAUAGUGUUUUCUGGAAAGUUAUAGCCCUUUGAAUGUAUUUUCCAACGGUAUAACUUUUAUUAAUUUUGGACUUACAAAACUUGAGAUAUGAUUUUUCAUAUAAGGUCGCGCGAAACUAGAAAAAUUCUAUUUUCCUAGUAUUGAUCUUGCUUUCAUUAUCUACUUCAAAUUUGGAAUUGGUCAGUCAUUGUAGGAAGGGUUUUGAGGUUGUUCAUGCUUUUAAGACUGCUUGUUACCUUUUCACUCCGAAGUCACCUCUUUGCUUUGCAUUAAUGGUUCUUUUGACUAGGCAUAUGGCUCGUAACCGAGUCUCACUUGCGAAUUCCAUAUUCGGUCUUGGAGUCGAGUCUUAAGUGUUUGCCUUGAUUGUUCUGGGAGGUAACGACGAGUAAAGCCACACUUGGGAAGGAAACUUUUGACAUUAUCCUUGUUUGAUCAGGUGAGUGCACCACUCCCCUGAGUUAUUGUUAAACUGGUUUUCUGUACUUGCAACAUGCUAUUUGAAUAUCUUUCCUGACUGUUUAUCUUGUAUGAGACGAGGGUGUAGUUUAUCACACUCGUUCUCUUGCCUGUACUGAACAAACUGGAAUCUAUUACUUGUACUUGUUAUGUAUUUGAACUUGUUACUUGCACUUGUUAUGCGAUCGUUUGAAAGUGUGUCCACGAUCGUCCUGUUAAACCUGAGCUCAACCUCAUGGGGAGUUAAUUAAAUCGAGCCAUGCAAGGGCUUGGUCGAGAAAAUUGACAAUCCGUGGGUGCCUGUUUUUAUGGAAUCUUUGAGUAUUGAGACUCUUGAUUCCGGUAUACUCGAGUAUUACCAUUCCUGUUUCUAUUUGGCGUUCGGACCCGGUAAGGGGGUAUGAAUGGUGAACGGGAUUCGGCGUUAAAGCGGUGUUCUACUGGACUGGUUUUCUUUAGUUGAAAGUUGACGGAGGGUCAACGUAGUCGGAUGAAGUACUGUAACGGGAAAUUGGCUCCUGAGAGCCAUCUGUAUCCUUUCUAUCUAAGUUGUUUACAUAUCUCCUUAUUUGGUACACUUAUGUGAUUAAUUGAGCAUGAAGUUCCUUGGUCCUUGACUGUUAUUAUUUUUGGUACCUCAUUGAGCUUAUAGCUCACCCCGUUUUGUUAUCAUUGUUUUCCUUACAGGAAAAUCUUUUGGGAACAAUGAUGUUUGGAAGCAUGAGUUGAGCUAGAUAUAUAUUCUUUUGUAUAGCUCCUCAAUAGAUAGAAACCUUGAAUGUAUUUCGAUCCAACAACUCCCUUUUGAUUUGUAAAUUUGCAAUCAUGUAUUUAUAUAAUAUAUAAAAGUGUUUAAUCAUGUACAUGUGUUACCCCGCUCGAAUGUGUUCAUUCUUUAUGGCUACGUGGAGUUUAAUGAAAUUACUGAGGUUUCGGACGAGUAUAGUAUCCAAGUGUGAAAAGGAAAAAAAAAAUCGGCAGGGAUUUCGACAAUAUUAUGGGUUGGCAAGUUACAUUUAACUUGGAGGUUUCCCAAUCGUUCGUUUUCUUUGGUUUCUAUCACGCGUGCUAUAGAGUUGGGAGUGAUUUGACCCCGUAGUCCCGGCGAGAGUUGGGCAGGCGGUCCACCGAACCCUUUGGUUCGCCUUAGGGGGAGGUGGGGCUGUCACAGGUGGUAUCAGAGCUGCUUCGCGUGGUCUCUGCGCGGAGUGAGUUUGACCAAGUGGUGUUAUGGUCCCUAUUCCGUGAAUGUGUACGAAUGUUUAAGUGCUCUUUUGAGCAUAACCUUUGGAUCAUGAAAUGUUAUAGGUUUUAAACCUUUAUCAUGGUACUUGGAGACAAUAGAUCUGUAGGUCUGGUAAGAAUCUCGAUUGUAGAUGAAUUACUCUUGGGACUGGCCAGCCCGAGUUGUGAAUUAUCUUAUUUUGGGAUUCUUGUGCCCGACUACUAAAUAAAUGACUUGGGCGGACUAGAAAUUCGAUUCUAUGGAACGUCAUGUGAUGUGUUAGGGUUUCAUUACGAAUGAUUAACCAUGACUAAGAUAUAAAUUCUAUAUAACCGUUUUUAGUUGGUUACUCUUGUACCAUUGGCUUAGUUAGUAUCACGAAGGAUGUUUCCUUUUGCUUGUAUCUAAUUGACUGCUACUGUGUGAUCUGUUUGUGUUAGAUGUGUUAUAUGUAUAUUGCCUACUUUUAUCACUUGCACCUGCAUACUUUGGUUUUAAUACCGUAUUCGUGGUCCAACCCUAGAUUGGUUAAGCCAUAUGGAAGGCACCCGUAGUGGACGUGGUCGUGAUCGCUGAAUUAGGCAACCCACGACUGAAGGAGAUAUUAGGGGAACUACGUCUGAACCAAACUCUGAACCUAGGGUUGAUCCGAACGUACAAGUGGCCGCAGCCAUUCAACGAAUGACCGACCUUUUGGCUCACAUAGUAGAACAUCAAGGUCAACAUCCUAUUCAUCAGCCGAAAAAUCCUGGUAAUCAUACCGAGGGUGAGGAUAGAGCCCUCGAACGAUUUCAGAAGUUCUCCCCACCGCAAUUUCUUGGAGGACCAGACCCCGACGUGGGCGAGAGGUGGUUAGAGAAGUUGAUUGAUAUCUUUGCUGCGCUACACUGCACUGAGGAGCGACAGGUGACAUUUGUCGUCUUCUAACUGGAGGGAGCGGCCCGAUCUUGGUGGAACAUCAUAAGACUGAAAUGGGAAAGAGAACAAACCCCAAGGACGUGGGUGAAUUUCAUGAGAGAAUUCAACACGAAGUAUAUUCCACCCCUGAUCCAGGAAAAGAAGGAAGAUGAGUUUAUUCGAUUUCGCCAGGGAACUCAAACCGUUGCCGAAUAUGAAAACCAGUUCACCAGGUUGUCCAAGUUCGCUCCCGAGCUAAUCGUGACUGAGCAAAGGAGGAUAAGGCGUUUCGUCCAAAGAUUAAACGUUGAGAUUCAGAAGGACUUGGCCGUGGCCCAACUUAAUACUUUUAGUGAUGCGGUGGAGAAAGCUCAACGAGUUGAAAGUGCGAGGUUACAAGUUAAGAAUUUUCAAGUCAAGAAAAGGGGAUUUCCUGGAAGCCAUUCGGAGCAAGGAGAUAAAAGUACGCCUCCUAAGAUUGGAAGGGAAAAUGGAGGAGUACAACUACCUGGGAUGUCAAGUGGUGCCUCACAAAAAGGCUCAGUCUCCGCUUCCCGUAGUCCGUGCGGGUACUGUGGGAAGCCAAAUCACACGGAGGAUGUCUGCUGGAAGAAAGGAAGAAAAUGUCUGCGUUGUGGGAGCGCAGAUCAUCAAAUUGCAAAUUGCUCAGGCCAAACUCGAGAAGGGAGUAGGAGGCAACAGCCAACCACGACCAACCCUGACCAGUCGAAGGAGGAAAAGAAUGGAUCGAAAGUGUCAGUUCGGGUGUACUCCUUAGAACAACAUCAAGUUUCUGACCCAUUUGAGGACGUGGAAGAUAAGAUUCUGGUAUUCCACCGUUUGCUCACUGUUUGCAAUUUGGGAAGGAAGAAUUCAAUGAACAUGAAGGGAUACUGAUUGCGAUUGGUUAGCUAAGUAUGAUACUCAAUUUGACUGCGAGAAGGAAGUAGUAAAUUUUUGUAUCCCGAAUAAGGCAAUGAGAAGGAAUUUCGAGGACGAAAUUCUUUUAAGAGGGAGAGAGUGUGAGAGCCCGUAAAUUUUCUUAUUUUCUAGGCUUUACUUUAUUUAAUUGCACGCCUUUUAUGCAUUUUCUUUAUUAGAAAAAUUUUUCAGAUAAUUUUUAUGAGCAAAUAGAGUUUUCAAGUUAUUUUUCUAGUAUAAAUGAGUUCAUGAGAAUUUUGGAGCGUAUACCGGACGUGGGACCCGCUAGUUUGGAAAGUUCGGUAAAAAUUCGGCCAAUUGGGUUAAGUUUUGUAUACAGGGUUUAAUUUACUAGGUGCUAAGAGAUAAUUAGAGGAUACCAUAUGGAUGAGAGUUGAGGAAACAAAGGGAUAUUCAUGCAUUAAAUAGGGUGACAAGUGUCACCAUAUGAUUAAAUCUUGCAUUUUGACCACUAUUCAUUACCUUUACUAAAUACCAAAAUUUGACCACAAAUCAUCUUCAAUUUCUUGUGUCUUGGCCGAACCUUGGAAGGAAGAAAGAAGAAAAAAAAAAACUUCAUCUUGCACCAUUCUUUCUUGCUUCAAUCUUGGAUUCCAACCAUAAAUCUUGCAAACCUCUCCAUAUAAGUUGCUCUUUGGGGUAGAUUCAAGAUUGUGGUGGAGUGAUUUUUGGAGAAGAAAACCUAAGUUAUCAUCUUUCCUCAAGUUUCAAGGUAAAUUCCCUAAAACUUUCCUUUUACUCUUGAUAAUUGUCAAUUAAUGGAUUGGAAAGGUUAAAGGUGUAGUUUUGUGGAUAAGUUUAUGGUUUUAAGUAGGGUUAUGGUGAAUUUCAGUUUUUAUAGUAAAAUUUCUGUCCUCGUAUGAUGAUUAACGUUUGGGCAUGAUUUGGUAGUUGUUAUGAGCAAUUUUGAGCUUGAGAAUGCUAGUUUUGCUUGCCUUCAAAGAAUUUCAGCUUGUAUAGAAAAAUUUCUAGAUUAGGAUUUACAAUUUUCUCCAUUCUAGCUGGCACUGUUUCUCAUAUUUAGAGGCCGAAUUAGCCUUGGGUUAAAACAUGAAAGUUGUAGAGAAUGAUGUUUUAUAGUUUCCUUCAAAGUUUUAGCUCAAUCGGAGCAACGUAGCUUGUGAAAAAGACCAAAAUACCCUUGCUGCCCUGUUUCUAUCCGAACAUGCUAAUCAGCUUCUGUAAUUGGUUGUUUUGACCAGGAAUACUACUGAUUUGGUUGCCAAUGUCUUUUUAACAUUUAUACCCUUGUAUCUUAGCUUUCAAAGGGCUUUGGAAUCACUUGAAUUGGAGUUGUGUAUGAUGAGAUAUGACUGAAUGAAUCAGAACUGCCACAGUAAACUUCGAAUUGGAAAAUCUGGGGUUAUUUUGAUAACGUUUACCUAGAUACAUUGCAAACUGGACUGAGUGGCCUUCUUCAACAUUGUAGCCUUUUCUCUUAGCUUCGAAAUGGUGUAAAUUUCACCCCAAUCCGAUAAGUGUAGCUCCAGUUUUGUCCAUUCCGUUAAAUGACGUCAAAACUAUCUUUUGGUUUUAAGGUUUAUAAUUGGGGCUUUUCUAGGGUUCCUUUGUUGAGCUACCAUUUGGUUGUUUUGAAAGGUAUUGUGGCUCUAAUUAAAGGUAUUUGAUAGUUCGUGAUUGGGUGUUGAUGCUUGGUUGGAAAAGUAAAGAAAGACAAGGGGAAGUGCUGUCCAAAUGUUUGCAGGAGCUUCGGUGCAAUCUCGGGAGAUUUGCUAUAUCUUGAUGUAGAAAUGUCGGAAUUGAGUUCUGUUUAUUGCAUUUUAAACUAGAUUCAUAGGGUUAUAAACCAUGUAAAUUUUAGAUCCUGUUUCUGUCUGUCCAAUUUAUGGUGAUUUUUCAAAUUUGACAGAAAUCUUGUACCUGUUCUGUCCUCCACUGGAUAAAGCAGCAACUUGCGACUUGAAUUCGACUGACUUACGUUCUGAAUCUUACAAUAGUGUUUUCUGGAAAUUUAUAGCCCUUUGAAUGUAUUUUCCAACGGUAUAACUUUUAUUACUUUUGGACUUACAAAACUUGAGAUAUGAUUUUUCAUAUAAGGUCGCGCGGAACUGGAAAAAUUCUGUUUUCCUAGUAUUGAUCUUGCUUUCAUUAUCUACUUCAAAUUUGGAAUUGGUCAGUCAUUGUAGGAAGGGCUUUGAGGUUGUUCAUGCUUUUAAGACUACUUGUUACCUUUUCACUCCGAAGUCACCUCUUUGCUUUGCAUUAAUGAUUCUUUUGACUAGGCAUAUGGCUCGUAACCGAGUCUCACUUGCGAAUUCCAUACUCGGUCUUGGAGUCGAGUUUUAAGUGUUUGCCUUGAUUGUUCUAGGAGGUAACGACGAGUAAAGCCACACUUGGGAAGGAAACUUUUGACAUUAUCCUUGUUUGAUCAGGUGAGUGCACCACUCCCCUGAGUUACUGCUAAACUGGUUUUCUGUACUUGCAACAUGCUAUUUGAAUAUCUUUCCUGACUGUUUAUCUUGUAUGAGACGAGAGUGUAGUUUAUCACACUCGUUCUCUUGCCUGUACUGAACAAACUAGAAUCUAUUAUUUGUACUUGUUAUGUACUUGAACUUGUUACUUGCACUUGUUAUGGGAUCGUUUGGAAGUGUGUACACGAUCGUCCUGUUAAACUUGAUCGUCCUGUUAAACCUGAGCUCAACCUCAUGGGGAGUUAAUUAAAUCGAGCCAUGCAAGGGUUUGGUCGAGAAAAUUGAUAAUCCGUGGGUGCCUGUUUUUAUGGAAUCUUUGAGUAUUGAGACUCUUGAUUCCGGUAUACUCGAGUAUUACCAUUCCUGUUUCUAUUUGGUGUUCGGGUCCGGUAAGGGGGUAUGAAUGGUGAACGGGAUUCGGCGUUAAAGCGGUGUUCUACUGGACUAGUUUUCUUUAGUUGAAAGUUGACGGAGGGUCAACGUAGUCGGAUCAAGUACUGCAACGGGAAAUUGGCUCUUGAGAGCCAUCUGUAUCCUUUCUAUCUAAGUUGUUUACAUAUCUCCUUAUUUGGUACACUUAUAUGAUUAAUUGAGCAUGAAGUUCCUUGGUCCUUGACUGUUAUUAUUUUUGGUAUCUCAUUGAGCUUAUAACUCACCCCGUUUUGUUAUCAUUGUUUUCCUUACAGGAAAAUCUUUUGGGAACAAUGAUGUUUGGAAGCAUGAGUUGAGCUAGAUAUAUAUUCUUUUGUAUAGCUCCUCAAUAGAUAGAAACCUUGAAUGUAUUUCGAUCCAACAACUCCCUUUUGAUUUGUAAAUUUGCAAUCAUGUAUUUAUAUAUAUAUAUAUAAAAGUGUUUAAUCAUGUACAUGUGUUACCCCGCUCGAAUGUGUUCAUUCUUUAUGGCUACGUGGAGUUUAAUGAAAUUCUGAGGUUUCGGACGAGUAUAGUAUCCAAGUGUGAAAAGAAAAAAAAAAUCGGCAGGGAUUUCGACAAUAUUUUGGGUUGGCAAGUUACAUUUAACUUGGAGGUUUCCCAAUCGUUCAUUUUCUUUGGUUUCUAUCACGCGUGCUAUAGAGUUGGGAGUGAUUUGACCCCGUAGUCCCGGCGAGAGUUGGGCAAGCGAUCCGCCGAACCCUUUGGUUCGCCUUAGGGGGAGGUGGGGCUGUCACACGUUGAGUAUCUUCGGACGCGCAAAAAACCUAUCCUCGGACGUCCGACACUGAUAAGUCAGUACUUCUAAGAUCUCUAACCUCGAUCGGAAGCACAAUACCUGAGCACCGGACGUCCAACAAUCGUUGCAACACUUCGGACGACAAGCAUUAGAAGCACCGGACGUCCGAAAGAAUUAAUGAAGGAUUCCAAGUUUUACAUCAUAUGGUCGGACGCAUAUUCUGAUGCUGCCGGACGUCUUAAAGAUUUCAAGAAAAUUUCUUGAACUCACUACCUGCGUUCGGACGCACAAAACCAGCCUACCGGACGUUUUUACACUUCUAACGGCUAGUUGACUCUUCAGCUGCCUUGUGUCCGUUAGUGGCAUUAAUUGAAGAUGUUUUUGGUCUAUUAUAAAUAAGAUAAAAGUCAACCGCCAAAAGUAUUGAUACACAUUAAGUCUACAUCAGAUCUUGAGUGAUUCAAGCAUAAGAAUACUCCAAAAAGAAGAUUUGUACUCUUAGUUGUGUGAUCUUCAUUUAACUUUUCAAGUGUGAUUCAAUUUUUUCAAUAGUGUAACUUUGUGAGGGUUAUUCGAGUGAUUGUAAAACUUCCUUGCUUGAUCAAGUGUAUCUUGAGGCAAGGAGGAAGUGAUCCUUCCCGUGUACACAAGAGAUUGGUUGUAUGUUGAAUUAACUUGAAGGAGCUUACAAUAUAAAGGGAUAUUCAAACUCUAGUCGAGUUUGAGAUUUGGUUUGCUAUUCCAUCUUUUUAUUCACUGUUUUCCAACAUUAACUGUUUAUCUCUUCUGUUCUAAAUUACUUUCACUUUAUCAUAAAUUGUUCCUUGGUCUCGUUCUUUAGAAAAAUAGGGCUAGUUCAGAAAAAAAGUGAUUUAUAUUUUGGCUAGCUUUUAAAUCACCUAAUUCACCCCCCUCUUAGGUUGUUUUCGAUCCUUAUAAUUGAUAUCAGAGCUUGGUUUCCUUAAGAUUAAGCUCAAUCGGCUUAGGAGUAAAUAUGACAACCAACAAUGCCAUGUUCUUUGAGGGACAAUCAGUAACUAGACCUCCUAUAUUCAAUGGUUCAAACUAUGUGAGUUGGAAGGAAAUGAUGAUUAUUUUCUUACAAUCUAUUGAUAUUGAGCUAUGGUUUAUUGUCAAUGAAAGUCCGUUUGAUGCCUCUACUAUUGAUGCAAAUACAAACAGGCCGAGACCAAAAACAAGAAGGAAACUAAUUGCUGAAGAUAGAACUCAUCUCACUCUGAAUGCCAAGGCGAUGAAUGUACUGUACAGUGCUUUAGACUCAAACAAAUCUGUUAGAGUCAAGGGUUGCAAAUCUGCAAAAGAAAUCUGGGAUAAAUUUUGAGAAAUACACGAAAGAAGUGAAAAUAUGAGAGAACAGAAGAAGUCCAUUCUGGUCACGAAGUAUGAAUCCUUUAAGAUGGAACCUCACGAAAACAUCGAUAAGAUGUAUUGCAGAUUCAAUGAUCUUAUUAAGGAUCUACAAGUUCUUGAGAAAGAUUACUCUCUAGGUGAGAAAAACAGAAAAAUUCUGAAUGCUCUAUCAAAGGAUUGAGAGAGUAAAGUGACUGCCAUUGAGGAAGCCAAAGAUCUGAACACUUUAUCUAUUGAAUCCCUUAUAAAUUCACUAACCUCUUAUGAGCUAAAACUCAAGUCUAAGGUGCAGGAAGAAGAAAACACAAGAGUUAGAAAGAGCAUUGCUCUGAAAACUUCACAAGAAGAAGAUGAUACAAUCUCUCUGGAUGGAGAUGACAUGGAAGGUGAUGAUAGUGACAUUGCACUCAUCACAUGAGGCUUCAAAAGAAUACUCAACAAGAGAAGAUUCAGAAAAGGAGGACAUAGCAAUUCCUUUCCAAAUCAGUCCAACAACUUCAGAAAUAAAGGAAAGCUGGAAUUCAACAAAAAGCAAACUGAUAAGUGCUUUGAAUGCUGCCAACUUGGUCAUUAUGCAAAUGAAUGUCCAAUGAAGAAAAAGAAGGAGAACAAGAGUGAACGAAAACCAAAAUUCAACAAUUUCCAAAUCACCUGGAAUGACUGUCGCGCCCCACUUUUCGAUUGAAUUGCGUGAGUGAUGUGUUGUGUGUGUGAGUAGUGGAAUGUGAACGUGUGUAAAUGAAAAGUAAAAGGCCAUGGGACUUUGGAAAGCGACGAUUUGGCCAAAUGAAAUUUAAAAAGGGUUUUUAAAUAUAAAAACGGAGUCGCCACUUGGUAUAGAUUUGGGGUGUACCAAGUCACCCAAAAAGUGUUUUUUAAAGACAAAGUAGUAAAACCCUUUUUAAAACGACUCCUAGUCCACGUAAGCCAAAGAAAAAGGUUCGGGGGUCACGUUUGACAAAGGGGAAGGCAAGGAUAGAAUCCAAGGCACCCCUUUGACCUAGGCAAGGCUAGUUGCGCGACUUAACCCUACCUUUCCUAAUUUUCUACCCAAUAUAUGUUCGCACGUUGGAUAUGACUAUAUGAAUGCAAAACGGAAAGAAAAAUGCAAUCCUAAGUUCUACGAUGUCUCUCGUGAGGCUUUUGGUCCCAAACCACAUGAAUUGUGGCGGCCAACAAAGGAAAACCCCAUAGAGGUCGAUUAAUGCAAAUGAGACUCAAGUGUGCAAGUGUGAAAGUGUAUGAAAGAAAUUAAAAAUCCAAGUGUUUGUGUGCAAGUGUAUGAAAAGGUGCACGUGUGCAAUUGUAUGAAAAUUCCAAGUGUUCGUGUGCAAGUGUAUGAAAUAUAGUGAUAAGUGCAUAUAGGUGUGAGUGAAUGCAAUUUUGUGAAGUAGAAAAAAAAAUGAACAAUAAGGAAAGGAAAAUGUGAAUUGAAAAGAAUGAGUGAGUGAUAAAUGAGAAUGAAUGAACCUAAGGGAAUGCAUCAGGUCGGGUAUGGGAAUGACUCCUAACUUGUCGACUUCGAUUUUCCCUUUGAUUAGAAGGCAAAACUAGCGUGCUAAGGCUAUCGAGUAGCCACACUCGCUCGUUUCCCUUAUCAGAAGGGGACCCUCAAGCAAAUGGACCCUACAACUAUCAUGAUAUGCAAAAAUCCUAAAAUGAAGGGAAAGGGGGUUCGAGGAGCAUGCCAAGUGAUAAAACUAAGAAAAAUGCAUGAUAUGUGGUGAACAAGCAAAAGAUAUGCUAAUGAGGGGAAAUCCCUAAGGGUCUAGCGUUGGACUAGCCCAUUCUAUGAAUUCCGACUAGCGUUGGACUAGCGGAAACGUACAUUCAUCCAUUCCAUUCAUUCAUGGCUAUGAAAGCAAGUAGACAUGCCAAAAUAUUCGUAAACACAUAGCACAUAGCAUUUAGCAUGCUCGACUAGAUGCAAGAGCCUAAUAAAGCAAUUAAACAUGUAGCAACAAAAACAAGCAACCAGGGGGAAGGGGAAAUGGACCAGAUGCUCUCCGAGCACUAUCUAUUACAAGCCAAGAGGUGUACACAUACCCCAUAAAAGCAUAAAAGGGAAAGGGUGAAUGGACCAGAUGCUCUCCGAGCACUAUCUAUUACAAGCCAAGAGGUGUACACAUACCCCAUAAAAACUUAAAUAAAAGUAAAAAGCAAGUAAAUGCACGCAGGGAGGUAAGGAAAGCGAAGUAGACAUGCAUAUUCACAUAACACGUAGGAGCACGUAGGGUCAAAUGAAGUGCAAAUGAGGGAUAGAGUGUACCUCCCUUGAAGCGACGCCCUAACGUAGUGAAAUUACUAAUUUACCCUCCAAAAUAAUAAACAGGUCAAGGUACCACUUAAAUUAUCGAAUAAUCACACGAAACAACCAUUAAACACAAACAAAUGGAAAUUGAGCAUGAAACGAAAAUUAAAUAUGGAAUAGACCAUGCAUGUGCAAGCAAAACUCGGUCUCAAAUAAAAAGCCUCAAGAAUCUAAAAUGGAGUGCUAAAUUGAAAUGCUGUGAGUGGAAUCUAUCGCCAUCAAGUGCAAAAAAUCACGAAAGGAAGAAAUGGAAAAUUAUUAAAGUUUUAGAAACAAGAUUAACUAAGCAGAAUUUAAAUCAAACAAAAUCAAGACCACCAAUGCUUCCAAGCUACCAAACUUUCAUGAUUUGAUCCUAGAAUUCUAUUAGCAUUGUCCACAAUUCACAUGAAAAAACAUAUCAAGGCAUAAUUACACAAAAGAGAUCCAAUUGCGAAAAUUAAUCAACCAUGCAAGCCCAAUCAAAAUGUUCAAGGAAUUUUAAAAGGUCAAAUAGCAAAGAAAAAGUCAAGCCAUGGUUCCAAUUGCAACUAUCCUAGGAUCUAAUUGCAAGAAAUUUGAAUGUAAUUGGGCCUUAGUAGACCAAGAGGAGAUUUGGGGGAUCAAAGUCCAAUUUGUAGAAAUUACUUCAUGCAUAAGCAUGCAAUCACGUUGCUUUCUUUUUUAAACAAUGCUUCUGCAAUUCUCUUCGCUAAUCUUUGCAAUCUGCUAUGCCUUAUUACCAAAACGUUACCAACAAAAACAGCCACACUUUUGAGUCAAAUGAUCAUAGUCAUCCCCCCAUUCAUCAACCAAACCACAUACCAUGCUUUUAUGACAGAAUCAAGGCAGAAAAAACUGGAAUGAUAGCUGCCAAAAACCAAAGAGAUAACAGCAAAAAGAAAGAAACAAAGUGCAGCAAGAGUCUUCAGCCACCUUAAGGUUCGCUAGCAGCCUGGAGAACUUACGAUGGACUCCAGAAAACCACCCUAACAUCAUGAAUUAAACAUGCAAGCCAAUAACCUAUUCAAAGUUCAUUCCAGAUUCAUUCGAGAUUCCCUACUGCAAUCUUCUGGUUUCAUUAUGCAAGCCAAAUCAGCAAGUUACCAAGGUUUCAACUACUUGUUGCGGGUUUGAAGCCAAGCAUCUAAGUUAACCCAACAGCAAACGAAAGGGAAGAAAUGCAGCAAGGAACGCCAGAGGUUUCAUGCAAACGAAACUGAUCAUCAACGAUAUAAGCAAACAGCAAAACAGCAAUAGAGGAAAAGGAAAAAUGUGUCGCGAGUUUCUGCAAUUUUUUUUAGCCGCGGCUUUCCUUCCCUUUCAUCAUGCAAGUGAGUUCAACUUCCAAAAUUUUAACUACUGACUAAAUGAAACGCAGACCCUUGUUGCAGAAUUGAAACCAAACAUUUAAAUGGCCCAAUAGCAAAAGAAAAAGGAAUUUUUCAUGCAAGUUUCAUGCAAAGAAUGAGCUUCCUGCAACCGAGAGAUGCUGCAAUUUUUAUUCUGUUAAACCACUAUUCCAUCAGCAAAUUACACUCAAUUCAAAACUCCACCUUGACCUUAACAACAAAAUCACCAAACUCAAAGUCCAAAUAAACUAAACGACUUAGCAAGAGGAUAGGCAAUUCCAGAAAUUUCUGCUAUCGCUGUCAUGAACAACAAAGCAUCAUUUUUUGAUCACAAAUGCAAACACAACCCAUUUAAACAUGGUAGAAUGUGCACUAGACAUUCAAUGAAAGAACAUCAGCCACAAAUGGCCAACUACAUUAUCUGAAUAUGCGCUUGCAAACAUAAAAGACAGCCAAAGCAACGUGAGGAUUUACAGCAAUGUACUUCGCUAGGAGCUAAGUGCAAAGAAACAACCAAAGCUGUAAACUUUCUGCAAUUUUUCCUUUCGGCUAAGACACAGUCACGCAAGACACCAAUUCAUUAACCAAACUUCAGAAUUUUCAUUACCCAAAUAAGAACCAUCAAUCAUAUUGAAUCCAAAACAGAACCAGUAAACAGCAGAGGAAUGCAAACAACCGACUAAAGCAAGCAGCUUUCAACUAUAAAAAGGUGAAUACAAUACCUUGACCAAAGAAUGGAACGUGUGAUGACCAAGAAAAGGCUCAAAUGAUUCUUUUGGAUGCUCGAAAGAAAUGUCAGACGAUGCUGAAUGGAAGCCCAGUCGAUUCCUUCCUGCAACUUCCAGCCGAGGAUCCUUCUUGCUCCUUCCCAGUUUUCUCUUUCUUUUCCCGUAAGAUUUUUCUAUCCCAGCCGAAGAUCCCUCUUGCUUUCUCUACAUAGCUUUCUUGUUCUGUUCUCCUUCUAUUCUCCUUCUACCUAGCCCAGCCGCCAACUCUAUUCCCCCUCCACAACUUUCCAGCCGUCCGAAACCUCCCUCUCUCUCGCUUCAGUUCUUCUUUCACCUCCUCCGAGAGCCUCUCCCUUUUUUCCCUUUAAUCAGCCGCCCCCUCACUCUUCUGUAUGCCCCCUCUCUUUCAGUCUUUCUUUCACUCCUUCUCAACCUCUCCAAACCCCUAGCCGUUUCUUUUCUGGUUCCUUUCUACCUCUUAAGCCGCCGCCAACUUUCCCUUGGUAGGUUUCUUUUCUUUUGCUUGUGUUUCUCUCUUCCGAAUCUCCCCUGUUUGCGGCUGCCAAUCCCUUCUAUUUAUAUCAAGCACUCAACCCUAAAAACCUCAGCCACUUCCUCUGAAAUUUGCAGCUAAGGAGCUCCCCAAAGUUCACUUGCAAGCUGCGGCAAAAACGCAGCCUUCAUGCUGCGCGUUUUCACUUUUCCUUUUUUUUUUUUAACUUUCAACUUAAUAAAUACAGAAAUGAUAAAAUAUAAAUAAUAAUAAAAACAAAUUGACAAAAACCAAGUAAUAAUAAUAAUAAUAAUAAUGAAAAUAAUUUAAAAAACUAAACAACUAAAAACAACAAAAAUGGCCAUUUUUCCAUCUUUUUUGUUUCAUUUUUCAUUUUUUCAUUUUUUCCAAGAAAGCAUUGAAUUUAAAUUACAAACGACUAAAUCAUAUUUUUUGAAUGCUUUUUCUUUUCCCUUUUCAACAAAUUCUAUGAUAAAACUUAAAAAUAAAAAAUAAAACUGGAAACUAAAAACUAAAAAAUGAACACGACAAAUAAAAAACUAAAAAAUGAAAUUACACCAAAAAUUUGGUGUCUACAAUGACUGCAAUUCAGAAGGAGAAGUAGAGGAAGAAGAGGAAUCCGCCCAAGUGGCUUUCAUGGGCAUUGAAGAUGAAGAGGUAACCCAAUGUAACUCUCAAACUGAUAGUGAUAGUGAGUAUGAUGUUGAUAUUAAUUCUUUCCUAAAAAAAAUGCAUAACAGCUUAAAAGAAUUCUAUGUUAGAAACAAGGAAUUAAAACAGAAAAUUAGUUUUCUAAUACAAGAUAAUGCAAAUCUUUUUCGACAAAACAAGUGUCUUACGCAUGAAAAUGAGAACCUGAAAAGGAUUGAAACUGAUGUGCUUGCUGAACUUAACAAAAAGACAAAUCUCUGUGACAUGCUCAGAAGUGAACAAUGCAGCCUAAAAAAAAGGAUGGAUGAUUUAUGUCAAUUGUUACAACAUAUGAAACAGAACCGCCUUCAAAAGAAUGACACUGAACCUCACCUUAACACUCAUCGAAAAGAUUGAAUUAUAGUAAAAAUGAGUUUACUGUCUACAAGAGAAGGCAAGUCAGAUUCAUUAAACCUGUUCAUUUGAUUGAUCCAAUGACUGUAUGCAACUUUUAUUGUCAAUUUGGUCACAUGAAUAGCAACUGUUAUGUUAAGAAAAACAUGAGAAAUGGAAUGAGAUGCAUGUGGGUUGUUAGACAUAAUGCUAACCAUGAAGGACCCAAAAAGUAAUGGGUACCAAACAUUAUAUUGUGGACUACUGUGUAGGUGAACCUGGUGAACAUUGUUAAAGAAUCAAAAUGGUUCAUAGAUAGUGGAUGCUCAAGACAUAUGACUGGUGAUGCAUCACAGUUCAUCAAGCUCAAGCCAAAAACAAGUGGAAAGGUUACUUUUGGAGAUGAUAAUAAAGCCAAAACUGUUGGAAUUGGUGAUGUUGGUAAGAAUGGUCAAACUUUUGUUCAUAAUGUUCUUUUAGUCGACAACCUGAGUUACAAUUUGUUGAGUGUUAGUCAAUUAUGUGAUAGGAACCUGCUCGUGUUAUUUAAGAAACAUCAAUGCCUUGUUCUUGACUCAAAGUUUAACAUUAUUUUCAAAGGAAAAAGAGUUAAUGAUAUUUAUGUGGUGAUUCUUGAAAAAGUUGAUGCUUCCAGCCUUAGUUGUCUCAAAGUAGCAAAUGAGGAUCCCUGGUUAUGGCACAGAAGGCUUUGUCACUUCAAUAUGGAUUUGCUAAAAGAGGUUUCCAAAAAGGACCUGGUUAGAGGGAUUCCAAAACUCAAUUUUUGUAAAGAUCGCAUCUGUGAUGCUUGCCAAUUUGAAAAACAAGUCAAGGUAUCUUUUAAACCAAAAAAAUGUGUUUCUAUCUCAAAACCCUUAGAACUCCUACAUCUUAAUCUUUUUGGUCCAACUCAAACCACAAGCCUUGGUGGCAAGAGAUUCUGUUUUGUUGUUGUUGAUGACUAUUCUAGAUACACUUGGGUGAUGUUUCUUGCACAUAAAGAUGAUGAUUUCAAAAACUUUGUUUCCCUAUUUGCCAAGGUUCAAAAUCUGAUUGGUUUGAAAAUCAUAAAAAUAAGAAGUGACAAUGGCACAAAAUUUCAUUUUUGUGAAUUUCCAGAAUUUUGUGACAACAAUGGCAUUACACAUGAGUUUUCUAUUGCUAGAGUACUUCAGCAAAAUGGAGUGGUUGAGAGGAAAAAUAGAACUCUUCAAGAAGCUGCUAAAACCAUGCUUAGUGAAUGCAAUUUACCAAAGUACUUUUGGGCUGAAACUAUAAACACUGCAUGCUAUACCAUGAAUAGAGUUCUCUUAAGACCAAUCUUGAACAAGACUUCAUAUGAGCUGUUUUUGGUUGCAAAUGCUUCAUUCUGAACAUCAAGGAGCAUCUUGGUAAGUUUGAUAAAAAAUCUGAUGAGGGGAUCUUCUUGGGAUAUUGUGAAAAUAAGAGAGGCUUUAGAGUUUAUAAUCGUAGAACUCUGGUUAUAGAAGAAGCUAUACAUAUCACUUUUGAUGAAUCUAAUGGUGACACUUCCAUGAGUUGUGGUGAAGAUGAUGAUGCAGGUGUUCGAGAAGAAUUAAAGAAGCUAACAAUUAGCAAUCAAGGCACAGCUCCAUCAGAAAAUGAUUCAAAGGAAGAUGAAAAUCAAGACAGUCCUACUAGAGAAGACAAUGACAGUGACACUGCGAUUCCUAAUGAUCUUCCAAGAGUCUGAAAAUUCGUCCAAAAUCAUCCUAAGGAACUUAUCAUUGGGGAUCCAUCUGAAAAUGUCAGAACACGUUCCUCCUCUAGACAAUUAAUAGAUAACUUUGCAUUGGUCUCACAUUUUGAGCCCAAAAAUGUUGUUGAUGCAUUGAAUGAUGAGAGCUGGAUUUUGGCAAUGGAAGAGGAGUUAAAUCAAUUUGAAAGAAAUAAGGUUUGGACAUUAGUUGCUAGACCACAAGAUCAUCCUAUUAUUGGCACUAAAUGGGUUUUUAGAAACAAAAUGAAUGACAAAGUUGAGAUAGUUAGAAAUAAGGCCAGAUUGGUAGUUAAGGGUUACACUCAAGAAGAAGGAAUAGAUUUUGAUGAAUCAUUUGCACCCGUAGCUAGGUUAGAAUCUGUUAGAAUGUUUUUAGCUUUUGCAUGUUUCAAAAAUUUUAAAUUAUUUCAAAUGGAUGUUAAAAGUGUUUUCCUAAAUGGUUUUAUAGAUCAAGAAGUUUAUGUUGAUCAGCCCCCUGGUUUUGAAAAUGAGAAUUAUCCAAACCAUAUUUUUAAACUCUCAAAAGCUUUAUAUGGAUUAAAACAAGCUCCAAGAGCAUGAUAUGAACGCUUGAGUGGUUUUUUGAUUGAAAAUGGGUUCAAAAGAGGCAUAGUAGAUAUUACUCUUUUCACUAAACAAAAUUCACGUGAUCUUCUAAUUGUUCAAAUAUAUGUGGAUGAUAUUAUUUUUGGUGCUACUAAUGAGAAUUUGUGCAAGGAAUUUUUCAAAAUUAUGCAAAAAGAGUUUGAAAUGAGCAUGAUGGGAGAAUUAAAUUUCUUCCUUGGACUCCAAGUGGUUUAAACCAGAGAAGGAACGUUUAUCAAUCAAACAAAAUACACCAAAGAGCUGCUCAAAAGAUUUGGAAUGAAGGACUCAAAGUAGGUUGGAACACCUAUGUGCACAUCUACCAACCUCGACAAAGAUGAAGAAGGUACAAAAGUUGAUGAAAAGAAGUAUAGAGAUAUGAUUGGUAGUCUGCUUUAUUUAACUGCUAGUAGACCAGAUAUCAUGUUUGUUGUAUGCUUGUGUGCUCGUUUUCAGUCCUGUCCAAAGGAAUCACAUUUGAAUGCAGUAAAAAGAAUUCUUAGAUAUCUAAAAGGAACCUUGAAUUUUGGUCUUUGGUAUCCUAAGUGUAAUGAACUCCCAUUGAGUGGAUUCUCUGAUGCUGAUUUUGGUGGUUGUAGAGUUGAUAGAAAAAGUACAUCAGGAAUAUGUAGUUUUCUUGGAAACUGCUUAGUAUCUUGGUUCAGCAAGAAACAAAAUGCUAUUUCUCUUUCUACAACUGAAACAGAAUAUAUUGCUGCUGGUGCUUGUUGUGCUCAACUGUUAUGAAUGAAAAACACAUUGAAUGAUUUCGGACUAAUAUAUGAAUGUGUGCCUAUGUAUUAUGAUAAUACUAGUGCCAUAAAUUUAACAAAAAAUCCCAUUCAGCACUCUAGAACAAAGCAUAUAGACAUAAAGCAUCACUUCAUUCGUGAUCUUGUCCAAAAGAGAGAAAUCUGCGUUCAGUAUGUGUGUUCAAAAAAUCAAAUUGCUGAUAUUUUCACAAAAUCCCUUCCACUGGACCAAUUUGUGUAUCUUAGAACAAAACUGGGCGUCUGUGAAAAAGUUCUCUAAAAACUUCCAUCGGACGUCCGAUGUGUUAGAACGGACGUCCGACAGUGUUCUUCAUCAGUUUCCCCAGGAAAUUUUUGUUCGGACGAUUGUGUCGGACGCUUCAUUUUGUUCGGCCGUCCGACACUCAAUUUACUGCGUCUUAUAAAGAAGUCAUCCACUUCAUUCAGUUCAGUUACCUCCUUAGACUCGGACGCAACCCUUCGGUUCUCCUUCAAAUACAAAAUUCAAAUCAAUCUCUCCAGUAUUCAAGUUCCAAGGAAUUGAUCCAACCAUCUUCAUUACACCUCCAUUGACCGUUUUACUUCACUCAUAACACCCCAUAACUCCCAACUGCCUCAUAAUUCCCAAUUCAUACUAGAAACCCUAAUUUUUCCAAAUCCACUACCUGUAAUCAUCUCAAGCAUCCUCUGCAGUUCUUAACGCACUAGUAGUCAAUUUGACACGCAUCUGCACUACACUGCAUCUCAAAAAUCAACUGCAUUACAUCAUGGUGAGAGUUAGAGGCGGUUCAGCAAGUGCCAGACGCACAUUUAGACUCAGGGAUGAAGAUGUUGAGAUCGUAGAACCUUCCACCAGGGUAUCCAAAAAGAGGACAGGGACUCGUGGUGGAAAGGCAAAGCAACCUGCAAAGAAGAUACAGGAUGCUCCAACUGCUGAUCCAUCUCCUGUACAAGUGGAAGCACAUCAAACUGAGGAACAAAUUGCUGAGGAACAGCAAACACCUGAACCCUCUACCAGAAAAUCACCGAGGACAAGGUCUGAUGCUCAGACUACUGGGUCAUCUGCCAAACAAAGUACAAAAAGGAAACGCACUUCAAAGGAACCAGCGGCUCAGCCUGUCAAAGAACCUACAUCCCUGCCAAAGUUCAUUGAUGACGAGGCCAGAGAUAGAUUUGAGUUAAUCUCUCAAAAAGGAUUCAUUAUUCAGAGGUCUGUCAUCCCAUAUGAAUUUUGUAAGAUUGAUUUAAAACCUGUGCUUAAGCUUUUUGAGUCCCAAAAAUGGACUCACCUCCUGACUAUCCCACACACCUUCUACCCUGACAUGCUUUACCAGUUUUUUGCAAAUCUUAGGAAAGGAAACUCACACACCGAGCUUAUCUCUAGAGUCAAUUCUGUUGAUAUCACUUUAACUCCUGAUGUCAUUAACUCUGUUUUAAAAACUAAGAUUGAAGAUGGUUUCAGAGGAAAAAUUACAAAUUUCUUUUCAUAUGAAGAAUUCCCCUCUACUUACCAUCAUAUUCACAUCUCCAAAUUAAUGACUUACUUUCGCACUCACUUCAACACUCCUGCUGAGGCGAGAUUAGAGGAUCUCAAUCUUCAGAACUUGAUUAUCUUCACAAUUGUUUCCAAUUUGUUGGUAUCCACUGAUGGUCACAGAAUCGAUGCAAACAAAAUGAAAUUGUAUCUGUUUUACUAUUUUGUGGAAAAGAUCAGAAUCGAUUUUGGUUUUGUGAUGUGCAAAUUCCUGCUUAAGAUUAGUACCGACAGUCGUAGGAAGCUUUCCUAUGGAAAAUUCCUGACUCCCAUCUUUGCUCACAUUGAAAUUCCCUUCACUGGAAAGUCUCCUAGAGAUAGUGCCUCAACUGUUUUCUCAAAGGCCUAUUUUGAACGAAAAACUUUGAAGUUUUUUGAGGGUCACUGGUGUCACAAGGAACCUUUGACAGAGUUCAGAAGAAAGAGCCUUCACGAAACUCCAGUCACUCCUAGGACCUCUCGGGAUCAAUCCAUGUAUAUCUCUCCUUUCACCAUUCACCCUAGAAAAUCAGCCAACAAGUCCUUUGUAUACAACUUUGAGGUCAUCACGUUGCUUGAAGACCUCAAGCAACAUGUUAUGCUCAUUGAAGAUGGUCUAAUGUCGACCAUGACACCUGACCGGCAGGCUUCCUUCAUUGAGAAAUGAAAUCUUCUUGUGCCUCCCAUUCCUGUGAACAAUGAACAUGCUCAUCAAAAAGAGCCCAGAAUUGAGCCUACUGAGCACACUCCUGGUACUGAAGCUACUCCAGAAGCUCAUGCCUCCAGUUCUCAACCCAAGAAUAAAGGAAAAGCUCCCAUCUCUGAAGAGGCGACUGAAGUUGAUGCUGAAGAUACUGAAGAGGAAGAUCAUGUGGAUCCUGAGCAAUUUCGUCUGACUAGGAGAAGGCCUGGAUCAUCCAAGAUCACCAUAUAGGCACUACUAGGCCACUGCACUUCAUUAGUAGUUCUCAAUAAUUCUCUUUUGCAUAUUUUGCUUUUAAAAGACAUCUGGUGUGUUUGUUAAUUUUAAGGAGUUUACUCCUCUACUGGUCUGUAAAAAUAUUUAGCUAUCCGUUGUUGGAAGAUGUUUCUAUAUUUUGGUUGUGUCUCUCUUGUCAUAAAUGGAUGUUGUCUCUCUUGUCUUAAAUGGAUGUCUUAAAUCCGUUGUUAGCUAUCUCUCUUGUCUGUGUAUGUUAGUUCUUGUUGAUUGCUGUCAUUUGUUACUGCUCUGAUCUUAGUUCUGAUUGAUUUUGGUUCUGAUAUGGAUAUUGCUGUUAUGAUGACAAAAAGGGGGAGAAACAUGGAUGGAAUCAGGAUAUGAAUCUAAUCUAUAUGUGAGGGGGAGUCAAGUAAAUUUUUCUGUGGGGUAUGGAAAAUUUUCUGAGGGGGAGUCACUGAAGGGAUGUGGAUAUCAUUCUGAGGGGGAGUUGUAAAUACUCCAAGGCCUCUCUAAGAAAAGGGAAACUAUAUCAAAAUUCCCUCACUUCAUCCAUUGUUUUGUCAUCAUCAAAAAGGGGGAGAUUGUUUAUCUUUGUUCAUACCUUUUGAUGAUUACAAAACAAGUGGAUAAAACUAAUGUUUUCCAAGCUUGUUUUUGGUCAGAAAAUGGAGCAAGACAGGUUCAAAGGCCAAGCAUCUGCUAAAACAUCUGUCGGACGCACAAAUACAUCCUAUCGGCCAUCCGAUAACCGUUGAGUAUCUUCGGACGCGCAAAGAACCUAUCCUCGGACGUCCGAAGCUGAUAAGUCAGUACUUCUAAGAUCUCUAACCUCGAUCAGACGCACAAUACCUGAGCACCGGACGUCCGACAAUCGUUGCAACACUUCGGACGACAAGCAUUAGAAGCAUCGGACGUCCGAAAGAAUUAAUGAAGGAUUCCAAGUUUUACAUCAUAUGGUCGGACGCAUAUUCUGAUGCUGCCGGACGUCCUAAAGAUUUCAAGAAAAUUUCUUGAACCCACUACCUGCGUUCGGACGCACAAAACCAGCCUACCGGACGUCCGACACUACUAACGACUAGUUGACUCUUCAUCUGCCUUGUGUCCGUUAGUGGCAUUAAUUGAAGAUGUUUUUGGUCUAUUAUAAAUAGGAUAAAAGUCAACCACCAAAAGUAUUGAUACACAUUAAGUCUACAUCAGAUCUUGAGUGAUUCAAGCAUAAGAAUACUCCAAAAAGAAGAUUUGUACUCUUAGUUGUGUGAUCUUCAUUUAGCUUUUCAAGUAUGAAUCAAUUUCUUCAAUAAUGUAGCUUUGUGAGGGUUAUUCGAGUGAUUGUAAAACUUCCUUGCUUGAUCAAAUGUAUCUUGAGGCAAGGAGGAAGUGAUCCUUUCCGUGUACACAAGAGAUUGGUUGUAUGUUGAAUCAACUUGAAGGAGCUUACAAUAUAAAGAGAUAUUCAAACUCUAGUCGAGUUUGAGAUUUGGUUUGCUAUUCCAUCUUCUUAUUCACUGUUUUGCAACAUUAACUGUUUAUCUCUUCUGCUCUAAAUUACUUCCGCUUUAUCAUAAAUUGUUCCUUGGUCUAGUUCUUUAGAAAAAGAGGGCUAGUUCAGAAAAAAAGUGAUUUAUAUUUUGGUUAGCUUUUAAACCACCUAAUUCACCCCCCUUCUUAGGUUGUCUUCGAUCCUUACAAAAUGAUAGUUGUUUAUAUUCUUAUCACUCAAUGAUGAGAGUGGUCUAUAAUUUAAAUGAUUGAGAUAUAUAGCCAUCCAAAUAUAAAUUUAAUACGAGGGUAUGAUACCUAAAAGUGACUAUAGAAUCUCCCUAAAUGAUAAAUAAUGUGAAUUAGAUAUUCCCUCAAAAACUUGUAAAGUACUUAAUGUAUAUACGGGUAAAUUCUUGCAAUAGUGAAAGGAAAAUAUCGUACUAGCCUUGAAUUUUUGGCUAUGUAUUGACUUUUGUUAGCUAAAUUAAACUAUCCUGGAGUGAAGACAUAAAAUCUGCUACAAAUAUUGAAAGAAUUGUGAACAUAGCUAACUUAUCUAGCAUACAAAUUUUUUCUCGAGUUUGAGUUCUCUCACUUAUACUAUAAAAACAAAAAAACUAUCGUACAUUUAACUUCCAACUAACAACGAUGUAUAGAUAACAAAUUAUAUGCAUGGGAUAUUCCCAUAAAUAAAUGAAAUAUAUUUAAGUGAGAAAGAGUAAAUUCUUAAAUUAAGAAGAAAUAAUAUUAUAGUACCUGUCAAUUUGAUUAUAUGACUUUUUGGUUUGUCUUUACUCAUGAUAGCCAAUUAUAUAUGUUAUUUUGAUGUAAAAAUAUCCAAAAAUGGUUAAAUACAAUGAGGGACAUUAUUAUUAUUACUCGGAUUAAGCAUGUCAAUGGGUAGGGUCUGGUUUGGAUCCCUUUGAUCCAGAUCCAAACCCAUUUAAUUUAGUUAGAUUCAGACCUAAAUCUAUACCUUUUUUGGUUUAGAAAGGUAAGGCCAUACCUAGACCCUUAUGGAUCUGGAUAUCCAAUGGACAUCCAUGAAUAUUUUUGAACAUACUAAAGUAAAAAUGUAUUUAAAAUAUAUAGAGUUCAUAAAUAAUAUAAAUACUAUUCAAUUUUUGUUUUCAAAUAAAACAUUAACAUUUGACAAGUUGAAUGCAAUAUUGUGAACUCAAAGAAAGAAUUAUUAUUGACUAUUUUUAUAUAUUUUCAAAGAUUCAACUGCAUCCAUACCUAAUAUUUUAUUUGUUUGCCUUUACUUUUUCUCCUUUUCUUGAAAAGUUUGAACAAAUUACAAUGACAACCAGGAUUAGUUUUUAAAAAAAGAAAACAACCAUAACAUAUAUAAAUAUUUAAUCUCAUUAAAAAAAUGUAAUUUUGUACCUCUUAUUCUUAUUUAAACUUCAAUAUUGGUAUAUGUCUCGCAAUCCAGCACUAAAAUAGUGAAUGAGAUAAAAAUCAUUUGACUAAGGACCUAACAAAUAAAUAUUAGAAUAAGAAGAUUUACAAAUACUUAUUAAUUUUUUGGGUAAAAUACCAAAAAACUCCUUGUGGUUUACUAAAUGUUUAAUUUAACUCUCUUUGGUUUGGAAACCUACACUAUAACUCCCAGUGAUUUUAACUAAUUUGAAAAUUGGACGGAAAACAUCCAAUCUAAUGGUUAUACGUGAAAUGUCAAUAUUGCCCCUAUAUAAAUGAACUCCCUAUGGUUUGUCAAAUGGUCAAUUUAACACCCUCUAGUUUGAAAAAUUACACUAUAACUCCCUGUGGUUUCGACUAAAUUGAAAAUUGAAUGGAAGCAUCUUACAUAUAGUAAGGACAAUAUUGAAAUUUCACACACAACCGUUAGAUUGGAUGCUUUCUGUCCAAUUUUCAAUUUAGUCAACAUCACAGGGAGUUAUAGUGUAGGUUUCCAAACUAGAGGGAGUUAGAUUGAAUUUUUAUCAAAUCACAAGGAGUUUUUUGGUAUUUUACCCUAAUUUUCUUUGAUUCAAUUCAAUCAUCACUAGUCACUAAUGUUUCAACCAUGUCUAGAAGCAGUUUGACAUGAGUCUCUUCAAUCACCAAACCAUCAAUACUAAAUGUAGAUUCUAAUACCAUAAUAUCUUACUAUAUUCGAUCCAAUAACCAUAAAAUAUUAGAUUAUUUUAUAAAUUUACUAAUAUAUAUAUUAUUUAAUUAAAUAUAUAUAUGGAUUUGGGUAAAGUUUGGUAUGAGUUUGGAUUUGGAUAUGGAUUCUAUAAAACUAGACCUUACCUAGACCCACGACUCUUUCACAGGGUCUGGGUCUGGGUAUGAGUAGGGUCUAGAUUUGAGAAAUUAAAUCCAAACCCUACCCAAAUAUAGUGGGUCUGGGUUGGAUCUGGAUAAGAUUCGACCCAUUGACAUGCCUAACUCCAGAUACCUCAAUAUUUAUAAAAUUUGUUAAAUUGGAAUCCAUUUGGAUUUGACAGUAUUUUGAAAAAUUAUUUUUGUUUUUUAGGUUUACAGUAAUAAAUUUUACAAACAACCUUAAAAACAAUUCAAAAAAUGCAACAUAUUUCAAAUACAUUAAAAAAUAAUUAAAAAAUUCCCUCAUUCUUCUUCCCCACACUACCCACUACAACCACCACCACCACCACCCAUUACUCUCCACUACCACAGCCAUCCCCACACCCAGGACCCUCCUUCCUCUCUCCCCUCUCCUCUCUCUCUCUCUCUCUCUCUCUCUUUCUCUCUCUCUCCCCCUACUAAUUCUCCUUCUCUUUUCUUCUUCCUCCUCUCCCUUGUCCUUCCUCCCUUCUCCCUUUCCUUUCCCCCCCCCCAAUCCCAUCUCCCGUCUACUGACCGCAACCUUCCCGGUCGUGACUAGAAAGGUCGCUAGAAGCUGCGACUGGUGGCUUCCGGCCACAACCAAGAAGGUUGUGGCUGGAGUCUCAGAUGGAGUCGCAACCACCAGGGGAGACUCAGGUGGAGUCUCAGGGGAGAGGGGUUUGGGGGCGGGAGAGGAGAAGGAAAGGAGGGAGUAGAAGAGGAAAGAGGAGCGAGAAGGAAGAGGAAGGGGAGGAAAGAGAGGGAGGGAAAAAGAGAGAUAGAGGGGAGGAGUAGGAAGGGAGUGGCGGCAGCGGGUGGUGGUGAUAGGUGAUGUAAAAUUUUUAAAAAAUACCCCAUAAAGUUGUUGCAAAAUAUAUUUUAAAAAUAUUCCAAAAUAUAUUUUGAAAAGCCCUGAAAAUACUUUUAAAAACACCUCAAAAAACAUCUAUAGUAAAAGUUUUUUUUAUAUAUAGUUGCAGUAAACUUUUUGAAAGACACCCCCAGAAACAGCUAGUCCAAACAGAGUCUUGAGUUUUGAGAUUAAGGUGCAAUGAUUGACUACUUUUAGGUCAAAACAAAGCUUGGCCGAAAGUUUAGUGGGUUAAAAUAUAAUUUUAAAAAUUAAUCAUUUUCCCUAAUCCUCACAGCUGCAAUGGGGACACUGGUCGCCCAUCUUCAACCACCACCAACACUGCUUUUCAAGAUCAAUUCUUGUCCAACACUCAUUUUAUUCGCUUGAGUCAUGAUUAUGGCAUCAUUUUUCAUCAAUUUAAACCCUUUGACGAUACAAAAACAAGGUCACAAUUGAAAUUUUGAUUUGAAAAUUUGAAACUUUCGGGAUUGCCUCCUGCUAUGGGCUUGUCUCAGACUCGGGCAUAUGCCCAAACAAAUUCAUCAACCAACUCUCACUCUGCCAAGGCACUCAAUCAACCCCUUUAAAACAAUUUUGAAGACACUCAAUACUAGGGUUGGACAAAAAUACCCGUUUACUCAAAAAUCCAUCAUAUUCGAUUCGAUUCGAUUCGAUUCAACAAAUAGGGUAUCCGAUGUGCAUUAUUUGAUUAGGUCAAAAGAGGGUUAGGUAAUUACUUAUAUGCGAUGUAAGGUAGGGUUACAUGAUUAAGAAUCCGUGGGUAUCCAACGCGUCACACAAAUAUAUAUUUUAUUUUUUAUUUUUAUACACAUAUUACAAAAUAAUACUUUUGGAGCUAAAUAAGUAAUUUUAUUGAAGAAGCUAUAUUAUAAAUAUGAAAAUUAUAGUUUGUUUAUAAGAUUCAUUUAUAGAGGUCGUGAUCUUUUUUUCUUUUAGGAAAGAGUUUAAUUAAUGUAGAAUAUAUACUUUUAAAAAGGUACUAUUUAGUUGAAAUUUUCAUUGAUUUUGAAUUAUUUUAAUUAUUUUCUUUUUCUUGUAUUCUCUUCGCAUAUUUGUUUUUUGGUAGGAGACUUUUUUUGAGAAAAAAAUCUUUAUUAAGUCUUAGAUAAAUAUUCAAAAUACAAAAUUAAAUUACUAUAAAUUAUCUUUUUUUAAAACUAAAUGAUAACCAAGGCGACGCAGGUACCUGUUAAGCCGACCCUACCUUAACAAAUAUCCGUUCGUAUGCGGAAUGGGUAAGGGUCAAAAAACAACUGACCUGCAAGGUGCAGGUCUAGUCAGCCAAAUAAUGCAUAGAACAUGUACUACUCAACCCAUACUCACCCCUACCCAAAACAAAUCUUAAUAAUCAUAAAAUAGCAACCAGAACAUGCAAAAUCCAAUUUUCAAAUUUCUCCUCAAGAUUUAGCAUCAAAUUUUACAAAAAUUACACAAAAAAAUCCAAUCAACAAAUAAAUACUCAAGCACUGAAUUGGCAUUAUACUGUAUUUGUGCAGCACCGAAUUGACAUUAUCUGACUUGUAUGUAUGGCGAAAGAGAGGAACUAUGGAGAGGAGGGGGAGGAGGGAGAAGGAUGUUGAGAGUAAGGGAGGAGAUGAAUCAGAAAAUUUAGAUAUUUUUUCUUUUUAUUUUUCUAUAUUUUCUUUUAACCGUAUUUGUAGGUAACUUGCAUCAAAACGGCCUUAUUCUCUCAGUACUUUUUUUGCCUUUUUAUAAAACACAGGUGCAUUAACGCACAACAGAAGCACCCUAUCAAUCUAAGAUCCCAGCCUGCUUGUAGCUUUCGACAGAGUCAACAAGGGUUUCUUCCACAGGUCUAUAUGUCCAGCCUAGCCUCUCCAAUUUUUCUGAGCUAAUAUUCCAUCGGCUUUGAUCCUUCACCUCUAUAAGUCUGCGAAGAAAUGAGCUAUUUCAAGAAAAUAUGCAGACAACAUAAAUGGUUCUUGUAGAGACUCGUAGAUGCCACACUUUUGGAAAUGGAAAUCAUGACGGACAUGAACAAACAAGAAAAUCAGGACAAACGGGGUGUCUGAAAAAUGAGACAAUUAAUUUCAAAGAUGGUAAUCCACCUCUUAGGGUACUUGUAGUUGGCAUAGUUUUUCCUCAGAGUUUCCACCAUAUGUUUUGUCGUGGUGAGGUGAGGUGAACAUAUGUACCGGCCUUCAGCUUCAGGUCUCCCGUAAACCAAAAGCAGUGCCUCGGCCACAUCACGCACAUCUACUGUGUUGUAGAAUUUGUUUUCUGUUUCCUCACAUCCUUCUGUGCAGCCAAGGAGUAAAAAGAAGAGCAGUUUAAUCUCAAAAAAUGAUGUUAUCUAAGCUAAUCUCUGAGUUCUUUACUGCAUAUAUGAAACAUACAAUCCCUUUGACAAAUCGUACCGCAAUAAAUUCAUGCGACUUUUGAACUGCAAAGGACCUACAGGUCACAAUGUUAACCUUUUAUAUCUUCAACUACGUCCCAAAGCAAUCAAGCAAACAGUUGAAAGAUGCAACCUCUUCAGAUGUUAUGCCUAUUGUCUGUCUCACCUUCCAUUAGGUUCUUAAGUUUUUUUUUUUUUAGAUCACUUUGCAAGUUUUCAGAUCAUUGCCAAAAUCAUAAAACUAUUAGAAUGGCAGAUAGCUUACAGGUUUAGAAUCUGAAAACCUUUCAGCUGGCUUGAAGAUUAAAAAAAAUGCCAAAAAGACGGCAAAGCAGUUAUCUGAUCAAUGAAUAUGGUUUCAUUCCUAGAAGUUCAACCGCAACCAUGUUGACGAAUUUUGUGAAAUUUUAUUGACAUCAAUUCAUUGUGUACCAUGAAAAUAACACUGGAAGCCAGAAGCAUAAAAAUGAUGGGUUACUUGGAAAAUUAGUUGAUCAACCGCAUGAAGAAAUUCAAUUGCUUGACCUUUGACGGACCAAAAGAAAAAAUGCUAAGCUUUAGAGUUCAUCAGAGUUCUACAGUGACAUCCAUGCUCACUUAGGCACAAACCAAUAUCAAGGAAAAAACUGUAUCACUUACGAGUUACGACCACUUCCAUGCAGAAGGUGAAAGAAAGAAAGAAAAUAUAUAACAUAACGGAAUAGUUCUCUAAUUGAUUACGGGCAUUAGUAAAUCACCUUUCAAGAGCUUUAUAAGAAUUAGGCUGCUAGCAUUUGCGUCAUGCUGAAGCAUGGGGCCAAAAACAUAGGAUGGGCAUACAGUUAAAACAUCAAGGCCAGUUUCUUUUGCAUAUUGUAAAGCCUCUCUUUCAGCAACCGUCUUGGAGUAACAAUACCAGAUCUGGAGCAAUAUUAGUACAGGAUGGUCAACCAAAAACUGAUAGUAAUUGCUAAAAUCUGAUUUCUCAGCAAUCUUAGAAGCAGUAUGAAUAAGACAGUGAUUUUUCUGCACAAUUACAAAACCAAGGUGCAACAGUAAAAAGUGUAAUUAUGUUGAUGCAUACAUUUGUUGCCUUGCAGUAUUCUCCGUCUGACCAACACUUCUCAUCUAUAAUUUCACCUUCAGGCAGAUUAGGACUCAUUACAACAGCAGCAAGAGAGGAAACCGCUACAACGCGCUUGACAUUUGCUUCAGAACAAGCCUUCAGUACAUUAAGGGUACCCUUUACAGCUGGCUCAACAAGUUCAACCUGCAAGAAAUCAUCAUGUUGGCAGAGGAACUAGCACUCAACUCUUCAUGCUGAACUGCUUGUUUUUGCGUAAAAUAUAUCCAGAUAGACGACUGAGUAGUGUCAGUUAACCUGACAUCUUUAGAGUGAAUGAGUACAUAGUUAAGAACUCAUGACUGCUUAUGCCAGCGAUGAACUUGGUUACCAGCAUAGGUUAUUAUUAUAUGCAUUUAUUCACUCAUUUCAACAUUUGAAAAAUCCUUCCACAAAUAGAUAGAAAGGCAAAGAGCCCCAGUGACUACAUAAGUUCGUACAAAAGCUUAACAAGAUCCUAUUUUAAACGAUACCCAACUUUAGCUCAUGUUUGGCAAAACGCAAUAAAAUAUCAUCUGUUAUGACAAAAGCUGUCUCUCAUAAACAAAAGAUAUGUUAAAGAUGUUAUUCUGGGGAAACCAAAAGGAUAAAAUAUCAUAGCAAUUGAAACGAUUGAAAAUGGUCUUGCCUCAGGAUUGGGAACAGAGCCUGAAGGAACAGGACUAGCUACAUGAAAUACGCCAUCACAACCCCUGAUGGCUGCAGAAAUGGAGUUGUAAUCCAGCAAAUCAGCCUUAAAGAGUUUCAAAUUCUCAGCUGCUUUGUCAAGUUUCUUCAGAUGAACAUAUUUCUCAUCCUCUACAAAACAUACACAGCAAUGCCCACAUCAUCAAAUAGCGCAGCACACAAUUCACAGCAGGUGCUUUUAUAUAUUUCUUCAAUUAAACAUAUUUCUCACCCUUCACAAAACAUUUACAGCAAUUCCCACUACAUCAAAUAGGAAACAGCCAAUUGACAGCAGGUAAAAAAUCAAUUGUUGUAUUAAAGGGAAUGAAACAAAUUAUACAAGACCCAAAACCCAAAAAAAAAAAAAGAGCAGUAAAUCAGGAAGGAAGGGGUAUGAGGAUGAAAUACGUACCGGGGUUUCUGAGGGUGGCAUGAACAGUAUAGUGGCGGGAAAGGAGUAGCUUGACUAACCAAGAUGCCAGGUAUCCCCCUGCUCCUGUAACACACACUGUCCUGUCCUUCUCAGCCUCCCACGCUGCCAUGUCUGAUUGCUUACUAGUAGCAGUAGUGGGAUUAGUAUUUUAGCACCAAAUUCACUAUAGACUGAUCAAGAAGGUGGGUGAAGUUCUAUUCUUUUCUUUUUGUGAAUAUUAAUUCUUUUUUGGUUGGACAAGGCAGAGAUUUCGUCGAUCCUUAAGGAGAGGGCGAUUGGAGGAGGAAGAGGAGGAGGGGGAGGAGGUGGUGGUGGAAUUUGAAUGGAUAAGUCCUGUAUGUAGGAGCUAGCUGAUUCCAGCAGUCUCUGUCAAUACUAGUAGUGAUCAGCAGCUAGCAGGCGUGGGGGCUUGUAUAUAGCAGCAGACCAAAGGUGCUGUUGUGAUUUGCAUGGCUCAUAGAUGACGUAGGGUUUCAAGGUUUCAGUGGGGUGUGGGGUGGUGGGGGGGGGGGAACGGUAAUAAUGGUAAAUGUAUGUCAAAUGAAAUUUGAGUGUAUUAUUGAGAGAUUUCUAGCAAUCUGUUAACAAAAUUUAUUUUAUCUAAAAAAGGAGUAAAAGAGCGUAAUAUUAUUAAGUUAUAAUAAAAUUUGAUGCAUAUAUCAAUAAAAUUAGAUAUUCUGUGCAUUUGAAUACAACAGUAUACUAUGAUUGUACCAUUGUCAGAUGUUUAACAAAUUUAUUAAUGGAUAUUAAAGUGUUAGAUUUUAUCUCAUAUUUUCCCAAUUUAUGACUCAGAUUUUAAAUUGAUUAACUCAUUAGAGAAUAAAAAACUCAUCCCGUUGCUAAACUGGACAAGUAACAAAUACUCAUGUCCAUAAUGGGGUUUUGCUUCUUAUUGAAAUUCUAUAAUGUGAACCAAACCCUAAAUCCCUCCAUCCUGAAAUAUAAACUAAACUACUCAAUAUUCAAAGCAAAUUCCGCUCAGUAAAAGUUUGUUCGAAUUUGAUUUGCAAACUAAUUUAAUCAAGUUACAAUAAAAUUUUAUGUUUAAAAAAAUUUUAACUGCAGCUCGAGCAUAGCUCGAUAAUCAUAAAAUUGGAUUUUAUAGAUAAAAAUUACUCGAAUUCGACUCAAUAAAAAUUCUUUUGAACUUGCCUCAGUAAAUAAACGAGUCAAUCCUAAAUACUAUCUCAAAAUUCUUUAAAAUAAAUAAACAAGAUACUUGGUUUGAUUAGACACAUUCACAGCCCUAUUUUUCAUAUGCUCGAUAAUAACAUAUUUCUGCACUGGACCAGAUCAGGAAUAGGUAUCUAACUCGUUGAGUUUUGGGACAUGUUUAUCAUUUUUUAAAAUCUUUUUUUUAUUUCUUGUUUUUUAGGAAAAAAACUAAAGGAUGUGUUUGGAUUAGAGACCAAUGAACUUUUUUCCCCCCCGUGCCUAAUUGCAGAUUAAAAGGAAGAACUAGUUCUUAGAUAACGUUUCUAAGUACAACUCUAUUACUCAGAAAACUGGUCUACCUGACUGUGGGUUUUCCUUUAGUCAUGCCAUUUUGUCAUUAGUGAUGAUUGCUUCUUCUAAACCUUAGCUCACUGCACACGCCAAGCGUAUGAAAGCCAAACUUAAAUUGAACUCGUCAAGUUGCAAAAUAAGAAAAUUUGGGUUACGUUUGGUAUGAGUAGUAAGGGAAAAUUUAAUUCCUAUAUUUAUGAUUCUUGACUAAUGUGAUUGUAGAAUUGUUGACUGAAAAUAAAAGGAAACUGACAAAGAAAUGUCAUGUGAUUGCAUGUGCAUGGUUAAAACAAUACAAAUUAUAACCAAUUUGAUCCCUUGUUUUUAAGGUUUUGAUCGUUUUGGUUCCUUAGUAUCAUGACAAGCCAAUUUUGCCUCUUAACUUUAAAAAUAUGGUUAGGGAGGUCCUUUUGAUAGAAAUUUGAGUCGCUAAUGAAGUGAAGAGACCCUUUAAUGCCUUUCGUGUCACAUCCGUCUCAACAGUAUAUUAAAGUUUCAAAAAAUCUCAAAUAAGUCAUAAAACUCAUAAAAAUAAACCCAAAACUCUUUAUCGUGAAGAAAAUAAAUUUUUGUAACUUUAAAAUAAAUCAAACACAAAACUUUAAACAUAAUUAUGGAUUUUGUGCCAUUUCCGAGUUGAAAUAUCAUGAAAAAGAGUACCUAAAGGUGAAAGAAAAAAUGCAUAAAUUUAUGUUUGACAUAGUAUAAAAAACUUUUAUUUCAUUAUAUUGAAGAGUUAUGGGUGAGUUUAUAGUUUUAGGCUUUUGUUUGAAUGCUUGGUGUUUUCUGCAAGAUGGUACGAAGUACCCUCUAAGGUCUCUUAACUCCGUUAACAACUCUAAAUUAGCCUUGACCAAAUUCUUAAAAUUUAAGAAAAAUUGGUUCGCCAUAAUACAAAGGGACUAUAUUGUUUGGAGAUAAGAUACCAAAUUAAUUAAUUUUUAUUCUUUGCGUAAUUCAAGUGAUUUCUCCGUUAGCUUCCCACAAUUUUGCUGCAUUAGUCUCUUUUGAUGGAGAUAGAGCACUAAAUUUGUUGAUAUGACAGACCAUAUUGGCUGAGACUUCAAAGAUAGAUGACCAAAGCAACAACAUUUCCUAAGUAGUUCAUGAAUCAAUUUCAUUGUAUAGUUAGAUAUGAUAGAGAAGAUGUGUCUUUUUUAAAAAUGAAAGGAAAUAAUAUUAAGUUAUAGAUGAUUUCUUGAAUAAAAGGGCAAUAAUAUUAUUGUACUCACUUUUUUCAUUAUUUUUAACUUAGACUAGUUUUCAUGAGGGGUAAAAUAUACAUAUUUAAUGUUAAUGGGAGCAAAGUGUGAUUAUCCACUAAGUUUAGGGGACGCAAAAUGUUAUUAACCCUUUUUAUAACUCACAAUUGUAUUAGAACUUAACUUACGCUGUAACCGUUAGGAUUUUCUUAUAAUCAUUCGACAACUCAGUAACCAUCCUAUUGUAUAAUAACUAUCCUACACCUCAUCAAAGCCUGGGUUUCUUAAACCGACAAAACUAGACAACAAGCCGAGGCCAUUCCGUUUCUUAAAUUUUUGGGCAUCUAAGCCUGGGUUUUUGGAUGUGGUCCGAUGCAACUGGAACGUGGCUUUCUCGGGGCCUCCGUUAAUGGUCCUUGCUGCUAAGCUUCGAAGUGUCAAGAUGGCGUUACGUGCCUGGUCUCGGGAGGUUUUCGGAGAUAUCUUUGGCUCGGUACGGGUGGCAGAGGACAUGGCCCUCAACGCUGAGUUGAGCUAUGACACUGAUCCAUCGGAAGACAAGCUUGUAGCAUUACAGAAGGCUCGGGCUCAUCUUCGGCGGUCGCAAGGGGUGGAGCAUAUGUUUUGGCAACAAAAAUCAAGGGUCAAAUGGUUGAAGGAUGGAGAUCGAAAUUCGAGAUAUUUCCAUGCAGUGGUGGCAGAGCGCCACCAACGGUCGGUAAUCCAUCGGAUUAAAUCAUCCACUGGGGAUUGGCUGGAGUCUGCGGAUGCCAUUGAGAGUGAAGCCGAAUCCUUUUUUAAACGGUUAUUUACGGCAGAGUCCCCUAGUGCAUCCUUUAAUGCUCUUGACGUUAUACCGAAAUUGCUGACGGACCAGGAUAAUGACAUGCUAGACGAGAUCCCUUCUAAGGAAGAAGUUAAGUCAGUGAUUUUUGCAAUGGAUGGUGGGAGUGCGGCUGGGCCGGAUGGGUUCUCGGGUAGGUUUUUUACGUGUGCAUGGGACAUUGUGGCAGAGGAUGUCCAUGCGGCUGUGGUAAGUUUCUUCUGUGGAGAGGUGCUGCCUAGGAGUAUAUCUUCCACUUCAAUAGUGCUGGUUCCGAAGGUCCAGUCUCCGCAGGAUUUUACCCAAUUCCGUCCGAUUAGCUUGUGUAACUUUAUCAAUAAGGUGAUAUCCAAGGUCUUGUCGGACAGAUUAGCAUGGAUCUUGCCGAAGAUUAUUUCCCCUCAGCAGAGUGGCUUUGUGAAAGGUAGGCAUAUCUCUGAUAAUUUUCUGUUGGCUCAGGAGCUUAUAUCUGGUAUUCGUCGCUCUAAUAGGGGAGGGAAUGUGGUGUUAAAGUUGGACAUGGCCAAGGCUUACGACCGCAUUUCAUGGGUUUUCUUGUUACAAGUACUGCGUCGAUUUGGUUUCACGGAGAGGUGGAUUGAUAUGAUUUGGCGAUUAAUCUCCAAUGUUUGGUUUUCGGUUCUGGUCAACGGCUCUCCUUGUGGCUUUUUCCAAUCUACUAGGGGGCUCCGACAAGGUGACCCCAUUUCACCGGCUCUUUUUGUUAUUGGGGCAGAGGUCCUGUCUAGGUUGCUUAACUCUUUGGUUGGCCAGCGUGGAUUCCUGCCGUUUAAGAUUCCUUCCACAUGUCCUGUCAUUACACAUCUAGCUUUUGCAGAUGACGUAAUUAUUUUUUGUAGCGGGGUUAAGAGUACUUUGCGGCAUGUUAUGAGGGUUUUGGGGUUGUAUUGUAGUACGUCUGGGCAGCAGGUAAAUUGUCUGAAGAGUUGCUUUGUUACUCAUGAUAAGUUGAGCCCUGCUCGUCGACGAGUGGUGUCACAAGUUUCUGGUUUUCAGGCCAAGUCCCUCCCACUUAAGUAUCUUGGAUGCACUCUCUAUUUCGGAAGACGGAGAUGUAGCUACUUCUUGGACAUCUGCUCCUCAGUUGCAAAGCGGGUUCUAUCGUGGAAGGAAAAGUUAUUGUCGCCUGGUGGGCGUUUGGUUUUAAUCAGGAGUGUUUUGUCGUCGUUGCCUCUGCACAUCCUUGCUGUCACGGAUCCUCCAAAGGGUGUGCUUCAUACCCUCGAGAAGGUUUUUGCAAAUUUCCUUUGGGGAAGGUCUGAGGGGGGUUAUCGCUACCAUUGGAUUAGAUGGGAGACUAUGUGCAAACCGCUUGAUGAAGGGGGGAUUGGUGUUCGGUCCCUGGCGGAUGUGUUGGAGACAUUUUCAGUGAAGCUAUGGUGGUCCUUCAGGCAAUGUUUAUCCCUCUGGGCGAAAUUUAUGCACGAUAAAUACCUCCAAGGCGGUCAUGUGUGUGAAGCGGAACUUCAGCGCUUUCAAUCUCCCACCUGGAGGAGGCUAGUCAGGUGCCAGGCUCUGGCAGAUUCCCAUAUCCGGUGGGUGUUGCAGAAUGGAAUGGUCGACUUUUGGCAUGAGAAUUGGAUGGGUGAAGGGUCGUUGUGUCAACAGGUUGAGAAUUUUGGUGAUCACGCCGUAGCGGACUUCGUGUUGAAUGGGAGCUGGAACGUUUCGAUGCUUCAUCAAUGGCUACCUGAUAGCAUUGUUUCUACGAUUAUGCAAAUACGCCCUCCUGAUAUUUUUUCUACAACCCCAGAUAGGAUGGUGUGGGACUUGGAGACAACUGGUUCCUUCUCCUUCUCAUCUGCAUAUAAUUUGGUCCGACAGGAAUCCAACAUUUCCAUCUUCUCCUCUAAUAUUUGGUUGUCAGCUUUGCCUGUAAAAAUCUCUUUUUUUAUGAUUAGGAUGUUAUCGGGCCGCCUGCCUGUGAUGGAAUCGCUGCAGAGGCGGGGUGUCUGCGGUCCAUCUCGGUGUUCUUGCUGUGUCAACCCAGCGGUGGAGUCAGUUGAUCAUGUCUUGUGUGUUGGAGAUGUCCCACGGUGGGUAUGGAAUUCUUUUCAGGUAGAGGCAGGAGACUUUGCACAUGUCUCAACGGUAAAACAUGCAGUCAUUCAAUGGUGGAUGCGCCCGGCUAAGAACAAGUUGAUGAAAUUGUUGUAUCAGAUAUUGCCUUCGCUUAUUUGUUGGCAUCUCUGGAAGGCUAGAAAUGUGGCGGUGUGGGAAGGAAAGGUGUUGUCAGCGAUACAGGUACAUGGCUUUAUUCUUUCGGAUCUCUGUGAUAUUCUUCAGAUGCACUUUAAGGAUAUGGGGGUGGGACGUUAUUCGUGGCAUCGACUACACAUUUCGCUGAUGGGGUGGAAGAAGGAAAUGAGGGUCACUUUAGUCAGGUGGCUGCCUCCGGCUUCUACCCUCCUAAAACUGAACACUGAUGGGUGCUCCUUAGGGAAUCCGGGGAGGAGUGGAGGUGGUGGGAUUUUGCGAGAUAGUGCAGGUUUUUUCAGACUUGGUUUUGCGGGUUAUUGGGGAGAGACGACGAGCCUACAUUCAGAAUUGAAGGCCUUGUUAUUUGGGGUUAAGUUGUGUGUCACGCAAGGCUUUUGUUGCUUGCACCUGGAGUCUGAUUCCAUUCUUUUAGUCCAAAUGGUCACAGGGGUUGGUAGAUGCCCAUGGGCCUUGCAACGAGAGCUGGACAAGUUGCUUGCCUUUCGGAAUGCUUUUCAAGCUGUCUCCCACUGUUAUCGCCAAGCGAAUGUGCCAGCAGAUCGGCUUUCUAAGAUUGGGACAGAUACCCGCUCUACUGUUAUCUAUAACUCGUUUGCGCAAUUGCCGCGUUUGGUUCGAGGAGACCUUAGGUUGGAUAGGCUUGGCUAUCCUAACUUCCGUGCUUCUUGAGCGCCGGCGUGCUUGUGUUUAGUGAUGUUUCCAUGUACUCGUUCAGCAAAAUGGGGGGAAAAGGGGAGGAUAGGUCAAGUCUUUUGUUCAUGGCCAUGCUGCAAAUCUUGUAACUUUUAUGAUUCUGUUUGAAUAAUAACGAUGAGGGCUGUCCUCUUUAAUAAAAAAAAAAAAAAAAAAGAUGAAGAAAAUUUCUUUCUGGCAUCUUAAUGCCUUAUAUCCAGUAUUGAGGGAAAAAAAUUAGUCGCAUUACAGUCUGAGAAUUUGAAUCCAGCAAUUUCAUGGUCUGACGUAGUCACCCAAGUAGGUUCUCCUUAAAACAGGGUCUUGAGGCAAAAUACACAUCAAAUAGGUCAUCUGUCGAUCUUUGAUUAUGUCUACACGUUCAAAAGAUAGGCUUAAUCAUAUUAGUGGAAAUAACUCAUAGUUCAUCAUAUAUUAAUUUGCUAUUCAAUUUAGUUUGAAUACAUGAUCAAUGUUAUCAUAUGCCAAAAAAGAUUGAGGAUACUUUUGACCUAGUUCUUUGCACUAACUUGAAAUCUACCAAUUGUUCUUUCUUUGAUGCACUUGCAAAAUCUCCUGCAAAAGUAAAAUAACUCAGUUGGUGAAUUUUGGCUAACUGAGAGGCCCUAUCUUCUUUUUACUUCUUUAGCACAAGCGAAGAAUGAAUUUAUGCAUAAUAACCGUGUGAUUCUAAUGAGAUAUGAUUUUUUUGGUUUUGCAUGCUGGUUAAACAAUUGUUCAAGCUCUUAUCUCGGUUUUUGAUACUUCACCAGUAUGUUGCUGCUUCAUUAGAAGAAUUUUCUAUUUUAUGACUGGCAAGUGAUUUGGUAUCUUAGCAGUUCAUCGAUUUUGGUGCUUUGUUUACAAUUUAAUUGGCUUCAAUGGUCCAUACAUAUAGGAACUUGGAAUUUACCCUUUUAUUUCCUUUUGCAUGAGCAAAGAUUAGUAAUUUUUAAUCAUAAUUUUCGAUUCCUCUAUUCUGGCCAUAGUGAAGAAAUCUACCUUUUUGUACUUGUGUAUAUGCACACCAAACAUCAUUGGGCUGUCUACUUUUGACAUUAUUCUUGAAUUACUCAGUUUAGAAUGUGUAUUAGCUGCUGGAAGCAAAUGCAUCAUCGUUGGCAAUUACUAAACAGAAAAUAUGCAUGCCAUUACUAUUUUCACUGAAAUUAGCAUCUAACUUAUAGUGAUCUAAUUAAAGGUUAACCACAUUGGUUUUGACUAGAACUAAGAGAUCACUAGCCCUCUUAUUUUUGGAUUUGCAUUAAUCCAGUAUCAUCAAACUUCUUCAAAUGGGCUCUUUAGCUACUAACCCCUUCAAAAAUAAUUUAGGCUUACGGUUCUGUUGAUGUCGCAAUUGCAGGAGGUUCAGAAGAUAACGAAAGGCUCAUCUAAGAUUUCUUAAGGUGUUUGGCUUAUAUCGCUAGAUUUACCUAAUCUAUUUUCAUCCUUCUCCGAUGUCAUUAUUGUUAAAGUUCAAUUCAUAAGUUGGUUGUGUUAGAAAAUUGGCUUAAUUUCUUUUUAGAUAGGUUUUUGUUUUGUGCGAAAGUAACUAGUUUUCUAAUUGGUUUUAGUUACUCGAAAUAGUAGCCAAGAAAUUUCUUAUUUUGUUUAGAAUUAGAAGUUAUUUCUUAUUUUGUACAAGUCUAGGAAUUAAAAUUAAUUUCCUGUUGUUAUUUGGAUUUUUUGACCAAAUAAUGUUUUUAUAAAUAUGUGGGUUGGCAUGCUAUAAAAGAAACACAUAAGGGCACACAAGGACGACAUGUAACCUUAUACAUAGGUGGUGAGAGAGAGUUCUUGGGAGAUGAGAGAUGGUAUACAAAGGUUGGACUUGAGUUCGAGUUGUAUUCUUGUAUAAGGUUUUUCUCUCAUAACAAAGAACAAGUUUCUCUCCGUGGACGUAGGUUCAAUGGAGUCAAACUACGUUAAAUAUUGUGUGUUGUUUAUCUUUCAUACUUGUGGCUUGUUUCUCAUUAAAUUAUUAUGUACUUGAUAUCUUAAUAGUUAUUUAUUCUGCAUUUAGUUCCUAACAAAUAGUAUCAGAACUUGGUUGCGAGAUUGGGCUGCUCACAAGCACUUGGAUCCCAACAAACUGAACAGUUGGAUCAAGAGUUUGGUUGUUCAAGGUUGGAUCCUAGUUAACUAUUGAUAUCAAGUAGGUUGGUGACUGUUACCAAUUGAACAAUUUAAUGGGCGGUAUCCUUAUUUCAAGAGUUUGGCAAAAAGCAUUGAUGGUGAAUGAUGAAAAGUCGAAAAGCAUAGAGAUACUUGACGGUGAAUCUAGGCAGGUGAUUCAAGAGUCAAGGAAAAGGUGGAAUCCAAUGUCGAUUUUGGACGUGAAUUGGUGGAGAUUUUCUCACAACUUCAAUGGUUGAUACUUCAUCCCGAUGGUUUUUAGAUUUCACUUAUGUUUUUUGAGUGGUACAGAACGUGUCCCAAAAAAACAAAGAGAUUUAAUUUCUAUGCGCCUGAAGACUCUGACAGUUACGAGUCUUUUGUUACAGGUGGAUUUUUGGAAACCACACGUGGCGAGAUAGUCCUGAGAAAGGGAAGAAGUACGAUGAUUUUACCACUUGGUUGCCUCAAUGAUUAAGGUUAGAGUUCACAGAAGGAGAUUUUGGGUUGCAAGUGGUGGUGAGAAAAAAUCCUGUAAAGGGAAAUGGUGAAUUGAGGCAUCUUCUCACAAAUCAACUAGAGGUUGUACUGGGUGUAAAUACACAUAUUCAUUUGGCGAUUAAAUUAAUUUGGUAUCAGAAUUGUAUUGAUUCGAGUGUGUAGUUCGGUACCAUAUUAUUUGGUAGUUGAAGGUAAAUAAUUGUUAAAAGAAAUUUUCGCCGAGAUGGAGAUUUGUUAGGAAAUUGACUUAAUUUCUUUUCAGACAGGUUUUUGUUUUGUGUGGAAGUAACUAGUUUCCUAAUUGGUUUUAGUUACUUGAAAUAGUAGCCAAGGAAUUUCCUAUUUUGUUUAGGAUUAGAAAUUAUUUCCUAUUCUGUACAAGUCUAGAAAUUAGAAUUGGUUUCCUAUUAUUAUUUAAUUUUUUGGCCAAAUAAUAUUCUCUAUAAAUAGAUGGGUUGGCAUACUACAAAGAGACACACAAAAGCACACAAGAGACGACAUGUAGCCUUAUACAUGGGUGGUGAGAGAAGAUUUUUAGGAGAUGAGAGAUGGUAUACAAAGGUUGAACUGGGGUUCAAGUUAUGUUCUUAUAUAGGAUUUUUCUCUUAUAAUAAAGAACGAGUUUCUCUCUGUGGAUGUAGAUUCAAUGGUGGAGCCGAACCACAUUAAAAAAUAGUGUGUCAUUUAUCUUUCAUGCAUGUGGCUUGUUUCUCAUUAAAUUGUAGUGGACUUGAUAUCUCAAUAGUUGUUUAUUCCACGCUUGGAUCCUAACAAACUGCUAAACCAAGAUUGAUGUAAUUGCGUCCUGUACUUGAGAUAAUAGAAAUAAUGAAAACAAGAGAGUUUGCAAUUCAAUUGAUUAAGGGAAGAACAGAGAAAAUCCCUGAAAAUGGGAAUUAAAGGAAACAAAGGAAACCCUAAAACUAGUUUCCAAGAACAAUUCUGUCGAAGACAGAAAACAAAGAAAAUAGUAUCAAAGGCUAUAUCGUUAUUUAGAAAACAAGAAGCACUUGAAGGUGAAUGUUGCAGAAAGUAGAAGAUCCCACUACAAUUUACUAGUUCAAGGAGCUAUAAUUAAGAAAGAAAGAAGAAACUCAGAGAAUUAGAGAUUGUUAUUGAUUGAUGAAUGAGUAGGAAGAAUGUAGAUGAAGAUGAUAAUCAAUUACAAGUAAUGGAAAUCGGAAAUCCAAGAACUGCCUUCAACUUACCACUCUCCUCUCUUUUAUUCGGCUACUACACUUGUCCAAGUCAGCUAAUUCAUUACAACCAACCGACAUACAAGAAUUAUAAGGAUUAUUCAUUAAGUCCCUAUCAUACUUGCUUUAUUACAAAAAAAAUAACCCUAUCAAUAAAACUAAGGUAACAAAUACUUCCCCCUCAGAGAAUCCUUGUCCUCAAGGAUUAAAUUCAGGAAAUUGUUGUUUAAGGUCAAACCAGAAUUCCCAGAUAGCAUCUUCAAGAAAAGAAUUGCUUCACUGCACCAAAACUUUUGUAGCAAGAGAGUUACCACAUUUCACCAAUUUCUGAUCAAGUAUGGCUAUAGGCUCCAUUAAUAAUUAUCCCUGUGUAUUGAUUGCAAAAGGAAUGUGUGAGGUAACUAGUGAGUGCCCACUUUCUUCUUUAGAAGAGAUACAUAAAAAAUAGAGUGUAUUUUUGCCAUAUUAGGCAGCUAAAGCUGAUAUGCAACAGGGUGUACUCUUUUGAUCGCUUGGAAAGGUCCAAAAAACUUAGAAGCUAACUUCUGACAAGAGUGUACCUUCAAAGAGUGUUGCCUCUAUAGUUGUAGUUUCACAUAUACCCAAUCUCUUGCCUAGUACUGUCUGUUAGACCUGUGUUGGUCAGCUUGUUGCUUCAUCCUAUUUUGUGCCUUGUGAAGGUUGUACUUUAAGUGAUGCAAAACUAUCUCCCUUGCUGCCAAGAUUCUAUCCACCACUUCCACUACUAAAUUCCCAAGUAGACAAGGCAUAUGCAGAGAUGGUGCAUGACCAUACACCACCUCAAAUUGGAUAACCUUAGUGGCAGCAUGAAAUUUGGUAUUGUACCAAUAUUCAGCCAAGGGUAACUAGAUAGACCACUGCUUUGGAAAAUCUCCACACAUUCACCUCAAAUAUUACUCCAAACACUUGUUUACCACCUCAGUUUGACCAUCUGACUGAGGGUGGUAGGUAGAAGAGGUAUUAAUCUGCACUUUCAGUAACUUAAAAAGUGCUAAUGAGGACCACAUCCUUGUCACUAACAAUGCUCUGAGACAACCCGUGAAGUCUAUAGAUCUGAUCCAGGAAUAUGUGGAAAUAUAAAUGCUGAAUAAGCAUGUGACAAUGCCAAGAAGUGUGCAUACUUACCUAACUUGUCAACCACCACCAAGAUGGCUUGUUUACCAUGUGCAUUAGGUAAACCUUCCAUAAAGUCCAUGGAAAUUCACUCCAAACCUUUUGAGGCACACGUAAAAGUCGUAAUAAACCCAAAUAAGCAGUAUUGUCAUAUUUGUUGCACUGAUAGACAUCACAUGCAGCCACAUAGUUGACUAUGUCUUGAUACAUUCUUCUCUAAUAAACCACUGACUUCAACUUCUUUUAGGUAGCAUAAACUCCUGAAUGUCUCCAACAGCACUAGAAUGCCACAAGUGAAUUAUAUUAUUCUUGAAUUGACCGUCAUUUUCUACCACUAGUCUCCCCAUCCUUCUUAACUGCCAGUUGCUCCAUGUGUAAUAAGGUGCGACCUUAGAAAGAUCAAAUUGUAAUUGAGUGAUGAAGGUCUAUAGCCUUAUAUCUCUUUGCCAUCCCUUUUUAAUCACUAUCAAAAAUCACUGUUAACAAUGAUGAUGCAAGAGCUUCUCUUGGUUCUGCUAGUUUUCUAAAGAGAGUAUCUCUCAUCAUAUUAUAUGCUUCUUUCCUGUAUUGAAGCUCAUAAUCAAAUCUUACUAGCUUAGCCAUCCAUUUCUGCUGCAUAAGAGUGUUCAAUCUUUGUUCCAUCAUAUAUUCAAUGCUCUAAUGGUCAUUUUUAAUGAUAACGUACCUUCCAAGUAGAUAAGGUCUCCACUUCUAUACAGCAGCAACUAUGGCCAAUAUUUGCACUUUUCCAAUAUAUUAUUAUAUGCUAUUCUCCCACACACCUAAAUCUUACAUUGUCCCCAAUGUAAAAUAAAGAAUAAAAGAAAAGUAAUGGGGAUAACGAAACUUCCUUGAUAACUGAGGGGGCCGUGGAUAGCUACAGGUGAGGAGCAAAUGAUUGUGGAGCUCGACGUAUGUUGAUGGUUGGCGGCAGUGGAGUUCGGAUGGAGAAGGAUGGAAGAAAGAAAGAAAGAAGAAAGAAAAAGAAGAGAGAAAGAAAGAAAGAAAAAGAAAAGGAAAAAGAAAGGAAAAGGAAGAGAAAAGAAAAGGAAAAUGCGAAUGGGAAUUGCUCCAAUCCCAGCUGGUUUUUUGUACUACUACUUUGCUUCUUGUACGAAGCUUGAAGAUGCAGCACGCGCGGGAAUUUUUUUUUUUUUUACAUCUGAUUUUGAUUUUUUUUCUUUUUCCUUUUCUGUAUUUCCUUUUCUUUUCUUUCUAAUUUUUUUGCAAAAACAAUCAAAUGAGAUGGAAUGAUUUUUUUUUUAAAAAAGGUAAAAAUAUAAAUAGAGAUAAAUAAAUAAAAAUAAACAAUAAUAGAUAUUAACAAAUCAUAAAAUGAUUUAUGAAAUUUUUUUGGUGUCUACAUAUAUACACAUACUAAUAAUUUUUAUAUUUAUAUAUUUUUCCUAUUUAAUCUUACCUAUAAUUCUUCCUUAUUUUAUUUACUUUCUCUAAUUAAUUUUAUAUUUCAAAAAUAUAACAUCUAAAAAUUUAUAUUAACGAAGAGGGCAUCUGUUAGACAGGUCCUAUUUUAUGUAGCAUAUUUGUACUACAUGGAAAAAACUUUUUUAAUAGGUAUCCCGUUUUUUAACAUGAAAAAUACCUUUUGACUACAUUCUGACUAGCGCCAAAAGCUAUCCACUUUUGACAUGUUGCCCAUGUGGGGUCCUUGAUGAUUGGUGUCACAAUUUUAACACAUGGUCGUACUAGGUACAAUGUGGUCAAUAUUGGAUUAGGAGCACUAAUUCAAAAAAAUUGGUGUAAUUGUACGGUUGUUAUUUUUUUUAUAUAAAAUUUGGCACAUAUUUAUAUAAAUGUUUAUAUAUUUUUAUACAUUUUCAAAAAAUAUUUUAUAUACUUUUUUAAAAAUAUAUAAAUUUUUGUAUAUAUAUUUUAAAAAUUUUGGUAUUUAUGAGCAAAAUUCUUACAUACAAUAAAAUAAUAGCAUGAUAUGAGAUGAAUAAUAAUUGAAUAGUACUGCAGUUGCCCCAUUUACCGGUGACGCUACUCGUAACUUGAUGUUCAAAAAGUACCACCAUAACUUUUGCUGAACUAAAUUUGAAAAAGCAUUUCAUCCAAUUUGAAUGGUAUCGAAUAUAAAAUAAUGUUCAAAGUUGAUUUGACAAGUUGGUGAACCAAAUCGAACGAGCUUUUACCAGACUGAACUUAAUUCGAAUAUCAGUAGUUUGAUUCAUCUUUCAACCUUUAUACCGACCAAAAAAAAAAAAUUCAAUUACCAAUCAAGUAUAAUGUCUUAUUUUUUUACCAAGUUUUUAAGGGUGUGCACACCAUUGUUCUCCCUUUUCCUUUGACAUGUAAGGCCACUUUUCCUGCUUCAUGUGUUGCCUAAUUUAAGUUUCGUUUUAUGUUGACUCCUAAUUUAGCGUCUUCUUGAAAGCUCCGACUAUUGCUCGGAAAAAAAUAUUGCUGUUGAAAACAAAGUUUUUUGCCAAAAUAACACUCUUUCUAAAAAAUAUUCCCAAUGUGAUUCACUUUCAAAUUUUAUUCCCAAAUCGAUGUUAUUGUUGCCACCUAAUUACCCUGAUUGCCAUGUAGGAUAACAAGAAAGGAAAGCUUUAAUCUAGUUUAUAGUUUCCAAUAAAAACUAAAAAUUUAAACUGUUUUAUUAUAGAGGCACAAGAAAAUUGCAUAACUUUGAUAAUUUCCUUAUAAUUAUUUAAAAUAAAUUUUACCAUUAUUGACCUUGCUAUUAUUGCUCUCUACAAUUUUUUUAAAUGUAUCAAACUUAUUGCAUAUAUUUUUUCAAAAAUAAAUUUGCAAAAUACAAAAAUUGCAAUGAACAUUAUAAGCAAUAAUAAGAAAAAGUUAAAAAACUUCAAGGUUAUCAUAUUUGUUCAUGUUAUGCUUUCUACUCCUUGAAAAGUACUUUUACAAAAAGUAAUCAAACUAUUGCAAUUAAGAUAAUGCUAAAGUUUAUCAAAAGUAACACAAGCCAUUAAUUGAUGUUGAAUAAAUAUGCAAAAAUACUUCAAGUAUACGAGAUUAUUUGAUUAUGUGAUAGAGAGGCACUACAAAUGAACAUGCUUACAUUGAGCAUGAAUUUAUGUUGUUACGUAGUUUUCCUCUUAGACAUUUUAUCAAGCACACGGUGUGAGAAAUCAUUUGUUAAAAGAAUUAGUAUUCAAAAUUUUUUGAAGGCCAUAAGAAUGUUCCAAAAACUGCACAACAGAAAAGACGAGAAUAAUCUUCAUUUACCUUGAAAUUAUUAAUUCGAGGAGAAUAUUUUCAUAAUAUCAGGAAUGAUAAUGAAGUUUUAGAUGUUGUUAAUAUAAAUAUUGACUUUUAACAAUUACAUUUGACAAGGAAAAAUAACGAAAGGACAAAAAAUAAUAAAGGAAAAAAAAGUGGGUAGGUUCAGAGAGAGAAUCAGGGAAGAUAUUAAUUGGAAAAGAGAGAUAGUACGUGUCUCUAUCUCUAUCCUACCACAUAUGCAACCUAUGUGGAAAAAAAAGAAUUAUAAAGGUAAUAAAUUUUAAAAUUAGGUUACUUUGGGUAUAUGUUUCAAAAGAAGAGUUAUUUUGGCAAUAAACUCGCUGAAAACAUCAUCACAUAUUUGGAAAGAUUUACUUGUUGCUCUGGAUUUUAGGUUUGAUCUUUAUUUCAUAAAGCAUUUUGUUAGAUUUCAAUGGCUUAAAAAAAUGAUGACUUUUGUUAGAAUAUUGAGCUCUCAGACAUUCAGUGCAGGCCUAAUAUUUUUUUUUUAGUACUGAAUUUGUUUUGGAUACGUUAGUAUUUCUUGAAUUUUAGAAAAUGCUUCUCUUUAAUAAAUGUAAGUUCAUUUUAAUCUUGAUUCGCAAGCUUUUUCUCGUAAAUGGUUUGCCAUUUCUUAUUAGUUGUUACAGUAAAUUUAACAUGCAUAUAUGCUUUUUGUCAAAAUUCAAUCAUUUCAAAAUCUAGAAGGGAACUUCUAAAAUACCUGCAUCCUCCUUUUUCUUUUUUCUUUUUUAUUUUUCCCCCUCUUGGCUUUGUAUUCAGAAUCAGAUUGUGUUCAAUUAGUUGGAAUUUGGCUUUGGAGUUAGAAGGGAUUUCCAUUUUUUCCUAGGUAUUCCACAGCUUGCAUACCAAAAGCACAGAGGCGGAAGAAAACCUAUGAUUAAAUCAUACAACAGGCUUGUAAGAAAAUGCCCACUUUGAAAAAAAUGAAAAGUUGAAUUUCCUAUUUUCAAAUUUACAUGCAAAAAAUGAAAAAUGACAUGCAAGAAAUAGUCUACUAUUUCGCAAUGUUUCAUAGUUAUGAGAAAUAUAUUACAAAUAAAUCCACAUAAAUGGUGGGAAUAAUAACUCAAAUAUGGUGGGACAAAUAAACAUACAGGGUGACCCCUGCCAGCUGAGAUAACUAGCUGGUUUAUUUAAUUUAAUAGUUUGAAUACAAUAGUAAAUCAAUGCCAUAGCUCAGAUACUGACUAAAUUUUUCUCCCUGAAGAAUUCAACAGCAUCUUUUAGGCUGACCUCCAAAGGAGUGAAUCCAACUCCCAACCUUUUUGCCUUCUCAUUGGAGGCUCUGUAGUUUGGGCUGAUAAGGUUGGUAUUGUUUGACAUUCUGCUGUAUGCGGGACAAUACACAAUUAUGGCAAACAUAAAUAAAGCUUAGGUAAUGAAAAUGCAAAUGUAAAUUCAAAUGCUUGAAAAUCUACUGGACAAUUGCCUCAUAUCUACUGUAAAUUGUGCCUUUUUUACGAAGUUUCAAAAGACCUUUUAAAAGAUAACUUUAGUUGUGAUAUGAAUGAAAUUUAUUUUUCUCUAAAAAAAAGCCUAAAACGGAAUUUCUAUUUUGGAGACAAAGCCAAUUUGGUGAUAUAUCCUAGUCCAAAGAAGACCAUCUUCUAGAAAUCAACCUGAGAAAGAGCUCAUUUUUUAUGGAACAUGAGACCAAAAGAAAAAAAAAAGAAGGCAGAAAAUUUAGGAUUUAGUGUCCUUUAAAAGAGAGUAUAAAAAUAUGUGAUACAUUUUGGACGUAUACAAGGCCAUCAGCAAAAGCCUGCAAAGACCUAAACAAGGAAAACAAGACUUACUUAUCAGGAAAUUGGUGAGUUGGGUAAUGCUCAUGCAAAAUCUUGAUGAUCUGAGAGGCAUUUGCACAUCUUUCAACCAGACAAUAUCUUCCACUUGCAGAAGGGGUUUCAAGGGCAAGAACAUGUGCAUAGGCAACAUCUCUAACAUCAACCCAGCUACAUGUUGCCUUAGGAAAUGGUUCAACCCCUGCAUUUGGCACCUAAGAUCUUUAAACACAUUUUUUUGCAGGCUCUUCAGCAACAUAAGUGAAACUGUGCAUACAAUUAAAUACAAUGUUGUUUGCCAUGAAAAGAGUCAAAUUUAGAGGCCUUCCAGAAGAAAUGUGUUGUAUGUACUACUUUGUUCUGUUUUAGUAUCAGCAAAGCCACAGAGGGGAGGGAGAUGUGAGGAAUGAACUACUUGAGACAAUUCAGAUAAUUGGUGAAUAAUAAGAAAGAUUAAUCCCAACAAUUUUCUAGUUAAUCUGUCGAGUUAUUACCUGGAAUUUCUCAGAUUUAGAGUUAGGUUUCUCUUUCAAAGGAUAGUUUAUUUAUUUAUGUGAGGAAUAAACAAGCUUUAGCAAGUCUGAACAACAUAAACAGUGACUACUCCUAACAAAUUUUUCCUCACAAUUACCACCCAAAAAUUUCUUUUCCUUCCUGUUAAUCACAUAGAACCUCAAUGUUGUUGAAAGGAAGAUGCACACAACGUGAAUUUCAGAUGAAAGAUUGUCCUGCAAACCUUUAAAACAUCAUAAGCUGGUCAGAGUUUAUAGCUUGAUAUAUCAGUUCACAUUCUGACCUAUGUCUGUCAAUCAUGUGAUUAGCCAGCAGUGCCUUGAAAUGUUAUUAGUCAUAAGUUUUUUGUUCUACUGUAACAAAGAAAGUUGUGGUGCAUAAUAAAGCUAUAACUAACAUAGAUGGAAGAGUCAGUUAGACAAUGAUUACUAAGGUGAUUCAAUAAAUUUUGAAACAAACCCUUUAAUAGGUUGAGGAACAAAACAGCGCUCGAAUUAACAGAUGGCUGCAAGAGAGGACCAAUGACCAAUCCUGGAUGAAUUGUAAUCACGUCAAUGCCAUGAUCCUUUGCAAAUUUCCAUGCAGCAUUCUCGGCCAUGGUUUUUGAAAGUUCAUACCAAGACUAUCAACACCAAAAAAUCAGUAAAUGUUGGUAAGAUGGUAGCAGAAAGUAAUUAGAUUUGUAAACUUUAAGAAGUAACAUUAUAAAUUUCUACAAAUUUGACAAAUCCAGCAACUUACAUCAGUUGAAACUAUUAUUGCUGUAGCUACAAAGCACAGAGUGAAAGUAUCCACAUUUCCCAGGACAAGCUAUGCCAUAAGUGAAUAAGCAGAUUUCUCAAGGAUCCUAGGAAUGGUGUAAACUUUCUAUAUUCAAGGAAUGAUGCAAAGCACCAGUGUCGACAUAUCCUGGUCAUCUGACCUCUUAAUCCACAAGUUAACAGCAAAACUACAAGGGACCUUGACACUUUAACGCAUAUAGUCAUAUUCAUAAUAUUAUAGCAGAAGUUCCUUUCCAACUGACCGACCAAAUAUUGCUCAUCUUGGUGUGUAUUCUCAGACAAUAGUAUAGAAUUUGAUCAUGCAAGAGAUGCAUAAUUAAGUAGGAAAACUUUCAUAUUGCUCUUUCCCCGACUAUUCCACACUACAUUAUUAAUUUUUCAUUAAAGUUAAGUUGUUACUUAGAUAGAAGGAAAGAAAUGGACUGACCAUUCUGGUUACAAAAAUAUCCUUCUUUUUGCCUAUUAAAGUACCACCAAGUCAUGAAGAUCCUAACUUAAUUAUCUCCACAGCUGGGCUAACUCCUCAUAUGUGUCCCAAUAACAAGUUAAAACUAAAGAAUUCCAGCAUUCCAUAUUAGAUUUUACUGGAAGAAGACAGAUAAUAUGUGUACCUUUUGCUCCUCACAGUAUGAUGGAUCGGAAAACCAACUUUCAUCAACUACCACAUCCUCCUUUAAUUCUCUGUUUUCUGAAACUGCAACCAUAGAGGAUGUUAUAACUACUCUUUUGACAGAAGAAGAAUUUGCACAUGACCGCAGCACAUUCAGUGUUCCACGUACUGCAGGUUCCAGUAGUUCUGCCUAUGAAAUCAAACCAAGUAAAAAAGGAAGUCAUUACCAGUCAUAGGUAAGACUAUGCUUUUUAACCUGCAAAAAACUUAUCAUUCUGGUAUUAUGUUUGAGAAUUUCACCACAAAUGCUGUAAACCUACAGCUUUAGUUACUUAGCUAAAGGAUGCAUAUAGUUGUCUUAUCUCCUCUUGCUGCUAAAAUAAGUUCUCAGGUCCUUUAUUGUUGUUUUUUCCCAUAUUAGUUACUUAAGACCGAUAGAGGAACAACUGAAAUAAGUCUCAGAUGUGGUCACCAAUUAAACCGUUUGGUACCAAAUAUCAACCGAUGAAAUUCUGUUCUGGCUUGAACAGGACAGACAGAAAAUAUAAAAGGUGUAGCUCCCAUGAAUCCUGCGAACAGAUUUUAGCGUGAACACAUAAUGCAUGUUGCAAUUUCUUUUAGUGUCUAUGAGUCAACCUUGUUCAUUGAAAUGACUAAAAUCAAAGUUCUACAAAGUUACUUAAAUAAAAAUCCAUAAACACAAUUUGAGAAACAGACAAUGAUAAGUGUACUGCAUAAAAUUUUAAGGCACAAUCAUUAAUAGAAGUUAAUCAACUUACAAAUGAAGAUACAUAUAAUUUGCAGAUGCUUGAACAUAUAUUGUAGUUUCUAUAAGCUUCUUAUUCAUUCUGGUAUGGGCACGCAAAAGCUAUUGGCUCUACACUGGCUGAAUAAUUAGUUGGUCAAAGCAGGGAUUCAUUUGCUCCAGGACAAGCUUAUAGCUUGCUCUAUAACCUUACCCUGACUGACUUACCCAGGAAAAUAGUUAGUCGGACCCAAUCUACUGCCCAAUUGUGGACCAUUUGCUAUGUUUAUGGCUCUUAAUGUUUUUAUUUCACAACAUUACACCCUUUGAAUUGUUUCUCUGAAGUACCAAUUUCCAGAUCAUUUCAUAGAAACAUCAUGUAUACUGAUUAAAAAGAGACUAAAGCCCAUAACACACGACAGUCUUUUUUGUGAAUGACCUGCAGGAACAGAUUAGUUUUGUAUGUACCAAAUGUAAAGAAAUAUUCUUCAGGUGUUUGACCUGAUUGCUACAUUAAUCUCCUCCCUUUGGUUAAUAAAAGAAAAAGUAGAGCCAUAGAAUUGGAAACAUUUGAAUCUAACUAUUUUUUUUUUUUGCCUUUACAGUUAUAACCUUGUCAUAAAUCACAUAUAGAGGAGUAGACUAUCACCCAAAAAAGCCAGUAAAAAUGCAACAGAGGAAGAUACUAAAAGAAGUCGCACAAUUAUAAAUCAGAAAGUAUGCUACGAUUUUCAAACUUCAAGAGAUAAAUAGCAGAUUGUGUAGACAGUAGAGAAUUUCCAAUCUUGUAAAGCAAAUGUACCUCUGGAUUGCUGAAUGAAAGUUUGAUUGGAGAUGCAGUAUGGAAAACCCCUUCACAUCCCUCGACUAUUGCAUCAAACGAUCCCUCUUCUAGUAAGUUUGCCGAGUACAACUGAAGCCUUUCCUUAGCUCCAUCAAGUGAUGUCAAAUGUUGUGUCCUUUCCGGAUCAUCUGUGUCAUGAUUGCAUCAGUAGAAUGUUCAGACAGCUAUAGUCAAAACCAUGCCGCCUUGGUAAAGUGACUAUGUUUUCACUAUGGCGCAACUCAAGAAGCAAUGGACUUAGAGCAAUAAUAAACGAACCUCAAAGCAAUGAUAAAUUUGACUAGCUAAAGGCAAGCGGGGAAAAACGAAAAGAAAUUGACGGGCAACAUAAUAUGACCACAAUAAUAUCAUAGCCCUAUGAUUUCUGGUUUUGAGAUGUGUACAUUUGUAACUUUCUUGAUAACAAUUAAUUCUUGAGAUAAUUAUCAGAGGGACAAUUGUAUGCCAUCUACCACUAUUUUUAUAACAAACUCAGUUCUUCAGAAGAAGGAUAUAGAUUCGAUAGGCUAAAGAUUUUUGAGUAUAACUUGAUCGUUGUAUCUGGAGCAUGAAACAUUACUGUUAAGGUAUACAUUAUAUAGUUUCAGGCUUUCAGCUACUCAAAUAUCAAUUAGGUUGGUCCACAUCAAUUUUUUUUUUGCAUGUGAUUUUCUUUUGAGCAAACAGAACAUGGGGAGCAUUUAGCUGUUGCAAGAAUAUCAUCUGGAGCUACAAAACAAUUUCACACUGCAGAGUUGAAUAAAAAUGUUGGGCAAAUUACAUAUAAUCCUCCUGUGGCUUUGUCUGUUGCCACAUGACCCUUCUAACAUUUUAAAAUAUCCAAUUCACCCACUAUGAUUUUAUGUAAAGCGGAAACUUGAUGGAGAAUAGCCUAUAUAAUGUCGUUAAUUGAAAUACCAUUAGUACUUUUACUUAAAUGCUAAAUCAAUCGACGAUUUAAUUACCUUAUAUAAAAGUAUAAGGGGAUUAUAUGGAUAAAUAUAAAAAUCACAGGAGGGAUAAAGUGGACAAUUAUAUAUAAGAGAAUUACAUUGAAAUUAAGACUUUAUCACACACGCUUUUAGAGCGCGUUUGGUAUAAAUGCCGUAACUAAUUGUGCAUUCCAUCAUUUUCCGCUUUACAUAUAACUAUGGGGGGUAUGUGGCUAUUUUGAAAUCUUAGGGGACCAUCUAGCAUUAUAUAAAAUCACCCUAAAAUAUAGUUAUAAGUAAUUUACCCUAAAAUGUUAGAUUCCAGGAGCAAUUAAACAACAAUCAGAACAGGGCAUCAAAAACUGCACAAGCCACUAAGAUAGUUGAUCAAGAACAAAAACUGGACUUACAGGCAUCUCGAACUGAACCUUUAACAAUAUAACCGCGCUCGAGCAGCAGCUUCACCAGCCAUGAAGCUAUGUAACCCGAAGCUCCGGUCACACACACCAUUUUCCCUUCUCCUGCUCCACUCAUUUUGUUAAUAUUUUUGUGUGUGAACCUGUCACCUGUUUGCCUUACUUCUGGACUUAAUGGAGGGAGGCAUAUAUGGUGUAUAUAUAUAUAUGGUGAAGAAGACGAAAGAUUGGAUAUGAGAUUACGUGGGAGACUAGGGAGAUCCAUAUGUAUUCUUGCAAUUUGCAUGCAUCAUCGCUGACAUACGUAUGGUAUAAUCGCGUCACAUCCCAUUUUAUCAAGGUCAAUUGAUCAGUGUAAAAUAGAAAUGAACAAUAAAUACAAUGGUAAAUUACCUUCUACACCCUAUGAUUUGAUGUUUUAUCACAUAACUCCCUAUAAUUUAAAAACCUAUAUAUGACCCUUUCGUAGUUUGGGUUAUUGUGUCACUUUAGAUUUUUCUGUUAAAACUAACGGUCAAUAGUAAAAAGUCAAAUUCAAACUACUAAAUUGACAAAUUCACCAUUUCACUACUUUUUUUUUCUUGUUUUCCUUUUCUUUCUUUCCUUUUUUUUUCUUGGAAAGAGAAGAGAUGACUUUGAAAACUUGUAUUUUGGCUUACAAAACCUUAAUUGUUUCCAAAUACAAAAGAGACAGAAGGGAAAUAAAAAUAAAUCAACAAGAAACAAAAAAUAUGGAAGGUAAAGAUAUAACAAAUAAAUAAGAAACAAAAAAACACCAAAUCUUUUUUACUAUGAAUAUCAUUAUAGGUUUUUAAACCAAAUCUUUAAUAGUAUUUUCUAGUUCUUAUUUAUCUAUUUUUUAUUUCAAUUUCUUCUUUUUGAUGUUUGGAGGAAAAAAAAACAAGUAAUGAAGGGAUAAAUUUGUCAAUUUAUUAGUUUGACUUUUUAAUAUUAACUGUUAGUUUUAACGAAAAAACUAAUAAUGACACAUUAACCCAAAUCAUGAGGGGGUUAUAUAUAGUUUUUAAACUAUGGGAGGUUAUUUGAGAAAAUAUCAAACUAUAGACGUUAAAAUGCAAUUUAGCCUAAAUCCAAAAUCAGGCGGUUGCAUAUGAAAAAAUACCAAGGUUCUUGACUUUGCUCAAUACAAUUCCAAGUCUAGAGACACAAUUUUUAAAUUCACUACCAGGAUAAACCAUUCUCCUUUUUUUUUCCAUUUUUUCGGGUUAAAAAGUACAAACUACUUGAACUAGAAACUAGUCCUGACAAAGUUUGUGGGUUUUUUGCAAGAGUUUUAGUUAAAUAUUGGUUACUUCGCCUAAUUUGCACCUAUUUUAUCAUGUAAAUUCAUGCACACUUUUAAAAAAAUAAUGCAUGCACUUAUAUUAUUGCCUUUCUUACAUUUAAAUACUUUUUUCAAUUUAAUUUUACUUUUCUGGCAAAACUAAAUCUGAAGCCCAUUUCAAGAAAUAUCCACCGAAUACCAGGUCAACAAACCGCCUUCGUAAUAAAGAACGAAAGGGACCGCAGCGGUCUUUAACACGCAGCGGUCUUUUUGCAUCUAAGAAAGCUUUUGAUUGGCUAGAAAUCCUUCUCUGAUUGAGAACUGGGAAUUGACUUGAUGAUGGCAACUCCAUUUAGAAAACUGGUCCACACCCUUGAAUGUGGUUUAAAUUUAAUAGGGAUAAUUUCAUAAACCUCCCCUGAGGUUUCUGACAUUUACACUCACCUCCCCUGUGGUUUGAACAAUUACACUAACCUCCCCUGAGGUUACUAAUCCUUUACAAAUUCAGUCCAAAUGAUUAAAAUAUUGUUUUAGAGAGUGAAAUUAGAAUUUUGUACCUGAUUUGCCCUUUGUGUUACAUAUCCAAUGAAUGACAAAGUAUUACAAAUUAAUUAAUAAUUAAUAAACUUUAAGGAGCGUAGUUUAUAGGAAAAAACGUAUUACUUAGUUAAAGUACCAGCUCUUUACGAGUAUUUUACUUUCAAACAUUUACUUUAUUACAAAUAUUUAUUCUCAAAUACAGAUUUGUAUUACUCUCAAAUAUUUAAUUUUUGUUAAAUAAAAAACCUACCAGUUUUUCUUCCGUAGAAAUAUUAAUAUAACAUUUUUUCAAUUUUAGUUAUAAAUAUUUAUGUAUUUAGUAUAAAUUAAAUGAUUCAGGAUUAAAUACUCAUAAAGAGCUAAUACUUUACUCAUGUAAUGGAUGAAAAUCAUAAAAAAUUAAUACUUUAUGGGCCAUUUCUUUUUUUAAAAAAUAUUUAAUUUAUGUUAAAUAGAUAACUUACUGAUUUUCUUUUUGCGAGAAUAUUACUGUAACACUUUUUAAUUUUUAAUUACAAACGUUAAUAUAUUUAUCAUAAAUUAAAUAUUUGAAAAUAAAAUAUCUGUAAAGAGUCGUUACUUUAAAUAGGUUAUGUGUAUUUGCCUAUAAACUAUACUCUUUAAAGUAAGGAGUAUAGUUUAUUGAUUUAGCUAGUAGAGAAUCUUUUGUAGGUGGCGGGUUAGUCCUCUUAAGAGACAAAAAUGGGUAUGCUUUUGGUAAAACGAUUAGUUUAUACGUGUAAGUACGAGCGUGCACAGAAAAGUGGUUGGAUCUAUUUAACUGUCCGCACAAUCAAUAAUCUUUGGUAAGCUUUCGACGAAACUUCAGAGAGAGAGAGAGAGAGGGGGGGACCACACUGGAUCGACGUAGUAUUAUGUAAACUAUUGGUAUAGUAGCUGUUAUGGUACUUAUGUCUAAAUGAAAUAUUUGUGCUUGAAUCUCGCACCUUCUAAAGAAGCCAGGCAAAAGGAAAAGAAACAUAUAAAUAUUAUUGUUCUUUGAAACAUUUUUAAAAAAGAUGGGUGAAAAUGAAAAAAAACUUUAAUUCCAAGACCAUUUAUUUUAUCAAUUACACUCCUUACUUAAAUUAAUAAACUACACUCCUUAACUUAAAUCAAUAAACUAUACUCUUUACUUUAAAGAGUAUAGUUUAUAGGUAAAUACACAUAACUUAUUUAAAGUACCCGCUCUUUACAGAUAUUUUAUUUUCAAAUAUUUAAUUUAUGAUAAAUAUAUUAACGUUUGUAAUUAAAAAUUAAAAAGUGUUACAGUAAUAUUCUCGCAAAAAGAAAAUCAGUAGGUUAUCUAUUUAAUAUAAAUUAAAUAUUUUUUUAAAAAAGAAAUGCCCCCAUAAAGUAUUAAUUUUUUAUGAUUUUCAUCCAUUACAUGAGUAAAGUAUUAGCUCUUUAUGAGUAUUUAAUCAUGAAUCAUUUAAUUUAUGCUAAAUACAUAAAUAUUUAUAACUAAAAUUGAAAAAGUAUUAUAUUAAUAUUUCUACGGAAUAAUAACUAGUAGGUUUUUUAUUUAAUAAAAAUUAAAUAUUUGAGAGUAAUACAAAUCUGUAUUUAAGAAUAAAUAUUUGUAAUAAAGUAAAUGUUUGAAAGUAAAAUACUCGUAAAGAGCUGGUACUUUAAAUAAGUAAUACGUUUUUGCCUAUAAACUACACUCCUUAAAGUUUAUUAAUUAUUAAUUAAUUUGUAAUACUUUGUCAUUCAUUGGAUAUGUAGCACAAAGGGUAAAUCAGGUACAAAAUUCUAAUUUCACUCUCUAAAACAAUAUUUUAAUCAUUUGGACUGAAUUUGUAAAGGAUUAGUAACCUCAGGGGAGGUUAGUGUAAUUGUUCAAACCACGGGGGAGGUGAGUGUAAAUGUCAGAAACCUCAGGGGAGGUUUCUGAAAUUAUCCCAAUUUAAUAACACCAUUUCAUCAUUUCUGACGACUGCUUCUUCUAUAUCGAUCCUAGCUCACUGCACACGCCAGUCGUGUGAAACUUGGCAAAAGAGUUACACCUCCGUCCUAAAAUUGUUUGUCGCAUUUCGAGAUCCAAUUUUUUAAAAAUAGCAGCUUGAUGAUGAUAUUUGUAGAUUUGUUUUAAAAAUUGUCAUCAAAAAUUCAAAUUUUAAAUUGAAUUUAGUAUGAAAUAUAGAUAAAGAUUGGAAUAACAUUGAAAAAAAGAGAUUAAAAGUUAUUUUGAUUUUGAUAAGAUGAUAAAUAUUUUAGAACGUUUCAAAAUAAAAAAAAAUAUAUGACAUUUUCAAUGAAACAAAAGGAUGGUGAGAAUAUAUAUAAGAUACUGAAAACUAGCAUCCAUCUGAAACAGUCAAAUCAAAGCCAACAUAUUACUUGUAGUUUGGUUAUAACCAUAUCUCAGCUUGCUGGUAGCCCAAAAAUUUAGCAAAAUGAAUUAGGAAACCAAGUGCGAUAGAGCAUAUUUCACCCAAAUAUAUUAAAAGUGAAAAAGAUUUAUUUUUAUUUAGUCAAUCUGAUUUUUUGUGUCCACAUGCCCAUAAAGCUCAAGGACCAAAAAGCCAAACAUACGAAGUGAAAAUGUGAAGAGCAAUAAUUUGAAAGCAAAUAAAAAAACGGGUAGAUGGAUAGAAAACCAUGUCGAAGGUCUCUUCUCUUUUGAGUACGUAAGUGGCAGCAAUCAAUUCCCAAAGAGUGGGCUCUGGAGUUGUUAGUUACGUUGAAAAAUCAUGAAGCAGAGUUGUUCGAGAUGUUAUCUUGGGCUAUUUGGCUUGGGAGGAACCAAAAGCUGCAUGAAGAUAAACGAGUGGACCCUUUUGAGUUUAGUUAGCUUUGCUUCGGGUGCGCUCCAAUAAUUCCAAGAAGCUAAUGUUACUCAGAAAUGUCCAUCCUUAUCAAAUCAAUCUCACUUGUGGCAACCUCCAGGCGAUGGCAAGUUAAGGUUUAAUUUUGACGGUGUGGUGUUUAAGGAAACUCAAUCUAUUGGUUUAGAUGACGGUGCGGUGUUGAUUUAUCUAGUUUAGGCCCUCCAAUUGUGGACGUCACGAGGGACUUAACUAGUUUAGAGACGUCUAGUAUUUGAGGGAUGAGUAGGAAUCACAAUAAAAUCACUCAUAUAUUAGCUAAGAUCGCAAAAUUCAUAUGUGAUCAUGUCUUUUGGUGGAGAGAUCAUCCAGAGUUUGUUGUGCCAUUUCUAAUGGCGGAUUUGUUAGAAAGUUAAUGAAAGUUCAAUACAGGUUAUGUUGAGUAAGACGUUGGAUUGAAAAUUCAAGAUUUUGAACUGAAAUUUCAAGAUUUUGAGAUGAAAAUAAAAGAUCACGCUAAACUUAAUGGAUUCAAAUCUUAAUAUGUGCAAAUGCGUUUAAUAACCAAAAUUGGACAUCUGAAUUAAUUAAGUGCUACUGAAUUUUCUAAACGAAAUUUGUUCUAAAAAAUAAGUGAUAAACUAUGCAUUUAUUACUGAAUGUGAUAUACACUUAAAUAUACUUGAUUUAAUACUUAACAAUCUAAUAAAUUAAUGGACUCAGAUUUUAGAUUUCAAUUUUAUCAAAGUAACCUAAAAAUAUAGACUAUAGAUAAAAUAACUGCAGAUAAUGAUUUAUGUUGAGUAAGCUUUCAAAGCUACGUUUCCCAAAACAAACUUUAGAUAAUCAUUCUCUAAUUUUUGCUUUCACUCUAGAAGAUGCGUACAAUAAUGGGUGUAUACAAAAAUGGAAGUUAAAUUGAUAACACUAAGCUCGCCAAUUCUCAUAAAAAAAAUGAUGACAUUGCCUGCAUUAAUUCUAGUAACGGACUGAAGACAAUAAUUAAUAGGUGACUAUAUGGUGCCUAAGGCACACAAUAAAAUGUGGACUUGGUACCAUUAUUUAUUUUUGUGAAAGGAUAAACCUAUUUUGUAAGGUGUCGCAAUUCAUCAUCAUGAAAUGAGUGGUAAUUUUAAAGCAUUAAUAGUGAAUUCACCUUCAUUUUUAACGUUCAUAUCGCAAAGCCUAUUAAAAAAUUUCCACCAGCACAAAUUCCACUUUUAAUAGGUUCGAAAAUUCACUCACAAAUUUAUCCACAAAUCCCAUUAACAAAAAAAAAAAAAGAAAAUGCAGAAAGUUAUCAACGGAACUUCUAUAGUGCGUUGACGCGCGACACGUGUUGGUUGGAGAUUACUAGAUGGGAGUGGGGUUAAUCAAAGGUGGUAUUUUAGUAUUAAGCCCAAAAACCACCGGUAACAAUGGUAUUGACCCAAUUUCUAGAGGAAUUGACCCACAUAAACUGUGAAAGAUUAUUUUCUCUGUCAUUUAAGGCAAUUUCUGAACAAGAUUUAGGCGUAUAAUAAAGAAAUUAUCAACCCCAACCCCCAAUAUUAUGCUAAUAUGCAAUUGGAAAAAAUUAAAUGAAUAUUUACUUGAAGUUAAGAAGUGGAUACCAAUCGGUAGAAAGUGUUUAUAACAUACUCCGAAAUGCCAAAGGACUUCCCAAAAAGUGGGAAGCAGGACAACAUCUGAAAUAUAGUCCAAGUUUGAAGUGCUUUAUGUCAAACAUAUUUCAAUAUAGAAAAAAAAAAAAUUACUGGUUAGCAUAUGUUUGUGCGCAGUAUUUGUUGAUUGGGAGACGGUUCUAAGGAGGCGGUUUUGCAACAAAUAAGUAAACGGGAUGUCGAUUACUUGGAGUUGUAUCUUAUGCUGGAAAAAUAAUUAGACAUGUCAGUUAAGUAAUAUUUCAAUUUAAAUAAAGUUAGUUAGGAACUAGAACUCGUAACAUGGUUGGAUAUGGUUAGUGAAUAGGAUAUGAAUGUUGGGGGAUAGAAUACAACUAGAAUUACUAAGACAAAUUAAGCGUGACACUUUGAAUUCAAAUUUUACUAACAUUGCAUAAUAACACCUUUGACUGAUAAUUUUUUUUGAUACGGAAACUGGAAAAAUUUUAUUAAGAAGAGGAUAGAUCCGUAUUAAUUGCGAAAGAAAGAAAAAAUGGUGGAGAAAAUCUCCAACUAUAAAUACCUGAAAUAGAACUAGCAUUACUAUCUAAGAAAUGAGCAGGCACAAUUAGAUUCCUAGGAAUCCAAUCAGCCUCCCAAGUAAUGAAAUUCUGUAAACUAACAAAGAUAUCAUCUAACAGCACUCCAUAAGCUGAAUCAUCGGAUUCCAUAUUUUUAAGCAUGUUGAUGAUCUUCAAAGAGUCACCCUCUAAAACAAUCUUAGAACCUUCAACUGAAGUAACGAGGAAAUUGCAGAUAUUGCAGCAUAAGUUUCAGUUACUUCAGGAGAAAAGAUACCUAAGAUUUUGUGAAAAAUACUAGCAACAAAUUUGCCCCAUUCAUUCCUCACAACAAUUCCAACUCUAAAGUUGUCGUCUUCAUAGAAUAUUGCACCAUCGAAGUUUGCACUGCACCAUCGAAGUUUGCCUUUAGAAAUCUUGCAGAGGGCUUUAUCCAAUGAAGUUGAGCAGUGGAAGAGCAUAUUGGAAUGUUUGGAAAUGUGUUUAUUUCAUGGUAUUUCUAUAAGAAAUUGAUAGAGAGGGAGAGACCAAACUGAGAGGAUCACGAUAGAACCAUCAAAUAAUGCAUCAUUUCGGUUAAACCGUAGAUUCCAAAGAAUUAUGGCUACCAAUUCCAUGUCCUGCUUUUUCAAAAGAUGAAGGCCAGACAACCGAGACGAAACUUGAUCGGUAGAGUCUAAUCUUAUCUUUAGUGUAAGAAAGCUAAGGGCCCAAGGUUAAAUUGCUACUGGACAGCACAAGAAAAGAUGAUUAACAUCAUCAAUAGGGGCCUUACAUAAAGAACAAGUAGGAUCAAAAUAGACUCCGCGACUAUUCAACUUGGAAGUUAUAGGUAGAAUGUCUUUGCAAAUUCACCACAAGAAUAUUUUAACUUUACUUGGUAUGUUGAGUUUCCACAAGCAGGGCCAAAUAUCAUCCAUAGAACCAUUACUACAUGAAGCUACAUCUUGUCAAUUUGUAGAUUAUAUUUUGAUAAGAUGAUAGGCAAUUUUCACUGUGAAGGAGCCAUUUUUAGAAUAGUGCCAAAUGAGCUUAUCUUGAUUUCGUCUAUCACCCAAUGGAAUACUCAUAAUCAACUCAAUCACAUCUAAGGAUAGCAACGGGGGCGGUGCCCGCGGGGGCUAUUGGGGCAGAGGUUGGGGCGGGGGGAAUUUUUCCCCCCAUUUAGAAACGGGGCAGGGGGCCCACCCAUUUGGAAAAAAAAGAGAGAUAUAUAUAUGUACAUAAUUAUAUAUAUAAUAGUAUUAUCAAUUAUACAUGUCUAUUAAUAAAAAUUAUUAAUUAUUUAUACUAAAUUUAUUAAUACAUUUAUAUUAAAUUCCUAACUACACUUAAUACAAUAACACUUUUUUUCUAAAAAAAACACAAUAAUAAUUUAGUGAUUGUAUUUGUAUCAAAAGUAAAAACAAUUAUUUUAGUUAUAUUUGUUUUAUCAUAUUAGAUCGUAUUCAAAUAACUUUUGUUUAAUUAUUUUUAUGAGUUUCAAUUGUGAAGUUAUAAUGAAUAAUAAUUUGGUGAUAUGUUGAUAUUUUAGUACUUGAUUACUUGCUCAAAUUUAAUUAUAAUAAAAUUAUAUAAUAAUUUUUUUAACCCCGCGGGGGAAGCGGGGCGGGGGCGGAGGACGGGACGGGGACGGGGGGGAAUUAAUAGGCAACGGGGCGGGGGUGGGGGAGGGGCCACCCCUAAUCACAUCCUGCCAAAAAAGCUCUUGAAGCAAAUCAUAUUUCCAUUUCCUGCUAUUUUCAUCAAUUAAACAAUCUAUAGUGGACAUUUCUAGUAGCACAUCAAAACGAGAUAUAAUUUUGAAAUUAGAAAGACGUGGAAUCCACCUCUCUUUCCAAAUUUUGAUAUGAUUCCCGUGUCCAUCUCACCAUCUACUACCAAAAACACCUUUGAUUGAUAAUUAAAUAGUUAAAAAAAUAUAUCUACUUAAUUUGUUUACUCAAUAGUUAUGUGAACUAAAACAUAAAAAAGAAGGUCAAUUAUUAUAUUAGUGUUAUAUUUGUAAUAUUAGUUCCCUAUAUAGUAGGUUGCCGAGUUGGGCAUAUUUAUAUUCUACCAAGUAAAUGCCCUAUCUUUUCGAAACGUGGCAAAAAAAUUGUGUUUGUUUUUUUUGGUAGAUUUCAUUCUUUUUCUUUUUUGGUAACAAUUAAUUUACUAUUCAUUUUCACUUCAUUAUUUAUAGUAAAUUUCAAUCAAUUAUCAAUUACUUACCUUAUAUGCAUUUUUAUUAAUUAUACCUUUAUUUUUUUUAAUCAACUUAUAGCUUUCCUUUUUAAUUAGGCACUCGUUAAUAUAUGUCUUAGGUGUUAAAUUUUUAGAAAUAUAAGAUGAAUUAGGGAGAGCAUAUAAAUGUAAGGGAAUUAAUUAGAAAAAUAUAUAAAUAAAAGAAAAAGUAGUAAUAGUUGCGUAUAUAUAUGGCAGGUUAGGUGGAAUGCAGGUGUGUUAACGAUUACCCAUAGGGCACCCAUUAGAAAUACUCAUCAAAAUUUGGAUUAAUUUUUUUUCCUUUCAUUGCAAUCAUUACUACCAUUUUUCCUAUCAUUUAUUACUAUACCUUCAUGUUUCUAAAUACCAAUAAAUGUAUUACUCUCUUACUUUUUAUUUGAUUGUGCUAAUUAUAGCUUUCCUUUUACUUAAUCAAUUAGUCAAUCGAUCAAUCAACCAAUGAUUUUAAUUCUCUUUUCAAUCGCACGAUCUUUCUUUUAUCCAUCAUUAGGGAGAUUUACAAUUUAGUCACAUAUUUGUUAUGUGUACAAUAAUUAUGCAAUCAUAAGCACAAACUAAUGCAAUUCUAAUAAUUUUGCAUAUAUGCAUUCAUAUUGUAUUGCAACACCUUUAAUAAUUCAUUAUAUGGUUACAAAAGCCAAAAAAAAUCUAGUAUUACCUAGACCUUAGAUAGUCCCCAAUGUAUACACUGAUACUGUAUAAAAUGAUUUUAAACCGUUAAUAUAUAUACUGAUUGCAUAUGAAGAUUCAUCCCUAAUUUAGACCUCUUAGAUAGUUUGCAUGCAUUAUAUUCCCUUUUUUUAAUUUCUUAUUUAGUUUACCUUAUUACCAUUUAUGAUUUUUUUUUAAUUUAAGCAACAUCUUCCAAUAUUUUAUCACCAUUUUAAGUUAGUUCAUUUUUAGGAGAUAGUAGUAUAAGUGUGGUAGUUUGUCCAAAUAACUUUGAAUAUGCAUAUACAACCCAAAAAUAAAAUGAUAGUUGUUUAUAUUCUUAUCACUCAACGAUGAUAGUGUUAUGUAAUUUAAAUGAUUGAGAUCUAUUGCCAUCCAAAUAUGAAUUUAAUAUGAGGGUAUGAUAACUAAAAAUGACUAUAGAAUCUCCCUAAAUACUAAAUAAUGCGAAUAGAGAUAUUCCCUCAAAAACUUGUAAAGUACUUAAUGUGUAUACGGGUAAAUUCUUGCAAUAGUGAAAGGAAAAUAUCUUACUAGCCUUGAAAUUUUGGCCCGUGUAUUGACUUUUGUUAGCUAAAUUAAACUAUCUUGGAGUGAAGACAUAAAAUCUGCGGCAAAUUUUGAGAGAGUUGUGAACAUAGCUUAUUUAGCGUACAUAUUUUUUCCCGAGUUUGAAUUCUCUCACUUACAUGACAAAAAGAAAAAACUAUCGUACAUUUAACUUCCAACUAACAAUGAUGUAUAGGUAAUAAAUUAUAUGUGAUAAGAGUAUAUUUUACGUAUUUUUAGUGUGCUUUAUUAAUUAGUUUUGGUGUGUUUUAUUUAGUUUUAUAAAUAAUUAACUAAGAUUCUAGUGAAAAUAUGCAUUUUGUGGUUAAAGUGUGAAAAUUGCAUUUCUAUUGAUUUUUAUGGUAAAAAUUUCAUAUUUUGUAGGUUUAAUGAUUCAAUCAUCAAAUGAAGUGCAUUGAGAAAAUAUUUGGAUGAUUGAAGAUGGAUUAAAAUGGUGAAAAUAAAAUAUGAAGUGUAAAAGGAAAAAUGCAAUUUGAAUCAAGAAAAGUCAGCUUUGACAACUCUGACACGUUUUGGUAUUUUAACUAUAUCUGGAGCUACACAGAUUGGAUUGAGGUGAUCUUUAUACCAUUUUGAAGCUAAGAGAUAGAUCUAAAUUUGGUAUGAAGACAUCAGAAUCUAAUUCAGCCGUUUUCAUUGUCCAAAAGUUGAAAUACCGAAAUUCAACUCAGCUGAGAAAUGCAACUUGAGAACAAAAGAAUCAAACAAAAGUCAGCUUUGGCAUCUGUUGGUAUUUUGGCUAUAUCUUGGGCUACAUACAUUGGAUUCAGAUGAUCUUUAUAUCAUUUUAAAGCUAAGAGACAGAUCUACAUUUGGUAUGAAGACAUCAAAAGUCCAAUUCGGCUGUUUUCCUGGUCAAAAUGUCAAAAUACAGAAGUAAAAGUCUGCUGCUGAGAGCUGAAAACGCGGAAUUGACCAGUCAGUGGUAUUUUUAUCAUAUAUCGGUCUAGACAGCUCUAAAUUGGAUGAUUCUUGAGGCAUUGGACAGCUAUUUCAAUGGGCUACAACUUCUAUGUUUUUCACAAGAGCUAAUUUAGCCGUCAUUAUAGAGAAAAUAACAGUUGAAGUAGCCAGAUUCUGGUCAGAAAUAGCUGCUGGUACAACCUGUUUUCUCCUUCAACAAUUUACAGCUAUGGAUGAACGUAUGACAACCAAUUAGCAGCUGUAAAAGGGAUGUUUCAAGCCUCAUUUCCUGAUUGCAUUCAUCUAUAUAUAGCCAUGGACUUGCAGGAUUCAAAAUAACUUGGGAGAAGGCUAGAGAAACUCACCAGAAAUGUAGUUUUCACUAGAGUUUCCUUGGUUCAUUAGUAUAGUAUAGGUAGAGUAGUUUAUCCAUCUUGUAUUUGUAGUUAGAUUUGGAUGAAGAUUGGAGGAGCAAAGAUGAAGAGGUCGAUCUCAUGUGACAAGGGUGAUAUCUCUUCUACUACUUUCUCUCUUGUAUUGGAUUUCAUGUUUAAUUAUAAUACAAGUUGGCUUUGUGUUUUUAUUAUGUUUAGUUAAAGUUUAUGCCUAGAGUUAUGGUUGAACUUGCUAUAUUUUGUUUGUGAGGUUUACUUGGCUAUUUGAUGAUAUUAUUUUGAGUACAUUAUUUAUCACUUUUGGUUAUCUAAUCAUGAUUAACUGGCCAUUAAUUAUGAUAAUCAUAAGGUGUUAAGUUUGCAAUGAAAAUUGGAAUUUAACACUAGUUCAAAGAAGUGAUAAGCCUAGGGAGUACACUCACGAAAGUAGAGGUGCACCUAUGUGGCUUAAGUGACUUGUUUCAUGUAAUUUCAUAGAAGAAAUGAACUUGUAAUUAAUUUCAUAACCACGAGAGUAGGUAUGGGUUAACUACAAGUAUAGUUGAUUCACUACGAAAGUUGGUUUCACAUACAUUAGGAAAUUACGCCAUAACUAGUCAAGAUAAUAGCAUUCACUUAACCGGUAAUCUCAUUUGCAAGAGUAGUAAGGAAUUCCAUAUCUCUAGGAGCUUUCUAGUGUUAUUUUCAAACAUUUUAUAUUUGUGGUAGUCUAAAUAAUAAAGGAGUUUGAAAACAUCGGUAAUUGCAUUCUUCCCUGUGGGAUCGACCCUUAAUACCCUAUACUCGCUCACGAUUCGUAUACUUGCGAUAAAUCGCGUGUGGGGUAUUUAGGAAUUUAUAAAUGUAAAACUUGAUUGGGAUGAGUUUAAUAUUAUAUGUAUACCCCGCGCACGUCAAGUUUUUGGCGCCGUUGCCGGGGAAGAUUUGGCAAUAUCGGUGUGAAGAGCAACUUUAUUAAUUUAGACAAUUUUUCUUAUUUUUGUUGUUUUUAUCUUGUGUGUUUUAUGUCAUUUUUUUUGAGUCAAUUUUUAUUAUUAUUUUUUUUUUCUGUUUUAGUUUGUGUCUUGGAAUCUAUCCUUCUUAACUAAUCUUACUUUUGAGAUUGUUUAAAAGUAAUUUUAGAUAAUGAGGAGGGUAGGUGAAUUGGGAGGACAAAGCUUGAGAAAUGAAAAAUUGGCAAUGGAUGGUUACCUAGUGCAAAACUCCUUCAACAGAGGUAACCAAGAAAUUACUGAAGGUAUGUCUUUUGAAGAUGGUUUGAAGUGCUUAAAGGCAAAAUUUGAUGCAAUUAUGUUACAAGUUCAAAUGGGCACAAUUAUGCAUGAAAUUGAGCAAGGGAGGAAUAUUAAUACUUUUAAUUCUUAUCAUAUGAUUUGUCACUUGUGUGAAGGUUAUCAUGCUACUAAUACAUGUAUGCAAGCACAAAAUGUGGGUUAUUAUGAUGAAUUAGAGCAUUACAAUCCUUGUUUUGAUCAAUAUAGUGCUAAUUGGAACAAUUCUCCUAUGGAUGGUUGGGAUAAUCAAUGUACUUAUAAUAAUUCCUCAUAUUUUUACGAUUACCAAUCUGAAUGUGUCCAAUAUGAAUCAAAACCAUCUUGGGAGUUGGCAAUUGAAAUGGUAGCUAAUGAUUCUAAACCAUCUUGGGAGUUAGCUUUAGAAAAAUUAGCUAAUGCAACUUCCGACCGUUUUGAUAGGGUUGAAGAAAGAAUAGAUGAACUGACUUCUCACUUUAGUAGAAUACAAGAGAAAUUGCACGCAUUGUGUGAAGUUAUUUCUUCUAAUGAUAUGAAAGAUGACCCUAGCAUGAAUGGUAGGAAUGUUGUAUGUGAAAAUGGAUUGCAUUUGGAUGAAAAUGAUGAAUUUCAAUUGUGUUUUAAUGAGCAAAUAUCCAUUUCACAUGAUAAUAUCUUUGGAACUAACUUUGAGCCUCAAGAGGUGAGUUUUAAUGACUCAUUUUUCACCCCUCUUGAGGAGUGCAUUGAAAGUAUAGGUUCUAAGGGUAUUGCUGCCCAAGAUCCUCUCAUGGCAUCCCCGUUGGUAAGUUCUCAAGUGGUGUAUUUUCAAGGUAAUAUUUAUGAAACACUUGGAAUAGGUAAGCCACUUCCAUCUCUCACAUCAUUAGAAUAUGUGACUUUUGCUAUAAAGUCACCUUUUAAUGAUCCACCACGACCUAAAAUGGUGGAUUAUUCGUUAACUAAACCUCCUUGAAAAAUGAGGUUCAAUAGUCGAGCCAACGACUAUAAAUAAAAGCGCUUAUUGGGAGGCAACCCAAUGUUUUGGCUAUUUAUGUUAUUUUGGUGUGAUUUUAUGUUUAAAGCAUGUGUUUGAGUUAUUUUGUUAUUUUUCAUUUGUAGGUAUUGGAAAUGGAAGCAAAAGUGACCAAAUGAGAUGAAAAAGACGAAAUUUGAUCAAGGAACUCAACCCCUCGAUUUGAAUAAUUGUUGUUUUUGAUCCGUUAAAAGGGGCUAAAAUGCAUGUUUUUAAUGUUUUACAUGUGUGCACAUUGAUAAAUUUUACAAACAAAUGAUUUAUGAUGCAUUUUGAGUGAUUGGGGUAUUAUUUGUAAAUUUUCAAAAGUUGAAUUUCUGCUAAAAUUCGCAGCAGAAAAUGCGUUUCUCAAGAAAACGCGCCUCUGAGUCGCGUGUUCACAGAAUCGCGUUUUCAAUUCUGCACCUGCAGAACAGAAACGCGCCAUUAAAACGCGACUUUAAGUCGCGUUUUGAAGGAAGUCGCGUUUUGUUGCCUGGAUCAAAGAUGAAAACGCGCCAUUGAAAACGCGACUUGAAGUCGCGUUUUCUCACAGAACCGCGUUUUCAGUACUGCAACUUUUGGGAAGAAACGCGCAUUCAAAACCGCGAGUUAAAGGCGCGUUUCUACUCACGUUUUCUGAGCAUUUUUUUUUUUGAAAGAAAAAAUGCAGGUUCCUUGGUUCUCUUUUUCUUCUUUUCCUCAUAUAUUUUCUUGUACCUUGAGUUGCUUAUUGUGUAUUUUUUAUAGGUACAUCACCAAAACAAGGGCUUGAAGUUACGGAUAGCCGUUUUGAUGUUUUAAGCCUUUGUUAUCACUUUGGUUUCUCAUUUUCCAUUCUUAGGUUUAUAUCACUAAUGGUUAUCAAAUGGAACUCAUGAAGCGAUGAAGAAAGGCGAACAACGUACCUUGAAGCUUCAUACUCAAUCACAUCAUAGGGGAGUAUUACUUUCUUUAUCUUCAUUUUCCUUUUUACACAUUGAGGACAAUGUGUAUGUUAAGUGUGGGGGGAGAAUUGAGAUUAUAUAUAUUGUAUGUGAUUGACUUAUUAGUUGCAAAUAUUGGACUUGUGUUAAAAUUUUCAAAAUUUUUCUACAAUCUUGUCCAAAAUUGCAAACUUGCCCCAAAAAGUUUCAAUUUUUUCGAUUUUAUCCAAAGGGGUAACAAGUUUCAUACCAUUAGUAGUUCAAAUUUCUUCUACAUUUGAGAUAAAUAUAUGUGAUUUGGAAACUUCUUUUCUCAUUUAACUUGGAAAUGACUAUUAUGUGAUUAUAAUUUUGCAUUUGUAGGAAAAUAUAUCUUGUGAAGUGGAGAAAAUUAUGCAUAUAUUUUUUUUGCAUAUUUGAUGAAAUUUCUUCUCUUUAUUGGAUUUUAUAAGUUAAGUGAUAAAUAUGGUCAAUAAGUGCAAUACUCUUCUCAUGAUUAUUCUUUUGAGGAAUUUAUUAUUAUCUUUGCUGUAAAAAGAAAAAAAAUGGAAAGAAAAAAAAAGAAAAAAAUCCAGUAUCAUCAAACUUCUUCAAAUGGGCUCUUUAGCUACUAACCCCUUCAAAAAUAAUUUAGGCUUACGGUUCUGUUGAUGUCGCAAUUGCAGGAGGUUCAGAAGAUAACGAAAGGCUCAUCUAAGAUUUCUUAAGGUGUUUGGCUUAUAUUGCUAGAUUUACUUAAUCUAUUUUCAUUCUUCUCCGAUGUCAUUAUUGUUAAAGUUCAAUUCAUAAGUUGGUUGUGUUAGAAAAUUGGCUUAAUUUCUUUUUAGAUAGGUUUUUGUUUUGUGCAAAAGUAACUAGUUUCCUAAUUGGUUUUAGUUACUCGGAAUAGUAGCCAAGAAAUUUCUUAUUUUGUUUAGAAUUAGAAGUUAUUUCUUAUUUUCUACAAGUCUAGGAAUUAGAAUUAAUUUCCUGUUGUUAUUUGGAUUUUUUGACCAAAUAAUAUUUUUAUAAAUAGGUGGGUUGGCAUACUAUAAAAGAGACACAUAAGGGCACACAAGGACGACAUGUAACCUUAUACAUGGGUGGUGAGAGAGAGUUCUUAGGAGAUGAGAAAUGGUAUACAAAGGUUGGACUUGAGUUCGAGUUGUAUUCUUGUAUAAGGUUUUUCUCUCAUAAUAAAUAACAAGUUUCUCUCCGUGGACGUAGGUUCAAUGGAGUCAAACUACGUUAAAUAUUGUGUGUUGUUUAUCUUUUAUACUUGUGGCUUGUUUCUCAUUAAAUUAUUGUGUACUUGAUAUCUUAAUAGUUAUUUAUUCUGCAUUUAGUUCCUAACAAAUGGUAUCAGAACUUGAUUGCGAGAUUGGGCUGCUCACAAGCACUUGGAUCCCAACAAACUGAAUAGUUGGAUCAAGAGUUUGGUUGUUCAAGGAUGGAUCCUAGUUAGCUAUUGAGAUCAAGUAGGUUGGUGACUGUUACCAAUUGAACAAUUUAAUGGGCGGUAUCCUUUUUCAAGAGUUUGGCAAAAAAGCAUUGACGGUGAAUGAUGAAAAGUCGAAAAGCAUGGAGAUACUUGACGGUGAAUCUAGGCAGAUGAUUCAAGAGUCAAGGAAAAGGUGGAAUCCAAUAUCGAUUUUGGACGUGAAUCGGUGGAGACUUUCUCACAACUUCAACGGUUGAUACUUCAUCUCGGUGAUUUUUAGAUUUCGCUUAUGUUUUUUGAGUGGUACGGCACCUGACCCAAAAAAAUAAAGAGAUUUAAUUUCUAUGCGCUAGAAGACUCUGACAGUUACGAGUCUUUUGUUUCAGGUGAAUUUUUGGAAACCACACGUGGCGAGAUAGUCUUGAGGAAGGGAAGAAGUAUGAUGAUUUUAUCACUUGGUUGCCUCAAUGAUUAAGGUUAGAGCUCAUAGAAGGAGAUUUUGGGUUGCAAGUGGUGGUGAGAAGAAAUCCUGUAAAGAAAAAUGGUGAAUUGAGGCAUCUUCUCACGAAUCAACUGGAGGUUGUACUAGGUGUAAAUACACAUAUUCAUUUGGCAAUUAAAUUAAUUUGGUAUCAGAACUGUAUUGAUUCGGGUGUGUAGUUCGGUACCAUAUUAUUUGGUAGUUGAAAGUAAAUAAUUGUUAAAAGAAAUUUUCGCCAAGAUAGAGAUUUGUUAGGAAAUUGAUUUAAUUUCUUUUCAGACAGGUUUUUGUUUUGUGUAGAAGUAACUAGUUUCCUAAUUGGUUUUAGUUACUUGAAAUAGUAGCCAAGGAAUUUCCUAUUUUGUUUAGGAUUAAAAAUUAUUUCCUAUUCUAUACAAGUCUAGAAAUUAGAAUUGGUUUCCUAUUAUUAUUUAAUUUUUUGGCCAAAUAAUAUUCUUUAUAAAUAGGUGGGUUGGCAUACUACAAAGAGACACACAAAAGCACACAAGAGACGACAUGUAGCCUUAUAUGGGUGGUGAGAGAGGAUUUUUAGGAGAUGAGAGAUGGUAUACAAAGGUUGAAUUGGGGUUCAAGUUGUGUUCUUGUAUAGAAUUUUUCUCUUAUAAUAAAGAACGAGUUUCUCUCUGUGGAUGUAGGUUCAAUGGUGGAGCCGAACCACAUUAGAAAAUAGUGUGUCAUUUAUUUUCAUGUUUGUGGCUUGUUUCUCAUUAAAUUGUAGCGUACUUGAUAUCUCAAUAGUUGUUUAUUCCAUGUUUGGAUCCUAACAGAUUGCUAAACCAAGAUUGAUGUAAUUGCGUCCUAUAAGAGAGUUUGCAAUUCAAUUGAUUAAGGGAAGAACAGAGAAAAUCCCUGAAAAUGGGAAUUAAAGGAAACAAAGGAAACCCUAAAACUAGUUUCCAAGAACAAUUCUGUCGAAGACAGAAAACAAAGAAAAUAGUAUCAAAGGCUAUAUCGUUAUUUAGGAAACAAGAAGCACUUGAAGGUGAAUGUUGCAGAAAGUAGAAGAUCCCACUACAAUUUACUAAUUCAAGGAGCUGUAAUUAAGAAAGAAAGAAGACAACUCAGAGAAUUAGGGAUUGUUAUUAAUUGAUGAAUGAGUAGGAAGAAUGUAGAUGAAGAUGAUAAUCAAUUACAAGUAAUGGAAAUCGGAAAUCCUAGAACUGCCUUCAACUUACCACCCUCCUCUCUUUUAUUCGGCUACUACACUUGUCCAAGUCAGCUAAUUCAUUACAACCAACUGACAUACAAGAAUUAUAAGGAUUUAUUCAUUAAGUCCCUAUCAUACUCGCUUUAUUACAAAAAAAAAAAAAAACCCUAUCAAUAAAACUAAGGUAACAAAUACUUCCCCCUCAGAGAAUCCUUGUCCUCAAGGAUUAAAUUCAGGAAAUUGUUGUUUAAGGUCAAACCAGAAUUCCCAGAUAGCAUCUUCAAGAAAAGAAUUGCUUCACUAUGCCAAAACUUUUGUAGCAAGAGAGUUACCACAUUUCACCAAUUUCUGAUCAAGUAUGGCUAUAGGCUCCAUUAAUAAUUAUCCCUGUGUAUUGAUUGUGUAUUGAUUGCAAAAGGAAUGUGUGAGGUAACUAGUGAGUGCCCACUUUCUUCUUUAGAAGAGAUACAUAAAAAAUAGAGUGUAUUUUUGCCAUAUUAGGCAGCUAAAGCUGAUAUGCAACAGGGUGUACUCUUUUGAUCACUUGGAAAGGUCCAAAAAACUUAGAAGCUAACUUCUGACAAGAGUGUACCUUCAAAGAGUGUUGCCUCUACAGUUGUAGUUUCACAUAUACCCAAUCUCUUGCCGAGUACUGUCUAUCAGACCUGUGUUGGUCAGCUUGUUGCUCCAUCCUAUUUUGUGCCUUAUGAAGGUUGUACUUUAAGUGAUGCAAAACUAUCUCCCUUGCUGCCAAGAUUCUAUCCACCACUUCCACUACUGAAUUCCCAAGUAGACAAGGCAUAUGCAGAGAUGGUGCAUGACCAUACACCACCUCAAAUUGGAUAACCUUAGUGGCAGCAUGAAAUUUGGUAUUGGACCAAUAUUCAGCCAAGGGUAACUAGAUAGACCACUGCUUUGGAAAAUCUCCACACAUGCACCUCAAAUAUUACUCCAAACACCUGUUUACCACCUCAGUUUGACCAUCUGACUGAGGGUGGUAGGUAGAAGAGGUAUUAAUCUGCACUUUUAGUAACUUAAAAAGUUCUUGCCAAAAAGUGCUAAUGAAGACCACAUCCUUGUCACUAACAAUGCUCUGAGACAAGCCGUGAAGUCUACAGAUCUGAUCCAGGAAUAUGUGCAAAUAUAAAUGCUGAAUAAGCAUGUGACAAUGCCAAGAAGUGUGCAUACUUACCUAACUUGUCAACCACCACCAAGAUGGCUUGUUUACCAUGUGCAUUAGGUAAACCUUCCAUAAAGUCCAUGGAAAUUCACUCCAAACCUUUUGAGGCACACGUAAAAGUCGUAAUAAACCCAAAUAAGCAGUAUUGUCAUAUUUGUUGCACUGACAGACAUCACAUGCAGCCACAUAGUUGACUAUGUCUUGAUACAUUCUUCUCUAAUAAACCACUGACUUCAACUUCUUUUAGGCAGCAUAAACUCCUGAAUGCCUCCAACAGCACUAGAAUGCCACAAGUGAAUUAUAUUAUUCUUGAAUUGGCAGUCAUUUUCUACCACUAGUCUCCCCAUCCUCCUUAACUGCUAGUUGCUCCAUGUGUAAUAAGGUGAGACCUUAGAAAGAUCAAAUUGUAAUUGAGUGAUGAAGUUCUAUAGCCUUAUAUCUAUUUGCCAUCCCUUUUUAAUCACUAUCAAAGAUCACUGUUAACAAUGAUGAUGGCAAGAGCUUCUCUUGGUUCUGCUAGUUUUCUAAAGAGAGUAUCUCUCACCAUAUUAUAUGCUUCUUUCCUGUAGUGAAGCUCAUAAUAAAAUCUUACUAGCUUAGUCAUCCAUUUCUGCUGCAUAAGAGUAGGGCUGUCAAUGGUCUGGGUCUAGACCCGGACCCGGACCGGAUCCGUCAAAUUUAUCCGGUAUGGGUAGGGAUUUAAUUCCGUUACCCGGACCCGGAUCCGGAGCCAUUUUGCCAAACAAAAAAACGGGUCGGAUACGAAAUAUAGUAUUCCGACCCGUAUUGGACCCGGAUCCGGAUAUAAAUGGAUUACUAAUUUAAAAAUAUAUAUAUUUAUUAAUAUAAUUUGAUUAGGAUGAUGUAUUUGAGUGAUCAAUAUAAUUGGACACCCGGAUCCUAAUCAAUAUAAUUUGAUUAGGAUGAUGUAUUUGAGUAAGGUUAAUUUGAUUUCUUUUCUUAUUUGAUUUUUUUUGUAUUAGUUAGAAAUUAGUUUAUAAAUAUAUGUUUUUUCUCAUUUUUGUUAGAAAUUAUAAAUUUUGUUAGUUUUUUUUCGGGUAGACCCGGAUCCGGAUCCGGGACCCGUCGGAUCUGGAUCCGGAACAUAGAGUAAAGACCAUCGGGUAAACGGGUCGGGUCCGGAUCCGAUAUAGUGUGCCGGGUCCGGGUCUGGAAUAAUGAAUUCCGGCCCGGACCCGCCCGUUGACAAGCCUACAUAAGAGUGUUCAAUCUUUGUUCCAUCAUAUAUUCAAUGCUCUAAUGGUCAUUUUUAAUGAUAACGUACCUUCCAGGUAGAUAAGGUCUCCACUUCUAUACAGCAGCAACUAUGGCCAAUAUUUGCACUUUUCCAAUAUACUAUCAUAUGCUAUUCCCCCACACACCUAAAUCUUAUAUUGUCCCCAAUGUAAAAUAAAGAAUAAAAGAAAAGUAAUGGGGAUAACGAAACUUCCUUGAUAACUGAGGGGGCCGUCGACAGCUACAGGUGAGGGGCGAAUGACUGUGGAGCUCGACGUAUGUUGAUGGUUGGUGGCGGUGGAGUUCGGAUGGAGAAGGAUGGAAGAAAGAAAGAAAGAAGAAAGAAAAAGAAGAGAGAAAGAAAGAAAGAAAAAGAAAAGGAAAAAGAAAGGAAAAGGAAGAGAAAAGAAAAGGGAAAUACGAAUGGGAAUUGCUCCAAUCCGAGCUGGUUUUUUGUACUACUACUUUGCUUCUUGUACGAAGCUUGAAGUUGCAGCAAGCGCGGAAAUUUUUUUUUUUUUACAUCUAAUUUUGAUUUUUUUCUUUUUCUUUUUCCUUUUCUGUAUUUCCUUUUCUUUUCUUUCUAAUUUUUCUGCAAAAACAAUCAAAUGAGAUGGAAUGAUUUUUUUUAAAAAAAGGUAAAAAUAUAAAUAGAGAUAAAUAAAUAAUAAUAGUUAUUAACAAAUCAUAAAAUGAUUUAUGAAAUUUUUUUGGUGUCUACAUAUAUACACAUACUAAUAAUUUUUAUAUUUAUAUAUUUUUCCUAUUUAAUCUUACCUAUAAUUCUUUCUUAUUUUAUUUACUUUUUCUAAUUAAUUUUAUAUUUUUAAAAAUAUAACAUCUAAAAAUAUAUAUUAACGAAGAGGACAUCCGUUAGACAGGUCCUAUUUUAUGUAAUAUAUAUCUCUACAUGAAAAAAACUUUUUUAAUAGGUAUCCCGUUUUUUGACAUGAAAAAUACCUUUUGACUACAUUCUGACUAGCGCCAAAAGCUAUCCACUUUUGACAUGCUGCCCAUGCAGGCCUAAUUUUUUUUAGUACUGAAUUUGUUUUGGAUACGUUAGUAUUUCUUGAAUUUUAGAAAAUGCUUCUCUUUAAUAAAUGUAAGUUCAUUUUAAUCUUGAUUCGCAAGCUUUUUCUUGAAAAUGGUUUGCCAUUUCUUAUUAGUUGUUACAGUAAAUUUAGCAUGCAUAUAUGCUUUUUGUCAAAAUUCAAUCAUUUCAAAAUCUAGAAGGGAACUUCUAAAAUACCUGCAUCCUCCUUUUUCUUUUUUCUUUUUUAUUCCCCCCCCCCCCCCCCCCCGGCUUUGUAUUCAGAAUCAGAUUGUGUUCAAUUAGUUGGAAUUUGGCUUUGGAGUUAAAAGGGAUUUCCAUUUUUUCCUAGGUAUUCCACAGCUUGCAUAACAAAAGCACAGAGGCGGAAGAAAACCCAUGAUUAAAUCAUACAACAGGCUUGUAAGAAAAUGCCCACUCUGAAAAAAUGAAAAGUUGAAUUUCCUAUUUUCAAAUUUACAUGCAAAAAAUGAAUAAUGACAUGCAAGAAAUAGUCUGCUAUUUCGCCAUGUUUCACAGUUUAUGAGAAAUAUAUUACAAAUAAAUCCACAUAAAUGGUGGGAAUAAUAACUCAAAUAUGGUGGGACAAAUAAACAUACAGGGUGACCCCUGCCAGCUGAGAUAACUAGCUGGUUUAUUUAAUUUAAUAGUUUGAAUACAAUAGUAAAUCAAUGCCAUAGCUCAGAUACUGACUAAAUUUUUCUCCCUGAAGAAUUCAACAGCAUCUUUUAGGCUGACCUCCAAAGGAGUGAAUUGAACUCCCAACCUUUUUGCCUUCUCAUUGGAGGCUCUGUAGUUUGGGCUGAUAAGGUUGGUAUUGUUUGACAUUCUGCUGUAUGCGGGACAAUACACAAUUAUGGCAAACAUAAAUAAAGCUUAGGUAAUGAAAAUGCAAAUGUAAAUUCAAAUGCUUGAAAAUCUACUGGACAAUUGCCUCAUAUCUACUGUAAAUUGUGCCUUUUUUACGAAGUUUCAAAAGACCUUUUAAAAGAUAACUUUAGUUGUGAUAUGAAUGAAAUUUAUUUUUCUCUAUAAAAAAGCCUAAAACGGAAUUUCUAUUUUGGAGACAAAGCCAAUUUGGUGAUAUAUCCUAGUCCAAAGAAGACCAUCUUCUAGAAAUCAACCUGAGAAAGAGCUCAUUUUUUAUGGAACAUGAGACCAAAAGAAAAAAAAAAGAAGGCAGAAAAUUUAGGAUUUAGUGUCCUUUAAAAGAGAGUAUAAAAAUAUGUGAUACAUUUUGGACGUAUACAAGGCCAUCAGCAAAAGCCUGCAAAGACCUAAACAAGGAAAACAAGACUUACUUAUCAGGAAAUUGGUGAGUUGGGUAAUGCUCAUGCAAAAUCUUGAUGAUCUGAGAGGCAUUUGCACAUCUUUCAACCAGACAAUAUCUUCCACUUGCAGAAGGGGUUUCAAGGGCAAGAACAUGUGCAUUGGCAACAUCUCUAACAUCAACCCAGCUACAUGUUGCCUUAGGAAAUGGUUCAACCCCUGCAUUUGGCACCUAAGAUCUUUAAACACAUUUUUUUGCAGGCUCUUCAGCAAACAUAAGUGAAACCAAUUUGGUUUGUUUGGAUUGGCAUGAUUUCAGAUAAAAUAAUUUGCUUCACAAAUUCCAAUCACCUUUUUAUCUCACAUACAGCACAUCACAAAAGUGUUACAGUAAUUAUCUCAAAUAAAUCAUCUAAAUAAACUUCUAUCCAAACAAAAUGUUGUUUGCCAUGAAAAGAGUCAAAUUUAGAGGCCAUGGCCUGCCUUCCAGAAGAAAUGUGUGGUAUGUACUACUUUGUUCUGUUUUAGUAUCAGCAAAGCCACAGAGGGGAGGGAGAUGUGAGGAAUGAACUACUUGAGACAAUUCAGAUAAUUGGUGAAUAAUAAGAAAGAUUAAUCCCAACAAUCUUCUAGUUAAUCUGUCGAGUUAUUACCUGGAAUUUCUCAGAUUUAGAGUUAGGUUUCAAAGGAUAGUUUAUUUAUUUAUGUGAGGAAUAAACAAGCUUUAGCAAGUCUGAACAACAUAAACAGUGACUACUCCUAACAAAUUUUUCCUCACAAUUACCACCCAAAAAUUUCUUUUCCUUCCUGUUAAUCACAUAGAACCUCAAUGUUGUUGAAAGGAAGAUGCACACAACGUGAAUUUCAGAUGAAAGAUUGUACUGCAAACCUUUAAAACAUCAUAAGCUGGUCAGAGUUUAUAGCUUGAUAUAUCAGUUCACAUUCUGACCUAUGUCUGUCAAUCAUGUGAUAAGCCAGCAGUGCCUUGAAAUGUUAUUAGUCAUAAGUUUUUUGUUCUACUGUAACAAAGAAAGUUGUGGUGCAUAAUAAAGCUACAAGUAACAUAGAUGGAAGAGUCAGUUAGACAAUGAUUACUAAGGUGAUUCAAUAAAUUUUGAAACAAACCCUUUAAUAGGUUGAGGAACAAAACAGCGCUCGAAUUAACAGAUGGCUGCAAGAGAGGACCAAUGACCAAUCCUGGAUGAAUUGUAAUCACGUCAAUGCCAUGCUCCUUUGCAAAUUUCCAUGCAGCAUUCUCGGCCAUGGUUUUUGAAAGUUCAUACCAAGACUAUCAACACCGAAAAAUCAGUAAAUGUUGGUAAGAUGGUAGCAGAAAGUAAUUAGAUUUGUAAACUUUAAGAAGUAACAUUAUAAAUUUCUACAAAUUUGACAAAACCAGCAACUUACAUCAGUUGAAACUAUUAUUGCUGUAGCUACAAAGCACAGAGUGAAAGCAUCCACAUUUCCCAGGACAAGCUAUGCUAUAAGUGAAUAAGUAGAUUUCUCAAGGAUCCUAGGAAUGGUGUAAACUUUCUAUAUUCAAGGAAUGAUGCAAAGCACCAGUGUCGACAUAUCCUGAUCAUCUGAUCUCUUAAUCCACAAGCUAACAGCAAAACUACAAGGGACCUUGACACUUUAACACAAAUAGCCAUAUUCAUAAUAUUAUAGCAGAAGUUCCUUUCCAACUGACCGACCAAAUAUUGCUCAUCUAGGUGUGUAUUCUCAGACAAUAGUAUAGAAUUUGAUCAUGCAAGAGAUGCAUAAUUAAGUAGGAAAACUUUCAUAUUGCUCUUUCCCCGACUAUUCCACACUACAUUAUUAAUUUUUCAUUAAAGUUAAGUUGUUACUUAGAUAGAAGGAAAGAAAUGGACUGACCAUUCUGGUUACAAAAAUAUCCUUUUUUUGCCUAUUAAAGUACCACCAAGUCAUGAAGAUCCUAACUUAAUUAUCUCCACAGCUGGGCUAACUCCUCAUAUGUGUUCCAACAACAAGUUAAAACUAAAGAAUUCCAGCAUUCCAUAUUAGAUUUUACUGGAAGAAGACAGAUAAUAUAUGUACCUUUUGCUCCUCACAGUAUGAUGGUUCGGAAAACCAACUUUCAUCAACUACCACAUCCUCCUUUAAUUCUCUGUUUUUUGAAACUGCAACCAUAGAGGAUGUUAUAACUACUCUUUUGACAGAAGAAGAAUUUGCACAUGACCGCAGCACAUUCAGUGUUCCGCUUACUGCAGGUUCCAGUAGUUCUGCCUAUGAAAUCAAACCAAGUAAAAAAGGAAGUCAUUACCAGUCAUAGGUAAGACUAUGCUUUUAACCUGCAAAAAACUUAUCAUUCUGGUAUUAUGUUUGAGAAUUUCACCACAAAUGCUGUAAACCUACAGCUUUAGUUACUUAGCUAAAGGAUGCAUAUUGUUGUCUUAUCUCCUCUUGCUGCUAAAAUAAGUUCUCAGGUCCUUUAUUGUUGUUUUUUCCCAAAUUUUUUCAGCUUUCACUGGGUGACAGGAACUUAAGACCAAUAGAGGAACAACUGAAAUAAGUCUCAGAUGUGGUCACCAAUUAAACCGUUUGCUACCAAAUAUCAACCGAUGAAAUUCUGUUCUGGCUUGAACAGGACAGACAGAAAAUAUAAAAGGUGUAGCUCCCAUGAAUCCUGCGAACAGAUUUUAGCGUGAACACAUAAUGCAUGUUGCAAUUUCUUUUAGUGUCUGUGAGUCAACCUUGUUCAUUGAAAUGACUAAAAUCAAAGUUCUACAAAGUUACUUAAAAAAAAUCCAUAAACACAAUUUGAGAAACAGACAAGGAUAGGUGUACUGCAUAAAAUUAAGGCACAAUCAUUAAUAGAAGUUAAUCAACUUACAAAUGAAGAUACAUAUAAUUUGCAGAUGCUUGAACAUAUAUUGUAGUUUCUAUAAGCUUCUUAUUCAUUCUGGUAUGGGCACGCAAAAGCCAUUGGCUCUACACUGGCUGAAUAAUUAGUUGGUCAAAGCAGGGAUUCAUUUGCUCCAGGACAAGCUUAUAGCUUGCUCUAUAACCUUACCCUGACUGACUUACCCAGGAAAAUAGUUAGUCGGACCCAAUCUACUGCCCAAUUGUGGACCAUUUGCUAUGUUUAUGGCUCUUAAUGUUUUUAUUUCACAACAUUACACCCUUUGAAUUGUUUCGCUGAAGUACCAAUUUCCAGAUCAUUUCAUAGAAACAUCAUGUAUACUGAUUAAAAAGAGACUAAAGCACAUAACACACGACAGUCUUUUUGUGAAUGACCUGCUGGAACAGAUUAGUUUUGUAUGUACCAAAUGUAAAGAAAUAUUCUUCAGGUGUUUGACCUGAUUGCUACAUUAAUCUCCUCCCUUUGGUUAAUAAAAGAAAAAGUAGAGCCAUAGAAUUGGAAACAUUUGAAUCUAACUCUCUUUUUUUUUUUGCCUUUACAGUUAUAACCUUGUCAUAAAUCACAUAUAGAGGAGUAGACUAUCACCCAAAAAAGCCAGUAAAAAUGCAACAGAGGAAGAUACUAAAAGAAGUCGUACAAUUAUAAAUCAGAAAAUAUGCUACGAUUCUCAAACUUCACUUGAUAAAUAGCAGAUUUUGUAGACAGUAGAGAUUUUUCAAUCUUGUAAAGCAAAUGUACCUCUGGAUUGCUAAAUGAAAGUUUGAUUGGAGAUGCAGUAUGGAAAACCCCUUCACAUCCCUCGACUAUUGCAUCAAACGAUCCCUCUUCCAGUAAGUUUGCCGAGUACAACUGAAGCCUUUCCUUAGCUCCAUCAAGUGAUGUCAAAUGUUGUGUCCUUUCCGGAUCAUCUGUGUCAUGAUUGUAUCAGUAGAAUGUUCAGACAGCUAUAAUCAAAACCUUGCCGCCUUGGUAAAGUGUACUAUGUUUUCACUAUGGUGAAACUCAAGAAGAAAUGGACAUAGAGUAAUAAUAAACGAAUCUCAAAGCAAUGAUAAAUUUGACUAGCUAAAGGCAAGCGGGGAAAAACGAAAAGAAAUUGACGGGCAACAUAAUAUGACCACAAUAAUAUCAUAGCCCUAUGAUUUCUGGUUUUGAGAUGCGUACAUUUGUAACUUUCUUGAUAACAAUUAAUUCUUGAGAUAAUUAUCAGAGGGACAAUUGUAUGCCAUCUACCACUAUUUUUAUAACAAACUCAGUCCUUCAGAAGAAGGAUAUAGAUUCGAUAGGCUAAAGAUUUUUUAUUAUAACUUGAUCGUUGUAUCUGGAGCAUGAAACAAUUAAGUUGGUCCACAUCAAAAAUAUAUAUAUAUAUUUUGCAUGUGAUUUUCUUUUGAGCAAACAGAACAUGGGGAGCAUUUAGCUGUUGCAAGAAUAUCAUCUGGAGCUACAAGACAAUUUCACACUGCAGAGUUGAAUAAAAAUAUUGGGCAAAUUACAUAUAAUCCUCCUGUGGCUUUGUCUGUUGCCACAUGACCCUUCUAACAUUUUAAAAUAUCCAAUUCACCCACUAUGAUUUUAUGUAAAGCGGAAACUUGAUGGAGAAUAGCCUAUAUAAUGUCGUUAAUUGAAAUACCAUUAGUACUUUUACUUAAAUGCUAAAUCAAUCGACGAUUUAAUUACCUUAUAUAAAAGUAUAAGGGGAUUAUAUGGAUAAAUAUAAAAAUCACAGGAGGGAUAAAGUGGACAAUUAUACAAACUAUAAGGGAAUUACAUUGAAAUUAAGACUUUAUUACACACGCUUUUAGAGCGCGUUUGGUAUAAAUGCCGUAAUUAAUUGUGCAUUCCAUCAUUUUCCGCUUUACAUAUAACUAUAGGGAAUUAUGUGGCUAUUUUGAAAUUUUAGAGGGACCAUCUAGCAUUAUAUAAAAUUACCCUAAAAUAUAGUUAUAAGUAAUUUACCCUAAAAUGUUAGAUUCCAGGGGCAAUUAAACAACAAUCAGAACAGGGCAUCAAAAACUGCACAAGCCACUAAGAUAGUUGAUCAAGAACAAAAACUGGAGUUACAGGCAUCUCGAACUGAACCUUUAACAGUAUAACCGCGCUCGAGCAGCAGCUUCACCAGCCAUGAAGCUAUGUAACCCGAAGCUCCGGUCACACACACCAUUUUCCCUUCUCCUGCUCCACUCAUUUUGUUAAUAUUUUUGUGUGUGAACCUGUCACCUGUUUGCCUUACUUCUGGACUUAAUGGAGGGAUGCAUAUAUGGUGUAUAUAUAGCUAUGGUGAAGAAGACGAAAGAUUGGAUAUGAGAUUACGUGGGAGACUAGGGAGAUCCAUAUGUAUUCUUGCAAUUUGCAUGCAUCAUCGCUGACAUACGUAUGGUAUAAUCGCGUCACAUCCCAUUUUAUCAAGGUCAAUUGAUCAGUGUAAAAUAGAAAUGAACAAUAAAUACAAUGGUAAAUUACCUUCUACACCCUAUGGUUUGAUGUUUUAUCACAUAACUCCCUAUGAUUUAAAAACCUAUAUUUGACCCUUUCAUAGUUUGGAUUAUUGUGUCACUUUAGAUUUUUCCGUUAAAACUAACGGUCAAUAGUAAAAAGUCAAAUUCAAACUACUAAAUUGAUAAAUUCACCAUUUCACUACUUUUUUUUUCUUGUUUUCCUUUUCUUUCUCUCCUUUUUUUUUUUUUGGAAAGAGAAGAGAUGACUUUGAAAACUUGUAUUUUGGCUUACAAAACCUUAAUUGUUUCCAAAUACAAAAGAGAUAGAAGGGAAAUAAAAAUAAAUCAACAAGAAACAAAAAAUAUGGAAGGUAAAGAUAUAACAAAUAAAUAAGAAACAAAAAAACACCAAAUCUUUUUUACUAUGAAUAUCAUUAUAGGUUUUUAAACCAAAUCUUUAAUAGUAUUUUCUAGUUCUUAUUUAUCUAUAUUUUAUUUCAAUUUCUUCUUUUUGAUGUUUGUAGGGGAAAAAAAACAAGUAAUGAAGGGAUAAAUUUGUCAAUUUAUUAGUUUGACUUUUUAAUAUUAACUGUUAGUUUUAACAAAAAAAACUAACUAUUAGGGGGUUAUGUAUAGUUUUUAAACGAUAGGGGGUUAUGUGAGAAAAUACCAAACUAUAGAGGUUAAAAGGCAAUUUAUCCUAAAUACAAAAUCAGGCGGUUGCAUAUGAAAAAAUACCAAGGUUCUUGACUUUGCUCAAUACAAUUCCAAGUCUAGAGACACAAUUUUUAAAUUCACUACCAGGAUAAACCAUUCUCCUUUUUUUUUUCGGGUUAAAAAAUACAAACUACUUGAACUAGAAACUAGUCCUGACAAAGUUUGUGGGUUUUUUGCAAGAGUUUUAGUUAAAUAUUGGUUACUUCGCCUAAUUUGCACCUAUUUUAUCACGUAAAUGCACACACACUUUUAAAAAAAUAAUGCAUGCACUUAUAUUAUUGCCUUUCGUACAUUUAAAUACUUUUUUCAAUUUAAUUUUACUUUUCUGGCAAAAUUAAAUCUGAAGCCCAUUUCAAGAAAUAUCCACCGAAUACCAGGUCAACAAAUCCCCUUCGUAAUAAAGAACGAAAAGAACCGCAGCGUUCUUAACACGCAGCGGUCUUUUUGCAUCUAAGAAAGCUUUUGAUUGGCUAGAAAUCCUUCUCUGAUUGAGAAAUGGGAAUUGACUUGAUGAUGGCAACUCCAUUUAGAAAACUGGUCCACACCCUUGAAUGUGGUUUAAAUUUAAUAACACCAUUUCAUCAUUUCUGACGACUGCUUCUUCUAUAUCGAUCCUAGCUCACUGCACACGCCAGUCGUGUGAAACUUGGCAAAAGAGUUACACCCGCCGUCCUAAAAUUGUUUGUCGCAUUUCGAAACCCAACUUUUUAAAAAUAGCAGCUUGAUGAUGAUAUUUGUAGAUUUGUCUCAAAAAUUGUCAUCAAAAAUUCAAAUUUUAAAUUGAAUUUAGUAUGAAAUAUAGAUAAAGUUAUUGGAAUAAUAUUGAAAAAAAGAGAUUAAAAGUUAUUUUGAUUUUUGAUAAGAUAAUAAAUAUUUUAGAACGUUUCAAAAUAAAAAAAAAAAUAUGACACUUUCAAUGAGACAAAAGAAUGGAGAGAAUAUAUUAUAUAAGAUACUGAAAACUAGCGUCCAUCAGAAGCAGUCAAAUCAAAGCCAACAUAUUACUUGUAGUUUGGUUUAUAACAAUAUCUCAGCUUGCUGGUAGCCCAAAAAUUUAGCAAAAUAAAUUAGGAAACCAAGUGCGAUAGAGCAUAUUUCACCCAAAUAUAUUAAAAGUGAAAAAAGAUUUAUUUUUAUUUAGUCAAUGUGAUUUUUGUGUCCGCAUGCCCAUAAAGCUUCAAGGACCAAAAAGCCAAACAUACGAAGUGAAAAUGUGAAGAGCAAUAAUUUGAAUAUAAAAAAAAAAAGCAAGUAGAUGGAUAGAAAACCAUGUCGAAGGUCUCUUCUCUCUCUUUUUUUUUUUUUUGGUUUGACCAUGCAUGGUGCAUAUGAUAUGAAGGAUAAUUGUAAAGCACCAUAUACUGCCCAAGGAAAGUAGAUUACACAGUGGGAACCAAAAAUAGAAGAAAAUAAAGCCUCAUAUGAACCGAAUCUUUCCCCUUGCUUUUUUUCUGGGAAUUUAAAGGUAUAAUGCAAGAAAUAACUCCUGGUCAUGCAAAAUUGCCAACAAAAAAUGCGUCUUUGGUUUUAAAUUCCUUAAUAACAUACUAUCCAGCAUACUAUUUAGCAUAAUAACAUACUAUCUCAGAUGCAUCCACUCCAAAUAUCCUGGCCGAGAUGGUAUAUGAGGCCAAUUUUCUAUCAAAAAUAUAGGUCGUCUGUAGCAGGUAAUGACGUUACCUCACUACAACAAAAAUGGCCUUUAGCGGCAUUUAAAGGUGUCAGUAUAGAAAAUCUAACCUGACACUUUAUCUAUCCUGACACCCAUGGCGGAUCGAGUGUUGUCCCUUCCAAUGUGGGAUAGCCUCAAAUCUUUAGCAGCAUUCAAAUGUGUCAGGCAAACCAUGCUGCUAUAUCUUUACCUCUGCCAACAAAUCUCUUUUUUUGUGAUAAUCGAAAGUGUCUGUAUAGCGUUAGGACAUCAGAGUAGGGAAUCAGUAGGAUAUCAAAUUUAUGAAGACAUCUUGAGUUGUCUUAAUAUAUGGCUUUAAGGACACGUAGCCAUGUGAAUUUACAAUGUGUUGGACGACAUGCCCAUUUGUUGUUAGUGUUUUUUCGAAGCUACAUAAUUUAUCAACCCAUAUGACAAGGGUUUAUUUUACGUAUUUUUAGUGUGUUUUAUUAGUUAAUUUUGGUUUGAUUAUUUAGUAUUAUAACUAAAAUAACUAAGGUUUUGGUAAAAAACUACAUUUUAUUUAAAAUGGCUAAACAUUGCAUUUUAUGGAUUUUUAUGGUAAAAACUUCAUAUUUUGUAGGUUUAAUGAUUCAAUCAUCAAAUGAAGGCAUUGAGAAGAUAUUUGGAUGAUUGAAGAUGGAUUAAAGUGAGGAAAAUAAAAUAUGAAGUGUAAAAGGAAGAAAUGCAAUUUGAGGACAAAAAUCAAGAAAAGUCAGCUUUGACAACUCAGACAUAUAUUUUAUUUUGACUAUAUCAGGAGCUACAAUGAUCGGAUCAAGGUGAUCUUGGUACCAUUUUGAAGUUAAGAGAUAUAUCUACAUUUGGUAUGAAGACAUCAAAGUCCAGUUCAGCCGUUUUCAUAGUCCAAAAGUUGAAAUACCGAAAUUCAACUCAGCUGUCCAAAGUGGAAAACAGAGUUCCGACCAGUGUUUAGUAUUUUGAUCAUAUCUCAGUCUACAAAGCUCCGAUUUGGAUGAUUCUUGAAGCAUUGGAAAGCUAACUCAAAGAUAUACAACUUUGAUGUUUUGCACAAAAGCCAGUUCGGCCUGCAUCAUGGAGAAAAUCGCAGUUGAAGUAAGGACAAAGUGAAAACGCGAGUGCACAAAACGCGAGUUGUAGACGCGUUUUGUAAAGGCGCGUUUUCUGGCCGAAAUUCUGCAAUUUGCUCAGUCAAUUCUCUUGUGUUCAUACCACUUUCCAGCUAUAAGUUGCAAGAGAAUUCGGUGCACAUGCUUCAGAAGACAAAAGGGCAGACAAGGUGGCUUAUUUUCAAGUCAAAAACAUUUGUUAUUGACUAUCCUAACAAAGUUGAGAUUUGGGAAUCAAAAUGUGGAAAUUGACUUGGAAAAAUGGAGCUCUUAAGCAGUUUAUAUGCAGAGACAUUUUGGGUGGUCUGAGAAGGGGGAAAUAUACGGGAGAAGCUUGAGGAGUGCAGAAAUGUAGUUCUUCCAUUUCCUUAGUGUAGGAUAGUGUAGUAAGUGUAGUUCAUCCAUUCUUGUAUAAUGGCUAGAUUAGGAUGAAAAUGGAGAUGAAGAAAGAGAAGUUGAAGCUCAAGUGACAUGGGUUAUCUCUUCUCCAACUCUUUAUCUUUUGUAUUGGAUUCUUAAAUAUAGUUAAUAUGCAAUUUCUGGAUUUUAUAUUUAAUAUGUGUCUUUAAAGUUUAUACCUUGGGUUUGGUUGAACUUUCUAUGAUUGUUAGUGUUUAUCAUUUGGCUAUUUAACUGCUAUGAUUUGAGCAAGUUAUUUAGCACUUUAACUCUUUAAAUCAUGAUUAAUAUGGUACCAUUAAUUGUGAUUAUCUAAGGUGUUAUUUCUGCAAUGAAAAUUGAGAUUUAACAUUAGUUCAAGAAGUGCUAAACAUAGGGAGUACACUCACGAAAGUAGAGGUGCACCUAUGUGGUUUUUAGUGAUUCAUUUCAUGUAAUUUCACUGAAGAAAUGAACUUGUAGCUAAUUUCAUAACCAUGAGAAUAGGUAUGGAUUAGUUAUAAGUAUAAUUGAUUCACUACGAAAGUAGGAUUCAAAUGCAUAAGGAAAUUACACCAUAAUUAGCCUAGAUGUAGUAAUUAAUGAUCCAAAUAUAGCACUUGCAUGAGUAGUUAGGGAUACCACAACCUAAGGAGCUUUUAUUUGUUAUUUUGUAUAAUUUCAGUAGGAUAAAUUUGCUAUAAUUCAUUGAUAGUCUAAAUAAUAGAGAAGCUUUAGUAAUACCGGUAAUUGUUCACUCUUCCUUGUAGGAUCGACCCGAUAUAUACCCUAAACUACUAGUUGAUCUGUAUACUUGCAGUGAACGGGUGUAAUUCGGUAUUUUUUAGCUUGCACGUAUGUAAAAUACCCGUCACCAUACACCAAAUGAAUUUUCCUUGUAGAUGAAUAUCUAAUAUGACUGAAUUCAGAAUGUAUGGGUCUGUUAAAUCUAUUGAAAAGUUUAGAGCACAGUUAAAAUAUAUGGGUCCAUUACAUACAUUAGUUUGAAUCAUAGAAAGUAAAGAAGUUUUAUAUCUUUUGAGUUUAGUAUCUCUUAAUGCUAGAUAUAUAGGAGCAUCUACUCCUAGAUGGAAUAAGGGUUUUACUGUAAUUUGUAUUAAACCUAUAUGAAUAUAUCUAUAUUAAAAUGUGGAUCCCUCCAUUGUAUAAACCUAAUGACUGUAAUCCUAAUAUUAUAUCAUGAUUUAUAUUUUUUACAAUUAUGAAAUUAUGUCUAAUACAAUAUUCAUUGUUACAUAUUGAUCCUUUUGUAAAUUUAUAUUUUACUUGUAAAUUUUCUCCAUUUGCUGCCAUUAAGGUUUCCUUUGUUCUUUCACAAUAUUUAGUAGAAAUUAUUCCUUCUUUAAUACAACUUGAAUCAGGCUCCACUUCUAUUAAAGCUCUACAUAUAUUUCUUUGAAAUCUUCUACUGUAAUAGUUACUAAAGCAUACCAUUUUUGAAAUAUCAUUUUUUCUAUGGUAUUUAAAUAUUGAAUUUCAUCUGUUGUUUUUUUUUUGGUCUUUCUGAUAUACUUAUUUCUUCUGUUUUAGAAUUGGAAGUUGAUGGUUGAUUUUCUAGUAAUGUUAUUUUUGCUUCUAUUUCUAAAUCUUUUGUUUUUAAUUCUAUGAUUUCUCUUUGUAAUUGUUUUACUUGUAUUUUAAGAUCAUUAAUUUCUGUUUGAAGAUCUUUAGUGGUUUCUUUUUUCAUUAUAUUUAUGUUUAGAUAUUUAUCUAUUAAUUUAGAAAUACUAAAAGGUUCUAUUAUUUUUGGCAUUUUGUCUUCUUGUAUAAUUAGACUUUUUAAUCUUUCUAAAUACUCUUUUUUAGCUACUGGAUCAUCAAUUUUUUCUAUUAUAUCUAAUAAAAAUUCUUUAUCUUCUUUUUUGGUUAUAACAUUUAUAUAUUUUGAAGUGUUAGAACAAUUACAAUUUUCUUCACUUUCUGUACUAGAUAUAUCAUUAUAAUAAUCAUCUUCAGAAUUUUGAUCUUUUUCAUUAUUAAUAAAUUAAUUAAUUUAUUUUUAAUUUCUUCUUCUUUUGCACAAAUCUCUGUAAUUUUUUCUUUUAAUUUACAUUUGUUUGCUUUAUGUCCUAUUUUUUCACAUUUAUAACAAACAAUUUUUCUUUUAAUAAAUUUUCUCUUCUUUUCUGGUUUAUCUUCUUUAGAUCUUUUAUACUUUAUUUUCUUAUUAUAUUUUUUAACUUUUUUGUUAUAUGCAGAUGGUGAUUUAAUUCUUUAGUAGCAAAUUCUAAAGCUCUAUUAAUUGGUUUUAUUGUUCCUUGAUAUAUAUCAUGUCCUAAAAAUCUUAUUUUUGUUUGGAAUAAUUUCAUUUUUGGUGCUGAAACAACUAAUCCAUUUUUCUUAACUACUUUUAAAAAUAUAUUUAAAUGUUUGAAAUGCUGUUCUAUUGAUUCAGAAAAUAUUAAUACAUCAUCAAUAUAAACUAUGCUAAAUGAACUAUAAGGAUUGAAAAUAUCAUUCAUUAUAUUUUGAAAUUCUGAUGGUGCAUUUUUUAAUCCGAAUGGCAUUACGUUCCAUUCAUAAUGACCAAAAGGUGUUGUGAAUGCUGUUUUAUAUCUAUCUUUUGGUGUUAUUAAUAUUUGCCAAUAUCCUGAUUUUAGUUGUUUCAGCACCAAAAAUGAAAUUAUUUCAAACAAAAAUAAGAUUUUUAGGACAUGAUAUAUAUCAAGGAACAAUAAAACCAAUUAAUAGAGCUGUAGAAUUUGCUACUAAAUUUCCAGAUGAAAUAAAAGAUAAAAAUCAAUUACAAAGGUUUUUAGGAUGUUUAAAUUAUAUAGCAGAUUUCUUUCCUAAAUUAAGACAAGAAUGCUCUAUAUUAUUUAAUAGAUUAAAAAAGAACCAUUUCCACCAGUGAUUGAACCAGAUUGGGAAUUCUCUACUGCAACUUUUUUGAAUGUGAAGAACCAUGAAUGAUUGAAUGGUCUAUACAAAAAAAGCAAAAGUCUAAUUAUACAAGAAGACAAAAUGCCAAAAAUAAUAGAACCUUUUAGUAUUUCUAAAUUAAUAGAUAAAUAUCUAAACAUAAAUAUAAUGAAAAAAGAAACCACUAAAGAUCUUCAAACAGAAAUUAAUGAUCUUAAAAUACAAGUAAAACAAUUACAAAGAGAAAUCAUAAAAUUAAAAACAAAAGAUUUAGAAAUAGAAGCAAAAAUAACAUUACUAGAAAAUCAACCCUCAACUUCCAAUUCUAAAACAGAAGAAAUAAGUAUAUCAGAAAGACCAACAGAUGAAAUUCAAUAUUUAAAUACCAUAGAAAAAAUGAUAUUUCAAAAAUGGUAUGCUCUAGUAACUAUUACAGUAGAAGAUUUCAAAGAAACAUAUGUAGCUUUAAUAGAUAGUGGAGCUGAUUCAAGUUGUAUUAAAGAAGGAAUAAUUCCUACUAAAUAUUGUGAAAGAACAAAGGAAACCUUAAUGGCAGCAAAUGGAGAAAAUUUACAAUUAAAAUAUAAAUUUACAAAAGGAUCAAUAUGUAACAAUGAAUAUUGUAUUAGACAUAAUUUCAUAAUUGUAAAAAAUAUAAAUCAUGAUAUAAUAUUAGGAACACCUUUUUUAAUUCAAAUUUACCCAUUUUCAGUUAGUCAUGAAGGAAUUUCAAUAAAUAUAAUGGGAAAAACUGUUAUCUUUAGAUUUCUAACUCCAGUAAAACAAAGAGAAUUACAGACAUUACAAACAUCCUCUAUUUACAAAACAAUAAAUAGUAUUACUAAAGUACAACAACAAAUAAAUUAUAUAAAAGAAGAAAAAUCUUAUUUAAAAAUUGAAGAACAAUUAAAAGAAAGUAAAAUGCAAAAAAGAAUUUCAGAAUUAGAAGAAUUAUUACAAAAAGAAAUUUGUGCAGAUAUUCCUAAUGCUUUUUGGGAUAGAAAACAACAUAUGAUUGAAUUACCUUACGAAACAGGUUUUAAUGAGAAAAACAUUCCUACUAAAGCAAGACCAAUACAAAUAAUUCUGAUCUAUUAGAAUUUUGUAAAAAGGAAAUAAAAACAUUAAUAGACAAAAAAUUAAUAACACCUUCAAAAUCACCUUGGAGUUGUGCUGCAUUCUAUGUAAUGAAUCAAGCUGAAAAAGAAAGAGGAGUUCCAAGAUUAGUUAUAAAUUAUAAACCAUUAAAUAAAGUAUUACAAUGGAUUAGUGAAUAAUACAAUAAAUUUAUAAAUUUAGAAUUAAUAGAGGAUACAAUAAAUUAAAGUAACCAUUUUUAUAAAUUUAAUAGAGCUCAAAUGCAAAUAAUACAAUAAAUUUAGAAGACAUUAAAAAAGUUUAUCAACAAAAUAAUUAUACAAAUCAAAUCCUUCAUACAAUUUCUCAACAUAUGGAAGUAUUAAACACAAAAAUAGAUACUAUAAAGAAACCAGAAUUAAAAUUCCCUAAUAAUAUUUCAGCACCUCAUUUUCAACCUAGAAGUUUGACAAGAGAAAAAGAACAAGAUUUAGAUUCAAAAUCAGAAGACAAAGCAUCGGCGAAUUAGUGAGAAAAAGAGAACAAAACACUCUCGUGUAAAAAUCCUUAGACAAAUCUCUCAAUCCCUCUUUCCAACUACUCUUGUAUUCAAUUACUUUUGUUUCCUUCCUUCUCCAAAUAUAAUAAAGAUCAAGGAUUCAACCAUUCAUCAAGCUUCCGUUAUCAAAGGCCACUCUAAAUUUUCAGUAAGUCCAAUUUUUAUACUAAAUUUUCUAUGAACAUUUCAAUAGAAAGUAGCCUGGGUAGAAGUGGUAUCAGAGCCACUUAUCACAUUAUCUUUACAGUGUUAUUAAGGAAAGUAGAUUACACAGUGGGAACAAAAAUAGAAGAAAAUAAAGCCUCAUAUGAACCGAAUCUUUCCCCUUGCUUUUUUUUUCUGGGAAUUUAAAGGUAUAAUGCAAGAAAUAACUCCUGGUCAUGCAAAAUUGCCAACAAAAAUGCGUCUUUGGUUUUUAAUUCCUUAAUAACAUACUAUCCAGCAUACUAUUUAGCAUAAUAACAUACUAUCUCAGAUGCAUCCACUCAAAUAUCCUGGCCGAGAUGGUAUGAGGCCAAUUUUCUAUCAAAAAUAUAGGUCUGUAGCAGGUAAUGACGUUACCUCACUACAACAAAAAUGGCCUUUAGCGGCAUUUAAAGGUGUCAGUAUAGAAAAUCUAACCUGACACUUUAUCUAUCCUGACACCCAUGGCGAGUGUUGUCCCUUCCAAUGUGGGGAUAGCCUCAAAUCUUUAGCAGCAUUCAAAUGUGUCAGGCAAACCAUGCUGCUAUAUCUUUACCUCUGCCAACAAAUCCUUUUUUUGUGAUAAUCGAAAAUGUCUAUAUAGCGUUAGGACAUCAGUAGGGAAUCAGUAGGAUAUCAAAUUUAUGAAGGCAUCUUGAGUUGUCUUAAUAUAUGGUUUUAAGGACACGUAGCCAUGUGAAUUUACAAUGUGUUGGACGACAUGCCCAUUUGUUGUUAGUGUUUUUCGAAGCUAAGCUAUGCUGACACUUUUAAUUGCCAGGAGAAUUUUCCCUGGUUUUUUUUUAUGGAAGCAACCUGCAAUUAGUCCUCCUUGCUGUACAUUCCAUCAACCAGAAUCCCAAGGGACUUGUAAAAUUAUCCCAAAGAGCAGAAUGCAUAUGGCAAUGUAAAAGAAGAAGUCGAUACUCAAAUAUAAUUCAUUGAAUUAAAAGUCGAUAACAAGUACAAACAUAGCAAAUACUAAAACGCAAACAAGUGCUAAAAGCAAGUACUAAAAUAUCAAACCAGUACCGAAAGAUUCUCAUUUACAAUAACUUAAAAGCUCUAUCGGAAGCACAAAAUAAAAGACUCCAUCCCUAAUAAGUUGAAAGAAGUAGAAGUAGCUUCCAAACUUUCCAUUUUGUUGAGAGUCCUCAGGCAUAACCACGAAGUCCCCAUCAUUCUUCAGCUGGUUCCACCUGUGCACAAAGACCAAGGGGAUCAUUAGAUCAUCAUAACUAGAACUAAAAUUCCAGAAAAUCCGCAAUGUAUUUAAGUGCAUAUCUCACCAAAUGACAAGGCCAAGCAACUGGUGCACCAAGUGCAUCUUGAAUCGUUUGUUGUAAACCAUAUGGUCUAAUCAAUUGCUCACGUGGAGUCAUUGCAACUUGUAUCUGUAUUUCACACCAGUUUGGCCCAAGAGCUUGUCCCCCGACCUCAUCCAAUGGAUUCAGACUCCGUAAAUAUCCCUUUGCCACGAUUUUUGUUGGGUCAAACAAACUUUUUAGUGAAACCAUAUUCCCUACCUAGUAAACAUCCAACAAGUACAAGAAUCAAACUCAUGCCAAAUUCCAGAUUACAAAUGCAAAAGUUUAGAAGUUGUAAAUACUUACUCAAAUAGGUCGCGUGGCUCGCGAUGGAGCAUGGCUUGACACAUUGUUAGAUGAUGAUGAAGGAUGUCUCGGGCUGUCAAUUGGAGAGCCCCUUCCAUGUUGAACUAAAACCAUUUUCUUCAAGCUGGCUAUUUCAUCAUCUUGUCGCUGAAGCCUUUCCUCCAAACGGACUAAUGUUGACUGUUGUUGAACACUUAUACGGUAGCAUGUGUUACGACUAGGAAUGUCUUCCCAUAAGUCCGUUGGAUUCACACCGUCACUAAGCAAGCGAACAUGACCAUGUUUGUCUUGCCCAACCACCUGGGCAAAUAUAUCAUCACGACCAACUGGAUCUUGCGAAUCCGAUGGAAGCUGAUUUUUCAGCUCAGUCAUUUUUUCCUACAUAAUAAAGGAAAACACUUGUUAUUGCAAAAGACUGUCUGAAAACAUCCAUGGUAGAAUUGAUAGGCUUGUGUUCUCGGAUCCUUACCAAAUUCUCAGCAACUAUGGUACUUGAUGGAGUUCCAUCGGCAUGGGUAUAAAACUUAUUGAACAUUUCUACUCUAGUAGGAGGUCUUCCCAACUGUUUGGCCUAUAAGAAAUUGAAUCGUUUUAAUUAUAGUUUUAGCAUUUAGCAUAUAAUUAAAAAACAAGCUAACAUAAUGAAACAUGUACGAGCAAAAAAAAUUAGCAACUAAAAAGUGGAUGAGGUAUCACCAAGUGGUUCCGAAGAUGAGCAAAUGACUUUUUUCCGGUUGUGUGGUUCAUCUUCUUCUCCCCUCUAGCUUUCUUGUUCCUCUCACUUAGUUUCUAAAUUUCAAAAUCAAAAGCAAGAUUACAGCAUUGAAUGAACACAACUUUAUGAAGAAUGUUGUAGCUGAUUUGUACCUUUGCUUCUUCACUUUUCCAAUAAGCCCAAAGUUUGAUCCAUUGCUCUUCCCGUACCCUUAUGUCCUUUUGAAACCGAGCUUCAGCAUUUGGCACGGCAGAAUCAAAAUAGUUAGCCUUUAAAUCUGCCUUCCAGCUUCUCCAUUUUUUGCCAAUAGAUCUUAAGGUCCAAGCUUCCAGUCCCAUAGGCAAAGCAAACCUUUCCUGAAACGUAGUUAGCAACAAGAAAAUCAACACAACUUCACAGUAAUUUUUGUACAAAGCAUACAUAAUACAAAAGCUGCCAUUACCUUUAUCACUUCUAACAUGUCCAUUUUAAGUUUCCUUGGCAUCUUAAGCCAUGUUUCAACAUCUAUUGGACAAUACAUACCAUUCCUAGCCAAACUGCCCAAGAAUUCAGAGAAAGAGUUUUUCUCACUUAUUGGGAUCCCAUUGUCAUCGAGUUUAAUCUCAAUCCGUGGAAGUUCCUUAGGCCGACCCCAAAUUUCUUUCAUAAAUAUAGGGCCUCGGGUUUUAUGAUUUACUUCACUUGAAUCAUUUGUAGUUUCUUUUCCUGUUUAAAAUAAGAAAAAGGUGCAAGUUAUGAACAUAACAAAAUGCACUUCUGGAAUUGGUUCAAAACAGUUAGUAAUACCUGCAUUGUCCGAGUUGCAUGACAUGAAGGUGGUGUCACUGGAAUGUGGACCUCGAGAAUCCUGAUUUGGACUUUCUUCAGUUGCUUCAUGCCUUGUUCCAAGUGGAGAUUGUUGAAUUGGAGAGUUCUGGCACUGCUCAUGCGACUUGGAACCUCCAUCAGCUUGUUGAGUAACUUGGUCACCUGAUUCAUGCAUUAUUCCCAAUGUAGAAUUCUGAAUUGCAGAUUGAGGUGCCCGAGCAGCUUCUCCUUGCACUUGUUCAAUUACAUUUUCAUGGCUUGUUCCAAGUGGAGGCUGCUGCCUUGUUUCAUAACAUGAGGGAGGUUGCUCAAUUGGUUCAUCUCUCAAUCCAUUUGCAGCGGCUUACAUUUUCGACCUCUACGGGCCAUACCUGCAUAAUAUUUGAGUGAAGAAAGGGACAAAUGUAAAUGUUUAAAAUUUAUUGAAGCACACUCUCUACCUAUAGUUUCUUUAACUUACAAAUGCUAUUAUAAAGAAGUACUACUUGAACAAUAAACUGGCAUGACAAGUAACAAAUGGCAUUCUGCAAGAAUAAACCAGGGGAAGACUAUGGAGCUGUCAACAGAACAGAGAAACAAAUGGAGAAUAUAUGAUUCAAUGCAGCAACUAAUUGGAAAUGAAAUGAAAGCUACAUGCUUAAGUGACUGCAAGAAUAUACAUGGGAAAUGCUUUGAUCUACAUCCUUUCAGCAUGAAAGAUAUGCAGAAUUUACUACCGCUAGACACGAAACUUUUUCCAUAUUGUUUGAGAAUGAUGCCUAUGAUCAAAAGUUGGUAUGCUUAUGCUCAAUGAGGGUGUAAGUAGAAGAGUCCACGUAAUUUUAACUUCAGUAAUGGAGCAAACUAAUAAAUGAUUGUCUUGAAUUAACGAAAUAUACUUGGCCAUGUGAUAACCAAAAAUUGCAGAGGAUAAUGUAUUCUACCAACAAAUACAAGUCUUGGUUUUGUAUGUUUAGGGUGGCAAUCGGGUCGGUUAUGAAGCUCUACUGAAUACUUUUAUUUCCAGAUUCUGACAUGGUUCUGCAUUUAUCAAGAACUUGUCUCAUCUAAACAAGAGCUCAAGCUUUACGUAGCAUUGACGAUUCCAAACCAAAUUACUUCUCUUUUUGCCAGAGCCACAUCCACAGUUAUGGGUUGACACUUAACAGUAAAUGCACAAACACUUCCAAUACAAUUGUAGCAGUACAAACAAUACAGUUGUAGAACAGGAAGGAGACGAAGAGCAUCACGGUGAAAGACUGAAAACGAGAACCCAUCACCAAAAAUAGAUGGUUGAAAUUGUACAUUCAGUUCACAGUAGCAGUCUCCAUUCGACCAGGCUCACCUAGAAAUGUGCUUCUCAGAAAUGUGCUUUUCACACCGCCACCACCCCAAAAGCUUUUCACACCACCACCACCCCCAAAGCAAACAUUCUACCUAGAAAUGUGCUUCUCAGAAACGGAGAAGGUGCUUGUCAGAGAUGGGAAUCGAAUAGCCUAAAAACUAAAUCUACCAAGCAAUGCAAGAACAUGUCUACCAUGCAAUGCAGAAUUAGACACAAAAUACUGAAAUUACCUCAAACUAUGGCUUGAAUCCCUAAUUUCUCGGUUUCCCAAGCUUUGAAGCCCUAAUCUCUGAUUUCUUCCCACCAAGCCAACACAACAGCCGAAUUAGGGAUUUGCCUGGUGCGAGCUCAACCAAGUUACCCAAAAGGGUGCGAGUUCAUGGACGGCAAUUGACUCAAAUUGGUUGUGCGAGCUUGAAAGAGAGAGAGAGGACAAAGGCAGAGGACAACGAGAGAGGGAGAAGAUGUCUGAAAUAAAGGCAGUACUAAUGACGCCAAAGUAAAUUAGUCAAGCCUCUUGAAUUUUUCAAUUUGCUGCGCUACUAAUGACAAUUUUUGUGUGUUUGGGCAAAAUUUUGUUAAAGCUAUAUAACAACUAAAAAUUUGGUUAAAGCUAUAUACAAUAUAAUAUAACAACUAAAAAUAUAAAGGCUAAAAAUCUUGUUAAAGCUAUAUAACAACUAAAAAUAUAACAAAUAAAAAUUUUGCAAGAGCUAUAUACAAUAUAAUAUAACAAUCAAAAAUUUUGUUACAGCUAUAUAACAACUAAAAAUAUAACAAAUAAAAAUUUUGUUAAAGCUAUAUACAAUGUAAUAUAAUAACUAAAAAUAUAAAAAUAAUUAAAAAUUUUGAGAAGCUAACAAAAAACAUUCUUUUAAUCAAAAUGUUUUCGGUUACUCAAUUUAUUUUAUGCUGCGAGCAAUUAUGUACGGCUUGUAGUCUAACAAGCCAUUGGAAGGAUCGAAUUAGUUUAUGAAACAAGAAAAUUAACUUGUGAAUGCAUGAACUUUCCAUUGAUAAACAUUGGGAUUAGAAUUGACUGAACAUAAACAAUGAAUAUAUAUAUAUAUAUAUUCAAUGUUUUCAAUUCCAAAGCAAUUGCCAUUGAACUUUGUGUUAAUUAGAAACUUACUAUCACUUACAAGAUCUUACUAUUGAACUUUUCAAUGAUUAACCUUAGGCUUACACUUACAACGCAUUAAUUGAACAUAAACAUAUAUAUAUAUAUAUAUAUAUAUAUAUAUAUAUAGGGUAAAAAACAAAAAGGCCCCCUGUGUUAACCUAAUACACAGAAAAGCUCCCCAUGGUUUCAAAAUAUACAACACGAUCCCUCAUGCUUUGAACUAAAUUGUAAAGGUGACGGAAUCCGUUAAACUUAACGGAAAUGGACGAAAUGACCAAAAUGCACUGAUAUAAUUAAGCAAAAGACAGCUCAAAAAAAUCAUUUGUUUCAUUCUCUAAGUAGAGAGAAUUGAGGGUUAAGGGGUAGAAUAUGCAUAUUUGAUAAAAAAUAGGCAUAAAAAUUUUUUUUAGGUUCCAAUAAGUCAUUUCCGUUAAGUUUAACGGAUUCCGUCACCUUUAUAAUUUAGUUCAAAACAUGAGGUGUCGUAUUGUAUAUUUUGAAACCAUAGGGGAUUUUUCUGUGUAUUAGGCUUACCACAGGGGGUUUUUUGUUUUUUACCCAUAUAUAUAUAUAUAUAUAUAUAUAUAUAUAUAUAUUCAUUGUUAAAAAUUCCAAAGCAAUUGCCACUGAACUUUGUGUUAAUUAGAAACUUACUAUCACUUACAAGAUCUUACUAUUGAACUUUUCAAUGAUUAACCUCAGGCUUACACUUACAACGCAUUAAUUGAACAUAAACAUAUAUAUAUAUAUAUAUAUUCAAUGUUUUCAAUUCCAAAGCAAUUGCCAUUGAACUUUGUGUUAAUUAGAAGCUUACUAUCACUUACAAGAUCUUAAUAUUGAACUUUUCAAUGAUUAACCUUAGGCUUACACUUACAACGCAUUGAUUGAAGGAUAAUCUAAAAUUGCGACUAAACCGAUUAAAUUCGAUCAAAGAUCAGUUGGACUAGAAAGCUCUAUCGGAAUUAACUUUUUGUAUUGUUAUUGGUUUAAAAAAUAAUUUUUUCAUGGUAUUAAAAAAUUAUUUAAGAAAUUUAUAGAUUAAAGUUUCAAAAUAUUUCUAUUGAUAAAAAAUUAGACCUCGGUUAUUGGGAAAAAGAAUUGGCCAUAAAAUAAUGAUUCACAAAUGUAAUAUUACAGCUUACAAUUAAUGGAAUUGCUUAUAAAAUAAUGACAAGUAUUUAUCCAGCCCAUUGGGCUCUUAAAAUAAGUAAUGGGUUCCUUGGAAAGUUGGAUAGUUUUAUGUUUGGUCUGAAAUGAUUUGCACAUUCCGUACGUUGCCAAUUGUUCUCCCCAAAUCAUAGCCUCGGUUGCCAAUUGUUCUCAUGCUAUUAAAAGAAAAAUCAUUCCAAUACCAUUUUUAUGAAUAAGACUGACGAUUACUAACCAAGACUAGAAAUCCAAAAACUGGACCAUGGGAGUAUCAAUGAAGAAAGGCCUUAAAGAGGCAAAUUAAUACACAAGUUUUAACUAAUAGCACCAACUCUUUUAUCACAUCUGUCAGAAGGCUUAACAUGACAUCGAGAGCACUAAACUCAAAAAAAAAAAAUGCAAAACCCAUCGACAAAAGGAAAUAAAGCCUAGGCCUCGCAAUUGAAACAGAGAAGAAUAAGGCCAGUAAGCUUUAAAGCUAUAAAAGAUUCUAAAUCAGAUUAUAUUGGGACAAAUCAACUUCAAUCCCAAGUCCAUUCUCACGAACCCAACUAAUUUCCUCAUUUUCAUUCUCAACAACAGGAUUGCCAACAUCACUUUGCAAAUAUGUCUCAACAUCCAUGGUUGUGCCAUGUUAUAUCCAGCUCUUGCAGUGGUAGAGAUAACCACUUGCCAAUCCUUAUCAGUUGGAUCUUCCAUAAAAAACCUGUGAUGCUUGUGAAGCAAGUAUAAAUGGCUCAACAUGAGGCCUCACGUUUGCAAAAUUGACUAAAGUAAACCCAUCAGCAUCUUGUUUCAUUCUCGAACCAUUUGAUAUCCAAUCACAUUCGAAUAACACCACCCGGCGACCUCCGUAAAUUAAUUCAAUCAUAUUUUUCAAGAUGCCGAAGUAAACUAGUUCACUCAAAACUGGAUUUUGAUCCCUUAUACUUGCAAAACUGGAUGUUGUUGCAUUGACUGUAACACCACUAUUCUGCGUUUUUCUUUUCUUCUCAACUUCUUUGGUGUGAAACCGAAAUCCAUUAACAACAUACCUGCCAUGUUGGAUUCCAACAACAUCUGGACCUUUAGUAAGGAACCUCAACUCUCUCAACACCGAAACAUUUUGAGGAAGUUCUAACUUGUCAAUCUGUAAAAAAAAAAAAAAAAAAAAAAAGAUGAAACAAUAUUUGAAGUCCUACAAUUCAAAUUGUACUUAAUAUUCAGAAUUUUACUUACAUGUUCAGCAAACCAACAUGCAAAAUUUUCACUGUGCAAGCGCUCUUUUAGAUGCUGUGGAACUUGAGGAUGUCCUUCUUCUAUCAAUCUACGAUGCUGCCUAGAAGUACAUGAGUCAAAAUUGUAAUCAUACAUUGAAUUCUACAAUAAAAUUUUAAUGCAUCAAGUUGUAGUUGAACUUACUCUAUGUAAGGUGUGACAGCAUCACAGUUAAAUAAAAUACUGAUGUGCUUUACUCAAGAUAUGAGCAUCAAAGACUGUUGGCUUGCCCCUCCCCAAAGGAUGUCCUGAUUCAGAGAAUAUAUCUAAACCAUCUUCAAUUUCCUUAUGUACUUCUUCAUUUCUGCUUGGACGAUUGAAUUUUGUCUCAACAUAGUCCGCAAGAUACAAUGAGCAAAAGUUAAUGCAUUCUUCUGCCAAGUAGCCUUGAGCAAUCGAACCUUCAGGCCUACUUUUAUUUCGAACAUAAGAUUUUAAUGUUCCUAAGUACCUAAAUUAUCAUCAUUCCAAACUCUCUAAUUAGUUCCACAAAUCAAAGAAAGCAAAAAAGGAAUAAACAUUUAAGGCAUAAUGAGAAUUACAAGCAGUACCUCUCUACAGGAUACAUCCAACGAUAAUACACCGGCCCACCUAAUUUCACUUCAAUUGCCAAAUGAACAACUAAAUGCACCAUGACAUCGAAGAAGGUUGGUGGGAAGCAUUUCUCAAGAUCGCAGAGUAUGACGGCAAUUUCACUUUCCAAACGAAACCACAUCUUGAGGACAAAUAACUUUAGAACAAAGCUGCCUGAAGUAUCUACUCAAUCGAAUCAAAGGAUAGCGCACUGAUUUUGGUAAAGUCUUUCUCAAAGCUAUAGGCAUCAAUUGCUGCAUUAGGAUAUGAUUAUCAUGACUUUUAAGCCCUGAAAUUCUUGGUGGUUUUACUCGAACGCAUCUUGAGACGUUAGCUGCAUAACCAUCUGGAACUUUCACCUUUUUUAGCACAUUGCAAAACAUAGUUUUCUGUUUUUUAUCCAUUGCAAAGGAAGAUGGAGGUAAGUACACCUUUCCAGGUUCUGUCUCAAUGGGAUGCAGCUCUUUUCUUAGUCCCAUUUCUCUCAAAUCACGGCGGGAAUUAUAAUGGUCCUUUGUUUUAUCCUCGGUGUCCAGCAAUGUCCCCAAAUGUUUUCACAAACAUUUUUCUCAAUGUGCAUGAAGUCAAGAUUGUGUCUUAAGACAUUAUCUUUCCAAUAUGGCAAGUCAAAGAAAAUACUCCUCUUUUUCCAAUUGAAAGGCAGCUUCGGAUUACCUUUCACAAGUUUUCCAAAUUUAAUUUGCAAGUCUCCCAAUUCACUCACAAUCAUAUCCCCGGUUUGCAAAGGUGGUCGCUUUCCAUGUUCUUCGGUGCCAUCAAAGAAUUGGGCUUGCUUUCUAAAUUUAUGCUUACUAUCUAAGAAUCUCCGAUGACCUAUGUAGCAAUAUUUGAAACUAUGAGUCAACCGUCGUGCAUGAGUGAACUUGUGACAAACAGGACAAGCAUAUUCACCUUUAGUGCUCCACCCAGAUAACAUUGCAUAUCCAGGGAAAUCACUAAUGGUCCACAACAGAGCCGCAUGCAGUUGAAAAUUUUCUUUUUGGGAUGCAUCAUAAGUUUGAAUGCCAAAAUCCCACAAUUCGGUCAGUUCUUUAACUAGAGGCUGUAGAUAAACAUCAAUAUUAUUCCUAGGAGAGGAUGGUCCGGGUAUUAACAAAGACAACAUGAAGUACGGUUGCUUCAUACACAUCCACAGAGGUAAGUUAUAUGGUAUUAAAACUACAGGCCAAGUACUGUGUGUAGAACUCAUGUUGUUGAAUGGAUUAAACCCGUCAGAUGCCAACCCCAAUCUAACAUUUCGACAAUCCUUAGCAAAUUCUGGAUGUAGAUGGUCAAAAGUUUGCCAAGCUGGAGAAUCAGCUGGAUGUCUCAUACAACCAUCUUUUGUACGUUUUGCCUCAUGCCAUCUCAUUUGAGAUGCAAUUUUAGAAGACAUAAAUAGUCUUUGUAAUCUAGGUUUUAAGGGAAAAUGCCGCAACACUUUUGAGGAAUUUUCCUUUUUUCCCCAGUUGGAUCAUUUUCUGAAGCAACCCACCUAAGCUCGUUACAUGUUUCGCAUGAAGUUCUUUUUUCAGCACUACCCCUAUAAAGAGAACAAUCAUUAGGACAUGCAUCAAUCUUUUCAUAACCCAGCCCCAAUGUAUUCAUCAAUUUCUCAGCCUCAUAGUAAGAAGACGGCAAAUUAGUCAUGGCCUCCGGAAAUGCUUCUCUCAACAGCUCAACAAGCAUAUUAAAAAUCUUGUUACUCAUCUUACCCAGGCAUUUUAGGUGAAGCAAACGAAUAAUGAAAGACAAUUUCGAGAAAUUUUUGCAACCAUUGUACAAAUUCUGUUGAGAAUCAUCAAUCAAUUUGUAAAAUUUUUCAGCCUCUGAAACAGGAAUGUCCCCUUCUCUAUUCAAUUCAUUUGUUCCAUGUGGUAUCCCAAAUACAUCAUGGACCAAGUCUUGCAUGUCAUUAGUCCCAUUUGAAAACCCAAUUGAUGUAUUUUCAGAAUUAGAUGUGGCUUCAUUGUAGUUUGAAAGUUCUCCAUGUGCUGUCCAAUUAUUAUAACCCUUGAUAAAUCCUACCACUUUCAAAUGAUCAUAUGCUUCCAUUUUUGUCACACAAACACCCAUGCCACAAUCUUUGCAAGGACACAAAAUCUUUCCGUCACAACUUGAUCUAGAAAAUGCGAAGUUUAGAAACAUUUGAAGUCCUGUCUCGUACUUUUCACUUGUUCUUGGAAAAUCCAUCCAUCUUUUAUCCAUACUUUUAAUAUAAAUAAAUGUCCUCCAACGAGCUUCCAAUAGCCUACUUUUUAAACUCAGGUCGUGGCUUACAAGUCCCUAAUUUCAAGUUCAAGAAUUUCUCAACAAAAAGGAAUUUAUCAAGCAGCCAGCAAAUAAAGGAAAUCAACAAAAUGCAAAAUUUCUCAACAAUCUAUAAAAACAGAAUUUGCAAGUAAGCGGAUAGAAAUUUUAUUUACCUAAUAACAGAAAAAAACCCUUCGUACCAACUCCUGCGCUCACGUCUUCGCAAAAUUCCUAAGUUCAAUCUGAAAUGUCAAUGGUUAAACAAACACAUGAGCAUGAAAACUAAAGGUGAAAUUCAAGAAUUUUACUAAAUUUUCAUCAAAGUAUACAUACAUCUUUGGUGUGUAGUGAUUAAUUUUAUAAGUCAUCUCUUUAGAAAGGCAUGCAAUUGACGGCAUAGGUAAUUGGAAAAAGAAUGACAGAAAAGUCCCCUAGCUUCUAAUCAUGCCUAUGAAGAUCCUUAUGAACAUGUCAAAAUACUUUGACCCAACUACAUCAAUGUCUCUGUCUUAUUAAUCUAAAAGUCCCCUUUUUUGGGCUCAAAAUUUGCACUAUAAUAGACUGAUCAAGUGCAGAAGACACUUAGUACAAGCGUUAUACUAUAUAUUUCAAGCAACUCACGUACUGAUUAGACAUACAAUUUAAAACAGAAAAAUGAUGUAAAGAUGCAAGUACUACAUAGAAUUUAACAUAGAAAAAAGCAAUAGUGAUAUAAGUGAUACCAUUGGGUGAAAUAUGCACUUAGCCGGAGGACCACCUUUGUGGCAAAAGCCAAAAGGCAGCAAAGGUUACCAUUGUUAUGCAAAUUUUGUGCCUCACAUUGGCGGUCCAUUAUCUGCAUCUUAAUUGUCUUUGGGCUUAUAUAGUCACGGUUUCCCAAUUCUGUCACCAGAAUAAUUUCCUGCUAGGCAUAUAUAGACCAUGGUCCUUGUUUCAUUUAUUUAUAUCGAACUUGUUGCUGAGUGUUCAUGAUUACGAUAAGCAAUGCAAUUUGGUUGAAGCUCUCUAUUCACAGUUUUGCUUAACCGUCCCCAUCCCCAAACAGAACUAGCUGCCUAAACAAACUUCAAUUACAGCUAGGUUUCAUAGAAAAAAAUGAAAAACAGGGGGAAUUGACUUUUUAUCGAACAGGUUUUGGGCAACAUACUAAUCACCCGUGGACACUUUAUUAGCUAGCCUAUGUACAAUUAUGGCAUGACGAUAGAACAAAUGUAACAUGGACAUAAAGAUCGAUCUCCUCAAAAAUACGCAAUCCAAUUGAACAAAUUUCCUCAAGUUUUCAUCUCCAUUGCAGCUAAAGAAAAAGCAUCCAACACCGAGUUGCUAUUAAUGCUACAAUUAGAUAGAUAUCAUAUUUAAAUCUUUCAACAAUCUUAAAUGAGGACAAUAUAACUCAACUAGCGACAGCUCAGGCCAAGAAUCUUUACUUCUCAGAAAAAAAUUUCCAAGUUGCAGGUAAUUUCUUGACAACGAAAUCAAACAUAAGAGCUUCAUUGUGUUUACCACUUCGAUUUUGGAACAACAUUUGCGCGCCUGAAGUAUCUUCCAGCUUUCCCAAUGUACAGCUCCGAUCUUCUAAUUUUACUCCCUGCCUGCCCUUCCAGAUGUCUUAGCCGAAGGAUUUAAAGUUGAGGUUAGAAAAGAUGAAGAUGGUUGUUUGCGGAGACAGCUUGACCAACAUUCUGGAUUGGCUGAGAUAGAUUGUAUGCGGAGAGGUGAGAGAGAUGAGAAGAAGAAAAUUUUCACCAAGUCCUUUUGCCGGCAAAAUGAAACUUCAGAGUACUUUACCAAGUGUCUGGAGCCAAAUUAAAACGAUGUCAUUUUCUGUCUUUUUUUUUCUCACAUUUUCCCAAGUGUCAUGAUAGGUAGUCUAAAGACACAUUAUUAUUUUAUAUCAUGAUAAAAUAAAAAAAUUAUAGUACAGAUUAUUGAGUUGGUUAAUAAGUGUCAUGAUACGUUUGGUAUAACGACACAAACCAACAAGUGUCCUUAUAAACAUGUCAGAAAAGGCCAUUUUUGUUGUAGUGCCUGUUGCGUUUUGAAUUUCUUAAAUAAAGGUCUUCUCUUACCCCCAAGCUAAAUUUCACACACGUUGCUCUUAUUCCUAAAUAUUUAGAGCCCAAGCAAGCAAAUAUCUCAAUUCCGUCCACUAAGUUUAUGUAAUGUAGUGUACAAAUUAGCGUCUAAAGCCAUCUCUAAUCGAGUCCGUGUUCUUUUACCGAAUAUUAUUUCUGAUCUCAAUCGGCUUUUAUUCCUGGCCAAUUAAUCACCAGUAAUGUCCUUGUUGCUUAUGAAGUCCAUCAUUAUCUUAAAUGUAAAAAUGCAGGCAAGGAGGAACUCAGGUCGAUUAAAAUGGAUACGAGCAAAGCGUAUGAUCGAGUUGAGUGGAUAUUUCUCUUAAAAAUAUUACUAGCUUUAGGUUUCAAUUCUAAAUUUAUUUUCUUAAUUUUCAAAAGUAUUUCAACAGUUUCUUAUUCUUUUUUGCUCAUCGGUUUGGGAUUUGGCCACUUAAAACCUAGUUGGGGUAUUAGACAAGGAGACCCACUUUCCGCAUAUCUAUUUAUAUUGUGUGCAGAAGCUUUUUACAUUUUAUCUCAGAAGCUAGUCUUUGUGGAAAGUUGGGAGGCAUUGCUGUUGCGCCUGGUGCUUCAUCCAUUUCUCAUUUGUUUUUUGCCAGAUGAUACUCUUUUAUUUGGAAAGCUACAGGGGAGGAGGCUUCAAAUUUUAUGCAGGUUAUCAAUCUUUAUGAAGGUGCAUCAGGCCAGCCGAUUAAUGUGGAGAAGUCAGUGGUGGUAUUUAGCAAGAAUACUCCAGAAGCUGAUUAAUUGGCAAUUGAAUGUGCUCUUCGAAUGCCGCCUGUGGAAUCACAUGAAAAGCACCUCUGGGGUUGCCUACUAUCGUUGAGAGAUCUAAAGGUGAGGUCUUUAAUUCUAUCAAACAAAGGGUUUUUAAACGGAUUAAUGGAGCAGCAGUUAUCUCGAGCAGGAGAAGAAAUUUUAUUGAAUGUCCCUUGUAAAGUUAAGCAUUAUCUCUGGAGAAUUUGCUGUGAUUUCUUGCCUACUAAAGUAAAUCUGCUCCGGAGAAGAGCUUCAGUGGAGCUCAACUGUCUGUCUUGUGGUUUUGAUAUUGAGGAUCUUAUUCAUGCAAUUUCUUUCUGGGCGUUAAGCUGCCUUAAAGGGCAAGUACGUAAGUGGCAGCAAUCAAUUCCCAAAGAGUGGGCUCUGGAGUUGUUAGUUACGUUGAAAAAUCGUGAAGCAGAGUUGUUUGAGAUGUUAUGUUGGGCUAUUUGGCUUGGGAGGAACCAAAAGCUGCAUGAAGAUAAACGAGUGGACCCUUUUGAGUUUAGUUAGCUUUGCUUCGGGUGCGCUCCAAUAAUUCCAAGAAGCUAAUGUUACUCAGAAAUGUCCAGGCGAUGGCAAGUUAAAGUUUAAUUUUGACGGUGUGGUGUUUAAGGAAACUCAAUCUAUUGGUUUAGAUGACGGUGCGGUGUUGAUUUAUCUAGUUUAGACCCUCCAAUUUUUGACAUUACGAGGGACUUAACUAGUUUAGAGAUGUCUAGUAUUUCAGGAAUGAGUAGGAAUCAUAAUAAAAUCACUCAUAUAUUAGCUAAGAUCGCAGAAUUCAUAUGUGAUCAUGUCUUUUGGUGGAGAGAUCUCCAGAGUUUGUUGUGCCAUUUCUAAUGGCGGAUUUGUUAGAAAGUUAAUGAAAGUUCAAUACAGGUUAUGUUGAGUAAGACGUUGGAUUGAAAAUUCAAGAUUUUGAACUGAAAUUUCAAGAUUUUGAGAUGAAAAUAAAAGAUCACGCUAAACUUAAUGGAUUCAAAUCUUAAUAUGUGCAAAUGCGUUUGAUAACCAAAAUUGGACAUCUGAAUUAAUUAAGUGCUACUGAAUUUUCUAAACGAAAUUUGUUCUAAAAAAUAAGUGAUAAACUAUGCAUUUAUUACUGAAUGUGAUAUACACUUAAAUAUACUUGAUUUAAUACUUAACAAUCUAAUAAAUUAAUGGACUCAGAUUUUAGAUUUCAAUUUUAUCAAAGUAACCUAAAAAUAUAGACUAUAGAUAAAAUAACUGCAGAUAAUGAUUUAUGUUGAGUAAGCUUUCAAAGCUACGUUUCCCAAAACAAACUUUAGAUAAUCAUUCUCUAAUUUUUGCUUUCACUCUAGAAGAUGCGUACAAUAAUGGGUGUAUACAAAAAUGGAAGUUAAAUUGAUAACACUAAGCUCGCCAAUUCUCAUAAAAAAAAUGAUGACAUUGCCUGCAUUAAUUCUAGUAACGGACUGAAGACAAUAAUUAAUAGGUGACUAUAUGGUGCCUAAGGCACACAAUAAAAUGUGGACUUGGUACCAUUAUUUAUUUUUGUGAAAGGAUAAACCUAUUUUGUAAGGUGUCGCAAUUCAUCAUCAUGAAAUGAGUGGUAAUUUUAAAGCAUUAAUAGUGAAUUCACCUUCAUUUUUAACGUUCAUAUCGCAAAGCCUAUUAAAAAAUUUCCACCAGCACAAAUUCCACUUUUAAUAGGUUCGAAAAUUCACUCACAAAUUUAUCCACAAAUCCCAUUAACAAAAAAAAAAAAGAAAAUGCAGAAAGUUAUCAACGGAACUUCUAUAGUGCGUUGAUGCGACACGUGUUGGUUGGAGAUUACUAGAUGGGAGUGGGGUUAAUCAAAGGUGGUAUUUUAGUAUUAAGCCCAAAAACCACCGGUAACAAUGGUAUUGACCCAAUUUCUAGAGGAAUUGACCCACAUAAACUGUGAAAGAUUAUUUUCUCUGUCAUUUAAGGCAAUUUCUGAACAAGAUUUAGGCGUAUAAUAAAGAAAUUAUCAACCCCCAACCCCCAAUAUUAUGCUAAUAUGCAAUUGGAAAAAAUUAAAUGAAUAUUUACUUGAAGUUAAGAAGUGGAUACCAAUCGUAGAAAGUGUUUAUAACAUACUCCGAAAUGCCAAAGGACUUCCCAAAAAGUGGGAAGCAGGACAACAUCUGAAAUAUAGUCCAAGUUUGAAGUGCUUUAUGUCAAACAUAUUUCAAUAUAGAAAAAAAAAAAUUACUGGUUAGCAUAUGUUUGUGCGCAGUAUUUGUUGAUUGGGAGACGGUUCUAAGGAGGCGGUUUUGCAACAAAUAAGUAAACGGGAUGUCGAUUACUUGGAGUUGUAUCUUAUGCUGGAAAAAUAAUUAGACAUGUCAGUUAAGUAAUAUUUCAAUUUAAAUAAAGUUAGUUAGGAACUAGAACUCGUAACAUGGUUGGAUAUGGUUAGUGAAUAGGAUAUGAAUGUUGGGGGAUAGAAUACAACUAGAAUUACUAAGACAAAUUAAGCGUGACACUUUGAAUUCAAAUUUUACUAACAUUGCAUAAUAACACCUUUGACUGAUAAUUUUUUUUGAUACGGAAACUGGAAAAAUUUUAUUAAGAAGAGGAUAGAUCCGUAUUAAUUGCGAAAGAAAGAAAAAAUGGUGGAGAAAAUCUCCAACUAUAAAUACCUGAAAUAGAACUAGCAUUACUAUCUAAGAAAUGAGCAGGCACAAUUAGAUUCCUAGGAAUCCAAUCAGCCUCCCAAGUAAUGAAAUUCUGUAAACUAACAAAGAUAUCAUCUAACAGCACUCCAUAAGCUGAAUCAUCGGAUUCCAUAUUUUUAAGCAUGUUGAUGAUCUUCAAAGAGUCACCCUCUAAAACAAUCUUAGAACCUUCAACUGAAGUAACGAGGAAAUUGCAGAUAUUGCAGCAUAAGUUUCAGUUACUUCAGGAGAAAAGAUACCUAAGAUUUUGUGAAAAAUACUAGCAACAAAUUUGCCCCAUUCAUUCCUCACAACAAUUCCAACUCUAAAGUUGUCGUCUUCAUAGAAUAUUGCACCAUCGAAGUUUGCACUGCACCAUCGAAGUUUGCCUUUAGAAAUCUUGCAGAGGGCUUUAUCCAAUGAAGUUGAGCAGUGGAAGAGCAUAUUGGAAUGUUUGGAAAUGUGUUUAUUUCAUGGUAUUUCUAUAAGAAAUUGAUAGAGAGGGAGAGACCAAACUGAGAGGAUCACGAUAGAACCAUCAAAUAAUGCAUCAUUUCGGUUAAACCGUAGAUUCCAAAGAAUUAUGGCUACCAAUUCCAUGUCCUGCUUUUUCAAAAGAUGAAGGCCAGACAACCGAGACGAAACUUGAUCGGUAGAGUCUAAUCUUAUCUUUAGUGUAAGAAAGCUAAGGGCCCAAGGUUGAAUUGCUACUGACAGCACAAGAAAAGAUGAUUAACAUCAUCAAUAGGGGCCUUACAUAAAGAACAAGUAGGAUCAAAAUAGACUCCGCGACUAUUCAACUUGGAAGUUAUAGGUAGAAUGUCUUUGCAAAUUCACCACAAGAAUAUUUUAACUUUACUUGGUAUGUUGAGUUUCCACAAGCAGGGCCAAAUAUCAUCCAUAGAACCAUUACUACAUGAAGCUACAUCUUGUCAAUUUGUAGAUUAUAUUUUGAUAAGAUGAUAGGCAAUUUUCACUGUGAAGGAGCCAUUUUUAGAAUAGUGCCAAAUGAGCUUAUCUUGAUUUCGUCUAUCACCCAAUGGAAUACUCAUAAUCAACUCAAUCACAUCUAAGGAUAGCAACGGGGGCGGUGCCCGGGGGGCUAUUGGGGCAGAGGUUGGGGCGGGGGGAAUUUUUCCCCCCAUUUAGAAACGGGGCAGGGGGCCCACCCAUUUGGAAAAAAAGAGAGAUAUAUAUAUGUACAUAAUUAUAUAUAUAAUAGUAUUAUCAAUUAUACAUGUCUAUUAAUAAAAAUUAUUAAUUAUUUAUACUAAAUUUAUUAAUACAUUUAUAUUAAAUUCCUAACUACACUUAAUACAAUAACACUUUUUUUCUAAAAAAAAACAAAUAAUAAUUUAGUGAUUGUAUUUGUAUCAAAAGUAAAAAUAAUUAUUUUAGUUAUAUUUGUUUUAUCAUAUUAGAUCGUAUUCAAAUAACUUUUGUUUAAUUAUUUUUAUGAGUUUCAAUUGUGAAGUUAUAAUGAAUAAUAAUUUGGUGAUGUGUUGAUAUUUUAGUACUUGAUUACUUGCUCAAAUUUAAUUAUAAUAAAAUUAUAUAAUAAUUUUUUUAACCCCGCGGGGGAAGCGGGGCGGGGGCGGAGGAGGACGGACGGGACGGGGGGAAUUAAUAGGCAACGGGGCGGGGGGGGGGAGGGGCCACCCUAAUCACAUCCUGCCAAAAAAGCUCUUGAAGCAAAUCAUAUUUCCAUUUCCUGCUAUUUUCAUCAAUUAAACAAUCUAUAGUGGAGAUUUCUAGUAGCACAUCAAAACGAGAUAUAAUUUUGAAAUUAGAAAGACGUGGAAUCCACCUCUCUUUCCAAAUUUUGAUAUGAUUCCCGUGUCCAUCUCACCAUCUACUACCAAAAACACCUUUGAUUGAUAAUUAAAUAGUUAAAAAAUAUAUCUACUUAAUUUGUUUACUCAAUAGUUAUGUGAACUAAAACAUAAAAAAGAAGGUCAAUUAUUAUAUUAGUGUUAUAUUUGUAAUAUUAGUUCCCUAUAUAGUAGGUUGCCGAGUUGGGCAUAUUUAUAUUCUACCAAGUAAAUGCCCUAUCUUUUCGAAACGUGGCAAAAAAAAUUGUGUUUGUUUUUUUGGUAGAUUUCAUUCUUUUUCUUUUUGGUAACAAUUAAUUUACUAUUCAUUUUCACUUCAUUAUUUAUAGUAAAUUUCAAUCAAUUAUCAAUUACUUACCUUAUAUGCAUUUCUAUUAAUUAUACCUUUAUUUUUUUAAUCAACUUAUAGCUUUCCUUUUUAAUUAGGCACUCGUUAAUAUAUGUCUUAGGUGUUAAAUUUUUAGAAAUAUAAGAUGAAUUAGGGAGAGCAUAUAAAUGUAAGGGAAUUAAUUAGAAAAAUAUAUAAAUAAAAGAAAAAGUAGUAAUAGUUGCGUAUAUAUGUGGCAGGUUAGGUGGAAUGCAGGUGUGUUAACGAUUACCCAUAGGGCACCCAUUAGAAAUACUCAUCAAAAUUUGGAUUAAUUUUUUUUCCUUUCAUUGCAAUCAUUACUACCAUUUUUCCUAUCAUUUAUUACUAUACCUUCAUGUUUCUAAAUACCAAUAAAUGUAUUACUCUCUUACUUUUUAUUUGAUUGUGCUAAUUAUAGCUUUCCUUUUACUUAAUCAAUUAGUCAAUCGAUCAAUCAACCCAUGAUUUUAAUUCUCUUUUCAAUCGCACGAUCUUUCUUUUAUCCAUCAUUAGGGAGAUUUACAAUUUAGUCACAUAUUUGUUAUGUGUACAAUAAUUAUGCAAUCAUAAGCACAAACUAAUGCAAUUCUAAUAAUUUUGCAUAUAUGCAUUCAUAUUGUAUUGCAACACCUUUAAUAAUUCAUUAUAUGGUUACAAAAGCCAAAAAAAAUCUAGUAUUACCUAGACCUUAGAUAGUCCCCAAUGUAUACACUGAUACUGUAUAAAUGAUUUUAAACCCGUUAAUAUAUAUACUGAUUGCAUAUGAAGAUUCAUCCCUAAUUUAGACCUCUUAGAUAGUUUGCAUGCAUUAUAUUCCCUUUUUUUAAUUUCUUAUUUAGUUUACCUUAUUACCAUUUAUGAUUUUUUUUUAAUUUAAGCAACAUCUUCCAAUAUUUUAUCACCAUUUUAAGUUAGUUCAUUUUUAGGAGAUAGUAGUAUAAGUGUGGUAGUUUGUCCAAAUAACUUUGAAUAUGCAUAUACAACCCAAAAAUAAAAUGAUAGUUGUUUAUAUUCUUAUCACUCAACGAUGAUAGUGUUAUGUAAUUUAAAUGAUUGAGAUCUAUUGCCAUCCAAAUAUAAAUUUAUAUGAGGGUAUGAUAACUAAAAAUGACUAUAGAAUCUCCCUAAAUACUAAAUAAUGCGAAUAGAGAUAUUCCCUCAAAAACUUGUAAAGUACUUAAUGUGUAUACGGGUAAAUUCUUGCAAUAGUGAAAGGAAAAUAUCUUACUAGCCUUGAAAUUUUGGCCCGUGUAUUGACUUUUGUUAGCUAAAUUAAACUAUCUUGGAGUGAAGACAUAAAAUCUGCGGCAAAUUUGAGAGAGUUGUGAACAUAGCUUAUUAGCGUACACAUUUUUUCCGAGUUUGAAUUCUCUCACUUACUUACUGACAAAAAGAAAAAACUAUCGUACAUUUAACUUCCAACUAACAAUGAUGUAUAGGUAAUAAAUUAUAUGCAUGGGAUAUUCCCAUAAAUAAAUGAAAUAUAUUUACACGACAAAGAGUAAAUUCUUAAAUUAAGAAGAAAUAAUAUUAUAGUAGCUGUCAAUUUGUUUAUAUGACUUUUUGGUUUGUCUUUACUCAUGACAACCAAUUAUGUUAUUUUGAUGUAAAAAUAUCCAAAAACGGUUGAAUACAAUGUGGGACAUUAUUAUUAUUACUCGGAUACCUCAAUAUUUAUAAAAUUGAUUAAAUUGGAAUCCAUUUGGAUUUAACAGUAUUUUGAAAAAACUAUUUUUGUUGUUCAAGUCUAUAGUAAUAAACUUUAAAAAUAACCUCAAAAAUAAUUUAAAAAUACAACAUAUCUCAAAUACAUUAAAAAAUAAUUAAAAAAUUUCCCUAAUUCUUCUUCCCCACCUACCCACUACAACCACCACCACUACCCAUCACUGUCCACUACCACCACCAUCACCCCACACCCAUGACCCUUCUUCCUCUCUCCUCUCUCUCUUCUCCCUCUCUCUCUCCUCCUCCUUUCUCUUAUUCUCCUUCUCCUUUCUCCUUCCUCCUCUGCCUUGUCUUUCCUCCCUUCUCCCUUCCCUUUCCCACCCCCUAAUCCCCCCUUCCCUCUACUGACUGUGGCCUUCUUGGUCUUGACCAGAAAGGUUGCAGCCAGAAGCCACUAGUGUUGCAACCAAGGUCACAGAUGGAGUCGCGGUUACCAUCCACGAUUGGGAGAGGUUUGAGGGUCAGAAACGAGAGGGACGGGGGAGAGAAGGAGAAGAAAGAGGAGGGAGAAGGAAGAGGAAGGGGAGAAUGAGAGGGAGAAGAGAGGGAAAAAGAGGGAGAGACAAGAGAGGAGAGAGGGGGUAACGGCGGUGAGUGGUGGUGGUGGGUGGCGUAAAAUUUUUUAAAAAUACCCCAAAAAAGUUGUAAAUUAUAAAAAUAUCCCAAAAAUGUAUUUUAAAAAGCCCUAAAAAUACCUUUAAAAAACCCCCCAAAAACAUCUAUAGUACAAGUUAUUUAUAUAUAUAUAGUUACCGUAAAGUUUUUAAAAGAUACCCCAAAAACAGUUAGUCCAAAUGGAGUCUUGAGUUUUGAGGUUAAGGUUCAAUGAUUGACCACAAUUUAGGUCAAAGUAAAACUUGGCCGAAAGUUUAGUGGGUAAAAUAUAAUUUUAAAAAUUAAUCAUCUUCCCUGAUCCUCACAGUUGCAAUGGUGAACUGUCAGCCCCUUAGGACGUGUUCCAGACGGAACGCGCGCAACCGUGGUAGAUUUCGGUCACUCAUGGUCAAGUUGGAAGGCUGAAGGUGAACUGGUUGGGAAAAACUUGGACACAUGUUUGAUGAUGUAUUCCAUGCCUAUGUAUGGGUUUGGAAAAGUUUCAGGGCUAGGAAAUGUCUCUAAAUUAGUGGGGAAAUGAGGGGUGGCUUUACUAGCGGUCCGAAAUUUUUAGCUAGGACUACUAUAGAGAGAGAUAACUAUAACUAAGCCAAGUCAAUGCCAAGGGCUGGGGUUUAUGGGUUAUUUUGGAUGGUUCCAAGCAUUUGGAGCUGUGGUGCCUAAGUUGCUAAGUGUUGGGCAAGUUGGGCACGGAACUAAGCAAAUGGCGAGAAGCUGGGUGUGCGAAACUGUGUGACCAUUGCCUGUGCGCUCCAAAGACGAACGUUGGGACUGUCUGGCAGUUGCUAGUCGUUUGCUGGAGUUGCGGACGGUUAUCAGUCAACUCAGACACGUUCUUAUCGGUUUCUGACUUCAUGUACAUUCGGGUCGGACCAACGGUUGGGUCUUGUCAACUAUAACAAUGCAUAUAAAUAAAUGGCUAGGUAGGGACUAAAGGCAGAUAGUGAGAAACACCCUUAGAUGUUCUGCACGCUAAAUGUUUGUAGAAUUGUCCUUGUAAUCUCUAUAGUGAAAUACAAGGUUGGCCGUUUGGUUGUAACUUGUGCGUGUUGUUCCUUUGUUUUUGCCUAAGUAUUCUAUGUUGAAUACUUGUAUGCAAGUGUCAGUGUAAGGGCUGACUGGAAGCGCGGCUUAUCAAUGCCAUUACAUGCUUGUUAGGCUAGUGAGCGAAGCGUAAACACCUCGUAAUAGUUUGGUAUCAAAGCACGGCUUUGAUCUAUUAGACUGUGCUUCUGUUAUGUGUUUUGUUGGUUAAUGAUGGUUGGACACAGGAAUUCUGUUGCAAUGAUUGGAAUGGUUGCAAUGUUAGGAACUUGCAUUCGAGGACUUGAUGCAGUGUCUAGGAGAUGGCCUAGAAGGCUUCAAUGUCAUAGAAGUUCUAUUGCAGACUAGAGAGAUGAUCAACACCCUGACUGCACAGAUGGAUGAAACCAGGCAGACAGUUUCUUCUGUUGGGAUGUUGAGAUGCUAAGGAAUGAAAUGACUGCGUCCCAUGCAAAGAUCGUGGCUUUACAAUCGAAGAUCAAUGUGUUAAAAAGGCAGUCGGCUCUUGUAACACACAGACCUUUCAAAAAUCUUCGAAGGGAAAGUGAAAGUCCUAGAUCCGAAACCAUACCAAGGUAGUAGGAGUUCGAAGUAUUUGGAAAACUUUUUGUGGGAUUGUCGAGUAGUACUUCAAGGCUAUUGACAUUCCUGAAGUAGAGAAGGUGUCAAUUGCAUCAAUGUGUCUUAGUGGUGAUGUAAAGUUAUGGUGGAGAACAGUGCAAUCAGACCUACCAAACCCAAGAUCGGCACUUGAGAAGUACUGAAGGAGGAAUUGAAGAAGCAAUUCCUUUCCACGAAUGUUUAAUGAAAAGUUAGAGGUGUAUUGUGAAACUUAAAGGAGAAUAAGAAAGUACAGAGUACGUUACAGAGUUCCAAGCCUUGAUGUUAGAUGUAAGGGAAAUGUCUGAGGAAGACAGACUCUACAUCUUCAUCCAUGGACUUCAACCGUGGGUACAGAUGGAGUUGCGGUGAUAAAAUGUUCAGACCGUGUCUCAAGCACUUGCUACUGUCGAGAAGUUGAUAGACUUCAAGUCCAUAGGAUCCAAAAGUGAAAAAAAAAGAAGGCAAGGAUAAGGCUAAGGGCUCGAAAGGUGGUCAAUUCUCAAAAAGAAUAAAAAGAAGCAGACAGUACAACGACCGAAACUAGCGGUGCUUCCUCUUCUAAGAAGAAGCAAACAUCCAACCCUAAAAAGGAUGGCUGCUAUACCUGUGGAAGACCACACUUAACCUGCAAUUGCCUCAAUAAGAAGGACCAGAACGUUAGUGCCUUAGUGGCAGAAGACAAUAGUGACCAGUUGGAGGUCCAGGAUGCACGGGUCAACCCCAUGUAAUUCUUGAACGCCAUCACCGAUACUAAUGUCUGUACUCUUUACAAUGGUUUGAUGUAUGUGCAGGUUACAUUGAAUGGUAACCAUAUAUUGACGAUGGUUGAAAUGGGAGCAUCAUAUAGUUCUAUGAUGGAAAAAGUGAUGAGUCGGUUCCGGUUACAGUUGAAAGACUUGGGUUUCAAAAUUGAAGGCUGUAAACUCUGAAACCAAACCAGUGCUAGGCAUGGCGACCGUAGAUUUAGAGUUGGAGCCAUGGAAGGGUUGGUGCAAUUUCAUGGCAAGUCAAAUGGAUGAUUUUGACUUGAUUCUAGACAAAGAUUUCAUAGUUGCAAAUAGGAUCUAUCCAAUUCCGCACUUGGAUGGCGUCAUGGUGAAUGAUGGCUAGAGUCCAGGCUUUGUUCUUGUAGUAAAGUUGCAGAAACAAAAGAACAAUCAACAAAAGAACAUGGUAUCAACGAUAGAGAUUGAGUCAUAUCUUCUGAGGCGGUGAAGUUGUGUAUAUUGCUGCAUUGGUGGAAACCAAACCUAACAUGUACCAGGAAGUACCUAACGCCAUGGCCCACGUUCUAGAGAAGUUUACAAUAUCAUGCCUACAAGUUUUCGAGAUAGCUUCCUCCAUCCUGUGCGUGGAACACAAGAUCGAGUAGGUUCCAAGAGCCCAACCACCUGCCCAAACUCCUUAUCGCAUGUCCCCGAUAAGUUGGCUGAGUUACGAUACCAACUUAAUGAAUUGCUAGAUAGCCAAGCGCUGAGACCGUCAAAGUAUCCGUACAGUACUCCAGUGUUAUUCCAGAAGAAGGCUGACGAAACGUGAGGUUCUGUGUAGACUAUUGUGCCUUGAAUAAGAUCACGAUAAAAAACAAGUACCCAUCCCAAAUGUGUACAACUUGUUCGACGAGCUAGUGAUGACACGAUUUUACACCAAAAUUGAUUUGCGGUCUGGGUACUGGCAAGUCUGAAUAGCCCCAGGAAAUGAGGAAAAGACGACGAUAGUGACGUGGUAUAAUUCAUUUGAAUUUCUCGUUAUGCCAUUCAGUUUGACGAAUGCACCUGCUACCUUUUGUGGACUAAUGAAUGAUGUCUUGUACGAUUUUCUUGAUAAGUUUGUCGUAGUGUACUUAGAUGAUAUUAUUGUGUAUUUGAAAUCCUUGAAGGACCAUAUAGAUCAGAGGGUAAUAUUCUGCAAGUUGAGGAAUACGAACUCUAUGUAAAGUAAGAAAAGUGUGAGUUUUACAGGGAGCAAAUCACUUUUCUUGGCCAUGUAUUGAACAAUGGUCGGAUCCAGAUGGAUCGCAGGAAGGUUGAGGCGAUUCUUGACUGGCUUGCACCCCAGAAAGUCGCAGAACUAAAGUCAUUCGUUGGUUUGGCCAACUACUACAGGCACUUCAUCUAGGGAUACUCAAAGAUGACCUACUAAAGAAGGAUAGACCGUGGCUGUGAGAUUAUGAGUGCGAAGAUGCAUUCAGAAUGCUGAAAAUAGCGGUUGCUUCUGUGCCAGUGUUGCAACUUUCAAAGCUUUUGAAGUGCAUACUGAUGCUUCAGAUCGUGCGAUUGGAGCGUACUUAUGCAGGAGAAGCACGGAUUGCAUUUGAAAGUAAAAAGCUAAAGAAUGCGAGCAAAGAUAUAGUACGCAUGAGAAAGAAAUGACAGUUGUUGUACAUUGUCUCAAGAUAUGGAAGCACUAUCUAUUAGAAACCAAGUUUGUGGUGGUGACUAAUAACAUGGACAAUACUUGCUUCAAGACACAGAGAGAGUUGACCCCGAAGCAAGCUCGUUGACAAGAGUUUCUGGCUGAAUUUGACUUUGACUGGAUUCAUAAGUUAGGAAGGGAGAAUGCAGUGGUCGACAUACUUAGUAGAAAGUAUGUCGAAGAAUACAUUGUUGUGCUUAGCACUGUUGAGACGGACUUCAGGGACAGAUCAAGUGGGAGUCCCCGAGUGACCCAGUUUAUCAAAACUUGGUGUUCGUGAAGUCAAAGUUCGUCGUUAUUGGCUGGAGGAUGACUUACUAUUUUGCCAAUAGUGGUGAAGCAUAUGUUCCAGCAGGAGGGGGACUUAGGCGACAGUUACUACGAGAGACUCACAAUGCUUCUUGGAUUGGUCAUUCUGGAGUUGAACGAAUGCGGGCAUUAUUGUCGCGUAGCUUCUAUUGGCCAAAGAUGGAAGAGGAUAUUGAAGCAUACGUGAAAACUUAUCUUGUUUGUCAACACGACAAGAUGAGAGGAAGAAGGAGCCAGGCUUGUUGCAGCCUUUGCCGAUCUCUGAUCGACCAUGGCAAUCAGUUUCUAUGGACUUCAUUUCGAGAUUCUCUAAGGUCGAUGGUAUGGCUUUUGUCUUUGUAAUUAUUGACAGAUUUUCUAAGUAUGCUGUGUUUGUUGGUGCACCAAAGGAGUGCUCGGUUGAUGUUGUCGUUGAGUUAUUUUUCAGACAUGUUAUGAUGUAUUUCAGAUUACCCAAAGAUAUCAUAAGUGACAGGGACAUGAGAUUCAUAGGUAGAUUUUGAACCGUGAUGUUCGGGUUGCUAGGUUUCGAACUGAAGUUCUCAACUGCCGCAUACUCUUAGACCGAUGGACAAACGGAGAGGAUCAAUAUCUUGCUAGAAGAAUACUUAAGGCAUUACGUGACGACAAGUUAGAAAAAUUGGCUGGAGUUGCUGGAUACUGCAUAGUUUUACUACAACCUGCACAAGUUAUUCGUAACUAAGUUGAGUCCAUUUGAGUUAAUGAACAGGCAACAACCUCUGACUUCACCUGAAGUUGCUCUUCAAGAGUUAGUUUGUUGAUGACACAACAACGCAUGAAGAAGUACGCAGACCAACAUAGAUCGGACUUAGAGUUCCAACUGACUCCCCAGAUUUGAAAAAAAGUAAAUAACAAGACAGUCCAUCGUGGGAUCAUCCCUGAGUACAAUAGACCAUUUGAGGUAAUCAAGAAGGUGGGUCAUAUAGCUUAUCGUUUGAAACCACUUGACAAACUCAAGAUCCACCUGACCUUCCAUGUGAGUUUUCUGAAACCCUUUUACCAAGACGAGAUGGAUGGAGGACGGAGGCAAGCAAAGUGUGCCUGCACAGUGAUCCGCAAGCAAUUCCAGAAUGAUGUGAAGGCUUUGCUGGAUUACAGAAUGAUGGGACAAAGAAAAAAGAAUAGAUGGACAAACUAUCUGAUCCAUUGGAACGGUGAAACAAAAUUAGAUGCUACUUGGGAACGGAUGUUACCUUGUGACAGUUUCAAGAUAAGAUUGCUGAGUACUUGAAGAACGUGCGAAAGCAAACCAAGUUGACGAGGGCGUCAACCUCUUCAGGUGGGGUGGUUUAUCAGCCCCUUAGGGUGCGGUCCAAACGAAAAGUGCACGACCGUGGCAGAUUUCGGCCGAUCAUGGUCAAGUUGGAAGGCCGAAGAUAAACGGGUCGAGAAAAGUUUGGACACAUGUUUGAUGAUGUUUUUCAUGCCUAUGUAUGGGUUUGGGAAAGUUUCAGGGAUAGGAGAUGUCUCUAAGUUAGUGGGGGAAUGAGGGGUGUCUCUACUAACGGUCCGAAGUUUUUAGCCAGGAAUACUAUAUAGAGGAAUAACUGUGACUAAACCAAGUCAAGACCAAGGGCCGGGGGCCGGGCCAAGGGUGUGGUACGACUAGACUUUGUGGGUUAUUUCAGAUGGUUCCAAGCAUUUGGAACCGUGGUGUCUAAGUUGCUAGGUGUUGGAGCAAGUUGGGCACGAAACGUAGCAAAUGGUGGGAAGUUGGGCGCGCAAAAUCGUGCGACCGUUGCCUGUGCUUGCAAAGACGAACGUUGGGACUGUCUGGCAGCUGCUAGCAGUUGUUGGAGUUGCGGAAGGUUACCAGCCAACUCAGACACGUUCUUAUCGAUUUCCUAACUCAUGUACAUUUGGGUUGGACCAAUGGUUGGGUCUUGUCAACCGUAACAAUGCCUAUAAGUAAAUGGCUAGGCAGAGACUAAGGGCAGAUACUAAGAAACAUCCUUAGAUGUUCUGCACGCCAAGUGUUUGUAGAAUUGUCCUUGUAAUCUCUAUUGUGAAAUACAAGGUUGGCCGCUUGGCUUUAACUUGUGCGUGCUGUUCCUUUGUUUUGUCUGAGUGUUCUACGUUGAAUACUUGUGCACAAGUGUGAGUGUGAGGGCUGACUGGUAGUGCGACUUACCAGUGCCAUUACGUGCAUGUUUGGCUAGCAAGAGUAAACACCUCGUAACACGAACACUGGUCGCCCAUCUUCAACCACCAUCUAACACUUCUUUUCAAGAUCAAUUCUUGCCCAACACUCAUUUUAUUCGCUUGAGUCAUGAUUAUGGCAUCACUUUUCUUCAGUUUAAACCCUUUGACGAUACAAAAAUAAGGUCACAAUUGAAAUUCUGAUUCGAAAAUUUGAAACUUUCGGGAUUGCCUCCUGCUAUGGGCUUUUCUCAAACUCGAUCAUAUGCCCAAACAAAUUCAUCAACCAACACUCACUCUGCCCUUGGGGCACCCAAUUAACCCCUUUAAAACAAUUUUGAAGACACCCGAAACUAGGGUUGGGCAAAAAUACUUGUUAAUCCAAAAAUCUGACAUAUCCGAUUCGAUUCGAUUCAACAAAUAGGGUUCCGGUGUGUAUUAUUUGAUCGGUCAAAAGAAAGUUGGAUAAUUACUUGUAUGCGGCGUUAGGUGGAGUCACCUGAUUAAGAAUCCGUGGGAUCCCGACCCUUCCCACAUAUAUAUUUUUUAUUUUUACACACAUAUUACAAAAUAAUACUUUUGGAGCUAAAUAAGUAAUUUCAUUAAACAAAAUACAUUAUAAAUAUGAAAAAUUAAAGUUUAUUUAUAAGAUUCAUUUAUAGAUGUCAUGAUUUCUUUUUUUUAAGGAAACAGUUUAAUUAAUAUAGAACAUAUAUUUGUAAAAAGGUACUAUUUAUUUGAAUUUUCAUUGAUUUUGAAUUCUUUUAAUUUUCUUUUCCCGUAUUCUCUUUGCAUGUUCAUUUUUUUAUUGAGAAAAAAUCUUUAUUAAGUUUUAGAUGAAUAUUCAAAAUACAAAAUUAAAUUACUAUAAAUUAUUUUUUAAAACAAUUAAAUGAUAACCAGCGUGAUGCAAAUAUCUGUUAACUCAACCCUACUUUAAUGGAAACCCACUCAUAUACGGGAUGGUUAAAGGUCAAAAGAUAGCUGUCUUGCAAGGUACGGGUCUAGUCAGCCAAAUGAAGCAUAGAACGAGUACUACUUGACCUGUACCUACCCCUACCCAAAACAAAUCUUAAUAAUCAUAAAAUAGCAACCUGCACUUGCAAAAUCCAAUUUUCAAUUUUCUCCUCAAAAUUUAGCAUCAAAUUUUACAAAAAUUACACAAAAACAAUCCAAUCAACAAAUAAAUACUCAAGCAUUGAAUUGACAUUAUACUGUAUUUGUGCAGCACCGAAUUGACAUUAUCUGACUUGUAUGUAUGGCAAAAUAAAGGAACUAUGAAGAGGAUGGGGAGGAGGGAGAAGGAUGCUGAGAGUAAGGGAGGAGAUGAAUCGGAAAAUUUAGAUAUUUUUUCUUUUUAUAUUUUCUAUUAACCGGAUUUAUAGGUAACUAGAGCUGUUAAUCGAACCGAGUAGCUGGCGAGCCGAGCUCGACCCGGCUCGACAAGGGCUCGGAUCGGCUCGUUUACAGAGAGAAACAAUCCGAGCUCGAGCUCUACUCAGUAUUCGUUUAAUAUAUGCUCGGCUCGUUUAAGCUCAGUAGGCUCGAAGAGUAGGGGCAUUAACAUCAUUUCAUUGUGUAUGUGGUACUCUAACCUAAGUCAUUCUCCCGUUUGUAACCAUAAUUUUUCUUUCCUCUUUUGGUCUUACCUUCUCCCGUUCCACAGCCGUAGCCACAGUCGCACGCCAGCACCCUCCAUUUUUACCACCGUCACCGAGUCACCAUUCACCAAUUCAUCCAUCAUCUCACCUCCAUCAGGACCAUCACCUAUCCGUCCACUAUCUCACCGCCAGGCGUUAUCCCUAAUUUUUUCUUUCCUCUUUCGAUCUUUCCUUUUCCCGUUCCACAGCCGCAGCCGCACCCUCCAUUCUUACCACCGUCACUGACUCACCAAUCCAUUCAUCUCACCUCCAUCACCAAUCCGUCCACCAUCUCACUGCCAUCAUUCAAUCCACUUCUCGUGAAUCCGUGAGCAGCGCCAUACGGAGCCACCUCGGUAAAGCCAGGGGCCUCUACCAUAUCCCGAUUCCUUGCAUAAUCUGGUAACCAUUUCUUCUCAAUUUUUGCAAUUUAUUUUGGUUUUAAGAGGUUGUGUGGGUUUUGGUUAAUGGUGGAUAGCCCCGUAUCCCAUAUGGCUUCCCCGUAUCCGUUGGCUUCCUGUGUUUUAUCCCGAAUUUCACCUGCACGGAUUGCUUAUGCAUCGCUUAGUGGACUUUUGGUUUCAAAUAGCAUGUCUUUUACCCGUUAAAUAACCUUUUUUUUACCCAUUGUUCUGGAUUGUUGCAUAAGUGUCAAAUUUCGCCUGAAAUGCUCACAUAUUCUUCUAUGAGAUUACGUGUAUCACUACUGCGUUACCUUCCUUCGACACCUGAAGCUGGAGUUUGACGUUUCAUUUCGUUCAGACCAUGGAAUAGUUGCUGCGAUUAAACUUAUGUCUCUAAGAAAAUAAAGAAGGAAACAUCACUUUUUGUCUCUGUGCUCUUUGAUUUCUGCAUUUUCUAAUCCAUGUUAUAGAACUGACUGUUGAUGAUACCAAACAUUUUGUUAAAAGAAAACCAAAGUAUUCAAUUCCCAUACAUUUAACUCUUCCUGGUUAAAAUGUAACUUCCUCUAUUGAUGUCCAUAAAUUUCCUCGAAAAAGCUUGCGAAUUGCAAAAGUUUCCACCAGUCGUCUUAAAAUGGCACUCUAAACCGUCUGCUAUGAUACUUUUGAUAAGCACAGUUAUACUGCCAGGAAGGGCAAGUAGGUAUGCAUCAUGGACCAUGAAAAUGCCAAUUUCCAGAAAUCAAUUACAGCUUUGACGAGUUGCAAACUUCUUGGACUAUGAAAAUGCCAGUUUCUAGCAAUGAAAUGAUAGCUUUCACGAUCUGCAACUUCUUAUUGAUUAAUGAAUACUGAAAAGUACGUAUCAGCCCAAUCUUGCCUCUCUUCGUAGUACCUGGAAAAGAUUUAACAGUCAACCAUAAGUGACAGAACUUUAACAGCGCUAGCCAUAUAACAAACAGUGGACAAAACUUUAACAAAGCUAGUCAUUUUCUUUUCUUUAGCAUGUGAUAUUUCUUCAUGUUUUGCACUUUUGUUUAAGCUUGACAGUGAAAACAUUUUUCAACCUAGAAGAUUCUGCAAGGCAAAACUUUCUUCAUUUUAGUUUCUUCAUUUCAGCAAAAUUAACUUUUUGUUUGGACUGCCAUUUUAAGAGUUUUUCACUGUUAUUUCAUUAAUCUGAAUGUAAGCUUGAGAAUUGAGAUAGGAACAAGUUAAACAAAUGUUAAAACUGGCUUGAAGUGGGCAUUAUUUCUUGGAAUCUGUUUUAUUACUUUUGUACCUUAUUUUUAGAAAUGUCAUUCUAAAUAUCUAUUUUGGCUAAUCAGAAUCUGUAUUGGUUAUUAAAUGUGUUUUGAUUAAGGAAUGUACAGCUCUCCAUUCAACUCAUUUCAAGGUUCAUCAUCAAGUCCUGUGAUGGAGCAAAAUAAUGAAGUGUGAACAAUUGAACUACAACGAAAAAAGAGCUGAUGAGAUGAGUGAAAAAGAGAUAGAAAUGAUAAAAGAUGAGGGCAAUGAAGAACGACAGCAAGAGAUGGAGAUGAAGGAGCUGGUCCUUUUGAGAAAAAACAAAGGAAGAAGAAAUCUAGCAUAUGGGAUGAAAUGACAACAAUAGUGCUAGAUAAUGGGACGGUCAAAGUGAAAUGUAACAAUUGCAAGGAACUUUUUGUCAAGAGUGCAACCGAAGCCAUAUCUCAGCACAAGAGACACUUGAAUUCUUGCCUACAAAGAAAGAUAGCCAUUGGAAAGCAAAGCAAACAAAAGCAACAAGUGUUGUCAUUCAUCGAAGGCCAAAGUAAUGGUAUCACUUCCAUCACAAAUUUCUUGUAUGAUCAUGCCAAGGUAAGAGAGCUUGCAUCACACAUGAGUACCCCUUUUCUAUAAUAGAUCAUGUAGUUUUCAACAAAUUCAUGAAAGCGGCUUCUCCAUUUUAUAAUUGUUAAGAAAGAUUGCAUUAGUACUUAUAAAUUGAAAAAAGGAACCUGAAAUCAUUGUUGAAAGGUGCUGGUAGGAUUAGUAUUACCACAGAUUUGUGGACAUCUGGUCAAAAAAAUUCAAUAUAUGGUUGUGACUGGUCAUUUUGUUGAUUUUGAUUGGGUGCUACAAAAACGUGUUGAAUUUUUUAAUGUUCCUCCUCCUCAUGCUGGAGUUAUUAUAGCUGAUACUCUAAGUAAGUGCUUUAUUGAUUGAGGGAUUGAGAAUAAGGUUUCUAACAUAACUGUUGAUAAUGCUUCAUACAAUGAUGUGUGCAUUAGGAGACUUAGAGAGGAUUUUUCUCUAAAAAAGAGAUUAAGUAUUGGAGGAAAAAUUUUCAUGUUAGAUGUUGUGCACAUAUACUUAAUCUCUUAGUGCAAGAUGGUCUUGGUCAACUUGGUGGUGUGAUUGAUGUUGUUAGAGAAGGGAUAAAGUACUUGAACAAUUCUGAAUCUAGGCUUCUUGAAUUUGCCAAAAUUAAAAAACAGCUUCAAUUGCCCUCUAGAAAGCUAAUUUUGGACUGUCCAACAAGAUGGAAUAGCACCUAUUUGAUGUUAGCUUCAGGUUUAGAGUUCAAGGAUGUUUUUUCAGAUAUGCAGACAUUGACCCUGGAUUUCACUAUGUUUUUACUGAUUUUGAGUGGAUGAAAGUGAAAGAAGUGUGCAAAUUUCUAGGAAUAUUUUAUGAAAUCACUGAUAUGAUUUCCGGGUCCGAGUAUCCAACGGCUAACAUUUUCUUGUGGAGCUCUAUAGGAUUAAAGAGCUUUUAAAUGAAAAAGCUCUUGACCCUUUUUAGCAUCUUCGGGUUAUGGCUGGAAGUAUGUCUGCUAAAUUUGAUAAGUAUUGGGGGAAAGUAAUGUACUGCUAUCUUUGGGUGCAAUUUUGGAUCCGAGAUACAAAAUAUUUCUUAUUAAUCAUACUUUUCCGGUGAUUUAUGGUGAGGAUGCAGCUCCUAGAUUCGUGGCUGAAAUUAGAGACACUCUUUAUGAGCUUUACAAUGAAUAUGUUGAUUGUCACAUAGUUUCCCAUUCUGAACAAUAACAGAGGCAGGUUGUAAAAGGGAGACAAAAUGAAGGUUCUAGUUCUUCUAGUAAGAAACAGAAAAUGACUGGACCUGCCGUUUUAACUAGUAAAGAAAAGUUGCACAUGCAUGUGAGUGAAAUUAACAGGGCUCCACCACAAAAAUCAGAUUUAGAUGUUUAUUUAGAGGAAAGUAGGUAUUGUGACGCCCCCACUUCUCCUUAAGGUGAACCAAAGAGUAUCCACGGGACGCCUGCCCAACUCUUACCAGGACUGGUACAAUUCCCGUUCAACCUUAUUACAAUACUAGCUAUCACGACAAGAUGAAGUAAAAAAGAUAAAGUCGCUUCUAUAAAUAAUAUUCAAACUUACACCACGAGUUCCAAAAUACAUCAAAUUUCCAAAAUAUACAACUGCCAAAAGUCUAGUCGAUUACAUUUGGAACCCUAAUACAAAAGUACAACAAAAGGAUUUCUCCGAGUUUCACUCCAUAUCUAUGCCUGUUAAGGAAAAUAAAUCUACGGGGUGAUCAAUUGCUCGUGAGGCCAAAAAACACACAUACAAGCACGUUGUCCAAUUAACAAGAAAACGAUAAUAUUCGAGUAAUUAACAAUUCAAGCGGAAUGUAAACAGAAACAAUUCAAGGAUAUGGGAGCUCUCAGGAGCUAUUGUCCACUGGCACGAUCAAGAACCUCCACGAGUUGACACUCCGUCAAUCGGGUAGGUCAUAUCCGUAGAAGCUUCACUUACGCGUUCCUCGUCCACCAUACAUACCGCACCGGGCCCGAACAUCAUUUAUAAGGUGAUACUCCACGAGUAUGUCAAGCGAGAUCUUUCAAAUAGAUCAAACUUAUCAUGUUAUUCUCAUGACUCAUCGAGAUUCCCGACCAAACCCAUGCCGGCUCGAGUUCCAAGGUCGACCUAUGAGUUUGGGCCCCCAUGUAACAUUUGUGAGUGGAAGAGAUUCACUCCAACGAUGUAUGCAGCCAUAGCAUACUAUUUCAUGUCAUUCAAGCAUUCGAUACAUUCAAUCAUUCAUUUCAUCUCAUUCAAGUCAUUCAUGAUCCAUUCAUUUCAUUUCAAUUAAUUCAAUCAUGAGUCAUUCAUUUCAAAUGAGAACGAGUGCGGUAAAAUACACACUCGACUCCAUUUUCAAAAUCUCCAAUCAUUAAUAACAGUUAAGCAUGUAUCAAGUUCCCAUACACUUGACACUCACCAAGUAAUUCAAGAAGUAAAGCACAAGCGGUUGUUUAGGCGUCUCCUGUGAGAUCCUCUUGAAGGUCCUCUUGAGUGCCUGAGUAAUAAUAAUGAACUAUUACACACUAUCGUUUAAAACCCCUACUUAUCGAGAAAGAUUGCACUCGUGUACAAUUUAAGAAGAUAUUAUGAGAAUGAGCCUUAAUUACUCGUAAAUCGAGACUCAAAAGUGGGGUUUUAAUAAUACAAGGAAAUUCGAUUUUCAUCUUUGAAAUCAAAUGUAAAACGAUCAAGCAAUAUCGAGGAAAAAUGGUGAGUACUAAAAACUCAAUUUUCUUUAAGUUCGGAAAUUUCAGAUUUGAUAAGCAAUUUUUGAAAAACCGUAUCUCAUUCUCUGUAGGUCCAAAAUUAGAAAAAUUGGUACCGUUGGAAACUACUUCCAAAGUACUAAAAGUUCUUAGAAGACAUUUUUCCAUGAUUCCAAAUAGAUGACAUUCAAAAUUCGGUUCAAAGUUGCUGUUUUGGGCUACCAAGACAAUUUCGGGGUUGGUUUUUGGCCAACUUUGGAAAUUCGGCAAAAUUCACAAAAUGUGAACUAGCCUCUGCAAUUUGGAAUCAAUUAUAGUUACAAACAAAGUUUAAAACACAACAAACAGAACAAGAAUGGAGUUUUGAGUGCCAAGAUAUAGCAGCUCAAAUUUGCUGAAAUUUUCUCACUGAAUAAGGAUUUUCCAGAUUUGAAACAUGAAAUUUGGGAUUUCAGUUGAGCAUCGAAAUGGACUUGGAAUGGCACCAAAUUUGGUAGUAUUACCCUACCAUAGAAGGGCUAUUCCUCUGUCAAAUUUCAUGCAAAAAUUCAUAUGGAAGGUCAGUUAACAAAGCCGCUAAAGUUCCAAGAAUUUCCAAGGCAAAUCUGCCUUGUACUUCCGUUUUACUUUUUCAAGCAUUUGGCCAAUGAAAUCUUCUCAAACAUGGUUCAUUUAUGAAGACAAGAUCUAAGAAACAUCCAAAAUGUGUUUGGUAGGUGAUUAAUACCAAGAGUUCCAAAAUAACGACUCCCAAUUCGAGUUAAGGCAUUCAACUAGCCAAGAUUAGGGUUUCCUUUCACUGACACAGGUCUGGAAUUUGGCCACAACUCACUCAAUUCAACUUGGAAUUAGACAUGAUCAGUGGCGUUGGAAACUAAAUUCAUAGGGCUAUAAUUUCUCAGAAAAAAUCAUUUUGAAAUUCUGUCCAUAACUAGUUCAUAUUCUAGCAACAAGUUGCAGCACACAACAGGUUUUCUAACACAGACGAGAAACAGGGCAGGUGACUUUGAAAGGCUGGUACGGUUCACUCAAGUGGAAUCAGGGGAUGCAUUUUAUACUGUUAGAAAACUGGAAGUAUCUAGUUUCUAAUUCCUCAAAUGGCACUCGAUUUUGAUGUCGGAGAAAGAGUUAUUGUCGUUUGAAAUUCGCUGCCAGAGCAACUCUGGACAUGUUUUCCAACCAUGAAGAAAUUUCGAAAUCCAAACAUUUACCCAACCAAAUCAAGUGAUUUUUGGUGGAAACUUUUCACACAACCUAUAAAACAUAUAUACACCGAAAUCAAGUCAAUUAGAUCACAAAAAAUUGCACCAAGAGGUGCGGCAAUGACAGGGCAGAUCUGGCCCUUCUUCCAUUUCAACUUCCUUUGAGUUUCUUUCCACUCUUUCAACUUAAAUCCACUAGAUUAACACUUAAUCAACAUAAAUAACACUCAAAAUCAUCAAAUCAGAUGAUCAAGUCCAUUGUGGGAUUUCAUAGAGUCUACUCACAUGAUUUUCAACAAUCCAAAGCUACCCACAUGAAGCUACAAGCUUCUAAGUGAAAUCUAACUUACAAAAGCUAAGAUUUAAAGGGUGGAUGAUCAUUACCUCUUAGAUGUUGCUAGAGCAGAAAUUUCGGUCCUUAGAGCUCCAAGAAAACCGUGAGAAUGAAGCUCUUCUCCUAGCUGAAGAUGAUCUCCAAGUUAUUUGCAAGGUGUGGUAUGAAUUUGAGAGGAUUUGGUGCAAGAUUGAGAGACGAAAUGGUGAAGAAACUUGGUCUUCUUCUCCUUGUUGUUGCACGGCUGCUUGAGGGAGAGAAAGAGAGAGUUGUGGCUGAUGGAAAGCUUCUCUUGGAAGCUUAAGAGUUUGUGGCCAAAAUUACUCCAAAAGUCAACUAAGAAUAGUGCAUGUACACGCGCGUUUCGUGCUCGUUUCCUCUUGGAUUUGUUUCACUUGUGCACUAAACCUCUAAUGCACUUCCAUUCAUACUAUUAUUAUUCACUUUUAAUAGUCUAAAAAUAAAGGUCUAAAGUCCCUCAAUUAAUCGCGCGCGCGAAAACACGUACUUCCGUUUUGUGCGCGAUAGAGUAAAAUUUCUAAGAAAUUCUUACAAUGAUAUUAUAACUGACUAGUACUUGAGUACUUAAACAUAAAAAUACCUAUUUUGAAACUAAUGUAUGAGUCUUCAAUCUCCAAACUCACUGUACCCUCAAAUCGAUUAUUGUCUCCAAACGCACAUUCACUAUUCUCACUAAACGAGUUUCUAAAAAUUAAAUUUUUGCAACAAGUCAUUUUAAAUAUAUAUAUAAGUCAUAAUUCCAUGUAAUUGAGUCUAAAAAGGUUGGAAUAAAAUAUUCGGAGCAAACAGACAAUUAAAUAUUUAAAUAAGCUAGUAAUAGAAAUUUAAAAUAAGUAAAUUUGCGGGUCCUUACAGGUAUGCUUGUGAUGCAAAUGCAAAUUUGGAUGUUUUGGGUUGGUAGAAAUAGGAAAGAUUGAGAUUUCCUAUCUUGUCGAGGAUGGCUGCCGAUAUACUCUCCGUUCCUGUUACAACUGUGGCUUCAGAAUCUACCUUCAGCGCCGGAGGUAGAGUAAUUGAUGAUCGACGAGCUUCUAUGUCAAUUGAGACGGUGCAAAUAUUGCUUUGCGGCAACGAUUGGAUCCGCAGUCUUCAUGGCCUAAAGAAUAAGUCUCGCGUUAAGUAAUUGAUUAGAUGUUUUUGUUGUUGUUACAGUUUCUUUAUAUCUGAUUUUAAAGAAUUUUAUAACUUUCAUACUUUUGUUUUGUAGGAAUCACUUGAUGCGACCGAAUCAAUCACAUUUGAGGAAGUUAAACUUCCCGAAUCAUUCACAACCUGAUUUGGUGGCUGUUGAUGUUGCUUGGUGCAAACUGAUUCAUUCACAUGUUGAUUUCGUUGAAGACCUAAAGAAUAAGUCUCGCGUUAAGUAAUUGAUUAGAUGUUUUUGUUGUUGUUACAGUUUCUUUAUUUUAAAGAAUUUUAUAACUUUCAUACUUUUGUUUUGUAGGAAUCACUUGAUGCGACCGAAUCAAUCACAUUUGAGGAAGUUAAACUUUCCGAAUCAUUCACAACCUGAUUUGGUGGCUGUUGAUGUUGCUUGGUGCAAACUGAUUCAUUCACAUGUUGAUUUCGUUCAAAAGCUGCAUCGUUCACAAGUGUUUUCACCCAAGAAAGUUAUUUUUAACUCUUGGUCUAGAGUGUGGACAUUUUAGAAACUGCUUAAAACGUAUUGAUGGCUGAUCUUUAAUUGUUUGGACUCUUUUAUGUAAUUUUUCAUUUUGUAAUCUGAUCUGGUCUGCUGCCGAGUUUGGACAUUUUAUUCCUCCAUUUGAUAGUUUGAGCUGCAAUUUUAACUUCUUUUUUGCUACUCGUGCUUAUGAUGCUUCUGUUUUGCGUUGUCGAAUUGAGUGGAUGAUAUAUUAGGGAAUGUGUUGUUCUUUUUUGUCAAACUAAAUAUGAGUGUAGAAGAAGCUGAUAUGCUAUCUUACGUAAACGACUUAUGAAGCUCGAAUUACUAAUCGAGCGAGCUCGAACUGCUCGAUUAGAUGUUCGAGUCGAGCUCGAUUGUCGUGUGCUCGAGCUCGACUCGGCUAGUUUAACAGCAAGGUAACAUGCAUCAAAGCAGGCUUAUUCUCUUAGUACUUUUUUUUUUCUUUUUAUAAAACACAGGUGCAUUAACGCACGACAGAAGCACCCUAUCAAUCUAAGAUCCCAGCUUGCUUGUAGCUUUCGAUAGAGUCAACAAGAGUUUCUUCCACUGGCCUAUACCUCCAGCCCAGCCUCUCCAAUUUUUCUGAGCUAAUAUUCCAUCGGCUUUGAUCCUUCACCUCUAUAAGUCUGCGAAGAAAUGAGUUAUAUCAAAAAAUAUGCAGACAACAUAAAUGGUUCUUGUAGAGACUCGUAGAUGCCACACUUUUGGAAAUGGAAAUCAUGACGGACAUGAACAAACAAGAAAAUCAGGACAAACGGGGUGUCUGAAAAAUGAGACAAUUAAUUUCAAAGAUGGUAAUCCACCUCUUAGGGUACUUGUAGUUGGCAUAGUUUUUCCUCAGAGUUUCCACCAUAUCUUUUGUCGUGGUGACGUGAGGUGAACAUAUGUACCGGCCUUCAGCUUCAGGUCUCCCGUAAACCAAAAGCAGUGCCUCGGCCACAUCACGCACAUCUACUGUGUUGUAGAAUUUGUUUUCUGUUUCUUCACAUCCGUCUGUGCAGCCAAGGAGUGAAACAAAAGAGCAGUUUAAUCUCAAAAAAGGAGAUGUUAUCUGUGCUAAUCUCUGAGUUCUUUACUGCAUAUAUGAAACCUACAAUCCCUUUGACAAAUAGUACAGCAAUAAAUUCAUGGGACUUUUGAAUUGCAAAGGACCUACAGGUCACAAUGUUAACCUUUUAUAUCUUCAACAAUGCUCCAAAGCAAAUCAAGCAAACAGUUGAAAGAUGCAACCUCUUCAGAUGUUAUGCCUAUUGUCUGUCUCAUCUUCCAUUAGGUCAAACUCACACAAUUUUCACAUCAAUAAAAUUUGAAUCGCUUGUGCAUGUGUCUGGAAAGAUUACAUUAGCACAAUUUAGUAUUUUUGGCAGCACUGCUCGUUUAAAUUUCCCUGCCAUCAAGCAGAAAAUUUAAUUCCAUUCCAACAGUAAAAGCCAAACACCACAAUCUUAGUUUUUUUUAGAUAACUUUGCAAGUUUUUAGAGCAUUGCCAAAAUCAUAAAACUAUCAGAAUGGCAGAUAGCUUACAGGUUUAGAAUCUGAAAACCUCAGCUGGCUUGAAGAUUAAAUAAAAAUGCCAAAAGACGGCAAAGCAGUUAUCUCCAUGAAUGUAGUUUCAUUCCUAGAAGGUCAACCGCAACCAGAUAGACGGAUUUUGUGAAAUUUUAUUGGCAUCAAUUCAUUGUGUAUCAUGUAAAUAACACUGGAAGCCAGAAGCAUAAAAAUGAUGGGUUACUUGGAAAAUUAGCUGAUCAACCACAUGAAGAAAUUCAAUUGUUUGACCUUUCAAGUACAAAAAAAGGAAAAAAUUGCUAAGCUUUAGAGGUCAUCUGAGUUCUAGAGUGACAUCCAUGCUCACUUAGGCACAAACCAAUAUCAAGGAGAAAACUGUAUCAUUUACGACCACUUCCAUGCAGAAGGUGAAAGAAAGAAAAAUAAAAUAUAACAUAACGGAAUAAGUUCUCCAAUUGACUACAAAGCACUAAUAAAUCACCUUUCAACAGCUUUAUAAGAGCCAGACUGCUAGCAUUCACAUCAUGCUGAAGCAUGGGGCCGAGAACAAAGGAUGGGCAUACAGUUAAAACAUCAAGGCCAGUUUCUUUUGCAUAUUGUAAUGCCUCACUUUCAGCAACCGUCUUGGAGUAACAAUACCAGUUCUGGAGCAAUAUUAGUACUAGAUGGUCAGCCAGAAACAGAUAGUAGUUGCAAAAAUCUGAUUUCUCAGCAAUCUUAGAAACAGUAUGAAUAAGACAGUGAAUUUUCUGCACAAUUACAACACCAAGGUGCAACUGCAAAAAGUCAAAUUAUGUUGAUGCAUACAUUUGUUGCCUUGCAGUAUUCGCCGUCUGACCAACACUUCUCAUCUAUGAUUUCACCUUCAGGCAGAUUAGGACUCAUUACAACAGCUGCAGUAGAGGAAACAACUACAACGCGCUUGACAUUUGCUUCAGAACAAGCCUUCAGUACAUUAAGGGUACCCUUUACAGCUGGCUCAACAAGUUCAACCUGCAACAAAUCAUCAUGUUGGCAGAGGUACUAGCACUCAACUCUUCAUGCUGAACUGCUUGUUUUUGCGUAAAAUAUAUCCAGAUAGACAGCUAAGUAGUGUCAGUUAACCUGACAUCUUUAGAGUGAAUGAGUACAUAGUUAAAAGACUCAUGACUGCUUAUGCCUGUGAUUUAACUUGGUUACCAGCAUAGGUUAUUAUUAUAUGCAUUUAUUCACUCAUUUCAACAUUUGAAAAAUCCUUCCACGAAAUGAUAGAAAGACAAAGAGCCCCAGUGACUUCAUAAGUUUGUACAAACGCUUUAACAAGGUUCUAUUUUAAACGAUACCCAACUUUAGCUCAUGUUUGGCAAAACGCAAUAAAAUAUUAUCUGUUAUGACAAAAGCUGUCUCAUAAACAAAAGAUAUGUUAAAAAUGUUAUUCUGGGGAAACCAAAAGGAAGAAAUAUCAUAGCAAUUGAAACGAUUGAAAAUGGUCUUGCCUCAGGAUUGGGAACAGAGCCUGAAGGAACAGGACUAGCUACAUGAAAUACGCCAUCACAACCCCUGAUGGCUGCAGAAAUGGAGUUGUAAUCCAGCAAAUCAGCCUUAAAGAGUUUCAAAUUCUCAGCUGCUUUGUCAAGUUUCUUCAGAUGAACAUAUUUCUCAUCGUCUACAAAACAUACACAGCAAUGCCCACAUCAUCAAGUAACGAAGCACACAAUUCACAGCAGGUGCUUUUAUAUAUUUCUUCAAUUAAACAUAUUUCUCACCCUUCACAAAACAUUUACAGCAAUUCCCACUACAUCAAAUAGGAAACAGCCAAUUGACAGCAGGCAAAAAAUCAAUUGCGGUAUUAAAGGGAAUGAAACAAUCAUACAAUACCCAAAACAAAAACAAAAAAAAAACGAGUAGUAAAUCAGGAAGGAAGGGUUAUGAGGAUGAAAUACGUACUGGGAUUUCUGAGGGUGGCAUGAACAGUAUAAUGGCGGGAAAGGAGUAGCUUGACUACCCAAGAUGCCAGGUAUCCCCCUGCUCCUGUAACACACACUGUCCUGUCCUUCUUAGCCUCCCACGCUGCCAUGUCUGAUUGCUUACCAGUAGCAGUAGCGGGAUUAGUAUUUUAGCACCAAAUUCACUAUAGACUGAUCAAGAAGGUGGGUGAAGUUCUAUUCUUUUCUUUUUUAUGAAUAUUAAUUCUUUUUUGGUUGGACAAGGCAGAGAUUUCGUCGAUUCUUAAAGAGGAGGACUGAAGAAGAGGGCGGUUGGAAGAGGAGGAGGAGGCGGAGGUGGUGGUGUUGGAAUUUUGAAUAGACGAGUCCUGUAUGUAUGAGCUAGCUGAUUCCAGCAGCCUCUGUCAAUACUAGGAGUAAUCAGCAGCUGGCAGGCUUGGGGCUUAUAUAUAGCAGCAGACCAAUGGUCCUGUUGCGAUUUGCACGGCUCAUGGAAGACGUAUGGUUUCAACGCAGGGUUGGGCUGGGUGGGUGGGGAAACGGUACUAAUGAUAAAUGUAUGUAUAAUGAAAUUUGAGAUAUUCUAGCAAUCUGUUAGUAAAAUUUAUUUUAUAAAAAAAAAAGGAGUAAAGGAGCAUAAUAUUAUUAAGUUAUAGUAAAACUUGAUGCACAUAUCAAUAAAACAAGAUAUUCUGUGCAUUUGAAUACAAUAGUAUAAUAUGAUUUUACCAUUGUCGGAUGUUUAACAAAUUUAUUUAUUAAUGGAUAUUAAAGUGUUACAUUUUAUCUCAUAUUUUCCCAAUUUAUGACUCAGAUUUUAAAUUGAUUAACUCAUUAGAGAAUAAAAAACUCAUCCCGUUGCUAAAUUGGACAAGUGACAAAAACUCAUGUCCAUAAUGGGAUUUUGCUUCUGACUCAAAUCCUAUAAUGCGAACCAAACCCCAAAUCACUCCAUUAUAACGGAAACACAAACUAAACUAUUUAAUAUUCAAAUCAAGUUCCGCUCAAUAACAGUUUGUUCGAAUUUGAUUCGCAAACUAAUCUAAUCAAGUUAGAAUAACAUUUUAUUCAAAUCAAGUUCCGCUCAAUAACAGUUUGUUCGAAUUUGAUUCGCAAACUAAUCUAAUCAAGUUAGAAUAACAUUUUAUGUUUGAAAAAAUUUUAACUGCAGCUCAAGCUUAGCUCAAUAAUCAUAAAAUUGGAUUUUAUAGAUAAAAAUUACUCGAACUCGACUCAAUAAAAAUUCUUUUGAACGUGACUUAGUAAAUAAAAAAGCCAAUCUUGAAUACUAUUUCAAAAUUCUUUAAAAUAAAUAACAAGAUACUUGGUUUGAUUAGACACAUUCACACCCCUGUUUUUCAUAUGCUCGAUAACAUAUAUUUUUGCCAUUGAAUUUUGGGACAUGUUUAUCAUUUUUUAAAAUCUUUUUUUUUAUUUCUGGCUUUUAUAGGAAAAAAAAAACUAAAGGAUGUGUUCGGAUAGGAGACCGAUAAACUUUUCUCUCCCCCUCGCGCCUAAUUGCAGGUUAAAAGCAGUGUUUUGAAAACCGGACCGGACGGCCGGUUCGACCGGUUGGACCGCGAACCGGCCAUGAUUCCGGUCCGAUUCUAUGCUAUAGUUGACCAGGUUAGAAAAAGCCGGUUAAACCGUGAAAACCGCCGGACCGGAUUGAACCGGCGGUUUUCGGUUUUCGAGAUUUCCCUUUUUUUUUUUUUUUUUUUUUUUUUUACGUUUUGCAAAAUGCAGCUAUCAAGAUUCGAACUCAAGACUUUUGUAAUAGAAGACCAAUGUAGUAACCAUAGUAACCAUUGCACCAUCACAUCUUAUUAGUUUUUUUUGAUAACUUGUUUAUAUAAAACAAAAACUCAUAUUUCUUUUUGUCAUUUUUUUUACAAAAUCUAAUCCUCUCAUAGCUCUUUCUUUUUAAUCUUCAACACACACACACACACACUCUCUCCUCUUUUUUUUGUCACUCUCUUUUUAAUCAAACCACUUUAUUUUUAAUUUAUUGAUGUUUUCUUCCAUCUUUUAAUUUUAUUUUUGUCCAUUAAAUUAAAAAAGGUUAAAAAAGAAUUAUUUUUCUUUAACCCAAAUUAUUUAAUGCCACAACCACUCACUUUUAUCUCAUUUUUUAUUUCUUAUCAAGUUUGCAUUUCUAUUUUCGAUUCUCUUGACUUCUUUCGAGCUCCAAAAUUCCUUUUUUAAAUUGCAAUUUCUAAUCCCAAAACGUAAAUUAAAAUUUAAGUUCACAAAAUCUAAAUUCUCAUAGACAUGAAUUUUGUAUAAUUUUAAAAUAUUAUGAUAUUUUUGGGUUAGAUCUAAGAUUUUUUUGGUAGAUAUAAUUGAAAUUGAAAUGAAAUUUAUUUGUUUUAACUUAUAAUUUAAAAUUUUUAUUUUUAAAAAAUCAAGUUAUUCAAAAAUAGUAAACUUUUCAUCAUAUAAUGUAUUAAAUUAGUCCAUUACAUGUCUUAUUUUGUGCAUAAAUAUUUACAUAAAUUAUUUUUAAAAAAAUUCAUUGAACCGAGGUUGAACCGGUCCGACCGGUUAAAUCUCGACCUUUCACGUCACCGGUUCAAUUAACGGUCGAUUUUUAAAACAUUGGUUAAAAGGAAUAUCCAGUUCUUAGAUAACUUUUCUAGCACAACUCUAGUUGUCAGAAAACUGGUCUACUUUGACUGUGGGUUUUCCUUUAGUCAGGCCAUUUUGUCAUUAGUGAUGAUUGCUUCUUCUAAACCUUAGCUAACUGCACACGCCAUGCGCAUGAAACUUCUUCUAAACCUUAGCUAACUGCACACGCCAUGCGCAUGAAAAUCCAAACUUCAAAUAAAAUAAUUUGAACUCGUCAACUUGCAAAAUAAGAUAAUUUGGGUUUCGUCUGAUAUGAGUAGUAAGGGAAAAUUUAAUUACUAUAUUUAUGAUUCUUGACUAAUGUGAUUGCUCAUCUAUCACCACGCAUCAGUUUAAUACCUUAUCUUCAUUUAAAUGUGACGAUUGUAGAAUUGAUGGCUGAAACUGAAAGGAAACUGAAAAAGAAAUGUCAUGUGAGUGCAUAUGCAUGGUUAAAACAAUACUCCCACAAAUUAUAACCAAUUCGAUCCCUUGUUUUUAAGGUUUUGAUCGUUUUGGUUCCUUGGUAUCAUGACAAGCCAAUUUUGCCUCUUAAAUUUAAAAAUAUGGUUAAGGAGAUCCUUUUGAUGGAAAUUUGAGUUGCUAAUGAAGUGAAGAGACCAUUUAGUGCCUUUCGUGUCACAUCCGUCUCAACACUAUAUUAAAGUUUCAAAAAAUCUCAAAUAAGUCAUAAAACUCAUAAAACAAACCCCAAAACUCUUUAUCGUGAAGAAAAUAAAUUUUUAUAACUUUAAAAUAAAUCAAACACAAAACCUUAAACAUAAUUAUGGAAUUUGUGCCAUUUUCGAGUUGAAAUAUCAUGAAAAGGAGUACCAAAAGGUGAAAGAAAAAUGCAUAAACUUAUGUUUGACAUAGUAUUAAAAACUUUUAUUUCAUUAUAUUGAAGAGUUUUGGGUGAGUUUAGGCUUUUAGGAUUUUAUUUGAAUGCUUGGUGUUUUCUGCGAGAUGGCACGAAGUACCCUCUAAGGUCUCUUAACUCCAUUAACAACUCUAAAUUAGCCUUGACCAAAUUCUUCAAAUUUAAGAAAAAUUGGUUCGCCAUAAUACAAAGGGACUAUUUUGUUAAUACAUUGGAGAUAAGAAACCAGAUUAAUUAAUUUUUGUUGUUUGCGUAACUCAAGGGAUUUCUCCGUUAGCUUCCCACAAUUUUGCUACAUUAGUCUCUUUUGAUGGAGAUAGAGCACCAACUCACAGUUGUAUUAGAACUUCACUUACGCUAUAAUCGUUAGGAUUUUCUUAUAUUCAUCCGACUACUCAAUAAGUAUCCUAUUUUAUAAUAACUAUCCUACACCUCUUCAAAGCCUGAUAAGAUGAAGAAAAUCUCUUUACUAGCAUCUUAAUGCCUUAUAUCCAGUAUUGAGGGAAAAAAUUUAAUCACAUUACAGUCUGAGAAUUUGAAUCCAGCAAUUUCACGGUCUGAUGUAGUCACCCCAAGUAGGUUCUCCAGUAAAACAGGGUAGUGAGGCAAAAUGUACAUCAAAUAGGUCAAUUGUCGAGCCCCUCGGGGUUCGGUUCCGUGGUUGUAGCCCCAGUUGGGGGAGAGCCACGUCCAGGGAUCGAGUCCCCGUUCUACCGUGGCUGGUGAUGCUUGAGGCGGGCCGCUCCCAGCCCGCAGUGGAUUAGUUGGGCCGUACGGUAACCAGUCAUGGGUCCAGAUACCCACUGUGAUGAAAAAAAAAAAAUAGGCCAAUUGUCGAUCUUUGAUUAUGUCUACACUUUCAAAAGAUAGGCUUAAUCAUAUUAGUGGAAAUAACUCAUAGUUCAUCAUAUAUUAAUUUGCUAUUCAAUUUAGUUUGAAUACAUGAUCAAUGUUAUUGUAUGCCAAAAAAGAUUGAGGAUACUUUUGACCUAGUUCUUUGCACUAACUUGAAAUCUUCCAAUUGUUCUUUCUUUGAUGCACUUGCAAAAUCUCCUGCAAAAGUAAAAUAACUCAGUUGGUGAAUUUUGGCUAACUGAGAGGCCCAUCUUCUUUUUACUUCUUUAGCACAAGCGAAGAAUGAAUUUAUGCAUAAUAACCGUGUGAUUCUAAUGAGAUAUGAUUUUUUUGGUUUUGCAUGCUGGUUAAACAAUUGUUCAAGCUCUUAUCUUGGUUUUUGAUACUUCACCGGUAUGUGGAUGUUGCUGCUAAAGAAAUUUACAUUUGUCAUUAGAAGAAUUUUCUAUUUUAUGACUGGCAAGUGAUUUGGUAUCUUAGCAGUUCAUCGAUUUUGGUGCUUUGUUUACAAUUUAAUUGGCUUCAAUGGUCCAUACAUAUAGGAACUUGGAAUUUACCCUUUUAUUUCCUUUUGCAUGAGCAAAGAUUAGUAAUUUUUAAUCAUAAUUUUCGAUUCCUCUAUUCUGGCCAUAGUGAAGAAAUCUACCUUUUUGUACUUGUGUAUAUGCACACCAAACAUCAUUGGGCUGUCUACUUUUGACAUUAUUCUUGAAUUACUCAGUUUAGAAUGUGUAUUAGCUGCUAGCUGCAUCAUCGUUGGCAAUUACUAAACAGAAAAUAUGCAUGCCAUUACUAUUUUCACUGAAAUUAGCAUCUAACUUAUAAUGAUCUAAUUAAAGGUUAACCACAUUGGUUUUGACUAGAACUAAGAGAUCACUAGCCCUCUUAUUUUUGGAUUUGCAUUAAUCCAGUAUCAUCAAACUUCUUCAAAUGGGCUCUUUAGCUACUAACCCCUUCAAAAAUAAUUUAGGCUUACGGUUCUGUUGAUGUCGCAAUUGCAGGAGGUUCAGAAGAUAACGAAAGGCUCAUCUAAGAUUUCUUAAGGUGUUUGGCUUAUAUUGCUAGAUUUACUUAAUCUAUUUUCAUUCUUCUCCGAUGUCAUUAUUGUUAAAGUUCAAUUCAUAAGUUGGUUGUGUUAGAAAAUUGGCUUAAUUUCUUUUUAGAUAGGUUUUUGUUUUGUGCAAAAGUAACUAGUUUCCUAAUUGGUUUUAGUUACUCGGAAUAGUAGCCAAGAAAUUUCUUAUUUUGUUUAGAAUUAGAAGUUAUUUCUUAUUUUCUACAAGUCUAGGAAUUAGAAUUAAUUUCCUGUUGUUAUUUGGAUUUUUUGACCAAAUAAUAUUUUUAUAAAUAGGUGGGUUGGCAUACUAUAAAAGAGACACAUAAGGGCACACAAGGACGACAUGUAACCUUAUACAUGGGUGGUGAGAGAGAGUUCUUAGGAGAUGAGAAAUGGUAUACAAAGGUUGGACUUGAGUUCGAGUUGUAUUCUUGUAUAAGGUUUUUCUCUCAUAAUAAAUAACAAGUUUCUCUCCGUGGACGUAGGUUCAAUGGAGUCAAACUACGUUAAAUAUUGUGUGUUGUUUAUCUUUUAUACUUGUGGCUUGUUUCUCAUUAAAUUAUUGUGUACUUGAUAUCUUAAUAGUUAUUUAUUCUGCAUUUAGUUCCUAACAAAUGGUAUCAGAACUUGAUUGCGAGAUUGGGCUGCUCACAAGCACUUGGAUCCCAACAAACUGAAUAGUUGGAUCAAGAGUUUGGUUGUUCAAGGAUGGAUCCUAGUUAGCUAUUGAGAUCAAGUAGGUUGGUGACUGUUACCAAUUGAACAAUUUAAUGGGCGGUAUCCUUUUUCAAGAGUUUGGCAAAAAAGCAUUGACGGUGAAUGAUGAAAAGUCGAAAAGCAUGGAGAUACUUGACGGUGAAUCUAGGCAGAUGAUUCAAGAGUCAAGGAAAAGGUGGAAUCCAAUAUCGAUUUUGGACGUGAAUCGGUGGAGACUUUCUCACAACUUCAACGGUUGAUACUUCAUCUCGGUGAUUUUUAGAUUUCGCUUAUGUUUUUUGAGUGGUACGGCACCUGACCCAAAAAAAUAAAGAGAUUUAAUUUCUAUGCGCUAGAAGACUCUGACAGUUACGAGUCUUUUGUUUCAGGUGAAUUUUUGGAAACCACACGUGGCGAGAUAGUCUUGAGGAAGGGAAGAAGUAUGAUGAUUUUAUCACUUGGUUGCCUCAAUGAUUAAGGUUAGAGCUCAUAGAAGGAGAUUUUGGGUUGCAAGUGGUGGUGAGAAGAAAUCCUGUAAAGAAAAAUGGUGAAUUGAGGCAUCUUCUCACGAAUCAACUGGAGGUUGUACUAGGUGUAAAUACACAUAUUCAUUUGGCAAUUAAAUUAAUUUGGUAUCAGAACUGUAUUGAUUCGGGUGUGUAGUUCGGUACCAUAUUAUUUGGUAGUUGAAAGUAAAUAAUUGUUAAAAGAAAUUUUCGCCAAGAUAGAGAUUUGUUAGGAAAUUGAUUUAAUUUCUUUUCAGACAGGUUUUUGUUUUGUGUAGGGAUUUAGUUUUACUUGAAAUAGUAGCCAAGGAAUUUCCUAUUUUGUUUAGGAUUAAAAAUUAUUUCCUAUUCUAUACAAGUCUAGAAAUUAGAAUUGGUUUCCUAUUAUUAUUUAAUUUUUUGGCCAAAUAAUAUUCUUUAUAAAUAGGUGGGUUGGCAUACUACAAAGAGACACACAAAAGCACACAAGAGACGACAUGUAGCCUUAUAUAUGGGUGGUGAGAGAGGAUUUUUAGGAGAUGAGAGAUGGUAUACAAAGGUUGAAUUGGGGUUCAAGUUGUGUUCUUGUAUAGAAUUUUUCUCUUAUAAUAAAGAACGAGUUUCUCUCUGUGGAUGUAGGUUCAAUGGUGGAGCCGAACCACAUUAGAAAAUAGUGUGUCAUUUAUUUUUCAUGUUUGUGGCUUGUUUCUCAUUAAAUUGUAGCGUACUUGAUAUCUCAAUAGUUGUUUAUUCCAUGUUUGGAUCCUAACAGAUUGCUAAACCAAGAUUGAUGUAAUUGCGUCCUAUAAGAGAGUUUGCAAUUCAAUUGAUUAAGGGAAGAACAGAGAAAAUCCCUGAAAAUGGGAAUUAAAGGAAACAAAGGAAACCCUAAAACUAGUUUCCAAGAACAAUUCUGUCGAAGACAGAAAACAAAGAAAAUAGUAUCAAAGGCUAUAUCGUUAUUUAGGAAACAAGAAGCACUUGAAGGUGAAUGUUGCAGAAAGUAGAAGAUCCCACUACAAUUUACUAAUUCAAGGAGCUGUAAUUAAGAAAGAAAGAAGACAACUCAGAGAAUUAGGGAUUGUUAUUAAUUGAUGAAUGAGUAGGAAGAAUGUAGAUGAAGAUGAUAAUCAAUUACAAGUAAUGGAAAUCGGAAAUCCUAGAACUGCCUUCAACUUACCACCCUCCUCUCUUUUAUUCGGCUACUACACUUGUCCAAGUCAGCUAAUUCAUUACAACCAACUGACAUACAAGAAUUAUAAGGAUUUAUUCAUUAAGUCCCUAUCAUACUCGCUUUAUUACAAAAAAAAAAAAAACCCUAUCAAUAAAACUAAGGUAACAAAUACUUCCCCCUCAGAGAAUCCUUGUCCUCAAGGAUUAAAUUCAGGAAAUUGUUGUUUAAGGUCAAACCAGAAUUCCCAGAUAGCAUCUUCAAGAAAAGAAUUGCUUCACUAUGCCAAAACUUUUGUAGCAAGAGAGUUACCACAUUUCACCAAUUUCUGAUCAAGUAUGGCUAUAGGCUCCAUUAAUAAUUAUCCCUGUGUAUUGAUUGUGUAUUGAUUGCAAAAGGAAUGUGUGAGGUAACUAGUGAGUGCCCACUUUCUUCUUUAGAAGAGAUACAUAAAAAAUAGAGUGUAUUUUUGCCAUAUUAGGCAGCUAAAGCUGAUAUGCAACAGGGUGUACUCUUUUGAUCACUUGGAAAGGUCCAAAAAACUUAGAAGCUAACUUCUGACAAGAGUGUACCUUCAAAGAGUGUUGCCUCUACAGUUGUAGUUUCACAUAUACCCAAUCUCUUGCCGAGUACUGUCUAUCAGACCUGUGUUGGUCAGCUUGUUGCUCCAUCCUAUUUUGUGCCUUAUGAAGGUUGUACUUUAAGUGAUGCAAAACUAUCUCCCUUGCUGCCAAGAUUCUAUCCACCACUUCCACUACUGAAUUCCCAAGUAGACAAGGCAUAUGCAGAGAUGGUGCAUGACCAUACACCACCUCAAAUUGGAUAACCUUAGUGGCAGCAUGAAAUUUGGUAUUGGACCAAUAUUCAGCCAAGGGUAACUAGAUAGACCACUGCUUUGGAAAAUCUCCACACAUGCACCUCAAAUAUUACUCCAAACACCUGUUUACCACCUCAGUUUGACCAUCUGACUGAGGGUGGUAGGUAGAAGAGGUAUUAAUCUGCACUUUUAGUAACUUAAAAAGUUCUUGCCAAAAAGUGCUAAUGAAGACCACAUCCUUGUCACUAACAAUGCUCUGAGACAAGCCGUGAAGUCUACAGAUCUGAUCCAGGAAUAUGUGCAAAUAUAAAUGCUGAAUAAGCAUGUGACAAUGCCAAGAAGUGUGCAUACUUACCUAACUUGUCAACCACCACCAAGAUGGCUUGUUUACCAUGUGCAUUAGGUAAACCUUCCAUAAAGUCCAUGGAAAUUCACUCCAAACCUUUUGAGGCACACGUAAAAGUCGUAAUAAACCCAAAUAAGCAGUAUUGUCAUAUUUGUUGCACUGACAGACAUCACAUGCAGCCACAUAGUUGACUAUGUCUUGAUACAUUCUUCUCUAAUAAACCACUGACUUCAACUUCUUUUAGGCAGCAUAAACUCCUGAAUGCCUCCAACAGCACUAGAAUGCCACAAGUGAAUUAUAUUAUUCUUGAAUUGGCAGUCAUUUUCUACCACUAGUCUCCCCAUUCUCCUUAACUGCUAGUUGCUCCAUGUGUAAUAAGGUGAGACCUUAGAAAGAUCAAAUUGUAAUUGAGUGAUGAAGUUCUAUAGCCUUAUAUCUAUUUGCCAUCCCUUUUUAAUCACUAUCAAAGAUCACUGUUAACAAUGAUGAUGGCAAGAGCUUCUCUUGGUUCUGCUAGUUUUCUAAAGAGAGUAUCUCUCACCAUAUUAUAUGCUUCUUUCCUGUAGUGAAGCUCAUAAUAAAAUCUUACUAGCUUAGUCAUCCAUUUCUGCUGCAUAAGAGUAGGGCUGUCAAUGGUCUGGGUCUAGACCCGGAUCCGGACCGGAUAAAUAUCCGGGUAUGGAUACUAAUUUACAACCGGAUCCGGAUAUAAAUGGAUUACUAUAUUUAAAAUAUAUAUUUAUUAAUAUAAUUUGAUUAGGAUGAUGUAUUUGAGUAUCAAUAUAAUUGGACCCGGAUCCUAAUCAAUAUAAUUUGAUUAGGAUGAUGUAUUUGAGUAAGGUUAAUUUGAUUUCUUUUCUUAUUUGAUUUUUUUUGUAUUAGUUAGAAAUUAGUUUAUAAAUAUAUGUUUUUUCUCAUUUUUGUUAGAAAUUAUAAAUUUUGUUAGUUUUUUUUCGGGUAGACCCGGAUCCGGAUCCGGACCCGUCGGAUCUGGAUCCGGAACAUAGAGUAAAGACUCAUCGGGUAAACGGGUCGGGUCCGGAUCCGAUAUAGUGUGCCGGGUCCGGGUCUGGAAUAAUGAAUUCCGGCCCGGACCCGCCCGUUGACAAGCCUACAUAAGAGUGUUCAAUCUUUGUUCCAUCAUAUAUUCAAUGCUCUAAUGGUCAUUUUUAAUGAUAACGUACCUUCCAGGUAGAUAAGGUCUCCACUUCUAUACAGCAGCAACUAUGGCCAAUAUUUGCACUUUUCCAAUAUACUAUCAUAUGCUAUUCCCCCACACACCUAAAUCUUAUAUUGUCCCCAAUGUAAAAUAAAGAAUAAAAGAAAAGUAAUGGGGAUAACGAAACUUCCUUGAUAACUGAGGGGGCCGUCGACAGCUACAGGUGAGGGGCGAAUGACUGUGGAGCUCGACGUAUGUUGAUGGUUGGUGGCGGUGGAGUUCGGAUGGAGAAGGAGGAAGAAGAAAGAAGAGAAGAAAAAGAAGAGAGAAAGAAAGAAAGAAAAAGAAAAGGAAAAAGAAAGGAAAAGGAAGAGAAAAGAAAAGGGAAAUACGAAUGGGAAUUGCUCCAAUCCGAGCUGGUUUUUUGUACUACUACUUUGCUUCUUGUACGAAGCUUGAAGAUGCAGCAAGCGCGGAAAUUUUUUUUUUUUACAUCUGAUUUUGAUUUUUUCUUUUUCUUUUUCCUUUUCUGUAUUUCCUUUUCUUUUCUUUCUAAUUUUUCUGCAAAAACAAUCAAAUAGAAAUCAAAUGAGAUGGAAUGAUUUUUUUUAAAAAAGGUAAAAAUAUAAAUAGAGAUAAAUAAAUAAUAAUAGUUAUUAACAAAUCAUAAAAUGAUUUAUGAAAUUUUUUUGGUGUCUACAUAUAUUACUAAUAAUUUUUAUAUUUAUAUAUUUUUCUAUUUAAUCUUACCUAUAAUUUUCUUAUUUUAUUUACUUUUCUAAUUAAUUUUAUAUUUUUAAAAAUAUAACAUCUAAAAAUAUAUAUUAACGAAGAGGACAUCCGUUAGACAGGUCCUAUUUUAUGUAGCAUAUAUGUCUCUACAUGAAAAAAACUUUUUUAAUAGGUAUCCCGUUUUUUGACAUGAAAAAUACCUUUUGACUACAUUCUGACUAGCGCCAAAAGCUAUCCACUUUUGACAUGCUGCCCAUGCAGGCCUAAUUUUUUUUAGUACUGAAUUUGUUUUGGAUACGUUAGUAUUUCUUGAAUUUUAGAAAAUGCUUCUCUUUAAUAAAUGUAAGUUCAUUUUAAUCUUGAUUCGCAAGCUUUUUCUUGAAAAUGGUUUGCCAUUUCUUAUUAGUUGUUACAGUAAAUUUAGCAUGCAUAUAUGCUUUUUGUCAAAAUUCAAUCAUUUCAAAAUCUAGAAGGGAACUUCUAAAAUACCUGCAUCCUCCUUUUUCUUUUUUUUUUUAUUCCCCCCCCCCCCCCGGCUUUGUAUUCAGAAUCAGAUUGUGUUCAAUUAGUUGGAAUUUGGCUUUGGAGUUAAAAGGGAUUUCCAUUUUUUCCUAGGUAUUCCACAGCUUGCAUACCAAAAGCACAGAGGCGGAAGAAAACCUAUGAUUAAAUCAUACAACAGGCUUGUAAGAAAAUGCCCACUCUGAAAAAAUGAAAAGUUGAAUUUCCUAUUUUCAAAUUUACAUGCAAAAAAUCAAAAUGACAUGCAAGAAAUAGUCUGCUAUUUCGCCAUGUUUCACAGUUUAUGAGAAAUAUAUUACAAAUAAAUCCACAUAAAUGGUGGGAAUAAUAACUCAAAUAUGGUGGGACAAAAAACAUACAGGGUGACCCCUGCCAGCUGAGAUAACUAGCUGGUUUAUUUAAUUUAAUACUUUGAAUACAAUAGUAAAUCAAUGCCAUAGCUCAGAUACUGACUAAAUUUUUCUCCCUGAAGAAUUCAACAGCAUCUUUUAGGCUGACCUCCAAAGGAGUGAAUUGAACUCCCAGCCUUUUUGCCUUCUCAUUGGAGGCUCUGUAGUUUGGGCUGAUAAGGUUGGUAUUGUUUGACAUUCUGCUGUAUGCGGGACAAUACACAAUUAUGGCAAACAUAAAUAAAGCUUAGGUAAUGAAAAUGCAAAUGUAAAUUCAAAUGCUUGAAAAUCUACUGGACAAUUGCCUCAUAUCUACUGUAAAUUGUGCCUUUUUACGAAGUUUCAAAAGACCUUUUAAAAGAUAACUUUAGUUGUGAUAUGAAUGAAAUUUAUUUUUUUCUAAAAAAAAGCCUAAAACGGAAUUUCUAUUUUGGAGACAAAGCCAAUUUGGUGAUAUAUCCUAGUCCAAAGAAGACCAUCUUCUAGAAAUCAACCUGAGAAAGAGCUCAUUUUUUAUGGAACAUGAGACCAAAAGAAAAAAAAAAAGAAGGCAGAAAAUUUAGGAUUUAGUGUCCUUUAAAAGAGAGUAUAAAAAUAUGUGAUACAUUUUGGACGUAUACAAGGCCAUCAGCAAAAGCCUGUAAAGACCUAAACAAGGAAAACAAGACUUACUUAUCAGGAAAUUGGUGAGUUGGGUAAUGCUCAUGCAAAAUCUUGAUGAUCUGAGAGGCAUUUGCACAUCUUUCAACCAGACAAUAUCUUCCACUUGCAGAAGGGGUUUCAAGGGCAAGAACAUGUGCAUAGGCAACAUCUCUAACAUCAACCCAGCUACAUGUUGCCUUAGGAAAUGGUUCAACCCCUGCAUUUGGCACCUAAGAUCUUUAAACACAUUUUUUUGCAGGCUCUUCAGCAAACAUAAGUGAAACCAUAUUUGGUUUGUUUGGAUCAGCAUGAUUUCAGAUAAAAUAAUUUGCUUCCUUCCAAAUUCCAAUCACCUUUUUAUCUCACAUACAGCACAUCACAAAAAGUGUUACAGUAAUUAUCUCAAAUAAAUCAUCCAAAUAAACUUCUAUCCAAACAAAAAUGUUGUUUGCCAUGAAAAGAGUCAAAUUUAGAGGCCAUGGCCUGCCUUCCAGAAGAAAUGUGUGGUAUGUACUACUUUGUUCUGUUUUAGUAUCAGCAAAGCCACAGAGGGGAGGGAGAUGUGAGGAAUGAACUAGUUGAGACAAUUCAGAUAAUUGGUGAAUAAUAAGAAAGAUUAAUCCCAACAAUCUACUAGUUAAUCUGUCCCUGGAAUUUCACAGAUUUAGAGUUAGGUUUCUCUUUCAAAGGAUAGUUUAUUUAUUUUCUUCCAAAAAGGAUCAAUUACUAGACAAAAGAAUAAACUACAGGCAUGAUAAUACUAGUUGUCUCGUACUUAAGAGUUAAAUGGUGAGAGUUGAAGAAACUUGUCCCUUCACUCUCAUCCAGAUAGAAAAACAGAAUUUAUUCCUGUUGUUUUGUUCAGAGAGUGAAAUAGUAAUCAAUUCCUGAAAUUUGUUUCUUGCCAUUGUUGUACAAAGUGGCUAUUUGGGUCGAAGGAGUCCUGCGAAUUGAAAGAAUAAUAAACAUGCUUUAGCAAGUCUGUACAACAUAAACAGUGACUACUCCUAACAAAUUUUUCCUCACAAUUACCACCCAAAAAUUUCUUUUCCUUCCUGUUAAUCACAUAGAACCUCAAUGUUGUUGAAAGGAAGAUGCACACAACGUGAAUUUCAGAUGAAAGAUUGUACUGCAAACCUUUAAAACAUCAUAAGCUGGUCAGAGUUUAUAGCUUGAUAUAUCAGUUCACAUUCUGACCUAUGUCUGUCAAUCAUGUGAUAGCCAGCAGUGCCUUGAAAUGUUAUUAGUCAUAAGUUUUUUGUUCUACUGUAACAAAGAAAGUUGUGGUGCAUAAUAAAGCUAUAAGUAACAUAGAUGGAAGAGUCAGUUAGACAAUGAUUACUAAGGUGAUUCAAUAAAUUUUGAAACAAACCCUUUAAUAGGUUGAGGAACAAAACAGCGCUCGAAUUAACAGAUGGCUGCAAGAGAGGACCAAUGACCAAUCCUGGAUGAAUUGUAAUCACGUCAAUGCCAUGCUCCUUUGCAAAUUUCCAUGCAGCAUUCUCGGCCAUGGUUUUUGAAAGUUCAUACCAAGACUAUCAACACCGAAAAAUCAGUAAAUGUUGGUAAGAUGGUAGCAGAAAGUAAUUAGAUUUGUAAACUUUAAGAAGUAACAUUAUAAAUUUCUACAAAUUUGACAAAACCAGCAACUUACAUCAGUUGAAACUAUUAUUGCUGUAGCUACAAAGCACAGAGUGAAAGCAUCCACAUUUCCCAGGACAAGCUAUGCUAUAAGUGAAUAAGUAGAUUUCUCAAGGAUCCUAGGAAUGGUGUAAACUUUCUAUAUUCAAGGAAUGAUGCAAAGCACCAGUGUCGACAUAUCCUGAUCAUCUGAUCUCUUAAUCCACAAGCUAACAGCAAAACUACAAGGGACCUUGACACUUUAACACAAUAGCCAUAUUCAUAAUAUUAUAGCAGAAGUUCCUUUCCAACUGACCGACCAAAUAUUGCUCAUCUAGGUGUGUAUUCUCAGACAAUAGUAUAGAAUUUGAUCAUGCAAGAGAUGCAUAAUUAAGUAGGAAAACUUUCAUAUUGCUCUUUCCCCGACUAUUCCACACUACAUUAUUAAUUUUUCAUUAAAGUUAAGUUGUUACUUAGAUAGAAGGAAAGAAAUGGACUGACCAUUCUGGUUACAAAAAUAUCCUUUUUUUGCCUAUUAAAGUACCACCAAGUCAUGAAGAUCCUAACUUAAUUAUCUCCACAGCUGGGCUAACUCCUCAUAUGUGUUCCAACAACAAGUUAAAACUAAAGAAUUCCAGCAUUCCAUAUUAGAUUUUACUGGAAGAAGACAGAUAAUAUAUGUACCUUUUGCUCCUCACAGUAUGAUGGAUCGGAAAACCAACUUUCAUCAACUACCACAUCCUCCUUUAAUUCUCUGUUUUUUGAAACUGCAACCAUAGAGGAUGUUAUAACUACUCUUUUGACAGAAGAAGAAUUUGCACAUGACCGCAGCACAUUCAGUGUUCCGCUUACUGCAGGUUCCAGUAGUUCUGCCUAUGAAAUCAAACCAAGUAAAAAAGGAAGUCAUUACCAGUCAUAGGUAAGACUAUGCUUUUAACCUGCAAAAAACUUAUCAUUCUGGUAUUAUGUUUGAGAAUUUCACCACAAAUGCUGUAAACCUACAGCUUUAGUUACUUAGCUAAAGGAUGCAUAUUGUUGUCUUAUCUCCUCUUGCUGCUAAAAUAAGUUCUCAGGUCCUUUAUUGUUGUUUUUUCCCAAAUUUUUUCAGCUUUCACUGGGUGACAGGAACUUAAGACCAAUAGAGGAACAACUGAAAUAAGUCUCAGAUGUGGUCACCAAUUAAACCGUUUGCUACCAAAUAUCAACCGAUGAAAUUCUGUUCUGGCUUGAACAGGACAGACAGAAAAUAUAAAAGGUGUAGCUCCCAUGAAUCCUGCGAACAGAUUUUAGCGUGAACACAUAAUGCAUGUUGCAAUUUCUUUUAGUGUCUGUGAGUCAACCUUGUUCAUUGAAAUGACUAAAAUCAAAGUUCUACAAAGUUACUUAAAAAAAAUCCAUAAACACAAUUUGAGAAACAGACAAGGAUAGGUGUACUGCAUAAAAUUAAGGCACAAUCAUUAAUAGAAGUUAAUCAACUUACAAAUGAAGAUACAUAUAAUUUGCAGAUGCUUGAACAUAUAUUGUAGUUUCUAUAAGCUUCUUAUUCAUUCUGGUAUGGGCACGCAAAAGCCAUUGGCUCUACACUGGCUGAAUAAUUAGUUGGUCAAAGCAGGGAUUCAUUUGCUCCAGGACAAGCUUAUAGCUUGCUCUAUAACCUUACCCUGACUGACUUACCCAGGAAAAUAGUUAGUCGGACCCAAUCUACUGCCCAAUUGUGGACCAUUUGCUAUGUUUAUGGCUCUUAAUGUUUUUAUUUCACAACAUUACACCCUUUGAAUUGUUUCGCUGAAGUACCAAUUUCCAGAUCAUUUCAUAGAAACAUCAUGUAUACUGAUUAAAAAGAGACUAAAGCACAUAACACACGACAGUCUUUUUGUGAAUGACCUGCUGGAACAGAUUAGUUUUGUAUGUACCAAAUGUAAAGAAAUAUUCUUCAGGUGUUUGACCUGAUUGCUACAUUAAUCUCCUCCCUUUGGUUAAUAAAAGAAAAAGUAGAGCCAUAGAAUUGGAAACAUUUGAAUCUAACUCUCUUUUUUUUUUUGCCUUUACAGUUAUAACCUUGUCAUAAAUCACAUAUAGAGGAGUAGACUAUCACCCAAAAAAGCCAGUAAAAAUGCAACAGAGGAAGAUACUAAAAGAAGUCGUACAAUUAUAAAUCAGAAAAUAUGCUACGAUUUCAAACUUCACUUGAUAAAUAGCAGAUUUUGUAGACAGUAGAGAAUUUUCAAUCUUGUAAAGCAAAUGUACCUCUGGAUUGCUAAAUGAAAGUUUGAUUGGAGAUGCAGUAUGGAAAACCCCUUCACAUCCCUCGACUAUUGCAUCAAACGAUCCCUCUUCCAGUAAGUUUGCCGAGUACAACUGAAGCCUUUCCUUAGCUCCAUCAAGUGAUGUCAAAUGUUGUGUCCUUUCCGGAUCAUCUGUGUCAUGAUUGUAUCAGUAGAAUGUUCAGACAGCUAUAAUCAAAACCUUGCCGCCUUGGUAAAGUGUACUAUGUUUUCACUAUGGUGAAACUCAAGAAGAAAUGGACAUAGAGUAAUAAUAAACGAAUCUCAAAGCAAUGAUAAAUUUGACUAGCUAAAGGCAAGCGGGGAAAAACGAAAAGAAAUUGACGGGCAACAUAAUAUGACCACAAUAAUAUCAUAGCCCUAUGAUUUCUGGUUUUGAGAUGCGUACAUUUGUAACUUUCUUGAUAACAAUUAAUUCUUGAGAUAAUUAUCAGAGGGACAAUUGUAUGCCAUCUACCACUAUUUUUAUAACAAACUCAGUCCUUCAGAAGAAGGAUAUAGAUUCGAUAGGCUAAAGAUUUUUUAUUAUAACUUGAUCGUUGUAUCUGGAGCAUGAAACAAUUAAGUUGGUCCACAUCAAAAAUAUAUAUAUAUUUUGCAUGUGAUUUUCUUUUGAGCAAACAGAACAUGGGGAGCAUUUAGCUGUUGCAAGAAUAUCAUCUGGAGCUACAAGACAAUUUCACACUGCAGAGUUGAAUAAAAAUAUUGGGCAAAUUACAUAUAAUCCUCCUGUGGCUUUGUCUGUUGCCACAUGACCCUUCUAACAUUUUAAAAUAUCCAAUUCACCCACUAUGAUUUUAUGUAAAGCGGAAACUUGAUGGAGAAUAGCCUAUAUAAUGUCGUUAAUUGAAAUACCAUUAGUACUUUUACUUAAAUGCUAAAUCAAUCGACGAUUUAAUUACCUUAUAUAAAAAGUAUAAGGGGAUUAUAUGGAUAAUAUAAAAAUCACAGGAGGGAUAAAGUGGACAAUUAUACAAACUAUAAGGGAAUUACAUUGAAAUUAAGACUUUAUCACACCCUUUUAGAGCGCGUUUGGUAUAAAUGCCGUAAUUAAUUGUGCAUUCCAUCAUUUUCCGCUUUACAUAUAACUAUAGGGAAUUAUGUGGCUAUUUUGAAAUUUUAGAGGGACCAUCUAGCAUUAUAUAAAAUCACCCUAAAAUAUAGUUAUAAGUAAUUUACCCUAAAAUGUUAGAUUCCAGGGGCAAUUAAACAACAAUCAGAACAGGGCAUCAAAAACUGCACAAGCCACUAAGAUAGUUGAUCAAGAACAAAAACUGGACUUACAGGCAUCUCGAACUGAACCUUUAACAGUAUAACCGCGCUCGAGCAGCAGCUUCACCAGCCAUGAAGCUAUGUAACCCGAAGCUCCGGUCACACACACCAUUUUCCCUUCUCCUGCUCCACUCAUUUUGUUAAUAUUUUUGUGUGUGAACCUGUCACCUGUUUGCCUUACUUCUGGACUUAAUGGAGGGAUGCAUAUAUGGUGUAUAUAUAGCUAUGGUGAAGAAGACGAAAGAUUGGAUAUGAGAUUACGUGGGAGACUAGGGAGAUCCAUAUGUAUUCUUGCAAUUUGCAUGCAUCAUCGCUGACAUACGUAUGGUAUAAUCGCGUCACAUCCCAUUUUAUCAAGGUCAAUUGAUCAGUGUAAAAUAGAAAUGAACAAUAAAUACAAUGGUAAAUUACCUUCUACACCCUAUGGUUUGAUGUUUUAUCACACUCCCUAUGAUUUAAAAACCUAUAUUUGACCCUUUCAUAGUUUGGAUUAUUGUGUCACUUUAGAUUUUUCCGUUAAAACUAACGGUCAAUAGUAAAAAGUCAAAUUCAAACUACUAAAUUGAUAAAUUCACCAUUUCACUACUUUUUUUUUCUUGUUUUCCUUUUCUUUCUCUCCUUUUUUUUUUUUUGGAAAGAGAAGAGAUGACUUUGAAAACUUGUAUUUUGGCUUACAAAACCUUAAUUGUUUCCAAAUACAAAAGAGAUAGAAGGGAAAUAAAAAUAAAUCAACAAGAAACAAAAUAUGGAAGGUAAAGAUAUAACAAAUAAAUAAGAAACAAAAAAACACCAAAUCUUUUUUACUAUGAAUAUCAUUAUAGGUUUUUAAACCAAAUCUUUAAUAGUAUUUUCUAGUUCUUAUUUAUCUAUAUUUUAUUUCAAUUUCUUCUUUUUGAUGUUUGUAGGGGAAAAAAACAAGUAAUGAAGGGAUAAAUUUGUCAAUUUAUUAGUUUGACUUUUUAAUAUUAACUGUUAGUUUUAACAAAAAAAACUAACUAUUAGGGGGUUAUGUAUAGUUUUUAAACGAUAGGGGUUAUGUGAGAAAAUACCAAACUAUAGAGGUUAAAAGGCAAUUUAUCCUAAAUACAAAAUCAGGCGGUUGCAUAUGAAAAAAUACCAAGGUUCUUGACUUUGCUCAAUACAAUUCCAAGUCUAGAGACACAAUUUUUAAAUUCACUACCAGGAUAAACCAUUCUCCUUUUUUUUUUCGGGUUAAAAAAUACAAACUACUUGAACUAGAAACUAGUCCUGACAAAGUUUGUGGGUUUUUUGCAAGAGUUUUAGUUAAAUAUUGGUUACUUCGCCUAAUUUGCACCUAUUUUAUCACGUAAAUGCACACACACUUUUAAAAAAAUAAUGCAUGCACUUAUAUUAUUGCCUUUCGUACAUUUAAAUACUUUUUUCAAUUUAAUUUUACUUUUCUGGCAAAAUUAAAUCUGAAGCCCAUUUCAAGAAAUAUCCACCGAAUACCAGGUCAACAAAUCCCCUUCGUAAUAAAGAACGAAAAGAACCGCAGCGUUCUUAACACGCAGCGGUCUUUUUGCAUCUAAGAAAGCUUUUGAUUGGCUAGAAAUCCUUCUCUGAUUGAGAAAUGGGAAUUGACUUGAUGAUGGCAACUCCAUUUAGAAAACUGGUCCACACCCUUGAAUGUGGUUUAAAUUUAAUAACACCAUUUCAUCAUUUCUGACGACUGCUUCUUCUAUAUCGAUCCUAGCUCACUGCACACGCCAGUCGUGUGAAACUUGGCAAAAGAGUUACACCCGCCGUCCUAAAAUUGUUUGUCGCAUUUCGAAACCCAACUUUUUAAAAAUAGCAGCUUGAUGAUGAUAUUUGUAGAUUUGUCUCAAAAAUUGUCAUCAAAAAUUCAAAUUUUAAAUUGAAUUUAGUAUGAAAUAUAGAUAAAGUUAUUGGAAUAAUAUUGAAAAAAGAGAUUAAAAGUUAUUUUGAUUUUGAUAAGAUAAUAAAUAUUUUAGAACGUUUCAAAAUAAAAAAAAAAAUAUGACACUUUCAAUGAGACAAAAGAAUGGAGAGAAUAUAUAUAUAAGAUACUGAAAACUAGCGUCCAUCAGAAGCAGUCAAAUCAAAGCCAACAUAUUACUUGUAGUUUGGUUAUAACAAUAUCUCAGCUUGCUGGUAGCCCAAAAAUUUAGCAAAAUAAAUUAGGAAACCAAGUGCGAUAGAGCAUAUUUCACCCAAAUAUAUUAAAAGUGAAAAAGAUUUAUUUUUAUUUAGUCAAUGUGAUUUUUUGUGUCCGCAUGCCCAUAAAGCUCAAGGACCAAAAAGCCAAACAUACGAAGUGAAAAUGUGAAGAGCAAUAAUUUGAAUAUAAAAAAAAAAACGGGUAGAUGGAUAGAAAACCAUGUCGAAGGUCUCUUCUCUCUCUUUUUUUUUUUUUGGUUUGACCAUGCAUGGUGCAUAUGAUAUGAAGGAUAAUUGUAAAGCACACCAUAUACUGCCCAAGGAAAGUAGAUUACACAGUGGGAACCAAAAAUAGAAGAAAAUAAAGCCUCAUAUGAACCGAAUCUUUCCCCUUGCUUUUUUUCUGGGAAUUUAAAGGUAUAAUGCAAGAAAUAACUCCUGGUCAUGCAAAAUUGCCAACAAAAAUGCGUCUUUGGUUUUAAAUUCCUUAAUAACAUACUAUCCAGCAUACUAUUUAGCAUAAUAACAUACUAUCUCAGAUGCAUCCACUCAAAUAUCCUGGCCGAGAUGGUAUGAGGCCAAUUUUCUAUCAAAAAUAUAGGUCUGUAGCAGGUAAUGACGUUACCUCACUACAACAAAAAUGGCCUUUAGCGGCAUUUAAAGGUGUCAGUAUAGAAAAUCUAACCUGACACUUUAUCUAUCCUGACACCCAUGGCGAGUGUUGUCCCUUCCAAUGUGGGGAUAGCCUCAAAUCUUUAGCAGCAUUCAAAUGUGUCAGGCAAACCAUGCUGCUAUAUCUUUACCUCUGCCAACAAAUCUUUUUUUUGUGAUAAUCGAAAGUGUCUGUAUAGCGUUAGGACAUCAGUAGGGAAUCAGUAGGAUAUCAAAUUUAUGAAGACAUCUUGAGUUGUCUUAAUAUAUGGCUUUAAGGACACGUAGCCAUGUGAAUUUACAAUGUGUUGGACGACAUGCCCAUUUGUUGUUAGUGUUUUUCGAAGCUACAUAAUUUUAUCAACCCAUAUGACAAGGGUUUAUUUUACGUAUUUUUAGUGUGUUUUAUUAGUUAAUUUUGGUUUGAUUAUUUAGUAUUAUAACUAAAAUAACUAAGGUUUUGGUAAAAAACUACAUUUUAUGUUAAAAUGGCUAAACAUUGCAUUUUAUGGAUUUUUAUGGUAAAAACUUCAUAUUUUGUAGGUUUAAUGAUUCAAUCAUCAAAUGAAGUGCAUUGAGAAGAUAUUUGGAUGAUUGAAGAUGGAUUAAAGUGAGGAAAAUAAAAUAUGAAGUGUAAAAGGAAGAAAUGCAAUUUGAGGACAAAAAUCAAGAAAAGUCAGCUUUGACAACUCAGACAUAUUUUCGUAUUUUGACUAUAUCAGGAGCUACAAUGAUCGGAUCAAGGUGAUCUUGGUACCAUUUUGAAGUUAAGAGAUAUAUCUACAUUUGGUAUGAAGACAUCAAAGUCCAGUUCAGCCGUUUUCAUAGUCCAAAAGUUGAAAUACCGAAAUUCAACUCAGCUGUCCAAAGUGGAAAACAGAGUUCCGACCAGUGUUUAGUAUUUUGAUCAUAUCUCAGUCUACAAAGCUCCGAUUUGGAUGAUUCUUGAAGCAUUGGAAAGCUAACUCAAAGAUAUACAACUUUGAUGUUUUGCACAAAAGCCAGUUCGGCCUGCAUCAUGGAGAAAAUCGCAGUUGAAGUAAGGACAAAGUGAAAACGCGAGUGCACAAAACGCGAGUUGUAGACGCGUUUUGUAAAGGCGCGUUUUCUGGCCGAAAUUCUGCAAUUUGCUCAGUCAAUUCUCUUGUGUUCAUACCACUUUCCAGCUAUAAGUUGCAAGAGAAUUCGGUGCACAUGCUUCAGAAGACAAAAGGGCAGACAAGGUGGCUUAUUUUCAAGUCAAAAACAUUUGUUAUUGACUAUCCUAACAAAGUUGAGAUUUGGGAAUCAAAACAUUUGUUAUUUUACUUGUAAAUUUUCUCCAUUUGCUGCCAUUAAGGUUUCCUUUGUUCUUUCACAAUAUUUAGUAGAAAUUAUUCCUUCUUUAAUACAACUUGAAUCAGCUCCACUAUCUAUUAAAGCUACAUAUAUUUCUUUGAAAUCUUCUACUGUAAUAGUUACUAAAGCAUACCAUUUUUGAAAUAUCAUUUUUUCUAUGGUAUUUAAAUAUUGAAUUUCAUCUGUUGGUCUUUCUGAUAUACUUAUUUCUUCUGUUUUAGAAUUGGAAGUUGAUGGUUGAUUUUCUAGUAAUGUUAUUUUUGCUUCUAUUUCUAAAUCUUUUGUUUUUAAUUCUAUGAUUUCUCUUUGUAAUUGUUUUACUUGUAUUUUAAGAUCAUUAAUUUCUGUUUGAAGAUCUUUAGUGGUUUCUUUUUUCAUUAUAUUUAUGUUUAGAUAUUUAUCUAUUAAUUUAGAAAUACUAAAAGGUUCUAUUAUUUUUGGCAUUUUGUCUUCUUGUAUAAUUAGACUUUUUAAUCUUUCUAAAUACUCUUUUUUAGCUACUGGAUCAUCAAUUUUUUCUAUUAUAUCUAAUAAAAAUUCUUUAUCUUCUUUUUUGGUUAUAACAUUUAUAUAUUUUGAAGUGUUAGAACAAUUACAAUUUUCUUCACUUUCUGUACUAGAUAUAUCAUUAUAAUAAUCAUCUUCAGAAUUUUGAUCUUUUUCAUUUAUUAAUUUAUUUUUAAUUUCUUCUUCUUUUGCACAAAUCUCUGUAAUUUUUUCUUUUAAUUUACAUUUGUUUGCUUUAUGUCCUAUUUUUUCACAUUUAUAACAAACAAUUUUUCUUUUAAUAAAUUUUCUCUUCUUUUCUGGUUUAUCUUCUUUAGAUCUUUUAUACUUUAUUUUCUUAUUAUAUUUUUUAACUUUUUUGUUAUAUGCAGAUGGUGAUUUAAUUCUUUAGUAGCAAAUUCUAAAGCUCUAUUAAUUGGUUUUAUUGUUCCUUGAUAUAUAUCAUGUCCUAAAAAUCUUAUUUUUGUUUGGAAUAAUUUCAUUUUUGGUGCUGAAACAACUAAUCCAUUUUUCUUAACUACUUUUAAAAAUAUAUUUAAAUGUUUGAAAUGCUGUUCUAUUGAUUCAGAAAAUAUUAAUACAUCAUCAAUAUAAACUAUGCUAAAUGAACUAUAAGGAUUGAAAAUAUCAUUCAUUAUAUUUUGAAAUUCUGAUGGUGCAUUUUUUAAUCCGAAUGGCAUUACGUUCCAUUCAUAAUGACCAAAAGGUGUUGUGAAUGCUGUUUUAUAUCUAUCUUUUGGUGUUAUUAAUAUUUGCCAAUAUCCUGAUUUUAGUUGUUUCAGCACCAAAAAUGAAAUUAUUUCAAACAAAAAUAAGAUUUUUAGGACAUGAUAUAUAUCAAGGAACAAUAAAACCAAUUAAUAGAGCUGUAGAAUUUGCUACUAAAUUUCCAGAUGAAAUAAAAGAUAAAAAUCAAUUACAAAGGUUUUUAGGAUGUUUAAAUUAUAUAGCAGAUUUCUUUCCUAAAUUAAGACAAGAAUGCUCUAUAUUAUUUAAUAGAUUAAAAAAGAACCAUUUCCACCAGUGAUUGAACCAGAUUGGGAAUUCUCUACUGCAACUUUUUUGAAUGUGAAGAACCAUGAAUGAUUGAAUGGUCUAUACAAAAAAAGCAAAAGUCUAAUUAUACAAGAAGACAAAAUGCCAAAAAUAAUAGAACCUUUUAGUAUUUCUAAAUUAAUAGAUAAAUAUCUAAACAUAAAUAUAAUGAAAAAGAAACCACUAAAGAUCUUCAAACAGAAAUUAAUGAUCUUAAAAUACAAGUAAAACAAUUACAAAGAGAAUCAUAAAAUUAAAAACAAAAGAUUUAGAAAUAGAAGCAAAAAUAACAUUACUAGAAAAUCAACCCUCAACUUCCAAUUCUAAAAACAGAAGAAAUAAGUAUAUCAGAAAGACCAACAGAUGAAAUUCAAUAUUUAAAUACCAUAGAAAAAAUGAUAUUUCAAAAAUGGUAUGCUCUAGUAACUAUUACAGUAGAAGAUUCAAAGAAACAUAUGUAGCUUUAAUAGAUAGUGGAGCUGAUUCAAGUUGUAUUAAAGAAGGAAUAAUUCCUACUAAAUAUUGUGAAAGAACAAAGGAACCUUAAUGGCAGCAAAUGGAGAAAAUUUACAAUUAAAAUAUAAAUUUACAAAAGGAUCAAUAUGUAACAAUGAAUAUUGUAUUAGACAUAAUUUCAUAAUUGUAAAAAAUAUAAAUCAUGAUAUAAUAUUAGGAACACCUUUUUUAAUUCAAAUUUACCCAUUUUCAGUUAGUCAUGAAGGAAUUUCAAUAAAUAUAAUGGGAAAAACUGUUAUCUUUAGAUUUCUAACUCCAGUAAAACAAAGAGAAUUACAGACAUUACAAACAUCCUCUAUUUACAAAACAAUAAAUAGUAUUACUAAAGUACAACAACAAAUAAAUUAUAUAAAAGAAAAAAUCUUAUUUAAAAAUUGAAGAACAAUUAAAAGAAAGUAAAAUGCAAAAAGAAUUUCAGAAUUAGAAGAAUUAUUACAAAAAGAAAUUUGUGCAGAUAUUCCUAAUGCUUUUUGGAUAGAAAACAACAUAUGAUUGAAUUACCUUACGAAACAGGUUUUAAUGAGAAAAACAUUCCUACUAAAGCAAGACCAAUACAAAUAAUUCUAAUCUAUUAGAAUUUUGUAAAAAGGAAAUAAAAACAUUAAUAGACAAAAAAUUAAUAACACCUUCAAAAUCACCUUGGAGUUGUGCUGCAUUCUAUGUAAUGAAUCAAGCUGAAAAAGAAAGAGGAGUUCCAAGAUUAGUUAUAAAUUAUAAACCAUUAAAUAAAGUAUUACAAUGGAUUAGUGAAUAAUACAAUAAAUUUAUAAAUUUAGAAUUAAUAGAGGAUACAAUAAAUUAAAGUAACCAUUUUUAUAAAUUUAAUAGAGCUCAAAUGCAAAUAAUACAAUAAAUUUAGAAGACAUUAAAAAAGUUUAUCAACAAAAUAAUUAUACAAAUCAAAUCCUUCAUACAAUUUCUCAACAUAUGGAAGUAUUAAACACAAAAAUAGAUACUAUAAAGAAACCAGAAUUAAAAUUCCCUAAUAAUAUUUCAGCACCUCAUUUUCAACCUAGAAGUUUGACAAGAGAAAAAGAACAAGAUUUAGAUUCAAAAUCAGAAGACAAAGCAUCGGCGAAUUAGUGAGAAAAAGAGAACAAAACACUCUCAUGUAAAAAUCCUUAGACAAAUCUCUCAAUCCCUCUUUCCAACUACUCUUGUAUUCAAUUACUUUUGUUUCCUUCCUUCUCCAAAUAUAAUAAAGAUCAAGGAUUCAACCAUUCAUCAAGCUUCUGUUAUCAAAGGCCACUCUAAAUUUUCAGUAAGUCCAAUUUUUAUACUAAAUUUUCUAUGAACAUUUCAAUAGAAAGUAGCCUGGGUAGAAGUGGUAUCAGAGCCACUUAUCACAUUAUCUUUACAGUGUUAUUAAGGAAAGUAGAUUACACAGUGGGAACCAAAAAUAGAAGAAAAUAAAGCCUCAUAUGAACCGAAUCUUUCCCCUUGCUUUUUUUUCUUGGAAUUUAAAGGUAUAAUGCAAGAAAUAACUCCUGGUCAUGCAAAAUUGCCAACAAAAAUGCGUCUUUGGUUUUUAAUUCCUUAAUAACAUACUAUCCAGCAUACUAUUUAGCAUAAUAACAUACUAUCUCAGAUGCAUCCACUUAAAUAUCCUGGCCGAGAUGGUAUGAGGCCAAUUUUCUAUCAAAAAUAUAGGUCUGUAGCAGGUAAUGACGUUACCUCACUACAACAAAAAUGGCCUUUAGCGGCAUUUAAAGGUGUCAGUAUAGAAAAUCUAACCUGACACUUUAUCUAUCCUGACACCCAUGGCGAGUGUUGUCCCUUCCAAUGUGGGGAUAGCCUCAAAUCUUUAGCAGCAUUCAAAUGUGUCAGGCAAACCAUGCUGCUAUAUCUUUACCUCUGCCAACAAAUCCUUUUUUUGUGAUAAUCGAAAAUGUAUGUAUAGUGUUAGGACAUCAGUAGGGAAUCGGUAGGAUAUCAAAUUUAUGAAGGCAUCUUGAGUUGUCUUAAUAUAUGGUUUUAAGGACACGUAGCCAUGUGAAUUUACAAUGUGUUGGACGACAUGCCCAUUUGUUGUUAGUGUUUUUCGAAGCUAAGCUAUGCUGACACUUUUAAUUGCCAGGAGAAUUUUCCCUGGUUUUUUUUUAUAUGGAAGCAACCUGCAAUUAGUCCUCCUUGCUGUACAUUCCAUCAAUCAGAAUCCCAAGGGACUUGUAAAAUUAUCCCAAAGAGCAGAAUGCAUAUGGCAAUGUAAAGAAGAAGUCGAUACUCAAAUAUAAUUCAUUGAAUUAAAAGUCGAUAACAAGUACAAACAUAGCAAAUACUAAAACGCAAACAAGUGCUAAAAGCAAGUACUAAAAUAUCAAACCAGUACCGAAAGAUUCUCAUUUACAAUAACUUAAAAGCUCUAUCGGAAGCACAAAAUAAAAGACUCCCAUCCCUAAUAAGUUGAAAGAAGUAGAAGUAGCUUCCAAACUUUCCAUUUUGUUGAGAGUCCUCAGGCAUAACCACGAAGUCCCCAUCAUUCUUCAGCUGGUUCCACCUGUGCACAAAGACCAAGGGGAUCAUUAGAUCAUCAUAACUAAAACUAAAAUUCCAGAAAAUCCGCAAUGUAUUUAAGUGCAUAUCUCACCAAAUGACAAGGCCAAGCAACUGGUGCACCAAGUGCAUCUUGAAUCGUUUGUUGUAAACCAUAUGGUCUAAUCAAUUGCUCACGUGGAGUCAUUGCAACUUGUAUCUGUAUUUCACACCAGUUUGGCCCAAGAGCUUGUCCCCCGACCUCAUCCAAUGGAUUCAGACUCCGUAAAUAUCCCUUUGCCACGAUUUUUGUUGGGUCAAACAAACUUUUUAGUGAAACCAUAUUCCCUACCUAGUAAACAUCCAACAAGUACAAGAAUCAAACUCAUGCCAAAUUCCAGAUUACAAAUGCAAAAGUUUAGAAGUUGUAAAUACUUACUCAAAUAGGUCGCGUGGCUCGCGAUGGAGCAUGGCUUGACACAUUGUUAGAUGAUGAUGAAGGAUGUCUCGGGCUGUCAAUUGGAGAGCCCCUUCCAUGUUGAACUAAAAUCAUUUUCUUCAAGCUGGCUAUUUCAUCAUCUUGUCGCUGAAGCCUUUCCUCCAAACGGACUAAUGUUGACUGUUGUUGAACACUUAUACGGUAGCAUGUGUUACGACUAGGAAUGUCUUCCCAUAAGUCCGUUGGAUUCACACCGUCACUAAGCAAGCGAACAUGACCAUAUUUGUCUUGCCCAACCACCUGGGCAAAUAUAUCAUCACGACCAACUGGAUCUUGCGAAUCCGAUGGAAGCUGAUUUUUCAGCUCAGUCAUUUUUUCCUACAUAAUAAAGGAAAACACUUGUUAUUGCAAAAGACUGUCUGAAAACAUCCAUGGUAGAAUUGAUAGGCUUGUGUUCUCGGAUCCUUACCAAAUUCUCAGCAACUAUGGUACUUGAUGGAGUUUGUUGACCUUGGUCGAUCAAUCCUUGGUUUUGAUGAUUAACAAACCAAAAUGUAGAUUUGGGCUAAUGUUUUUAUGUGAGCAAUUUGUUAGAACAGAUUCUUGUGGCACAAAAGAAGAAGCAAAAACAGGGCACUCAUGUGAGACGUCCGAAAGGAAGCUAUCGGACGUCCGAAAGGAUGAAGAACAUCAGGAAGGAUAUUCUGUCGGACGCUCGUGAGAAAGCAUCGGACGUCCGGAUGGAUCGGACACACUCUUCGGACGCACAUCGAUCGUGUCGGACGUCCUAAAAAUUUCACGAAGAUUUGAUAACUCUCUGGACGACGUUCGGACGCAGGGUUCGGACGUCCGACAGGUGGUUUGGACGCAGGGUUCGGACGUCCGACAGGUGGUUCGAACGUCCGACAGGCCAACGGCUAGUUUUGACAGCAUUUAAUAUUUGACCGUUGGAGAGCCUUUUGGAGCCAUUUCUCACAUUCUAUAAACACCCCAAAGCACAAGAAGACACGGGACUUUUGCCAACACAAUAUACAAGCUUACAAGUGAGAUUUUUGAGUAGAAAGAUUCUUUGUUGGUUGUAUAAGGGGUUGGGGAAGUUGGGUUGUGAGGUUGCUCAAGUGAAGGUUAUUCUCUAGGAGGAGUAAAACCUUGGUGAAGGUGAACCUAUCACUUGAAGUGGUAAAACCUUGGUGAAGGUUGCCUCAUUUGUAUAAAAUAGUUCUUAAUUGGGUGAGUGAUCUUUCAAGUGUAGGUUGUUGAGGGUUAACUAGAAUUGUUGUAAAACUCCUUGGCUCAACCAAAGUGUGUUUGGCGUGAGGAAGGAGUGAGCCUUCACUUGUACAUCUUGGUUAGCAUCGCCAUCAAUUGAAGAGGCUAUUGGUUUGAUAUUUGGUUUGCAUUUCUUAUCCUUUCUCUUUAAUUAAGUUUUCUUUAUUGUGCUUAAAUUUGAUAUAUCUUUGUGCAUCAUUGUGAAUUUGUUUGUACUCAUUAGGUUGCACCGAGCACUUACAAUUGGUAUCAGAGCUUGGUCUCCUUGAGACUAAGCUCAAUCGGCUUGGAGUAAAGAUCAUGGCAACCAUAAAAGUUUCCUUUUUAGAAGGGCAAUCUAUUGAUAGACCACCUAUGUUUAAUGGUUCUCAUUUUAGCAUGUGGAAACAAAGAAUGAUGAUUUUCUUACAAUCCAUUUAUAUUGAAUUAUGGUAUGUGGUAGAAGAUGGUCCUUAUGAAGCUAGAAUAGUUGACUCUACCAUCAAUUUGAGUAGAUUAAAGACUAGACAAGAAUUGAAUGAAAAAGACAAGAGAUACCUUUCUUUGAAUGCCAAGGCCAUGUGUAUAUUGUACAAUGCAUUAGAUGUAAAUGAAUCUAGUAGGAUUAAAGGUUGUAAAUCAGCUAAAGAUAUUUGGGAUAAAUUGUGUAUUUCAUGAAGGUAACCAAGAUAUUAAAGAACAAAAGAAAUCUUUGCUUGUUUCUCAAUAUGAAUUUUUCAAAAUGCAUCCUCUUGAAAAUGUUGAUAAGAUGUGUAGUAGAUUUUGUGACAUUAUUCAAGAUCUUAAAUUGCUUGGAAGAGAAUAUUCUUUGGGUGAGAAAAAUAGAAAGAUUUUGAAUGCCUUGCCAAAAGAAUGGGAAAACAAAAUAAAUGCUAUAGAAGAGGCAAAGGAUUUAAAUUCUAUGUCCAUUGAAUCUCUUGUGAAUUCCCUAACUUCUUAUGAAUUAAAGCUGCAAUUCAAAGUGCAAGAGAAAGAAAAUGCAAGAAUGUAUAAGAGAGGCAUAGCUUUUAAAGCAUCUCAAGUGGGGGAUAACCCAUCUUUCAUGGGUAAUGAAAACAUGGAAGUGGACAAUGAUAUAACUCCUCACAUCAAAAGUUUCAAGAAGAUCUUCAACAAGAGAAGUUCAAGAGGAGAUUGCAAAAUUACAUGGGAUGAAUACAAUUCAAAAAGAGAAAAAGAAGAGUUGGCACAAAUGGCACUAAUGGCCUUUGGAGAAGAUGAGGUAAAUUCUUAUCACUCUUCUUGUGAUGAAGAUAAUGAAGAUGAUGAUGUGAAAAUUCUUAUGAUUAAAAUGCAUAAAAGUUUGAGAAAAUCUUAUGCUAAAAAUAAAGAUUUGAAAACAAAAAUAAAUGAUUUGUUGGAAGAAAACUCCAAACUUUUUCAGGAAAACAAAUGUUUGAGAAUGGAAAAUGAUGAUUUAAAAAAUCAAAAAAAUGUUUUUGAUUGCAAAAAUAAUUUGAAAAGGAAGUUGGAAGAGAAAACAAAGUUUUAUGGAAAAAUGUUGGAUGAACAAAAUUUGUUAAAGAAAAGAAUUAAUGACUUGAACGAGUUUCUCCAAAAUGAAAAACAAAAGUUUUCUCAAACAAAAGAAAGCAAAUCUUUUCAAGGCACAAAUACGUUUGCUAUGAUAAGAAGUAAGAAAAUUAGUUGCAUUAAAUCCACUUAUGUGCAAAAUACUUCUAUCAUGUGUCACUUUUGUUGUCAAUUUGGACAUAUGCAAAAUGAUUGCUAUGUAAAGAAAAAUAUGAGAAAAGGUAUGAAAUCCAUGUGGAUUGCUAGAUCAUGUUGUACUAACUCCCAAGAACCCUAUAAAAACUUACAAUUGGUAUCAUGAAAGUUUUGUCAUUCUAUAUGGUCUUGAUUUGGAAAAUAAAGGGGGAGUUUACUUUUUGAUUGAUGUCAAAAGAGGGAGUAGGAUUUAUUGAAAUUUCUUUGUAUGUUGGCAUUUUCUAAGGGAGAGUUUUAUUUGAACUUAUUUGAUCAAAGAAAUCUUCAUUUUGUUUGUCAUCAUCAAAAAGGGGGAGAUUUUUGACCUUGGUCGAUCAAUCCUUGGUUUUGAUGAUUAACAAACCAAAAUGUAGAUUUGGGCUAAUGUUUUUAUGUGAGCAAUUUGUUAGAACAGAUUCUUGUGGCACAAAAGAAGAAGCAAAAACAGGGCACUCAUGUGGGACGUCCGAAAGGAAGCUAUCGGACGUCCGAAAGGAUGAAGAACAUCAGGAAGGAUAUUCUGUCGGACGCUCGUGAGGAAGCAUCGGACGUCCGGAUGGAUCGGACACACUCUUCGGACGCACAUCGAUCGUGUCGGACGUCCUAAAAAUUCCACGAAGAUUUGAUAACUCUCUGGACGACGUUCGGACGCAGGGUUCGGACGUCCGACAGGUGGUUUGGACGCAGGGUUCGGACGUCCGACAGGUGGUUCGAACGUCCGACAGGCCAACGGCUAGUUUUGACAGCAUUUAAUAUUUGACCGUUGGAGAGUCUUUUGGAGCUAUUUCUCACCUUCUAUAAACACCCAAAGCACAAGAAGACACGGGACUUUUGCCAACACAAUAUACAAGCUUACAAGUGAGAUUUUUGAGUAGAAAGAUUCUUUGUUGGUUGUAUAAGGGGUUGGGGAAGUUGGGUUGUGAGGUUGCUCAAGUGAAGGUUAUUCUCUAGGAGGAGUAAAACCUUGGUGAAGGUGAACCUAUCACUUGAAGUGGUAAAACCUUGGUGAAGGUUGCCUCAUUUGUAUAAAAUAGUUCUUAAUUGGGUGAGUGAUCUUUCAAGUGUAGGUUGUUGAGGGUUAACUAGAAUUGUUGUAAAACUCCUUGGCUCAACCAAAGUGUGUUUGGGGUGAGGAAGGAGUGAGCCUUCACUUGUACAUCUUGGUUAGCAUCGCCAUCAAUUGAAGAGGCUAUUGGUUUGAUAGUUGGUUUGCAUUUCUUAUCCUUUCUCUUUAAUUAAGUUUUCUUUAUUGUGCUUAAAUUUGAUAUAUCUUUGUGCAUCAUUGUGAAUUUAUUUGUACUCAUUGGGUUGCACCGGGCACUUACAGAGUUCCAUCGGCAUGGGUAUAAAACUUAUUGAACAUUUCUACUCUAGUAGGAGGUCUUCCCAACUGUUUGGCCUAUAAGAAAUUGAAUCGUUUUAAUUAUAGUUUUAGCAUUUAGCAUAUAAUUAAAAAACAAGCUAACAUAAUGAAACAUGUACGAGCAAAAAAAAUUAGCAACUAAAAAGUGGAUGAGGUAUCACCAAGUGGUUCCGAAGAUGAGCAAAUGACUUUUUUCCGGUUGUGUGGUUCAUCUUCUUCUCCCCUCUAGCUUUCUUGUUCCUCUCACUUAGUUUCUAAAUUUCAAAAUCAAAAGCAAGAUUACAGCAUUGAAUGAACACAACUUUAUGAAGAAUGUUGUAGCUGAUUUGUACCUUUGCUUCUUCACUUUUCCAAUAAGCCCAAAGUUUGAUCCAUUGCUCUUCCCGUACCCUUAUGUCCUUUUGAAACCGAGCUUCAGCAUUUGGCACGGCAGAAUCAAAAUAGUUAGCCUUUAAAUCUGCCUUCCAGCUUCUCCAUUUUUUGCCAAUAGAUCUUAAGGUCCAAGCUUCCAGUCCCAUAGGCAAAGCAAACCUUUCCUGAAACGUAGUUAGCAACAAGAAAAUCAACACAACUUCACAGUAAUUUUUGUACAAAGCAUACAUAAUACAAAAGCUGCCAUUACCUUUAUCACUUCUAACAUGUCCAUUUUAAGUUUCCUUGGCAUCUUAAGCCAUGUUUCAACAUCUAUUGGACAAUACAUACCAUUCCUAGCCAAACUGCCCAAGAAUUCAGAGAAAGAGUUUUUCUCACUUAUUGGGAUCCCAUUGUCAUCGAGUUUAAUCUCAAUCCGUGGAAGUUCCUUAGGCCGACCCCAAAUUUCUUUCAUAAAUAUAGGGCCUCGGGUUUUAUGAUUUACUUCACUUGAAUCAUUUGUAGUUUCUUUUCCUGUUUAAAAUAAGAAAAAGGUGCAAGUUAUGAACAUAACAAAAUGCACUUCUGGAAUUGGUUCAAAACAGUUAGUAAUACCUGCAUUGUCCGAGUUGCAUGACAUGAAGGUGGUGUCACUGGAAUGUGGACCUCGAGAAUCCUGAUUUGGACUUUCUUCGGUUGCUUCAUGCCUUGUUCCAAGUGGAGAUUGUUGAAUUGGAGAGUUCUGGCACUGCUCAUGCGACUUGGAACCUCCAUCAGCUUGUUGAGUAACUUGGUCACCUGAUUCAUGCAUUAUUCCCAAUGUAGAAUUCUGAAUUGCAGAUUGAGGUGCCCGAGCAGCUUCUCCUUGCACUUGUUCAAUUACAUUUUCAUGGCUUGUUCCAAGUGGAGGCUGCUGCCUUGUUUCAUAACAUGAGGGAGGUUGCUCAAUUGGUUCAUCUCUCAAUCCAUUUGCAGCGCGCUUACAUUUUCGACCUCUACGGGCCAUACCUGCAUAAUAUUUGAGUGAAGAAAGGGACAAAUGUAAAUGUUUAAAAUUUAUUGAAGCACACUCUCUACCUAUAGUUUCUUUAACUUACAAAUGCUAUUAUAAAGAAGUACUACUUGAACAAUAAACUGGCAUGACAAGUAACAAAUGGCAUUCUGCAAGAAUAAACCAGGGGAAGACUAUGGAGCUGUCAACAGAACAGAGAAACAAAUGGAGAAUAUAUGAUUCAAUGCAGCAACUAAUUGGAAAUGAAAUGAAAGCUACAUGCUUAAGUGACUGCAAGAAUAUACAUGGGAAAUGCUUUGAUCUACAUCCUUUCAGCAUGAAAGAUAUGCAGAAUUUACUACCGCUAGACACGAAACUUUUUCCAUAUUGUUCUGAGAAUGAUGCCUAUGAUCAAAAGUUGGUAUGCUUAUGCUCAAUGAGGGUGUAAGUAGAAGAGUCCACGUAAUUUUAACUUCAGUAAUGGAGCAAACUAAUAAAUGAUUGUCUUGAAUUAACGAAAUAUACUUGGCCAUGUGAUAACCAAAAAUUGCAGAGGAUAAUGUAUUCUACCAACAAAUACAAGUCUUGGUUUUGUAUGUUUAGGGUGGCAAUCGGGUCGGUUAUGAAGCUCUACUGAAUACUUUUAUUUCCAGAUUCUGACAUGGUUCUGCAUUUAUCAAGAACUUGUCUCAUCUAAACAAGAGCUCAAGCUUUACGUAGCAUUGACGAUUCCAAACCAAAUUACUUCUCUUUUUGCCAGAGCCACAUCCACAGUUAUGGGUUGACACUUAACAGUAAAUGCACAAACACUUUUCCAAUACAAUUGUAGCAGUACAAACAAUACAGUUGUAGAACAGGAAGGAGACGAAGAGCAUCACGGUGAAAGACUGAAAACGAGAACCCAUCACCAAAAAUAGAUGGUUGAAAUUGUACAUUCAGUUCACAGUAGCAGUCUCCAUUCGACCAGGCUCACCUAGAAAUGUGCUUCUCAGAAAUGUGCUUUUCACACCGCCACCACCCCAAAAGCUUUUCACACCACCACCACCCCCCAAAGCAAACAUUCUACCUAGAAAUGUGCUUCUCAGAAACGGAGAAGGUGCUUGUCAGAGAUGGGAAUCGAAUAGCCUAAAAACUAAAUCUACCAAGCAAUGCAAGAACAUGUCUACCAUGCAAUGCAGAAUUAGACACAAAAUACUGAAAUUACCUCAAACUAUGGCUUGAAUCCCUAAUUUCUCGGUUUCCCAAGCUUUGAAGCCCUAAUUCUGAUUUCUUCCCACCAAGCCAACACAACAGCCGAAUUAGGGAUUUGCCUGGUGCGAGCUCAACCAAGUUACCCAAAAGGGUGCGAGUUCAUGGACGGCAAUUGACUCAAAUUGGUUGUGCGAGCUUGAAAGAGAGAGAGAGGACAAAGGCAGAGGACAACGAGAGAGGGAGAAGAUGUCUGAAAUAAAGGCAGUACUAAUGACGCCAAAGUAAAUUAGUCAAGCCUCUUGAAUUUUUCAAUUUGCCGCGCUACUAAUGACAAUUUUUGUGUGUUUGGGCAAAAUUUUGUUAAAGCUAGAUAACAACUAAAAAUUUGGUUAAAGCUAUAUACAAUAUAAUAUAACAACUAAAAAUAUAAAGGCUAAAAAUCUUGUUAAAGCUAUAUAACAACUAAAAAUAUAACAAAUAAAAAUUUUGCAAGAGCUAUAUACAAUAUAAUAUAACAAUCAAAAAUUUUGUUACAGCUAUAUAACAACUAAAAAUAUAACAAAUAAAAAUUUUGUUAAAGCUAUAUACAAUGUAAUAUAAUAACUAAAAAUAUAAAAAUAAUUAAAAAUUUUGAGAAGCUAACAAAAAACAUUCUUUUAAUCAAAAUGUUUUUUACUCAAUUUAUUUUAUGCUGCGAGCAAUUAUGUACGGCUUGUAGUCUAACAAGCCAUUGGAAGGAUCGAAUUAGUUUAUGAAACAAGAAAAUUAACUUGUGAAUGCAUGAACUUUCCAUUGAUAAACAUUGGGAUUAGAAUUGAUUGAACAUAAACAAUGAAUAUAUAUAUAUAUAUAUAUAUAUAUUCAAUGUUUUCAAUUCCAAAGCAAUUGCCAUUGAACUUUGUGUUAAUUAGAAACUUACUAUCACUUACAAGAUCUUACUAUUGAACUUUUCAAUGAUUAACCUUAGGCUUACACUUACAACGCAUUAAUUGAACAUAAACAUAUAUAUAUAUAUAUAUAUAUAUAUAUAUAUAUAUAUAUAUAUAUAGGGUAAAAAAAAAAAAGGCCCCCUGUGUAGUUAACCUAAUACACAGAAAAGCUCCCCAUGGUUUCAAAAUAUACAACACGAUCCCUCAUGCUUUGAACUAAAUUGUAAAGGUGACGGAAUCCGUUAAACUUAACGGAAAUGGACGAAAUGACCAAAAUGCACUGAUAUAAUUAAGCAAAAGACAGCUCAAAAAAAUCAUUUGUUUCAUUCUCUAAGUAGAGAGAAUUGAGGGUUAAGGGGUAGAAUAUGCAUAUUUGAUAAAAAAUAGGCAUAAAAAUUUUUUUUAGGUUCCAAUAAGUCAUUUCCGUUAAGUUUAACGGAUUCCGUCACCUUUAUAAUUUAGUUCAAAACAUGAGGUGUCGUAUUGUAUAUUUUGAAACCAUAGGGGAUUUUUCUGUGUAUUAGGCUUACCACAGGGGGUUUUUUGUUUUUUACCCAUAUAUAUAUAUAUAUAUAUAUUCAUUGUUAAAAAUUCCAAAGCAAUUGCCACUGAACUUUGUGUUAAUUAGAAACUUACUAUCACUUACAAGAUCUUACUAUUGAACUUUUCAAUGAUUAACCUCAGGCUUACACUUACAACGCAUUAAUUGAACAUAAACAUAUAUAUAUAUAUAUAUAUAUUCAAUGUUUUCAAUUCCAAAGCAAUUGCCAUUGAACUUUGUGUUAAUUAGAAGCUUACUAUCACUUACAAGAUCUUAAUAUUGAACUUUUCAAUGAUUAACCUUAGGCUUACACUUACAACGCAUUGAUUGAAGGAUAAUCUAAAAUUGCGACUAAACCGAUUAAAUUCGAUCAAAGAUCAGUUGGACUAGAAAGCUCUAUCGGAAUUAACUUUUUGUAUUGUUAUUGGUUUAAAAAAUAAUUUUUUCAUGGUAUUAAAAAAUUAUUUAAGAAAUUUAUAGAUUAAAGUUUCAAAAUAUUUCUAUUAAAAAAUUAGACCUCGGUUAUUGGGAAAAAGAAUUGGCCAUAAAAUAAUGAUUCACAAAUGUAAUAUUACAGCUUACAAUUAAUGGAAUUGCUUAUAAAAUAAUGACAAGUAUUUAUCCAGCCCAUUGGGCUCUUAAAAUAAGUAAUGGGUUCCUUGGAAAGUUGGAUAGUUUUAUGUUUGGUCUGAAAUGAUUUGCACAUUCCGUACGUUGCCAAUUGUUCUCCCCAAAUCAUAGCCUCGGUUGCCAAUUGUUCUCAUGCUAUUAAAAGAAAAAUCAUUCCAAUACCAUUUUUAUGAAUAAGACUGACGAUUACUAACCAAGACUAGAAAUCCAAAAACUGGACCAUGGGAGUAUCAAUGAAGAAAGGCCUUAAAGAGGCAAAUUAAUACACAAGUUUUAACUAAUAGCACCAACUCUUUUAUCACAUCUGUCAGAAGGCUUAACAUGACAUCGAGAGCACUAAACUCAAAAAAAAAAAAAUGCAAAACCCAUCGACAAAAGGAAAUAAAGCCUAGGCCUCGCAAUUGAAACAGAGAAGAAUAAGGCCAGUAAGCUUUAAAGCUAUAAAAGAUUCUAAAUCAGAUUAUAUUGGGACAAAUCAACUUCAAUCCCAAGUCCAUUCUCACGAACCCAACUAAUUUCCUCAUUUUCAUUCUCAACAACAGGAUUGCCAACAUCACUUUGCAAAUAUGUCUCAACAUCCAUGGUUGUGCCCAUGUUAUAUCCAGCUCUUGCAGUGGUAGAGAUAACCACUUGCCAAUCCUUAUCAGUUGGAUCUUCCACAUAAAAAACCUGUGAUGCUUGUGAAGCAAGUAUAAAUGGCUCAACAUGAGGCCUCACGUUUGCAAAAUUGACUAAAGUAAACCCAUCAGCAUCUUGUUUCAUUCUCGAACCAUUUGAUAUCCAAUCACAUUCGAAUAACACCACCCGCGACCUCCGUAAAUUAAUUCAAUCAUAUUUUUCAAGAUGCCGAAGUAAACUAGUUCACUCAAAACUGGAUUUUGAUCCCUUAUACUUGCAAAACUGGAUGUUGUUGCAUUGACUGUAACACCACUAUUCUGCGUUUUUCUUUUCUUCUCAACUUCUUUGGUGUGAAACCGAAAUCCAUUAACAACAUACCUGCCAUGUUGGAUUCCAACAACAUCUGGACCUUUAGCAAGGAACCUCAACUCUCUCAACACCGAAACAUUUUGAGGAAGUUCUAACUUGUCAAUCUGUAAAAAAAAAAAAAAAAAAAAGAUGAAACUAUAUUUGAAGUCCUACAAUUCAAAUUGUACUUAAUAUUCAGAAUUUUACUUACAUGUUCAGCAAACCAACAUGCAAAAUUUUCACUGUGCAAGCGCUCUUUUAGAUGCUGUGGAACUUGAGGAUGUCCUUCUUCUAUCAAUCUACGAUGCUGCCUAGAAGUACAUGAGUCAAAAUUGUAAUCAUACAUUGAAUUCUACAAUAAAAUUUUAAUGCAUCAAGUUGUAGUUGAACUUACUCUAUGUAAGGUGUGACAGCAUCACAGUUAAAUAAAAUAUACUGAUGUGCUUUACUCAAGAUAUGAGCAUCAAAGACUGUUGGCUUGCCCCUCCCCAAAGGAUGUCCUGAUUCAGAGAAUAUAUCUAAACCAUCUUCAAUUUCCUUAUGUACUUCUUCAUUUCUGCUUGGACGAUUGAAUUUUGUCUCAACAUAGUCCGCAAGAUACAAUGAGCAAAAGUUAAUGCAUUCUUCUGCCAAGUAGCCUUGAGCAAUCGAACCUUCAGGCCUACUUUUAUUUCGAACAUAAGAUUUUAAUGUUCCUAAGUACCUAAAUUAUCAUCAUUCCAAACUCUCUAAUUAGUUCCACAAAUCAAAGAAAGCAAAAAAGGAAUAAACAUUUAAGGCAUAAUGAGAAUUACAAGCAGUACCUCUCUACAGGAUACAUCCAACGAUAAUACACCGGCCCACCUAAUUUCACUUCAAUUGCCAAAUGAACAACUAAAUGCACCAUGACAUCGAAGAAGGUUGGUGGGAAGCAUUUCUCAAGAUCGCAGAGUAUGACGGCAAUUUCACUUUCCAAACGAACCACAUCUUGAGGACAAAUAACUUUAGAACAAAGCUGCCUGAAGUAUCUACUCAAUCGAAUCAAAGGAUAGCGCACUGAUUUUGGUAAAGUCUUUCUCAAAGCUAUAGGCAUCAAUUGCUGCAUUAGGAUAUGAUUAUCAUGACUUUUAAGCCCUGAAAUUCUUGGUGGUUUUACUCGAACGCAUCUUGAGACGUUAGCUGCAUAACCAUCUGGAACUUUCACCUUUUUUAGCACAUUGCAAAACAUAGUUUUCUGUUUUUUAUCCAUUGCAAAGGAAGAUGGAGGUAAGUACACCUUUCCAGGUUCUGUCUCAAUGGGAUGCAGCUCUUUUCUUAGUCCCAUUUCUCUCAAAUCACGGCGGGAAUUAUAAUGGUCCUUUGUUUUAUCCUCGGUGUCCAGCAAUGUCCCCCAAAUGUUUUCACAAACAUUUUUCUCAAUGUGCAUGAAGUCAAGAUUGUGUCUUAAGACAUUAUCUUUCCAAUAUGGCAAGUCAAAGAAAAUACUCCUCUUUUUCCAAUUGAAAGGCAGCUUCGGAUUACCUUUCACAAGUUUUCCAAAUUUAAUUUGCAAGUCUCCCAAUUCACUCACAAUCAUAUCCCCGGUUUGCAAAGGUGGUCGCUUUCCAUGUUCUUCGGUGCCAUCAAAGAAUUGGGCUUGCUUUCUAAAUUUAUGCUUACUAUCUAAGAAUCUCCGAUGACCAUGUAGCAAUAUUUGAAACUAUGAGUCAACCGUCGUGCAUGAGUGAACUUGUGACAAACAGGACAAGCAUAUUCACCUUUAGUGCUCCACCCAGAUAACAUUGCAUAUCCAGGGAAAUCACUAAUGGUCCACAACAGAGCCGCAUGCAGUUGAAAAUUUUCUUUUUGGGAUGCAUCAUAAGUUUGAAUGCCAAAAUCCCACAAUUCGGUCAGUUCUUUAACUAGAGGCUGUAGAUAAACAUCAAUAUUAUUCCUAGGAGAGGAUGGUCCGGGUAUUAACAAAGACAACAUGAAGUACGGUUGCUUCAUACACAUCCACAGAGGUAAGUUAUAUGGUAUUAAAACUACAGGCCAAGUACUGUGUGUAGAACUCAUGUUGUUGAAUGGAUUAAACCCGUCAGAUGCCAACCCCAAUCUAACAUUUCGACAAUCCUUAGCAAAUUCUGGAUGUAGAUGGUCAAAAGUUUGCCAAGCUGGAGAAUCAGCUGGAUGUCUCAUACAACCAUCUUUUGUACGUUUUCCUCAUGCCAUCUCAUUUGAGAUGCAAUUUUAGAAGACAUAAAUAGUCUUUGUAAUCUAGGUUUUAAGGGAAAAUGCCACAACACUUUUUGAGGAAUUUUCCUUUUUUCCCCAGUUGGAUCAUUUUCUGAAGCAACCCACCUAAGCUCGUUACAUGUUUCGCAUGAAGUUCUUUUUUCAGCACUACCCCUAUAAAGAGAACAAUCAUUAGGACAUGCAUCGAUCUUUUCAUAACCCAGCCCCAAUGUAUUCAUCAAUUUCUCAGCCUCAUAGUAAGAAGACGGCAAAUUAGUCAUGGCCUCCGGAAAUGCUUCUCUCAACAGCUCAACAAGCAUAUUAAAAAUCUUGUUACUCAUCUUACCCAGGCAUUUUAGGUGAAGCAAACGAAUAAUGAAAGACAAUUUCGAGAAAUUUUUGCAACCAUUGUACAAAUCCUGUUGAGAAUCAUCAAUCAAUUUGUAAAAUUUUUCAGCCUCUGAAACAGGAAUGUCCCCUUCUCUAUUCAAUUCAUUUGUUCCAUGUGGUAUCCCAAAUACAUCAUGGACCAAGUCUUGCAUGUCAUUAGUCCCAUUUGAAACCCAAUUGAUGUAUUUUCAGAAUUAGAUGUGGCUUCAUUGUAGUUUGAAAGUUCUCCAUGUGCUAUCCAAUUAUUAUAACCCUUGAUAAAUCCUACCACUUUCAAAUGAUCAUAUGCUUCCAUUUUUGUCACACAAACACCCAUGCCGCAAUCUUUGCAAGGACACAAAAUCUUUCCGUCACAACUUGAUCUAGAAAAUGCGAAGUUUAGAAACAUUUGAAGUCCUGUCUCGUACUUUUCACUUGUUCUUGGAAAAUCCAUCCAUCUUUUAUCCAUACUUUUAAUAUAAAUAAAUGUCCUCCAACGAGCUUCCAAUAGCCUACUUUUUAAACUCAGGUCGUGGCUUACAAGUCCCUAAUUUCAAGUUCAAGAAUUUCUCACAAAAAGGAAUUUAUCAAGCAGCCAGCAAAUAAAGGAAAUCAACAAAAUGCAAAAUUUCUCAACAAUCUAUAAAAACAGAAUUUGCAAGUAAGCGGAUAGAAAUUUUAUUUACCUAAUAACAGAAAAAAACCCUUCGUACCAACUCCUGCGCUCACGUCUUCGCAAAAUUCCUAAGUUCAAUCUGAAAUGUCAAUGGUUAAACAAACACAUGAGCAUGAAAACUAAAGGUGAAAUUCAAGAAUUUUACUAAAUUUUCAUCAAAGUAUACAUACAUCUUUGGUGUGUAGUGAUUAAUUUUAUAAGUCAUCUCUUUAGAAAGGCAUGCAAUUGACGGCAUAGGUAAUUGGAAAAAGAAUGACAGAAAAGUCCCCUAGCUUCUAAUCAUGCCUAUGAAGAUCCUUAUGAACAUGUCAAAAUACUUUGACCCAACUACAUCAAUGUCUCUGUCUUAUUAAUCUAAAAGUCCCCUUUUUUGGGCUCAAAAUUUGCACUAUAAUAGACUGAUCAAGUGCAGAAGACACUUAGUACAAGCGUUAUACUAUAUAUUUCAAGCAACUCACGUACUGAUUAGACAUACAAUUUAAAACAGAAAAAUGAUGUAAAGAUGCAAGUACUACAUAGAAUUUAACAUAGAAAAAAGCAAUAGUGAUAUAAGUGAUACCAUUGGGUGAAAUAUGCACUUAGCCGGAGGACCACCUUUGUGGCAAAAGCCAAAAGGCAGCAAAGGUUACCAUUGUUAUGCAAAUUUUGUGCCUCACAUUGGCGGUCCAUUAUCUGCAUCUUAAUUGUCUUUGGGCUUAUAUAGUCACGGUUUCCCAAUUCUGUCACCAGAAUAAUUUCCUGCUAGGCAUAUAUAGACCAUGGUCCUUGUUUCAUUUAUUUAUAUCGAACUUGUUGCUGAGUGUUCAUGAUUACGAUAAGCAAUGCAAUUUGGUUGAAGCUCUCUAUUCACAGUUUUGCUUAACCGUCCCCAUCCCCAAACAGAACUAGCUGCCUAAACAAACUUCAAUUACAGCUAGGUUUCAUAGAAAAAAAUGAAAAACAGGGGGAAUUGACUUUUUAUCGAACAGGUUUUGGGCAACAUACUAAUCACCCGUGGACACUUUAUUAGCUAGCCUAUGUACAAUUAUGGCAUGACGAUAGAACAAAUGUAACAUGGACAUAAAGAUCGAUCUCCUCAAAAAAUACGCAAUCCAAUUGAACAAAUUUCCUCAAGUUUUCAUCUCCAUUGCAGCUAAAGAAAAAGCAUCCAACACCGAGUUGCUAUUAAUGCUACAAUUAGAUAGAUAUCAUAUUUAAAUCUUUCAACAAUCUUAAAUGAGGACAAUAUAACUCAACUAGCGACAGCUCAGGCCAAGAAUCUUUACUUCUCAGAAAAAAAUUUCCAAGUUGCAGGUAAUUUCUUGACAACGAAAUCAAACAUAAGAGCUUCAUUGUGUUUACCACUUCGAUUUUGGAACAACAUUUGCGCGCCUGAAGUAUCUUCCAGCUUUCCCAAUGUACAGCUCCGAUCUUCUAAUUUUACUCCCUGCCUGCCCUUCCAGAUGUCUUAGCCGAAGGAUUUAAAGUUGAGGUUAGAAAAGAUGAAGAUGGUUGUUUGCGGAGACAGCUUGACCAACAUUCUGGAUUGGCUGAGAUAGAUUGUAUGCGGAGAGGUGAGAGAGAUGAGAAGAAGAAAAUUUUCACCAAGUCCUUUUGCCGGCAAAAUGAAACUUCAGAGUACUUUACCAAGUGUCUGGAGCCAAAUUAAAACGAUGUCAUUUUCUGUCUUUUUUUUUCUCACAUUUUCCCAAGUGUCAUGAUAGGUAGUCUAAAGACACAUUAUUAUUUUAUAUCAUGAUAAAAUAAAAAAAUUAUAGUACAGAUUAUUGAGUUGGUUAAUAAGUGUCAUGAUACGUUUGGUAUAACGACACAAACCAACAAGUGUCCUUAUAAACAUGUCAGAAAAGGCCAUUUUUGUUGUAGUGCCUGUUGCGUUUUGAAUUUCUUAAAUAAAGGUCUUCUCUUACCCCCAAGCUAAAUUUCACACACGUUGCUCUUAUUCCUAAAUAUUUAGAGCCCAAGCAAGCAAAUAUCUCAAUUCCGUCCACUAAGUUUAUGUAAUGUAGUGUACAAAUUAGCGUCUAAAGCCAUCUCUAAUCGAGUCCGUGUUCUUUUACCGAAUAUUAUUUCUGAUCUCAAUCGGCUUUUAUUCCUGGCCAAUUAAUCACCAGUAAUGUCCUUGUUGCUUAUGAAGUCCAUCAUCUUAAAUGUAAAAAUGCAGGCAAGGAGGAACUCAGGUCGAUUAAAAUGGAUACGAGCAAAGCGUAUGAUCGAGUUGAGUGAUAUUUCUCUUAAAAAUAUUACUAGCUUUAGGUUUCAAUUCUAAAUUUAUUUUCUUAAUUUUCAAAAGUAUUUCAACAGUUUCUUAUUCUUUUUUGCUCAUCGGUUUGGGAUUUGGCCACUUAAAACCUAGUUGGGGUAUUAGACAAGGAGACCCACUUUCCGCAUAUCUAUUUAUAUUGUGUGCAGAAGCUUUUUACAUUUUAUCUCAGAAGCUAGUCUUUGUGGAAAGUUGGGAGGCAUUGCUGUUGCGCCUGGUGCUUCAUCCAUUUCUCAUUUGUUUUUUGCCAGAUGAUACUCUUUUAUUUGGAAAGCUACAGGGGAGGAGGCUUCAAAUUUUAUGCAGGUUAUCAAUCUUUAUGAAGGUGCAUCAGGCCAGCCGAUUAAUGUGGAGAAGUCAGUGGUGGUAUUUAGCAAGAAUACUCCAGAAGCUGAUUAAUUGGCAAUUGAAUGUUCUCUUCGAAUGCCGCCUGUGGAAUCACAUGAAAAGCACCUCUGGGGUUGCCUACUAUCGUUGAGAGAUCUAAAGGUGAGGUCUUUAAUUCUAUCAAACAAAGGGUUUUUAAACGGAUUAAUGGAGCAGCAGUUAUCUCGAGCAGGAGAAGAAAUUUUAUUGAAUGUCCCUUGUAAAGUUAAGCAUUAUCUCUGGAGAAUUUGCUGUGAUUUCUUGCCUACUAAAGUAAAUCUGCUCCGGAGAAGAGCUUCAGUGGAGCUCAACUGUCUGUCUUGUGGUUUUGAUAUUGAGGAUCUUAUUCAUGCAAUUUCUUUCUGGGCGUUAAGCUGCCUUAAAGGGCAAGUACGUAAGUGGCAGCAAUCAAUUCCCAAAGAGUGGGCUCUGGAGUUGUUAGUUACGUUGAAAAAUCGUGAAGCAGAGUUGUUUGAGAUGUUAUGUUGGGCUAUUUGGCUUGGGAGGAACCAAAAGCUGCAUGAAGAUAAACGAGUGGACCCUUUUGAGUUUAGUUAGCUUUGCUUCGGUGCGCUCCAAUAAUUCCAAGAAGCUAAUGUUACUCAGAAAUGUCCAGGCGAUGGCAAGUUAAAGUUUAAUUUUGACGGUGUGGUGUUUAAGGAAACUCAAUCUAUUGGUUUAGAUGACGGUGCGGUGUUGAUUUAUCUAGUUUAGACCCUCCAAUUUUUGACAUUACGAGGGACUUAACUAGUUUAGAGAUGUCUAGUAUUUCAGGAAUGAGUAGGAAUCAUAAUAAAAUCACUCAUAUAUUAGCUAAGAUCGCAGAAUUCAUAUGUGAUCAUGUCUUUUGGUGGAGAGAUCUCCAGAGUUUGUUGUGCCAUUUCUAAUGGCGGAUUUGUUAGAAAGUUAAUGAAAGUUCAAUACAGGUUAUGUUGAGUAAGACGUUGGAUUGAAAAUUCAAGAUUUUGAACUGAAAUUUCAAGAUUUUGAGAUGAAAAUAAAAGAUCACGCUAAACUUAAUGGAUUCAAAUCUUAAUAUGUGCAAAUGCGUUUGAUAACCAAAAUUGGACAUCUGAAUUAAUUAAGUGCUACUGAAUUUUCUAAACGAAAUUUGUUCUAAAAAAUAAGUGAUAAACUAUGCAUUUAUUACUGAAUGUGAUAUACACUUAAAUAUACUUGAUUUAAUACUUAACAAUCUAAUAAAUUAAUGGACUCAGAUUUUAGAUUUCAAUUUUAUCAAAGUAACCUAAAAAUAUAGACUAUAGAUAAAAUAACUGCAGAUAAUGAUUUAUGUUGAGUAAGCUUUCAAAGCUACGUUUCCCAAAACAAACUUUAGAUAAUCAUUCUCUAAUUUUUGCUUUCACUCUAGAAGAUGCGUACAAUAAUGGGUGUAUACAAAAAUGGAAGUUAAAUUGAUAACACUAAGCUCGCCAAUUCUCAUAAAAAAAAUGAUGACAUUGCCUGCAUUAAUUCUAGUAACGGACUGAAGACAAUAAUUAAUAGGUGACUAUAUGGUGCCUAAGGCACACAAUAAAAUGUGGACUUGGUACCAUUAUUUAUUUUUGUGAAAGGAUAAACCUAUUUUGUAAGGUGUCGCAAUUCAUCAUCAUGAAAUGAGUGGUAAUUUUAAAGCAUUAAUAGUGAAUUCACCUUCAUUUUUAACGUUCAUAUCGCAAAGCCUAUUAAAAAAUUUCCACCAGCACAAAUUCCACUUUUAAUAGGUUCGAAAAUUCACUCACAAAUUUAUCCACAAAUCCCAUUAACAAAAAAAAAAAAAAAAAAUGCAGAAAGUUAUCAACGGAACUUCUAUAGUGCGUUGAUGCGACACGUGUUGGUUGGAGAUUACUAGAUGGGAGUGGGGUUAAUCAAAGGUGGUAUUUUAGUAUUAAGCCCAAAAACCACCGGUAACAAUGGUAUUGACCCAAUUUCAGAGGAAUUGACCCACAUAAACUGUGAAAGAUUAUUUUCUCUGUCAUUUAAGGCAAUUUCUGAACAAGAUUUAGGCGUAUAAUAAAGAAAUUAUCAACCCCAACCCCCAAUAUUAUGCUAAUAUGCAAUUGGAAAAAAUUAAAUGAAUAUUUACUUGAAGUUAAGAAGUGGAUACCAAUCGGUAGAAAGUGUUUAUAACAUACUCCGAAAUGCCAAAGGACUUCCCAAAAAGUGGGAAGCAGGACAACAUCUGAAAUAUAGUCCAAGUUUGAAGUGCUUUAUGUCAAACAUAUUUCAAUAUAGAAAAAAAAAAAUUACUGGUUAGCAUAUGUUUGUGCGCAGUAUUUGUUGAUUGGGAGACGGUUCUAAGGAGGCGGUUUUGCAACAAAUAAGUAAACGGGAUGUCGAUUACUUGGAGUUGUAUCUUAUGCUGGAAAAAUAAUUAGACAUGUCAGUUAAGUAAUAUUUCAAUUUAAAUAAAGUUAGUUAGGAACUAGAACUCGUAACAUGGUUGGAUAUGGUUAGUGAAUAGGAUAUGAAUGUUGGGGGAUAGAAUACAACUAGAAUUACUAAGACAAAUUAAGCGUGACACUUUGAAUUCAAAUUUUACUAACAUUGCAUAAUAACACCUUUGACUGAUAAUUUUUUUUGAUACGGAAACUGGAAAAAUUUUAUUAAGAAGAGGAUAGAUCCGUAUUAAUUGCGAAAGAAAGAAAAAAUGGUGGAGAAAAUCUCCAACUAUAAAUACCUGAAAUAGAACUAGCAUUACUAUCUAAGAAAUGAGCAGGCACAAUUAGAUUCCUAGGAAUCCAAUCAGCCUCCCAAGUAAUGAAAUUCUGUAAACUAACAAAGAUAUCAUCUAACAGCACUCCAUAAGCUGAAUCAUCGGAUUCCAUAUUUUUAAGCAUGUUGAUGAUCUUCAAAGAGUCACCCUCUAAAACAAUCUUAGAACCUUCAACUGAAGUAACGAGGAAAUUGCAGAUAUUGCAGCAUAAGUUUCAGUUACUUCAGGAGAAAAGAUACCUAAGAUUUUGUGAAAAAUACUAGCAACAAAUUUGCCCCAUUCAUUCCUCACAACAAUUCCAACUCUAAAGUUGUCGUCUUCAUAGAAUAUUGCACCAUCGAAGUUUGCACUGCACCAUCGAAGUUUGCCUUUAGAAAUCUUGCAGAGGGCUUUAUCCAAUGAAGUUGAGCAGUGGAAGAGCAUAUUGGAAUGUUUGGAAAUGUGUUUAUUUCAUGGUAUUUCUAUAAGAAAUUGAUAGAGAGGGAGAGACCAAACUGAAGGAUCACGAUAGAACCAUCAAAUAAUGCAUCAUUUCGGUUAAACCGUAGAUUCCAAAGAAUUAUGGCUACCAAUUCCAUGUCCUGCUUUUUCAAAAGAUGAAGGCCAGACAACCGAGACGAAACUUGAUCGGUAGAGUCUAAUCUUAUCUUUAGUGUAAGAAAGCUAAGGGCCCAAGGUUGAAUUGCUACUGGACAGCACAAGAAAAGAUGAUUAACAUCAUCAAUAGGGGCCUUACAUAAAGAACAAGUAGGAUCAAAAUAGACUCCGCGACUAUUCAACUUGGAAGUUAUAGGUAGAAUGUCUUUGCAAAUUCACCACAAGAAUAUUUUAACUUUACUUGGUAUGUUGAGUUUCCACAAGCAGGGCCAAAUAUCAUCCAUAGAACCAUUACUACAUGAAGCUACAUCUUGUCAAUUUGUAGAUUAUAUUUUGAUAAGAUGAUAGGCAAUUUUCACUGUGAAGGAGCCAUUUUUAGAAUAGUGCCAAAUGAGCUUAUCUUGAUUUCGUCUAUCACCCAAUGGAAUACUCAUAAUCAACUCAAUCACAUCUAAGGAUAGCAACGGGGGCAGUGCCCGGGGGGCUAUGGGGCAGAGGUGGGGGGGGCGGGGGAAUUUUUCCCCCAUUUAGAAACGGGGCAGGGGCCCACCCAUUUGGAAAAAAAGAGAGAUAUAUAUAUGUACAUAAUUAUAUAUAUAAUAUAUUAUCAAUUAUACAUGUCUAUUAAUAAAAAUUAUUAAUUAUUUAUACUAAAUUUAUUAAUACAUUUAUAUUAAAUUCCUAACUACACUUAAUACAAUAACACUUUUUUUCUAAAAAAAACACAAUAAUAAUUUAGUGAUUGUAUUUGUAUCAAAAGUAAAAACAAUUAUUUUAGUUAUAUUUGUUUUAUCAUAUUAGAUCGUAUUCAAAUAACUUUUGUUUAAUUAUUUUUAUGAGUUUCAAUUGUGAAGUUAUAAUGAAUAAUAAUUUGGUGAUGUGAUUGAUAUUUUAGUACUUGAUUACUUGCUCAAAUUUAAUUAUAAUAAAAUUAUAUAAUAAUUUUUUUAACCGCGGGGGAAGCGGGGCGGGCGGAGGACGGGACGGGACGGGGGAAUUAAUAGGCAACGGGGGGGGGAGGGGCCACCCUAAUCACAUCCUGCCAAAAAAGCUCUUGAAGCAAAUCAUAUUUCCAUUUCCUGCUAUUUUCAUCAAUUAAACAAUCUAUAGUGGAGAUUUCUAGUAGCACAUCAAAACGAGAUAUAAUUUUGAAAUUAGAAAGACGUGGAAUCCACCUCUUUCCAAAUUUUGAUAUGAUUCCCGUGUCCAUCUCACCAUCUACUACCAAAAACACCUUUGAUUGAUAAUUAAAUAGUUAAAAAAAUAUAUCUACUUAAUUUGUUUACUCAAUAGUUAUGUGAACUAAAACAUAAAAAAGAAGGUCAAUUAUUAUAUUAGUGUUAUAUUUGUAAUAUUAGUUCCCUAUAUAGUAGGUUGCCGAGUUGGGCAUAUUUAUAUUCUACCAAGUAAAUGCCCUAUCUUUUCGAAACGUGGCAAAAAAAAUUGUGUUUGUUUUUUUGGUAGAUUUCAUUCUUUUUCUUUUUUGGUAACAAUUAAUUUACUAUUCAUUUUCACUUCAUUAUUUAUAGUAAAUUUCAAUCAAUUAUCAAUUACUUACCUUAUAUGCAUUUCUAUUAAUUAUACCUUUAUUUUUUUAAUCAACUUAUAGCUUUCCUUUUUAAUUAGGCACUCGUUAAUAUAUGUCUUAGGUGUUAAAUUUUUAGAAAUAUAAGAUGAAUUAGGGAGCAUAUAAAUGUAAGGGAAUUAAUUAGAAAAAUAUAUAAAUAAAAGAAAAAGUAGUAAUGUUGCGUAUAUAUAUGGCAGGUUAGGUGGAAUGCAGGUGUGUUAACGAUUACCCAUAGGGCACCCAUUAGAAAUACUCAUCAAAAUUUGGAUUAAUUUUUUUCCUUUCAUUGCAAUCAUUACUACCAUUUUUCCUAUCAUUUAUUACUAUACCUUCAUGUUUCUAAAUACCAAUAAAUGUAUUACUCUCUUACUUUUUAUUUGAUUGUGCUAAUUAUAGCUUUCCUUUUACUUAAUCAAUUAGUCAAUCGAUCAAUCAACCCAUGAUUUUAAUUCUCUUUUCAAUCGCACGAUCUUUCUUUUAUCCAUCAUUAGGGAGAUUUACAAUUUAGUCACAUAUUUGUUAUGUGUACAAUAAUUAUGCAAUCAUAAGCACAAACUAAUGCAAUUCUAAUAAUUUUGCAUAUAUGCAUUCAUAUUGUAUUGCAACACCUUUAAUAAUUCAUUAUAUGGUUACAAAAGCCAAAAAAAAUCUAGUAUUACCUAGACCUUAGAUAGUCCCCAAUGUAUACACUGAUACUGUAUAAAAUGAUUUUAAACCCGUUAAUAUAUAUACUGAUUGCAUAUGAAGAUUCAUCCCUAAUUUAGACCUCUUAGAUAGUUUGCAUGCAUUAUAUUCCCUUUUUUAAUUUCUUAUUUAGUUUACCUUAUUACCAUUUAUGAUUUUUUUUUAAUUUAAGCAACAUCUUCCAAUAUUUUAUCACCAUUUUAAGUUAGUUCAUUUUUAGGAGAUAGUAGUAUAAGUGUGGUAGUUUGUCCAAAUAACUUUGAAUAUGCAUAUACAACCCAAAAAUAAAAUGAUAGUUGUUUAUAUUCUUAUCACUCAACGAUGAUAGUGUUAUGUAAUUUAAAUGAUUGAGAUCUAUUGCCAUCCAAAUAUAAAUUUAAUAUGAGGGUAUGAUAACUAAAAAUGACUAUAGAAUCUCCCUAAAUACUAAAUAAUGCGAAUAGAGAUAUUCCCUCAAAAACUUGUAAAGUACUUAAUGUGUAUACGGGUAAAUUCUUGCAAUAGUGAAAGGAAAAUAUCUUACUAGCCUUGAAAUUUUGGCCCGUGUAUUGACUUUUGUUAGCUAAAUUAAACUAUCUUGGAGUGAAGACAUAAAAUCUGCGGCAAAUUUGAGAGAGUUGUGAACAUAGCUUAUCUAGCGUACACAUUUUUUCCGAGUUUGAAUUCUCUCACUUACACGACAAAAAGAAAAAACUAUCGUACAUUUAACUUCCAACUAACAAUGAUGUAUAGGUAAUAAAUUAUAUGCAUGGGAUAUUCCAUAAAUAAAUGAAAUAUAUUUACACGACAAAGAGUAAAUUCUUAAAUUAAGAAGAAAUAAUAUUAUAGUAGCUGUCAAUUUGUUUAUAUGACUUUUUGGUUUGUCUUUACUCAUGACAACCAAUUAUGUUAUUUUGAUGUAAAAAUAUCCAAAAACGGUUGAAUACAAUGUGGGACAUUAUUAUUAUUACUCGGAUACCUCAAUAUUUAUAAAAUUGAUUAAAUUGGAAUCCAUUUGGAUUUAACAGUAUUUUGAAAAAACUAUUUUUGUUGUUCAAGUCUAUAGUAAUAAACUUUAAAAAUAACCUCAAAAAUAAUUUAAAAAUACAACAUAUCUCAAAUACAUUAAAAAAUAAUUAAAAAAUUUCCCUAAUUCUUCUUCCCCACACUACCCACUACAACCACCACCACUACCCAUCACUGUCCACUACCACCACCAUCACCCCACACCCAUGACCCGUCUUCCUCUCUCCUCUCUCUCUUUCUCCUCUCUCUCUCCUCCCUCCUUCCUCCUUUUCUUAUUCUCCUUCUCCUUUCUCCUUCCUCCUCUGCCUUGUCUUUCCUCCCUUCUCCCUUCCUUUCCCCACCCCCUAAUCCCCCCUUCCCUCUACUGACUGUGGCCUUCUUGGUCUUGACCAGAAAGGUUGCAGCCAGAAGCCGCGACUAGUGGCUUCUGGUUGCAACCAAGGUCACAGAUGGAGUCGCGGUUACCAUCCACGAUUGGGAGAGGUUUGAGGGUCAAACGAGAGGGAGGGGAGAGAAGGAGAAGAAAGAGGAGGGAGAAGGAAGAGGAAGGGAGAAAGAGAGGGAAAACAGAGGGAGAGACAAGAGAGGAGAGGGGGUAACGGCGUGAGUGGUGGUGGUGGCUGGCGUAAAAUUUUUUAAAAAUACCCCAAAAAAGUUGUAAAUUAUAAAAAUAUCCCAAAAAUGUAUUUUAAAAAGCCCUAAAAAUACCUUUAAAAAACCCCCCAAAAACAUCUAUAGUACAAGUUAUUUAUAUAUAUAGUUACCGUAAAGUUUUUAAAAGAUACCCUAAAAACAGUUAGUCCAAAUGGAGUCUUGAGUUUUGAGGUUAAGGUUCAAUGAUUGACCACAAUUUAGGUCAAAGUAAAACUUGGCCGAAAGUUUAGUGGGUAAAAUAUAAUUUUAAAAAUUAAUCAUCUUCCCUGAUCCUCACAGUUGCAAUGGUGAACUGUCAGCCCCUUAGGACGUGUUCCAGACGGAAACGCGCAACCGUGGUAGAUUUCGGUCACUCAUGGUCAACUUGGAAGGCUGAAGGUGAACUGGUUGGGAAAAACUUGGACACAUGUUUGAUGAUGUAUUCCAUGCCUAUGUAUGGGUUUGGAAAAGUUUCAGGGCUAGGAAAUGUCUCUAAAUUAGGGGAAAUGAGGGGUGGCUUUACUAGCGGUCCGAAAUUUUUAGCUAGGACUACUAUAGAGAGAGAUAACUAUAACUAAGCCAAGUCAAUGCCAAGGGCUGGGGGCUAAGGCUUUAUGGGUUAUUUGGAUGGUUCCAAGCAUUUGGGCUGUGUGCCUAAGUUGCUAAGUGUUGGGCCAAGUUGGGCACGGAACUAAGCAAAUGGCAAGAAGCUGGGUGUGCGAAACUGUGUGACCAUUGCCUGUGCGCUCCAAAGACGAACGUUGGGACUGUCUGGCAGUUGCUAGUCGUUUGCUGGAGUUGCGGACGAUUAUCAGUCAACUCAGACACGUUCUUAUCGGUUUCCUGACUUCAUGUACAUUCGGGUCGGACCAACGGUUGGGUCUUGUCAACUAUAACAAUGCAUAUAAAUAAAUGGCUAGGUAGGGACUAAAGGCAGAUAGUGAGAAACACCCUUAGAUGUUCUGCAGCUAAAUGUUUGUAGAAUUGUCCUUGUAAUCUCUAUAGUGAAAUACAAGGUUGGCCGUUUGUUGUAACUUGUGCGUGUGUUCCUUUGUUUUUGCCUAAGUAUUCUAUGUUGAAUACUUGUAUGCAAGUGUCAGUGUAAGGGCUGACUGGAAGCGCGGCUUAUCAAUGCCAUUACAUGCUUGUUAGGCUAGUGAGCGUAAACACCUCGUAAUAGUUUGGUAUCAAAGCACGGCUUUGAUCUAUUAGACUGUGCUUCUGUUAUGUGUUUUGUUGGUUAAUGAUGGUUGGACACAGGAAUUCUGUUGCAAUGCUUGGAAUGGUUGCAAUGUUAGGAACUUGCAUUCGAGGACUUGAUGCAGUGUCUAGGAGAUGGCCUAGAAGGCUUCAAUGUCAUAGAAGUUCUAUUGCAGACUAGAGAGAUGAUCAACACCCUGACUGCACAGAUGGACCAGGCAGACAGUUUCUUCUGUUGGGGAUGUUGAGAUGCUAAGGAAUGAAAUGAUUGCUCCCAUGCAAAGAUCGUGGCUUUACAAUCGAAGAUCAAUGUGUUAAAAAAGGCAGUCGGCUCUUGUAACACACAGACCUUUCAAAAAUCUUCGAAGAGGAAAGUGAAAGUCCUAGAUCCGAAACCAUACCAAGGUAGUAGGAGUUCGAAGUAUUUGGAAAACUUUUUGUGGGAUUGUCGAGUAGUACUUCAAGGCUAUUGACAUUCCUGAAGUAGAGAAGGUGUCAAUUGCAUCAAUGUGUCUUAGUGGUGAUGUAAAGUUAUGGUGGAGAACAGUGCAAUCAGACCUACCAAACCCAAGAUCGGUACUUGAGAAGUACUGAAGGAGGAAUUGAAGAAGCAAUUCCUUUCCACGAAUGUUUAAUGAAAAGUUAGAGGUGUAUUGUGAAACUUAAAGGAGAAUAAGAAAGUACAGAGUACGUUACAGAGUUCCAAGCCUUGAUGUUAGAUGUAAGGGAAAUGUCUGAGGAAGACAGACUCUACAUCUUCAUCCAUGGACUUCAACCGUGGGUACAGAUGGAGUUGCGGUGAUAAAAUGUUCAGACCGUGUCUCAAGCACUUGCUACUGUCGAGAAGUUGAUAGACUUCAAGUCCAUAGGAUCCAAAAGUGAAAAAAAAAGAAGGGCAAGGAUAAGGCUAAGGGCUCGAAAGGUGGUCAAUUCUCAAAAAGAAUAAAAAGAAGCAGACAGUAACAACGACCGAAACUAGCGGUGCUUCCUCUUCUAAGAAGAAGCAAACAUCCAACCCUAAAAAGGAUGGCUGCUAUACCUGUGGAAGACCACACUUAACCUGCAAUUGCCUCAAUAAGAAGGACCAGAACGUUAGUGCCUUAGUGGCAGAAGACAAUAGUGACCAGUUGGAGGUCCAGGAUGCACGGGUCAACCCCAUGUAAUUCUUGAACGCCAUCACCGAUACUAAUGUCUGUACUCUUUACAAUGGUUUGAUGUAUGUGCAGGUUACAUUGAAUGGUAACCAUAUAUUGACGAUGGUUGAAACGGGAGCAUCAUAUAGUUCUAUGAUGGAAAAAGUAAUGAGUCGGUUCCGGUUACAGUUGAAAGACUUGGGUUUCAAAAUUGAAGGCUGUAAACUCUGAAACCAAACCAGUGCUAGGCAUGGCGACCGUAGAUUAGAGUUGGAGCCAUGGAAGGGUUGGUGCAAUUUCAUGGCAAGUCAAAUGGAUGAUUUUGACUUGAUUCUAGACAAAGAUUUCAUAGUUGCAAAUAGGAUCUAUCCAAUUCCGCACUUGGAUGGCGUCAUGGUGAAUGAUGGCUAGAGUCCAGGCUUUGUUCUUGUAGUAAAGUUGCAGAAACAAAAGAACAAUCAACAAAAGAACAUGGUAUCAACGAUAGAGAUUGAGUCAUAUCUUCUGAGGCGGUGAAGUUGUGUAUAUUGCUGCAUUGGUGGAAACCAAACCUAACAUGUACCAGAAGUACCUAACGCCAUGGCCCACGUUCUAGAGAAGUUUACAAAUAUCAUGCCUACAAAGUUUUCGAGAUAGCUUCCUCCAUCCUGUGCCGUGGAACACAAGAUCGAGUAGGUUCCAAGAGCCCAACCACCUGCCCAAACUCCUUAUCGCAUGUCCCCGAUAAAGUUGGCUGAGAAAGAUAUAGUACGCAUGAGAAAGAAAUGACAGUUGUUGUACAUUGUCUCAAGAUAUGGAAGCACUAUCUAUUAGAAACCAAGUUUGUGGUGGUGACUAAUAACAUGGACAAUACUUACUUCAAGACACAGAGAGAGUUGACCCCGAAGCAAGCUCGUUGACAAGAGUUUCUGGCUGAAUUUGACUUUGACUGGAUUCAUAAGUUAGGAAGGGAGAAUGCAGUGGUCGACAUACUUAGUAGAAAGUAUGUCGAAGAAUACAUUGUUGUGCUUAGCACUGUUGAGACGGACUUCAGGGACAAGAUCAAGUGGGAGUCCCCGAGUGACCCAAUUUAUCAAAACUUGGUGUUCGUGAAGUCAAAGUUCGUCGUUAUUGGCUGGAGGAUGACUUACUAUUUUGCCAAUAGUGGUCAAGCAUAUGUUCCAGCAGGAGGGGACUUAGGCGACAGUUACUACGAGAAACUCACAAUGCUUCUUGGAUUGGUCAUUCUGAAGUUGAACGAAUGCGGGCAUUAUUGUCGCGUAGCUUCUAUUGGCCAAAGAUGGAAGAGGAUAUUUUAAGAGGUUGUGUGGGUUUUGGUUAAUGGUGGAUAGCCCCGUAUCCCAUAUGGCUUCCCCGUAUCCCGUUGGCUUCCUGUGUUUUAUCCCGAAUUUCACCUGCACGGAUUGCUUAUGCAUCGCUUAGUGGACUUUUGGUUUCAAAUAGCAUGUCUUUUACCCGUUAAAUAACCUUUUUUUUACCCAUUGUUCUGGAUUAUUGCAUAAGUGUCAAAUUUCGCCUGAAAUGCUCACAUAUUCUUCUAUGAGAUUACGUGUAUCACUACUGCGUUACCUUCCUUCGACACCUGAAGCUGGAGUUUGACGUUUCAUUUCGUUCAGACCAUGGAAUAGUUGCUGCGAUUAAACUUAUGUCUCUAAGAAAAUAAAGAAGGAAACAUCACUUUUUGUCUCUGUGCUCUUUGAUUUCUGCAUUUUCUAAUCCAUGUUAUAGAACUGACUGUUGAUGAUACCAAACAUUUUGUUAAAAGAAAACCAAAGUAUUCAAUUCCCAUACAUUUAACUCUUCCUGGUUAAAAUGUAACUUCCUCUAUUGAUGUCCAUAAAUUUCCUCGAAAAAGCUUGCGAACUGCAAAAGUUUCCACCAGUCGUCUUAAAAUGGCACUCUAAACCGUCUGCUAUGAUACUUUUGAUAAGCACAGUUAUACUGCCAGGAAGGGCAAGUAGGUAUGCAUCAUGGACCAUGAAAAUGCCAAUUUCCAGAAAUCAAUUACAGCUUUGACGAGUUGCAAACUUCUUGGACUAUGAAAAUGCCAGUUUCUAGCAAUGAAAUGAUAGCUUUCACGAUCUGCAACUUCUUAUUGAUUAAUGAAUACUGAAAAGUACGUAUCAGCCCAAUCUUGCCUCUCUUCAUAGUACCUGGAAAAGAUUUAACAGUCAACCAUAAGUGACAGAACUUUAACAGCGCUAGCCAUAUAACAAACAGUGGACAAAACUUUAACAAAGCUAGUCAUUUUCUUUUCUUUAGCAUGUGAUAUUUCUUCAUGUUUUGCACUUUUGUUUAAGCUUGACAGUGAAAACAUUUUUCAACCUAGAAAAUUCUGCAAGGCAAAACUUUCUUCAUUUUAGUUUCUUCAUUUCAGCAAAAUUAACUUUUUGUUUGGACUUCCAUUUUAAGAGUUUUUCACUGUUAUUUCAUUAAUCUGAAUGUAAGCUUGAGAAUUGAGAUAGGAACAAGUUAAAGAAAUGUUAAAACUGGCUUGAAGUGGGCAUUAUUUCUUGGAAUCUGUUUUAUUACUUUUGUACCUUAUUUCUUAGAAAUGUCAUUCUAAAUAUCUAUUUUGGCUAAUCAGAAUCUGUAUUGGUUAUUAAAUGUGUUUUGAUUAAGGAAUGUACAGCUCUCCAUUCAACUCAUUUCAAGGUUCAUCAUCAAGUCCUGUGAUGGAGCAAAAUAAUGAAGACGUGAACAAUUGAACUACAACGAAAAAAGAGCUGAUGAGAUGAGUGAAAAAGAGAUAGAAAUGAUAAAAAAUGAGGGCAAUGAAGAACGACAGCAAGAGAUGGAGAUGAAGGAGCUGGUCCUUUUGAGAAAAAACAAAGGAAGAAGAAAUCUAGCAUAUGGGAUGAAAUGACAACAAUAGUGCUAGAUAAUGGGACGGUCAAAGUGAAAUGUAACAAUUGCAAGGAACUUUUUGUCAAGAGUGCAACCGAAGCCAUAUCUCAGCACAAGAGACACUUGAAUUCUUGCCUACAAAGAAAGAUAGCCAUUGGAAAGCAAAGCAAACAAAAGCAACAAGUGUUGUCAUUCAUCGAAGGCCAAAGUAAUGGUAUCACUUCCAUCACAAAUUUCUUGUAUGAUCAUGCCAAGGUAAGAGAGCUUGCAUCACACAUGAGUACCCCUUUUCUAUAAUAGAUCAUGUAGUUUUCAACAAAUUCAUGAAAGCGGCUUCUCCAUUUUAUAAUUGUUAAGAAAAAUUGCAUUAGUACUUAUAAAAUUGAAAAAAGGAACCUGAAAUCAUUGUUGAAAGGUGCUGGUAGGAUUAGUAUUACCACAGAUUUGUGGACAUCUGGUCAAAAAAAUUCAAUAUAUGGUUGUGACUGGUCAUUUUGUUGAUUUUGAUUGGGUGCUACAAAAACGUGUUGAAUUUUUAUAAUGUUCCUCCUCCUCAUACUGGAGUUAUUAUAGCUGAUACUCUAAGUAAGUGCUUUAUUGAUUGGGGGAUUGAGAAUAAGGUUUCUAACAUAACUGUUGAUAAUGCUUCAUACAAUGAUGUGUGCAUUAGGAGACUUAGAGAGGAUUUUUCUCUAAAAAAGAGAUUAAGUAUUGGAGGAAAAAUUUUCAUGUUAGAUGUUGUGCACAUAUACUUAAUCUCUUAGUGCAAGAUGGUCUUGGUCAACUUGGUGGUGUGAUUGAUGUUGUUAGAGAAGGGAUAAAGUACUUGAACAAUUCUGAAUCUAGGCUUCUUGAAUUUGCCAAAAUUAAAAAACAGCUUCAAUUGCCCUCUAGAAAGCUAAUUUUGGACUGUCCAACAAGAUGGAAUAGCACCUAUUUGAUGUUAGCUUCAGGUUUAGAGUUCAAGGAUGUUUUUUCGAGAUAUGCAGACAUUGACCCUGGAUUUCACUAUGUUUUUACUGAUUUUGAGUGGAUGAAAGUGAAAGAAGUGUGCAAAUUUCUAGGAAUAUUUUAUGAAAUCACUGAUAUGAUUUCCGGGUCCGAGUAUCCAACGGCUAACAUUUUCUUGUGGAGCUCUAUAGGAUUAAAGAGCUUUUAAAUGAAAAAGCUCUUGACCCUUUUUAGCAUCUUUGGGUUAUGGCUGGAAGUAUGUCUGCUAAAUUUGAUAAGUAUUGGGGGGAAAGUAAUGUACUGCUAUCUUUGGGUGCAAUUUUGGAUCCGAGAUACAAAAUAUUUCUUAUUAAUCAUACUUUUCCGGUGAUUUAUGGUGAGGAUGCAGCUCCUAGAUUCGUGGCUGAAAUUAGAGACACUCUUUAUGAGCUUUACAAUGAAUAUGUUGAUUGUCACAUAGUUUCCCAUUCUGAACAAUAACAGAGGCAGGUUGUAAAAGGGAGACAAAAUGAAGGUUCUAGUUCUUCUAGUAAGAAACAGAAAAUGACUGGACCUGCCGUUUUAACUAGUAAAGAAAAGUUGCACAUGCAUGUGAGUGAAAUUAACAGGGCUCCACCACAAAAAUCAGAUUUAGAUGUUUAUUUAGAGGAAAGUAGGUAUUGUGACGCCCCCACUUCUCCUUAAGGUGAACCAAAGAGUAUCCACGGGACGCCUGCCCAACUCUUACCAGGACUGGGUACAAUUUCCGUUCAACCUUAUUACAAUACUAGCUAUCACGACAAGAUGAAGUAAAAAAGAUAAAGUCGCUUCUAUAAAUAAUAUUCAAACUUACACCACGAGUUCCAAAAUACAUCAAAUUUCCAAAAUAUACAACUGCCAAAAGUCUAGUCGAUUACAUUUGGAACCCUAAUACAAAAGUACAACAAAAGGAUUUCUCCGAGUUUCACUCCAUAUCUAUGCCUGUUAAGGAAAAUAAAUCUACGGGGUGAUCAAUUGCUCGUGAGGCCAAAAAACACACAUACAAGCACGUUGUCCAAUUAACAAGAAAACGAUAAUAUUCGAGUAAUUAACAAUUCAAGCGGAAUGUAAACAGAAACAAUUCAAGGAUAUGGGAGCUCUCAGGAGCUAUUGUCCACUGGCACGAUCAAGAACCUCCACGAGUUGACACUCCGUCAAUCGGGUAGGUCAUAAUCCGUAGAAGCUUCACUUACGCGUUCCUCGUCCACCAUACAUACCGCACCGGGCCCGAACAUCAUUUAUAAGGUGAUACUCCACGAGUAUGUCAAGCGAGAUCUUUCAAAUAGAUCAAACUUAUCAUGUUAUUCUCAUGACUCAUCGAGAUUCCCGACCAAACCCAUGCCGGCUCGAGUUCCAAGGUCGACCUAUGAGUUUGGGCCCCCAUGUAACAUUUGUGAGUGGAAGAGAUUCACUCCAACGAUGUAUGCAGCCAUAGCAUACUAUUUCAUGUCAUUCAAGCAUUCGAUACAUUCAAUCAUUCAUUUCAUCUCAUUCAAGUCAUUCAUGAUCCAUUCAUUUCAUUUCAAUUAAUUCAAUCAUGAGUCAUUCAUUUCAAAUGAGAACGAGUGCGGUAAAAUACACACUCGACUCCAUUUUCAAAAUCUCCAAUCAUUAAUAACAGUUAAGCAUGUAUCAAGUUCCCAUACACUUGACACUCACCAAGUAAUUCAAGAAGUAAAGCACAAGCGGUUGUUUAGGCGUCUCCUGUGAGAUCCUCUUGAAGGUCCUCUUGAGUGCCUGAGUAAUAAUAAUGAACUAUUACACACUAUCGUUUAAAACCCCUACUUAUCGAGAAAGAUUGCACUCGUGUACAAUUUAAGAAGAUAUUAUGAGAAUGAGCCUUAAUUACUCGUAAAUCGAGACUCAAAAGUGGGGUUUUAAUAAUACAAGGAAAUUCGAUUUUCAUCUUUGAAAUCAAAUGUAAAACGAUCAAGCAAUAUCGAGGAAAAAUGGUGAGUACUAAAAACUCAAUUUUCUUUAAGUUCGGAAAUUUCAGAUUUGAUAAGCAAUUUUUGAAAAACCGUAUCUCAUUCUCUGUAGGUCCAAAAUUAGAAAAAUUGGUACCGUUGGAAACUACUUCCAAAGUACUAAAAGUUCUUAGAAGACAUUUUUCCAUGAUUCCAAAUAGAUGACAUUCAAAAUUCGGUUCAAAGUUGCUGUUUUGGGCUACCAAGACAAUUUCGGGGUUGGUUUUUGGCCAACUUUGGAAAUUCGGCAAAAUUCACAAAAUGUGAACUAGCCUCUGCAAUUUGGAAAUAAAUUAUAGUUACAAACAAAGUUUAAAACACAACAAACAGAACAAGAAUUGGAGUUUUGAGUGCCAAGAUAUAGCAGCUCAAAUUUGCUGAAAUUUUCUCACUGAAUAAGGAUUUUCCAGAUUUGAAACAUGAAAUUUGGGAUUUCAGUUGAGCAUCGAAAUGGACUUGGAAUGGCACCAAAUUUGGUAGUAUUACCCUACCAUAGAAGGGCUAUUCCUCUGUCAAAUUUCAUGCAAAAAUUCAUAUGGAAGGUCAGUUAACAAAGCCGCUAAAGUUCCAAGAAUUUCCAAGGCAAAUCUGCCUUGUACUUCCGUUUUACUUUUUCAAGCAUUUGGCCAAUGAAAUCUUCUCAAACAUGGUUCAUUUAUGAAGACAAGAUCUAAGAAACAUCCAAAAUGUGUUUGGUAGGUGAUUAAUACCAAGAGUUCCAAAAUAACGACUCCCAAUUCGAGUUAAGGCAUUCAACUAGCCAAGAUUAGGGUUUCCUUUCACUGACACAGGUCUGGAAUUUGGCCACAACUCACUCAAUUCAACUUGGAAUUAGACAUGAUCAGUGGCGUUGGAAACUAAAUUCAUAGGGCUAUAAUUUCUCAGAAAAAAUCAUUUUGAAAUUCUGUCCAUAACUAGUUCAUAUUCUAGCAACAAGUUGCAGCACACAACAGGUUUUCUAACACAGACGAGAAACAGGGCAGGUGACUUUGAAAGGCUGGUACGGUUCACUCAAGUGGAAUCAGGGGAUGCAUUUUAUACUGUUAGAAAACUGGAAGUAUCUAGUUUCUAAUUCCUCAAAUGGCACUCGAUUUUGAUGUCGGAGCAAAGAGUUAUUGUCGUUUGAAAUUCGCUGCCAGAGCAACUCUGGACAUGUUUUCCAACCAUGAAGAAAUUUCGAAAUCCAAACAUUUACCCAACCAAAUCAAGUGAUUUUUGGUGGAAACUUUUCACACAACCUAUAAAACAUAUAUACACCGAAAUCAAGUCAAUUAGAUCACAAAAAAUUGCACCAAGAGGUGCGGCAAUGACAGGGCAGAUCUGGCCCUUCUUCCAUUUCAACUUCCUUUGAGUUUCUUUCCACUCUUUCAACUUAAAUCCACUAGAUUAACACUUAAUCAACAUAAAUAACACUCAAAAUCAUCAAAUCAGAUGAUCAAGUCCAUUGUGGGAUUUCAUAGAGUCUACUCACAUGAUUUUCAACAAUCCAAAGCUACCCACAUGAAGCUACAAGCUUCUAAGUGAAAUCUAACUUACAAAAGCUAAGAUUUAAAGGGUGGAUGAUCAUUACCUCUUAGAUGUUGCUAGAGCAGAAAUUUCGGUCCUUAGAGCUCCAAGAAAACCGUGAGAAUGAAGCUCUUCUCCUAGCUGAAGAUGAUCUCCAAGUUAUUUGCAAGGUGUGGUAUGAAUUUGAGAGGAUUUGGUGCAAGAUUGAGAGACGAAAUGGUGAAGAAACUUGGUCUUCUUCUCCUUGGUGUUGCACGGCUGCUUGAGGGAGAGAAAGAGAGAGUUGUGGCUGAUGGAAAGCUUCUCUUGGAAGCUUAAGAGUUUGUGGCCAAAAUUACUCCAAAAGUCAACUAAGAAUAGUGCAUGUACACGCGCGUUUCGUGCUCGUUUCCUUUUGGAUUUGUUUCACUUGUGCACUAAACCUCUAAUGCACUUCCAUUCAUACUAUUAUUAUUCACUUUUAAUAGUCUAAAAAUAAAGGUCUAAAGUCCCUCAAUUAAUCGCGCGCGCGAAAACGCGUACUUCCGAUUUGUGCGCGAUAGAGUAAAAUUUCUAAGAAAUUCUUACAAUGAUAUUAUAACUGACUAGUACUUGAGUACUUAAACAUAAAAAUACCUAUUUUGAAACUAAUGUAUGAGUCUUCAAUCUCCAAACUCACUGUAUUCUCAAAUCGAUUAUUGUCUCCAAACGCGCAUUCACUAUUCUCACUAAACGAGUUUCUAAAAAUUAAAUUUUUGCAACAAGUCAUUUUAAAUAUAUAUAUAAGUCAUAAUUCCAUGUAAUUGAGUCUAAAAAGGUUGGAAUAAAAUAUUCGGAGCAAACAGACAAUUAAAUAUUUAAAUAAGCUAGUAAUAGAAAUUUAAAAUAAGUAAAUUUGCGGGUCCUUACAGGUAUGCUUGUGAUGCAAAUGCAAAUUUGGAUGUUUUGGGUUGGUAGAAAUAGGAAAGAUUGAGAUUUCCUAUCUUGUCGAGGAUGGCUGCCGAUAUACUCUCCGUUCCUGUUACAACUGUGGCUUCAGAAUCUACCUUCAGCGCCGGAGGUAGAGUAAUUGAUGAUCGACGAGCUUCUAUGUCAAUUGAGACGGUGCAAAUAUUGCUUUGCGGCAACGAUUGGAUCCGCAGUCUUCAUGGCCUAAAGAAUAAGUCUCGCGUUAAGUAAUUGAUUAGAUGUUUUUGUUGUUGUUACAGUUUCUUUAUAUCUGAUUUUAAAGAAUUUUAUAACUUUCAUACUUUUGUUUUGUAGGAAUCACUUGAUGCGACCGAAUCAAUCACAUUUGAGGAAGUUAAACUUCCCGAAUCAUUCACAACCUGAUUUGGUGGCUGUUGAUGUUGCUUGGUGCAAACUGAUUCAUUCACAUGUUGAUUUCGUUGAAGACCUAAAGAAUAAGUCUCGCGUUAAGUAAUUGAUUAGAUGUUUUUGUUGUUGUUACAGUUUCUUUAUUUUAAAGAAUUUUAUAACUUUCAUACUUUUGUUUUGUAGGAAUCACUUGAUGCGACCGAAUCAAUCACAUUUGAGGAAGUUAAACUUUCCGAAUCAUUCACAACCUGAUUUGGUGGCUGUUGAUGUUGCUUGGUGCAAACUGAUUCAUUCACAUGUUGAUUUUGUUCAAAAGCUGCAUCGUUCACAACUUGUUUUCACCCAAGAAAGUUAUUUUUAACUCUUGGUCUAGAGUGUGGACAUUUUAGAAACUGCUUAAAACGUAUUGAUGGCUGAUCUUUAAUUGUUUGGACUCUUUUAUGUAAUUUUUCAUUUUGUAAUCUGAUCUGGUCUGCUGCCGAGUUUGGACAUUUUAUUCCUCCAUUUGAUAGUUUGAGCUGCAAUUUUAACUUCUUUUUUGCUACUCGUGCUUAUGAUGCUUCUGUUUUGCGUUGUCGAAUUGAGUGGAUGAUAUAUUAGGGAAUGUGUUGUUCUUUUUUUGUCAAACUAAAUAUGAGUGUAGAAGAAGCUGAUAUGCUAUCUUACGUAAACGACUUAUGAAGCUCGAAUUACUAAUCGAGCGAGCUCGAACUUGCUCGAUUAGAUGUUCGAGUCGAGCUCGAUUGUCGUGUGCUCGAGCUCGACUCGGCUAGUUUAACAGCCAAGGUAACAUGCAUCAAAGCAGGCUUAUUCUCUUAGUACUUUUUUUUUUUUUCUUUUUAUAAAACACAGGUGCAUUAACGCACGACAGAAGCACCCUAUCAAUCUAAGAUCCCAGCUUGCUUGUAGCUUUCGAUAGAGUCAACAAGAGUUUCUUCCACUGGCCUAUACCUCCAGCCCAGCCUCUCCAAUUUUUCUGAGCUAAUAUUCCAUCGGCUUUGAUCCUUCACCUCUAUAAGUCUGCGAAGAAAUGAGUUAUAUCAAGAAAAUAUGCAGACAACAUAAAUGGUUCUUGUAGAGACUCGUAGAUGCCACACUUUUGGAAAUGGAAAUCAUGACGGACAUGAACAAACAAGAAAAUCAGGACAAACGGGGUGUCUGAAAAAUGAGACAAUUAAUUUCAAAGAUGGUAAUCCACCUCUUAGGGUACUUGUAGUUGGCAUAGUUUUUCCUCAGAGUUUCCACCAUAUCUUUUGUCGUGGUGACGUGAGGUGAACAUAUGUACCGGCCUUCAGCUUCAGGUCUCCCGUAAACCAAAAGCAGUGCCUCGGCCACAUCACGCACAUCUACUGUGUUGUAGAAUUUGUUUUCGGUUUCUUCACAUCCGUCUGUGCAGCCAAGGAGUGAAACAAAAGAGCAGUUUAAUCUCAAAAAAGGAGAUGUUAUCUGUGCUAAUCUCUGAGUUCUUUACUGCAUAUAUGAAACCUACAAUCCCUUUGACAAAUAGUACAGCAAUAAAUUCAUGGGACUUUUGAAUUGCAAAGGACCUACAGGUCACAAUGUUAACCUUUUAUAUCUUCAACAAUGCUCCAAAGCAAAUCAAGCAAACAGUUGAAAGAUGCAACCUCUUCAGAUGUUAUGCCUAUUGUCUGUCUCAUCUUCCAUUAGGUCAAACUCACACAAUUUUCACAUCAAUAAAAUUUGAAUCGCUUGUGCAUGUGUCUGGAAAGAUUACAUUAGCACAAUUUAGUAUUUUUGGCAGCACUGCUCGUUUAAAUUUCCCUGCCAUCAAGCAGAAAAUUUAAUUCCAUUCCAACAGUAAAAGCCAAACACCACAAUCUUAGUUUUUUUUAGAUAACUUUGCAAGUUUUUAGAGCAUUGCCAAAAUCAUAAAACUAUCAGAAUGGCAGAUAGCUUACAGGUUUAGAAUCUGAAAACCUCAGCUGGCUUGAAGAUUAAAUAAAAAUGCCAAAAGACGGCAAAGCAGUUAUCUCCAUGAAUGUAGUUUCAUUCCUAGAAGGUCAACCGCAACCAGAUAGACGGAUUUUGUGAAAUUUUAUUGGCAUCAAUUCAUUGUGUAUCAUGUAAAUAACACUGGAAGCCAGAAGCAUAAAAAUGAUGGGUUACUUGGAAAAUUAGCUGAUCAACCACAUGAAGAAAUUCAAUUGUUUGACCUUUCAAGUACAAAAAAAGGAAAAAAUUGCUAAGCUUUAGAGGUCAUCUGAGUUCUAGAGUGACAUCCAUGCUCACUUAGGCACAAACCAAUAUCAAGGAGAAAACUGUAUCAUUUACGACCACUUCCAUGCAGAAGGUGAAAGAAAGAAAAAUAAAAUAUAACAUAACGGAAUAAGUUCUCCAAUUGACUACAAAGCACUAAUAAAUCACCUUUCAACAGCUUUAUAAGAGCCAGACUGCUAGCAUUCACAUCAUGCUGAAGCAUGGGGCCGAGAACAAAGGAUGGGCAUACAGUUAAAACAUCAAGGCCAGUUUCUUUUGCAUAUUGUAAUGCCUCACUUUCAGCAACCGUCUUGGAGUAACAAUACCAGUUCUGGAGCAAUAUUAGUACUAGAUGGUCAGCCAGAAACAGAUAGUAGUUGCAAAAAUCUGAUUUCUCAGCAAUCUUAGAAACAGUACGAAUAAGACAGUGAAUUUUCUGCACAAUUACAACACCAAGGUGCAACUGCAAAAAGUCAAAUUAUGUUGAUGCAUACAUUUGUUGCCUUGCAGUAUUCGCCGUCUGACCAACACUUCUCAUCUAUGAUUUCACCUUCAGGCAGAUUAGGACUCAUUACAACAGCUGCAGUAGAGGAAACAACUACAACGCGCUUGACAUUUGCUUCAGAACAAGCCUUCAGUACAUUAAGGGUACCCUUUACAGCUGGCUCAACAAGUUCAACCUGCAACAAAUCAUCAUGUUGGCAGAGGUACUAGCACUCAACUCUUCAUGCUGAACUGCUUGUUUUUGCGUAAAAUAUAUCCAGAUAGACAGCUAAGUAGUGUCAGUUAACCUGACAUCUUUAGAGUGAAUGAGUACAUAGUUAAAAGACUCAUGACUGCUUAUGCCUGUGAUUUAACUUGGUUACCAGCAUAGGUUAUUAUUAUAUGCAUUUAUUCACUCAUUUCAACAUUUGAAAAAUCCUUCCACGAAAUGAUAGAAAGACAAAGAGCCCCAGUGACUUCAUAAGUUUGUACAAACGCUUUAACAAGGUUCUAUUUUAAACGAUACCCAACUUUAGCUCAUGUUUGGCAAAACGCAAUAAAAUAUUAUCUGUUAUGACAAAAGCUGUCUCAUAAACAAAAGAUAUGUUAAAAAUGUUAUUCUGGGGAAACCAAAAGGAAGAAAUAUCAUAGCAAUUGAAACGAUUGAAAAUGGUCUUGCCUCAGGAUUGGGAACAGAGCCUGAAGGAACAGGACUAGCUACAUGAAAUACGCCAUCACAACCCCUGAUGGCUGCAGAAAUGGAGUUGUAAUCCAGCAAAUCAGCCUUAAAGAGUUUCAAAUUCUCAGCUGCUUUGUCAAGUUUCUUCAGAUGAACAUAUUUCUCAUCGUCUACAAAACAUACACAGCAAUGCCCACAUCAUCAAGUAACGAAGCACACAAUUCACAGCAGGUGCUUUUAUAUAUUUCUUCAAUUAAACAUAUUUCUCACCCUUCACAAAACAUUUACAGCAAUUCCCACUACAUCAAAUAGGAAACAGCCAAUUGACAGCAGGCAAAAAAUCAAUUGCGGUAUUAAAGGGAAUGAAACAAUCAUACAAUACCCAAAACAAAAACAAAACAAAAAAACGAGUAGUAAAUCAGGAAGGAAGGGUUAUGAGGAUGAAAUACGUACUGGGAUUUCUGAGGGUGGCAUGAACACUAUAAUGGCGGGAAAGGAGUAGCUUGACUACCCAAGAUGCCAGGUAUCCCCCUGCUCCUGUAACACACACUGUCCUGUCCUUCUUAGCCUCCCACGCUGCCAUGUCUGAUUGCUUACCAGUAGCAGUAGCGGGAUUAGUAUUUUAGCACCAAAUUCACUAUAGACUGAUCAAGAAGGUGGGUGAAGUUCUAUUCUUUUCUUUUUUAUGAAUAUUAAUUCUUUUUUGGUUGGACAAGGCAGAGAUUUCGUCGAUUCUUAAAGAGGAGGACUGAAGAAGAGGGCGGUUGGAAGAGGAGGAGGAGGCGGAGGUGGUGGUGUUGGAAUUUUGAAUAGACGAGUCCUGUAUGUAUGAGCUAGCUGAUUCCAGCAGCCUCUGUCAAUACUAGGAGUAAUCAGCAGCUGGCAGGCUUGGGGGCUUAUAUAUAGCAGCAGACCAAUGGUCCUGUUGCGAUUUGCACGGCUCAUGGAAGACGUAUGGUUUCAACGCAGGGUUGGGCUGGGUUGGGUGGGGAAACGGUACUAAUGAUAAAUGUAUGUAUAAUGAAAUUUGAGAUAUUUCUAGCAAUCUGUUAGUAAAAUUUAUUUUUAUAAAAAAAAAGGAGUAAAGGAGCAUAAUAUUAUUAAGUUAUAGUAAAACUUGAUGCACAUAUCAAUAAAACAAGAUAUUCUGUGCAUUUGAAUACAAUAGUAUAAUAUGAUUUUACCAUUGUCGGAUGUUUAACAAAUUUAUUUAUUAAUGGAUAUUAAAGUGUUACAUUUUAUCUCAUAUUUUCCCAAUUUAUGACUCAGAUUUUAAAUUGAUUAACUCAUUAGAGAAUAAAAAACUCAUCCCGUUGCUAAAUUGGACAAGUGACAAAAACUCAUGUCCAUAAUGGGAUUUUGCUUCUGACUCAAAUCCUAUAAUGCGAACCAAACCCCAAAUCACUCCAUUAUAACGGAAACACAAACUAAACUAUUUAAUAUUCAAAUCAAGUUCCGCUCAAUAACAGUUUGUUCGAAUUUGAUUCGCAAACUAAUCUAAUCAAGUUAGAAUAACAUUUUAUUCAAAUCAAGUUCCGCUCAAUAACAGUUUGUUCGAAUUUGAUUCGCAAACUAAUCUAAUCAAGUUAGAAUAACAUUUUAUGUUUGAAAAAAAUUUUAACUGCAGCUCAAGCUUAGCUCAAUAAUCAUAAAAUUGGAUUUUAUAGAUAAAAAUUACUCGAACUCGACUCAAUAAAAAUUCUUUUGAACGUGACUUAGUAAAUAAAAAAGCCAAUCUUGAAUACUAUUUCAAAAUUCUUUAAAAUAAAUAACAAGAUAUUUGGUUUGAUUAGACACAUUCACACCCCUGUUUUUCAUAUGCUCGAUAACAUAUAUUUUUGCCAUUGAAUUUUGGGACAUGUUUAUCAUUUUUUAAAAUCUUUUUUUUUUAUUUCUGGCUUUUAUAGGAAAAAAAAAACUAAAGGAUGUGUUCGGAUAGGAGACCGAUAAACUUUUCUCUCCCCCUCGCGCCUAAUUGCAGGUUAAAAGCAGUGUUUUGAAAACCGGACCGGACGGCCGGUUCGACCGGUUGGACCGCCAACCGGCCAUGAUUCCGGUCCGAUUCUAUGCUAUAGUUGACCAGGUUAGAAAACCGGUUAAACCGUGAAAACCGCCGGACCGGAUUGAACCGGCGGUUCUCGGUUUUCGAGAUUUCCCUUUUUUUUCUUUUUUUUUCUUUUUUUUACGUUUUGCAAAAUGCAGUUAUCAAGAUUCGAACUCAAGACUUUUGUAAUAGAAGACCAAUGUAGUAACCAUAGUAACCAUUGCACCAUCACAUCUUAUUAGUUUUUUUUGAUAACUUGUUUAUAUAAAACAAAAACUCAUAUUUCUUUUUGUCAUUUUUUUUAUAAAAUCUAAUCCUCUCAUAGCUCUUUCUUUUUAAUCUUCAACACACACACACACACACUCUCUCCUCUUUUUUUUGUCACUCUCUUUUUAAUCAAACCACUUUAUUUUUAAUUUAUUGAUGUUUUCUUCCAUCUUUUAAUUUUAUUUUUGUCCAUUAAAUUGAAAAAGGUUAAAAAAGAAUUAUUUUUCUUUAACCCAAAUUAUUUAAUGCCACAACCACUCACUUUUAUCUCAUUUUUUAUUUCUUAUCAAGUUUGCAUUUCUAUUUUCGAUUCUCUUGACUUCUUUCGAGCUCCAAAAUUCCUUUUUUAAAUUGCAAUUUCUAAUCCCAAAACGUAAAUUAAAAUUUAAGUUCACAAAAUCUAAAUUCUCAUAGACAUGAAUUUUGUAUAAUUUUAAAAUAUUAUGAUAUUUUUGGGUUAGAUCUAAGAUUUUUUUGGUAGAUAUAAUUGAAAUUGAAAUGAAAUUUAUUUGUUUUAACUUAUAAUUUAAAAUUUUUAUUUUUAAAAAAUCAAGUUAUUCAAAAAUAGUAAACUUUUCAUCAUAUAAUGUAUUAAAUUAGUCCAUUACAUGUCUUAUUUUGUGCAUAAAUAUUUACAUAAAUUAUUUUUUAAAAACUUCAUUGAACCGAGGUUGAACCGGUCCGACCGGUUAAAUCUCGACCCUUUCACGUCACCGGUUCAAUUAACGGUCCGAUUUUUAAAACAUUGGUUAAAAGGAAUAUCCAGUUCUUAGAUAACUUUUCUAGGCACAACUCUAGUUGUCAGAAAACUGGUCUACUUUGACUGUGGGUUUUCCUUUAGUCAGGCCAUUUUGUCAUUAGUGAUGAUUGCUUCUUCUAAACCUUAGCUAACUGCACACGCCAUGCGCAUGAAACUUCUUCUAAACCUUAGCUAACUGCACACGCCAUGCGCAUGAAAAUCCAAACUUCAAAUAAAAUAAUUUGAACUCGUCAACUUGCAAAAUAAGAUAAUUUGGGUUUCGUCUGAUAUGAGUAGUAAGGGAAAAUUUAAUUACUAUAUUUAUGAUUCUUGACUAAUGUGAUUGCUCAUCUAUCACCACGCAUCAGUUUAAUACCUUAUCUUCAUUUAAAUGUGACGAUUGUAGAAUUGAUGGCUGAAACUGAAAGGAAACUGAAAAAGAAAUGUCAUGUGAGUGCAUAUGCAUGGUUAAAACAAUACUCCCACAAAUUAUAACCAAUUCGAUCCCUUGUUUUUAAGGUUUUGAUCGUUUUGGUUCCUUGGUAUCAUGACAAGCCAAUUUUGCCUCUUAAAUUUAAAAAUAUGGUUAAGGAGAUCCUUUUGAUGGAAAUUUGAGUUGCUAAUGAAGUGAAGAGACCAUUUAGUGCCUUUCGUGUCACAUCCGUCUCAACACUAUAUUAAAGUUUCAAAAAAUCUCAAAUAAGUCAUAAAACUCAUAAAACAAACCCCAAAACUCUUUAUCGUGAAGAAAAUAAAUUUUUAUAACUUUAAAAUAAAUCAAACACAAUACCUUAAACAUAAUUAUGGAAUUUGUGCCAUUUUCGAGUUGAAAUAUCAUGAAAAGGAGUACCAAAAGGUGAAAGAAAAAUGCAUAAACUUAUGUUUGACAUAGUAUUAAAAACUUUUAUUUCAUUAUAUUGAAGAGUUUUGGGUGAGUUUAGGCUUUUAGGAUUUUAUUUGAAUGCUUGGUGUUUUCUGCGAGAUGGCACGAAGUACCCUCUAAGGUCUCUUAACUCCAUUAACAACUCUAAAUUAGCCUUGACCAAAUUCUUCAAAUUUAAGAAAAAUUGGUUCGCCAUAAUACAAAGGGACUAUUUUGUUAAUACAUUGGAGAUAAGAAACCAGAUUAAUUAAUUUUUGUUGUUUGCGUAACUCAAGGGAUUUCUCCGUUAGCUUCCCACAAUUUUGCUACAUUAGUCUCUUUUGAUGGAGAUAGAGCACCAACUCACAGUUGUAUUAGAACUUCACUUACGCUAUAAUCGUUAGGAUUUUCUUAUAUUCAUCCGACUACUCAAUAAGUAUCCUAUUUUAUAAUAACUAUCCUACACCUCUUCAAAGCCUGAUAAGAUGAAGAAAAUCUCUUUACUAGCAUCUUAAUGCCUUAUAUCCAGUAUUGAGGGAAAAAAUUUAAUCACAUUACAGUCUGAGAAUUUGAAUCCAGCAAUUUCACGGUCUGAUGUAGUCACCCCAAGUAGGUUCUCCAGUAAAACAGGGUAGUGAGGCAAAAUGUACAUCAAAUAGGUCAAUUGUCGAGCCCCUCGGGGUUCGGUUCCGUGGUUGUAGCCCCAGUUGGGGGAGAGCCACGUCCAGGGAUCGAGUCCCCGUUCUACCGUGGCUGGUGAUGCUUGAGGUGGGCCGCUCCCAGCCCGCAGUGGAAUUAGUUGGGCCGUACGGUAACCAGUACAUGGGUCCAGAUACCCACUGUGAUGAAAAAAAAAAAAUAGGCCAAUUGUCGAUCUUUGAUUAUGUCUACACUUUCAAAAGAUAGGCUUAAUCAUAUUAGUGGAAAUAACUCAUAGUUCAUCAUAUAUUAAUUUGCUAUUCAAUUUAGUUUGAAUACAUGAUCAAUGUUAUUGUAUGCCAAAAAAGAUUGAGGAUACUUUUGACCUAGUUCUUUGCACUAACUUGAAAUCUUCCAAUUGUUCUUUCUUUGAUGCACUUGCAAAAUCUCCUGCAAAAGUAAAAUAACUCAGUUGGUGAAUUUUGGCUAACUGAGAGGCCCCAUCUUCUUUUUACUUCUUUAGCACAAGCGAAGAAUGAAUUUAUGCAUAAUAACCGUGUGAUUCUAAUGAGAUAUGAUUUUUUUGGUUUUGCAUGCUGGUUAAACAAUUGUUCAAGCUCUUAUCUUGGUUUUUGAUACUUCACCGGUAUGUGGAUGUUGCUGCUAAAGAAAUUUACAUUUGUCAUUAGAAGAAUUUUCUAUUUUAUGACUGGCAAGUGAUUUGGUAUCUUAGCAGUUCAUCGAUUUUGGUGCUUUGUUUACAAUUUAAUUGGCUUCAAUGGUCCAUACAUAUAGGAACUUGGAAUUUACCCUUUUAUUUCCUUUUGCAUGAGCAAAGAUUAGUAAUUUUUAAUCAUAAUUUUCGAUUCCUCUAUUCUGGCCAUAGUGAAGAAAUCUACCUUUUUGUACUUGUGUAUAUGCACACCAAACAUCAUUGGGCUGUCUACUUUUGACAUUAUUCUUGAAUUACUCAGUUUAGAAUGUGUAUUAGCUGCUGGAAGUAAAUGCAUCAUCGUUGGCAAUUACUAAACAGAAAAUAUGCAUGCCAUUACUAUUUUCACUGAAAUUAGCAUCUAACUUAUAAUGAUCUAAUUAAAGGUUAACCACAUUGGUUUUGACUAGAACUAAGAGAUCACUAGCCCUCUUAUUUUUGGAUUUGCAUUAAUCCAGUAUCAUCAAACUUCUUCAAAUGGGCUCUUUAGCUACUAACCCCUUCAAAAAUAAUUUAGGCUUACGGUUCUGUUGAUGUCGCAAUUGCAGGAGGUUCAGAAGAUAACGAAAGGCUCAUCUAAGAUUUCUUAAGGUGUUUGGCUUAUAUUGCUAGAUUUACUUAAUCUAUUUUCAUUCUUCUCCGAUGUCAUUAUUGUUAAAGUUCAAUUCAUAAGUUGGUUGUGUUAGAAAAUUGGCUUAAUUUCUUUUUAGAUAGGUUUUUGUUUUGUGCAAAAGUAACUAGUUUCCUAAUUGGUUUUAGUUACUCGGAAUAGUAGCCAAGAAAUUUCUUAUUUUGUUUAGAAUUAGAAGUUAUUUCUUAUUUUCUACAAGUCUAGGAAUUAGAAUUAAUUUCCUGUUGUUAUUUGGAUUUUUUGACCAAAUAAUAUUUUUAUAAAUAGGUGGGUUGGCAUACUAUAAAAGAGACACAUAAGGGCACACAAGGACGACAUGUAACCUUAUACAUGGGUGGUGAGAGAGAGUUCUUAGGAGAUGAGAAAUGGUAUACAAAGGUUGGACUUGAGUUCGAGUUGUAUUCUUGUAUAAGGUUUUUCUCUCAUAAUAAAUAACAAGUUUCUCUCCGUGGACGUAGGUUCAAUGGAGUCAAACUACGUUAAAUAUUGUGUGUUGUUUAUCUUUUAUACUUGUGGCUUGUUUCUCAUUAAAUUAUUGUGUACUUGAUAUCUUAAUAGUUAUUUAUUCUGCAUUUAGUUCCUAACAAAUGGUAUCAGAACUUGAUUGCGAGAUUGGGCUGCUCACAAGCACUUGGAUCCCAACAAACUGAAUAGUUGGAUCAAGAGUUUGGUUGUUCAAGGAUGGAUCCUAGUUAGCUAUUGAGAUCAAGUAGGUUGGUGACUGUUACCAAUUGAACAAUUUAAUGGGCGGUAUCCUUUUUUCAAGAGUUUGGCAAAAAAGCAUUGACGGUGAAUGAUGAAAAGUCGAAAAGCAUGGAGAUACUUGACGGUGAAUCUAGGCAGAUGAUUCAAGAGUCAAGGAAAAGGUGGAAUCCAAUAUCGAUUUUGGACGUGAAUCGGUGGAGACUUUCUCACAACUUCAACGGUUGAUACUUCAUCUCGGUGAUUUUUAGAUUUCGCUUAUGUUUUUUGAGUGGUACGGCACCUGACCCAAAAAAAUAAAGAGAUUUAAUUUCUAUGCGCUAGAAGACUCUGACAGUUACGAGUCUUUUGUUUCAGGUGAAUUUUUGGAAACCACACGUGGCGAGAUAGUCUUGAGGAAGGGAAGAAGUAUGAUGAUUUUAUCACUUGGUUGCCUCAAUGAUUAAGGUUAGAGCUCAUAGAAGGAGAUUUUGGGUUGCAAGUGGUGGUGAGAAGAAAUCCUGUAAAGAAAAAUGGUGAAUUGAGGCAUCUUCUCACGAAUCAACUGGAGGUUGUACUAGGUGUAAAUACACAUAUUCAUUUGGCAAUUAAAUUAAUUUGGUAUCAGAACUGUAUUGAUUCGGGUGUGUAGUUCGGUACCAUAUUAUUUGGUAGUUGAAAGUAAAUAAUUGUUAAAAGAAAUUUUCGCCAAGAUAGAGAUUUGUUAGGAAAUUGAUUUAAUUUCUUUUCAGACAGGUUUUUGUUUUGUGUAGGGAUUUAGUUACUUGAAAUAGUAGCCAAGGAAUUUCCUAUUUUGUUUAGGAUUAAAAAUUAUUUCCUAUUCUAUACAAGUCUAGAAAUUAGAAUUGGUUUCCUAUUAUUAUUUAAUUUUUUGGCCAAAUAAUAUUCUUUAUAAAUAGGUGGGUUGGCAUACUACAAAGAGACACACAAAAGCACACAAGAGACGACAUGUAGCCUUAUAUAUGGGUGGUGAGAGAGGAUUUUUAGGAGAUGAGAGAUGGUAUACAAAGGUUGAAUUGGGGUUCAAGUUGUGUUCUUGUAUAGAAUUUUUCUCUUAUAAUAAAGAACGAGUUUCUCUCUGUGGAUGUAGGUUCAAUGGUGGAGCCGAACCACAUUAGAAAAUAGUGUGUCAUUUAUUUUUCAUGUUUGUGGCUUGUUUCUCAUUAAAUUGUAGCGUACUUGAUAUCUCAAUAGUUGUUUAUUCCAUGUUUGGAUCCUAACAGAUUGCUAAACCAAGAUUGAUGUAAUUGCGUCCUAUAAGAGAGUUUGCAAUUCAAUUGAUUAAGGGAAGAACAGAGAAAAUCCCUGAAAAUGGGAAUUAAAGGAAACAAAGGAAACCCUAAAACUAGUUUCCAAGAACAAUUCUGUCGAAGACAGAAAACAAAGAAAAUAGUAUCAAAGGCUAUAUCGUUAUUUAGGAAACAAGAAGCACUUGAAGGUGAAUGUUGCAGAAAGUAGAAGAUCCCACUACAAUUUACUAAUUCAAGGAGCUGUAAUUAAGAAAGAAAGAAGACAACUCAGAGAAUUAGGGAUUGUUAUUAAUUGAUGAAUGAGUAGGAAGAAUGUAGAUGAAGAUGAUAAUCAAUUACAAGUAAUGGAAAUCGGAAAUCCUAGAACUGCCUUCAACUUACCACCCUCCUCUCUUUUAUUCGGCUACUACACUUGUCCAAGUCAGCUAAUUCAUUACAACCAACUGACAUACAAGAAUUAUAAGGAUUUAUUCAUUAAGUCCCUAUCAUACUCGCUUUAUUACAAAAAAAAAAAAACCCUAUCAAUAAAACUAAGGUAACAAAUACUUCCCCCUCAGAGAAUCCUUGUCCUCAAGGAUUAAAUUCAGGAAAUUGUUGUUUAAGGUCAAACCAGAAUUCCCAGAUAGCAUCUUCAAGAAAAGAAUUGCUUCACUAUGCCAAAACUUUUGUAGCAAGAGAGUUACCACAUUUCACCAAUUUCUGAUCAAGUAUGGCUAUAGGCUCCAUUAAUAAUUAUCCCUGUGUAUUGAUUGUGUAUUGAUUGCAAAAGGAAUGUGUGAGGUAACUAGUGAGUGCCCACUUUCUUCUUUAGAAGAGAUACAUAAAAAAUAGAGUGUAUUUUUGCCAUAUUAGGCAGCUAAAGCUGAUAUGCAACAGGGUGUACUCUUUUGAUCACUUGGAAAGGUCCAAAAAACUUAGAAGCUAACUUCUGACAAGAGUGUACCUUCAAAGAGUGUUGCCUCUACAGUUGUAGUUUCACAUAUACCCAAUCUCUUGCCGAGUACUGUCUAUCAGACCUGUGUUGGUCAGCUUGUUGCUCCAUCCUAUUUUGUGCCUUAUGAAGGUUGUACUUUAAGUGAUGCAAAACUAUCUCCCUUGCUGCCAAGAUUCUAUCCACCACUUCCACUACUGAAUUCCCAAGUAGACAAGGCAUAUGCAGAGAUGGUGCAUGACCAUACACCACCUCAAAUUGGAUAACCUUAGUGGCAGCAUGAAAUUUGGUAUUGGACCAAUAUUCAGCCAAGGGUAACUAGAUAGACCACUGCUUUGGAAAAUCUCCACACAUGCACCUCAAAUAUUACUCCAAACACCUGUUUACCACCUCAGUUUGACCAUCUGACUGAGGGUGGUAGGUAGAAGAGGUAUUAAUCUGCACUUUUAGUAACUUAAAAAGUUCUUGCCAAAAAGUGCUAAUGAAGACCACAUCCUUGUCACUAACAAUGCUCUGAGACAAGCCGUGAAGUCUACAGAUCUGAUCCAGGAAUAUGUGCAAAUAUAAAUGCUGAAUAAGCAUGUGACAAUGCCAAGAAGUGUGCAUACUUACCUAACUUGUCAACCACCACCAAGAUGGCUUGUUUACCAUGUGCAUUAGGUAAACCUUCCAUAAAGUCCAUGGAAAUUCACUCCAAACCUUUUGAGGCACACGUAAAAGUCGUAAUAAACCCAAAUAAGCAGUAUUGUCAUAUUUGUUGCACUGACAGACAUCACAUGCAGCCACAUAGUUGACUAUGUCUUGAUACAUUCUUCUCUAAUAAACCACUGACUUCAACUUCUUUUAGGCAGCAUAAACUCCUGAAUGCCUCCAACAGCACUAGAAUGCCACAAGUGAAUUAUAUUAUUCUUGAAUUGGCAGUCAUUUUCUACCACUAGUCUCCCCAUUCUCCUUAACUGCUAGUUGCUCCAUGUGUAAUAAGGUGAGACCUUAGAAAGAUCAAAUUGUAAUUGAGUGAUGAAGUUCUAUAGCCUUAUAUCUAUUUGCCAUCCCUUUUUAAUCACUAUCAAAGAUCACUGUUAACAAUGAUGAUGGCAAGAGCUUCUCUUGGUUCUGCUAGUUUUCUAAAGAGAGUAUCUCUCACCAUAUUAUAUGCUUCUUUCCUGUAGUGAAGCUCAUAAUAAAAUCUUACUAGCUUAGUCAUCCAUUUCUGCUGCAUAAGAGUAGGGCUGUCAAUGGUCUGGGUCUAGACCCGGACCCGGACCGGAUCCGUCAAAUUUAUCCGGGUAUGGGUAGGGAUUUAAUUCCGUUACCCGGACCCGGAUCCGGAUAUAAAUGGAUUACUAAUUUAAAAUAUAUAUAUUUAUUAAUAUAAUUUGAUUAGGAUGAUGUAUUUGAGUGAUCAAUAUAAUUGGACCCGGAUCCUAAUCAAUAUAAUUUGAUUAGGAUGAUGUAUUUGAGUAAGGUUAAUUUGAUUUCUUUUCUUAUUUGAUUUUUUUUGUAUUAGUUAGAAAUUAGUUUAUAAAUAUAUGUUUUUUCUCAUUUUUGUUAGAAAUUAUAAAUUUUGUUAGUUUUUUUUCGGGUAGACCCGGAUCCGGAUCCGAGACCCGUCGGAUCUGGAUCCGGAACAUAGAGUAAAGACCCAUCGGGUAAACGGGUCGGGUCCGGAUCCGAUAUAGUGUGCCGGGUCCGGGUCUGGAAUAAUGAAUUCCGGCCCGGACCCGGCCCGUUGACAAGCCUACAUAAGAGUGUUCAAUCUUUGUUCCAUCAUAUAUUCAAUGCUCUAAUGGUCAUUUUUAAUGAUAACGUACCUUCCAGGUAGAUAAGGUCUCCACUUCUAUACAGCAGCAACUAUGGCCAAUAUUUGCACUUUUCCAAUAUACUAUCAUAUGCUAUUCCCCCACACACCUAAAUCUUAUAUUGUCCCCAAUGUAAAAUAAAGAAUAAAAGAAAAGUAAUGGGGAUAACGAAACUUCCUUGAUAACUGAGGGGGCCGUCGACAGCUACAGGUGAGGGGCGAAUGACUGUGGAGCUCGACGUAUGUUGAUGGUUGGUGGCGGUGGAGUUCGGAUGGAGAAGGAUGGAAGAAAGAAAGAAAGAAGAAAGAAAAAGAAGAGAGAAAGAAAGAAAGAAAAAGAAAAGGAAAAAGAAAGGAAAAGGAAGAGAAAAGAAAAGGGAAAUACGAAUGGGAAUUGCUCCAAUCCGAGCUGGUUUUUUGUACUACUACUUUGCUUCUUGUACGAAGCUUGAAGAUGCAGCAAGCGCGGAAAUUUUUUUUUUUUUACAUCUGAUUUUGAUUUUUUUCUUUUUCUUUUUCCUUUUCUGUAUUUCCUUUUCUUUUCUUUCUAAUUUUUCUGCAAAAACAAUCAAAUAGAAAUCAAAUGAGAUGGAAUGAUUUUUUUUUAAAAAGGUAAAAAUAUAAAUAGAGAUAAAUAAAUAAUAAUAGUUAUUAACAAAUCAUAAAAUGAUUUAUGAAAUUUUUUUGGUGUCUACAUAUAUACACAUACUAAUAAUUUUUAUAUUUAUAUAUUUUUCCUAUUUAAUCUUACCUAUAAUUCUUUCUUAUUUUAUUUACUUUUUCUAAUUAAUUUUAUAUUUUUAAAAAUAUAACAUCUAAAAAUAUAUAUUAACGAAGAGGACAUCCGUUAGACAGGUCCUAUUUUAUGUAGCAUAUAUGUCUCUACAUGAAAAAAACUUUUUUAAUAGGUAUCCCGUUUUUUGACAUGAAAAAUACCUUUUGACUACAUUCUGACUAGCGCCAAAAGCUAUCCACUUUUGACAUGCUGCCCAUGCAGGCCUAAUUUUUUUUAGUACUGAAUUUGUUUUGGAUACGUUAGUAUUUCUUGAAUUUUAGAAAAUGCUUCUCUUUAAUAAAUGUAAGUUCAUUUUAAUCUUGAUUCGCAAGCUUUUUCUUGAAAAUGGUUUGCCAUUUCUUAUUAGUUGUUACAGUAAAUUUAGCAUGCAUAUAUGCUUUUUGUCAAAAUUCAAUCAUUUCAAAAUCUAGAAGGGAACUUCUAAAAUACCUGCAUCCUCCUUUUUCUUUUUUCUUUUUUAUUUUUCCCCCUCUUGGCUUUGUAUUCAGAAUCAGAUUGUGUUCAAUUAGUUGGAAUUUGGCUUUGGAGUUAAAAGGGAUUUCCAUUUUUUCCUAGGUAUUCCACAGCUUGCAUACCAAAAGCACAGAGGCGGAAGAAAACCUAUGAUUAAAUCAUACAACAGGCUUGUAAGAAAAUGCCCACUUUGAAAAAAUGAAAAGUUGAAUUUCCUAUUUUCAAAUUUACAUGCAAAAAAUGAAAAAUGACAUGCAAGAAAUAGUCUACUAUUUCGCCAUGUUUCAUAGUUUAUGAGAAAUAUAUUACAAAUAAAUCCACAUAAAUGGUGGGAAUAAUAACUCAAAUAUGGUGGGACAAAUAAACAUACAGGGUGACCCCUGCCAGCUGAGAUAACUAGCUGGUUUAUUUAAUUUAAUAGUUUGAAUACAAUAGUAAAUCAAUGCCAUAGCUCAGAUACUGACUAAAUUUUUCUCCCUGAAGAAUUCAACAGCAUCUUUUAGGCUGACCUCCAAAGGAGUGAAUUGAACUCCCAACCUUUUUGCCUUCUCAUUGGAGGCUCUGUAGUUUGGGCUGAUAAGGUUGGUAUUGUUUGACAUUCUGCUGUAUGCGGGACAAUACACAAUUAUGGCAAACAUAAAUAAAGCUUAGGUAAUGAAAAUGCAAAUGUAAAUUCAAAUGCUUGAAAAUCUACUGGACAAUUGCCUCAUAUCUACUGUAAAUUGUGCCUUUUUUACGAAGUUUCAAAAGACCUUUUAAAAGAUAACUUUAGUUGUGAUAUGAAUGAAAUUUAUUUUUCUCUAAAAAAAAGCCUAAAACGGAAUUUCUAUUUUGGAGACAAAGCCAAUUUGGUGAUAUAUCCUAGUCCAAAGAAGACCAUCUUCUAGAAAUCAACCUGAGAAAGAGCUCAUUUUUUAUGGAACAUGAGACCAAAAGAAAAAAAAAAAGAAGGCAGAAAAUUUAGGAUUUAGUGUCCUUUAAAAGAGAGUAUAAAAAUAUGUGAUACAUUUUGGACGUAUACAAGGCCAUCAGCAAAAGCCUGCAAAGACCUAAACAAGGAAAACAAGACUUACUUAUCAGGAAAUUGGUGAGUUGGGUAAUGCUCAUGCAAAAUCUUGAUGAUCUGAGAGGCAUUUGCACAUCUUUCAACCAGACAAUAUCUUCCACUUGCAGAAGGGGUUUCAAGGGCAAGAACAUGUGCAUUGGCAACAUCUCUAACAUCAACCCAGCUACAUGUUGCCUUAGGAAAUGGUUCAACCCCUGCAUUUGGCACCUAAGAUCUUUAAACACAUUUUUUUGCAGGCUCUUCAGCAAACAUAAGUGAAACCAAUUUGGUUUGUUUGGAUUGGCAUGAUUUCAGAUAAAAUAAUUUGCUUCACAAAUUCCAAUCACCUUUUUAUCUCACAUACAGCACAUCACAAAAAGUGUUACAGUAAUUAUCUCAAAUAAAUCAUCUAAAUAAACUUCUAUCCAAACAAAAUGUUGUUUGCCAUGAAAAGAGUCAAAUUUAGAGGCCAUGGCCUGCCUUCCAGAAGAAAUGUGUGGUAUGUACUACUUUGUUCUGUUUUAGUAUCAGCAAAGCCACAGAGGGGAGGGAGAUGUGAGGAAUGAACUAGUUGAGACAAUUCAGAUAAUUGGUGAAUAAUAAUAAAGAUUAAUCCCGACAAUCUUCUAGUUAAUCUGUCCCUGGAAUUUCUCAGAUUUAGAGUUAGGUUUCUCUUUCAAAGGAUAGUUUAUUUAUUUUCUUCCAAAAAGGAUCAAUUACUAGACAAAAGAAUAAACUACAGGCAUGAUAAUACUAGUUGUCUCGUACUUAAGAGUGUUAAAUGGUGAGAGCUGAAGAAACUUGUCCCUUCACUCUCAUCCAGAUAGAAAAACAGAAUUUAUUCCUGUUGUUUUGUUCCAGAGAGUGAAACAGUAAUCAAUUCCUGAAAUUUGUUUCUUGCCAUUGUUGUACAAAGUGGCUAUUUGGGUCGAAGGAGUCAUGGCGAAUUGAAAGAAUAAUAAACAAGCUUUAGCAAGUAAAGUUUGUACAACAUAAACAGUGACUACUCCUAACAAAUUUUUCCUCACAAUUACCACCCAAAAAUUUCUUUUCCUUCCUGUUAAUCACAUAGAACCUCAAUGUUGUUGAAAGGAAGAUGCACACAACGUGAAUUUCAGAUGAAAGAUUGUACUGCAAACCUUUAAAACAUCAUAAGCUGGUCAGAGUUUAUAGCUUGAUAUAUCAGUUCACAUUCUGACCUAUGUCUGUCAAUCAUGUGAUAAGCCAGCAGUGCCUUGAAAUGUUAUUAGUCAUAAGUUUUUUGUUCUACUGUAACAAAGAAAGUUGUGGUGCAUAAUAAAGCUAUAAGUAACAUAGAUGGAAGAGUCAGUUAGACAAUGAUUACUAAGGUGAUUCAAUAAAUUUUGAAACAAACCCUUUAAUAGGUUGAGGAACAAAACAGCGCUCGAAUUAACAGAUGGCUGCAAGAGAGGACCAAUGACCAAUCCUGGAUGAAUUGUAAUCACGUCAAUGCCAUGCUCCUUUGCAAAUUUCCAUGCAGCAUUCUCGGCCAUGGUUUUUGAAAGUUCAUACCAAGACUAUCAACACCGAAAAAUCAGUAAAUGUUGGUAAGAUGGUAGCAGAAAGUAAUUAGAUUUGUAAACUUUAAGAAGUAACAUUAUAAAUUUCUACAAAUUUGACAAAACCAGCAACUUACAUCAGUUGAAACUAUUAUUGCUGUAGCUACAAAGCACAGAGUGAAAGCAUCCACAUUUCCCAGGACAAGCUAUGCUAUAAGUGAAUAAGUAGAUUUCUCAAGGAUCCUAGGAAUGGUGUAAACUUUCUAUAUUCAAGGAAUGAUGCAAAGCACCAGUGUCGACAUAUCCUGAUCAUCUGAUCUCUUAAUCCACAAGCUAACAGCAAAACUACAAGGGACCUUGACACUUUAACACAAAUAGCCAUAUUCAUAAUAUUAUAGCAGAAGUUCCUUUCCAACUGACCGACCAAAUAUUGCUCAUCUAGGUGUGUAUUCUCAGACAAUAGUAUAGAAUUUGAUCAUGCAAGAGAUGCAUAAUUAAGUAGGAAAACUUUCAUAUUGCUCUUUCCCCGACUAUUCCACACUACAUUAUUAAUUUUUCAUUAAAGUUAAGUUGUUACUUAGAUAGAAGGAAAGAAAUGGACUGACCAUUCUGGUUACAAAAAUAUCCUUUUUUUUGCCUAUUAAAGUACCACCAAGUCAUGAAGAUCCUAACUUAAUUAUCUCCACAGCUGGGCUAACUCCUCAUAUGUGUUCCAACAACAAGUUAAAACUAAAGAAUUCCAGCAUUCCAUAUUAGAUUUUACUGGAAGAAGACAGAUAAUAUAUGUACCUUUUGCUCCUCACAGUAUGAUGGAUCGGAAAACCAACUUUCAUCAACUACCACAUCCUCCUUUAAUUCUCUGUUUUUUGAAACUGCAACCAUAGAGGAUGUUAUAACUACUCUUUUGACAGAAGAAGAAUUUGCACAUGACCGCAGCACAUUCAGUGUUCCGCUUACUGCAGGUUCCAGUAGUUCUGCCUAUGAAAUCAAACCAAGUAAAAAAGGAAGUCAUUACCAGUCAUAGGUAAGACUAUGCUUUUAACCUGCAAAAAACUUAUCAUUCUGGUAUUAUGUUUGAGAAUUUCACCACAAAUGCUGUAAACCUACAGCUUUAGUUACUUAGCUAAAGGAUGCAUAUUGUUGUCUUAUCUCCUCUUGCUGCUAAAAUAAGUUCUCAGGUCCUUUAUUGUUGUUUUUUCCCAAAUUUUUUCAGCUUUCACUGGGUGACAGGAACUUAAGACCAAUAGAGGAACAACUGAAAUAAGUCUCAGAUGUGGUCACCAAUUAAACCGUUUGCUACCAAAUAUCAACCGAUGAAAUUCUGUUCUGGCUUGAACAGGACAGACAGAAAAUAUAAAAGGUGUAGCUCCCAUGAAUCCUGCGAACAGAUUUUAGCGUGAACACAUAAUGCAUGUUGCAAUUUCUUUUAGUGUCUGUGAGUCAACCUUGUUCAUUGAAAUGACUAAAAUCAAAGUUCUACAAAGUUACUUAAAAAAAAUCCAUAAACACAAUUUGAGAAACAGACAAGGAUAGGUGUACUGCAUAAAAUUAAGGCACAAUCAUUAAUAGAAGUUAAUCAACUUACAAAUGAAGAUACAUAUAAUUUGCAGAUGCUUGAACAUAUAUUGUAGUUUCUAUAAGCUUCUUAUUCAUUCUGGUAUGGGCACGCAAAAGCCAUUGGCUCUACACUGGCUGAAUAAUUAGUUGGUCAAAGCAGGGAUUCAUUUGCUCCAGGACAAGCUUAUAGCUUGCUCUAUAACCUUACCCUGACUGACUUACCCAGGAAAAUAGUUAGUCGGACCCAAUCUACUGCCCAAUUGUGGACCAUUUGCUAUGUUUAUGGCUCUUAAUGUUUUUAUUUCACAACAUUACACCCUUUGAAUUGUUUCGCUGAAGUACCAAUUUCCAGAUCAUUUCAUAGAAACAUCAUGUAUACUGAUUAAAAAGAGACUAAAGCACAUAACACACGACAGUCUUUUUGUGAAUGACCUGCUGGAACAGAUUAGUUUUGUAUGUACCAAAUGUAAAGAAAUAUUCUUCAGGUGUUUGACCUGAUUGCUACAUUAAUCUCCUCCCUUUGGUUAAUAAAAGAAAAAGUAGAGCCAUAGAAUUGGAAACAUUUGAAUCUAACUCUCUUUUUUUUUUUGCCUUUACAGUUAUAACCUUGUCAUAAAUCACAUAUAGAGGAGUAGACUAUCACCCAAAAAAGCCAGUAAAAAUGCAACAGAGGAAGAUACUAAAAGAAGUCGUACAAUUAUAAAUCAGAAAAUAUGCUACGAUUCUCAAACUUCACUUGAUAAAUAGCAGAUUUUGCAGACAGUAGAGAAUUUUCAAUCUUGUAAAGCAAAUGUACCUCUGGAUUGCUAAAUGAAAGUUUGAUUGGAGAUGCAGUAUGGAAAACCCCUUCACAUCCCUCGACUAUUGCAUCAAACGAUCCCUCUUCCAGUAAGUUUGCCGAGUACAACUGAAGCCUUUCCUUAGCUCCAUCAAGUGAUGUCAAAUGUUGUGUCCUUUCCGGAUCAUCUGUGUCAUGAUUGUAUCAGUAGAAUGUUCAGACAGCUAUAAUCAAAACCUUGCCGCCUUGGUAAAGUGUACUAUGUUUUCACUAUGGUGAAACUCAAGAAGAAAUGGACAUAGAGUAAUAAUAAACGAAUCUCAAAGCAAUGAUAAAUUUGACUAGCUAAAGGCAAGCGGGGAAAAACGAAAAGAAAUUGACGGGCAACAUAAUAUGACCACAAUAAUAUCAUAGCCCUAUGAUUUCUGGUUUUGAGAUGCGUACAUUUGUAACUUUCUUGAUAACAAUUAAUUCUUGAGAUAAUUAUCAGAGGGACAAUUGUAUGCCAUCUACCACUAUUUUUAUAACAAACUCAGUCCUUCAGAAGAAGGAUAUAGAUUCGAUAGGCUAAAGAUUUUUUAUUAUAACUUGAUCGUUGUAUCUGGAGCAUGAAACAAUUAAGUUGGUCCACAUCAAAAAUAUAUAUAUAUUUUUUGCAUGUGAUUUUCUUUUGAGCAAACAGAACAUGGGGAGCAUUUAGCUGUUGCAAGAAUAUCAUCUGGAGCUACAAGACAAUUUCACACUGCAGAGUUGAAUAAAAAUAUUGGGCAAAUUACAUAUAAUCCUCCUGUGGCUUUGUCUGUUGCCACAUGACCCUUCUAACAUUUUAAAAUAUCCAAUUCACCCACUAUGAUUUUAUGUAAAGCGGAAACUUGAUGGAGAAUAGCCUAUAUAAUGUCGUUAAUUGAAAUACCAUUAGUACUUUUACUUAAAUGCUAAAUCAAUCGACGAUUUAAUUACCUUAUAUAAAAGUAUAAGGGGAUUAUAUGGAUAAAUAUAAAAAUCACAGGAGGGAUAAAGUGGACAAUUAUAUAUAAGAGAAUUACAUUGAAAUUAAGACUUUAUCACACACGCUUUUAGAGCGCGUUUGGUAUAAAUGCCGUAACUAAUUGUGCAUUCCAUCAUUUUCCGCUUUACAUAUAACUAUGGGGGGUAUGUGGCUAUUUUGAAAUCUUAGGGGACCAUCUAGCAUUAUAUAAAAUCACCCUAAAAUAUAGUUAUAAGUAAUUUACCCUAAAAUGUUAGAUUCCAGGAGCAAUUAAACAACAAUCAGAACAGGGCAUCAAAAACUGCACAAGCCACUAAGAUAGUUGAUCAAGAACAAAAACUGGACUUACAGGCAUCUCGAACUGAACCUUUAACAGUAUAACCGCGCUCGAGCAGCAGCUUCACCAGCCAUGAAGCUAUGUAACCCGAAGCUCCGGUCACACACACCAUUUUCCCUUCUCCUGCUCCACUCAUUUUGUUAAUAUUUUUGUGUGUGAACCUGUCACCUGUUUGCCUUACUUCUGGACUUAAUGGAGGGAGGCAUAUAUGGUGUAUAUAUAGCUAUGGUGAAGAAGACGAAAGAUUGGAUAUGAGAUUACUGGGAGACUGGGGAGAUCCAUAUGUAUUCUUGCAAUUUGCAUGCAUCAUCGCUGACAUACGUAUGGUAUAAUCGCGUCACAUCCCAUUUUAUCAAGGUCAAUUGAUCAGUGUAAAAUAGAAAUGAACAAUAAAUACAAUGGUAAAUUACCUUCUACACCCUAUGGUUUGAUGUUUUAUCACAUAACUCCCUAUAAUUUAAAAACCUAUAUAUGACCCUUUCGUAGUUUGGGUUAUUGUGUCACUUUAGCUUGUUCUGUUAAAACUAACGGUCAAUAGUAAAAAGUCAAAUUCAAACUACUAAAUUGACAAAUUCACCAUUUCACUACUUUUUUUUUCUUGUUUUCCUUUUCUUUCUUUCCUUUUUUUUUCUUGGAAAGAGAAGAGAUGACUUUGAAAACUUGUAUUUUGGCUUACAAAACCUUAAUUGUUUCCAAAUACAAAAGAGACAGAAGGGAAAUAAAAAUAAAUCAACAAGAAACAAAAAAUAUGGAAGGUAAAGAUAUAACAAAUAAAUAAGAAACAAAAAAACACCAAAUCUUUUUUACUAUGAAUAUCAUUAUAGGUUUUUAAACCAAAUCUUUAAUAGUAUUUUCUAGUUCUUAUUUAUCUAUUUUUUAUUCCAAUUUCUUCUUUUUGAUGUUUGGAGGAAAAAAAAAAACAAGUAAUGAAGGGAUAAAUUUGUCAAUUUAUUAGUUUGACUUUUUAAUAUUAACUGUUAGUUUUGACGAAAAAACUAAUAAUGACACAUUAACUCAAAUCAUGAGGGGGUUAUAUAUAGUUUUUAAACUAUGGGGGUUAUGUGAGAAAAUACCAAACUAUAGAGGUUAAAAUGCAAUUUAGCCUAAAUCCAAAAUUUGGCGGUUGCAUAUGAAAAAAUAACAAGGUUCUUGACUUUGCUCAAUACAAUUCCAAGUCUAGAGACACAAUUUUUAAAUUCACUACCAGGAUAAACCAUUCUCCUUUUUUUUUUCCAUUUUUUCGGGUUAAAAAGUACAAACUACUUGAACUAGAAACUAGUCCUGACAAAGUUUGUGGGUUUUUUGCAAGAGUUUUAGUUAAAUAUUGGUUACUUCGCCUAAUUUGCACCUAUUUUAUCAUGUAAAUGCAUGCACACUUUUAAAAAAUAAUGCAUGCACUUAUAUUAUUGCCUUUCUUACAUUUAAAUACUUUUUUCAAUUUAAUUUUACUUUUCUGGCAAAACUAAAUCUGAAGCCCAUUUCAAGAAAUAUCCACCGAAUACCAGGUCAACAAACCCCCUUCGUAAUAAAGAACGAAAAGAACCGCAGCGUUCUUAACACGCAGCGGUCUUUUUGCAUCUAAGAAAGCUUUUGAUUGGCUAGAAAUCCUUCUCUGAUUGAGAAAUGGGAAUUGACUUGAUGAUGGCAACUCCAUUUAGAAAACUGGUCCACACCCUUGAAUGUGGUUUAAAUUUAAUAACACCAUUUCAUCAUUUCUGACGACUGCUUCUUCUAUAUCCUAGCUCACUGCACACGCCAGUCGUGUGAAACUUGGCAAAAGAGUUGCACCCUCCGUCCUAAAAUUGUCUGUCGCAUUUCGAGAUCCAACUUUUUAAAAAUAGCAUGAUGAUGAUAUUUGUAGAUUUGUUUUAAAAAUUGUCAUCAAAAAUUCAAAUUUUAAAUUGAAUUUAGUAUGAAAUAUAGAUAAAGAUUGGAAUAACAUUGAAAAAAAGAGAUGAAAAGUUAUUUUGAUUUUGAUAAGAUGAUAAAUAUUUUAGAACGUUUCAAAAUAAAAAAAAUAUAUGACAUUUUCAAUGAAACAAAAGGAUGGAGAGAAUAUAUAUAAGAUACUGAAAACUAGCAUCCAUCAGAAGCAGUCAAAUCAAAGCCAACAUAUUACUUGUAGUUUGGUUAUAACAAUAUCUCAGCUUGCUGGUAGCCCAAAAAUUUAGCAAAAUAAAUUAGGAAACCAAGUGCGAUAGAGCAUAUUUCACCCAAAUAUAUUAAAAGUGAAAAAGAUUUAUUUUUAUUUAGUCAAUGUGAUUUUUUGUGUCCGCAUGCCCAUAAAGCUCAAGGACCAAAAAGCCAAACAUACGAAGUGAAAAUGUGAAGAGCAAUAAUUUGAAUAUAAAAAAAAAAACGGGUAGAUGGAUAGAAAACCAUGUCGAAGGUCUCUUCUCUCUCUUUUUUUUUUUUUUGGUUUGACCAUGCAUGGUGCAUAUGAUAUGAAGGAUAAUUGUAAAGCACCAUAUACUGCCCAAGGAAAGUAGAUUACACAGUGGGAACCAAAAAUAGAAGAAAAUAAAGCCUCAUAUGAACCGAAUCUUUCCCCUUGCUUUUUUUCUGGGAAUUUAAAGGUAUAAUGCAAGAAAUAACUCCUGGUCAUGCAAAAUUGCCAACAAAAAUGCGUCUUUGGUUUUAAAUUCCUUAAUAACAUACUAUCCAGCAUACUAUUUAGCAUAAUAACAUACUAUCUCAGAUGCAUCCACUCAAAUAUCCUGGCCGAGAUGGUAUGAGGCCAAUUUUCUAUCAAAAAUAUAGGUCUGUAGCAGGUAAUGACGUUACCUCACUACAACAAAAAUGGCCUUUAGCGGCAUUUAAAGGUGUCAGUAUAGAAAAUCUAACCUGACACUUUAUCUAUCCUGACACCCAUGGCGAGUGUUGUCCCUUCCAAUGUGGGGAUAGCCUCAAAUCUUUAGCAGCAUUCAAAUGUGUCAGGCAAACCAUGCUGCUAUAUCUUUACCUCUGCCAACAAAUCUUUUUUUUGUGAUAAUCGAAAGUGUCUGUAUAGCGUUAGGACAUCAGUAGGGAAUCAGUAGGAUAUCAAAUUUAUGAAGACAUCUUGAGUUGUCUUAAUAUAUGGCUUUAAGGACACGUAGCCAUGUGAAUUUACAAUGUGUUGGACGACAUGCCCAUUUGUUGUUAGUGUUUUUCGAAGCUACAUAAUUUUAUCAACCCAUAUGACAAGGGUUUAUUUUACGUAUUUUUAGUGUGUUUUAUUAGUUAAUUUUGGUUUGAUUAUUUAGUAUUAUAACUAAAAUAACUAAGGUUUUGGUAAAAAACUACAUUUUAUGUUAAAAUGGCUAAACAUUGCAUUUUAUGGAUUUUUAUGGUAAAAACUUCAUAUUUUGUAGGUUUAAUGAUUCAAUCAUCAAAUGAAGUGCAUUGAGAAGAUAUUUGGAUGAUUGAAGAUGGAUUAAAGUGAGGAAAAUAAAAUAUGAAGUGUAAAAGGAAGAAAUGCAAUUUGAGGACAAAAAUCAAGAAAAGUCAGCUUUGACAACUCAGACAUAUUUUCGUAUUUUGACUAUAUCAGGAGCUACAAUGAUCGGAUCAAGGUGAUCUUGGUACCAUUUUGAAGUUAAGAGAUAUAUCUACAUUUGGUAUGAAGACAUCAAAGUCCAGUUCAGCCGUUUUCAUAGUCCAAAAGUUGAAAUACCGAAAUUCAACUCAGCUGUCCAAAGUGGAAAACAGAGUUCCGACCAGUGUUUAGUAUUUUGAUCAUAUCUCAGUCUACAAAGCUCCGAUUUGGAUGAUUCUUGAAGCAUUGGAAAGCUAACUCAAAGAUAUACAACUUUGAUGUUUUGCACAAAAGCCAGUUCGGCCUGCAUCAUGGAGAAAAUCGCAGUUGAAGUAAGGACAAAGUGAAAACGCGAGUGCACAAAACGCGAGUUGUAGACGCGUUUUGUAAAGGCGCGUUUUCUGGCCGAAAUUCUGCAAUUUGCUCAGUCAAUUCUCUUGUGUUCAUACCACUUUCCAGCUAUAAGUUGCAAGAGAAUUCGGUGCACAUGCUUCAGAAGACAAAAGGGCAGACAAGGUGGCUUAUUUUCAAGUCAAAAACAUUUGUUAUUGACUAUCCUAACAAAGUUGAGAUUUGGGAAUCAAAACAUUUGUUAUUUUACUUGUAAAUUUUCUCCAUUUGCUGCCAUUAAGGUUUCCUUUGUUCUUUCACAAUAUUUAGUAGAAAUUAUUCCUUCUUUAAUACAACUUGAAUCAGCUCCACUAUCUAUUAAAGCUACAUAUAUUUCUUUGAAAUCUUCUACUGUAAUAGUUACUAAAGCAUACCAUUUUUGAAAUAUCAUUUUUUCUAUGGUAUUUAAAUAUUGAAUUUCAUCUGUUGGUCUUUCUGAUAUACUUAUUUCUUCUGUUUUAGAAUUGGAAGUUGAUGGUUGAUUUUCUAGUAAUGUUAUUUUUGCUUCUAUUUCUAAAUCUUUUGUUUUUAAUUCUAUGAUUUCUCUUUGUAAUUGUUUUACUUGUAUUUUAAGAUCAUUAAUUUCUGUUUGAAGAUCUUUAGUGGUUUCUUUUUUCAUUAUAUUUAUGUUUAGAUAUUUAUCUAUUAAUUUAGAAAUACUAAAAGGUUCUAUUAUUUUUGGCAUUUUGUCUUCUUGUAUAAUUAGACUUUUUAAUCUUUCUAAAUACUCUUUUUUAGCUACUGGAUCAUCAAUUUUUUCUAUUAUAUCUAAUAAAAAUUCUUUAUCUUCUUUUUUGGUUAUAACAUUUAUAUAUUUUGAAGUGUUAGAACAAUUACAAUUUUCUUCACUUUCUGUACUAGAUAUAUCAUUAUAAUAAUCAUCUUCAGAAUUUUGAUCUUUUUCAUUUAUUAAUAAAUUAAUUAAUUUAUUUUUAAUUUCUUCUUCUUUUGCACAAAUCUCUGUAAUUUUUUCUUUUAAUUUACAUUUGUUUGCUUUAUGUCCUAUUUUUUCACAUUUAUAACAAACAAUUUUUCUUUUAAUAAAUUUUCUCUUCUUUUCUGGUUUAUCUUCUUUAGAUCUUUUAUACUUUAUUUUCUUAUUAUAUUUUUUAACUUUUUUGUUAUAUGCAGAUGGUGAUUUAAUUCUUUAGUAGCAAAUUCUAAAGCUCUAUUAAUUGGUUUUAUUGUUCCUUGAUAUAUAUCAUGUCCUAAAAAUCUUAUUUUUGUUUGGAAUAAUUUCAUUUUUGGUGCUGAAACAACUAAUCCAUUUUUCUUAACUACUUUUAAAAAUAUAUUUAAAUGUUUGAAAUGCUGUUCUAUUGAUUCAGAAAAUAUUAAUACAUCAUCAAUAUAAACUAUGCUAAAUGAACUAUAAGGAUUGAAAAUAUCAUUCAUUAUAUUUUGAAAUUCUGAUGGUGCAUUUUUUAAUCCGAAUGGCAUUACGUUCCAUUCAUAAUGACCAAAAGGUGUUGUGAAUGCUGUUUUAUAUCUAUCUUUUGGUGUUAUUAAUAUUUGCCAAUAUCCUGAUUUUAGUUGUUUCAGCACCAAAAAUGAAAUUAUUUCAAACAAAAAUAAGAUUUUUAGGACAUGAUAUAUAUCAAGGAACAAUAAAACCAAUUAAUAGAGCUGUAGAAUUUGCUACUAAAUUUCCAGAUGAAAUAAAAGAUAAAAAUCAAUUACAAAGGUUUUUAGGAUGUUUAAAUUAUAUAGCAGAUUUCUUUCCUAAAUUAAGACAAGAAUGCUCUAUAUUAUUUAAUAGAUUAAAAAAGAACCAUUUCCACCAGUGAUUGAACCAGAUUGGGAAUUCUCUACUGCAACUUUUUUGAAUGUGAAGAACCAUGAAUGAUUGAAUGGUCUAUACAAAAAAAGCAAAAGUCUAAUUAUACAAGAAGACAAAAUGCCAAAAAUAAUAGAACCUUUUAGUAUUUCUAAAUUAAUAGAUAAAUAUCUAAACAUAAAUAUAAUGAAAAAAGAAACCACUAAAGAUCUUCAAACAGAAAUUAAUGAUCUUAAAAUACAAGUAAAACAAUUACAAAGAGAAAUCAUAAAAUUAAAAACAAAAGAUUUAGAAAUAGAAGCAAAAAUAACAUUACUAGAAAAUCAACCCUCAACUUCCAAUUCUAAAACAGAAGAAAUAAGUAUAUCAGAAAGACCAACAGAUGAAAUUCAAUAUUUAAAUACCAUAGAAAAAAUGAUAUUUCAAAAAUGGUAUGCUCUAGUAACUAUUACAGUAGAAGAUUUCAAAGAAACAUAUGUAGCUUUAAUAGAUAGUGGAGCUGAUUCAAGUUGUAUUAAAGAAGGAAUAAUUCCUACUAAAUAUUGUGAAAGAACAAAGGAAACCUUAAUGGCAGCAAAUGGAGAAAAUUUACAAUUAAAAUAUAAAUUUACAAAAGGAUCAAUAUGUAACAAUGAAUAUUGUAUUAGACAUAAUUUCAUAAUUGUAAAAAAUAUAAAUCAUGAUAUAAUAUUAGGAACACCUUUUUUAAUUCAAAUUUACCCAUUUUCAGUUAGUCAUGAAGGAAUUUCAAUAAAUAUAAUGGGAAAAACUGUUAUCUUUAGAUUUCUAACUCCAGUAAAACAAAGAGAAUUACAGACAUUACAAACAUCCUCUAUUUACAAAACAAUAAAUAGUAUUACUAAAGUACAACAACAAAUAAAUUAUAUAAAAGAAGAAAAAUCUUAUUUAAAAAUUGAAGAACAAUUAAAAGAAAGUAAAAUGCAAAAAAGAAUUUCAGAAUUAGAAGAAUUAUUACAAAAAGAAAUUUGUGCAGAUAUUCCUAAUGCUUUUUGGGAUAGAAAACAACAUAUGAUUGAAUUACCUUACGAAACAGGUUUUAAUGAGAAAAACAUUCCUACUAAAGCAAGACCAAUACAAAUAAUUCUAAUCUAUUAGAAUUUUGUAAAAAGGAAAUAAAAACAUUAAUAGACAAAAAAUUAAUAACACCUUCAAAAUCACCUUGGAGUUGUGCUGCAUUCUAUGUAAUGAAUCAAGCUGAAAAAGAAAGAGGAGUUCCAAGAUUAGUUAUAAAUUAUAAACCAUUAAAUAAAGUAUUACAAUGGAUUAGUGAAUAAUACAAUAAAUUUAUAAAUUUAGAAUUAAUAGAGGAUACAAUAAAUUAAAGUAACCAUUUUUAUAAAUUUAAUAGAGCUCAAAUGCAAAUAAUACAAUAAAUUUAGAAGACAUUAAAAAAGUUUAUCAACAAAAUAAUUAUACAAAUCAAAUCCUUCAUACAAUUUCUCAACAUAUGGAAGUAUUAAACACAAAAAUAGAUACUAUAAAGAAACCAGAAUUAAAAUUCCCUAAUAAUAUUUCAGCACCUCAUUUUCAACCUAGAAGUUUGACAAGAGAAAAAGAACAAGAUUUAGAUUCAAAAUCAGAAGACAAAGCAUCGGCGAAUUAGUGAGAAAAAGAGAACAAAACACUCUCAUGUAAAAAUCCUUAGACAAAUCUCUCAAUCCCUCUUUCCAACUACUCUUGUAUUCAAUUACUUUUGUUUCCUUCCUUCUCCAAAUAUAAUAAAGAUCAAGGAUUCAACCAUUCAUCAAGCUUCUGUUAUCAAAGGCCACUCUAAAUUUUCAGUAAGUCCAAUUUUUAUACUAAAUUUUCUAUGAACAUUUCAAUAGAAAGUAGCCUGGGUAGAAGUGGUAUCAGAGCCACUUAUCACAUUAUCUUUACAGUGUUAUUAAGGAAAGUAGAUUACACAGUGGGAACCAAAAAUAGAAGAAAAUAAAGCCUCAUAUGAACCGAAUCUUUCCCCUUGCUUUUUUUUCUUGGAAUUUAAAGGUAUAAUGCAAGAAAUAACUCCUGGUCAUGCAAAAUUGCCAACAAAAAUGCGUCUUUGGUUUUUAAUUCCUUAAUAACAUACUAUCCAGCAUACUAUUUAGCAUAAUAACAUACUAUCUCAGAUGCAUCCACUUAAAUAUCCUGGCCGAGAUGGUAUGAGGCCAAUUUUCUAUCAAAAAUAUAGGUCUGUAGCAGGUAAUGACGUUACCUCACUACAACAAAAAUGGCCUUUAGCGGCAUUUAAAGGUGUCAGUAUAGAAAAUCUAACCUGACACUUUAUCUAUCCUGACACCCAUGGCGAGUGUUGUCCCUUCCAAUGUGGGGAUAGCCUCAAAUCUUUAGCAGCAUUCAAAUGUGUCAGGCAAACCAUGCUGCUAUAUCUUUACCUCUGCCAACAAAUCCUUUUUUUGUGAUAAUCGAAAAUGUAUGUAUAGUGUUAGGACAUCAGUAGGGAAUCGGUAGGAUAUCAAAUUUAUGAAGGCAUCUUGAGUUGUCUUAAUAUAUGGUUUUAAGGACACGUAGCCAUGUGAAUUUACAAUGUGUUGGACGACAUGCCCAUUUGUUGUUAGUGUUUUUCGAAGCUAAGCUAUGCUGACACUUUUAAUUGCCAGGAGAAUUUUCCCUGGUUUUUUUUUAUAUGGAAGCAACCUGCAAUUAGUCCUCCUUGCUGUACAUUCCAUCAAUCAGAAUCCCAAGGGACUUGUAAAAUUAUCCCAAAGAGCAGAAUGCAUAUGGCAAUGUAAAAGAAGAAGUCGAUACUCAAAUAUAAUUCAUUGAAUUAAAAGUCGAUAACAAGUACAAACAUAGCAAAUACUAAAACGCAAACAAGUGCUAAAAGCAAGUACUAAAAUAUCAAACCAGUACCGAAAGAUUCUCAUUUACAAUAACUUAAAAGCUCUAUCGGAAGCACAAAAUAAAAGACUCCCAUCCCUAAUAAGUUGAAAGAAGUAGAAGUAGCUUCCAAACUUUCCAUUUUGUUGAGAGUCCUCAGGCAUAACCACGAAGUCCCCAUCAUUCUUCAGCUGGUUCCACCUGUGCACAAAGACCAAGGGGAUCAUUAGAUCAUCAUAACUAAAACUAAAAUUCCAGAAAAUCCGCAAUGUAUUUAAGUGCAUAUCUCACCAAAUGACAAGGCCAAGCAACUGGUGCACCAAGUGCAUCUUGAAUCGUUUGUUGUAAACCAUAUGGUCUAAUCAAUUGCUCACGUGGAGUCAUUGCAACUUGUAUCUGUAUUUCACACCAGUUUGGCCCAAGAGCUUGUCCCCCGACCUCAUCCAAAGGAUUCAGACUCCGUAAAUAUCCCUUUGCCACGAUUUUUGUUGGGUCAAACAAACUUUUUAGUGAAACCAUAUUCCCUACCUAGUAAACAUCCAACAAGUACAAGAAUCAAACUCAUGCCAAAUUCCAGAUUACAAAUGCAAAAGUUUAGAAGUUGUAAAUACUUACUCAAAUAGGUCGCGUGGCUCGCGAUGGAGCAUGGCUUGACACAUUGUUAGAUGAUGAUGAAGGAUGUCUCGGGCUGUCAAUUGGAGAACCCCUUCCAUGUUGAACUAAAACCAUUUUCUUCAAGCUGGCUAUUUCAUCAUCUUGUCGCUGAAGCCUUUCCUCCAAACGGACUAAUGUUGACUGUUGUUGAACACUUAUACGGUAGCAUGUGUUACGACUAGGAAUGUCUUCCCAUAAGUCCGUUGGAUUCACACCGUCACUAAGCAAGCGAACAUGACCAUGUUUGUCUUGCCCAACCACCUGGGCAAAUAUAUCAUCACGACCAACUGGAUCUUGCGAAUCCGAUGGAAGCUGAUUUUUCAGCUCAGUCAUUUUUUCCUACAUAAUAAAGGAAAACACUUGUUAUUGCAAAAGACUGUCUGAAAACAUCCAUGGUAGAAUUGAUAGGCUUGUGUUCUCGGAUCCUUACCAAAUUCUCAGCAACUAUGGUACUUGAUGGAGUUUGUUGACCUUGGUCGAUCAAUCCUUGGUUUUGAUGAUUAACAAACCAAAAUGUAGAUUUGGGCUAAUGUUUUUAUGUGAGCAAUUUGUUAGAACAGAUUCUUGUGGCACAAAAGAAGAAGCAAAAACAGGGCACUCAUGUGAGACGUCCGAAAGGAAGCUAUCGGACGUCCGAAAGGAUGAAGAACAUCAGGAAGGAUAUUCUGUCGGACGCUCGUGAGAAAGCAUCGGACGUCCGGAUGGAUCGGACACACUCUUCGGACGCACAUCGAUCGUGUCGGACGUCCUAAAAAUUUCACGAAGAUUUGAUAACUCUCUGGACGACGUUCGGACGCAGGGUUCGGACGUCCGACAGGUGGUUUGGACGCAGGGUUCGGACGUCCGACAGGUGGUUCGAACGUCCGACAGGCCAACGGCUAGUUUUGACAGCAUUUAAUAUUUGACCGUUGGAGAGCCUUUUGGAGCCAUUUCUCACAUUCUAUAAACACCCCAAAGCACAAGAAGACACGGGACUUUUGCCAACACAAUAUACAAGCUUACAAGUGAGAUUUUUGAGUAGAAAGAUUCUUUGUUGGUUGUAUAAGGGGUUGGGGAAGUUGGGUUGUGAGGUUGCUCAAGUGAAGGUUAUUCUCUAGGAGGAGUAAAACCUGGUGAAGGUGAACCUAUUCACUUGAAGUGGUAAAACCUUGGUGAAGGGUUGCCUCAUUUGUAUAAAAUAGUUCUUAAUUGGUGAGUGGGGAUCUUUCAAGUGUAGGUUGUUGAGGGUUAACUAGAAUUGUUGUAAAACUCUUGGCUCAACCAAAGUGUGUUUUGGCGUGAGGAAGGGAGGUGAGCCUUCACUUGUACAUCUUGGUUAGCAUCGCCAUCAUUGAAGAGGCUAUUGGUUUGAUAUUUGGUUUGCAUUUCUUAUCCUUUCUCUUUAAUUUAAGUUUUCCUUUAUUGUGCUUAAAUUUGAUAUAUCUUUGUGCAUCAUUGUGAAAUUUGUUUGUACUCAUUAGGUUGCACCGGGCACUUACAAUUGGUAUCAGAGCUUGGUCUCUUUUGAGAGCUUAAUCCGGCUUGGAGUAAAGAUCAAUGGCAACCAUAAAAGUUUCCUUUUUUAGAAGGGCAAUCUAUUGAAGACCACUAUGUUUAAUGGUUCUCAUUUUAGCAUGUGGAAACAAAGAAUGAUGAUUUUCUUACAAUCCAUUUAUAUUGAAUUUGGUAUGUGGUAGAAGAUGGUCCUUUAUGAAGCUAGAAUAGUUGACUCUACCAUCAAUUUGAGUAGAUUAAAGACUAGACAAGAAUUGAAUGGAAAAGACAAGAGAUACCUUUCUUUGAAUGCCAAGGCCAUGUGUAUAUUGUACAAUGCAUUAGAUGUAAAUGAAUCUAGUAGGAUUAAAGGUUGUAAAUCAGCUAAAGAUAUUUGGGAUAAAUUGUGUAAUUUCAUGAAGGUAACCAAGAUAUUAAAGAACAAAAGAAAUCUUUGCUUGUUUCUCAAUAUGAAUUUUUCAAAAUGAUCCUCUGAAAAUGUUGAUAAGAUGUUAGUAGAUUUGUGACAUUAUUAAGAUCUUAAAUUGCUUGCUAGAGAAUAUUCUUUGGUGAGAAAAUAGAAGAUUUUGAAUGCUUGCCAAAAGAAUGGGAAAACAAAAUAAAUGCUAUAGAAGAGCAAAGGAUUUAAAUUCUAUGUCCAUUGAAUCUCUUGUGAAUUCCCUAACUUCUUAUGAAUUAAAGCUGCAAUUCAAAGUGCAAGAGAAAGAAAAUGCAAGAAUGUUAUAAGAGAGGCAUAGCUUUUAAAGCAUCUCAAGUGGGGGAUAACCCAUCUUUCAUGGGUAAUGAAAACAUGGAAGUGGACAAUGAUAUAACUCCUCACAUCAAAAGUUUCAAGAAGAUCUUCAACAAGAGAAGUUCAAGAGGAGAUUGCAAAAUUACAUGGGAUGAAUACUAAUUCAAAAAGAGAAAAAGAAGAGUUGGCACAAAUGGCACUAAUGGCCUUUGGAGAAGAUGAGGUAAAUUCUUAUCACUCUUCUUGUGAUGAAGAUAAUGAAGAUGAUGAUGUGAAAAUUCUUAUGAUUAAAAUGCAUAAAAGUUUGAGAAAAUCUUAUGCUAAAAAUAAAGAUUUGAAAACAAAAAUAAAUGAUUUGUUGGAAGAAAACUCCAAACUUUUUCAGGAAAACAAAUGUUUGAGAAUGGAAAAUGAUGAUUUAAAAAAUCAAAAAAAUGUUUUUGAUUGCAAAAAUAAUUUGAAAAGGAAGUUGGAAGAGAAAACAAAGUUUUAUGGAAAAAUGUUGGAUGAACAAAAUUUGUUAAAGAAAAGAAUUAAUGACUUGAACGAGUUUCUCCAAAAUGAAAAACAAAAGUUUUCUCAAACAAAAGAAAGCAAAUCUUUUCAAGGCACAAAUACGUUUGCUAUGAUAAGAAGUAAGAAAAUUAGUUGCAUUAAAUCCACUUAUGUGCAAAAUACUUCUAUCAUGUGUCACUUUUGUUGUCAAUUUGGACAUAUGCAAAAUGAUUGCUAUGUAAAGAAAAAUAUGAGAAAAGGUAUGAAAUCCAUGUGGAUUGCUAGAUCAUGUUGUACUAACUCCCAAGAACCCUAUAAAAACUUACAAUUGGUAUCAUGAAAGUUUUGUCAUUCUAUAUGGUCUUGAUUUGGAAAAUAAAGGGGGAGUUUACUUUUUGAUUGAUGUCAAAAGAGGGAGUAGGAUUUAUUGAAAUUUCUUUGUAUGUUGGCAUUUUCUAAGGGAGAGUUUUAUUUGAACUUAUUUGAUCAAAGAAAUCUUCAUUUUGUUUGUCAUCAUCAAAAAGGGGGAGAUUUUUGACCUUGGUCGAUCAAUCCUUGGUUUUGAUGAUUAACAAACCAAAAUGUAGAUUUGGGCUAAUGUUUUUAUGUGAGCAAUUUGUUAGAACAGAUUCUUGUGGCACAAAAGAAGAAGCAAAAACAGGGCACUCAUGUGGGACGUCCGAAAGGAAGCUAUCGGACGUCCGAAAGGAUGAAGAACAUCAGGAAGGAUAUUCUGUCGGACGCUCGUGAGGAAGCAUCGGACGUCUGGAUGGAUCGGACACACUCUUCGGACGCACAUCGAUCGUGUCGGACGUCCUAAAAAUUCCACGAAGAUUUGAUAACUCUCUGGACGAUGUUCGGACGCAGGGUUCGGACGUCCGACAGGUGGUUUGGACGCAGGGUUCGGACGUCCGACAGGUGGUUCGAACGUCGACAGGCCAACGGCUAGUUUUGACAGCAUUUAAUAUUUGACCGUUGGAGAGUCUUUUGGAGCUAUUUCUCACCUUCUAUAAACACCCCAAAGCACAAGAAGACACGGGACUUUUUGCCAACACAAAUAUACAAGCUUACAAGUGAGAUUUUUGAGUAGAAAGAUUCUUUGUUGGUUGUAUAAGGGGUUGGGAAGUUGGGUUGUGAGGUUGCUCAAGUGAAGGUUAUUCUCUAGGAGGAGUAAAACCUUGGUGAAGGUGAACGCUAUCACUUGAAGUGGUAAAACCUUGGUGAAGGUUGCCUCAUUUGUAUAAAAUAGUUCUUAAUUGGGUGAGUGAUCUUUCAAGUGUAGGUUGUUGAGGGUUAACUAGAAUUGUUGUAAAACUCCUUGGCUCAACCAAAGUGUGUUUGGGGUGAGGAAGGAGUGAGCCUUCAGCUUGUACAUUCUGGUUAGCAUCGCCAUCAAUUGAAGAGGCUAUUGGUUGAUAGUUGGUUUGCAUUUCUUAUCCUUUCUCUUUAAUUAAGUUUUCUUUAUUGUGCUUAAAUUUGAUAUAUCUUUGUGCAUCAUUGUGAAUUUAUUUGUACUCAUUGGGUUGCACCGGGCACUUACAGAGUUCCAUCGGCAUGGGUAUAAAACUUAUUGAACAUUUCUACUCUAGUAGGAGGUCUUCCCAACUGUUUGGCCUAUAAGAAAUUGAAUCGUUUUAAUUAUAGUUUUAGCAUUUAGCAUAUAAUUAAAAAACAAGCUAACAUAAUGAAACAUGUACGAGCAAAAAAAAUUAGCAACUAAAAAGUGGAUGAGGUAUCACCAAGUGGUUCCGAAGAUGAGCAAAUUACUUUUUUCUGGUUGUGUGGUUCAUCUUCUUCUCCCCUCUAGCUUUCUUGUUCCUCUCACUUAGUUUCUAAAUUUCAAAAUGAAAAGCAAGAUUACAGCAUUGAAUGAACACAACUUUAUGAAGAAUGUUGUAGCUGAUUUGUACCUUUGCUUCUUCACUUUUCCAAUAAGCCCAAAGUUUGAUCCAUUGCUCUUCCCGUACCCUUAUGUCCUUUUGAAACCGAGCUUCAGCAUUUGGCACGGCAGAAUCAAAAUAGUUAGCCUUUAAAUCUGCCUUCCAGCUUCUCCAUUUUUUGCCAAUAGAUCUUAAGGUCCAAGCUUCCAGUCCCAUAGGCAAAGCAAACCUUUCCUGAAACGUAGUUAGCAACAAGAAAAUCAACACAACUUCACAGUAAUUUUUGUACAAAGCAUACAUAAUACAAAAGCUGCCAUUACCUUUAUCACUUCUAACAUGUCCAUUUUAAGUUUCCUUGGCAUCUUAAGCCAUGUUUCAACAUCUAUUGGACAAUACAUACCAUUCCUAGCCAAACUGCCCAAGAAUUCAGAGAAAGAGUUUUUCUCACUUAUUGGGAUCCCAUUGUCAUCGAGUUUAAUCUCAAUCCGUGGAAGUUCCUUAGGCCGACCCCAAAUUUCUUUCAUAAAUAUAGGGCCUCGGGUUUUAUGAUUUACUUCACUUGAAUCAUUUGUAGUUUCUUUUCCUGUUUAAAAUAAGAAAAAGGUGCAAGUUAUGAACAUAACAAAAUGCACUUCUGGAAUUGGUUCAAAACAGUUAGUAAUACCUGCAUUGUCCGAGUUGCAUGACAUGAAGGUGGUGUCACUGGAAUGUGGACCUCGAGAAUCCUGAUUUGGACUUUCUUCGGUUGCUUCAUGCCUUGUUCCAAGUGGAGAUUGUUGAAUUGGAGAGUUCUGGCACUGCUCAUGCGACUUGGAACCUCCAUCAGCUUGUUGAGUAACUUGGUCACCUGAUUCAUGCAUUAUUCCCAAUGUAGAAUUCUGAAUUGCAGAUUGAGGUGCCCGAGCAGCUUCUCCUUGCACUUGUUCAAUUACAUUUUCAUGGCUUGUUCCAAGUGGAGGCUGCUGCCUUGUUUCAUAACAUGAGGGAGGUUGCUCAAUUGGUUCAUCUCUCAAUCCAUUUGCAGCGCGCUUACAUUUUCGACCUCUACGGGCCAUACCUGCAUAAUAUUUGAGUGAAGAAAGGGACAAAUGUAAAUGUUUAAAAUUUAUUGAAGCACACUCUCUACCUAUAGUUUCUUUAACUUACAAAUGCUAUUAUAAAGAAGUACUACUUGAACAAUAAACUGGCAUGACAAGUAACAAAUGGCAUUCUGCAAGAAUAAACCAGGGGAAGACUAUGGAGCUGUCAACAGAACAGAGAAACAAAUGGAGAAUAUAUGAUUCAAUGCAGCAACUAAUUGGAAAUGAAAUGAAAGCUACAUGCUUAAGUGACUGCAAGAAUAUACAUGGGAAAUGCUUUGAUCUACAUCCUUUCAGCAUGAAAGAUAUGCAGAAUUUACUACCGCUAGACACGAAACUUUUUCCAUAUUGUUUUGAGAAUGAUGCCUAUGAUCAAAAGUUGGUAUGCUUAUGCUCAAUGAGGGUGUAAGUAGAAGAGUCCACGUAAUUUUAACUUCAGUAAUGGAGCAAACUAAUAAAUGAUUGUCUUGAAUUAACGAAAUAUACUUGGCCAUGUGAUAACCAAAAAUUGCAGAGGAUAAUGUAUUCUACCAACAAAUACAAGUCUUGGUUUUGUAUGUUUAGGGUGGCAAUCGGGUCGGUUAUGAAGCUCUACUGAAUACUUUUAUUUCCAGAUUCUGACAUGGUUCUGCAUUUAUCAAGAACUUGUCUCAUCUAAACAAGAGCUCAAGCUUUACGUAGCAUUGACGAUUCCAAACCAAAUUACUUCUCUUUUUGCCAGAGCCACAUCCACAGUUAUGGGUUGACACUUAACAGUAAAUGCACAAACACUUUGUCCAAUACAAUUGUAGCAGUACAAACAAUACAGUUGUAGAACAGGAAGGAGACGAAGAGCAUCACGGUGAAAGACUGAAAACGAGAACCCAUCACCAAAAAUAGAUGGUUGAAAUUGUACAUUCAGUUCACAGUAGCAGUCUCCAUUCGACCAGGCUCACCUAGAAAUGUGCUUCUCAGAAAUGUGCUUUUCACACCGCCACCACCCCAAAAGCUUUUCACACCACCACCACCCCCCAAAGCAAACAUUCUACCUAGAAAUGUGCUUCUCAGAAACGGAGAAGGUGCUUGUCAGAGAUGGGAAUCGAAUAGCCUAAAAACUAAAUCUACCAAGCAAUGCAAGAACAUGUCUACCAUGCAAUGCAGAAUUAGACACAAAAUACUGAAAUUACCUCAAACUAUGGCUUGAAUCCCUAAUUUCUCGGUUUCCCAAGCUUUGAAGCCCUAAUUUCUGAUUUCUUCCCACCAAGCCAACACAACAGCCGAAUUAGGGAUUUGCCUGGUGCGAGCUCAACCAAGUUACCCAAAAGGGUGCGAGUUCAUGGACGGCAAUUGACUCAAAUUGGUUGUGCGAGCUUGAAAGAGAGAGAGAGGACAAAGGCAGAGGACAACGAGAGAGGGAGAAGAUGUCUGAAAUAAAGGCGGUACUAAUGACGCCAAAGUAAAUUAGUCAAGCCUCUUGAAUUUUUCAAUUUGCCGCGCUACUAAUGACAAUUUUUGUGUGUUUGGGCAAAAUUUUGUUAAAGCUAGAUAACAACUAAAAAUUUGGUUAAAGCUAUAUACAAUAUAAUAUAACAACUAAAAAUAUAAAGGCUAAAAAUCUUGUUAAAGCUAUAUAACAACUAAAAAUAUAACAAAUAAAAAUUUUGCAAGAGCUAUAUACAAUAUAAUAUAACAAUCAAAAAUUUUGUUACAGCUAUAUAACAACUAAAAAUAUAACAAAUAAAAAUUUUGUUAAAGCUAUAUACAAUGUAAUAUAAUAACUAAAAAUAUAAAAAUAAUUAAAAAUUUUGAGAAGCUAACAAAAAACAUUCUUUUAAUCAAAAUGUUUUCGGUUACUCAAUUUAUUUUAUGCUGCGAGCAAUUAUGUACGGCUUGUAGUCUAACAAGCCAUUGGAAGGAUCGAAUUAGUUUAUGAAACAAGAAAAUUAACUUGUGAAUGCAUGAACUUUCCAUUGAUAAACAUUGGGAUUAGAAUUGACUGAACAUAAACAAUGAAUAUAUAUAUAUAUAUAUUCAAUGUUUUCAAUUCCAAAGCAAUUGCCAUUGAACUUUGUGUUAAUUAGAAACUUACUAUCACUUACAAGAUCUUACUAUUGAACUUUUCAAUGAUUAACCUUAGGCUUACACUUACAACGCAUUAAUUGAACAUAAACAUAUAUAUAUAUAUAUAUAUAUAUAUAUAUAUAUAGGGUAAAAAACAAAAAGGCCCCCUGUAGUUAACCUAAUACACAGAAAAGCUCCCCAUGGUUUCAAAAUAUACAACACGAUCCCUCAUGCUUUGAACUAAAUUGUAAAGGUGACGGAAUCCGUUAAACUUAACGGAAAUGGACGAAAUGACCAAAAUGCACUGAUAUAAUUAAGCAAAAGACAGCUCAAAAAAAUCAUUUGUUUCAUUCUCUAAGUAGAGAGAAUUGAGGGUUAAGGGGUAGAAUAUGCAUAUUUGAUAAAAAAUAGGCAUAAAAAUUUUUUUUUAGGUUCCAAUAAGUCAUUUCCGUUAAGUUUAACGGAUUCCGUCACCUUUAUAAUUUAGUUCAAAACAUGAGGUGUCGUAUUGUAUAUUUUGAAACCAUAGGGGAUUUUUCUGUGUAUUAGGCUUACCACAGGGGGUUUUUUUGUUUUUUACCCAUAUAUAUAUAUAUAUAUAUAUUCAUUGUUAAAAAUUCCAAAGCAAUUGCCACUGAACUUUGUGUUAAUUAGAAACUUACUAUCACUUACAAGAUCUUACUAUUGAACUUUUCAAUGAUUAACCUCAGGCUUACACUUACAACGCAUUAAUUGAACAUAAACAUAUAUAUAUAUAUAUAUAUUCAAUGUUUUCAAUUCCAAAGCAAUUGCCAUUGAACUUUGUGUUAAUUAGAAGCUUACUAUCACUUACAAGAUCUUAAUAUUGAACUUUUCAAUGAUUAACCUUAGGCUUACACUUACAACGCAUUGAUUGAAGGAUAAUCUAAAAUUGCGACUAAACCGAUUAAAUUCGAUCAAAGAUCAGUUGGACUAGAAAGCUCUAUCGGAAUUAACUUUUUGUAUUGUUAUUGGUUUAAAAAAUAAUUUUUUCAUGGUAUUAAAAAAUUAUUUAAGAAAUUUAUAGAUUAAAGUUUCAAAAUAUUUCUAUUGAUAAAAAAUUAGACCUUGGGUUAUUGGGAAAAAGAAUUGGCCAUAAUAUAAUGAUUCACAAAUGUAAUAUUACAGCUUACAAUUAAUGGAAUUGCUUAUAAAAUAAUGACCAGUAUUUAUGCAGCCCAUUGGGCUCUUAAAAUGAGUAAUGGGUUCCUUGGAAAGUUGGAUAGUUUUAUGUUUGGUCUGAAAUGAUUUGCACAUUCCGUACGUUGCCAAUUGUUCUCCCCAAACCAUAGAUGUCUGAGGAAGACAGACUCUACAUCUUCAUCCAUGGACUUCAACCGUGGGUACAGAUGGAGUUGCGGUGACAAAAUGUUCAGACCGUGUCUCAAGCACUUGCUACUGUCGAGAAGUUGAUAGACUUCAAGUCCAUAGGAUCCAAAAGUGAAAAAAAAAGAAGGGCAAGGCCUAGCAAUUGAAACAGAGAAGAAUAGGGCCAGCAAGCUUAGCAACUAUAAAAGAUACUAAAUCAGAUUAUAUUGGGACAAAUCAACUUCAAUCCCGAGUCCAUCCUCACGAACCCAACUAAUUUCCUCAUUUUCAUUCUCAACAACAGGAUUGCCAACAUCACUUUGCAAAUAUGUCUCAACAUCCAUGAUUGUUCCCAUGUUAUAUCCAGCUCUUGCAGUGGUAGAGAUAACAACUUGCCAAUCCUUAUCAGUUGGAUCUGCCACAUAAAAAACCUGUGAUGCUUGUGAAGCGAGUAUAAAUGGCUCAACAUGAGGCCUCACGUUUGCAAAAUUGACUAAAGUAAACCCAUCAGCAUCUUGUUUCAUUCUCGAACCAUUUGAUAUCCAAUCACAUUCGAAUAACACCACCCGAUGACCUCCGUAAAUUAAUUCAAUCAUAUUUUUCAAGACGCCGAAGUAAACUAGUUCACUCAAAACUGGAUUUUGAUCCCUUAUACUUGCAAAACUGGAUGUUGUUGCAUUGACUGUAACACCACUAUUCUGCGUUUUUCUUUUCUUCUCAACUUCUUUGGUGUGAAACCGAAAUCCAUUAACAACAUACCUGUCAUGUUGGAUUCCAACAACAUCUGGACCUUUAGCAAGGAACCUCAACUCUCUCAACACCGAAACAUUUUGAGGAAGUUCUAACUUGUCAAUCUGUAAAAAAUAAAUAAAUAAAUAAAUAAAUAAAAGAAGAUGAAACUAUAUUUGAAGUCCUACAAUUCAAAUUGUACUUAAUAUUCAGAAUUUUACUUACAUGUUCAGCAAACCAACACGCAAAAUUUUCGCAGUGCAAGCGCUCUUUUAGAUGCUGUGGAAUUUGAGGAUGUCCUUCUUCUAUCAAUCUACGAUGCUGCCUAGAAGUACAUGAGUCAAAAUUGUAAUCAUACAUUGAAUUCUACAAUAAAAUUUUAAUGCAUCAAGUUGUAGUUGAACUUACUCUAUGUAAGGUGUGACAGCAUCACAAUUAAAUAAAAUAUACUGAUGUGCUUUACUCAAGAUAUGAGCAUCAAAGACUGUUGGCUUGCCCCUCCCCAAAGGAUGUCCUGAUUCAGAGAAUAUAUCUAAACCAUCUUCAAUUUCCUUAUGUACUUCUUCAUUUCUGCUUGGACGAUUGAAUUUUGUCUCAACAUAGUCCGCAAGAUACAAUGAGCAAAAGUUAAUGCAUUCUUCUGCCAAGUAGCCUUGAGCAAUCGAACCUUCAGGCCUACUUUUAUUUCGAACAUAAGAUUUUAAUGUUCCUAAGUACCUAAAGUAUCAUCAUUCCAACCUCUCUAAUUACUUCCACAAAUCAAAGAAAGCAAAAAAGGAAUAAACAUUUAAGGCAUAAUGAGAAUUACAAGCAGUACCUCUGUAUAGGAUACAUCCAACGAUAAUACACCGGCCCACCUAAUUUCACUUCAGUUGCCAAAUGAACAACUAAAUGCACCAUGACAUCGAAGAAGGUUGGUGGGAAGCAUUUCUCAAGAUCGCAGAGUAUGACGGCAAUUUCACUUUCCAAACGAACCACAUCUUGAGGACAAAUAACUUUAGAACAAAGCUGCCUGAAGUAUCUACUCAAUCGAAUCAAAGGAUAGCGCACUGAUUUUGGCAAAGUCUUUCUCAAAGCUAUAGGCAUCAAUUGCUGCAUUAGGAUAUGAUUAUCAUGACUUUUAAGCCCUGAAAUUCUUGGUGGUUUUACUCGAACGCAUCUUGAGACAUUAGCUGCAUAACCAUCUGGAACUUUCACUUUUUUUAGCACAUUGCAAAACAUAGUUUUCUGUUUUUUAUCCAUUGCAAAGGAAGAUGGAGGUAAGUACACCUUUCCAGGUUCUGUCUCAAUGGGAUGCAGCUCUUUUCUUAUUCCCAUUUCUCUCAAAUCACGGCGGGAAUUAUAAUGGUCCUUUGCUUUAUCCUCAAUAUCCAGCAAUGUCCCCCAAAUAUUUUCACAAACAUUCUUCUCAAUGUGCAUGAAGUCAAGAUUGUGUCUUAAGACAUUAUCUUUCCAAUAUGGCAAGUCAAAGAAAAUACUCCUCUUUUUCCAAUUGAAAGGCAGCUUCGGAUUACCUUUCACAAGUUUUCCAAAUUUAAUUUGCAAGUCUCCCAAUUCACUCACAAUCAUAUCCCCGGUUUGCAAAGGUGGUCGCUUUCCAUGUUCUUCGGUGCCAUCAAAGAAUUGGGCUUGCUUUCUAAAUUUAUGCUUACUAUCUAAGAAUCUCCGAUGACCUAUGUAGCAAUAUUUGAAACUAUGAGUCAACCGUCGUGCAUGAGUGAACUUGUGACAAACAGGACAAGCAUAUUCACCUUUAGUGCUCCACCCAGAUAACAUUGCAUAUCCAGGGAAAUCACUAAUGGUCCACAACAGAGCCGCAUGCAGUUGAAAAUUUUCUUUUUGGGAUGCAUCAUAAGUUUGAAUGCCAAAAUCCCACAAUUCGGUCAGUUCUUUAACUAGAGGCUGUAGAUAAACAUCAAUAUUAUUCCUAGGAGAGGAUGGUCCGGGUAUUAACAAAGACAACAUGAAGUACGGUUGCUUCAUACACAUCCACAGAGGUAAGUUAUAUGGUAUUAAAACUACAGGCCAAGUACUGUGUGUAGAACUCAUGUUGUUGAAUGGAUUAAACCCGUCAGAUGCCAACCCCAAUCUAACAUUUCGACAAUCCUUAGCAAAUUCUGGAUGUAGAUGGUCAAAAGUUUGCCAAGCUGGAGAAUCAGCUGGAUGUCUCAUACAACCAUCUUUUGUACGUUUUGCCUCAUGCCAUCUCAUUUGAGAUGCAAUUUUAGAAGACAUAAAUAGUCUUUGUAAUCUAGGUUUUAAGGGAAAAUGCCGCAACACUUUUUGAGGAAUUUUCCUUUUUUCCCCAGUUGGAUCAUUUUCUGAAGCAACCCACCUAAGCUCGUUACAUGUUUCGCAUGAAGUUCUUUUUUCAGCACUACCCCUAUAAAGAGAACAAUCAUUAGGACAUGCAUCAAUCUUUUCAUAACCCAGCCCCAAUGUAUUCAUCAAUUUCUCAGCCUCAUAGUAAGAAGACGGCAAAUUAGUCAUGGCCUCCGGAAAUGCUUCUCUCAACAGCUCAACAAGCAUAUUAAAAAUCUUGUUACUCAUCUUACCCAGGCAUUUUAGGUGAAGCAAACGAAUAAUGAAAGACAAUUUCGAGAAAUUUUUGCAACCAUUGUACAAAUUCUGUUGAGAAUCAUCAAUCAAUUUGUAAAAUUUUUUCAGCCUCUGAAACAGGAAUGUCCCCUUCUCUAUUCAAUUCAUUUGUUCCAUGUGGUAUCCCAAAUACAUCAUGGACCAAGUCUUGCAUGUCAUUAGUCCCAUUUGAAAACCCAAUUGAUGUAUUUUCAGAAUUAGAUGUGGCUUCAUUGUAGUUUGAAAGUUCUCCAUGUGCUGUCCAAUUAUUAUAACCCUUGAUAAAUCCUACCACUUUCAAAUGAUCAUAUGCUUCCAUUUUUGUCACACAAACACCCAUGCCACAAUCUUUGCAAGGACACAAAAUCUUUCCGUCACAACUUGAUCUAGAAAAUGCGAAGUUUAGAAACAUUUGAAGUCCUGUCUCGUACUUUUCACUUGUUCUUGGAAAAUCCAUCCAUCUUUUAUCCAUACUUUUAAUAUAAAUAAAUGUCCUCCAACGAGCUUCCAAUAGCCUACUUUUUAAACUCAGGUCGUGGCUUACAAGUCCCUAAUUUCAAGUUCAAGAAUUUCUCAACAAAAAGGAAUUUAUCAAGCAGCCAGCAAAUAAAGGAAAUCAACAAAAUGCAAAAUUUCUCAACAAUCUAUAAAAACAGAAUUUGCAAGUAAGCGGAUAGAAAUUUUAUUUACCUAAUAACAGAAAAAAACCCUUCGUACCAACUCCUGCGCUCACGUCUUCGCAAAAUUCCUAAGUUCAAUCUGAAAUGUCAAUGGUUAAACAAACACAUGAGCAUGAAAACUAAAGGUGAAAUUCAAGAAUUUUACUAAAUUUUCAUCAAAGUAUACAUACAUCUUUGGUGUGUAGUGAUUAAUUUUAUAAGUCAUCUCUUUAGAAAGGCAUGCAAUUGACGGCAUAGGUAAUUGGAAAAAGAAUGACAGAAAAGUCCCCUAGCUUCUAAUCAUGCCUAUGAAGAUCCUUAUGAACAUGUCAAAAUACUUUGACCCAACUACAUCAAUGUCUCUGUCUUAUUAAUCUAAAAGUCCCCUUUUUUGGGCUCAAAAUUUGCACUAUAAUAGACUGAUCAAGUGCAGAAGACACUUAGUACAAGCGUUAUACUAUAUAUUUCAAGCAACUCACGUACUGAUUAGACAUACAAUUUAAAACAGAAAAAUGAUGUAAAGAUGCAAGUACUACAUAGAAUUUAACAUAGAAAAAAGCAAUAGUGAUAUAAGUGAUACCAUUGGGUGAAAUAUGCACUUAGCCGGAGGACCACCUUUGUGGCAAAAGCCAAAAGGCAGCAAAGGUUACCAUUGUUAUGCAAAUUUUGUGCCUCACAUUGGCGGUCCAUUAUCUGCAUCUUAAUUGUCUUUGGGCUUAUAUAGUCACGGUUUCCCAAUUCUGUCACCAGAAUAAUUUCCUGCUAGGCAUAUAUAGACCAUGGUCCUUGUUUCAUUUAUUUAUAUCGAACUUGUUGCUGAGUGUUCAUGAUUACGAUAAGCAAUGCAAUUUGGUUGAAGCUCUCUAUUCACAGUUUUGCUUAACCGUCCCCAUCCCCAAACAGAACUAGCUGCCUAAACAAACUUCAAUUACAGCUAGGUUUCAUAGAAAAAAAUGAAAAACAGGGGGAAUUGACUUUUUAUCGAACAGGUUUUGGGCAACAUACUAAUCACCCGUGGACACUUUAUUAGCUAGCCUAUGUACAAUUAUGGCAUGACGAUAGAACAAAUGUAACAUGGACAUAAAGAUCGAUCUCCUCAAAAAAUACGCAAUCCAAUUGAACAAAUUUCCUCAAGUUUUCAUCUCCAUUGCAGCUAAAGAAAAAGCAUCCAACACCGAGUUGCUAUUAAUGCUACAAUUAGAUAGAUAUCAUAUUUAAAUCUUUCAACAAUCUUAAAUGAGGACAAUAUAACUCAACUAGCGACAGCUCAGGCCAAGAAUCUUUACUUCUCAGAAAAAAAUUUCCAAGUUGCAGGUAAUUUCUUGACAACGAAAUCAAACAUAAGAGCUUCAUUGUGUUUACCACUUCGAUUUUGGAACAACAUUUGCGCGCCUGAAGUAUCUUCCAGCUUUCCCAAUGUACAGCUCCGAUCUUCUAAUUUUACUCCCUGCCUGCCCUUCCAGAUGUCUUAGCCGAAGGAUUUAAAGUUGAGGUUAGAAAAGAUGAAGAUGGUUGUUUGCGGAGACAGCUUGACCAACAUUCUGGAUUGGCUGAGAUAGAUUGUAUGCGGAGAGGUGAGAGAGAUGAGAAGAAGAAAAUUUUCACCAAGUCCUUUUGCCGGCAAAAUGAAACUUCAGAGUACUUUACCAAGUGUCUGGAGCCAAAUUAAAACGAUGUCAUUUUCUGUCUUUUUUUUUUCUCACAUUUUCCCAAGUGUCAUGAUAGGUAGUCUAAAGACACAUUAUUAUUUUAUAUCAUGAUAAAAUAAAAAAAUUAUAGUACAGAUUAUUGAGUUGGUUAAUAAGUGUCAUGAUACGUUUGGUAUAACGACACAAACCAACAAGUGUCCUUAUAAACAUGUCAGAAAAGGCCAUUUUUGUUGUAGUGCCUGUUGCGUUUUGAAUUUCUUAAAUAAAGGUCUUCUCUUACCCCCAAGCUAAAUUUCACACACGUUGCUCUUAUUCCUAAAUAUUUAGAGCCCAAGCAAGCAAAUAUCUCAAUUCCGUCCACUAAGUUUAUGUAAUGUAGUGUACAAAUUAGCGUCUAAAGCCAUCUCUAAUCGAGUCCGUGUUCUUUUACCGAAUAUUAUUUCUGAUCUCAAUCGGCUUUUAUUCCUGGCCAAUUAAUCACCAGUAAUGUCCUUGUUGCUUAUGAAGUCCAUCAUUAUCUUAAAUGUAAAAAUGCAGGCAAGGAGGAACUCAGGUCGAUUAAAAUGGAUACGAGCAAAGCGUAUGAUCGAGUUGAGUGGAUAUUUCUCUUAAAAAUAUUACUAGCUUUAGGUUUCAAUUCUAAAUUUAUUUUCUUAAUUUUCAAAAGUAUUUCAACAGUUUCUUAUUCUUUUUUGCUCAUCGGUUUGGGAUUUGGCCACUUAAAACCUAGUUGGGGUAUUAGACAAGGAGACCCACUUUCCGCAUAUCUAUUUAUAUUGUGUGCAGAAGCUUUUUACAUUUUAUCUCAGAAGCUAGUCUUUGUGGAAAGUUGGGAGGCAUUGCUGUUGCGCCUGGUGCUUCAUCCAUUUCUCAUUUGUUUUUUGCCAGAUGAUACUCUUUUAUUUGGAAAGCUACAGGGGAGGAGGCUUCAAAUUUUAUGCAGGUUAUCAAUCUUUAUGAAGGUGCAUCAGGCCAGCCGAUUAAUGUGGAGAAGUCAGUGGUGGUAUUUAGCAAGAAUACUCCAGAAGCUGAUUAAUUGGCAAUUGAAUGUUCUCUUCGAAUGCCGCCUGUGGAAUCACAUGAAAAGCACCUCUGGGGUUGCCUACUAUCGUUGAGAGAUCUAAAGGUGAGGUCUUUAAUUCUAUCAAACAAAGGGUUUUUAAACGGAUUAAUGGAGCAGCAGUUAUCUCGAGCAGGAGAAGAAAUUUUAUUGAAUGUCCCUUGUAAAGUUAAGCAUUAUCUCUGGAGAAUUUGCUGUGAUUUCUUGCCUACUAAAGUAAAUCUGCUCCGGAGAAGAGCUUCAGUGGAGCUCAACUGUCUGUCUUGUGGUUUUGAUAUUGAGGAUCUUAUUCAUGCAAUUUCUUUCUGGGCGUUAAGCUGCCUUAAAGGGCAAGUACGUAAGUGGCAGCAAUCAAUUCCCAAAGAGUGGGCUCUGGAGUUGUUAGUUACGUUGAAAAAUCGUGAAGCAGAGUUGUUUGAGAUGUUAUGUUGGGCUAUUUGGCUUGGGAGGAACCAAAAGCUGCAUGAAGAUAAACGAGUGGACCCUUUUGAGUUUAGUUAGCUUUGCUUCGGGUGCGCUCCAAUAAUUCCAAGAAGCUAAUGUUACUCAGAAAUGUCCAGGCGAUGGCAAGUUAAAGUUUAAUUUUGACGGUGUGGUGUUUAAGGAAACUCAAUCUAUUGGUUUAGAUGACGGUGCGGUGUUGAUUUAUCUAGUUUAGACCCUCCAAUUUUUGACAUUACGAGGGACUUAACUAGUUUAGAGAUGUCUAGUAUUUCAGGAAUGAGUAGGAAUCAUAAUAAAAUCACUCAUAUAUUAGCUAAGAUCGCAGAAUUCAUAUGUGAUCAUGUCUUUUGGUGGAGAGAUCCUCCAGAGUUUGUUGUGCCAUUUCUAAUGGCGGAUUUGUUAGAAAGUUAAUGAAAGUUCAAUACAGGUUAUGUUGAGUAAGACGUUGGAUUGAAAAUUCAAGAUUUUGAACUGAAAUUUCAAGAUUUUGAGAUGAAAAUAAAAGAUCACGCUAAACUUAAUGGAUUCAAAUCUUAAUAUGUGCAAAUGCGUUUGAUAACCAAAAUUGGACAUCUGAAUUAAUUAAGUGCUAGUGAAUUUUCUAAACGAAAUUUGUUCUAAAAAAUAAGUGAUAAACUAUGCAUUUAUUACUGAAUGUGAUAUACACUUAAAUAUACUUGAUUUAAUACUUAACAAUCUAAUAAAUUAAUGGACUCAGAUUUUAGAUUUCAAUUUUAUCAAAGUAACCUAAAAAUAUAGACUAUAGAUAAAAUAACUGCAGAUAAUGAUUUAUGUUGAGUAAGCUUUCAAAGCUACGUUUCCCAAAACAAACUUUAGAUAAUCAUUCUCUAAUUUUUGCUUUCACUCUAGAAGAUGCGUACAAUAAUGGGUGUAUACAAAAAUGGAAGUUAAAUUGAUAACACUAAGCUCGCCAAUUCUCAUAAAAAAAAUGAUGACAUUGCCUGCAUUAAUUCUAGUAACGGACUGAAGACAAUAAUUAAUAGGUGACUAUAUGGUGCCUAAGGCACACAAUAAAAUGUGGACUUGGUACCAUUAUUUAUUUUUGUGAAAGGAUAAACCUAUUUUGUAAGGUGUCGCAAUUCAUCAUCAUGAAAUGAGUGGUAAUUUUAAAGCAUUAAUAGUGAAUUCACCUUCAUUUUUAACGUUCAUAUCGCAAAGCCUAUUAAAAAAUUUCCACCAGCACAAAUUCCACUUUUAAUAGGUUCGAAAAUUCACUCACAAAUUUAUCCACAAAUCCCAUUAACAAAAAAAAAAAAAGAAAAUGCAGAAAGUUAUCAACGGAACUUCUAUAGUGCGUUGACGCGCGACACGUGUUGGUUGGAGAUUACUAGAUGGGAGUGGGGUUAAUCAAAGGUGGUAUUUUAGUAUUAAGCCCAAAAACCACCGGUAACAAUGGUAUUGACCCAAUUUCUAGAGGAAUUGACCCACAUAAACUGUGAAAGAUUAUUUUCUCUGUCAUUUAAGGCAAUUUCUGAACAAGAUUUAGGCGUAUAAUAAAGAAAUUAUCAACCCCAACCCCCAAUAUUAUGCUAAUAUGCAAUUGGAAAAAAUUAAAUGAAUAUUUACUUGAAGUUAAGAAGUGGAUACCAAUCGGUAGAAAGUGUUUAUAACAUACUCCGAAAUGCCAAAGGACUUCCCAAAAAGUGGGAAGCAGGACAACAUCUGAAAUAUAGUCCAAGUUUGAAGUGCUUUAUGUCAAACAUAUUUCAAUAUAGAAAAAAAAAAAAUUACUGGUUAGCAUAUGUUUGUGCGCAGUAUUUGUUGAUUGGGAGACGGUUCUAAGGAGGCGGUUUUGCAACAAAUAAGUAAACGGGAUGUCGAUUACUUGGAGUUGUAUCUUAUGCUGGAAAAAUAAUUAGACAUGUCAGUUAAGUAAUAUUUCAAUUUAAAUAAAGUUAGUUAGGAACUAGAACUCGUAACAUGGUUGGAUAUGGUUAGUGAAUAGGAUAUGAAUGUUGGGGGAUAGAAUACAACUAGAAUUACUAAGACAAAUUAAGCGUGACACUUUGAAUUCAAAUUUUACUAACAUUGCAUAAUAACACCUUUGACUGAUAAUUUUUUUUGAUACGGAAACUGGAAAAAUUUUAUUAAGAAGAGGAUAGAUCCGUAUUAAUUGCGAAAGAAAGAAAAAAUGGUGGAGAAAAUCUCCAACUAUAAAUACCUGAAAUAGAACUAGCAUUACUAUCUAAGAAAUGAGCAGGCACAAUUAGAUUCCUAGGAAUCCAAUCAGCCUCCCAAGUAAUGAAAUUCUGUAAACUAACAAAGAUAUCAUCUAACAGCACUCCAUAAGCUGAAUCAUCGGAUUCCAUAUUUUUAAGCAUGUUGAUGAUCUUCAAAGAGUCACCCUCUAAAACAAUCUUAGAACCUUCAACUGAAGUAACGAGGAAAUUGCAGAUAUUGCAGCAUAAGUUUCAGUUACUUCAGGAGAAAAGAUACCUAAGAUUUUGUGAAAAAUACUAGCAACAAAUUUGCCCCAUUCAUUCCUCACAACAAUUCCAACUCUAAAGUUGUCGUCUUCAUAGAAUAUUGCACCAUCGAAGUUUGCACUGCACCAUCGAAGUUUGCCUUUAGAAAUCUUGCAGAGGGCUUUAUCCAAUGAAGUUGAGCAGUGGAAGAGCAUAUUGGAAUGUUUGGAAAUGUGUUUAUUUCAUGGUAUUUCUAUAAGAAAUUGAUAGAGAGGGAGAGACCAAACUGAAAGGAUCACGAUAGAACCAUCAAAUAAUGCAUCAUUUCGGUUAAACCGUAGAUUCCAAAGAAUUAUGGCUACCAAUUCCAUGUCCUGCUUUUUCAAAAGAUGAAGGCCAGACAACCGAGACGAAACUUGAUCGGUAGAGUCUAAUCUUAUCUUUAGUGUAAGAAAGCUAAGGGCCCAAGGUUGAAUUGCUACUGGACAGCACAAGAAAAGAUGAUUAACAUCAUCAAUAGGGGCCUUACAUAAAGAACAAGUAGGAUCAAAAUAGACUCCGCGACUAUUCAACUUGGAAGUUAUAGGUAGAAUGUCUUUGCAAAUUCACCACAAGAAUAUUUUAACUUUACUUGGUAUGUUGAGUUUCCACAAGCAGGGCCAAAUAUCAUCCAUAGAACCAUUACUACAUGAAGCUACAUCUUGUCAAUUUGUAGAUUAUAUUUUGAUAAGAUGAUAGGCAAUUUUCAUUGUGAAGGAGCCAUUUUUAGAAUAGUGCCAAAUGAGCUUAUCUUGAUUUCGUCUAUCACCCAAUGGAAUACUCAUAAUCAACUCAAUCACAUCUAAGGAUAGCAACGGGGGCAGUGCCCGGGGGGGCUAUUGGGGCAGAGGUUGGGGCGGGGGUGGGGCUGGAGCGGGGGGAAUUUUUCCCCCCAUUUAGAAACGGGGCAGGGGGCCCACCCAUUUGGAAAAAAAAGAGAGAUAUAUAUAUGUACAUAAUUAUAUAUAUAAUAGUAUUAUCAAUUAUACAUGUCUAUUAAUAAAAAUUAUUAAUUAUUUAUACUAAAUUUAUUAAUACAUUUAUAUUAAAUUCCUAACUACACUUAAUACAAUAACACUUUUUUUCUAAAAAAAACACAAUAAUAAUUUAGUGAUUGUAUUUGUAUCAAAAGUAAAAACAAUUAUUUUAGUUAUAUUUGUUUUAUCAUAUUAGAUCGUAUUCAAAUAACUUUUGUUUAAUUAUUUUUAUGAGUUUCAAUUGUGAAGUUAUAAUGAAUAAUAAUUUGGUGAUAUGUUGAUAUUUUAGUACUUGAUUACUUGCUCAAAUUUAAUUAUAAUAAAAUUAUAUAAUAAUUUUUUUAACCCCGCGGGGGAAGCGGGGCGGGGGCGGAGGACGGGACGGGGACGGGGGGGAAUUAAUAGGCAACGGGGCGGGGGUGGGGGAGGGGCCACCCCUAAUCACAUCCUGCCAAAAAAGCUCUUGAAGCAAAUCAUAUUUCCAUUUCCUGCUAUUUUCAUCAAUUAAACAAUCUAUAGUGGACAUUUCUAGUAGCACAUCAAAACGAGAUAUAAUUUUGAAAUUAGAAAGACGUGGAAUCCACCUCUCUUUCCAAAUUUUGAUAUGAUUCCCGUGUCCAUCUCACCAUCUACUACCAAAAACACCUUUGAUUGAUAAUUAAAUAGUUAAAAAAAUAUAUCUACUUAAUUUGUUUACUCAAUAGUUAUGUGAACUAAAACAUAAAAAAGAAGGUCAAUUAUUAUAUUAGUGUUAUAUUUGUAAUAUUAGUUCCCUAUAUAGUAGGUUGCCGAGUUGGGCAUAUUUAUAUUCUACCAAGUAAAUGCCCUAUCUUUUCGAAACGUGGCAAAAAAAUUGUGUUUGUUUUUUUUGGUAGAUUUCAUUCUUUUUCUUUUUUGGUAACAAUUAAUUUACUAUUCAUUUUCACUUCAUUAUUUAUAGUAAAUUUCAAUCAAUUAUCAAUUACUUACCUUAUAUGCAUUUUUAUUAAUUAUACCUUUAUUUUUUUUAAUCAACUUAUAGCUUUCCUUUUUAAUUAGGCACUCGUUAAUAUAUGUCUUAGGUGUUAAAUUUUUAGAAAUAUAAGAUGAAUUAGGGAGAGCAUAUAAAUGUAAGGGAAUUAAUUAGAAAAAUAUAUAAAUAAAAGAAAAAGUAGUAAUAGUUGCGUAUAUAUAUGGCAGGUUAGGUGGAAUGCAGGUGUGUUAACGAUUACCCAUAGGGCACCCAUUAGAAAUACUCAUCAAAAUUUGGAUUAAUUUUUUUUCCUUUCAUUGCAAUCAUUACUACCAUUUUUCCUAUCAUUUAUUACUAUACCUUCAUGUUUCUAAAUACCAAUAAAUGUAUUACUCUCUUACUUUUUAUUUGAUUGUGCUAAUUAUAGCUUUCCUUUUACUUAAUCAAUUAGUCAAUCGAUCAAUCAACCAAUGAUUUUAAUUCUCUUUUCAAUCGCACGAUCUUUCUUUUAUCCAUCAUUAGGGAGAUUUACAAUUUAGUCACAUAUUUGUUAUGUGUACAAUAAUUAUGCAAUCAUAAGCACAAACUAAUGCAAUUCUAAUAAUUUUGCAUAUAUGCAUUCAUAUUGUAUUGCAACACCUUUAAUAAUUCAUUAUAUGGUUACAAAAGCCAAAAAAAAUCUAGUAUUACCUAGACCUUAGAUAGUCCCCAAUGUAUACACUGAUACUGUAUAAAAUGAUUUUAAACCCGUUAAUAUAUAUACUGAUUGCAUAUGAAGAUUCAUCCCUAAUUUAGACCUCUUAGAUAGUUUGCAUGCAUUAUAUUCCCUUUUUUUAAUUUCUUAUUUAGUUUACCUUAUUACCAUUUAUGAUUUUUUUUUAAUUUAAGCAACAUCUUCCAAUAUUUUAUCACCAUUUUAAGUUAGUUCAUUUUUAGGAGAUAGUAGUAUAAGUGUGGUAGUUUGUCCAAAUAACUUUGAAUAUGCAUAUACAACCCAAAAAUAAAAUGAUAGUUGUUUAUAUUCUUAUCACUCAACGAUGAUAGUGUUAUGUAAUUUAAAUGAUUGAGAUCUAUUGCCAUCCAAAUAUAAAUUUAAUAUGAGGGUAUGAUAACUAAAAAUGACUAUAGAAUCUCCCUAAAUACUAAAUAAUGCGAAUAGAGAUAUUCCCUCAAAAACUUGUAAAGUACUUAAUGUGUAUACGGGUAAAUUCUUGCAAUAGUGAAAGGAAAAUAUCUUACUAGCCUUGAAAUUUUGGCCCGUGUAUUGACUUUUGUUAGCUAAAUUAAACUAUCUUGGAGUGAAGACAUAAAAUCUGCGGCAAAAUUUGAGAGAGUUGUGAACAUAGCUUAUCUAGCGUACACAUUUUUUUCCGAGUUUGAAUUCUCUCACUUACACGACAAAAAGAAAAAACUAUCGUACAUUUAACUUCCAACUAACAAUGAUGUAUAGGUAAUAAAUUAUAUGCAUGGGAUAUUCUCAUAAAUAAAUGAAAUAUAUUUACACGACAAAGAGUAAAUUCUUAAAUUAAGAAGAAAUAAUAUUAUAGUAGCUGUCAAUUUGUUUAUAUGACUUUUUGGUUUGUCUUUACUCAUGACAACCAAUUAUGUUAUUUUGAUGUAAAAAUAUCCAAAAACGGUUGAAUACAAUGUGGGACAUUAUUAUUAUUACUCGGAUACCUCAAUAUUUAUAAAAUUGAUUAAAUUGGAAUCCAUCUGGAUUUAACAGUAUUUUGAAAAAACUAUUUUUGUUGUUCAAGUCUAUAGUAAUAAACUUUAAAAAUAACCUCAAAAAUAAUUUAAAAAAUACAACAUAUCUCAAAUACAUUAAAAAAUAAUUAAAAAAUUUCCCUAAUUCUUCUUCCCCACACUACCCACUACAACCACCACCACUACCCAUCACUGUCCACUACCACCACCAUCAUCCCCACACCCAUGACCCGUCUUCCUCUCUCCUCUCUCUCUUUCUCCUCUCUCUCUCCUCCCUCCUCCCUCCUUUCUCUUAUUCUCCUUCUCCUUUCUCCUUCCUCCUCUGCCUUGUCUUUCCUCCCUUCUCCCUUCUCUUUCCCCAUCCCCUAAUCCCCCCUUCCCUCUACUGACUGUGGCCUUCUUGGUCUUGACCAGAAAGGUUGCAGCCAGAAGCCGCGACUAGUGGCUUCUGGUUGCAACCAAGGUCACAGAUGGAGUCGCGGUUACCAUCCACGAUUGGGAGAGGUUUGAGGGUCAGAAACGAGAGGGACGGGGGAGAGAAGGAGAAGAAAGAGGAGGGAGAAGGAAGAGGAAGGAGAGAAAGAGAGGGAAAACAGAGGGAGAGACAAGAGAGGAGAAAGGGGGUAACGGCGUUGAGUGGUGGUGGUGGCUGGCGUAAAAUUUUUUAAAAAUACCCCAAAAAAGUUGUAAAUUAUAAAAAUAUCCCAAAAAUGUAUUUUAAAAAGCCCUAAAAAUACCUUUAAAAAAUCCCCCAAAAACAUCUAUAGUACAAGUUAUUUAUAUAUAUAGUUACCGUAAAGUUUUUAAAAGAUACCCUAAAAACAGUUAGUCCAAAUGGAGUCUUGAGUUUUGAGGUUAAGGUUCAAUGAUUGACCACAAUUUAGGUCAAAGUAAAACUUGGCCGAAAGUUUAGUGGGUAAAAUAUAAUUUUAAAAAUUAAUCAUCUUCCCUGAUCCUCACAGUUGCAAUGGUGAACUGUCAGCCCCUUAGGACGUGUUCCAGACGGAACACGCGCAACCGUGGUAGAUUUCGGUCACUCAUGGUCAACUUGGAAGGCUGAAGGUGAACUGGUUGGGAAAAACUUGGACACAUGUUUGAUGAUGUAUUCCAUGCCUAUGUAUGGGUUUGGAAAAGUUUCAGGGCUAGGAAAAUGUCUCUAAAUUAGUGGGGAAAUGAGGGGUGGCUUUACUAGCGGUCCGAAAUUUUUAGCUAGGACUACUAUAGAGAGAGAUAACUAUAACUAAGCCAAGUCAAUGCCAAGGGCUGGGGGCUAAGGCUUUAUGGGUUAUUUUGGAUGGUUCCAAGCAUUUGGAGCUGUGGUGCCUAAGUUGCUAAGUGUUGGGCCAAGUUGGGCACGGAACUAAGCAAAUGGCAAGAAGCUGGGUGUGCGAAACUGUGUGACCAUUGCAUGUGCGCUCCAAAGACGAACGUUGGGACUGUCUGGCAGUUGCUAGUCGUUUGCUGGAGUUGCGGACGAUUAUCAGUCAACUCAGACACGUUCUUAUCGGUUUCCUGACUUCAUGUACAUUCGGGUCGGACCAACGGUUGGGUCUUGUCAACUAUAACAAUGCAUAUAAAUAAAUGGCUAGGUAGGGAGUAAAGGCAGAUAGUGAGAAACACCCUUAGAUGUUCUGCAUGCUAAAUGUUUGUAGAAUUGUCCUUGUAAUCUCUAUAGUGAAAUACAAGGUUGGCCGUUUGAUUGUAACUUGUGCGUGUUGUUCCUUUGUUUUUGCCUAAGUAUUCUAUGUUGAAUACUUGUAUGCAAGUGUCAGUGUAAGGGCUGACUGGAAGCGCGGCUUAUCAAUGCCAUUACAUGCUUGUUAGGCUAGUGAGCGUAAACACCUCGUAAUAGUUUGGUAUCAAAGCACGGCUUUGAUCUAUUAGACUGUGCUUCUGUUAUGUGUUUUGUUGGUUAAUGAUGGUUGGACACAGGAAUUCUGUUGCAAUGCUUGGAAUGGUUGCAAUGUUAGGAACUUGCAUUCGAGGACUUGAUGCAGUGUCUAGGAGAUGGCCUAGAAGGCUUCAAUGUCAUAGAAGUUCUAUUGCAGACUAGAGAGAUGAUCAACACCCUGACUGCACAGAUGGACGAAACCAGGCAGACAGUUUCUUCUGUUGGGGAUGUUGAGAUGCUAAGGAAUGAAAUGAUUGCAUCCCAUGCAAAGAUCGUGGCUUUACAAUCGAAGAUCAAUGUGUUAAAAAAGGCAGUCGGCUCUUGUAACACACAGACCUUUCAAAAAUCUUCGAAGAGGAAAGUGAAAGUCCUAGAUCCGAAACCAUACCAAGGUAGUAGGAGUUCGAAGUAUUUGGAAAACUUUUUGUGGGAUUGUCGAGUAGUACUUCAAGGCUAUUGACAUUCCUGAAGUAGAGAAGGUGUCAAUUGCAUCAAUGUGUCUUAGUGGUGAUGUAAAGUUAUGGUGGAGAACAGUGCAAUCAGACCUACCAAACCCAAGAUCGGUACUUGAGAAGUACUGAAGGAGGAAUUGAAGAAGCAAUUCCUUUCCACGAAUGUUUAAUGAAAAGUUAGAGGUGUAUUGUGAAACUUAAAGGAGAAUAAGAAAGUACAGAGUACGUUACAGAGUUCCAAGCCUUGAUGUUAGAUGUAAGGGAAAUGUCUGAGGAAGACAGACUCUACAUCUUCAUCCAUGGACUUCAACCGUGGGUACAGAUGGAGUUGCGGUGAUAAAAUGUUCAGACCAUGUCUCAAGCACUUGAUACUGUCGAGAAGUUGAUAGACUUCAAGUCCAUAGGAUCCAAAAGUGAAAAAAAAAAAGAAGGGCAAGGAUAAGGCUAAGGGCUCGAAAGGUGGUCAAUUCUCAAAAAAGAAUAAAAAGAAGCAGACAGUAACAACGACCGAAACUAGCGGUGCUUCCUCUUCUAAGAAGAAGCAAACAUCCAACCCUAAAAAGGAUGGCUGCUAUACCUGUGGAAGACCACACUUAACCUGCAAUUGCCUCAAUAAGAAGGACCAGAACGUUAGUGCCUUAGUGGCAGAAGACAAUAGUGACCAGUUGGAGGUCCAGGAUGCACGGGUCAACCCCAUGUAAUUCUUGAACGCCAUCACCGAUACUAAUGUCUGUACUCUUUACAAUGGUUUGAUGUAUGUGCAGGUUACAUUGAAUGGUAACCAUAUAUUGACGAUGGUUGAAACGGGAGCAUCAUAUAGUUCUAUGAUGGAAAAAGUAAUGAGUCGGUUCCGGUUACAGUUGAAAGACUUGGGUUUCAAAAUUGAAGGCUGUAAACUCUGAAACCAAACCAGUGCUAGGCAUGGCGACCGUAGAUUUAGAGUUGGAGCCAUGGAAGGGUUGGUGCAAUUUCAUGGCAAGUCAAAUGGAUGAUUUUGACUUGAUUCUAGACAAAGAUUUCAUAGUUGCAAAUAGGAUCUAUCCAAUUCCGCACUUGGAUGGCGUCAUGGUGAAUGAUGGCUAGAGUCCAGGCUUUGUUCUUGUAGUAAAGUUGCAGAAACAAAAGAACAAUCAACAAAAGAACAUGGUAUCAACGAUAGAGAUUGAGUCAUAUCUUCUGAGGCGCGGUGAAGUUGUGUAUAUUGCUGCAUUGGUGGAAACCAAACCUAACAUGUACCAAGAAGUACCUAACGCCAUGGCCCACGUUCUAGAGAAGUUUACAAAUAUCAUGCCUACAAAGUUUUCGAGAUAGCUUCCUCCAUCCUGUGCCGUGGAACACAAGAUCGAGUAGGUUCCAAGAGCCCAACCACCUGCCCAAACUCCUUAUCGCAUGUCCCCGAUAAAGUUGGCUGAGAAAGAUAUAGUACGCAUGAGAAAGAAAUGACAGUUGUUGUACAUUGUCUCAAGAUAUGGAAGCACUAUCUAUUAGAAACCAAGUUUGUGGUGGUGACUAAUAACAUGGACAAUACUUACUUCAAGACACAGAGAGAGUUGACCCCGAAGCAAGCUCGUUGACAAGAGUUUCUGGCUGAAUUUGACUUUGACUGGAUUCAUAAGUUAGGAAGGGAGAAUGCAGUGGUCGACAUACUUAGUAGAAAGUAUGUCGAAGAAUACAUUGUUGUGCUUAGCACUGUUGAGACGGACUUCAGGGACAAGAUCAAGUGGGAGUCCCCGAGUGACCCAAUUUAUCAAAACUUGGUGUUCGUGAAGUCAAAGUUCGUCGUUAUUGGCUGGAGGAUGACUUACUAUUUUGCCAAUAGUGGUCAAGCAUAUGUUCCAGCAGGAGGGGGACUUAGGCGACAGUUACUACGAGAAACUCACAAUGCUUCUUGGAUUGGUCAUUCUGAAGUUGAACGAAUGCGGGCAUUAUUGUCGCGUAGCUUCUAUUGGCCAAAGAUGGAAGAGGAUAUUGAAGCAUACGUGAAAACUUAUCUUGUUUGUCAACAUGACAAGAUGAGAGGAAGAAGGAGCCAGGCUUGUUGCAGCCUUUGCCGAUCUCUGAUCGACCAUGGCAAUCAGUUUCUAUGGACUUCAUUUCGAGAUUCUCUAAGGUCGAUGGUAUGGCUUUUGUCUUUGUAAUUAUUGACAGAUUUUCUAAGUAUGCUGUGUUUGUUGGUGCACCAAAGGAGUGCUCGGUUGAUGUUGUCGUUGAGUUAUUUUUCAGACAUGUUAUGAUGUAUUUCAGAUUACCCAAAGAUAUCAUAAGUGACAGGGACAUGAGAUUCAUAGGUAGAUUUUGAACCGUGAUGUUCGGGUUGCUAGGUUUCGAACUGAAGUUCUCAACUGUCGCAUACUCUUAGACCGAUGGACAAACGGAGAGGAUCAAUAUCUUGCUAGAAGAAUACUUAAGGCAUUACGUGACGACAAGUUAGAAAAAUUGGCUGGAGUUGCUGGAUACUGCAUAGUUUUACUACAACCUGCACAAGUUAUUCGUAACUAAGUUGAGUCCAUUUGAGUUAAUGAACAGGCAACAACCUCUGACUUCACCUGAAGUUGCUCUUCAAGAGUUAGUUUGUUGAUGACACAACAACGCAUGAAGAAGUACGCAGACCAACAUAGAUCGGACUUAGAGUUCCAACUGACUCCCUAGAUUUGAAAAAAAGUAAAUAACAAGACAGUCCAUCGUGGGAUCAUCCAUGAGUACAAUAGACCAUUUGAGGUAAUCAAGAAGGUGGGUCAUAUAGCUUAUCGUUUGAAACCACUUGACAAACUCAAGAUCCACCUGACCUUCCAUGUGAGUUUUCUGAAACCCUUUUACCAAGACGAGAUGGAUGGAGGACGGAGGGAAGCAAAGUGUGCCUCGCCAGUGAUCCACAAGCAAUUCCAGAAUGAUGUGAAGGCUUUGCUGGAUUACAGAAUGAUGGGACAAAGAAAAAAGAAUAGAUGGACAAACUAUCUGAUCCAUUGGAACGGUGAAACAAAAUUAGAUGCUACUUGGGAACGAGAUGUUACCUAGUGACAGUUUCAAGAUAAGAUUGUUGAGUACUUGAAGAACGUGCGAAAGCAAACCAAGUUGACGAGGGCGUCAACCUCUUCAGGUGGGGUGGUUUAUCAGCCCCUUAGGGUGCGGUCCAAACGAAAAGUGCACGACCGUGGCAGAUUUCGGCCGAUCAUGGUCAAGUUGGAAGGCCGAAGAUAAACGGGUCGAGAAAAGUUUGGACACAUGUUUGAUGAUGUUUUUCAUGCCUAUGUAUGGGUUUGGGAAAGUUUCAGGGAUAGGAGAUGUCUCUAAGUUAGUGGGGGAAUGAGGGGUGUCUCUACUAACGGUCCGAAGUUUUUAGCCAGGAAUACUAUGUAGAGGAAUAACUGUGACUAAACCAAGUCAAGACCAAGGGCCGGGGGCCGGGGGCCAAGGGUGUGGUACGACUAGACUUUGUGGGUUAUUUCAGAUGGUUCCAAGCAUUUGGAACCGUGGUGUCUAAGUUGCUAGGUGUUGGAGCAAGUUGGGCACGAAACGUAGCAAAUGGUGGGAAGUUGGGCGCGCAAAAUCGUGCGACCGUUGCCUGUGCUUGCAAAGACGAACGUUGGGACUGUCUGACAGCUGCUAGCCGUUGUUGGAGUUGCGGAAGGUUACCAGCCAACUCAGACACGUUCUUAUCGAUUUCCUAACUCAUGUGCAUUUGGGUUGGACCAAUGGUUGGGUCUUGUCAACCGUAACAAUGCCUAUAAGUAAAUGGCUAGGCAGAGACUAAGGGCAGAUACUAAGAAACAUCCUUAGAUGUUCUGCACGCCAAGUGUUUGUAGAAUUGUCCUUGUAAUCUCUAUUGUGAAAUACAAGGUUGGCCGCUUGGCUUUAACUUGUGCGUGCUGUUCCUUUGUUUUGUCUGAGUGUUCUACGUUGAAUACUUGUGCACAAGUGUGAGUGUGAGGGCUGACUGGUAGUGCGACUUACCAGUGCCAUUACGUGCAUGUUUGGCUAGCAAGAGUAAACACCUCGUAACACGAACACUGGUCGCCCAUCUUCAACCACCAUCUAACACUUCUUUUCAAGAUCAAUUCUUGCCUAACACUCAUUUUAUUCGCUUGAGUCAUGAUUAUGGCAUCACUUUUCUUCAGUUUAAACCCUUUGACGAUACAAAAAUAAGGUCACAAUUGAAAUUCUGAUUCGAAAAUUUGAAACUUUCGGGAUUGCCUCCUGCUAUGGGCUUUUCUCAAACUCGAUCAUAUGCCCGAACAAAUUCAUCAACCAACACUCACUCUGCCCUUGGGGCACCCAAUUAACCCCUUUAAAACAAUUUUGAAGACACCCGAAACUAGGGUUGGGCAAAAAUACUUGUUAAUCCAAAAAUCUGACAUAUCCGAUUCGAUUCGAUUCAACAAAUAGGGUUCCGGUGUGUAUUAUUUGAUCGGGUCAAAAGAAAGUUGGAUAAUUACUUGUAUGCGGCGUUAGGUGGAGUCACCUGAUUAAGAAUCCGUGGGAACCCGACCCUUCCCACAUAUAUAUUUUUUAUUUUUACACACAUAUUACAAAAUAAUACUUUUGGAGCUAAAUAAGUAAUUUCAUUAAACAAAAUACAUUAUAAAUAUGAAAAAUAAAGUUUAUUUAUAAGAUUCAUUUAUAGAUGUCAUGAUUUCUUUUUUUUAAGGAAACAGUUUAAUUAAUAUAGAACAUAUAUUUGUAAAAAGGUACUAUUUAUUUGAAUUUUCAUUGAUUUUGAAUUCUUUUAAUUUUCUUUUCUCGUAUUCUCUUUGCAUGUUCAUUUUUUAUUGAGAAAAAAUCUUUAUUAAGUUUUAGAUGAAUAUUCAAAAUACAAAAUUAAAUUACUAUAAAUUAUUUUUUAAAACAAUUAAAUGAUAACCAGCGUGAUGCAAAUAUCUGUUAACUCAACCCUACUUUAAUGGAAACCCACUCAUAUACGGGAUGGUUAAAGGUCAAAAGAUAGCUGUCUUGCAAGGUACGGGUCUAGUCAGCCAAAUGAAGCAUAGAACGAGUACUACUUGACUUGUACCUACCCCUACCCAAAACAAAUCUUAAUAAUCAUAAAAUAGCAACCUGCACUUGCAAAAUCCAAUUUUCAAUUUUCUCCUCAGAAUUUAGCAUCAAAUUUUACAAAAAUUACACAAAAACAAUCCAAUCAACAAAUAAAUACUCAAGCAUUGAAUUGACAUUAUACUGUAUUUGUGCAGCACCGAAUUGACAUUAUCUGACUUGUAUGUAUGGCAAAAUAAAGGAACUAUGAAGAGGAUGGGAAGGAGGGAGAAGGAUGCUCAGAGUAAGGGAGGAGAUGAAUCGGAAAAUUUAGAUAUUUUUUCUUUUUAUUUUCUAUAUUUUCUAUUAACCGGAUUUAUAGGUAACUAGAGCUGUUAAUCGAACCGAAUAACUCGCGAGCCGAGCUCGACCCGGCUCGACAAGGGCUCGGCGCGGCUCGUUUACAGAGAGAAACAAUCCGAGCUCGAGCUCUACUCAGUAUUCGUUUAAUAUAUGCUCGGCUCGUUUAAGCUCAGUAGGCUCGAAGAGUAGGGGCAUUAACAUCAUUUUAUUGUGUAUGUGGUACUCUAACCUAAGUCAUUCUCCCGUUUGUAACCAUAAUUUUUCUUUCCUCUUUUGGUCUUACCUUCUCCCGUUCCACAGCCGUAGCCACAGUCGCACGCCCGCACCCUUCAUUUUUACCACCGUCACCGAGUCACCAUUCACCAAUUCAUCCAUCAUCUCACCUCCAUCAGGACCAUCACCUAUCCGUCCACUAUCUCACCGCCAGGCGCUAUCCCUAAUUUUUUCUUUCCUCUUUCGAUCUUUCCUUUUCCCGUUCCACAGCCGCAGCCGCACCCUUCAUUCUUACCACCGUCACUGACUCACCAAUCCAUUCAUCUCACCUCCAUCACCAAUCCGUCCACCAUCUCACUGCCAUCAUUCAAUCCACUUCUCGUGAAUCCGUGAGCAGCGCCAUACGGAGCCACCUUGAUAAAGCCAGGGGCCUCUACCAUAUCCCGAUUCCUUGCAUAAUCUGGUAACCAUUUCUUCUCAAUUUUUGCAAUUUAUUUUGGUUUUAAGAGGUUGUGUGGGUUUUGGUUAAUGGUGGAUAGCCCCGUAUCCCAUAUGGCUUCCCCGUAUCUCGUUGGCUUCCUGUGUUUUAUCCCGAAUUUCACCUGCACGGAUUGCUUAUGCAUCGCUUAGUCGAUUUUUGGUUUCAAAUAGCAUGUCUUUUACCCGUUAAAUAGCCUUUUUUUUUACCCAUUGUUCUGGAUUGUUGCAUAAGUGUCAAAUUUCGCCUGAAAUGCUCACAUAUUCUUCGAUGAGAUUACGUGUAUCACUACUGCGUUACCUUCCUUCGACACCUGAAGCUGGAGUUUGACGUUUCAUUUCGUUCAGACCAUGGAAUAGUUGCUGCGAUUAAACUUAUGUCUCUAAGAAAAUAAAGAAGGAAACAUCACUUUUUGUCUCUGUGCUCUUUGAUUUCUGCAUUUUCUAAUCCAUGUUAUAGAACUGACUGUUGAUGAUACCAAACAUUUUGUUAAAAGAAAGCCAAAGUAUUCAAUUCCCAUACAUUUAACUCUUCCUGGUUAAAAUGUAACUUCCUCUAUUGGUGUCCAUAAAUUUCCUCGAAAAAGCUUGCGAAUUGCAAAAGUUUCCACCAGUCGUCUUAAAAUGGCACUCUAAACCGUCUGCUAUGAUACUUCUGAUAAGCACAGUUAUACUGCCAGGAAGGGCAAGUAGGUAUGCAUCAUGGACCAUGAAAAUGCCAAUUUCCAGAAAUCAAUUACAGCUUUGACGAGUUGCAAACUUCUUGGACUAUGAAAAUGCCAGUUUCUAGCAAUGAAAUGAUAGCUUUCACGAUCUGCAACUUCUUAUUGAUUAAUGAAUACUGAAAAGUACGUAUCAGCCCAAUCUUGCCUCUCUUCGUAGUACCUGGAAAAGAUUUAACAGUCAACCAUAAGUGACAGAACUUUAACAGAGCUAGCCAUAUAACAAACAGUGGACAAAACUUUAACAAAGCUAGUCAUUUUCUUUUCUUUAGAAUGUGAUAUUUCUUCAUGUUUUGCACUUUUGUUUAAGCUUGACAGUGAAAACAUUUUUCAACCUAGAAAAUUCUGCAAGGCAAAACUUUCUUCAUUUUAGUUUCUUCAUUUCAGCAAAAUUAACUUUUUGUUUGGACUUCCAUUUUAAGAGUUUUUCACUGUUAUUUCAUUAAUCUGAAUGUAAGCUUGAGAAUUGAGAUAGGAACAAGUUAAAGAAAUGUUAAAACUGGCUUGAAGUGGGCAUUAUUUCUUGGAAUCUGUUUUAUUACUUUUGUACCUUAUUUCUUAGAAAUGUCAUUCUAAAUAUCUAUUUUGGCUAAUCAGAAUCUGUAUUGGUUAUUAAAUGUGUUUUGAUUAAGGAAUGUACAGCUCUCCAUUCAACUCAUUUCAAGGUUCAUCAUCAAGUCCUGUGAUGGAGCAAAAUAAUGAAGACGUGAACAAUUGAACUACAACGAAAAAAGAGCUGAUGAGAUGAGUGAAAAAGAGAUAGAAAUGAUAAAAAAUGAGGGCAAUGAAGAACGACAGCAAGAGAUGGAGAUGAAGGAGCUGGUCCUUUUGAGAAAAAACAUAGGAAGAAGAAAUCUAGCAUAUGGGAUGAAAUGACAACAAUAGUGCUAGAUAAUGGGAUGGUCAAAGUGAAAUGCAACAAUUGCAAGGAACUUUUUGUCAAGAGUGCAACCGAAGCCAUAUCUCAGCACAAGAGACACUUGAAUUCUUGCCUACAAAGAAAGAUAGCCAUUGGAAAGCAAAGCAAACAAAAGCAACAAGUGUUGUCAUUCAUCGAAGGCCAAAGUAAUGGUAUCACUUCCAUCACAAAUUUCUUGUAUGAUCAUGCCAAGGUAAGAGAGCUUGCAUCACACAUGAGUACCCCUUUUCUAUGAUAGAUCAUGUAGUUUUCAACAAAUUCAUGAAAGCGGCUUCUCCAUUUUAUAAUUGUUAAGAAAGAUUGCAUUAGUACUUAUACAAUUGAAAAAAGGAACCUGAAAUCAUUGUUGAAAGGUGCUGGUAGGAUUAGUAUUACCACAGAUUUGUGGACAUCUGGUCAAAAAAAUUCAAUAUAUGGUUGUGACUAAUCAUUUUGUUGAUUUUGAUUGGGUGCUACAAAAACGUGUGUUGAAUUUUUGCAAUGCUCCUCCUCCUCAUACUGGAGUUAUUAUAGCUGAUACUCUAAGUAAGUGCUUUAUUGAUUGGGGGAUUGAGAAUAAGGUUUCUAACAUAACUGUUGAUAAUGCUUCAUACAAUGAUGUGUGCAUUAGGAGACUUAGAGAGGAUUUUUCUCCAAAAAAGAGAUUAAGUAUUGGAGGAAAAAUUUUCAUGUUAGAUGUUGUGCACAUAUACUUAAUCUCUUAGUGCAAGAUGGUCUUGGUCAACUUGGUGGUGUGAUUGAUGUUGUUAGAGAAUGGAUAAAGUACUUGAACAAUUCUGAAUCUAGGCUUCUUGAAUUUGCCAAAAUUAAAAAACAGCUUCAAUUGCCCUCUAGAAAGCUAAUUUUGGACUGUCCAACAAGAUGGAAUAGCACCUAUUUGAUGUUAGCUUCAGGUUUAGAGUUCAAGGAUGUUUUUUCAAGAUAUGCAGACAUUGACCCCGGAUUUCACUAUGUUUUUACUGAUUUUGAGUGGAUGAAAGUGAAAGAAGUGUGCAAAUUUCUAGGAAUAUUUUAUGAAAUCACUGAUAUGAUUUCCGGGUCCGAGUAUCCAACGGCUAACAUUUUCUUGUGGAGCUCUAUAGGAUUAAAGAGCUUUUAAAUGAUAAAGCUCUUGACCCUUUUUAGCAUCUUCGGGUUAUGGCUGGAACUAAAUUUGAUAAGUAUUGGGGGGAAAGUAAUGUACUGCUAUCUUUGGGUGCAAUUUUGGAUCCGAGAUACAAAAUAUUUCUUAUUAAUCAUACUUUUCCGGUGAUUUAUGGUGAGGAUGCAGCUCCUAGAUUCGUGGCUGAAAUUAGAGACACUCUUUAUGAGCUUUACAAUGAAUAUGUUGAUUGUCACAUAGUUUCCCAUUCUGAACAAUAACAGAGGCAGGUUGUAAAAGGGAGACAAAAUGAAGGUUCUAGUUCUUCUAGUAAGAAACAGAAAAUGACUGGACCUGCCGUUUUAACUAGUAAAGAAAAGUUGCACAUGCAUGUGAGUGAAAUUAACAGGGCUCCACCACAAAAAUCAGAUUUAGAUGUUUAUUUAGAGGAAAGUAGGUAUUGUGACGCCCCCACUUCUCCUUAAGGUGAACCAAAGAGUAUCCACGGGACGCCUGCCCAACUCUUACCAGGACUCGGUACAAUUUCCGUUCAACCUUAUUACAAUACUAGCUAUCACGACAAGAUGAAGUAAAAAAGAUAAAGUCGCUUCUAUAAAUAAUAUUCAAACUUACACCACGAGUUCCAAAAUACAUCAAAUUUCCAAAAUAUACAACUGCCAAAAGUCUAGUCGAUUACAUUUGGAACCCUAAUACAAAAGUACAACAAAAGGAUUUCUCCGAGUUUCACUCCAUAUCUAUGCCUGUUAAGGAAAACAAAUCUACGGGGUGAUCAAUUGCUCGUGAGGCCAAAAAACACACAUACAAGCACGUUGUCCAAUUAACAAGAAAACGAUAAUAUUCGAGUAAUUAACAAUUCAAGCGGAAUGUAAACAGAAACAAUUCAAGGAUAUGGGAGCUCUCAGGAGCUAUUGUCCACUGGCACGAUCAAGAACCUCCACGAGUUGACACUCCGUCAAUCGGGUAGGUCAUAGUCCGUAGAAGCUUCACUUACGCGUUCCCCGUCCACCAUACAUACCGCACCGGGCCCGAACAUCAUUUACAAGGUGAUACUCCACGAGUAUGUCAAGCGAGAUCUUUCAAAUAGAUCAAACUUAUCAUGUUAUUCUCAUGACUCAUCGAGAUUCCCGACCAAACCCAUGCCGGCUCGAGUUCCAAGGUCGACCUAUGAGUUUGGACCCCCAUGUAACAUUUGUGAGUGGAAGAGAUUCACUCCAACGAUGUAUGCAGUCAUAGCAUACUAUUUCAUGUCAUUCAAGCAUUCGAUACAUUCAAUCAUUCAUUUCAUCCCAUUCAAGCCAUUCAUGAUCCAUUCAUUUCAUUUCAAUUAAUUCAAUCAUGAGUCAUUCAUUUCAAAUGAGAACGGGUGCGGUAAAAUACACACUCGACUCCAUUUUCAAAAUCUCCAAUCAUUAAUAACAGUUAAGCAUGUAUCAAGUUCCCAUACACUUGACACUCACCAAGUAAUUCAAGAAGUAAAGCACAAGCGGUUGUUUAGGCGUCUCCUGUGAGAUCCUCUUGAAGGUCCUCUUGAGUGCCUGAGUAAUAAUAAUGAACUAUUACACACUAUCAUUUAAAACCCCUACUUAUCGAGAAAGAUUGCACUCGUGUACAAUUUAAGAAGAUAUUAUGAGGAUGAGCCUUAAUUACUCGUAAAUCGAGGCUCAAAAGUGGGGUUUUAAUAAUACAAGGAAAUUCGAUUUUCAUCUUUGAAAUCAAAUGUAAAACGAUCAAGCAAUAUCGAGGGAAAAUGGUGAGUUCUAAAAACUCAAUUUUCUUUAAGUUCGGAAAUUUCAGAUUUGAUAAGCAAUUUUUGAAAAAUCGUAUCUCAUUCUCUAUAGGUCCAAAAUUGGAAAACUUGGUACCGUUGGAAACUACUUCCAAAGUACUAAAAGUUCUUAGAAGACAUUUUUCCAUGAUUCCAAAUGGAUGACAUUCAAAAUUCGGUUCAAAGUUGCUGUUUUGGGCUACCAAGACAAUUUCGGCAAAAUUCGGCAAAAUGUGAACUAGCCUCUGCAAUUUGGAAUUCAAUUAUAGUUACAAACAAAGUUUGAAACGCAAGAAACAGAACAAGAAUCGGAGUUUUGAGUGCCAAGAUAUAGCAGCUCAAAUUUGCUGAAAUUUUCUCACUAAAUAAGGAUUUUCCAGAUUUGAAACAUGAAAUUUGGGAUUUCAGUUGAGUAUCGAAAUGGACUUGGAAUGGCACCAAAUUUGGUAGUAUUACCCUACCAUAGAAGGGCUAUUCCUCUGUCAAAUUUCAUACAAAAAUUCUUAUGGAAGGUCAGUUAACAAAGCCGCUAAAGUUCCAAGAAUUUCCAAGGCAAAUCUGCCUUGUACUUCCGUUUUACUUUUUCAAGCAUUUGGCCAAUGAAAUCUUCUCAAACAUGGUUCAUUUAUAAAGACAAGAUCUAAGAAACAUCCAAAAUGUGUUUGGUAGGUGAUUAAUACCAAGAGUUCCAAAAUAAUGACUCCCAAUUCGAGUUAAGGCAUUCAACUAGCCAAGAUUAGGGUUUCCUUUCACUGACACAGGUCUGGAAUUUGGCCACAACUCACUCAAUUCAACUUGGAAUUAGACAUGAUCAGUGGCGUUGGAAACUAAAUUCAUAGGGCUAUAAUUUCUCAGAAAAAAUCAUUUUGAAAUUCUGUCCAUAACUAGUUCAUAUUCUAGCAACAAGUUGCAGCACACAACAGGUUUUCUAACACAGACGAGAAACAGGGCAGGUGACUUUGAAAGGCUGGUACGGUUCACUCAAGUGGAAUCAGGGGAUGCAUUUUAUACUGUUAGAAAACUGGAAGUAUCUAGUUUCUAAUUCCGCAAAUGGAACUCGAUUUUGAUGUCGGAGAAAGAGUUAUUGUCGUUUGAAAUUCGCUGCCAGAGCAACUCUGGACAUGUUUUCCAACCAUGAAGAAAUUUCGAAAUCCAAACAUUUACCCAACCAAAUCAAGUGAUUUUUGGUGGAAACUUUUCACACAACCUAUAAAACAUAUAUACACCGAAAUCAAGUCAAUUAGAUCACAAAAAAUUGCACCAAGAGGCGCGGCAAUGACAGGGCAGAUCUGGCCCUUCUUCCAUUUCAACUUCCUUUGAGUUUCUUUCCACUCUUUCAACUUAAAUCCACUAGAUUAACACUUAAUCAACAUAAAUAACACUCAAAAUCAUCAAAUCAGAUGAUCAAGUCCAUUGUGGGAUUUCAUAGAGCCUACUCACAUGAUUUUCAACAAUCCAAAGCUACCCACAUGAAGCUACAAGCUUCUAAGUGAAAUCUAACUUACAAAAGCUAAGAUUUAAAGGGUGGAUGAUCAUUACCUCUUAGAUGUUGCUAGAGCAGAAAUUUUGGUCCUUAGAGCUCCAAGAAAACCGUGAGAAUGAAGCUCUUCUCCUAGCUGAAGAUGAUCUCCAAGUUAUUUGCAAGGUGUGGUAUGAAUUUGAGAGGAUUUGGUGCAAGAUUGAGAGACGAAAUGGUGAAAAAACUUGGUCUUCUUCUCCUUGGUGUUGCACGGCUGCUUGAGGGAGAGAAAGAGAGAGUUGUGGCUGAUGGAAAGCUUCUCUUGGAAGCUUAAGAGUUUGUGGCCAAAAUUACUCCAAAAGUCAACUAAGAAUAGUGCAUGUACGCGCGCGUUUCGUGCUCGUUUCCUCUUGGAUUUGUUUCACUUGUGCACUAAACCUCUAAUGCACUUCCAUUCAUACUAUUAUUAUUCACUUUUAAUAGUCUAAAAAUAAAGGUCUAAAGUCCCUCAAUUAAUCGCGCGCGCGAAAACACGUACUUCCGUUUUGUGCGCGAUAGAGUAAAAUUUCUAAGAAAUUCUUACAAUGAUAUUAUAACUGACUAGUACUUGAGUACUUAAACAUAAAAAUACCUAUUUUGAAACUAAUGUAUGAGUCUUCAAUCUCCAAACUCACUGUACCCUCAAAUCGAUUAUUGUCUCCAAACGCACAUUCACUAUUCUCACUAAACGAGUUUCUAAAAAUUAAAUUUUUGCAACAAGUCAUUUUAAAUAUAUAUAUAAGUCAUAAUUCCAUGUAAUUGAGUCUAAAAAGGUUGGAAUAAAAUAUUCGGAGCAAACAGACAAUUAAAUAUUUAAAUAAGCUAGUAAUAGAAAUUUAAAAUAAGUAAAUUUGCGGGUCCUUACAGGUAUGCUUGUGAUGCAAAUGCAAAUUUGGAUGUUUUGGGUUGGUAGAAAUAGGAAAGAUUGAGAUUUCCUAUCUUGUCGAGGAUGGCUGCCGAUAUACUCUCCGUUCCUGUUACAACUGUGGCUUCAGAAUCUACCUUCAGCGCCGGAGGUAGAGUAAUUGAUGAUCGACGAGCUUCUAUGUCAAUUGAGACGGUGCAAAUAUUGCUUUGCGGCAACGAUUGGAUCCGCAGUCUUCAUGGCCUAAAGAAUAAGUCUCGCGUUAAGUAAUUGAUUAGAUGUUUUUGUUGUUGUUACAGUUUCUUUAUAUCUGAUUUUAAAGAAUUUUAUAACUUUCAUACUUUUGUUUUGUAGGAAUCACUUGAUGCGACCGAAUCAAUCACAUUUGAGGAAGUUAAACUUCCCGAAUCAUUCACAACCUGAUUUGGUGGCUGUUGAUGUUGCUUGGUGCAAACUGAUUCAUUCACAUGUUGAUUUCGUUGAAGACCUAAAGAAUAAGUCUCGCGUUAAGUAAUUGAUUAGAUGUUUUUGUUGUUGUUACAGUUUCUUUAUUUUAAAGAAUUUUAUAACUUUCAUACUUUUGUUUUGUAGGAAUCACUUGAUGCGACCGAAUCAAUCACAUUUGAGGAAGUUAAACUUUCCGAAUCAUUCACAACCUGAUUUGGUGGCUGUUGAUGUUGCUUGGUGCAAACUGAUUCAUUCACAUGUUGAUUUUGUUCAAAAGCUGCAUCGUUCACAACUUGUUUUCACCCAAGAAAGUUAUUUUUAACUCUUGGUCUAGAGUGUGGACAUUUUAGAAACUGCUUAAAACGUAUUGAUGGCUGAUCUUUAAUUGUUUGGACUCUUUUAUGUAAUUUUUCAUUUUGUAAUCUGAUCUGGUCUGCUGCCGAGUUUGGACAUUUUAUUCCUCCAUUUGAUAGUUUGAGCUGCAAUUUUAACUUCUUUUUUGCUACUCGUGCUUAUGAUGCUUCUGUUUUGCGUUGUCGAAUUGAGUGGAUGAUAUAUUAGGGAAUGUGUUGUUCUCUUUUUGUCAAACUAAAUAUGAGUGUAGAAGAAGCUGAUAUGCUAUCUUACGUAAACGACUUAUGAAGCUCGAAUUACUAAUCGAGCGAGCUCGAACUAGCUCGAUUAGAUGUUCGAGUCGAGCUCGAUUGUCGUGUGCUCGAGCUCGACUCGGCUAGUUUAACAGCUAAGGUAACAUGCAUCAAAGCAGGCUUAUUCUCUUAGUACUUUUUUUUUUUUUCUUUUUAUAAAACACAGGUGCAUUAACGCACGACAGAAGCACCCUAUCAAUCUAAGAUCCCAGCUUGCUUGUAGCUUUCGAUAGAGUCAACAAGAGUUUCUUCCACUGGCCUAUACCUCCAGCCCAGCCUCUCCAAUUUUUCUGAGCUAAUAUUCCAUCGGCUUUGAUCCUUCACCUCUAUAAGUCUGCGAAGAAAUGAGUUAUAUCAAAAAAAUAUGCAGACAACAUAAAUGGUUCUUGUAGAGACUCGUAGAUGCCACACUUUUGGAAAUGGAAAUCAUGACGGACAUGAACAAACAAGAAAAUCAGGACAAACGGGGUGUCUGAAAAAUGAGACAAUUAAUUUCAAAGAUGGUAAUCCACCUCUUAGGGUACUUGUAGUUGGCAUAGUUUUUCCUCAGAGUUUCCACCAUAUCUUUUGUCGUGGUGACGUGAGGUGAACAUAUGUACCGGCCUUCAGCUUCAGGUCUCCCGUAAACCAAAAGCAGUGCCUCGGCCACAUCACGCACAUCUACUGUGUUGUAGAAUUUGUUUUCUGUUUCUUCACAUCCGUCUGUGCAGCCAAGGAGUGAAACAAAAGAGCAGUUUAAUCUCAAAAAAGGAGAUGUUAUCUGUGCUAAUCUCUGAGUUCUUUACUGCAUAUAUGAAACCUACAAUCCCUUUGACAAAUAGUACAGCAAUAAAUUCAUGGGACUUUUGAAUUGCAAAGGACCUACAGGUCACAAUGUUAACCUUUUAUAUCUUCAACAAUGCUCCAAAGCAAAUCAAGCAAACAGUUGAAAGAUGCAACCUCUUCAGAUGUUAUGCCUAUUGUCUGUCUCAUCUUCCAUUAGGUCAAACUCACACAAUUUUCACAUCAAUAAAAUUUGAAUCGCUUGUGCAUGUGUCUGGAAAGAUUACAUUAGCACAAUUUAGUAUUUUUGGCAGCACUGCUCGUUUAAAUUUCCCUGCCAUCAAGCAGAAAAUUUAAUUCCAUUCCAACAGUAAAAGCCAAACACCACAAUCUUAGUUUUUUUUAGAUAACUUUGCAAGUUUUUAGAGCAUUGCCAAAAUCAUAAAACUAUCAGAAUGGCAGAUAGCUUACAGGUUUAGAAUCUGAAAACCUCAGCUGGCUUGAAGAUUAAAUAAAAAUGCCAAAAGACGGCAAAGCAGUUAUCUCCAUGAAUGUAGUUUCAUUCCUAGAAGGUCAACCGCAACCAGAUAGACGGAUUUUGUGAAAUUUUAUUGGCAUCAAUUCAUUGUGUAUCAUGUAAAUAACACUGGAAGCCAGAAGCAUAAAAAUGAUGGGUUACUUGGAAAAUUAGCUGAUCAACCACAUGAAGAAAUUCAAUUGUUUGACCUUUCAAGUACAAAAAAAGGAAAAAAUUGCUAAGCUUUAGAGGUCAUCUGAGUUCUAGAGUGACAUCCAUGCUCACUUAGGCACAAACCAAUAUCAAGGAGAAAACUGUAUCAUUUACGACCACUUCCAUGCAGAAGGUGAAAGAAAGAAAAAUAAAAUAUAACAUAACGGAAUAAGUUCUCCAAUUGACUACAAAGCACUAAUAAAUCACCUUUCAACAGCUUUAUAAGAGCCACACUGCUAGCAUUCACAUCAUGCUGAAGCAUGGGGCCGAGAACAAAGGAUGGGCAUACAGUUAAAACAUCAAGGCCAGUUUCUUUUGCAUAUUGUAAUGCCUCACUUUCAGCAACCGUCUUGGAGUAACAAUACCAGUUCUGGAGCAAUAUUAGUACUAGAUGGUCAGCCAGAAACAGAUAGUAGUUGCAAAAAUCUGAUUUCUCAGCAAUCUUAGAAACAGUAUGAAUAAGACAGUGAAUUUUCUGCACAAUUACAACACCAAGGUGCAACUGCAAAAAGUCAAAUUAUGUUGAUGCAUACAUUUGUUGCCUUGCAGUAUUCGCCGUCUGACCAACACUUCUCAUCUAUGAUUUCACCUUCAGGCAGAUUAGGACUCAUUACAACAGCUGCAGUAGAGGAAACAACUACAACGCGCUUGACAUUUGCUUCAGAACAAGCCUUCAGUACAUUAAGGGUACCCUUUACAGCUGGCUCAACAAGUUCAACCUGCAACAAAUCAUCAUGUUGGCAGAGGUACUAGCACUCAACUCUGCAUGCUAAACUGCUUGUUUUUGCGUAAAAUAUAUCCAGAUAGACAGCUAAGUAGUGUCAGUUAACCUGACAUCUUUAGAGUGAAUGAGUACAUAGUUAAAAGACUCAUGACUGCUUAUGCCUGUGAUUUAACUUGGUUACCAGCAUAGGUUAUUAUUAUAUGCAUUUAUUCACUCAUUUCAACAUUUGAAAAAUCCUUCCACGAAAUGAUAGAAAGACAAAGAGCCCCAGUGACUUCAUAAGUUUGUACAAACGCUUUAACAAGGUUCUAUUUUAAACGAUACCCAACUUUAGCUCAUGUUUGGCAAAACGCAAUAAAAUAUUAUCUGUUAUGACAAAAGCUGUCUCAUAAACAAAAGAUAUGUUAAAAAUGUUAUUCUGGGGAAACCAAAAGGAAGAAAUAUCAUAGCAAUUGAAACGAUUGAAAAUGGUCUUGCCUCAGGAUUGGGAACAGAGCCUGAAGGAACAGGACUAGCUACAUGAAAUACGCCAUCACAACCCCUGAUGGCUGCAGAAAUGGAGUUGUAAUCCAGCAAAUCAGCCUUAAAGAGUUUCAAAUUCUCAGCUGCUUUGUCAAGUUUCUUCAGAUGAACAUAUUUCUCAUCGUCUACAAAACAUACACAGCAAUGCCCACAUCAUCAAGUAACGAAGCACACAAUUCACAGCAGGUGCUUUUAUAUAUUUCUUCAAUUAAACAUAUUUCUCACCCUUCACAAAACAUUUACUGCAAUUCCCACUACAUCAAAUAGGAAACAGCCAAUUGACAGCAGGCAAAAAAUCAAUUGCGGUAUUAAAGGGAAUGAAACAAUCAUACAAUACCCAAAACAAAAACAAAAAAAAAAUGAGUAGUAAAUCAGGAAGGAAGGGUUAUGAGGAUGAAAUACGUACUGGGAUUUCUGAGGGUGGCAUGAACAGUAUAAUGGCGGGAAAGGAGUAGCUUGACUACCCAAGAUGCCAGGUAUCCCCCUGCUCCUGUAACACACACUGUCCUGUCCUUCUUAGCCUCCCACGCUGCCAUGUCUGAUUGCUUACCAGUAGCAGUAGCGGGAUUAGUAUUUUAGCACCAAAUUCACUAUAGACUGAUCAAGAAGGUGGGUGAAGUUCUAUUCUUUUCUUUUUUAUGAAUAUUAAUUCUUUUUUGGUUGGACAAGGCAGAGAUUUCGUCGAUUCUUAAAGAGGAGGACUGAAGAAGAGGGCGGUUGGAAGAGGAGGAGGAGGCGGAGGUGGUGGUGUUGGAAUUUUGAAUAGACGAGUCCUGUAUGUAUGAGCUAGCUGAUUCCAGCAGCCUCUGUCAAUACUAGGAGUAAUCAGCAGCUGGCAGGCUUGGGGGCUUAUAUAUAGCAGCAGACCAAUGGUCCUGUUGCGAUUUGCACGGCUCAUGGAAGACGUAUGGUUUCAACGCAGGGUUGGGCUGGGUUGGGUGGGGAAACGGUACUAAUGAUAAAUGUAUGUAUAAUGAAAUUUGAGAUAUUUCUAGCAAUCUGUUAGUAAAAUUUAUUUUUAUAAAAAAAAAGGAGUAAAGGAGCAUAAUAUUAUUAAGUUAUAGUAAAACUUGAUGCACAUAUCAAUAAAACAAGAUAUUCUGUGCAUUUGAAUACAAUAGUAUAAUAUGAUUUUACCAUUGUCGGAUGUUUAACAAAUUUAUUUAUUAAUGGAUAUUAAAGUGUUACAUUUUAUCUCAUAUUUUCCCAAUUUAUGACUCAGAUUUUAAAUUGAUUAACUCAUUAGAGAAUAAAAAACUCAUCCCGUUGCUAAAUUGGACAAGUGACAAAAACUCAUGUCCAUAAUGGGAUUUUACUUCUGACUCAAAUCCUAUAAUGCGAACCAAACCCCAAAUCACUCCAUUAUAACGGAAACACAAACUAAACUAUUUAAUAUUCAAAUCAAGUUCCGCUCAAUAACAGUUUGUUCGAAUUUGAUUCGCAAACUAAUCUAAUCAAGUUAGAAUAACAUUUUAUGUUUGAAAAAAUUUUUAACUGCAGCUCAAGCUUAGCUCAAUAAUCAUAAAAUUGGAUUUUAUAGAUAAAAAUUACUCGAACUCGACUCAAUAAAAAUUCUUUUGAACGUGACUUAGUAAAUAAAAAAGCCAAUCUUGAAUACUAUUUCAAAAUUCUUUAAAAUAAAUAACAAGAUACUUGGUUUGAUUAGACACAUUCACACCCCUGUUUUUCAUAUGCUCGAUAACAUAUAUUUUUGCCAUUGAAUUUUGGGACAUGUUUAUCAUUUUUUAAAAUCUUUUUUUUUUAUUUCUGGCUUUUAUAGGAAAAAAAAAACUAAAGGAUGUGUUCGGAUAGGAGACCGAUAAACUUUUCUCUCCCCCUCGCGCCUAAUUGCAGGUUAAAAGCAGUGUUUUGAAAACCGGACCGGACGGCCGGUUCGACCGGUUGGACCGCCAACCGGCCAUGAUUCCGGUCCGAUUCUAUGCUAUAGUUGACCAGGUUAGAAAACCGGUUAAACCGUGAAAACCGCCGGACCGGAUUGAACCGGCGGUUCUCGGUUUUCGAGAUUUCCCUUUUUUUUCUUUUUUUUUCUUUUUUUUACGUUUUGCAAAAUGCAGUUAUCAAGAUUCGAACUCAAGACUUUUGUAAUAGAAGACCAAUGUAGUAACCAUAGUAACCAUUGCACCAUCACAUCUUAUUAGUUUUUUUUGAUAACUUGUUUAUAUAAAACAAAAACUCAUAUUUCUUUUUGUCAUUUUUUUUACAAAAUCUAAUCCUCUCAUAGCUCUUUCUUUUUAAUCUUCAACACACACACACACACUCUCUCUCUCUCUCACUCUCUCCUCUUUUUUUUGUCACUCUCUUUUUAAUCAAACCACUUUAUUUUUAAUUUAUUGAUGUUUUCUUCCAUCUUUUAAUUUUAUUUUUGUCCAUUAAAUUGAAAAAGGUUAAAAAAGAAUUAUUUUUCUUUAACCCAAAUUAUUUAAUGCCACAACCACUCACUUUUAUCUCAUUUUUUAUUUCUUAUCAAGUUUGCAUUUCUAUUUUCGAUUCUCUUGACUUCUUUCGAACUCCAAAAUUCCUUUUUUAAAUUGCAAUUUCUAAAUCCCAAAACGUAAAUUAAAAUUUAAGUUCACAAAAUCUAAAUUCUCAUAGACAUGAAUUUUGUAUAAUUUUAAAAUAUUAUGAUAUUUUUGGGUUAGAUCUAAGAUUUUUUUGGUAGAUAUAAUUGAAAUUGAAAUGAAAUUUAUUUGUUUUAACUUAUAAUUUAAAAUUUUUAUUUUUAAAAAAUCAAGUUAUUCAAAAAUAGUAAACUUUUCAUCAUAUAAUGUAUUAAAUUAGUCCAUUACAUGUCUUAUUUUGUGCAUAAAUAUUUACAUAAAUUAUUUUUUAAAAAAUUCAUUGAACCGAGGUUGAACCGGUCCGACCGGUUAAAUCUCGACCCUUUCACGUCACCGGUUCAAUUAACGGUCCGGUUUUUAAAACAUUGGUUAAAAGGAAUAUCCAGUUCUUAGAUAACUUUUCUAGGCACAACUCUAGUUGUCAGAAAACUGGUCUACUUUGACUGUGGGUUUUCCUUUAGUCAGGCCAUUUUGUCAUUAGUGAUGAUUGCUUCUUCUAAACCUUGGCUAACUGCACACGCCAUGCGCAUGAAACUUCUUCUAAACCUUAGCUAACUGCACACGCCAUGCGCAUGAAAAUCCAAACUUCAAAUAAAAUAAUUUGAACUCGUCAACUUGCAAAAUAAGAUAAUUUGGGUUUCGUCUGAUAUGAGUAGUAAGGGAAAAUUUAAUUACUAUAUUUAUGAUUCUUGACUAAUGUGAUUGCUCAUCUAUCACCACGCAUCAGUUUAAUACCUUAUCUUCAUUUAAAUGUGACGAUUGUAGAAUUGAUGGCUGAAACUGAAAGGAAACUGAAAAAGAAAUGUCAUGUGAGUGCAUAUGCAUGGUUAAAACAAUACUCCCACAAAUUAUAACCAAUUCGAUCCCUUGUUUUUAAGGUUUUGAUCGUUUUGGUUCCUUGGUAUCAUGACAAGCCAAUUUUGCCUCUUAAAUUUAAAAAUAUGGUUAAGGAGAUCCUUUUGAUGGAAAUUUGAGUUGCUAAUGAAGUGAAGAGACCAUUUAGUGCCUUUCGUGUCACAUCCGUCUCAACACUAUAUUAAAGUUUCAAAAAAUCUCAAAUAAGUCAUAAAACUCAUAAAACAAACCCCAAAACUCUUUAUCGUGAAGAAAAUAAAUUUUUAUAACUUUAAAAUAAAUCAAACACAAUACCUUAAACAUAAUUAUGGAAUUUGUGCCAUUUUCGAGUUGAAAUAUCAUGAAAAGGAGUACCAAAAGGUGAAAGAAAAAUGCAUAAACUUAUGUUUGACAUAGUAUUAAAAACUUUUAUUUCAUUAUAUUGAAGAGUUUUGGGUGAGUUUAGGCUUUUAGGAUUUUAUUUGAAUGCUUGGUGUUUUCUGCGAGAUGGCACGAAGUACCCUCUAAGGUCUCUUAACUCCAUUAACAACUCUAAAUUAGCCUUGACCAAAUUCUUCAAAUUUAAGAAAAAUUGGUUCGCCAUAAUACAAAGGGACUAUUUUGUUAAUACAUUGGAGAUAAGAAACCAGAUUAAUUAAUUUUUGUUGUUUGCGUAACUCAAGGGAUUUCUCCGUUAGCUUCCCACAAUUUUGCUACAUUAGUCUCUUUUGAUGGAGAUAGAGCACCAACUCACAGUUGUAUUAGAACUUCACUUACGCUAUAAUCGUUAGGAUUUUCUUAUAUUCAUCCGACUACUCAAUAAGUAUCCUAUUUUAUAAUAACUAUCCUACACCUCUUCAAAGCCUGAUAAGAUGAAGAAAAUCUCUUUACUAGCAUCUUAAUGCCUUAUAUCCAGUAUUGAGGGAAAAAAUUUAAUCACAUUACAGUCUGAGAAUUUGAAUCCAGCAAUUUCACGGUCUGAUGUAGUCACCCCAAGUAGGUUCUCCAGUAAAACAGGGUAGUGAGGCAAAAUGUACAUCAAAUAGGUCAAUUGUUGAGCCCCUCGGGGUUCGGUUCCGUGGUUGUAGCCCCAGUUGGGGGAGAGCCACGUCCAGGGAUCGAGUCCCCGUUCUACCGUGGCUGGUGAUGCUUGAGGCGGGCCGCUCCCAGCCCGCAGUGGGAUUAGUUGGGCCGUACGGUAACCAGUCCAUGGGUCCAGAUACCCACUGUGAUGAAAAAAAAAAAAUAGGCCAAUUGUCGAUCUUUGAUUAUGUCUACACUUUCAAAAGAUAGGCUUAAUCAUAUUAGUGGAAAUAACUCAUAGUUCAUCAUAUAUUAAUUUGCUAUUCAAUUUAGUUUGAAUACAUGAUCAAUGUUAUUGUAUGCCAAAAAAGAUUGAGGAUACUUUUGACCUAGUUCUUUGCACUAACUUGAAAUCUUCCAAUUGUUCUUUCUUUGAUGCACUUGCAAAAUCUCCUGCAAAAGUAAAAUAACUCAGUUGGUGAAUUUUGGCUAACUGAGAGGCCCCAUCUUCUUUUUACUUCUUUAGCACAAGCGAAGAAUGAAUUUAUGCAUAAUAACCGUGUGAUUCUAAUGAGAUAUGAUUUUUUUGGUUUUGCAUGCUGGUUAAACAAUUGUUCAAGCUCUUAUCUUGGUUUUUGAUACUUCACCGGUAUGUGGAUGUUACUGCUAAAGAAAUUUACAUUUGUCAUUAGAAGAAUUUUCUAUUUUAUGACUGGCAAGUGAUUUGGUAUCUUAGCAGUUCAUCGAUUUUGGUGCUUUGUUUACAAUUUAAUUGGCUUCAAUGGUCCAUACAUAUAGGAACUUGGAAUUUACCCUUUUAUUUCCUUUUGCAUGAGCAAAGAUUAGUAAUUUUUAAUCAUAAUUUUCGAUUCCUCUAUUCUGGCCAUAGUGAAGAAAUCUACCUUUUUGUACUUGUGUAUAUGCACACCAAACAUCAUUGGGCUGUCUACUUUUGACAUUAUUCUUGAAUUACUCAGUUUAGAAUGUGUAUUAGCUGCUGGAAGCAAAUGCAUCAUCGUUGGCAAUUACCAAACAGAAAAUAUGCAUGCCAUUACUAUUUUCACUGAAAUUAGCAUCUAACUUAUAAUGAUCUAAUUAAAGGUUAACCACAUUGGUUUUGACUAGAACUAAGAGAUCACUAGCCCUCUUAUUUUUGGAUUUGCAUUAAUCCAGUAUCAUCAAACUUCUUCAAAUGGGCUCUUUAGCUACUAACCCCUUCAAAAAUAAUUUAGGCUUACGGUUCUGUUGAUGUCGCAAUUGCAGGAGGUUCAGAAGAUAACGAAAGGCUCAUCUAAGAUUUCUUAAGGUGUUUGGCUUAUAUUGCUAGAUUUACUUAAUCUAUUUUCAUUCUUCUCCGAUGUCAUUAUUGUUAAAGUUCAAUUCAUAAGUUGGUUGUGUUAGAAAAUUGGCUUAAUUUCUUUUUAGAUAGGUUUUUGUUUUGUGCAAAAGUAACUAGUUUCCUAAUUGGUUUUAGUUACUCGGAAUAGUAGCCAAGAAAUUUCUUAUUUUGUUUAGAAUUAGAAGUUAUUUCUUAUUUUCUACAAGUCUAGGAAUUAGAAUUAAUUUCCUGUUGUUAUUUGGAUUUUUUGACCAAAUAAUAUUUUUAUAAAUAGGUGGGUUGGCAUACUAUAAAAGAGACACAUAAGGGCACACAAGGACGACAUGUAACCUUAUACAUGGGUGGUGAGAGAGAGUUCUUAGGAGAUGAGAAAUGGUAUACAAAGGUUGGACUUGAGUUCGAGUUGUAUUCCUGUAUAAGGUUUUUCUCUCAUAAUAAAUAACAAGUUUCUCUCCGUGGACGUAGGUUCAAUGGAGUCAAACUACGUUAAAUAUUGUGUGUUGUUUAUUUUUUAUACUUGUGGCUUGUUUCUCAUUAAAUUAUUGUGUACUUGAUAUCUUAAUAGUUAUUUAUUCUGCAUUUAGUUCCUAACAAAUGGUAUCAGAACUUGAUUGCGAGAUUGGGCUGCUCACAAGCACUUGGAUCCCAACAAACUGAAUAGUUGGAUCAAGAGUUUGGUUGUUCAAGGAUGGAUCCUAGUUAGCUAUUGAGAUCAAGUAGGUUGGUGACUGUUACCAAUUGAACAAUUUAAUGGGCGGUAUCCUUAUUUCAAGAGUUUGGCAAAAAAGCAUUGACGGUGAAUGAUGAAAAGUCGAAAAGCAUGGAGAUACUUGACGGUGAAUCUAGGCAGAUGAUUCAAGAGUCAAGGAAAAUGUGGAAUCCAAUAUCGAUUUUGGACGUGAAUCGGUGGAGACUUUCUUACAACUUCAACGGUUGAUACUUCAUCUCGGUGAUUUUUAGAUUUCGCUUAUGUUUUUUGAGUGGUACGGCACGUGUCCCAAAAAAAUAAAGAGAUUUAAUUUCUAUGCGCUAGAAGACUCUGACAGUUACGAGUCUUUUGUUUCAGGUGAAUUUUUGGAAACCACACGUGGCGAGAUAGUCUUGAGGAAGGGAAGAAGUAUGAUGAUUUUAUCACUUGGUUGCCUCAAUGAUUAAGGUUAGAGCUCAUACAAGGAGAUUUUGGGUUGCAAGUGGUGGUGAGAAGAAAUCCUGUAAAGAAAAAUGGUGAAUUGAGGCAUCUUCUCACGAAUCAACUGGAGGUUGUACUAGGUGUAAAUACACAUAUUCAUUUGGCAAUUAAAUCAAUUUGGUAUCAGAACUGUAUUGAUUCGGGUGUGUAGUUCGGUACCAUAUUAUUUGGUAGUUGAAAGUAAAUAAUUGUUAAAAGAAAUUUUCGCCAAGAUAGAGAUUUGUUAGGAAAUUGAUUUAAUUUCUUUUCAGACAGGUUUUUGUUUUGUGUAGAAGUAACUAGUUUCCUAAUUGGUUUUAGUUACUUGAAAUAGUAGCCAAGGAAUUUCCUAUUUUGUUUAGGAUUAAAAAUUAUUUCCUAUUCUAUACAAGUCUAGAAAUUAGAAUUGGUUUCCUAUUAUUAUUUAAUUUUUUGGCCAAAUAAUAUUCUUUAUAAAUAGGUGGGUUGGCAUACUACAAAGAGACACACAAAAGCACACAAGAGACGACAUGUAGCCUUAUACAUGGGUGGUGAGAGAGGAUUUUUAGGAGAUGAGAGAUGGUAUACAAAGGUUGAAUUGGGGUUCAAGUUGUGUUCUUGUAUAGAAUUUUUCUCUUAUAAUAAAGAACGAGUUUCUCUCUGUAGAUGUAGGUUCAAUGGUGGAGCCGAACCAUAUUAAAAAAUAGUGUGUCAUUUAUCUUUCAUGUUUGUGGCUUGUUUCUCAUUAAAUUGUAGCGUACUUGAUAUCUCAAUAGUUGUUUAUUCCAUGUUUGGAUCCUAACAGACUGCUAAACCAAGAUUGAUGUAAUUGCGUCCUGUAAGAGAGUUUGCAAUUCAAUUGAUUAAGGGAAGAACAGAGAAAAUCCCUGAAAAUGGGAAUUAAAGGAAACAAAGGAAACCCUAAAACUAGUUUCCAAGAACAAUUCUGUCGAAGACAGAAAACAAAGAAAAUAGUAUCAAAGGCUAUAUCGUUAUUUAGGAAACAAGAAGCACUUGAAGGUGAAUGUUGCAGAAAGUAGAAGAUCCCACUACAAUUUACUAAUUCAAGGAGCUGUAAUUAAGAAAGAAAGAAGACAACUCAGAGAAUUAGGGAUUGUUAUUAAUUGAUGAAUGAGUAGGAAGAAUGUAGAUGAAGAUGAUAAUCAAUUACAAGUAAUGGAAAUCGGAAAUCCAAGAACUGCCUUCAACUUACCACCCUCCUCUCUUUUAUUCGGCUACUACACUUGUCCAAGUCAGCUAAUUCAUUACAACCAACCGACAUACAAGAAUUAUAAGGAUUUAUUCAUUAAGUCCCUAUCAUACUCGCUUUAUUACAAAAAAAAAAAAAAAAAAAAACCCUAUCAAUAAAACUAAGGUAACAAACAAUGUUUUCAGAACCGGACCGGACCGGCUGGUUCGACCGGUUGGACCGCGAACCGGCCAUGUCACCGGUCCGGUCUAAUGCUAAAGCCGGAAGUUCAUGGAGAACCGUUGAAACCCGGACGAACCGGACGAACCGUGCGAACCGUUAAGAACCGUGAACCGGCGGUUUUUUAAAUUCUUCAACAAAAUAUCAAGAAUGGUGUAGCUAAGAUUCGAACCUGGGUCUCCAAGUUUGGAUAUGACAAUCUCACCGCUAGACUGUAGUUAAAUUUGUUGAGAAUUCUACUUGACUAAAAAAUAUAUUAAAACAUCAAGUUCUUCUCUUAUUUUUUUUUCAAUUUUUUCUUCUUAACCAUUUUUAACCCAAAUAUCCACAACAAGAUUUUCUCAAGUCUUCACCAUUAUUAUCAGGUUAUUAUCUUUAGCAAAUUGUAAACAAGUUGAAAAUUUCAACUUUUCUUGUUUUCCAACAUCUUAGUAAGUUUAAUUUUUUUCUUUUCAAGGUUUUUUUUUCUAUAUUAUUAUCUUUAGUUGAUUUUUUGCAUUUUCUUCUUUUUCCCCUCAAUUUUCAUAUGUUUCCCUCAUUUUUGUUUUAUUUUUAUUCGAUUAAUUAAGGAUGAAAUUUUUGCAAAAGUAGUGCACAUUCGUGUAGGAAUUGGGUAGGAAUUACAAAUAAUAACAUUGGGCUGGUCAAAAAUAUGGUAGUUGGCACAUAAUCGAAGCUAUUGAUAAUUGAAUUUAAAAUAAUUAAUGGUAUAGGAUCAUUGAAUUUAAUAUAACAUGUUAAUUAGUAAUGUUUAGUAGCAAUUAAUUUUUUAUGUGUUUAACUGUAUAUUUGUUUUUCAAAAAUUUUUAGUUUUUUUUAGUUUGAGCAAUUAGAUUUAUAUUUUUAUAAUAAAAUUUUAACUUUUUCAUCUUAAGUUGAUGAAAUUGUGAAGGUGGUGUGGUUGCUUAUCAGGCCACUGAUAAAAGUUUGCUAUUCAAAUAGUUUGUCUUAACUUGAACUCUUUUAUGGAUUUUUUUAAGGGUUGUAAAAGAAUUUCAAUAUUUAAUUUAUUUAUUUUUUGUGUUUUUAUUUGUGAUAAUUGGUGAACAUUUGGAUUGUAUCUAUUUAUGUUUAUAAUGAAUUUAUGAAAACUUAUGGUGAAUUAUGAUAUUUUAAUUAUAUUUAUCAUUCCAUGUUUUAUGUAUAAUUUUUAGAAAAUUUAUUAUUAUCAUAACUUAAAUUAAGUUAUGUUGGUAAAGUUCAAGUGUAGAAUGAAACCUACUUAGUACUUAACAAAAAAAAAAAAAAAAAAAAAAAAACAGUGAACCUUUGAACCGGCCGGUUGGACCGGUCGGACCGGUCGAACCGCGAACCGGCCACCUCUCCGGUUCACUGACCGGUCCGAGUUUAAAAACAUUGGUAACAAAUACUUCCCCCUCAGAGAAUCCUUGUCCUCAAGGAUUAAAUUCAGGAAAUUGUUGUUUAAGGUCAAACCAGAAUUCCCAGAUAGCAUCUUCAAGAAAAGAAUUGCUUCACUAUGCCAAAACUUUUGUAGCAAGAGAGUUACCACAUUUCACCAAUUUCUGAUCAAGUAUGGCUAUAGGCUCCAUUAAUAAUUAUCCCUGUGUAUUGAUUGUGUAUUGAUUGCAAAAGGAAUGUGUGAGGUAACUAGUGAGUGCCCACUUUCUUCUUUAGAAGAGAUACAUAAAAAAUAGAGUGUAUUUUUGCCAUAUUAGGCAGCUAAAGCUGAUAUGCAACAGGGUGUACUCUUUUGAUCACUUGGAAAGGUCCAAAAAACUUAGAAGCUAACUUCUGACAAGAGUGUACCUUCAAAGAGUGUUGCCUCUACAGUUGUAGUUUCACAUAUACCCAAUCUCUUGCUGAGUACUGUCUAUCAGACCUGUGUUGGUCAGCUUGUUGCUCCAUCCUAUUUUGUGCCUUAUGAAGGUUGUACUUUAAGUGAUGCAAAACUAUCUCCCUUGCUGCCAAGAUUCUAUCCACCACUUCCACUACUGAAUUCCCAAGUAGACAAGGCAUAUGCAGAGAUGGUGCAUGACCAUACACCACCUCAAAUUGGAUAACCUUAGUGGCAGCAUGAAAUUUGGUAUUGUACCAAUAUUCAGCCAAGGGUAACUAGAUAGACCACUGCUUUGGAAAAUCUCCACACAUGCACCUCAAAUAUUACUCCAAACACCUGUUUACCACCUCAGUUUGACCAUCUGACUGAGGGUGGUAGGUAGAAGAGGUAUUAAUCUGCACUUUUAGUAACUUAAAAAGUUCUUGCCAAAAAGUGCUAAUGAAGACCACAUCCUUGUCACUAACAAUGCUCUGAGACAAGCCGUGAAGUCUACAGAUCUGAUCCAGGAAUAUGUGCAAAUAUAAAUGCUGAAUAAGCAUGUGACAAUGCCAAGAAGUGUGCAUACUUACCUAACUUGUCAACCACCACCAAGAUGGCUUGUUUACCAUGUGCAUUAGGUAAACCUUCCAUAAAGUCCAUGGAAAUUCACUCCAAACCUUUUGAGGCACACGUAAAAGUCGUAAUAAACCCAAAUCAGCAGUAUUGUCAUAUUUGUUGCACUGACAGACAUCACAUGCAGCCACAUAGUUGACUAUGUCUUGAUACAUUCUUCUCUAAUAAACCACUGACUUCAACUUCUUUUAGGCAGCAUAAACUCCUGAAUGCCUCCAACAGCACUAGAAUGCCACAAGUGAAUUAUAUUAUUCUUGAAUUGGCAGUCAUUUUCUACCACUAGUCUCCCCAUCCUCCUUAACUGCAAGUUGCUCCAUGUGUAAUAAGGUGAGACCUUAGAAAGAUCAAAUUGUAAUUGAGUGAUGAAGUUCUAUAGCCUUAUAUCUAUUUGCCAUCCCUUUUUAAUCACUAUCAAAGAUCACUGUUAACAAUGAUGAUGGCAAGAGCUUCUCUUGGUUCUGCUAGUUUUCUAAAGAGAGUAUCUCUCACCAUAUUAUAUGCUUCUUUCCUGUAGUGAAGCUCAUAAUAAAAUCUUACUAGCUUAGCCAUCCAUUUCUGCUGCAUAAGAGUAGGGCUGUCAAUGGUCCGGGUCUAGACCCGGACCCGAACCGGAUCCGUCAAAUUUAUUCGGGUAUGGGUAGGGAUUUAAUUCCGUUACCCGGACCCGGAUCCGGAUCCAUUUUGCCAAACAAAAAAACGGGUCGGAUACGAAAUAUAGUAUUCCGACCCGUAUUGGACCCGGAUCCGGAUAUAAAUGGAUUACUAAUUUAAAAUAUAUAUAUUUAUUAAUAUAAUUUGAUUAGGAUGAUGUAUUUGAGUAAUCAAUAUAAUUGGACCCGGAUCCUAAUCAAUAUAAUUUGAUUAGGAUGAUGUAUUUGAGUAAGGUUAAUUUGAUUUCUUUUCUUAUUUGAUUUUUUUUGUAUUAGUUAGAAAUUAGUUUAUAAAUAUAUGUUUUUUCUCAUUUUUGUUAGAAAUUAUAAAUUUUGUUAGUUUUUUUUCGGGUAGACCCGGAUCCGGAUCCGGGACCCGUCGGAUCUGGAUCCGGAACAUAGAGUAAAGACUCAUCGGGUAAACGAGUCGGGUCCGGAUCCGAUAUAGUGUGCCGGGUCCGGGUCUGGAAUAAUGAAUUCCGGCCCGGACCCAGCCCGUUGACAAGCCUACAUAAGAGUGUUCAAUCUUUGUUCCAUCAUAUAUUCAAUGCUCUAAUGGUCAUUUUUAAUGAUAACGUACCUUCCAGGUAGAUAAGGUCUCCACUUCUAUACAGCAGCAACUAUGGCCAAUAUUUGCACUUUUCCAAUAUACUAUCAUAUGCUAUUCCCCCACACACCUAAAUCUUACAUUGUCCCCAAUGUAAAAUAAAGAAUAAAAGAAAAUUAAUGGGGAUAACGAAACUUCCUUGAUAACUGAGGGGGCCGUCGACAGCUACAGGUGAGGGGCGAAUGACUGUGGAGCUCGACGUAUGUUGAUGGUUGGCGGCGGUGGAGUUCGGAUGGAAGAAAGAAAGAAAGAAGAAAGAAAAAGAAGAGAGAAAGAAAGAAAGAAAAAGAAAAGGAAAAAGAAAGGAAAAGGAAGAGAAAAGAAAAGGGAAAUACGAAUGGGAAUUGCUCCAAUCCGAGCUGGUUUUUUGUACUAUUACUUUGCUUCUUGUACGAAGCUUGAAGAUGCAGCAAGCGCGGAAAUUUUUUUUUUUUUACAUCUGAUUUUGAUUUUUUUCUUUUUCCUUUUCUGUAUUUCCUUUUCUUUUCUUUCUAAUUUUUCUGCAAAAACAAUCAAAUAGAAAUCAAAUGAGAUGGAAUGAUUUUUUUUAAAAAAAAGGUAAAAAUAUAAAUAGAGAUAAAUAAAUAAUAAAUAAAUAAUAAUAGUUAUUAACAAAUCAUAAAAUGAUUUAUGAAAUUUUUUUGGUGUCUACAUAUAUACACAUACUAAUAAUUUUUAUAUUUAUAUAUUUUUCUUAUUUAAUCUUACCUAUAAUUCUUUCUUAUUUUAUUUACUUUCUCUAAUUAAUUUUAUAUUUUUAAAAAUAUAACAUCUAAAAAUAUAUAUUAACGAAGAGGACAUCCGUUAGACAGGUCCUAUUUUAUGUAGCAUAUAUGUCUCUACAUGAAAAAAACUUUUUUAAUAGGUAUCCCGUUUUUUGACAUGAAAAAUACCUUUUGACUACAUUCUGACUAGCGCCAAAAGCUAUCCACUUUUGACAUGCUGCCCAUGGAGGCCUAAUUUUUUUUAGUACUGAAUUUGUUUUGGAUACGUUAGUAUUUCUUGAAUUUUAGAAAAUGCUUCUCUUUAAUAAAUGUAAGUUCAUUUUAAUCUUGAUUCGCAAGCUUUUUCUCGUAAAUGGUUUGCCAUUUCUUAUUAGUUGUUACAGUAAAUUUAACAUGCAUAUAUGCUUUUUGUCAAAAUUCAAUCAUUUCAAAAUCUAGAAGGGAACUUCUAAAAUACCUGCAUCCUCCUUUUUCUUUUUUCUUUUUUAUUUUUCCCCCUCUUGGCUUUGUAUUCAGAAUCAGAUUGUGUUCAAUUAGUUGGAAUUUGGCUUUGGAGUUAGAAGGGAUUUCCAUUUUUUCCUAGGUAUUCCACAGCUUGCAUACCAAAAGCACAGAGGCGGAAGAAAACCUAUGAUUAAAUCAUACAACAGGCUUGUAAGAAAAUGCCCACUUUGAAAAAAAUGAAAAGUUGAAUUUCCUAUUUUCAAAUUUACAUGCAAAAAAUGAAAAAUGACAUGCAAGAAAUAGUCUACUAUUUCGCAAUGUUUCAUAGUUAUGAGAAAUAUAUUACAAAUAAAUCCACAUAAAUGGUGGGAAUAAUAACUCAAAUAUGGUGGGACAAAUAAACAUACAGGGUGACCCCUGCCAGCUGAGAUAACUAGCUGGUUUAUUUAAUUUAAUAGUUUGAAUACAAUAGUAAAUCAAUGCCAUAGCUCAGAUACUGACUAAAUUUUUCUCCCUGAAGAAUUCAACAGCAUCUUUUAGGCUGACCUCCAAAGGAGUGAAUCCAACUCCCAACCUUUUUGCCUUCUCAUUGGAGGCUCUGUAGUUUGGGCUGAUAAGGUUGGUAUUGUUUGACAUUCUGCUGUAUGCGGGACAAUACACAAUUAUGGCAAACAUAAAUAAAGCUUAGGUAAUGAAAAUGCAAAUGUAAAUUCAAAUGCUUGAAAAUCUACUGGACAAUUGCCUCAUAUCUACUGUAAAUUGUGCCUUUUUUACGAAGUUUCAAAAGACCUUUUAAAAGAUAACUUUAGUUGUGAUAUGAAUGAAAUUUAUUUUUCUCUAAAAAAAAGCCUAAAACGGAAUUUCUAUUUUGGAGACAAAGCCAAUUUGGUGAUAUAUCCUAGUCCAAAGAAGACCAUCUUCUAGAAAUCAACCUGAGAAAGAGCUCAUUUUUUAUGGAACAUGAGACCAAAAGAAAAAAAAAAGAAGGCAGAAAAUUUAGGAUUUAGUGUCCUUUAAAAGAGAGUAUAAAAAUAUGUGAUACAUUUUGGACGUAUACAAGGCCAUCAGCAAAAGCCUGCAAAGACCUAAACAAGGAAAACAAGACUUACUUAUCAGGAAAUUGGUGAGUUGGGUAAUGCUCAUGCAAAAUCUUGAUGAUCUGAGAGGCAUUUGCACAUCUUUCAACCAGACAAUAUCUUCCACUUGCAGAAGGGGUUUCAAGGGCAAGAACAUGUGCAUAGGCAACAUCUCUAACAUCAACCCAGCUACAUGUUGCCUUAGGAAAUGGUUCAACCCCUGCAUUUGGCACCUAAGAUCUUUAAACACAUUUUUUUGCAGGCUCUUCAGCAACAUAAGUGAAACUGUGCAUACAAUUAAAUACAAUGUUGUUUGCCAUGAAAAGAGUCAAAUUUAGAGGCCUUCCAGAAGAAAUGUGUUGUAUGUACUACUUUGUUCUGUUUUAGUAUCAGCAAAGCCACAGAGGGGAGGGAGAUGUGAGGAAUGAACUAGUUGAGACAAUUCAGAUAAUUGGUGAAUAAUAAGAAAGAUUAAUCCCAACAAUCUACUAGCUAAUCUGUCCCUGGAAUUUCUCAGAUUUAGAGUUAGGUUUCUCUUUCAAAGGAUAGUUUAUUUAUUUAUGUGAGGAAUAAACAAGCUUUAGCAAGUCUGAACAACAUAAACAGUGACUACUCCUAACAAAUUUUUCCUCACAAUUACCACCCAAAAAUUUCUUUUCCUUCCUGUUAAUCACAUAGAACCUCAAUGUUGUUGAAAGGAAGAUGCACACAACGUGAAUUUCAGAUGAAAGAUUGUCCUGCAAACCUUUAAAACAUCAUAAGCUGGUCAGAGUUUAUAGCUUGAUAUAUCAGUUCACAUUCUGACCUAUGUCUGUCAAUCAUGUGAUUAGCCAGCAGUGCCUUGAAAUGUUAUUAGUCAUAAGUUUUUUGUUCUACUGUAACAAAGAAAGUUGUGGUGCAUAAUAAAGCUAUAACUAACAUAGAUGGAAGAGUCAGUUAGACAAUGAUUACUAAGGUGAUUCAAUAAAUUUUGAAACAAACCCUUUAAUAGGUUGAGGAACAAAACAGCGCUCGAAUUAACAGAUGGCUGCAAGAGAGGACCAAUGACCAAUCCUGGAUGAAUUGUAAUCACGUCAAUGCCAUGAUCCUUUGCAAAUUUCCAUGCAGCAUUCUCGGCCAUGGUUUUUGAAAGUUCAUACCAAGACUAUCAACACCAAAAAAUCAGUAAAUGUUGGUAAGAUGGUAGCAGAAAGUAAUUAGAUUUGUAAACUUUAAGAAGUAACAUUAUAAAUUUAUACAAAUUUGACAAAACCAGCAGCUAACAUCAGUUGGAACUAUUAUUGCUGUAGCUACAGACCACAGAGUGAAAGUAUCCUCAUUUCCUAGGACAAGCUAUGCUCUAAGUGAAUAAGUAGAUUUCUCAAGGAUCCUAGCAAUGGUGUAAACUUUUUAUAUUCAAGGAAUGAUGCAAAGCACCAGAGUGUCGACAUAUCCUGAUCAUCUGAUCUCUUAAUCCACAAGUUAACAGCAAAACUACAAGGGACCUUGACACUUGAACACAUAGAGCCAUAUUCAUGAUAUUAUAGCAGAAGUUCCUUUUCAACUGACCAACCAAAUAUUCUAGGUGUGUAUUCUCAGACAAUAGUAUAGAGUUUGAUAAUGCAAGAGAUGCAUAAUUGAGUAGGAAAACUUUCAUAUUGCUCUUUCCUCGACUAUUCCACACUACAUUAUUAAUUUUUCAUUAAAGUUAAGUUGUUACUUAGAUAGAAGGAAAGAAAGGGACUGACCAUUCUGGUCACAAAAAUAUCCUUCUUUUUGCCUAUUAAAGUACCACCAAGUCAUGAAGAUCCUAACUUAAUUAUCUCCACAGCUGGGCUAACUCCUCAUAUGUGUCCCAAUAACAAGUUAAAACUAAAGAAUUCCAGCAUUCCAUAUUAGAUUUUACUGGAAGAAGACAGAUAAUAUGUGUACCUUUUGCUCCUCACAGUAUGAUGGAUCGGAAAACCAACUUUCAUCAACUACCACAUCCUCCUUUAAUUCUCUGUUUUCUGAAACUGCAACCAUAGAGGAUGUUAUAACUACUCUUUUGACAGAAGAAGAAUUUGCACAUGACCGCAGCACAUUCAGUGUUCCACUUACUGCAGGUUCCAGUAGUUCUGCCUAUGAAAUCAAACCAAGUAAAAAAGGAAGUCAUUACCAGUCAUAGGUAAGACUAUGCUUUUAACCUGCAAAAAACUUAUCAUUCUGGUAUUAUGUUUGAGAAUUUCACCACAAAUGCUGUAAACCUACAGCUUUAGUUACUUAGCUAAAGGAUGCAUAUAGUUGUCUUAUCUCCUCUUGCUGCUAAAAUAAGUUCUCAGGUCCUUUAUUGUUGUUUUUUCCCAUAUUAGUUACUUAAGACCGAUAGAGGAACAACUGAAAUAAGUCUCAGAUGUGGUCACCAAUUAAACCGUUUGGUACCAAAUAUCAACCGAUGAAAUUCUGUUCUGGCUUGAACAGGACAGACAGAAAAUAUAAAAGGUGUAGCUCCCAUGAAUCCUGCGAACAGAUUUUAGCGUGAACACAUAAUGCAUGUUGCAAUUUCUUUUAGUGUCUAUGAGUCAACCUUGUUCAUUGAAAUGACUAAAAUCAAAGUUCUACAAAGUUACUUAAAUAAAAAUCCAUAAACACAAUUUGAGAAACAGACAAUGAUAAGUGUACUGCAUAAAAUUUUAAGGCACAAUCAUUAAUAGAAGUUAAUCAACUUACAAAUGAAGAUACAUAUAAUUUGCAGAUGCUUGAACAUAUAUUGUAGUUUCUAUAAGCUUCUUAUUCAUUCUGGUAUGGGCACGCAAAAGCUAUUGGCUCUACACUGGCUGAAUAAUUAGUUGGUCAAAGCAGGGAUUCAUUUGCUCCAGGACAAGCUUAUAGCUUGCUCUAUAACCUUACCCUGACUGACUUACCCAGGAAAAUAGUUAGUCGGACCCAAUCUACUGCCCAAUUGUGGACCAUUUGCUAUGUUUAUGGCUCUUAAUGUUUUUAUUUCACAACAUUACACCCUUUGAAUUGUUUCUCUGAAGUACCAAUUUCCAGAUCAUUUCAUAGAAACAUCAUGUAUACUGAUUAAAAAGAGACUAAAGCACAUAACACACGACAGUCUUUUUUGUGAAUGACCUGCAGGAACAGAUUAGUUUUGUAUGUACCAAAUGUAAAGAAAUAUUCUUCAGGUGUUUGACCUGAUUGCUACAUUAAUCUCCUCCCUUUGGUUAAUAAAAGAAAACGUAGAGCCAUAGAAUUGGAAACAUGGUUCGCCAUCGCGGGUCGCGGUCGCGUCACGGUCUCAGUUGUUCCACAUCCGUCGCGAUAUAUCGGUUGAAUAUCGGGUGAUACGAACAAUAUAACACAUUAAAGUUUUCAAAAAUUUUGAAAAAAUUACUAAAAUUAGAAAAUACUAAAAAAGACACAAUUUAAAAAAAUAUCGGAGUCGACUCCGAGUUGACUCGGAUAUAUCGGCCGAUAUCAUGCAUCACGAAUUCGAAUCGAUCAAUAUCGGCCGAGUCAGAGCGAGUCAUCGCGGAUAUGGUGAUAUCCGCGAUUCGGGGAUCGGUAUCGUAUCGGUCUCUUCUGUUCCAGAUACGACUCGGCCGAUACGUAUCGGUAUCGGCCGAUAUGGCGAACCAUGAUUGGAAACAUUUGAGUCUAACUCUUUUUUUUUUUGCCUUUACAGUUAUAACCUUGUCAUAAAUCACAUAUAGAGGAGUAGACUAUCACCCAAAAAAGCCAGUAAAAAUGCAACAGAGGAAGAUACUAAAAGAAGUCGCACAAUUAUAAAUCAGAAAGUAUGCUACGAUUUUCAAACUUCAAGAGAUAAAUAGCAGAUUUUGUAGACAGUAGAGAAUUUCCAAUCUUGUAAAGCAAAUGUACCUCUGGAUUGCUGAAUGAAAGUUUGAUUGGAGAUGCAGUAUGGAAAACCCCUUCACAUCCCUCGACUAUUGCAUCAAACGAUCCCUCUUCUAGUAAGUUUGCCGAGUACAACUGAAGCCUUUCCUUAGCUCCAUCAAGUGAUGUCAAAUGUUGUGUCCUUUCCGGAUCAUCUGUGUCAUGAUUGCAUCAGUAGAAUGUUCAGACAGCUAUAGUCAAAACCAUGCCGCCUUGGUAAAGUGUACUAUGUUUUCACUAUGGCGCAACUCAAGAAGCAAUGGACUUAGAGCAAUAAUAAACGAACCUCAAAGCAAUGAUAAAUUUGACUAGCUAAAGGCAAGCGGGGAAAAACGAAAAGAAAUUGACGGGCAACAUAAUAUGACCACAAUAAUAUCAUAGCCCUAUGAUUUCUGGUUUUAAGAUGUGUACAUUUGUAACUUUCUUGAUAACAAUUAAUUCUUGAGAUAAUUAUCAGAGGGACAAUUGUAUGCCAUCUACCACUAUUUUUAUAACAAACUCAGUCCUUCAGAAGAAGGAUAUAGAUUCGAUAGGCUAAAGAUUUUUUAGUGUAACUUGAUCGUUGUAUCUGGAGCAUGAAACAUUACUGUUAAGGUAUACAUUAUAUAGUUUCAGCUACUCAAAUAUCAAUUAGGUUGGUCCACAUCAAUUUUUUUUUUUUGCAUGUGAUUUUCUUUUGAGCAAACAGAACAUGGGGAGCAUUUAGCCGUUGCAAGAAUAUCAUCUGGAGCUACAAAACAAUUUCACACUGCAGAGUUGAAUAAAAAUGUUGGGCAAAUUACAUAUAAUCCUCCUGUGGCUUUGUUUGUUGCCACAUGACCCUUCUAACAUUUUAAAAUAUCCAAUUCACCCACUAUGAUUUUAUGUAAAGCGGAAACUUGAUGGAGAAUAGCCUAUAUAAUGUCGUUAAUUGAAAUACCAUUAGUACUUUUACUUAAAUGCUAAAUCGACAAUUUAAUUACCUUCUAUAAAAGUAUAAGUGGAUUAUAUGGAUAAAUAUAAAAAUCACAGGAGGGAUAAAGUGGACAAUUAUAUAUAAGAGAAUUACAUUGAAAUUAAGACUUUAUCACACGCUUUUAGAGCGCGUUUGGUAUAAAUGCCGUAACUAAUUGUGCAUUCCAUCAUUUUCCGCUUUACAUAUAACUAUGGGGGUAUGUGGCUAUUUUGAAAUCUUAGGGGACCAACUAGCAUUAUAUAAAAUCACCCUAAAAUAUAGUUAUAAGUAAUUUACCCUAAAAUGUUAGAUUCCAGGAGCAAUUAAACAACAAUCAGAACAGGGCAUCAAAAACUGCACAAGCCACUAAGAUAGUUGAUCAAGAACAAAAACUGGACUUACAGGCAUCUCGAACUGAACCUUUAACAGUAUAACCGCGCUCGAGCAGCAGCUUCACCAGCCAUGAAGCUAUGUAACCCGAAGCUCCGGUCACACACACCAUUUUCCCUUCUCCUGCUCCACUCAUUUUGUUAAUAUUUUUGUGUGUGAACCUGUCACCUGUUUGCCUUACUUCUGGACUUAAUGGAGGGAGGCAUAUAUGGUGUAUAUAUAGCUAUGGUGAAGAAGACGAAAGAUUGGAUAUGAGAUUACUGGGAGACUGGGGAGAUCCAUAUGUAUUCUUGCAAUUUGCAUGCAUCAUCGCUGACAUACGUAUGGUAUAAUCGCGUCACAUCCCAUUUUAUCAAGGUCAAUUGAUCAGUGUAAAAUAGAAAUGAACAAUAAAUACAAUGGUAAAUUACCUUCUACACCCUAUGGUUUGAUGUUUUAUCACAUAACUCCCUAUAAUUUAAAAACCUAUAUAUGACCCUUUCGUAGUUUGGGUUAUUGUGUCACUUUAGCUUGUUCUGUUAAAACUAACGGUCAAUAGUAAAAAGUCAAAUUCAAACUACUAAAUUGACAAAUUCACCAUUUCACUACUUUUUUUUUCUUGUUUUCCUUUUCUUUCUUUCCUUUUUUUUUCUUGGAAAGAGAAGAGAUGACUUUGAAAACUUGUAUUUUGGCUUACAAAACCUUAAUUGUUUCCAAAUACAAAAGAGACAGAAGGGAAAUAAAAAUAAAUCAACAAGAAACAAAAAAUAUGGAAGGUAAAGAUAUAACAAAUAAAUAAGAAACAAAAAAACACCAAAUCUUUUUUACUAUGAAUAUCAUUAUAGGUUUUUAAACCAAAUCUUUAAUAGUAUUUUCUAGUUCUUAUUUAUCUAUUUUUUAUUCCAAUUUCUUCUUUUUGAUGUUUGGAGGAAAAAAAAAAACAAGUAAUGAAGGGAUAAAUUUGUCAAUUUAUUAGUUUGACUUUUUAAUAUUAACUGUUAGUUUUGACGAAAAAACUAAUAAUGACACAUUAACUCAAAUCAUGAGGGGGUUAUAUAUAGUUUUUAAACUAUGGGGGUUAUGUGAGAAAAUACCAAACUAUAGAGGUUAAAAUGCAAUUUAGCCUAAAUCCAAAAUUUGGCGGUUGCAUAUGAAAAAAUAACAAGGUUCUUGACUUUGCUCAAUACAAUUCCAAGUCUAGAGACACAAUUUUUAAAUUCACUACCAGGAUAAACCAUUCUCCUUUUUUUUUUCCAUUUUUUCGGGUUAAAAAGUACAAACUACUUGAACUAGAAACUAGUCCUGACAAAGUUUGUGGGUUUUUUGCAAGAGUUUUAGUUAAAUAUUGGUUACUUCGCCUAAUUUGCACCUAUUUUAUCAUGUAAAUGCAUGCACACUUUUAAAAAAUAAUGCAUGCACUUAUAUUAUUGCCUUUCUUACAUUUAAAUACUUUUUUCAAUUUAAUUUUACUUUUCUGGCAAAACUAAAUCUGAAGCCCAUUUCAAGAAAUAUCCACCGAAUACCAGGUCAACAAACCCCCUUCGUAAUAAAGAACGAAAAGGACCGCAGCGGUCUUUAACUUUUUUUUUUCUGACAUUUUCUUACUGAAGUAAGAAAACUGGUCCACACCCUUGAACACGCAGCGGUCUUUAACACGCAGCGGUCUUUUUGCAUCUAAGAAAGCUUUUGAUUGGCUAGAAAUCCUUCUCUGAUUGAGAAAUGGGAAUUGACUUGAUGAUGGCAACUCCAUUUAGAAAACUGGUCCACACCCUUGAAUGUGGUUUAAAUUUAAUAACACCAUUUCAUCAUUUCUGACGACUGCUUCUUCUAUAUCCUAGCUCACUGCACACGCCAGUCGUGUGAAACUUGGCAAAAGAGUUGCACCCUCCGUCCUAAAAUUGUCUGUCGCAUUUCGAGAUCCAACUUUUUAAAAAUAGCAUGAUGAUGAUAUUUGUAGAUUUGUUUUAAAAAUUGUCAUCAAAAAUUCAAAUUUUAAAUUGAAUUUAGUAUGAAAUAUAGAUAAAGAUUGGAAUAACAUUGAAAAAAAGAGAUGAAAAGUUAUUUUGAUUUUGAUAAGAUGAUAAAUAUUUUAGAACGUUUCAAAAUAAAAAAAAUAUAUGACAUUUUCAAUGAAACAAAAGGAUGGAGAGAAUAUAUAUAAGAUACUGAAAACUAGCAUCCAUCAGAAGCAGUCAAAUCAAAGCCAACAUAUUACUUGUAGUUUGGGUAGCCCAAAAAUUUAGCAAAAUAAAUUAGGAAAUCAAGUGCGAUAGAGAGCUCACUGCACACGCCAGUCGUGUGAAACUUGGCAAAAGAGUUACACCUCCAUCCUAAAAUUGUUUGUCGUAUUUCGAAACCCAACUUUUUAAAAAUAGCAGCUUGAUGAUGAUAUUUGUAGAUUUGUCUUAAAAAUUGUCAUCAAAAAUUCAAAUUUUAAAUUGAAUUUAGUAUGAAAUAUAGAUAAAGAUUGGAAUAACAUUGAAAAAAAGAGAUGAAAAGUUAUUUUGAUUUUGAUAAGAUGAUAAAUAUUUUAGAACGUUUCAAAAUAAAAAAAAUAUAUGACAUUUUCAAUGAAACUAGGAGAGAAUAUAUAUAAGAUACUGUAGUUUGGGCAGUCAAAUAGCCAACAUAAAUUAGUAGCAGAAACCAAGUGCGAUAGAGAGCUCACUGCACACGCCAGUCGUGUGAAACUUGGCAAAAGAGUUACACCUCCAUCCUAAAAUUGUUUGUUAUUUCGAAACCCAACUUUUUAAAAAUAGCAGCUUGAUGAUGAUAUUUGUAGAUUUAAAAAUUGUCAUCAAAAAUUCAAAUUUUAAAUUGAAUUUAGUAUGAAAUAUAGAUAAAGAUUGGAAUAACAUUGAAAAAAAGAGAUUCACGUUUCAAAAUAAAAAAAAUAUAUGACAUUCAAUGAAACUGAUACUGAAAACUAGCAUCCAUCAGAAGCAGUUCAAAGCCAACAUAUUACUUGUAGUUUGGGUAGCCCAAAAAUUUAGCAAAAUAAAUCAAGUGCGAUAGAGAGCUCACUGCACACGCCAGUCGUGUGAAACUUGGCAAAAGAGUUACACCUCCAUCCUAAAAUUGUUUGUCGUAUUUCGAAACCCAACUUUUUAAAAAUAGCAGCUUGAUGAUGAUAUUUGUAGAUUUGUCUUAAAAAUUGUCAUCAAAAAUUCAAAUUUUAAAUUGAAUUUAGUAUGAAAUAUAGAUAAAGAUUGGAAUAACAUUGAAAAAAAGAGAUUCAAAGUUAUUUUGAUUUUGAUAAGAUGAUAAAUAUUUUAGAACGUUUCAAAAUAAAAAAAAUAUAUGACAUUUUCAAUGAAACAAAAGGAUGGAGAGAAUAUAUAUAAGAUACUGAAAACUAGCAUCCAUCAGAAGCAGUCAAAUCAAAGCCAACAUAUUACUUGUAGUUUGGUUAUAACAAUAUCUCAGCUUGCUGGUAGCCCAAAAAUUUAGCAAAAUAAAUUAGGAAACCAAGUGCGAUAGAGCAUAUUUCACCCAAAUAUAUUAAAAGUGAAAAAGAUUUAUUUUUAUUUAGUCAAUGUGAUUUUUUGCGUCCACAUGCCCAUAAAGCUCAAGGACCAAAAAGCCAAACAUACGAAGUGAAAAUGUGAAGAGCAAUAAUUUGAAUGCAAAUAAAAAAACGGGUAGAUGGAUAGAAAACCAUGUCGAAGGUCUCUUCUCUUUUGAGUACGUAAGUGGCAGCAAUCAAUUCCCAAAGAGUGGGCUCUGGAGUUGUUAGUUACGUUGAAAAAUCAUGAAGCAGAGUUGUUCGAGAUGUUAUCUUGGGCUAUUUGGCUUGGGAGGAACCAAAAGCUGCAUGAAGAUAAACGAGUGGACCCUUUGAGUUUAGUUAGCUUUGCUUCGGGUGCGCUCCAACAAUUCCAAGAAGCUAAUGUUACUCAGAAAUGUCCAUCCUUAUCAAAUCAAUCUCACUUGUGGCAACCUCCAGGCGAUGGCAAGUUAAGGUUUAAUUUUGACGGUGUGGUGUUUAAGGAAACUCAAUCUAUUGGUUUAGAUGACGGUGCGGUGUUGAUUUAUCUAGUUUAGGCCCUCCAAUUGUGGACGUCACGAGGGACUUAACUAGUUUAGAGACGUCUAGUAUUUGAGGGAUGAGUAGGAAUCACAAUAAAAUCACUCAUAUAUUAGCUAAGAUCGCAAAAUUCAUAUGUGAUCAUGUCUUUUGGUGGAGAGAUCCUCCAGAGUUUGUUGUGCCAUUUCUAAUGGCGGAUUUGUUAGAAAGUUAAUGAAAGUUCAAUGUUAUAUAUAUAUAUAUAUAUAUAUAUAUAUAUAUAUAUAUAAGCAUAAAAAACAAGUUAUGUUGAGUAAGACGUUGGAUUGAAAAUUUAAGAUUUUUGGACUGAAAGUUCAAGAUUUUAUGAUGAAAAUAAAAGAUCACACUAAACUUAAUGGAUUUAGAUCUUAAUAUGUGCAAAUGCGUUUGAUAACUAAAAAUUGGGCAUCUGAAUUAAUUAAGUGCCACUGCAUUUUCUAAACAAAAAUUGCUCUAAAAAAAUAAGUGAUAAACUACGCAUUUAUUACUGAAUGUGAUAUACACUUAAAUAUACUUGAUCUAAUACUUAACAAUCUAAUAAUUUAAUGGAUUCAGAUUUUAGAUUUCAAUUUUAUCAAAGUACCCUAAAAAUAUAGACUAUAGAUAAAAUAACUGCAGAUCAUGAUUUAUGUUGAGUAAGCUUUCAAAGCUGCGUUUGCCAAAACAAACUUUAGAGAAUCAUUCUGUAAUUUUUGCUUUCACUCUAGAAGAUGCAUACAAUAAUGGGUGUAUACAAAAAUGGAAGUUAAAUUGAUAACACUAAGCUCGCCAAUUCUCAUAAAAAAAAAUGAUGACAUUGCCUGCAUUAAUUCUAGUAACGGACUGAAGACAAUAAUUAAUAGGUGACUAUAUGGUGCCUAAGGCACACAAUAAAAUGUGGACUUGGUACCAUUAUUUAUUUUUGUGAAAAGGGUAAACCUGUUUUGUAAGGUGUCGCAAUUCAUCAUCAUGAAAUGAGUGGUAAUUUAAAAGCAUUAAUAGUGAAUUCACCUUCAUUUUUAACGUUCAUAUCGGAAAGCCUAUUAAAAAAUUUCCACCAGCACAAAUUCCACUUUUAAUAGGUUCAAAAAUUCACUCACAAAUUAAUCCACAAAUCCCAUUAACAAAAAAAAAUAGAAAAAGCAGAAAGUUCUCAACGGAACUUCUAUACUGCGUUGAUGCACCGUACGUUGAUUCUGACAAAUGCUCUGCACUUCAUCUGCAGAUGUGACACGUGUUGGUUGGAGAUUACUAGAUGGGAGUGGGGUGCAAAGGUGGUAUUUUAGUAGUGGGUUUAAGCCCAAAAACCACCGGUAACAAUGGUAUUGACCCAAUUUCUAGUGGAAUUGACCCACAUAAAUUGUGAAAGAUUAUUUUCUCAGUCAUUUAAGGCAAUUUCUGAACAAGAUUUAGGCCUAUAAUAAAGAAAUUAAAGAAAUUAUCAACCCCAACCCCCAAUAUGCUAAUAUGCAAUUGGAAAAAAUUAAAUGAAUAUUUACUUGAAGUAAAGAAACGGAUACCAAUCGGUAGAAAGUGUUUAUAACAUACUCUGAAAUGCCAAAGGACUUCCCAAAAAGUGAGAAGCAGGACAACAUCUGAAAUAGGGUCCAAGUUUGAAGUACUUUAUGUCAAACAUAUUUCAAUAUAGAAAAAAAAAAUUUACCGGUUAGCAGAUGUUUGUGCGCACUAUUUGUUGAUUGGGAGACGGUUCUAAGGAGGCGGUUUUGCAACAAAUAAGUAAACGGGGUGUCGAUUACUUGGAGUUGUAUCUUAUGUUGGAAAAAUAAUUAGAUAUGUCAGUUAAGAAAUAUUUCAAUUUAAAUAAAGUUAGUUAGGAACUAGAACUCGUAACAUGGUUGGAUAUGGUUAGUGAAUAAGAUAUGAAUGUUGGGGGAUACAAUACAACUAGAAUUACUAAGACAAAUUAAGCUUGACACUUUGAAUUCAAAUUUUACUAACAUUGCAUAAUAACACCUUUGACUGAUAAUUUUUUUUGAUAGAAAAACUGGAAAAUUUUUAUUAAGAAGAGGAUAGAUCCGUAUUAAUUGCGAAAGAAAGAAAAAUUGGUGGAGAAAAUCUCCAACUAUAAAUACCUAAAAUAGAACUAGCAUUACUAUCUAAGAAAUGAGUAGGCACAAUUAGAUUCCUAGAAAUCCAAUCAGCCUCCCAAGUGAUGAAAUUCUGUAAACUAAAAAAGAUAUCAUCUAAUAGCAUUCCAUAAGCUAAAUCAUCGGAUUCUAUAUUUUUAAGCAUGUUGAUGAUCUUCAAAGAGUCACCCUCUAAAACAAUCUUAGGAACCUUCAACUGAAGUAACGAGGAAAUUGCAGAUAUUGCAACAUAGGUUUCAAUUACUUUAGGAGAAAAGAUACCUAAGAUUUUGUGAAAAAUACUAGUAACAAAUUUGUCCCAUUCAUUCCUCACAACAAUUCCAACUCUAAAGUUGUCGUCUUCAUAGAAUAUUGCACCAUCGAAGUUUGCCUUUAGAAAUCUUGCAGAGGGCUUUAUCCAAUGAAGUUGAGCAGUGGAAGAGCAUAUUGGAAUGUUUGGAAAUGUGUUUAUUUCAUGGUAUUUCUAUAAGAAAAUGAUAGAGAGGGAGAGACCAAACUGAGAGGAUCACGAGAGGAACCAUCAAAUAAUGCAUCAUUUCGGUUAAACCAUAGAUUCCAAAGAAUUAUGGCUACCAAUUCCAUGUCCUGCUUUUUCAAAAGAUGAAGAAGGCCAGACAACCAAGACGAAAUUUGAUCGGUAGAGUCUAAUCUUAUCUUUAGUGUAAGAAAGCUAAGGGCCCAAGGUUGAAUUGCUACUGGACAGCACAAGAAAAGAUGAUUAACAUCAUCAAUAGGGGCCUUACAUAAAGAACAAGUAGGAUCAAAAUAGACUCCACGACUGUUCAACUUGGAAGUUAUAAGUAGAAUGUCUUUGCAAAUUCACCACAAGAAUAUUUUAACUUUACUUGGUAUGUUGAGUUUCCACAAGCAGGGCCAAAUAUCAUCCAUAGAACCAUUACUACAUGAAGCUACAUCUUGUCAAUUUGUAGAUUAUAUUUUGAUAAGAUGAUAGGCAAUUUUCACUGUGAAGGAGCCAUUUUUAGAAUAGUGCCAAAUGAGCUUUUCUUGAUUUCGUCUAUCACCCAAUGGAAUACUCAUAAUCAACUCGAUCACAUCUAAGGAUAGCAACGGGGGCGGUGCCCGCGGGGGGCUAUUAGGGCAGAGGUUGGGGCGGGGGGUGGGGGGAAUUUUUCCCCCCAUUUAGAAACGGGGCAGGGGGCCCACCCGUUUGGAAAAAAAAGAGAGAUAUAUAUAUAUGUACAUAAUUAUAUAUCUAAUGAUAUUAUCAAUUAUACAUGUCUAUUAAUAAAAAUUAUUAAUUAUUUAUACUAAAUUUAUUAAUACAUUUAUAUUAAAUUCCUAACUACACUUAAUACAAUAACACUUUUUUCUAAAAAAAAACACAAUAAUAAUUUAGUGAUUGUAUUUGUAUCAAAAGUAAAAAUAAUUAUUUUAGUUAUAUUGGUUUUAUCAUAUUAGAUUGUAUUCAAAUAACUUUUGUUUAAUUAUUUUUAUGAGUUUCAAUUGUAAAGUUACAAUGAAUAAUAAUUUGGUAAUGUGUUGAUAUUUUAGUACUUGAUUACUUGCUCAAAUUUAAUUAUAAUGAAAUUAUAUAAUAAUUAUUUUAACCCCGUGGGGGAAGCGGGGCGGGGGCGGAGGACGGGACGGGGACGGGGGGAAUUAAUAGGCAACGGGGCGGGGGUGGGGGAGGGGUCACCCCUAAUCACAUCCUGCCAAAAAAGCUCUUGAAGCAAAUCAUAUUUCCAUUUCCUGCUAUUUUCAUCAAUUAAACAAUCUAUAGUGGAGAUUUCUAGUAGCACAUCAAAACGAGAUAUAAUUUUGAAAUUAGAAAGACGUGGAGUCCACCUAUCUUUCCAAAUUUUGAUAUGAUUCCCGUUUCCAUCUCACCAUCUACUACCAAAAACACCUUUGAUUGAUAACUAAAUAGUUAAAAAAAUAUAUCUACUUAUUUUGUUUACUCAACAGUUAUGUGAACUAAAACAUAAAAAAAGAAGGUCAAUUAUUAUAUUAGUGUUAUAUUUGUAAUAUUAGUUCCCUAUAUAGUAGGUUGCCGAGUUGGGCAUAUUUAUAUUCUACCAAGUAAAUGCCCUAUCUUUUCGAAACGUGGCAAAAAAUUUGUGUUUGUUUUUUUGGUAGAUUUCAUUCUUUUUCUUUUUUGGUAACAAUUAAUUUACUAUUCAUUUUCACUUCAUUAUUUAUAGUAAAUUUCAAUCAAUCAUCAAUUACUUACCCUAUAUGCAUUUCUAUUAAUUAUACCUUUAUUUUUUUCAAUCAACUUAUAGCUUUCCUUUUUAAUUAGGCACUCGUUAAUAUAUAUAUUAGGUGUUAAAUUUUUAGAAAUAUAAGAUGAAUUAGGGAAAGCAUAUAAAUGUAAGGGAAUUAAUUAGAAAAAUAUAUAAAUAAAAGAAAAAGUAGUAAUUGUUACGUAUAUACAUGGCAGGUUAGAUGGAAUGCAGGUGUGUUAACGAUUACCCAUAGGUCACCCAUUAGAAAUACUCAUCAAAAUUUGGAUUAAUUUUUUUUUCCUUUCAUUGCAAUCAUUACUACCAUUUUUCCUAUUAUUUAUUACUAUACCUUCAUGUUUCUAAAUACCAAUAAAUGUAUUACUCUCUUACUUUUUAUUUGAUUGUGCUAAUUAUAGCUUUCCUUUUACUUAAUCAAUUAGUCAAUCGAUCAAUCAACCCAUGAUUUUAAUUCUCUUUUCAAUCACACGAUCUUUCUUUUAUCCAUCAUUAGGGAGAUUUACAAUUAGUCACAUAUUUGUUAUGUGUACAAUAAUUAUGCAAUCAUAAGCACAAACUAAUGCAAUUUUAAUAAUUUUGCAUAUAUGCAUUCAUAUUGUAUUGCAACACCUUUAAUAAUUCAUUAUAUGGUUAGAAAAGCCAAAAAAAAUCGAGUAUUACCUAGACCUUAGAUAGUCCCCAAUGUAUACACUGAUACUGUAUGAAAUGAUUUAAAACCCGUUAAUAUAUAUACUGAUUGCAUAUGAAGAUUCAUCCCUAGUUUAGACCUCUUAGAUAGUUUGCAAGCAUUAUAUUCCCUUUUUUUAAUUUCUUAUUUAGUUUACCUUAUUACCAUUUAUGAUUUUUUUUUUAAUUUAAGCAACAUCUUCCAAUAUUUUAUCACCAUUUUAAGUUAGUUCAUUUUUAGGAGAUAGUAGUAUAAGUGUGGUAGUUUGUCCAAAUAACUUUGAAUACGCAUAUACAACCCAAAAACAAAAUGAUAGCUGUUUAUAUUCUUAUCACUCAACGAUGAUAGUGUUAUGUAAUUUAAAUGAUUGAGAUCUAUCGCCAUCCAAAUAUAAAUUUAAUAUGAGGGUAUGAUAACUAAAAAUGACUAUAGAAUCCCCCUAAAUACUAAAUAAUGCGAAUAGAGAUAUUCCCUCAAAAACUUGUAAAGUACUUAAUGUGUAUACGGGUAAAUUCUUGCAAUAGUGAAAGGAAAAUAUCUUACUAGCCUUGAAAUUUUGGCCCGUGUACUGACUUUUGUUAGCUAAAUUAAACUAUCUUGGAGUGAAGACAUAAAAUCGGCGGCAAAUAUUGAGAGAAUUGUGAACAUAGCUAACUUAUCUAGCGUACACAUUUUUUUCCGAGUUUGAAUUCUCUCACUUACACUACAAAAAGAAAAAACUAUCAUACAUUUAACUUCCAACUAACAAUGAUGUAUAGGUAAUAAAUUAUAUGCAUGGGAUAUUCCCAUAAAUAAAUGAAAUAUAUUUACACGACAAAGAGUAAAUUCUUAAAUUAAGAAGAAAUAAUAUUAUAGUAGCUGUCAAUUUGUUUAUAUGACUUUUUGGUUUGUCAUUAUUCAUGACAACCAAUUAUGUUAUUUUGAUGUAAACAUAUCCAAAAACGGUUGAAUACAAUGUGGGACAUUAUUAUUAUUACUCGGAUACCUCAAUAUUUAUAAAAUUGAUUAAAUUGGAAUCCAAUUGGAUUCAACAGUAUUUUGAAAAAACUAUUUUUGUUGUUCAAGUCUACAGUGAUAAACUUUAAAAAUAACCUCAAAAAUAAUUUAAAAAUACAACAUAUCUCAAAUACAUUAAAAAAAUAAUUAAAAAAUUUCCCUAAUUCUUCUUCCCCACACUACCCACUACAACCACCACCACUACCCAUCACUGUCCACUACCACCGCCAUCACCCCCACACCCAUGACCCUCCUUCCUCUCUCCUCUCUCUCUCUUUUUCUCCCUUUCUCUCCUCCCUCCUUCCUCUUAUUCUCCUUCUCCUUUCUCCUUCCUCCUCUCCCUUGUCUUUCCUCCCUUCUCCCUUCCCUUUCCCCACCCCCUAAUCCCCCCUUCCCUCUACUGACUGUGGGCUUCUUGGUCGUGACCAGAAAGGUUGCAGCUAGAAGCCGCGACUAGUGGCUUCUGGUUGCAACCAAGAAGGUCACAGCUGAGGUCUCAGAUGGAGUCGCGGUUACCAUCCACGAUUAGGAGAGGGGUUUGAGGGUCGGAAACGAGAGGGACGGGGGAGAAAAGGAGAAGAAAGAGGAGGGAGAAGGAAGAGGAAGGGGAGAAAGAAAGGGAGAAAGAGAGGGAAAAAAGAGGGAGAGACAAGAGAGAGGAGGGAGGGGGUGAUGGCGGUGAGUGGUGGUGGUGGGUGGCGUAAAAUUUUUUAAAAAUACCCCAAAAAAGUUGUAAAUUAUAAAAAUAUCCCAAAAAUGUAUUUUAAAAAGCCCUAAAAAUACUUUUAAAAAACCCCCCAAAAACAUCUAUAAUACAAGUUAUUUAUAUAUAUAGUUACCGUAAAGUUUUUAAAAGAUACCCCAAAAGCAGUUAGUCCAAAUGGAGUCUUGAGUUUUGAGGUUAAGGUGUAAUGAUUGACCACAAUUUAGGUCAAAGUAAAACUUGGCCAAAAGUUUAGUGGGUUAAAAUAUAAUUUUAAAAAUUAAUCAUCUUCCCUGAUCCUCACAGUUGCAAUGGUGAACUGUCAGCCCCUUAGGACGCGUUCUAGAUGGAACGCGCGCAACCGUGGUAGAUUUCGGUCAGUCAUGGUCAAGUUGGAAGGCUGAAGGUGAACUGGUGGGGAAAAACUUGGACAUGUGUUUGAUGAUGUAUUCCAUACCUAUGUAUGGGUUUGGAAAAGUUUCAAGGCUAGGAAAUGUCUCUAAAUUAGUGGGGAAAUGAGGGGUGUCUCUACUAGCGGUCCGAAAUUUUUAGCUAGGACUACUAUAGAGAGGGAUAACUAUAACUAAGCCAAGUCAAUACCAAGGGCUGGGGGCUAAGGCUUUAUGGGUUAUUUCGGAUGGUUCCAAGCAUUUGGAGCCGUGGUGCCUAAGUUGCUAAGUGUUGGGGCAAGUUGGGCACGGAACUAAGCAAAUGGCGAGAAGCUGGGUGCGCGAAACUGUGUGACCAUUGCCUAUGCGCUCCAAAGAUGAACGUUGGGACUGUCUGGCAGUUGCUAGUCGUUUGCUGGAGUUGCGGAUGGUUAUCAGUCAACUCAGACACGUUCUUAUCGGUUUCCUGACUUCAUGUACAUUCGGGUCGGACCAACGGUUGGGUCUUGUCAACUAUAACAAUGCAUAUAAAUAAAUGGCUAGGUAAGGUCUAAAGGUAGAUAGUGAGAAACACCCUUAGAUGUUCUGCACGCCAAAUGUUUGUAGAAUUGUCCUUGUAAUCUCUAUAGUGAAAUACAAGGUUGGCCGUUUGGUUGUAACUUGUGCAUGUUGUUCCUUUGUUUUUGCCUAAGUAUUCUAAGUUGAAUACUUGUAUGCAAGUGUCAAUGUAAGGGCUGACUGGAAGCGCGGCUUAUCAAUGUCAUUACAUGCUUGUUAGGCUAGCAAGCGUAAACACCUCGUAAUAGUUUGGUAUCAAAGCACGGCUUUGAUCUAUUAGACUGUGCUUUUGUUAUGUGUUUUGUUGGUUAAUGAUGGUUGGACACAGGAAUUCUAUUGCAAUGCUAGGAAUGGUUGCAAUGUUAGGAAUUUGCAUUUGAGGACUUGAUGCAGUGUCUGGGAGAUGGCCCAGAAGGCUUCAACGUCAUAGAAGUUCUAUUGCAGACUAGAGAGAUGAUCAACACCCUGACUGCACAGAUGGAUGAAACCAAGCAGACAGUUUCUUUCGUUGGAGAUGUUGAGAUACUAAGGAAUGAAAUGACUUCGUCCCAUACAAAGAUCGUGACUUUACAAUCGAAGAUCAAUGUGUUAAAGAAGGCAGUCGGCUCUUGUAACACACAGACCUUUCAAAAAUCUUCGAAGGGAAAAGUGAAAGUCCUAGAUCCGAAACCGUACCAAGGUAGUAGGAGUUCUAAGUAUUUGGAAAACUUUCUGUGGGAUUGUCGAGUAGUACUUCAAGGCUAUUGACAUUCCUGAAGUAGAAAAGGUAUCAAUUGCAUCAAUGUACCUUAGUGGUGAUGUAAAGUUAUGGUGGAGAACAGUGCAAUCAGAUCUACCAAAUCCAAGAUCGGCACUUGAGAAGUACUGAAGGAGGAAUUGAAGAAACAAUUCCUUCCCACGAAUGUUUCAUGAAAAGUUAGAGGUGUAUUGUGAAACUUGAAGCAGAAUAAGAGCAUACACGAGUACUUACAGAGUUCCAAGCCUUGAUGUUAGAUGUAAGGGAAAUGUCUGAGGAAGACAGACUCUACAUCUUCAUCCAUGGACUUCAACCGUGGGUACAGAUGGAGUUGCAGUGACAAAAUGUUCAGACCGUGUCUCAAUCACUUGCUACUGUCGAGAAGUUGAUAGACUUCAAGUCCAUAGGAUCCAAAAGUGAAAAAAAAAGAAGGGCAAGGAUAAGGCUAAGGGCUCGAAAGGUGGUCAAUUCUCAAAGAAGAAUAAAAAGAAACAGACAGUGACAACGACCGAAACUAGCGGUGUUUCCUCUUCUAAGAAGAAGCAAACAUCCAACCCUAAAAAGGAUGGCUGCUAUACCUGUGGAAGACCACACUUAACUCGCAAUUAUCCAAUAAAAAGGACCAGAACAUUAGUGCCUUGGUGGCAGAAGGCAAUAGUGACCAGUUGGAGGUCCAGGAUGCACGGGUCAACCCCAUGUAAUUCUUGAACGCCAUCACAGAUACUAAUGUCCGUACUCUUUACAAUGGUUUGAUGUAUGUGCAAGUUACAUUGAAUGGUAACCAUAUAUUGGCGAUGGUUGAAACGGGAGCAUCAUAUAGUUCUAUGAUGGAAAAAGUGGUGAGUCGGUUCCGGUUACAGUUGAAAGACUUGGGUUUCAAAAUUGAAGGCCGUAAACUCUAAAAUCAAGCCAGUGCUAGGCAUGGCGACUGUAGAAUUGGAGUUGGGGCCAUGGAAGGGUUGGUGCAAUUUCAUGGCAAGUCAAUGGAUGAUUUUGACUUGAUUCUAGACAAAGAUUUCAUAGUUGCAAAUAGGAUCUAUCCAAUUCCGCACUUGGAUGGCGUCAUGGUGAAUGAUGGCUAGAGUCCAGGCUUUGUUCCUGCAGUAAAGUUGCAGAAACAAAAGAACAAUCAACAAAAGAACAUGGUAUCAACGAUAGAGAUUGAGUCAUAUCUUCUGAGGCGUGGUGAAGUUGUGCAUAUUGCUGCAUUGGUGGAAACCAAACCUAACAUGUACCAGGAAGUACCCAACGCCAUGGCCCAUGUUCUAGAGAAGUUUACAUAUAUCAUGCCUGCAGAGUUUUCGAGAUAGCUUCCUCCAUCCUGUGCUGUGGAACACAAGAUCGAGUAGGUUCCAAGAGCCCAACCACCUACCCAAACUUCUUAUCGCAUGUCCCCGAUAGAGUUGGCUGAGUUGCGAUACCAACUUAAUGAAUUGCUAGAUAGCCAAGCGCUGAGACCGUCAAAGUAUCCGUACAGUACUCCAGUGUUAUUCCAGAAGAAGGCUGACGGAACGCUGAGGUUCUGUGUAGACUAUUGUGCCUUGAAUAAGAUCACGAUAAAAAACAAGUACCCAUCCCAAAUGUGUACAACUUGUUCGACGAGCUAGUGAUGGCACGAUUUUACACUAAAAUUGAUUUGCGGUCUGGGUACUGGCAAGUCUGAAUAGCCCCAGGAGAUGAGGAAAAGACGACGGUAGUGACGUGCUAUAAUUCCUUUGAAUUUCUCGUUAUGCCAUUCAGUUUGACGAAUGCACCUGCUACCUUUUGUGGACUAAUGAAUGAUGUCUUGUACGAUUUUCUUGAUAAGUUUGUCAUAGUGUACUUAGAUGAUAUUAUUGUGUAUUCGAAAUCCUUGAAGGACCACAUAGAUCAGAGGGUAGUAUUCUGCAAGUUGAGGGAAUGCGAACUCCAUGUAAAGCAAGAAAAGUGUGAGUUUUGCAGGGAGCAAAUCAUUUUUCUUGGCCAUGUAUUGAACAAUGGUCGGAUCCAGAUGGAUCACAGAAAGGUUGAGGCGAUCCUUGACUAGCUUGCACCCCAGAAAGUCGCAUAACUAAAGUCAUUCCUUAGUUUGGCCAACUACUACAGGCACUUCAUCCAGGGAUACUCAAAGAUGACCUACUAAAGAAGGAUAGACUGUGGCUGUGAGAUUAUGAGUGCGAAGAUGCAUUCAGAAUGCUGAAGAAAGCGGUUGCUUCUGUGCCAGUGUUGCAACUUUCGAAAGCUUUUGAAGUGCAUACUGAUGCUUCAGAUCGUGCGAUUGGAGGAGUACUUAUGCAGGAGAAGCACCCGAUUGCAUUUGAAACUAAAAAGCUGAAAGAAUGCGAGCAAAGAUAUAGUACGCAUGAGAAAUAAAUGACAGUUGUUGUGCAUUGCCUCAAGAUAUGGAAGCACUAUCUAUUAGGAACCAAGUUUGUGGUGGUGACUAAUAACAUGGACAAUAUUUACUUCAAGACACAGAGAGAGUUGACCCCAAAGCAAGCUCGUUGGCAAGAGUUUCUGGCUGAGUUUGACUUUGACUGGAUUCAUAAGUUAGGAAGGGAGAAUGCAGUGGUCGACGUACUUAGUAGAAAGUAUGUCAAAGAAUACAUUGUUGUGCUUAGUACUGUUGAGACGGACUUCGGGGACAAGAUUAAGUGGGAGUCCCCGAGUGACCCAGUUUAUCAAAACUUGGUGUUCGUGAAGUCAAAGUUCGUCGUUAUUGGCUGGAGGAUGACUUACUCUUUGCCAAUAGUGGUCAAGCAUAUGUUCCAGCAGGAGGGGGACUUAGGCGAAAGUUACUACGAGAGACUCACGAUGCUUCUUGGACUGGUUAUUCUGGAGUUGAACGAAUGCGGGCAUUACUGUCGCGUAGCUUCUAUUGGCCAAAGAUGGAAGAGGAUAUUGAAGCAUACGUGAAAACUUAUCUUGUUUGUCACCAAGACAAGGUGGAGAGGAAGAAGGAGUCAGGCUUGUUGCAGCCUUUGCCAAUCUCUGAUCGACCAUGGCAAUUAGUUUCUAUGGACUUCAUUUCGAGAUUCUCUAAGGUCGAUGGUAUGGCUUUUGUCUUUGUAAUUAUUGACAGAUUUUCUAAGUAUGCUGUGUUUGUUGGUACACCAAAGGAGUGCUCGGUUGAUGUUGUCGUUGAGUUAUUUUCAAACAUGUUAUGAUGUAUUUCGGAUUACCCAAAGAUAUCAUAAGUGACAGGGACAUGAGAUUCAUAGGUAGAUUUUGAACCGUGAUGUUCAGGUUGCUAGGUUUCAAAUUGAAGUUCUCAACUGCCGCAUAUUCUUAGACCGACGGACAAACGGAGACGAUCAAUACCUUGUUAGAAGAACACUUAAGGCAUUACGUGACGACAAGUUAGAAAAAUUGGUUGGAGUUGCUGGAUGCUGCAUAGUUUUACUACAACCUGCACAAGUCAUUCGCAACUAAGUUGAGUCCAUUUGAGUUAAUGAAUAGGCAACAACCUCUGACUCCACCUGAAGUUGCUCUUCAAGAGAUAGUUUGUUGAUGAUACAACAACGCAUGAAGAAGUACGCAAACCAACAUAGAUCGGACUUAGAGUUCCAACUGACUCCCCAGAUUUGAAAGAAAGUAAAUAACAAGACAGUCCAUCGUGGGAUCAUCCCUGAGUACAAUAGACCAUUUAAGGUAAUCAAGAAGGUGGGUCAUAUAGCUUAUCGUUUGAAACCACUUGACAAGCUCAAGAUCCACCUGACCUUCCAUGUGAGUUUUCUGAAACCCUUUUACCAAGACGCGAUGGAUGGAGGACGGAGGCAAGCAAAGUGUGCCCCGCCAGUGAUUCGUAAGAAAUUUCAGAAAGAUGUGAAGGCUGUGCUGGAUUACAGAAUGAUGGGACAAAGAAAAAAGAAUAGAUGGACAAACUAUCUGAUCCAUUGGAACGGUGAAACAAAAUUAGAUGCUACUUGGGAAUGGAAUGUUACCUUGUGACAGUUUCAAGAUAAGAUUGCUGAGUACUUGAAGAACGUGCGAAAGCAAACCAAGUUGACGAGGGUGUCAACCUCUUUAGGUGGGGUGGUUUAUUAGCCCCUUAGGGUGCGGUCCAAACGAAAAGUGCACGACCGUGGCAGAUUUCGGCCAAUCAUGGUCAAGUUGGAAGGCCGAAGAUAAAUGGGUCGAGAAAAGUUUGGACACAUGUUUGAUGAUAUUUUUCAUGCCUAUGUAUGGGUUUGGGAAAGUUUCAGGGAUAGAAGAUGUCUCUAAGUUAGUGGGGGAAUGAGAGGUGUCUCUACUAAUGGUCCGAAGUUUUUAGCCAGGACUACUAUAUAGAGGAAUAACUGUGACUAAGCCAAGUCAAGGCCGGGGGCCAAGGGCGUGGUACGACUAGACUUUGUGGGUUAUUUCAGAUGGUUCCAAGCAUUUGGAACCGUGGUGACAAAGUUGCUAGGUGUUGGAGCAAGUUGGGCACGAAACGUAGCAAAUGGUGGGAAGCUGGGCGCGCGAAAUCGUGCGACCGUUGCCUGUGCUCGGAAAGACGAACGUUGGGACUGUCUGGCAGUUGCUAGCCGUUGUUGAAGUUGCGAAAGGUUACCAGCCAACUCAGACACGUUCUUAUCGAUUUCCUAACUCAUGUACAUUUGGAUUGGACCAAUGGUUGGGUCUUGUCAACCGUAACAAUGCCUAUAAAUAAAUGGCUAGGCAGAGACUAAGGGCAGAUACUAAGAAACAUCCUUAGAUGUUCUGCACGCUAAGUGUUUGUAGAAUUGUCCUUGUAAUCUCUAUUGUGAAAUACAAGGUUGGCCGCUUGGCUUUAACUUGUACGUGUUGUUCCUUUGUUUUGUCUGAGUGUUCUACGUUGAAUACUUGUGCACAAGUAUGAGUGUGAGGGCUGACUGGUAAUGCGACUUACCAGUGCCAUUACGUGCAUGUUUGGCUAUCAAGAGUAAACACCUCGUAACACGAACACUAGUUGCCUAUCUUCAACCACCAUCUAACACUUCUUUUCAAGAUCAAUUUUUGCCCAACACUCAUUUUAUUCGCUUGAGUCAUGAUUAUGGCAUCAUUUUUCUUCAGUUUAAACCCUUUGACGAUACAAAAAUAAGGUCAUAAUUGAAAUUCUGAUUCGAAAAUUUGAAACUUUCGGGAUUGCCUUCUGCUAUGGGCUUUUCUCAAACUCGAUCAUAUGCCCAAACAAAUUCAUCAACCAACACUCACUUUGCCUUUGGGGCAUCUAAUUAACCCCUUUAAAACAAUUUUGAAGACACCUGAAACUAGGGUUGGGCAAAAAUACCUGUUAAUCCAAAAAUCUGCCACAUCCGAUUCGAUUCGAUUCAACAAAUAGGGUUCCGGUGUGUAUUAUUUGAUCGAGUCAAAAGAAAGUUGGAUAAUUACUUGUAUGCGGUGUUAGUUGGAGUCACCUGAUUAAGAAUCCGUGGGAACCCGAUUCUUCCCACAUAUAUAUUUUUUAUUUUUACACACAUAUUACAAAAUAAUACUUUUGGAGGUAAAUAAGUAAUUUCAUUAAACAAAAUACAUUAUAAAUAUGAAAAAUUAAAGUUUAUUUAUAAGAUUCAUUUAUAGAUGUCAUGAUUUCUUUUUUUUUUUAAGGAAACAGUUUAAUUAAUGUAGAACAUAUAUUUGGAAAGAGGUAUUAUUUAUUUGAAUUUUCAUUGAUUUUGAAUUCUUUUAAUUUUCUUUUCUCGUAUUCUCUUUGCAUGUUCAUUUUUUUAUUGAGAAAAAAUCUUUAUUAAGUUUUAGAUGAAUAUUCAAAAUACAAAAUUAAAUUACUAUAAAUUAUUUUUAAAAAAAAUUAAAUGAUAACCAGCGUGAUGCAGAUAUCUGUUGACUCAACCCUACUUUAAUGGAAACCCACUCAUAUACGGGAUGGUUAAAGAUCAGAAGAUAGCUGUCUUGCAAGGUACGGGUCUAGUCAGCCAAAUGAAGCAUAGAAUGAGUACUACUUGACCUGUACCCACCCCUACCCAAAACAAAUCUUAAUAAUCAUAAAAUAGCAACUUGAACUUGCAAAAUCCAAUUUUCAAUUUUCUCCUCAAAAUUUAGCAUCAAAUUUUACAAAAAUUACACAAAAACAAUCCAAUCAACAAAUAAAUACUCAAGCACUGAAUUGACAUUACACUGUAUUUGUGCAGCACCGAAUUGACAUUAUUUGACUUGUAUGUAUGGCAAAAUAAAGGAACUAUGAAUAGGAUGGGGAGGAGGGAGAAGGAUGCUGAGAGUAAGGGAGGAGAUGAAUCGGAAAAUUUAGAUAUUUUUUUUUAAUUUUCUAUAUUUUCUAUUAACCUGAUUUAUAGGUAACUAGAGCUGUUAAUCGAACCGGGUAGCUCGCGAGCCGAGCUCGACCCAGCUCGAUAAGGGCUCGGCUCGGCUUGUUUACAGAGAGAAACGAUCCGAGCUCGAACUUUACUCAAUAUUCGUUUAAUACACGAGCCGAGCUAUGCUCGGUAGGUUCGAAGAGUAGGGGCAUUAACGUCAUUUCAUUGUGUAUGUGGUACGCUAACCUAAGUCAUUCUCUCGUUUGUAGCCCUAAUUUUUCUUUCCUCUUUUGGUCUUAUUUUCUCCCGUUCCACAGCCGUAGCCACAGUCGCACACCCACACCCUCCAUUUUCACCACCGUCACCGACUCACCAUUCACCAAUUCAUCCAUUAUCUCACCUCCAUCAGGACCAUCAUCUAUCCGUCCACUAUCUCACCACCAGGCGCAAUCCCUAAUUUUUUCUUUCCUCUUUCGAUCUUUCAUUUUCCCGUUCCACAGCCGCAGCCGCACCCUCCAUUCUCACCACCGUCACUGACUCACCAAUCCAUUCAUCUCACCUCCAUCACCAAUCCGUCCACCAUCUCACCACCAUCAUUCAAUCCACUUCUCGUGAAUCCGUGAGCAACGCCAUACGGAGCCACCUCGGUAAAGCCAGGGGCUUCUACCAUAUCCCGAUUCGCUGCAUAAUCUGGUAACCAUUUCUUCUCAAUUUUUGCAAUUUAUUUUGGUUUUAAGAGGUUGUGUGGAUUUUGGUUAAUGGUGGAUAGCCCCGUAUCCCGUAUGGCUUCCCCGUAUCCUGUUGGCUUCUUGUGUUUUAUCUCUGUGUUUUAUCCCGAAUUUCACCUGCACGGAUUGCUUAGGGACCGCUUAGUGGAUUUUUGGCUUCAAAUAGCAUGUCUUUUACCAGUUAAAUAGCCUUUUUUUUACCCAUUGUUCUGGAUUGUUGCAUAAGUGUCAAAUUUCGCCUGAAAUGCUCACAUAUUCUUUUAUGCGAUUACGUGCAUCACUACUGCGUUACCUUCCUUCGACACUUGAAGCGGGGUUUGAUGUUUCAUUUCGUUCAGACCAUGGAAUAGUUGCUGCGAUUAAACUUGUGUCUCUAAGAAAAUAAAGAAGGAAACAUCACUUUUUGUCUCUGUGCUCUUUGAUUUCUACAUUUUCUAAUCCAUGUUAUAGAACUGACUGUUGAUGAUACCAAACAUUUUGUUAAAAGAAAGCCAAAGUAUUCAAUUCCCAUACAUUUAACUCUUCCUGGUUAAAAUGUAACUUUCUCUAUUGAUGUCCAUAAAUUUCCUCGAAAGAGCUUGCGAAUUGCAAAAGUUUCCACCAGUCGUCUUAAAAUGGCAUUCUAAACCGUCUGCUAUGAUACUUCUGAUAAGUACCAUGGUUGUUAAAAUUGCGAUCCGGAUCGUAGGAUCGUACGAUCCUACGAUCUGGAAAGGCAAAAUCGAUCCGGAUCGCACUUAGAAUCGCAAACUCCUUGAAUCUACGUAGGAUCAAGGUAGGAUCGGUAGGAUCGCAUAGGAUCGUACGAUCCUACGAUCCUACUUCGAUCCCACAAAAAAGGGCUAAUUUGUGAAAUACAAGGUUCAUUUUGCAAGUAAAAAUCAACAUUUGGGGUAGGCUUGUAGUUUAUCAAGAAAUUGCAGGCCUUAGUUGCAAUGUUUUAACAAAUUUUGCCUCAAAGUCAAAAGGUUCCGUCAAAAAGCUUCGGUCUUCUUCAUCUUCUCCUCAAGCAGACCUUUGUCAUUUCUCUUCUCCUCUCCGCUGCCCAAAUCAAAUCCCUAAUUUAAACCAUCAAACCAUCUCAAGCUUCGGCUACAGCUCUUACCAAGACCAAGUACUAACAAGACAAAUUGCUGCGGCUUCUACCAAGAACCCACAAGCUACAGCCGACAGCUUCAAGGCUUCAAGCUUUAAAGCUUCAAGCUCCAGCAGCCAUUGCUUCGGUAAGAAUAUCAAGCUACGAAAUCCUCUGUUGCCGCUGGAUUUUGGCCGUUUCAAGCUUCAAAGCUUGAAGCUCCAGCACCCGUUCUUCUCCAAUUUUCGUGCUGCCAGCCUGCCACCACACUGAAGCUCAAGCACCAGCACUUCAAUUAAAGUCAUAUGUGAGUGUGGUUAUUUUCUUGCUUAAAAAUUGAUACUUGGGGAGAUAGUGAUUGAUAAAGUUGUGAUUUGUAUUUGGUUUUCUUGGUAUUUGAACAUAUAUUGCUUUUGAUUGAAUUGAGUUGAAGUUGAAGGGAAUUAUUGACGGGUCCAUUAGGAUUUGUGAAAUUUUGGUUUUCUUGCUUGAAAAUUAUUGACGGUUCUGAAGCACCAGCACUUUGUCUUAGGAUUUGUGCUCUCAGAAUCAUUAACGGGUCCAUUAGGUACACUUUUUUUUGCCUUCUCCAUAGGAAGCUCUGAUAAUCGAGACUCUGCUACCACAUAAAUCUUCCCAUUGAACUUGUUGAAGAAAUCAAAGUUAGGAGUAUUAUUAUUUUGUAAUAAUGAAUUAAUGAGAACUCAUAAAAUUAUUUAAUAUAACAUCGUUUAAAUCUUCCCAUUUUGUCAUGCAUUUUGCAGCAGUUGGACAGUUGAUUUUUCAACUGUUAUCUUUACAGUAAAACAUGUCAGUUGAUAAUUUUUCUUUCUGUUACAUGACUCCUUAAUAAUCUGUUUUCACAGGAUUGUUUUUCUGUUCUACUCUAGUCCAGGUUAUUCCUUUGACUAAGCUAUAUUAAGUUGUGAUCCCAAAGAUGCUUCAUGUACUAUAAGAACUCUGUACUGAUCUAGACAUCAGUACAGGGUAUGAAGGAUCACUAAGGACACAUAAAAGAAUUCCCUUUUCUGGUAGGACGCAUAGCAAAGUUUUAUUUUCCAGAAAAAUUCACACAAAUACAAAUGUUUGCUGUUCAAGCAUUAAUUUCUAAACUUCUAUUGUUGCUGCUGUUAUGUCCUUUACCUAUGUUUUCAUUGGAUUUGCACUCGGCCUUGCAAAAAUCAUUGGUAAUAAGACUGAAUUUCUUGUGCUGGUCUGGUCUGGCUUAUUUUUUGAAUGCUAGCUUUAUUUUCUUUUAUCAAGUGCUGGUCUGGUCUGAAUUUCUUGGUUUUUUAUGAAUAUUCUAAUAUAUUUGGCAGUGCUUAAAUGUCUUCAUCCGCUUCAAAGAAACAAAGUACAAAAAAUGCACCGGGUGCUCGAUUGGAUCCCGGGUGGGAUCAUGGAAUUGAAAUUGAUUCUAAUAAAAAACAAUUUCAGUGUAAAUACUGUGGAAUUACUCGAGCUGGUGGUGUGUAUAGGCUUAAGCAUCAUUUAGCUUGUACACAUACAAAUGUUGAACCAUGUCCUAGCGUUCCUGAAGAUGUUAGAACCCAAAUGUUUGAUUUACUAAGUGCAAGUUCUGAGGAAUCAAGGAAAAAAAAACAAAGGGUUAGUACCAUGUAUGAUUUAAAAGAAGAAGAAGGUGAAGUUAAGCAGCAGGCUAAAAAAUGUUCUAUGGACAACUUUGUUGUGAGAAAAUCUGGGGGGUUGAAUGUGAGACAAACAACCAUAAAUGAGAAAUGGAAGAAACAAGAUAGAGAUGAAGUUUGUCAAAUAAUGGCUAGGUGGUUCUAUACAAGUGCCGUUCCAUUUAAUGCUGUAAAUAGCCCAUUGUUUCCUUUAAUGAUUAGGAAAUUGGGAGAAUAUGGAAAAGGAUUUAAACCACCUUCAUACCAUGAAAUGAGAGUGACCUUUUUGAAAAAAGAGGUGCAAGAGACAUUGAAUUUGCUCAAUAUGUACAAAAAAGAGUGGAAAAAAAAUUGGCUAUACUAUUAUGUCCGAUGGAUGGUCUGAUCAGAGAAAGAGAACAAUGAACAAUUUUCUUGUGAAUAGUCCAGCUGGUACUGUGUUCUUAUCUUCGGUAGAUACCACUGAUAUUUCAAAAACAGCUCAAAAAUUAUUUGAAUUGUUAGAUGGUAUUGUGGAAAAAAUUGGAGAGGAUAAUGUUGUGCAGGUCAUCACCGAUAAUGCUUCUAAUUAUAAGGCAGCUGGAAAAAUAUUGAUGGAAAAGAGAAAAAGAUUGUUUUGGACCCCUUGUGCUGCUCAUUGUAUUGAUCUAAUGUUAGAAGAUUUUUAAAAGUUUGAUUCUCUCCACAAAGUUACUAUACAAAAAGCGAAAUCAGUGGUUACAUAUAUUUAUUCAUGGGGUACAGUUAUUAAUUGGAUGAAACAGUUCACUAAUGGCAAGGAGUUGAUUAGACCUGGAGUUACUCGUUUUGCUACUUCAUACUUGACCAUGAGACGUCUUAGCGAGCUGAAAGGGAAUUUGUUUAACUUUUUCUGUUCGGAUAAAAAGAAAACAAGCAUGUAUGCUAGGAGAAACAAGGGGAAAAAAAUUGAGAGCAUCAUUUUUGAUAAUCAACAAUUUUGGCCAAAUGUGGAGUUAUGUUUAAAGAUAGCUUCGCCUCUUAUCAAAGUAUUGAGGAUGGUUGAUUCUGAUGAAAAACCAGCCAUGGGCUUUCUCUAUAAAGCUAUUGAUCAGGCAAAAGAAGAAAUCAAACAAAAUGUGAACAAUAUUCGAAAGAGGUGAAUUUUAAAUAAAUUGUCAUAUUAAUUAUGAGUUCAUUUAUAAUUUCUGUGUUGGAUAGUAGAAUGAAUUUUUUUAGUUAUUUUUUUAACCAAACUCAUGUUUAUGUGCUAGAUUUGAAUCGGCAUUUGCUAUCAUUGAUAAAAGAUGGGAAGAUCAAUUGAGUCAUCCUUUACAUGCCACGGGUUAUUAUUUGAAUCCUCAAUUUCAAUAUAGUCCAGAUUUUCAGUCGGAUGCAAAUAUAAAACGUGGCCUUUAUGAUUGCAUUGCUAAGAUGGUUCCCGAAUCUGGUGAAAGGGUGAAGAUUGAUUUGCAAUUAGAUGAUUUUCGACAUGCAAAUGGAUUAUUUGGUCAUGAAAAUGCUGUACUAACAAGAAACAAGAAAUCUCCUGGUUAGUUACUAGUUGAACUUUGUGUUUUUAUUUUUAAAACCUUUACUAAUUUGUUAUUUAUUUUAAUUUCCUACAGCUGAUUGGUGGGAAUCUUAUGGCGAUGAGUGUCCAGAGUUGAAAAAUUUUGCCAUUCGAAUUCUCAGUUUAACUUGUAGCUCUUCUGGAUGUGAGCGAAAUUGGAGCGCAUUUGAAUUGGUAAUAAUGUUUUCAUAUAAUAUAAUAUCUCAUUUAGUAUAAUAUUUUGUUUAGCAUUUGAAUUUAAGUUCGUAGUAUAACUGUAUAAGUUCUUUCAAUUUCAAUAGGUACAUUCUAAGAGAAGAAACCGUUUGGCUCAAAAACGAAUGAAUGACCUUGUGUUUGUGAUGUACAACUUGAAGUUGAGAGAGAGACAAAGGCAAAGGCAACGUGUUAUUGAAGAAAUUCCUUUUGAGAAUUUGCCUUCAGAUGAUGAAUGGGUGACAGAGAGAGAAAAUCCAACUCUUCCAAGAGAAAAUAGCUGGUUACGAGUUCUAGAUGACAAUCCCAAAUGUGACACUUCAGAUGAAGAGGGAAAUGAAGAUGAUGAAAUUGAAAUACUUACAAGAAAUGUGCAGAGAGUUUGUAAGUUUCUUUCUUUCUUCCAAUUUAAGUAUAAAGUUUAUCCUUUUUUUUGUUUUUAUAGUUUUAUUUUUCAAGUUCUCUUGUUUUUGGUAACUUUCAUUAUUAUUGUUUGUUUAUUUAGAUGAUCAUGAAGAUCGUCAAACCCAUGUCCGUCGAAGACAAGUUAAUAAAAUGAAAGAGAUUCAUGUUAUUGAUGAGGAUGAUGGGCCUUCAACUGAAUUCGACCGCCAAGAUGAUGAUUAUCUUGAUAUGGUUCCCGAAACUGAUCUUCAAAUGGGAACUAAUGAUUUGGAUGAUACUAAUUUGGAUGGUGAUUAAGAUAAUGCCGAAGAUGAAUUCCAAGAGAAUUGGGAUGGUGAAGAUGAUUGGGAAAAUAAUGAUUUUGAUAAUAUGGAUUAUGGGAAUAAUGAAUUUGAUUCAAACGAUGAAAAUGAUUGGUUAUAAAUUAAUGUAUUUCUGAAUUAUUAUGAUACUUGAAAAUGAUGAAUUGUUGCUAUUUUAUUUUUUAUUUUUUCAUGUUUGUUUAAACAUGACAGAUGACAUUCUAGUAGUUAAUUUUGAUCUUGAAAAUCUUUUUGGAUGUUUUGCUUUUUAGUAUUUGUGAAGGUUGAUGAUUAUUUUAUAUUUGAAAUUAUGAUUGUGUAAACUGUGAAGCAUUUGAUUUUAAGAUUUGAAAUCAUGACAGAUAACAGGUUUACAUUCUCUUCUUUAUUACUUGUCAGAUAGUAAGUAAAAAAUACUAUAUAUUUAUGAGUAACUUAUUUAUUUGAUAUCUUUUAGGAUGUACAAAAUGAUAUAUGAAUUUCAAAUUCAUUAAUUUAGUAAAUUUAGGAGUUUUUGGUAGGAUCUUACGAUCCUACGAUCCGAUUCUGUGAAACUAAAAUCGAUCCGACGUGGGAUCCCGAUUUUACAAACCUUGAUAAGUACAGUUAUACUACCAGGAAGGGCAAGUAGGCAUGCAUCAUGGACCAUGAAAAUGCCAAUUUUCAGAAAUCAAUUACAGCUUUGAUGAGCUGCAAACUUCUUGGACAAUGAAAAUGCCAGUUUCUAGCAAUGAAAUGAUAGCUUUCACGAUCUGCAACUUCUUAUUGAUUAAUGAACACUAAAAAGUACGUAUCAGCUCAAUAUUGCCUCUCUUCGUAGUACCUGGAAAAGAUGUAAUAGUCAACCAUAAGUGACAGAACUUUAACAGCGCUAGCCAUAUAACAAACAAUGGACAAAACUUUAAUAAAGCUAGUCAUCUUCUUUUCUUUAGCAUGUGAUAUUUCUUCAUGUUUUGCACUUUUGUUUAAGCUUGACAGUGAAAGCAUUUUUCAACCUAGAAGAUUCUGCAAGGCAAAACUUUCUUCAUUUUAGUUUCUUCAUUUCAGCAAAACUAACUUUUUGUUUGGAUUACCAUUUUAAGAGUUUUUCACUGUUAUUUCAUUAAUCUGAGUGCAAGCUUGAGAAUUGAGAUAGGAACAAGUUAAAGAAAUGUUAAAACUGGCUUGAAGUGGGCAUUAUUUCUUGGAAUCUGUUUUAUUACUUUUGUACCUUAUUUCUUAGAAAUGUUAUUCGAAAUUUCUGUUUUAGCUAAUCAGAAUCUGUAUUGGUUAUUAAAUGUGUUUUGACUAAGGAAUGUACAACUCUCCAUUCAACUCAUUUCAAGAUUCAUCAUCAAGUCCUGUGAUGAAGCAAAACAAUGAAGACGUGGAACAAUUGAACUACAACAAAGAAAGAGCUGAUGAGAUGAGUGAAGAAGAGAUAGAAAUGAUAGAAAAUGAGGGCAAUGAAAGAGGACAGCAAGAGAUGGAGAUGAAGGAGCUGGUCCUUUUGAGAAAAAACAAAGGAAGAAGAAAUCUAGUAUAUGGGAUGAAAUGACAACAAUAGUGCUAGAUAAUGGGACGGUCAAAGUGAAGUGCAACAAUUGCAAGGGACUUUUUGUCAAGAGUGCAACCGGAGCCACAUCUCAGCACAAGAGACACUUGAUUCUUGCUUACAAAGAAAAAUAGUCAUUGGAGAGCAAAGCAAACAAAAGCAACAAGUGCUGUCAUUCAUCGAAGGCCCAAGUAAUUGUAUCACUUCCAUCACAAAUUUCUUGUAUGAUCAUGCCAAGGUAAGAGAACUUGCAUCACACAUGAUUCUUGCACAUGAGUACCCCUUUUCUAUAAUGGAUCAUGUAGUUUUCAACAAAUUCAUGAAAGCAACUUCUCUAUUUUAUAAAAGGAUUAAUCGGCAGAUUGUUAAGAAAGAUUGCAUUAGUACUUAUACAAUUGAAAAAAGGAAGCUGAAAUCAUUGUUGAAAGGUGCUGGUAGGAUUAGUAUUGCCACAGAUUUGUGGACAUCUGGUCAAAAAAUUCAAUAUAUGGUUGUGACUGGUCAUUUUGUUGAUUUUGAUUGGGUGCUACAAAAAUAUUUGUUGAAUUUUUGCAAUGUUCCUCCUCCUCAUACUGGAGUUAUUAUAGCUGAUACUCUAAGUAAGUGCUUUAUUGAUUGGGAGAUUGAGAAUAAGGUUUUUAGCAUAACUGUUGAUAAUGCUUCAUACAAUGAUGUGUGCAUUAGGAGAUUUAGAGAGGAUUUUUCUCUAAAAAAAAGAUUAAGUAUUGGAGAAAAAAUUUUCAUGUUAGAUGUUGUGCACAUAUACUUAAUCUCUUAGUGCAAAAUGGUCUUGGUCAACUUGGUGGUGUGAUUGAUGUUGUUAGAGAAGGGAUAAAGUACUUGAACAAUUCUGAAUCUAGGCUUCUUGAAUUUGCCAAAAUUAAAAAACAGUUUCAGUUGCCCUCUAGAAAGCUAAUUUUGGACUGUCCAACAAGGUGGAAUAGCACCUAUUUGAUGUUAGUUUCGGGUUUAGAGUUCAAGGAUAUUUUUCCAAGAUAUGCAGACAUUGACCCCGGAUUUCACUAUGUUCCUACUGAUUUUGAGUGGAUGAAAGUGGAAGAAGUGUGCAAAUUUCUAGGAAUAUUUCAUGAAAUCAUUGAUAUGAUUUCCGGGUCCGAGUAUCCAACAGCUAACAUUUUCUUGUGGAGCUCUAUAGGAUUAAAGAGCUUUUAAAUGAAAAAGCUCUUGACCCUUUUUAGCAUAUUCGGGCUAUGGCUGGAAGUAUGUCUGCUAAAUUUGAUAAGUAUUGGGGGAAAAGUAAUGUGCUGCUAUCUUUGGGUGCAAUUUUGGAUCCGAGAUACAAAAUAUUUCUUAUUAAUCAUGCUUUUCCGGUGAUUUAUGGUGAGGAUGCAGCUCCUAGAUUCGUGGCUGAAAUUAGAGACACUCUUUAUGAGCUUUACAAUGAAUAUGUUGAUUGUCACAUUGUUUCCCAUUCUGAACAACAACAGAGGCAGGUUGUAAAAGGGAAACAAAAUGAAGGUUCUAGUUCUUUUAGUAAGAAACAGAAAAUGACUGGACCUGUCAUUUUAACUGGUAAAGAAAAGUUGCACAUGCAUGUGAGUGAAAUUAACAGGGCUCCACCAGAAAAAUCAGAUUUAGAUGUUUAUUUAGAGGAAAGUAAGUAUUGUGACGCCCCCACUUCUCCCUAAGACGAACCAAAAGAUAUCCACGGGACGCCUGCCCAACUCUUGCCAGGAUUCGGUACAAUUUCCGUUCAAACUUAUUACAAUACUAGCUAUCAAGACAAGAUAAAGUAAGAAAGAUAAGUCACUUCCAUAAAUAACAUUCAAACUUACACCAAGAGUUCCAAAAUACAUCAAAUUUCCAAAAUAUACAACUGUCAAAAGUCUAGUCGAUUACAUUUGGAACCCUAAUACAAAAGUACAACAAAAGGGUUUCUCCGAGUUUCACUCCAUGUCCAUGCCUGUUAAGAAAAAUAAAUCUACGGGGUGAGCAAUUGCUCGUGAGGCCAAGAAACACACAUAUAAGCACGUUGUCCAAUUAACAAGAAAAUGAUAAUAUUCGAGUAAUUAACAAUUCAAGUGAAAUGUAAAUAGAAACAAUUCAAGGAUAUGGGAGCUCUCAGGAGCUAUUGUCCACUGGCACGAUCAAGAACCUCCACGAGUUGACACUCCGUCAAUCGGAUAGGUCAUAGUCCGUAGAAGCUUCACUUACGCGUUCCCCGUCCACCAUACAUACCGCACCGGCCCCGAACGUCAUUUAUAAGGUGAUACUCCACGAGUAUGCCAAGUGAAAUCUCUCCAAUAGAUCAAGUUUAUCAUAUUAUUCUCAUGACUCACCAAGAUUCCCGACCAAACCCAUGCCAGCUCGAUUCCCAGGUCAGUUUAUGAGUUUGGGCGUCCCCCAUGUAACAUUUGUAAGUCGAGGAGAUUCACUCCAACGACGUAUACAGCCAUAGCAUACCAUUUCAUGCCAUUCAAGCAUUCGAUACAUUCAAUCAUUCAUUUCAUUUCAAUCAAGUCAUUCAUGAUCCAUUCAUUUCAUUUCAAUUAAUUCAAUCAUGAGUCAUUCAUUUCAAAUGAAAACGAGUGCGGUAAAGUACACACUGGACUCCAUUUUCAAAAUCUCCAAUCAUUAAUAACAGUUAAGCAUGUAUCAAGUUCACAUACACUUGACACUCACCAAGUAAUUCAAGAAGUAAAGCACAAGCGGUUGUUUAGGCGUCUCCUGUGAGAUUUUCUUGAAAGUCCUCUUGAGUGCCUGAGCAAUAAUAAUGAACUAUUACACACUAUCGUUUAAAACCCCUACUUAUCGAGAAAGAUUGCACUCGUGUACAAUCUAAGAAGAUAUUAUGAGAAUGAGUCUUAAUUACUUGUAAAUCGAGGCUCAAAAGUGGGGUUUUAAUAAUACAAGGAAAUUCGAUUUUCAUCUUUGAAAUCAAGUGUAAAAUGAUCAAGCAAUAUCGAGGAAAAUGGUGAGUUCUCAAAACUCAAUUUCCUUUAAAUUCGGAAAUUUCAGAUUUGACAAGUAAUCUUUGAAAAAUUGUAUCUCACUUUCUGUAGGUCCAAAAUUCGAAAAAUUGGUACCGUUGGAAACUACUUCUAAAGUACUAAAAGUUCCUAGAAGAUAUUUUUCCAUGAUUCCAAAUGAAUGACAUUCAAAAUUUGGCUCAAAGUUGCUGUUUCGGGCUACCAAGACAGUUUCGGGGUUGGUUUUUGCCAACUUUGAAAAUUCGGCAAAAUUCACAAAAUGUAAACUAGCCUCUGUAAUUUGGAACUCAAUUAUAGUUAUAAACAAAGUUUAAAACACAACAAACAGAACAAGAAUCGGAGUUUUGAGCGCCAAGAUAUAGCAGCUCAAAGUUGCUGAAAUUUUCUCAUUGAAUAAGGAUUUUCCAGAUUUGAAACAUGAACUUUGGGAUUUCAGUUGAGCAUCAAAAUGAACUUGGAAUGGCACCAAAUUUGGUAGUAUUACCCUACCAUAGAAGGGCUAUUCCUCUGUCAAAUUUCAUGCAAAAAUUCGUACGGAAGGUCAGUUGACAAAGCCGCUAAAAUUCCAAGAAUUUCCAAGGCAAAUCUGCCUUGUACUUCCGUUUUCCUUUUUCAAGCAUUUGGCCAAUGAAAUCUUCUCAAACAUGGUUCAUUUAUGAAGACAAGGUCUAAGAAAUAUCCAAAAUGUGUUUGGUAGGUGAUUAACACCAAGAGUUCCAAAAUAACGAGUCCCAAUUCGAGUUAAGGCAUUCAACUAGCCAAGAUUAGGGUUUCCUUUCACUGACACAAGUCUGGAAUUCGGCCACAACUCAUUCAAUUCAACUUGGAAUUGGGCAUGGUCAGUGGUGUUGGAAACUACAUUCAUAGGGAUACAAUUUCUCAGAAGAAAUUGUUUGGAAAUUCUGUCCAUAACUAGUUCAUAUUCGAGCAACAAGUUGCAGCACACAAUAGGUUUUCUAACACAGCCGAGAAACAGGGCAAGUGAAUUUGAAAGGCUGGUACGGCUCACUCAAGUGGAAUCAGGGGAUGUAUUUUAUACUGUUAGAAAACUAGAAGUGUCUAGUUUCUAAUCCCGCAAACAGCACUCGAUUUUGACGUUGGAGCAAAGAGUUAUAGUGGUUUGAAAUUCGCUGCCAGAGCAACUCUGGACACGUUUUCCAGCCAUGAAGAAAUUUCGAAAUCCAAACAUUUACCCAAUCAAAUCAAGUGAUUUUUGGUGGAAACUUUCCAAACAACCUAUAAAACAUAUAUACACCGAAAUAAAGUCAAUGGGACCACAAAAAAUUGCACCAAGAGGCGCGGCAAUGACAGGGCAGAUCUGGCCCUUCUUCCAUUUCAACUUCCUUAGAGUUUCUUUCCACUCUUUCAACUUAAAUCCACUAGAUUAACACUUAAUUAACAUAAAUAACACUCAAAAUCAUCAAAUCAGAUCAUCAAGUCCAUUGUGGGAUUUGAUAGAGUCCACUCACAUGAUUUUUAAUAAUCCAAAGCUACCCGCAUGAAGUUACAAGUUUCUAAGUGUAAUCUAACUUACAAAAGCUAAGAUUUAAAGGGUGGAUGAUCAUUACCUCUUAGAUGUUGCUAGAGCAGAAAUUUCGGUCCUUAGAGCUCCAAGAAAACCAUGAGAAUGAAGCUCUUCUCCUAGCCCAAGAUGGUCUCCAAGUUAUUUGUAAGGUGUGGUAUGAAUUUGAGAGGAUUUGGUGCAAGAUUGAGAGAUGAAAUGGUGAAGAAACUUGGUCUUCUUCUCCUUGGUGUUGCACAGCUGCUUGAGGGAGAGAAAGAGAGAGUUGUGGCUGAUGGAAAGCUUCUCUUGGAAGCUUAAGAGUUUGCGGUCAAAAUUACUCCAAAAGUCAACUAAGAAUAAUGCGCGCGUUUCGUGCUCGUUUCCUCUCGGCUUUGUUUUACUUGUGCACUAAAUCUCUAAUGCACUUCCAUUCAUACUAUUAUUAUUCACUCUUAAUAGUCUAAAAAUAAAGGUUUAAAGUCCCUCAAUUAAUCGCGCGUGCGAAAAUGCAGACUUCCGAUUUGUGCGCGAUAGAGUAAAAUUUCUAAGAAAUUCUUACAACGAUAUUAUAACUGACUAGUACUUGAGUACUUAAACAUAAAAAUACCUAUUUUGAAACUAAUGUAUGAGUCUUCAAUCUCCAAGCUCACUGUAUUUUCAAAUCGAUUAUUGUCUCCAAACGCGUAUUCACUAUUCUCACUAAACGAGUUUUCAAAAAUUAAAUUUUUGCAACAAGUAAUUUUAAAAAUAUAUGUAAGUCAUAAUUCCAUAUAAUUGAGUCUAAAAAGGUUGGAAUAAAAUAUUUGGAGCAAACGGGCAAUUAAAUAUUUAAAUAAACUAGUAAUAUGAAUUUAAAAUAAGUAAAUUUGUGGGUCCUCACAGGUAUGCUUGUGAUACAAAUGCAAAUCUGGAUGUUUUGGGUUGGUAGAAAUAGGAAAGAUUGAGAUUUUCUAUCUUGUCGAGGAUGGCUGCCGAUAUACUCUCCGUUCCUGUUACAACUGUGGAUUCAAAAUCUACCUUCAGCGCCAGAGGUAGAGUAAUUGAUGAUCGACGAGCUUCUAUGUCAAUUGAGAUGGUGCAAAAUGUUGCUUUGCGGCAACGAUUGGAUCCGCAGUCUUCAUGGCCUAAAGAAUAAGUCUCGCGUAAGUAAUUGAUUAGAUGUUUUUGUUAUUGUUACAGUUUCUUUAUAUCUGAUUUUGAAGAAUUUUAUAACUUUCAUACUUUUGUUUUGUAGGAAUCACUUGAUGCGACCGAAUUAAUCACAUUUGCGAAAGUUGAACUUCCUGAAUCAUUCACAACCUGAUUUGACGGCUGUUGAUGUUGCUUGGUUCAAACUGAUUCAUUCACAUGUUGAUUUCGUUCAAAAGCUGCAUCGUUCACAAGUUGUUUUCAUCCAAAAAAGUUGUUUUUAACUCUUGGUCUAGAGUUUAAACAUUUUAGAAACUGCUUAAAACGUAUUGAUGGCUGAUGUUUAAUUGUUUGGACUCUUUUAUGUAAUUUUCAUUUUGUAAUCUGAUCUGGUCUGAUGUCGAGUUUGGACAUUUUGUUCCUCCAUUUGAUAGUUUGAGCUGCAAUUUUAACUUCUUUUUCGCUACUCGUGCUUAUGAUGCUUCUGUUUUGCGUUGUCGAAUUGAGUGGAUGAUAUAUCAGGGAAUGUGUUGUUCUUUUUUUGUCAAACUAAAUAUGAGUGUAGAAGAAGCUGAUAUGCUAUCUUCCGUAAACGAGCUCGAGCUCUUCCGUAAACGAGCUCGAGCUCGAGCUCGAGCUUCGAGCUCGAUAAGCUCGACUCAAGUUCAAAAUCAAGUUCGAUCUUGAGUUUCGAGCUUGAUAAGCUCGGCUCACUUUUUGUACUCGAGUUCGAGCUCGAGCUCGAAUUUUCUACAUAGUACAUCGAGUCGAUCUCGAACAGCUUGUGAAACUCGAAUUACUAAUCGAACGAGCUCGAGCUAGCUCGAUUAGAUGUUCGAGUCGAGCUCGAUUGUUAUGUGCUCGAGCUCAACUCGGCUCGUUUAACAGCUCUAAAGUAACAUGCAUCAAAACAGGCUUAUUCUCUUAGUACUUUUUUUUUCUUUUUAUAAAACACAGGUGCAUUAACGCACGACAGAAGCACCCUAUCAAUCUAAGAUCCCAGCUUGCUUGUAGCUUUCGAUAGAGUCAACAAGAGUUUCUUCCACUGGCCUAUACCUCCAGCCCAGCCUCUCCAAUUUUUCUGAGCUAAUAUUCCAUCGGCUUUGAUCCUUCACCUCUAUAAGUCUGCGAAGAAAUGAGUUAUAUCAAGAAAAUAUGCAGACAACAUAAAUGGUUCUUGUAGAGACUCGUAGAUGCCACACUUUUGGAAAUGGAAAUCAUGACGGACAUGAACAAACAAGAAAAUCAGGACAAACGGGGUGUCUGAAAAAUGAGACAAUUAAUUUCAAAGAUGGUAAUCCACCUCUUAGGGUACUUGUAGUUGGCAUAGUUUUUCCUCAGAGUUUCCACCAUAUCUUUUGUCGUGGUGACGUGAGGUGAACAUAUGUACCGGCCUUCAGCUUCAGGCCUCCCGUAAACCAAAAGCAGUGCCUCGGCCACAUCACCCACAUCUACUGUGUUGUAGAAUUUGUUUUCUGUUUCUUCACAUCCGUCUGUGCAGCCAAGGAGUGAAAAAAAAGAGCAGUUUAAUCUCAAAAAAGGAGAUGUUAUCUGUGCUAAUCUCUGAGUUCUUUACAGCAUAUAUGAAACCUACAAUCCCUUUGACAAAUAGUACAGCAAUAAAUUCAUGUGACUUUUGAAUUGCAAAGGACCUACAGGUCACAAUGUUAACCUUUUAUAUCUUCAACAAUGUUCCAAAGCAAAUCAAGCAAACAGUUGAAAGAUGCAACCUCUUCAGAUGUUAUGCCUAUUGUCUGUCUCAUCUUCCAUUAGGUCAAACUCACAAUUUUCACAUCAAUAAAAUUUGAAUCGCUUGUGCAUAUGUCUGGAAAGAUUACAUUUGCACAAUUUAGUAUUUUUGGCAGCACUGCUCGUUUAAAUUUCCUUGCCAUCAAGCAGAAAAUUUAAUUCCAUUCCAACAGUAAAAACCAAACACCACAAUCAGUUUUUUUUAGAAAACUUUGCAAGUUUUUAGAGCAUUGCCAAAAUCAUAAAACUAUCAGAAUGGCAGAUAGCUUACAGGUUUAGAAUCUGAAAACCUCAGCUGGCUUGAAGAUUAAAAAAAAAUGCCAAAAGACGGCAAAGCAGUUAUCUCCAUGAAUGUAGUUUCAUUCCUAGAAGGUCAACCGCAACCAGAUAGAUGGAUUUUGUGAAAUUUUAUUGGCAUCAAUUCAUUGUGUAUCAUGUAAAUAACACUGGAAGCCAGAAGCAUAAAAAUGAUGGGUUACUUGGAAAAUUAGCUGAUCAACCACAUGAAGAAAUUCAAUUGUUUGACCUUUCAAGUACAAAAAAAGGAAAAAAUUGCUAAGCUUUAGAGGUCAUCUGAGUUCUAGAGUGACAUCCAUGCUCACUUAGGCACAAACCAAUAUCAAGGAGAAAACUGUAUCAUUUACACUUCCAUGCAGAAGGUGAAAGAAAGAAAAAUAAAAUAUAACAUAAUGGAAUAGUUCUCUAAUUGAUUACGAACACUAGUAAAUCACCUUUCAACAGCUUUAAAAGAAUCAGGCUGCUAGCAUUUGCAUCAUGCUGAAGCAUGGGGCCAAAAAUAUAGGAUGGGCAUACAGUUAAAACAUCAAGGCCAGUUUCUUUUGCAUAUUGUAAUGCCUCACUUUCAGCAACCAUCUUGGAGUAACAAUACCAGUUCUGGAGCAAUAUUAGUACUAGAUAGUCAGCCAGAAACAGAUGAUAGUAGUUGCAAAAAUCUGAUUUCUCAGCAAUCUUAGAAACAGUAUGAAUAAGACAGUGAAUUUUCUGCACAAUUACAACACCAAGGUGCAACUGCAAAAGUCAAAUUAUGUUGAUGCAUACAUUUAUUGCCUUGCAGUAUUCGCCGUCUGACCAACAAUUCUCAUCUAUGAUUUCACCUUCAGGCAGAUUAGGACUCAUUACAACAGCUGCAGUAGAGGAAACAACUACAACGCGCUUGACAUUUGCUUCAGAACAAGCCUUCAGUACAUUAAGGGUACCCUUUACAGCUGGCUCAACAAGUUCAACCUGCAACAAAUCAUCAUGUUGGCAGAGGUACUAGCACUCAACUCUUCAUGCUGAACUGCUUGUUUUUGCAUAAAAUAUAUCCAGAUAGACAGCUAAGUAGUGUCAGUUAACCUGACAUCUUUGGAGUGAAUGAAUACAAAGUUAAAGACUCAUGACUGCUUAUGCCUGUGAUUUAACUUGGUUACCAGCAUAGGUUAUUAUUAUAUGCAUUUAUUCACUCAUUUCAACAUUUGAAAAAUCCUUCCACGAAAUGAUAGAAAGACAAAGAGCCCCAGUGACUUCAUAAGUUUGUACAAACGCUUUAACAAGGUUCUAUUUUAAACGAUACCCAACUUUAGCUCAUGUUUGGCAAAACGCAAUAAAAUAUUAUCUGUUAUGACAAUAGCUGUCUCAUAAACAAAAGAUAUGUUAAAAAUGUUAUUCUGGGGAAACGAAAAGGAAGAAAUAUCAUAGCAAUUGAAACGAUUGAAAAUGGUCUUGCCUCAGGAUUGGGAACAGAGCCUGAAGGAACAGGACUAGCUACAUGAAAUACGCCAUCACAACCCCUGAUGGCUGCAGAAAUGGAAUUGUAAUCGAGCAAAUCAGCCUUAAAGAGUUUCAAAUUCUCAGCUGCUUUGUCAAGUUUCUUCAGAUGAACAUAUUUCUCAUCGUCUACAAAACAUACACAGCAAUGCCCACAUCAUCAAAUAGCGCAGCACACAAUUCACAGCAGGUGCUUUUAUAUAUUUCUUCAAUUUAACAUAUUUCUCACCCUUCACAAAACAUUUACAGCAAUUCCCACUACAUCAAAUAGGAAACAGCCAAUUGACAGCAGGCAAAAAAUCAAUUGCUGUAUUAAAGGGAAUGAAACAAUCAUACAAGACCCAAAACAAAAACAAAAAAAAAACGAGUAGUAAAUCAGGAAGGAAGGGUUAUAAGGAUGAAAUACGUACUGGGCUUUCUGAGGGUGGCAUGAACAGUAUAAUGGCGGGAAAGGAGUAGCUUGACUACCCAAGAUGCCAGGUAUCCCCCUGCUCCUGUAACACACACUGUCCUGUCCUUCUCAGCCUCCCACGCUGCCAUGUCUGAUUGCUUACCAGUAGCAGUAACGGGAUUAGUAUUUUAGCACCAAAUUCACUAUAGAC
RNAcentral lists this long non-coding RNA (358940 nucleotides) under Coffea arabica (coffee). RNAcentral describes it as "long non-coding RNA (CARA_LNC001746)". Lineage: Eukaryota; Viridiplantae; Streptophyta; Magnoliopsida; Gentianales; Rubiaceae. The record is from RNAcentral.